This 419867-nucleotide long non-coding RNA is filed under the name Citrus maxima (pomelo). Its description in RNAcentral is "long non-coding RNA (CMAX_LNC001479)". The stretch from base 206932 to 207040 matches the Rfam family "Plant small nucleolar RNA R71". The record is from RNAcentral. Lineage: Eukaryota; Viridiplantae; Streptophyta; Magnoliopsida; Sapindales; Rutaceae.
GAUUUGAGGAUCCAUAUUUUGAACUGCAAGCUAAUGUUCAUUAAGAAUCCCUAAUGUUCAUAAAAAUCAGAGUAUGGCCAUUGAGUAGAAAAACUAUUUUUGGACAAAUUAUUUUUGUUGAUAGAAGAAUUUCUUAAGGGACUACUAAAAUUAUUAAUAAAAAUGUAGAACACACCCACAUAUCAUCGACACAAUUGACUUUGAGGAUCCAUGCUUUGAAUUGCUGCCUAAUGUUCAUCAAGAACAGAGUAUGACUUGUGAGUAGAAAAUUUUAUGAUUUUGGCCCGAAAUAAAAGGAAAUUAAAUUAGAUGAGAAUCUGCCACUUUCUCAUGAAGAAAGGCAUACGGAGCAUACCAUGGUACCAUACAAUACAAAGAGUCUCUGUUCUCUGGUUUUUCAAACUCUGAAGGGGCCAAUAUUCCCGAAUUCCCCCUUGAAAAUUCUGAUUACGACAUUAUCCAUCGCUUGACGCAAUCAAAGUAGCGACAAAGUUAUGAAAAAUAUGAGUCCUAAGUAAUUGCUAGGUAGGGUUCCUGAGAGUAAAAUUGUCCUAAGCAUUAUAUGCAUACAUGGUGUGGUACAUAGAGCACGUUGAAUUCCCCACUAUAACACAAACCCAGAAAGACAAGUAAUAACUCAACUGAUAUAAAGACAAAAAGAAGAUAAAAUGAUAUAGAAAAAAGAAUUUCAAAGAGACAGCAACAUACGAUAGACUGAAGCCACUUGAUCUGCUCAUUGAUUGCAGCCUUAAACUCGCAAAUAGUUACUGUACGCUAGUGCUCUAAGAAGUGAAAAUGAUGCGAGCCCUGAUUCCCUUUUGACUUCCAUUUAUUGUCAAACAUUCUAGUAAUACAAAAAAUUGUUUAGAUAUCUCGCUAUAAAUAUAGCCGUUUGACUGUCAUAAUAAAGUCACAAAUAACCAUUCAUAUUGAUCCACUGUCACACAACAUGCUUUAUGCAUACAACAACUGUAUGUAUACCAACUCCUAACCUUAUCAAUACAUUUGGCAAAAACUUAAGAAGAAAACUAUUUCUCCAUCUCUUUUUUGAAAUUUCACAAUAAACCAGCACAUUGUAAACGUUAUGUUGUAACCUUAUGAUAAAUGCUCUAGACUCCAAAUGAAUUUUAUAUAUGAGGGUUUGUUGCAGCAGAUAUAUUGACUUAUCAAGUAUGAAUCAUUGUCUAGAAGAACUAUCUUUAGAUAAAAGAACAUUAGAACCACUAUAGAAUAUCUUUAGGCUGCUGGUUCUAACAGGAAUCUGCGUGUGGCAACAAUUGCUAGAUCCACAAUUCCCCAACUUGAAAUACAUAGUUGCACACCGUGAGAUAGUGCUGCAAUCUACUGAGAUCUAACUUAUAUGAUAUUUUAAGCUACUAAUGUUUGCAUAUUUCUACAUGUUAAAUUAAGCAGCUUUUGGCCACUUAUUACUAGCAUCCACAAUUAAUUUUUGUUCAGUAAUCAGCUUAUUUUAAAGAAAUUGAUUUAGUCAACAAGAAACACUAUAAUCCUUGAAAUUAGUUCUUGUUCUUUGUAAUUAUGUAUGAUCUUUCAUACAUCAAUUAAUCUGCAGUACCAAGAUGAGGUUUUCAGAGAAUUGGGGGUGAACUAGCUAGGUGGUUUACUGUUAAAGAUAUAGUUGCAGCUGAGCUAAACAGAGUAGCUGGAGGUUGCUGAACAGUUACAUCAAAAGACGGGAUCAUAGUCUAUGCAUUGAACAGUUACAGUUGCUGCUACCAAUUGCUUCGGCAAAGAUCAAGAAGACUGAACGGGAAGUUAAUGCCAUCAAUGUCGUCUUCACUAUAGCUGCUGGGAAUGUAGGUGAACUUUCCUCAUUUGCAGCUGUCUAUACAUAGGCUUUUCCCCAGCUUAAGUACAAAUAAAUGAACCUGCCUUGAAGGCUUUAUUAUUGACCCCAAUAAGGAUUACUAAUUGAAGAAGACUAUACGGAGUUAAUCCCACACUCUCGUUCUCUCAAUUUCUUUCAGAAGUGCCUCUGAAAAUAGCUGCCAAACCGUUAGUCAGCUUGUAUACUCUGUUUUCUGGAAACAGAGCCCUCACUAACUGACUGUACAGAGUAAGUCAACAUAGCAUAUUUAAUCGUUUUAAUUGAAUUAUCUUCGCAGCGAUCAUCAACAAACUCAUCAUAAGAUAUUUGAAGCACCCAAGGACUAUCACUGGGUUUCUCUUCUGGUUGAUUUAUUAAUUAAUCAUAGAACGGUUGGAUACCCAGCGACAAUUAAAAUUAUUCGACUUCUGGAACUAGGAAUGAAGUGCAAUGAUGGAGCAAAAUUUACAAUGUCUCCGGUUUCUCCUGACCAUCGGACUUUUGCAGUGAGAACAUAUAACAAAAAGGCCUUCAUCAAAAUUUGUAGACUCCGGGUAUGGAUUGGAUUGAGUUUUUUGUUUGAUAUUGAAGAACCUCUUUACUAUCGCGAUAUAGAUUAUGUGCAAGGAGUUGUCUACUGUUCUUUGCCUUGUGCUAUGAUCGGUGCUCUUGAGACUGCCCUGAAACACAGGAAAAUACUUCGAUAUCCUCCGUUCGAUGAUGCAAAGAACCGGUUAAUGUAUGAUUAUCUAAUUGACUCAGGAUCAGGUAACAACAACAACAAUUUAUUAAUAGUAAUAUCACAAACGAAGAAGAUUUCGGAGAGGGAGAUGUAUGCGUAUACUGUUUACAGGUUUGAUCCACUGGGGAUGAAGUGGUCUCAAGUGGAAAGUGAUUUAUUAAACAACAAAUCGUUGUUCUUGGGUUAUACCUCAUGAUGUCAUCAAGUGGAAGAUGAAGAUUAUGCAAGACGAAGAUCGUUUGAUAUUGAAGAAUUUGAACAGAAAGCCCAUAGAAAGUACUUAAAUAAGCAUAUUCUUGUUGGGGUAGAAUAUUGAGAAAGGAGUUGUCUACUGUGUGUUGCGUAAUUAUGCUAUGAUCGGUGCUUUCAACAUUGCCCUGAAAACAGUGGGAAAUACUUCAUAUCCUCGACAUGAUGAUGAAAAAUUGGUUACCGAUUACCUAAUUGACUCAGGUGACAACAAUCCAUUAAUAGCACAAUUUGACGUGAUGCCGUUUAGGUAUAUGGUUUUCAAGUUUGAUUCAUCAGUGAUGAAGCGGACUAAAAUUAAAAGUUUAAAUGAUAAGUCAUUGUUCUUGGGCAUAUCGUCAUUACUACUUCCAGUGAUCAACGAUGAAGAUGAAGAUGAAAAUUGUGCGAGUUCAAGAUUACCAUUUAUCAUUACUUGGGAUAUUACUUCAACAUAGAUGGGGUUAUAAUUUACUCCCACGAACAUCAACUCAACUUUAUGAUUGGAGUGUCUCACCGUGACUCAGACAAAUUCUGAUUCAACCUCCUUCACCAAUGGAUUUUGAUUAGUUAUUUUGUGAUCAAGCAACUUAAUUAAACUCAGUUUGUUAGUCUAAUUUUAGUUUUACUGUGACCACUAUUCAAGGUAAGCGAAAGUUACAGAUGUGGCAAAAUCAAUAAUUAAAUUCAUAAAAUGUUAAAAAAUAAAACUUAUAAAUGUUGCAUGACUACUUACUAAUAAAUAAAUAAGUUAGAAUGUAGUUAUUUAAUUUUACACCAUAUUAUAUAUUAUUCGAUAAUAAUAUAAAAUAAAAAUAAUUAAAAAAUAAAUAAUUGAAUAAACAAAUAUGGCUUUCUAAACAGUAAAAAUUCUAGAGUUAAAAUUUAUAUUAUUAUUUUAUUUUUUAAAAUUGACAUUUUUCUAUUGUCUUACAUGUAUAAAGAUUUUGAGAGUUGAGAAGAAUAUAUUUAAUGAAGCUUGAUAACAUUUGAUGGGAUAGCAAGUAAGGGUAAAUAAGAUAUUUUUAUUUGUUAUUUAUUUGAAUUAUAUCUAUUUUGUUCAAGUUAAAAUACUAAAUAUAAAUUGGAGGUAGACAUUUUAACAGAUCAUCUAAGCUCUCAAAUCUGAAAUUUUGUGUAGAUUUAAAUUCAUAAUUUUAGUUAAUUUUCAUACAUUCAUAUAAACAAAUUUAUGAGAUUUUUCUUUUCAGCAUGUUAUAUUUUGAAACUUUCAAUGUAUUAUUCUAGCUUUAUUUAAACAAUUAAUUUAUUUAAAAUUUAUUUAAUUUUGAAUUUGAUCAGUAGUAAAAUUAUUUUUAUAUCAAAUUUUUUUAUUUAAAUAGUUCGUGGAUUGGACAAAAUUAAAAAUUUUUAAUCCACAAAAUGGUGGAUUAGAUAUGAAUUAGGUUAAAUCCACAUUCGAUCUGCAGUGGUAUGAAUUUGAUUUGGAUUGAAUUUCAUCAAUUCAUGGAUUAGAUUGGAUUGAAAAUUUAUUAUCCGUAAAAUCAUGGAUCGAAUAUGGACUAAUGUCCAAUCAGCAAAAUCCGAUCCCCGAACACGCCUCUAUCAAAAUUUUCAAGAAUAUGUUUUAUCUUACAAAUUUUUUUUAAAGUCAUAGUCUAAUGGCAGCCCAAUUUUAUAAAGUCACACACAACCAUUCUUAUUAAAUUAGCAAGAUCAAACACUGCACUGGAUCUUGAACAGAUCAACACAAGUUGCACAACUUGCGAUUGAAUUCGGCCAGAAACAAUCAACUCUUUAGCAAGAACAAUUAAUCAGAGUCAAGAAACAAGUUUAAUGAAUAUAAACCUAUAAUUGAAACAAACAUAGCCAAGAAAAAAAUACAGAUUUUACACGGUUCAGUUGUACCCAGGAUGGCACAACCUACACCACGAGAGAAGCUUUCUGGUGAGAUUUUAUUGAUGAUCAAAGAAGAAUCUUUUGACAAAGCUAAUAAUAGAGAUUUCAGAGAAUAAGCUAUGACCCUCUCUCCCUCUUCAAUCUCUCUUUAUUUUGUUCCCAUUGAUGACCCCAAUCUGCUUAGUUAGCCAGCUUUAUAGCUGCAUCAGUAACAAACCAGCAAACCCAGAUUGAGCAGAUUGACGACACGUGGAUAACGGCUUUAACGAACCUGGUUAAGAACUGCUCACAUGUUCGUCACGCGUAGGGAUGGCAAAUAUCCAAUUAUGGAUGGAUAAUAUCCAUCCAAACACAAAUCCAUAAUUAUCCAUAAUAGAUAUAUCCAUAUCCAUAUCUAGUAUUUAAUAUUGGACAUGGAUAUGGAUUUUAUCCAUAUAACUAUGGAGAUCCAUGGAUAUCCAUGGAUAUUUUAUUUUUAUUAUAUAAAAAUAAUAAUAUAAAAUAGUUAAAAUAUCCAUAUCCAUAUAACUAAUAAUAUAUAUAUAUAUAUAAUAAAAUGGCGGUCCGGUAGUCGGUGGCGGCGGUCCGGCAACUUUCCGGCAAAUUCCGGCGAAAUUCCGGCGACGGUCCGCGCGAUGUCCGACGGUGGUCCGGCAACUUUCCAGUGAAUUUCGGCGGAGGUCCGGCGACAUUCCGGCGUGGUCCGGUGGUGGUCCGGCGACUUUCCGGUGGAUGUCCAUUUAUAAUAUUAAAUUAAUAAAAUAAAAUAAUAAUUAUUAAUAGUAUUAAAUAAGUUAAAAAAUUAAAGGAUAAUUUUGAAAACUUUAGUUUUUAAUAUAAGAGGAAUUUAAAAUUUUCACUAGUUAAUAUAAUAUUUUUAUAAUUGUUUGUUUAUUAUAUUUUUUAUUUUUUAUUUUAUAAAAUUAAAAAUUUUUUAAACUUGUGUUGGGUUAAACGGAUAUUCAUUGGGUAAAAAUAAUUAUCUAUAUCCAUCCAUAUCCAUCUGGAUAUAAUUUUAAAAUAUCCAUUUCAAAAUCCAAAAAUUUUUGGAUGGAUAUUAUCCGAUCUAAUUGGAUAGAUAUUGUGGAUAUCCAUUAUGGAGCGAUCCAAUUGCCAUCCCUAGUCACGCGUGCUGCUUAAAUGAUGGCCAAAACGACUUCAAACAAAUGUCGUUUUGAGGCUUAUGAAUUACAAGUGAUAACACGAGCUUGUCUCAUGACUUUUAAAUGCAACAGCGUGCCCAAAACGCCGUCGUUUUACUCUGUUGAGUUUGAUUCAUUACUAAGCUUUACGACUGGCACUGGAGAAGAUGAUAAUUUAAUUUACAUGGACAGUUUUUAUAUCACUUUUACAACAUCCUAUGCAAUUGUAAUAUUGGGAAUUAUUGAUGUUUUAUUCUGUGAAUCCUCAUUGGCAAAAACUAGUGGUUUUAUCUUUGUUGAAAUGUAAAUGACCUCUCGUUACUAUUUUAUUAUAAACAUAUAGUUUCGUAAGUGAAACUACAUGUUUAUAAUAAAAUUAACAUAUAGUUUCGUUACAUUUCUGCCUCAUUAAGAUUCUCAAAUACCAGUCAGGUUUGCUUAAGAAAUAAAAUUUUUCCAUUAAAAUUGCAGUAGUAUUUCCAAGCAUAUCGCAUUUUCUAUGAUUUUUCAUAAAUUAAUUAAUCUGCGGUGCCAAUAUCAGAUUUAGUUUUUCAAACUAAAUAAUCAAGAAAGCAAACAUACAAAUAUACAGUUUAGAGGGGUAAACUAGGUAGGUGGUUUAGAUUUUAGAACUAAGCCAGCUACCUCACUAAAUUCCGAUUCGUACAGUGAACUGCAAGAAAUUGAGAAAACAAUGAAUUUAUAAUUUAAUAGAAUCAUAAGAAAACAAUGUAGUCAUUGCUCCAUAUAAGAUGAUGAUUUCGGAGAGGCACAUUGUUUUCAAGUUAAUUUGAUCCGUUUAUAAGAGAUGAAGUGGAAUCAAGUUGAAAGUUUAAAUAACAAAUCCUUGUUCUUGAGUUUUACGACGUCGUUACUCCUUCAAGUGGCAGAUUAUGCAAGUGAAUGCAGAAACACAAUGCAUCAUCCGCGGGGAUGAUACAUCAAAAGGCGGGAUUUGUUUAUGCCUGCAGAUUAGCAAUUUCACUCAUAUAGAAAAUUAAUUUUUUAUAUAUACUAAUCAACACUAAAUUGAUUAUGUGUUGUAUGUUUAUAUGCUAAUCAACACGAAAUUAUAUUGAAUUAUUAACAUUCAUAUUCCUAAUAAAAAUUAUUUUCCAUCAGUAUUCAAAAUUUUCACUUAUGGAAAAUGCGUUUUAUGUGAAUACUAGUUAUUGUGUAAAUUUGAAUGAUAGCGAAAAAUAAACCUAUUUGAAAACUGUAAGGGUGUGUUGGGAUAUUUUACAACUGUCGGAAUCUGGUAGGAUAUUGCACCAUUUGCCCAAUAUUUUUAGACGUACUCUAACCGGUAUUCAAGAUAAGUAAAAGUUACAAGCGUGGCAAAAUAAAAAAAUAAAAUUUGUAAUUUGUAAACGAAUUUUCCUGACAUGUAUAGUAGAUGAAGUUGUUGAUCCUUUCUUUGGAUUAUUUCAGCUCUGGUUGUUGGUCACCGAUGAGCCGAAGUCUUAUUUUAAUUUUAUUUAAACUCAUCAUAAGAUUCGUGGAGCACCUAACUAACUUAACUGACUGUGCAGAGCAUCUCAACAUGGCAUAUUUAACCAUCAUUCAAGUGAUGGGUUUAAUAAGACUGCUUUUGUUCUAUCAACUAUCAAGUUCCUCUGCCUCUAAGCAGAAUUACUAUUGAAGGGCCAAAAGGAAAAUGAAAACGUGUGAGCUCCAACAACCACCCCACAAAUUCAAUGACGAUGCUCGGAGAGGGUUAGGUUGGGCCUCUGAGAAAAAAAAAUUAUUUAGUUAAAAAGUUACCCUUAUUGAAACCUGUAUAAAAAUUUUAUAUUAAUUAGUUAUGUUGCCUCUUCAACUAUGAUCAAAUUUUUAUCCGAGCUCAUCAUUUAAUGAGUAAACAUGUAUUUUAAUGAUCUCAAUUAAUAUUUAGAACAAAUAUUUUAAGAAGUAAAGCUCAUUAUAUCUUCCAUUAUUAUGUAUUUCUUUAAUUUCUUAUUUACAUAAUUAUAUUGUACAUUAAAAAUGUAUUGAAUUUGAAGAAAAAAAAAUUCAACUCACUCAAAAAAAAAAAAAAAUGCUGGUAGCUUCGUAAUAAUUACUGUAUUGACUGCACCAGAUAAAGUUUUGUAAAAUAAUAAGUUCUCAUUAGUGGUUUUUAAUUUUUUUAAUUUUUUUUUCCGGCACACCUGAUCAAGAAUUCUAUUUUGUUAACUAAUCAAUUGCAAAGCAUAAGUGUUGAACGGCAAAAAAAUUUAAAAAAACACUUAAAACGUGGGGAAAUGAGAAAUAUAGAAAGAAAGGAAGAAAGUUGAGACAUGAAACUGAUCUGCAGUGAAAUUGAUAAUCAUGUUUCUAUUUCGUUAACUAAUCAAACGGAAAACUGAAACUGUAAACAAACAUUAACACGUGUGGACUCUGCUAGCUGCCCUACAAGUCUACAAUAGUAAUUGAGUACCUUUGAUUCAUCCUUCUAUGAAUUUCUAGCUGUAUUGACCCCAACUGCUAAAGUUUUGUAAAAAAUAAAAAUAAAAAUAAAAAAACUGGAAUUUCAACAAAAUUCAAAACGUGUGAAAUUCAAAAAUGGACUUUGGCCAUGUGGAACAAAAUGUAAAUUAAGGAAAAAGUAUAAAUCUCAAUUGCUUAGUAUGGUUAGGAUUUUGUGAGCAUCACUAAAAAGUGAAAACUAUGAAUGAUAGAGGUGAUGUUUGCAACAUGAAUAAAUGAUGAACUGAAUCAAUUGAUGAUCGUAAUUACAUAAUGAACAAAAUUUACAAAAUCAACAAAAGUUAAUAAAAAUUUAUUUAAAUAAUAAAAAAUCAAUAAAAACUUAUUAUUUAACGACGCUCUAACCAAGGAGUAUCAUAAUCAUAAUCUUCUUUUAAGAAUUAUAACCUAUUUCAAAUAGCACCGCAAUAUAAUUCUAGAUAUUUAAAAGAAAAACAUUAUCCACCUGGAAUGACUUGAAGUCUAAAGAAAAAGAGAGAAUGGCUCCCCGCAAUUUUCUUGUCUUCGGUAUAUUUUCUUUUUUAAAAUCUUUUGCCGCAUACAUAAUCUACCCUUGUUUAUUAUCUCCACUUUGAUCUGUUCAAGUCCAUUUUUUUCAAAUCUUAUUUUAAAUAAUAAAUUGAAUAAAAGUAUAUUUUUGUAAUUAAUUAGUAUUUGAGAGAGGGGAGGGGGGGGGGGGGCAUAUUUUUUGCACUCAGCUAUUAUCAAACAGUUCCUUAACCUAUUUCUCAGUUUAUUUGCUAUCUUUGUGGAUCUCAUGGGCGUGGCAGAAUUUAAUAAUUUUAUUCGUCUGAAGAAUAAGAUAUUGGCUUCAAUAAAUUUAAACCAACUUUUAUUUACUCUAUCAAUUAAUUAAUGCCAUUUUGUUUUAGAUUAGAUUCUUUUAAUGGCUUAGGUACAUACACAGUACCAGAUCCGGAUCCCGGAAAUGGUGCUCUGAAGGAAUGGAGGGAGAAGAAAAGAUUUACAACUGAGGAUUGAGAUCUGGUCUCGUUGCCUCAGAGGAAUGUACAGAUUUUAUGGCAGAUCUGAUAAAAACCAGUCUGCAAACAUGCUUUGAAGAAAGAAUUAGGCGGUUUCUGUAAACAAUUCAAUUAUGACCCCUUUAAAACUUCUACUUCCAAAGAUUGUAAUGGUGAGUGUUCUAAACCUCGCAAAAACAUUACAAAUCUAGAAAUUUUAGGAAACCCUUUCGUAAUUUUAGAGAACUUCCUUAUAAGAAACCUUCGAGGCCUUAUAAGAAACCCAAGUUCCCUAAAAAAGAGUUCAAAGCCAAACCAAAAAACUCCUUUCACUCCUUUCAAUUACAAAGAAGCUAUAUGUCACAGAUGUGGCAUGAAAGGUCAUACUGCAAAGUACUGCAGAAUGAACAAAAAGCUUCAUGAGCAGUUCGUCAUAAGGGAUUCGGUUAUCAUACAGGGUUUUAAUGGAAUUUCUAACCUUCUCUCCAAGGAGAGUUGGUAAUCCUGCAAGGAAUUUUUCUUUCCAAGUUGUAUGAUUAGCAUCAUCCCUAAGGAAAAGACGAGUGAAGAAAGUGGUUUUAUAGCUUUGGAAUUCACUAAGUUUCCUACAUCUUAAAUUAUGUAGUAACUCAGCGUUUUUAUCACGAAGAUGAGAAGGAUCACCAAUUAAAUGGAGGGAAAUUGUCAAAAUUAGAGUAGCAACGGCAUCCUGGAUUGGAUUGUUGAACUCAUCAAGAAUAGGGGCUCCAUUUUCAUCGACUUGUAUAGAAUUUAGAAUGUCUAGUUGUUGCCGAUUAGUGAGAAGAUGAUCCCACCAACCUUUCAAUUGACCAGUAAAACCGGCAAUGAGGAUUUCUGAUAUGGCACGAUCAGAAGUUCCUGCUUGGGUUUUAUAGGCAUUGGCUGCCAUUGUCAUUUGUUGCAACAAUCCUAGAAUAUUAUACUCGGACAUACCAUCAAUAUUCCACUCAUAGACUGAGGAUGCAUUAUAUCGAGAUUGAUUUAAUGCACUUGGUCUAUUAUCUAUUGCUAGAUCUGGUGGAGUCUUGACAGUGGGAAGGGCUAUUUACAAAAGGAUUUAAAUUUUCAAAGAAUUGAAAGUCAAUUACAAAGUGAUUUUGUUCAAAGAAAAAUCUCUGAUUUCAAAAACCUUAUUGAAAACGAAAUCUGUGCUGAUUUACCAUCUGCUUUUUGGAAUCGAAAACAGCAUUUAGUGGAUUUGCCAUAUGAAAGUUCUUUUGAUGAAAAACAGUAAGAUUCCACUCAGGGAUUUUCUUUCUAACAGUAAUAGGGUUUGACUCUUUGAAUGGAUAAGAGAUGUUGUUCUCCGAAGAAUAUAUUUCGAACCAAUCAAAAAACAAUAUAUGAAUUUUAUGAAAAUUCACAAAUUCAUAAUAAGUUUGUUGGAUUUCUUUUCUUUGAUUUAAAAAAUGUUUGAAGAACCAAAUUCUUUUUUCUUUGUUCAAAUCUGAAUAAAAAUCAUUAUGAAGAAAUGCUUUAUCCAAUUCAAAAUCUUUUUCGAUGACAUUAAUGACAUUUUCUGUAACAGCAGAAAAUGUAGGAGAUGUUGGAGGAGAAGGUUCCUUCUCUUCCUGACUUUGUACCUGUUGACUACUAGUGUAGAUCGGAUGAGGAACACUAGUGGUGUAAUCAACUGAAUGAAUGGAGGUGCUAGGUAAAUCUGAAGUAGAAAACCUAGGCUGACACUUUGUAUUUUGGAAUGGAUGAUUUAUAACAGAAGGUACUUUUGUAAAUUUCCUUUCUAGUGAAGGAAUGCUUGAGCACGACUCUUUAUCAGAAAAUCUGUGAGAGGUAGACCUUCUGAAUGAUAGUUUGACUUUACCAUCGGAAUACUGAGUCACAUUUUGCAACUCUGUAUUGGGCUCAAGUUGUUUCGGAGUCACCUGUGGGGCAGCUCCUUUAAGGAUCCAUUCUUCUGGAAGAUUAACAUCUUUCCAUUGGAUCGGUUUUGGAAUGACAGUGUUUGCUUUGGACAAGUCAGUCUGCAAGAGAAGAGUUUCAUCUCUUUUUGACUGGAAUUUAUGUUGCGUACAAAACGCAGAGACCAUAGCUUUAUAUGAAAUCUUGAAAAUCAAAGCAACUGGGAUGGACCCUUUAACCAUUUGGUAAUUAUGGGUUUUGAUUUGUAAAAUCAUGCUUUUUAAAAUGUUUUUGUCUUUAAGAGAAGAAAUUCUUUUCUUUUAAUUUCUUUAAAGAUUUUUCUGAAAAUAAAUAAAUUGUUUCAAAAGGCUCUGAAAGAGUGGUAUCACGUUCUUCAGUUUUUAUAAUAUAAUCACUUUUUAAAAGAUCAAGCAUUUUUGUUUUGUAAAUCUUUUCUUUGGAAAUUUUUGGAAGUUCCCAACAAUCAAUUGCUUUAUCAAAGUUCUCAAUAAUGAAUUCUUCUGAACUCACAACAUGCUUUGAAUCACUAGUCUUCCCGGAAGAAGAGCUAGAAAAGGACGAUGUUCUACCGAGUAGAGGAUCCAUGUCCAAGACCUUAUGGUCUAUUUUUGGUUUGGUCAGAAUGGCUACAGGUAUGGAUUUACAGCCCUCAGCGGAUAGCUAGAUUGUGGGGUAUCAGGGGCUAUUUGAACUUUGCUAGAUGAGGAAGAAGCAGCUUCUAUCCGAUCUAGUUGUUCUCUAAUGGCUUUAGCAAAAUCUGAUUUUGACUCUUGGACAAGCUUUUGGCUAGUUUUCGAAACCUGAAAAGGUUUGAAAAUAGGUUCCUUAAGCUUUUUAUCAGAAUCCGAUUUUGUUUGAACAGUAGUUGAUGAAACAGUAAUGGUUGACUUUUGGAAUUGGUUUUCUAUCCUAGUCAACUGCUUUCCGAUUGUAUUUAAGUUAGUAUUACAGAAAUUGUUCUGUUGGAUAAUACUACUUAAAUUUGCCUCGGAAUCAUUUGGUUUUGGAAUUUUGUAAGGUGAUGCUCUAAUUUCGACAGGAGGUUCACCAUGAUCUAUGGUUAUACUCCUAAGAGGUGGAUGCUCAGACUCGAUGGAUCAUUCAUUUUUAAAGAAAAUCAAUGUUUUGACUAAAGACUAAGAGACUUUUCUUGAACUUGUAAAACAUAUUUCUGAUCCAAAUCUUCAAAAAGAAUAUCUUGAUAAACUUUUGAAAACUUUGGAUUUUAAUAAAGCCGAGACUUCUAAAGUCCCAAUUGUUAAAAAGAAUUCUUAUGAUCUUACCCAGAUUUUAGAUAAAAAGAAAACAAAGAAGUCAAUGCCCACGAUUCAAGAUCUUCAAAAAGAAAUCAAAGAGAUUAAACUUGAGAUUAAGGAUUUGAAAGAAAAACAGAAAACUGAUUCUGAAACUAUCCAACUCCUUUUACAAAAGCAUUUGGAUAAUGAUUCUGAUAAAGAUGCCGAUUCUGAUGGUGAUCAUAAUGACCAAAAUGUUGAUAAUAUUGAAUCUAUACCAAAUGAUUUUUUGUUUGUUUUAAAACAAAUCACCACCAGGAAGUAUUUAAUUAAAAUCUCUUUAAUUUUUUCCAAAGAUUUUGCUAUCGACGCCAUUGCCCUUUUUGACACUGGUGCUGAUUUAAAUUGUAUAAGAGAGGACAUUGUCCCCAAAAGAUUUCAUGAAAAGACAAAAGAAAGCCUUCUGUUCAAACACCAGUCACUAUCAAUAAAAUGAGCUGUGAUCACCAUGUAGCUCAUGUUUUGAACAGAAGUCCAUAAAUCAGUGGUAAGAGACACUCGCUGUUUGUUGUUGCAAAUCAAACUCUUCAACAUUAUCUUUUCUUCCAAAAAUAAAUCCAUAACAUCCCUACCAACAGUUCUCCGAGAUGGCAUAACAAACUGUGGAAUGGCUACACUACAGAAAUGCCUGAACCCUUUGUUAUCCACAAAACUAAGUGGCAACUCACCCAUAAUGAUCAUUUUGGUGACUGCCCUUCUACAAGCGUCUUGACUCCACCCUUUAGCCAAAACCAUAUUACUUGCAUUUCCUUCCCCACCCUCAGUUGUCAAGUUUUGUUGACUUCCCUCUUGUUGUUCCCGGAAUGUCUUGUAUGCAAGGCAAGCCAGUAUAUGAUUUCUCAUAUUUGUAAUCCCAUCACGCCUUGAAUGACAUUGAUAUUGUCUACCACAAUAGUUGCACUUGCAUUUGUUUGGAUUGUCCUCGAGCAAAGUAAAAUGAUUCCACGUCGCAGAUCUUUUCUUCAUCGCUGGUCUUUUCCGCUUUGCCUUUUGAGUUCCUUCCAUUUGAACACUUUGAUUGUCAUCAUCACUUAUUGAAUUCGAUCUUGAGUGUCCAGACAUCUAAACAUACAAAUAAAUAAUUAUUAAUCAUUAAUUCAUAAAUUAAAACACAAAAAGACUAUUAAAAAAAUCUACUUAAUAGUUAGUAUUACAAAUUGAUUCAAAUAAUUGUUAAUUUAAUUUUAUGAAACUUUUUGAAAUCGAUAUUUCCAAUUUUCCACCAUAAUGUUUAUAUAUGAUCAAGAAUUCAAGAUGCAUAUGCCCACAUUAUAUGUAGUUAACCACUUAAUAUUUACUUAUUGGUUAAUGGUUAUCAUGCAAUUAAUUAAAUUGAUUAAUUAUUUAUUGAAGUUGAAACUUAAAACUACUGCAAUUAAAUUGGUUAAUGGUUAAUUUUUUGUUGAAGUUGAAACUAUUCUACAAAUACACAUAUCAUAUGACAUAUACAAUUAUAAUUUAUAUUGUAACAUAAUAUUUAAUUUUAAUUUUUAAUCUAACAUUAUACUAUUCAUACAAAAAAUCAAUUAUUAAUUAAUAACAGAAAAUUAAUGCCAGAUUAUUUUCAUUUUAUUGAUAAAAUUUAACAAUAUAUAAUUAAAAAUUUAACAUACAAAAUUACAAUUAACAUUUCUCAUAUAACAUAUAACAAAUAAAAAUUAUAAUUAAUCAUUAAUGCAUAUAUAAUUAUAUAAUAUAUACCAUCUCUUAAAUAACUUUAAAAGCCGGAUUUGCUGUCUUGCACUCUUGCUUUGCUUCUUAUUCGGGCUUCAGCCUUCAAGCCUUCAAGUUCCAAUUCCAAACUUCCAAAUUUCCAAUUCCAAAACAGAGAGUGAAGAGAGUCAGAGAGACAGAGACCUUUUGAGACUGGAGGCUGGAUCCGUGACCCGUGAGGCGUGACCGUGAAUGGGUGUGGUGGCCGGAUGUCAACACUCAACAGCCGUGACCCGUGGAUGCCAAUGGUGGAGACUCGAGUAGAUCGGAGGUAGCUUGCUGGGUGGAUCUUCAAUCGGACUGAGUUAUGGUGGAGUGGAGGAUUCAAGGCGUGGAUCCGGCGCUUGGUUGCAGCAGAUCUGUAGAUCGGGUCACGAUCUUCGCGAAUCAGCUUCGGCUUCGGUUGGGGUCGUUCUCGGAAGUGGUUGCUGGCUGCGUGUGGUGGCCGGUUGAAGCUAGCUCCGUGAACUGUGCGUGUGUGUUUGCUGCGCGUGGUGAGUGACGAAGGCCGUGACUCCGUGAGGCGUGAAUGAGCGUGGGACAGUGGGUUGGCUGCUGCCUGCUUGUGCUUGACGGCUGCUGGUUUCAGUGAUUUUUGUGUGACACUGUGACAGUGAGGGUUUGUGAAUUGUGAUAGUGAUACCGUGAGUGAGGGUUUGUGACUGUGAGUUGUUACUUGUUACUUUGCUUAAUUGCUUUGCUUGUGUUGUUUUCUUGGUGAAUUAUUGAAUUGUUUUGUAACUUUUGUUGCGGUGAAUACUGAAUAGUUUGGAGUGAAUUGACUGAAUUCCUGAAUUGUUUUGUUGCGGUGAAUACUUUGUGAAAUGUGAAUUAUUGAAUUGAAUUGUGAAUUACUGUAAAUCCGUGAGUCUGUACUCUGUACUGUGAUCUGUAUUUUGUUUCUGUGAGAGUGUGAGUUACUGAUUCAAUGCAUGUACUCGUGUGAGAUGUGAAUGUGCCAUGUGUGUGUCUGUGUGAUAUUGUAAGUGUAAAUCUGUAAUUUUUGCCCACUUUUUUUUUUUGUCUCAACCCGAUCGGGUUUUCGGAUCGGAUCGGGUGAAACCCGAUCCGAUCAUGAUCCGAUCGGGUUGAGACAAUUUCACCCGAUCGGGUUUUGUUGACCACCCGAUCCGAUCCGAAUCCGAAAUUUUUCGGAUCGGGUCGGGUCGGAUAAUUUGCCCACCCCUACUUCUAGUUCUAGAUGAAAUUGAGAGAGAGAGAGAGAGAGUGUGAGAGAAACUCUGAAAAGCUUCAAGAAUAAUAAAGCCUAUGUACAGGCUGCUGUUCAUUUAUUUGUACAUAAGCAGGGGAAAAGCCUAUGUAUAGACUGCUUCAAGUGAGGAAACUACACCUAACUACCCAGCAGGUAUAAUGAAGAAGACAUUGACGGAGGUUGGUAGCAGCAACUUUAAUUGUUCAAAGCAAACACGUACCUUUCGUUUCUCAUAAAACCUUGUGAGGUAAUGCUUUAGAUGACUGGCAUGCAAUAUUGUCAAUGACAAAAUUUAAUGUUGCAUCCUGCUGAUAUUAGGUUUAUUAAUAGUUGCAGCCUUAGGCAGGCAUAAUUUGGUCACGGAAACAAUAUAUCCAUCCAUUUUCAAAGGAUAGUAACUGUAACAAUAAAUCAAUUAAUAUAAUUUUUAUAAUUGGGAUAGCAUUGAGAAAGUCAAAAUUCAUUGUCCAGAUUUAGAUUUAAACUCGCCAUAGAAAGUUUUUACUUUCAUUCAAUAUCACAACUACAUUUGGGGACCACAAGACAGUCAAUUUUGAACAGAGUUAUAGUUAAUGAGUAAUUUAAAUUCAAACGCAUGAAACGUGAGGAUUUAAUUAUUGAUUUUUUAGUUUUAGUGUCAUUGAAGAUCAUAGAGGGAAAACGAUCGGUAAAAAGAUUGUAGCUUGUUUACAAGAUUGGGGGAUAGAGAGAUUGUUUGCAAUAACUGUUGAUAAUGCCAGUACAAAUGAUGUUGCUGUUAAUUAUGUGACUAUGCAAUUACUUGCUUGGAGGAAUGAUGAUGCAAUUGUAUUGGCGGGUCAGUAUAUGCAUGUGCGUUGUUGUGCACAUAUUUUGAACUUGAUUGUUGUUUCGGGGUUGAAUGAAUUGCAUGCUAGUGUUGCCGCCAUCCGGAAUGCUGUGAAGUAUGUGAGAUCCUAGCGGCAGCUAUGGUGGUACAAGUUAUUCUCCUUAUUUUACAACUGAUGUUGGUUUGCCGGAGGGUCCUAGUGGUGAUGGUGAUGACAUUUUCCGAGUUUCUCGCCCUUUCUUUGGGUAUGCUCAGAAAGUGUUUGUUCAGAAUGAGGGCAAGAGAGUAGUAUCUGAGGUGGAACGAUAUUUGAGUGACCCAGUUGAAGAUCCGAGCAAUCUUAAGCUCAAUGUUUUGCUUUGGUAGAAGGUUAAUGGAUCGAAGUAUCCGAUAUUAGAGAAAAUUGCAAGGGAUGUCCUCGUUGUUCCUGUUUCCACAAUGGCAUCUGAAUCUGCCUUUAGCACAGGGCGUCGCGUCAUUGACGAAUAUCGGAGUUCUUUGACCCCUUGUAUGGUUGAGGCAUUGAUAUGUACCGAAAAUUGGUUACAAGCUAAACUUUUUGCUAAUCUUGUCUACAACCUUCAGGAAGAUAUUAAAGAGCAGAUAUUCCAUAUGGAGCUACAAGAAGGUAAUAUUUUUCUCAUACUUUAUAAAGUUAAGAUGUAUUAUAACUUUAUAAAUAGCAUCUACAUGUACUUAAGUUACUUACUAAUUUCAUUUUUUUUUUGACAUUUUAAAGAGUUUGUAAGAUCACAAGCUUCAACGGUGGAAACAGUGAGCGUUGAUAUGGGUGUUAUGGAUAUUUGAAAGGUAAUUCUUAAUAUAUAUUAUUAUUUAUAAUUUCAUAUUAUAUGUUUAGGUUGUAAUUUACACUAUAAUAAUAGACAAUAGUUGUUAUAGUUUUAAUUUUUAAGUUUUAAUUCAAAUUGUAAUAUUAUAAUUGUUUUAUUUAUUUUAGACACAUUGAAAUUGAUGGAAUGGUAUUACUUGGGCAUAUUUUUUCAAUUUUUCCCUAGGGGAUAUAUGCUUCAAUUCUUCAACUUGGAGUAGAAGAAAUUGAAGUUAAAAGUUGUCAAAGUGCUUGCGAGGAAUGGUGGAGCCGUGGAGGAAGUUGAUCUAGAUUUACAUUUAAACUUUGUUGUGUUUUGGAUUUUGGAACUUUGUCAUUUGUGUUUUGGAAAAUGGAAACUAUUUAAUUAUGUUUAAUUUUGUGUUCUAAAGAUUAAUGUUUAGAUUUUAGAAUUGGAUAUUGCGCUUUGGAUGGAGACUAUUAAAUUUAAACUUUGUGUUAAUUUUAAUUUUAUGCUUUGUGUUAAUUUUUAAUUUUGAAUCAUUUGAAUUUAAUUCUAGAGUAGUUUUCUUUUUUUGUUGGUUGAAAUGAAUGGAUGGAUAAAUGAGGGAGGACAAGGAAGGUGGGAGAGAAAUGUCUUAGUUAGCAAGGUGACAAUAGUGGAAAAGAAACCAAUUGAAAAAUUUUGAGAAAAAAAGAAGAUUAGAAUCCAGCUUAGAUUAUUUGGAAUUUUGGUUAGAAUCCGUGCAUAUAUUAUUUGGAAUUUUGGAUACCAUGCAUAUAUUAUUUGGAAUUUUGGUUAUAGGAUGCACAUGAUAGUUCAACUUUUUUCAUUAUUAAAUGGCAGAGGUAUGAGUAUUUGUUAUAGCUUAAAGCAUUGAUGACAUACUCCAUUGAAGAUUUUUCUUUGUAUUGACAAGUUGGGUUGGUUUUAAUAGUCUGCAAGUGCACAAAUUCUGUUAUUGCCAGAAUGUGAGUAUUUCUUUGUAUUGACAAAUUCUGCAAGUGCACAAGCCACAAAUGCUUGUUUUACAAAUGACAUGCACGUUCAUGUUGUUAUUGCCACUUUGCCAGAAUGAAAAUGAAUCAAUCCCUUACGUUUGCUGUGUUUGUCUUUUGGAUUAGAUAAAUGUUGUCAAAGUUUGGUUAAUUAUUAUAACUAAGUAAUGAAUCAAUCCCUUGUUUUAUAAAUGUUGGGCAAUAAUGCAAAUCUUAUGUCCGUCUCUAUAAAUUUUUUUAUACAUGUUGUCAAAUUUUGGUUUCUUUUAAACGGUUGUACUAUGCCUGUAUCUCCCGAGGUCCCCAUGGCAAAAAGAAUAAAAAAAAGAAGAAAAAAUACAAUAAAAUUAUAAUAAAUUAAUUUCCUUAGUUAGAAUGUGACUUUCCAGCAUCAAAACCCCUUAGGAAAAAAUACAAUAAAAUUAUAAUAAAUUAAUUUCCUAAUUUCACCUCCCCAAUUGCCAAAUUAAUUAUAACCCGAAUUGACCCGAAUUGAUCCGAAUAACCCGAAUUUAAUCCGAACCCGAACUAAUCCGAAUCCGAUCCGAUUACACCCGACCCGAAUUAACCCGAAUUCAUCCGAAUAACCCGAAUUUAAUCCGAACCCGAAUUAACCCGAAUCUGAUCCGAUCCGAACUCCACCCGACUUUUUAACCCGAUCCGAUCCGAUCCGAAUUUAAUUCGGAUCGGAUCGGAUCGGGUUUUAAGUUCGGGUGGAGUUCGGAUCGAUUUUUAUCCAACCCGACUAACCCGAAACCCGAUCGGGUUGAUCCGAACCCGACCCGAACCCGAUUUUGCCCACCCCUAUCUAGAAGUCCCUCCGAAAGCAUCACCCAAGACAGUUUGUCAUCUUUUAUACUCUGUUUUAACAGUAAUUUGAACCGUCUUCAGAGUUAUCGUCAACAAACUCAUUCAUAAUUUGUCCAAUCUUACGGACGAUAUCAUAUGCUUAACUCGACACAAUCUAGAUUCAACCUCCUCCUAUCCAACAACGGAUUUCGAUUUGAGUUACUUUGUGCUCAAGCAAAUUCACAUCAUAGUUUUAAUUCUUUUGAUAUGAAUUCAUCACAUUACAUAUAUCAGAUUAAGUGUAACAAAAUUUUUAAUUUACUACGAAAAGAAUAUGCGCUAAAAAUUAUUUCAAGACUAUUUGAUUACCAAAAGCUGCUGUCAGAGUGCACUGAAAGUUUCUGUAGGAUACUUUGCGGUUGUUUAUUAUGUUAUGAUGGGCAUAUAAUUCUCAAAUUUUGACUCCUCUUAGCGAAAAAUAUAUCAAAGUUUAGAUUGAGUGCAGCAACUCCACAGGCCGAGUGGUACAACUACACCUUGGUCUUACUAGGAAUAUCGAUCUGGGAGAGUGGUAUCUGAAUGCUUCUCUAUUUACUUCCUUUCAACAACUUGGUAACAAAAUAGCCGGCUGCAUGCGUUGAGAAUGAAAGUCCUUCAUUUAAUUUAAUUUACUUAAUUUCUCCCUCCUAAUUAAUGUCUGUAACCAUUAGGAGGAACAAGGGAUUUUAUUAACUCAAAUAUAUGUAAUGGAGGAGCUCAUUCUUUGGUUUUACUAGCAGGUCUAGAAGCAGGUGUCAUCUAACAGCUGCUUUGAUAAUUUCCCACCCCUUCAUCUUUGAUGGAAAGAUGAAAUAAAAACAAAAUGGUGAAAAUGGUAUUGGUACCUGAGGCUAUGUAAUCUAAUUCAACAACUGCACCAUCAAAACGAUUACAUAAGUCCCAGAAGAAUCAAACAUUAGUUUGCAAAAUAUCAAUUGCUGGAGGUUAGAUUCUAACUUCCGCUCUUGGUUUUUAUGGGCAUGUUGUAUUGUACUUGCAUACGAAAAUCAUAUUUUAGUUUACUUACACCCAACGCUUGGAUUAAAGUUUCAGAUGGGGAAAAUUGAAGGAGACUAAAAUGACUCAAAAAAUAGUUGAAUGAGUGAGGGUUUUGUCUUCAUUUAAGGAGCUCUUUAUAAAUUUUAGGAUUUUUUUUCCCGAGAAAAUAUAUUUCAACUUAUUCUUUGCUUCUUUUCUGAAGGGACAAAUGCAACUGAAAGUGUAUUCUUGAAUUCUCCAGGAUAAGAGACAUACGUUUAAUUAGAUUCUCGAGCCUUCAAAACAAUAUAAAAUUUUAGAUUGAUAAAAUUUUAUAUAUCUGAGCAUGAUGGUGUUUGACAUGACUUAAAACUAUUUAAUUUACUCUCACGUACAAGAAUAUCUAGUUAUAUUGUAGCUCAGAGUUCGAGGUUAAUCCAUAGACAAAUGAUUUAAUUUCUUUAUUUAAGAUUAUCCCAUAAAUAAAAAUAAAAUUUAAAUAUAUGUAAUUUAAUUUGAAAAAAGUUAUGAAAUUAAAUUAUUUAGGGUCAUGGAUCCACUCUUAGUAAGUACAAUUUAAUAAAUUCUUUUUAUUUUUAUUUUAUUUCCCAAAAGAUUAAUUAUAUAAAUUAUAAUUAUUUUCCCAUUAAUUUUAUUAUGGAUUAAGUACUUAAUGUGCCAAAACUUAACUUGUUUACAAUAAGUCAAAAUACCAUUUUACCAUACUUUAUGCUAAGAUAUUAAGAAUUCAUGUGCCAAACUCCCAUGUUUGUCUACAAUAAAUCAAAAUUUCAAAACAUAAAAUAUGGAUCAAAUUAAAUAAAAAAUAAUUUAAUUUAUAUAAUUAAAAAUAGAAUUUGAUUAAAUCAUAUUUUUCUACUCAGAGUUUUACCUCACCCUAACUAUUAGUAUUUAGCUAAACAUAUUUGAAAUAAAUGAAAUUAUUAAAAUUGAAAAAUACAUAAUUAAAAAAUGGUAUUUGAAAAUUAGAAAUAAAACUAAUUUUAUUUAUUGAAAAUGUAUUACAAAGAAAGAUGAGAAUAAGAAUUUGAGGGGAAAGAAGAGAAGAAAAUUUGUGGAGAGGUGUGUGAAAUUAUAUUGUAAAGAUGUUACACAAACAAAUGAAUAAAAAAAAAACUAAAUGAAAAUUACACAAAUUAAAAAGAAAAUGAAAAUUAAAUAAAUAAGAUAAAUGUGCAAGAAAAAAAUGCGCAAUAAAAAUAAAUAAACUGAAAAGUAAUUAACUAAAAUUAAAAUAACUAAAUAGGCGGUAAACAAAGUAAAUGCCAAAAAUAAAAUAAGUGCGAAAAUUAAAUUACAUAAAUUAAAAGAAGAAAGAAAGAAAAAAAAUUAUCUCAAAGUGUAAACUCUUUUUCUUUUUCUUUUUCUUUUCAAAUUUUAAAUAUUACUAGUCAAUUAAGUGAUUAAUUCAAAUUAUUAGGCUUUAAUAGUAAUUUUUAAAAUCAAUAUUCAGUUUAUUGAGUCCAAAUAAGGUCCAAAGAAGUUCAAGUUGUUGGUCUAAAAUUGAGAAUUUUGGGAAAUAUUGGCAACGGACCUAUUCAAAAAGUUCUAUAAUUUUGUGGUCAAACUACAAUUAUGAGAAGAAUGAUCCAAAAAUUAGAAUUUUUGGGGUGAGUGAGAUUUAGAAAGAUUUUGUGGAUAUAACAUAAUUUAAGAAAGAAAAAGGAGGUAAAUGAAAAUUUACACAAAAAGUAAAAAAAGAAAAAAAAAAGAAAACAAAAUAAAUACCUCUCCCAGCAACGGCGGUAAAAACUUAACACGAAUUAAAAGUAUUUAAUUUACUCUAAAGUAUAAGAGUACCUAGUUAUAUUAUAUCGCGAGAAGUCUGAGAUCGAUCUACAGAAAAAUUAUUUAAUUAAUUUAUUUAAGUUUAUCUAAAAAAUAAAAAUAAAAUUAAAUACAUGCAAUUUAAUUUGAGAAAAAUUAUGAAAUUGAAGUAGUUAGGAUUAUGGAGCUCUUUAUAAAUUUUAGGAUUUUUUUCCUGAGAAAAUUUAUGCCACCUCAUUCUUUGCUUCUUUUUUGAAGGGACACAUGCAACCGAAAGUAUAUUCUUGAAUUCUCCAGGAUAAGAGACAUACGUUUACAUGCUGGAGCAUUUAAAACAAUGUCAAAUUUUAGAUUGCUGAAAUUUUAUAUCUCCGAGUAUGAUGGUGUUCCAAUUAUAAGCUCCAGGGUGCAACUUCACUGAGGUUUAGAAUGCCAUCCUUUAGAAUUGAGAAAUCUCCGUUUGCAUAAAUAUCUUUUGAAAAUACUGACAUCAGAUUUUGAAUUGGAGAACCUGAUUGGACUCAGCUUGCCUUGUAGUAAGGUUAAGCAAAUUUGGAAAAGAGAAAAGGUAUAAUGUAUUACUAUUACCAAAGUAUAUAUUUUUCUUUCUUUAAGUAUUUAUAAUGAAUAACUUUGAAAUUCAAUGAUGCUCAUUUAGUAUAGUUAUGUAUCUUUGGUUAUAGGAAGCUGUCAAGUUAAAAUCUAUAGACCUUCACCACCCCUCUAUCUCAAUAGGAUCCCAGAAAUACUAAAUCUUAAAAAAAUAAAUCUUUCAAAUUGUGAAAGCAUGCUUACGUUACCCCCGUAUAUCCACAAUUUCAACUAGCUGAGUAUGUUGUGUUUCAGGGAUGCAAAAUUCAUUUUGUUUCUCAUGAAAGGAUUGACUUGUCCGGAUGUAUUAGGGUUAAUAAACCAACUAAUCCCAUAAUUUGUUGAUGUAGGGUCCUAAAAAAUUAUUGCAGUAGAUUGUAGAUCAGUACACUAUUCGAAAAUGUAUUUGAUCCACACAGUGAAGUGGAUAUUGGACCAAUUUGAUGAUAAUGAAUUUCUUUCAAUCUCAAUCGUUUUUCCUUUUAGCAACAUGACUAGUCAUUGCGCAAAUUCAAACUCUGACAAUGAUUUCUCAAUCGGUUUCUAAGAUGAUGACCAUGCAUGUAUAUGUAUAUGCGUGUGUAUAUGUGUGUGUGUGUGUGUAGAGAGAGAGAGAGAGAUCACACGUGUGUGAUUUCCUUUUGCCAAUAGGAUAUGCAGAGAGCUUGAUCUUACCCAAUAGCGAAACAAACUUCCUAAUAAGUGAAGGUAUAGUAUAAAUACUUAUACUUUCAUGUUAUUUUUUUCAUCAGUAGCUUGAUUAUUUUAUAUGCGUCUUCGAUUUUAAUUUUCUUUCCCUAUAAUCGCUAUUAUCUUUGAACUGGUCAUGAUUUGCCUAUAAGAUUUCUCAUGUUGUUUUGAGGUGCAAUGGAUUUUGAAUUUAGUGACGAGCAGUGGAAGCCAGAAGGCAAAUUAUGAAUAUGGAUAAAGAUCUAUAAUUAGCUGUUAUGGGAUGUCACAUAUCAUAUUGAUGGUAACAUUAUACAUAUGUACAUAUAAUUAAUGGGGUUGGCUCACGAGCCCAUUAAUAAUCAUAUAUUAGCUUAAAUACUUCAAACAAUGUACCAUGAAGCAAUUUCACAAAUACUUGUUAGCUUAUGUUGAGCUUUAUUGAAUCAGUAGUUCACAGUUCAAUAAAAUGCAGGUUUGCUAUUUAACGUACAUGGUUAUGGUGUGUGCAUUCUUCAUAAGGCUAACUACAAAUUUAUCAAUGAAACUUGAAAAAUGUAACAGAGAGAUGUCGAUAACAACCGCAAAACACUGAGAUUGAAAAUCAGGGCUAGUAAAUUCUAUUAAAAGCUCUUAAAAUAGACAGCGAUCAUCCUUAACCGCAAAGUUAUGCACUAAUAGAACUAUUGACUACUUAUCUUUAGCAGAAGGUAUAUUUUUAACUACAGCUUUCUGCUUUGUUCUAAGAACUAGGCAAAAGUGGUAUAUCUUCAAUCCAAUCAACAUAUAUACCACUUAUCUUCCUCUUCACUUCUGUCUAUUUUGAUUUGCACUUUACAUCCUGCACUUGCUGCUUAGAAAUAGUCUUAGUCUGGACAUUGAAAGUAGAAAAAGUACUUGAAACUAUCAUUGGCACAGCUCGAGAUUCCAUUGAAUCGUGGACUCCAAGCUUUCAUAGUUCUAUAAAGAAAAUUACAUAACUUCAUACAACUGGCAUUCUGCUUUUAACAUUUGCACAACCUGAGCAAGUUAGCAAGCCCCUUGUCGCGUUCCCAUUGAAUAGACCUACUUCUGUUAUCCACAGAAGAUCCACCACUCAAAAUGUUUAUCACCAGGCUAUUCUUAAACUGAGCCUAAACUGAGUAGAAACUUCCGCACAUCUCUCAGCAUUUACAUGAAGAAAUCGACAACUAUCCUCAUCUCUCAGCACAUCUCUCAGCAUUCUACAAAGUUGCAUUUCACUAGGCAAUCUAUCCUCUCCAUUCCUAGCAAAGUGACAUUGAUUCUCGUAUUUGUAAUCUCCUAACUUGGGUUUUGGGCAUAGCGUGGUCUUAUAAUUACCACCCAAUACUUUGUUCAGUGCCACUGGCAUCCACAAGCUCUAGCCCUGUUAGCUGAAUCAUAUUCAAUGGGACAGUGAGGCAGCAUUUCACUAACAUAUUCAAUUUGACUACUUAUAUUGACGCAAAUAUUAGAAUUUGAAAUCACUUCUUUUCUUGGAAUAUUAUAUUAAAAUAACCCCAAAUGAAAGUUCUUGAAUGGAAAUGAUUUUUAUUUAAUCUUCCAACAGAUUCAAGAAAACCCAGAGAACACAAAAUUUACACAGUAAUAUGAUUAAGAGCUAAGAACGUACAUGUAGUAAAUGUCUAUCAAAAACACCAAAGGGUUUCUUUAAAAUUAGAAACUAGGUAAACUGUUAAGAUUUCGUUGGCUUCACUUGACUAAUUGAGAGAGAUUGUUUCCUUAUAUGUGGCUGAUUUGUAAUCCCUUUGAAUAUGGGAUCGUUAUUUACGUUCCUUUGUUUUGUGAAUAUUAGCUCUUUUAAACUUAUAUAUAAAUCCUCUAUAAUUCUACUGCAGAAAAAACAGAGAAGAAUAAAAUCAGUAUUCUUUUCAAAUAUCAUUUUUUCAUGGUAUCAGAGCAAUGGUUUUGAUUCAGUAAAACACUUUCGCUUCUCUUUUUUUUUUUAUGGAUGAUAUUGAUAGUGAUAGCAGUCACAAUCAUUCACCAAAUCAUAUAUCCUCUCAAACCUCUCAUCACAUUAUGUCUAUGUCUAUGGUUGAUUCCUCAUACCCUCUUUUUCUUCAUGCUUCUGAUCAUCUUGGCAUGAUUCUUGUUCCAAAAGUCUUAGAUGGAACAAAUUAUGCUAUGUGGAAGAGAUCUAUGCUAGUGAGUCUUAGUGCAAAAAAACAAACUGGGAUUCAUUAAAGGAACCAUUCACACACCAGAUGAAGAUGAUCCAAAACAUUCUUUAUGGCAGCGCUGCAACGAUAUGGUGCUUUCUUGGAUCCUUAACUCUCUAAAUCAGGAGCUUGCAAUAGUGUACUCUAUUUAGAGACACCCUCAGAGAUUUGGACUGACCUUCAAGAACGUUUCUCUCGAGGUGAUUUUUCCCACCAUUAUCAAACUCAGCAAUUUAUUGUUGAAUUGAAACAAAAUCAAGAUUCAAUUUUUUCUUAUUACACAAAGAUAAAAAUGUUGUGGGAUGAGCUAACUACUUGCAGUCCUUCAAUCACAUGCACAUGUGGAGGACAAAAAGACUUGAAAGAAAAAGAAGAAAAGAUUAGGCUGGGACAAUUCCUCAUGGGAUUGAAUGAAACAUACUCAGCUUUGCGAGGACAAAUAAUGUUAAUGUAUCCUCUACCAACUGUCAAAAGGCAUAUUCUCUUCUCUGUGAGGAAGAAAAGCAGCGAGGACUUACUGAAGCCAAAGGCAUUGAUCUCAUUCAUGCCAUGAGUAUCAAAGCUCGUGAUAAAUCUAGAGAAACACAAUUUGAUGCACAACAACAAACCAAACAAGGAUCAUCCUCUCAUCCCAAGCCACAAGGAAUGAAGAAAUCUUUCUUUCAUACUUACUGUGAGGGCACAACUCAUUCAGUAGAUUGUUGUUACUACUUGAAUGGAUUCCCAGUUGGUCAUAAGCUUCAUGGCAAAGACGUUCAGCCUCCAAAUCGAAGCAGAAAACCUGUUGUGCAUUAAACUAGUGCUGAAAUGAAUCAGAACUUAGCAAAGACACCAACUAAACAAACUCCCCAAUUUAUCUCUGAAGAGCUUGCCCAAAUAAAAGCUUUCUUUAGAAAUGGUAACAAUCCUGCUCGAUCAAACUACAUAGGUAUCCCUAUACCUUUCUGUUCAUCUUUCAAUACGCAAAAGACAGACUUGAAUCACUGGAUUAUUGAUAGUGGUUCAACAAAUCACAUAGCAACUUCAAUACCUAUUAAAACUCCUCUGUCAUCUCAAGUAACCUUGCCUAAUGGUGCCUAUUCUUAGAUAACUGGAAUUGGUUCAACACAACUCUCAAACCACCUACAUGUUAAUAAUGUAUUAUGUGCACCAUCAUUUCAUGUUAAUUUACUUUCAGUGAGUCAACUUACUGUUGCCAUGAAUUGUUCAAUCCAUUUUUUUUCCCACUUUCUGUAUAUUGCAGGACCUAGCUUCGAAGAAGAUGAUUGGCUUGGGGAAGCAGCUUAAUGGCUUGUACUACUUUGUUCCUCAAGUGAAGUCUACACCAACUUCUUUUUCAAUCACCCAUCAUGCUGAUUUUACUACACAUAUUACUUGGCACAAGUGGUUAGGACAUCCCUUAAAAGCACCUUCACAAUUUUUAAGCAAUAAUAUUCCUGCAUUUGUAUUUGAUUCUCAAUAUUCCUGUGAAACUUGCCCUUUGGCAAAGCAAACUCGUUUACCAUUUUCUUUAAGUUCUAUUCAAACUUUGCAUUCAUUUGAUCUUAUUCAUUGUGAUAUUUGGGGACCUUUUCGUACUGCAACUCAUACAGGGGCACAUUAUUUCAUGACUAUAGUUGAUGAUUACACUCGUUUCACUUGGAUUUUUUUAAUGAAAUUUAAAUUCGAAACCCAAGGAUUAAUAAAAACAUUUAUUUCUUUUGUGAACACUCAAUUUAAUUGUCAAGUUAAAUGUCUUAGAAGUGAUAAUGGCUCAGAAUUUCUUUCCAUGAAACCUUAUUUAUCCACCCUUGGUAUUUUAUUUUAAAACUCAUGUCCAUCUACAACUCAACAAAAUGGUGUCGUGGAACGAAAACACCGUCAUCUCUUAAACGUUAGUCGGGCUUUGAGAAUGGAUGCCAAUCUUCCUUUAAAAUUUUGGGGGGAGAGUUUACUUACUGUAGCCUAUCUUAUAAAUCGUCUUCAUACUCCCUUGUUGCAAUAUAAAUCUCCAUAUGAGUUGUUGUAUAAUAAGCCACCUAACUACACUCACUUACAAGUUUUUGGAUGUCUCUGUUAUGCAACAAAUCUACAGCCGUCCAAUAAGUUUGAUUCUCGGGCUCGACAAUGCAUCUUUGUUGGUUACCCUAUAGGCCAAAAAGCCUAUCGAUUAUAUGAUCUCCAUACUCACCAAUUCUUUUCCAGUCGUGAUGUCAUUUUUCAUGAGUCUAUUUUUCCUUCUCUUCGUAUUGAAAAAUCAUUAGAUAGCACUUUUCCUCAACUUGAGAUAUUAGAUUACAUCGAUAAUCUAUCUCCUCCUGCAACUCAUCCUGUCCCUCCAACAUUAGAGACCAUUAUUCCCUCUCCUAAUCUUUUAUUGUCAUCAACUCCUUCCCCUUCUUCCUCUAUAUCUUCUCCUGCCCCUCAUAUUCGUAAAAGUGAUCGUGUCAGGCAACCAUCUGUUCUUCUUCGUGACUUUCAUUGUGGACAGAUUAGUACAACACCAUCAACUGCAACUUCAAGUCAGUCAUUUUCAACUAAGUCAGGUACUCAAUAUCCUUUAAGCAAAUACAUUUCCUAUGAUUCUUUGUCUUCUACUCAUAAACACUUUGUUAACACCAUUUCAAGUGUCCUAGAACCAACCUCUUAUGCUCAUGCUAUAUUGGAUCCGAAAUGGCAAGAGGCUAUGCAAUGUGAACUUGAUGCUCUCAAAUCACAGAAGACAUGGUCCUUGGUCCCUUUACCCGCUGGCCAUCGCCCCAUUGGCAGCAAAUGGGUUUAUCAUAUCAAAUACAAUUCUAAUGGUACGAUUGAAUGUUACAAAGCUCGAUUAGUUGCCAAAGGAUUUUCUCAACAAGAAGGCCUGGAAUACACUGAGACAUUUGCUCCUGUGGCUAAAUUGACCGUUGUUCGUUGUUUACUUGUUGUGGCAACUGCAAGACAUUGGCCAUUGUAUCAAAUGGAUGUGACCAAUGCUUUUUUGCAUGGUGAUUUAGAAGAAGAAGUAUAUAUGACUCCACCGCCGGGACUUUGUCGACAGGGGGAGAAGCUUGUUUGUUGACUUCAUAAGUCCCUUUAUGGGCUUAAAUAAGCUCCUCGCAAUUGGUUUGCGAAAUUUUCUCAUGCUGUCAAGAAAGCUGGCUUUAUUCAAUCACAUUCGGAUUACUCGUUGUUUGUGAAGACAAAAGGCACAUCUAUAACCAUGGUUCUUAUUUAUGUAGAUGAUAUGGUGAUAACUGGAAAUGAUGCAGUCGCUAUACAUAAUCUCAAACAAUUUCUUCACUAGCAAUUUCAUAUCAAAGAUCUCGGUCAUCUUAAAUAUUUUCUUGGGCUGGAAGUUGCAAGGUCCAAAGCAGGUCUUGUUAUCUCUUAACGAAAAUAUACCUUAGAAAUCAUAGAUGAUGUUGUAUACUUGGGUGCUCAACCGGUAAAUUUUCCCAUGGAGAUGAAUUUGAAACUCACAAACCAUUAAGGUGAUUUGCUACAUAAUCCAACUCGCUACAGGAGAUUAGUUGGCCGACUAAUAUAUCUCACAAUUACGAGACCAGACAUUACAUACUCAGUUAACAUCUUAAGCUAAUUUAUGCAUGCUCCAAGAAAGCCUCACUGGGAUGCUGCUCUUCGUAUUAUGAAAUAUUUAAAGGGCAGCCCUGGUUUAGGUUUGUUAUUCUCCUCAAGCAAUUCCUUUACUUUAAAGGCUUACUGUGAUGCUAAUUGGGCAAAUUGUCGUAUAACAAGAAGAUCAACAACAGGUUAUUGUGUGUUCUUAGGGGAUUCUUUGAUUUCUUGGAAAGUAAAGAAGCAGAAAACAGUCUCAAGAUCAUCAUUAGAAGCUGAGUACAGGUCCAUGGCAGCAGCAACUUGUGAGCUCACUUGGUUUAGAUUUUUAUUCAAUGAUAUGCAAAUUUCCAUAGGACCAGCAAGGCUAUUAUGUGAUAACCAAGCUGCUCUUCACAUAGCAGCAAAUUCGGUAUAUCAUGAACGCACCAAACACAUAGAUCUUGACUGUCAUGUGGUAAGGGAGAAAAUGUACGAUGGUCAGAUAAUCACCAAAUUUGUUCCAUCUCAUUUACAGUUGGCAGACAUUUUUACAAAAGCUCUUGGAGGAAAGGUGUUUAAGAGACUAACAACCAAGUUGAACAUGCUAGAUAUACAUGCUCCAACUUGAAGGGGGAGUGUUAAGAUUUCGUUGGCUUCACUUGACUAAUUGAGAGAGAUUGUUUCCUUAUAUGUGGCUGAUUUGUAAUCCCUUUGAAUAUGGGAUCGUUAUUUACUUUCCUUUGUUUUGUGAAUAUUAGCUCUUGUAAACUUAUAUAUAAAUCCUCUAUAAUUCUACUGUAGAAAAAACAGAGAAGAAUAAAAUCAGUAUUCUUUUCAAAUAUCAUUUUUUCAUAAACAAAAAGAAAGAAUCAUUUUACAUUUUUAGCAAGUUUGAAUGAGUGAGAAAUUGAAACCCUAAAGUGAUGACAACAAUAAGAUUCAGUAUGAAGUGAAACCCCAAUUUGAAAUGUAGGCAUGAGUUGCUGAGUCAGUAGAUGAAGCUAUAAAUAGGCAUUCGGUUUCUUUCUUUUCGGUUUGGAGGGCCAUGGAAUAGUGUAUUGGAGUGGGCUCGAAGUAAUAGCCUUUAUCACUGAAUGACACGUUUGCAAAACGUGAUACAUAGGGAAGGAUUGAGCAUUAUACUCUUAGAUUAGCGCCUUAUUUAGGGUGUAUAUUAAGCAGAUUAUCUAUAUAUUACAUGGAGAUGGAGUUUAUGAAAUAGAUUAAAAAGAAAAGGAAAAUUAGUGUCUGGAGUUUGCCACUUGGAAUAUUUCGGUGUCUAAACAUUCACUCACCACUUAUUUCAUGUCUGAUCAUAUGUUGAAAAAAUAUUAAAGUAAUAUAACGCUAUUAAGGCUUAACGUAUAUUUUUUAUUAGUAGAGUGUAGAACUUUUAAGAAAUAAAUUAUUAAAUUACUAUAACUAGCAUAUUAUUUUAAAGUUGUGUUGUGAAAAAAAAAAUGAAAUAAAAACGUGAAGUAAAUUAGAGUAUUCUAAAACUUUUAUCUUUUUAAAAUUAGUUUUUAACAUAAGGUGAACUAUUUUUUUUUUAAAUCACAUACUCUAGUUAAAAUCAAAUAUGUAUUUAUAUGAAGCUUGUAAUUUUUUUUUCAGUACUGAUAUUUGAAUAUUAUCAAUAUUAUUUUUAUGGCCCACAAAAGGACAACACCGUUUAUGUUAUAAUACUAUCACCUCUGUUAUGAUAAUAUUUUUUUUGUGGCCAAAUAUCAUUUUUUUAAGUAAAAAGGUGGACAAAAUGCAAAUCAAUUUUUAAUCCUCAAACUCUCCCAAAAUUUAAAUUCGUAGUUAACAAAACACAAUUGUUGGAAAACCAUUAAGCUAGGUCCAUCGGUUGUUAAAACUAGGGAAAUUUAUAAAAAUAACUUAAAAACUUUUAUAAUUUCACAUUUUACCCUCCGAAAUUUUUCCUAUCAACAUUAGCAAAAAAUCCUUUCAAGUGCCGAAAAUACCCCUCCCAUUCUCAUCAAACUUCCUCUCUCUCUCUCUAACCAACGAUUUCUUUCUCAAGGUGGUCACUCAUCGCCGCCGGCUUUCCAGAGUCCAUCCUUGAUAGUCAACAUCACCAAAAUUUCAGUCAAGAUCUGAAAUCAAAGAUUAAUUUAAAAACCCUAGAUUUUGAAGCAUGUUCUAUUUCUAUUCUUCUUUUAUGUUGUGGUUUUGUUGUUGUGCUGGUGAUGGUGAGUGAAGAUUGAAGUGUUUGUGAUGUUGAUGGCAUGGGCGAAGUUGUUGGUGUAGUGCAUGGGUGAAGAUUGAAGUUGGCGUGGGCUUGGGGCCGGGAGAUAUCGUGCCUGAUCAGGCGCAACAACGCCCCUGUCGCACAAGAUCUGGGAGACAGGCACGCGCACCUGUCACUCACGCCUGUCGCGCGUGCUUGGUGCGACAGGCAGCAUGUUACAAUUUUUUUUUUUAACGUGAAGUUGGUGCGACAGGCGCAAUUUCGGUGCAACUCACACCUGUCGCACAAAUUUAGUACGACAGGCGCCUGUCGCACUAACAUACAAUCACACUGAAACUCUCUUGUCGCACGAAAUCAAGUUGACAAAACAUCUCUUAACACUCGGUGAUGCAAAAACAAAGUAUAAACAAUCAAAGAAACAUUUCAUCAAACACUUAAUACGCAAUAUUUUUACAAAACUAAUUUCCUUUUAAUUAGCUUACCUAGAUUUUGGGCUCUAUUUCACUUUGUUAGAAUUGUGUCCGAUUGGUGUUGGAUCCGAAUGGAUUUGGCUAUCUUUGAUCUUAGUUCACUUUUACCGUUCGCAGUCAUCGUUUGCCGUUGCCAUUUGCCUGUGAUGAUUUAAGAGUUCAAGGCUGCGUUUGGUUUGAUAAAGAGGGAGAAGAAAAGUUGCGUUUGGUUUGAUAGACAAGAGUAAUUUAGGGAAGAAACCUUAUGUUUGGCUGAUUAUGAUAGUAAAAACUUUAGAGGGCCAAUUGUAAAAAUUAUAAAAGUUUUUAGGUUAUUUUUAUAAAUUUCUCUUAAACUAUAGCUGACAAAAAGUUACUAACAAAAAGAGAAUGUCUAUUUUAUAACUUUCUUAAAAAACUUUCCUUAACUUUUUCAAAAAAGUAAUGAUAUAGUCACAAAUUCUUGUAUAAAUUUAUUUUGUACAAAUUAAUGUGAUAUGAUAAAAUUAGUUGAAUUAAAUAUCUUUUGGUCCACAUAAUUUAUUUUUAUUAUUUAUAUUUUCAUUCAACUAAUAAAUUAAUAACACGUAAGAGUUAUGACUGUAUCAUCAUUCUUUUUAAAAAGUUACUAACAAAAAGUUAUUUCCAAUUUUUAUUUUGUUAUAAUUUUUAAAACAAAAUUCGUAGUUAACUAAACUCUUCUUAAUUCCUAUGCCCUUUCUCAACUGCCAUACCCUACCCUGCUCCCCAUGUCCCCACUAAACCACGCUCAAUUCAGGCCAUCAGAUUCUCCCGGACCCACAUUAAUCCAACUGCUCACAGUGACCGACAGCCUCUCUAUCGCCAUUUCAAGCUCCCUCUUAAACUGGCUUCUGCUACCGUCGUACUCUUUCUCGGAUUCGGAGUCCGUAUUUGCUCGGCCGGUCCCACGCAGCUCCCUCUCACUCCAAUUGUCACCCAACAAGGCCAAUUGCUUACUCAAGGCACAGAACAAGAAGAGGAUGAGAAAUUGAAACAAGAAUUUGAGAAUUGGAAAUCGAAAACGUACGCAUUGACCGUGCCUUUGAGGGUUGUUUCUCUUCAGAAUUCAGUGCCUUAAUCUUGGGUUAAGGAUUUUAUGCGAAGUCAAGGAAAGACAUUGAUAAGUUUCAGAUGAAUUUGUUUGCUAGCAUUGAUGGGAUCUUUCACAAUUUAUCUAUGCCCUUUAACAAAGUUAAGGCUAAGUCAGCUUCAUAUAUGGCUGCUGAUUUGGUUAGUGUUGGUGAUUCAUGGCUCAGUUAUGCGAUUAUAAAGAGAUUGAUUGAGCCAAUAGCUGUAGCUGAAGAUCAAUAUUGGUUCAAAUGCUUAAGUCACAAAUGGAAGGUAACAUCUUUAUCUUUGCCCCGAUAAUUUUUAUUGUCUUACAUUGAAAUUUGGUAAUGUAAUUUGUUCUCUAUCUGUGUCACCCUUUGUAGUCAUUUUAUUUAUUUAUUGUUUUGCUUUUAUUUGCACUAACGAAUUCUCAGGCAUAUCUACCCAGGAAUGAUGCUGGAGAAAUUGAUCCUCGAGGUAAAAUAUGGGCGGCAGCAUACCGGUGGGGCACAAUGGGAUAGCUUACAAGAAAAGUAAAUUGCGAAAGCAUAUUUGGCUCCGAUUUAGGUAAUUGCCUUUAAGCUCAUUUAGUUUUAUAUGAAACAAAAUCAAGACUGCCUUUCUCUUCAAUAUUUUUGAUGAUAAUAUCUUUAGAAGCAUCUCAUUCACGGGUAAUCAUGGUAUCCCUUAAAGAGUCUAUAAACUCAAUGAUAUUAUCUUCUACAAAUGGUUCAUUAAACUUCUUAGUUGCAGUCAAAUGUACACUAAGAACAACGAGAAGCUAUGCCACUGUAGCAUGUAGUGAUGGCACUUAAUAAGUGACUUGCUAGGAUGUGAACUAGAUAAAUUAAAUAUUGUCUCCCUGGGCAUGCUAGCUCAUAAGUUGGGGUUAAUAUUAGCUAUUGACUGCCAAUUAAAAUAUCCAUUAAAAUGUCUAAGGAGUUACGAAGGUGGAGGUAUCUUCCAAUUUCUAAGGCCAAAUAGCAGACAUCAUCCAGGAUCCUGGGAAAGUGCAGUUAACUUCCUGCUUGAUCCUAAUGUGAAAACAAUUAAUAAAUUUGGUCAAUGCAACUGAAACCUGCUAACCGAUGUCACAAUGCGACAUCAGCACCUCAAAAUGGGAUAGAUGGUUAGUAGCACUAAAUUUUUCUGGCCUCAGAUUGAGCAAUUGGCCCAACGACUAACCCCGAUUGUGGGUUGAUGAUAAUUUUUUAAUUAUUUUCAUUUUGACCGAAAAAGUUACAGAAUCUUGAUCUGAAUAUUGUCACUGAACAGUGUCAAUAUCGUUUAGCAUAUCCAACUAACUUGAGUUUGGUGAAACAAACACAGAGUGUGUCUCUCAUGUCUCACCCUUCAAAAUUAUCAUCUGUAAUGAUGGAGAAUUUUUCUAAUGUAUGAACUAUGCUUCGAUAUAUGGGUUAGCUUGGAGAAGAUAUCUCAAGAUAAAGAAUAUGGGAAGCUAAUGGGAAGAAACAGGGGAUCUUCAUUCUUUUUCCUUUUUAUACCCAGAUAUCUCUCGACCUUUAUAUGAUCCCUACUGGAUAUUUGCUUCUAAUAACUAAAAUAAAAAUUUCACCCACCAAAAUGAAUACUGACCAAGCUUUAACAAUAAAAAGUAGCAUCUUUAGUCAAGUAAUUUGCAGUUCCUCAUCAUCUUAGUGUGAGUCUAUCAGUAUGAUCAAAAAACAUAAUAAAACUGGUUAGAUCCUGUUCAUUGAUGUUUAAAUGUUGUUCAGUGUGAAAUGUAGCAAUGAUGAGGUGAAGUUUCUUUGGUCAUCAAUUAGUAAGAUCUUGUAAUCUGGCAUUACUGGGAAACCAGGUACUCUUAAAGAAAUGAUAUCUGGUCAUUGCAUGUUAUUGCCUGACAACUGAUUUUGUUUGUAAAAGUCUGCUUCUUCAUACAUAUGAAUGCAUAUGUUAGUGUUGUCUUUUCCUUUUCCUACAUAUUAAUGCAUAUGUUGGUGUUCUCUUAUGAAAUGGAUGCAAUAAAGGCUUUUUCUCCUAAAUUUAGCUGAGGAAAUGGCAGGGGAUGUGAGAUUCUGUCUCAUUAAAUUAACAAAAACCCAAAACAAUAAAAACCCAUAAUAAUGUGGUGUGGGUAAAUUGGCGACAUUUGGCUCGUUACCCUGAUGUGAAUAUGCGAGCAAUGGAGACUAACAAAAUGAAGUGACGAUUCAGUGUCCUUUGAUGGAUGCAUUUUUAAGCAAAAAUAGGUUUGUAACUGACCAAAUUUGUCUGGCAUGCCAAUUUAAAAAAAUUAAAUUAUGUGGUUGUUAGCUGUAGUGAAGGGGGGGUAGUAGGUCCAAUCCGGUCGAUCCAGGAAAGUUCAACAAAGUUCUGGUAUGGUGCAGUGAAACUGGUUUGUGCAACUCAAGAGUCGUUCAGGUAAAAGAUGAUGUGUUUUGAUUUAAAAAUGUUAUAAAUUUACUGUGUAUAGUAUUCUAGUAGAAUCAUCUAUAAAUUUAAGUUUUUGAAAUUAUCUGCUUUUCCCAGUUUGAGUUAAGGGCACAUGUAAUAUGAAAAAUAGUUGUCGAAUGUUGUAGGUUACCUAACAUUUGAUCAAUCCUAUUAUGAUGGCUUCAAGAUGUCUAACAAUAUGUAGAAUGCCCCUGCUCCUCCCCAUUGUUUAUCUUAUACAAUAAUAUGUUGUGGAUGCUAAUAUCUUUGUCGAUACCUGUAACAGUAUUACAAAAUCUGCGUUCAUUGGGUUUUAUAUAGGUUCAACUGUCUGACAGUUCACACUGUCUGAAGGCAUUUGGAAUUGGAGAUGUAUGGGUUGCCGUUGAGGGGAGUAGUGAUGUUCUUCCUGCUGUCAAACGUAUGUCUAAUGUUGCAGUUUUUGUUCCCAAGUCUGGUGCUAGCUUAUGGGCCGAUCUUUGGGUUAUAACCAUGCCUGUCAUUCUACUUCGAUAUUCACUUUGUUAUCACCUUCAUAUUAGUGAUCAGUAAACAUGACAAUGUGACUAAUAAAUUUGUAUUCUCUUUAUAGGCAAUCCGAGCUGCCUCAAGACUUGAAACAAAACAAAUUGAAGGCAAGUCAGAGGUCCAUCUCCAUUAAUCCAUUAAUAGAUAGAGUUCCACUUGCAAACAGCAAGAGCAUUGCCUUUCAAGCAAAAGGUUAUCCCGGGUGCAACUCCCUCUGCCCUUGAAAGUACUCUGGUUAAGUUGCCUGAACAACUUCUGAAGGGUAAACCAAGUCUGGAUACUAACUUAACUGCUGGAGUACCUCCGGCUGAAAUUCUGGCCAGAUGUGGGUUUUUGGAGCCAUUAUCUGAAGCUACAUUGUCAAAUUAUGAGUGGCUGGUUGCUAAUCUACAAAAACCUGCUCCUGUCUUGAUGAAAAGGGUGCAACAUUACAUGUCAUCAUUAAUCCGAAGCUUUCUAGCAAAAGCUACAUUGAAAAGUUAAUGGCACCGCAUGCCAGUCAUUAUAAUGCUGUCAGGGCAAUUGGGUCAGAGCAUAACUUCAUUGGGAAAAGAGGAUUCAGCUAGGUUACCUAUUACAGGACGUACUGAGAUGGCUGAAGUUCUUGAGGUUUUAUGAGAAAUGAAAGAUGAGUGCUUGUUUGAACAAAGUUGUCACCAAUCUCGUAAAGUUCAAGAAGAAAGAUCACAGAGCUAAUGCCACCAAUUUCUUCAUUAUUGCAGCCUCCAUUGUUGAAGUUUCCUCAUUUGAAGCUGUUUAUGCAUAUGCUUCUUCCCUGCUCAAGUACAGGAAAUUGAAGAAUUAGCCAGAUAUGAUAUGAUGAAAGAGGGAAGUUUUCUUCCUUGAAUAUGGCCUUGUAAUUUGUAGUGAAGGAGUAGGAUGAUCACUAGCAAGAACCCUAUCAAGGUAGAUUUUAUGAUGUUAACAUAUUACUAAGCAUUUGUUUCUUUAGCAAUGAUACUUUCAUAGCAUGAAUUUAAUUAUAUGAUCCUGAUUAAUCAAUUAAUUUUCAUGAGUUUUAACCUAGUUAAAACGAAGUACAAUCAUCGUUAACAAAUACUGAAAUUGGGUAAAUAUGAUCUUGACAUUGAAGAAGAAUUUGAAAACACAACCCGCAGAGGAAAUUACCUAUUGCAUGGGGAUGGAGAUGUAUAUUGCAGCGAUAUAGAAUAUGUGCCAGGCGUUGUCUACUGCUCUUUGGGUUAUGGUGUGAUUUGCGAAUUCAAUGUUGCCCUGAAACAAUGGAAAAGAUUAACAUAUCCUCCAAUGAAUGAAAACGGCUUGACUAAUUUUGACUACCUACUUGACUCAGGAUCAGGUGACAAUAAUGGCGGUUUAUUAACAUUGCACGGCCCCAGUACUCUUCCAGGAUCAGAUACGAAGUAGUCUAAAGUUGAUAAUAAGAGUUUUAUUAAAUGACAAAUCAUUGUUGUUGGGUGUUGGUUAUAUACGUCAUUACAACUACAAGUUGAAGAUGAAGGUUAUGCAAGUGAUUUCAGAAAUACAAUACAUUCCAAGAGAUGCUGGUCUACAAUUGCAUGCCCCCAGAUAUAAGAAUCUUUUGAUUGGGGCAUUGAAAAUGAAGAAUUGAAAAUGAAGUUGCAAGUUGCCGCCUAUAGCUGCUGAGUAAUAAUAAAACGAGAUAAAUUAAUUAAUCUCAGACCUCUAUGUAUAUGUUAUCCUAACUUUACUUACCCUUAUUUGUUAUAUUCACUUAAAACUUGAUGCCUAAACCAUUAAAAUCAAAUGACCAUAGGGGUAUUUACAGUAUGUAAAAACAAACAAAAACACGUAAAAAAUUUCAAAAAAUUAAUAAUCACACUCUAAACUUACCACUCAACUCCUAAGAAUAGUCAUAAUCUAAAACAAUUUACAACUUUUGAAGGGAGUAGCUAUGAAGAUGGGGGAAAAUCCUUUUCUCAGUGGAGUGCCAUUGCCCAAGAGUUGCAAUGAAAACGGACCACAUACAGCUGUGCCGGAAGAUUCAACGAGGUAUGAAAAAGAUGAUAAUUUAAGUGAUAUGGGCAGUAAUUGUGAUGUCAGAAAGCAUUAGUAUUCUAUAUGUGAACCAUUAUUGACGACAUCAUUGGUUUUAUCUUAUUAAAAUGUGGAUGACUUCCAGUUACUAUUUUAUUAGAAACAAUCUUAUUCAAUUAACAUAUAGUUUAAAACUAUUAUGUAAAUCAAUCUAUUAAUUUUCAUGGUAUUUAACUGAGUUAAAACUAAGUGCAAUCAAUAAAUCUUUUUUUCUUUAAAAAACUGCUACGCUUUGAUUUUAUUACUUAAUAUUUAUUGAACUCUGGUACAGGAAAUUUGAAAUCAAACUCGUAACUACAGAUUAUCUAAUUGCGAGUUACUGUCCAUGGCUGCUGAUUUGUAGUGAUUGUCUAAUUGACUGAGGUGACAAUAUUUUUUUUUUAAUUUUCAAUAGCACAAUGUGAAAUUCAAUAAUUAAAUUCUCCUGUUUAAUUUGUUUCAAGUUAAAUUAUUAAUUACUUAAACUCUUUUUUAAGUCUUUAAUUUUACGUCAAGUGACUUGGACAUGACGUACAAUGAGAGUGACAGUAAACAAACAUUAAAACGUGUGGACUCCGGUAGCUGACCUACAAGUCUACAAUAAUAAAUUGGGCCGGGGUUAAGUUACAUGAUCACGUAACAAACAUUACAUGAAUGAGGGCCGUUAGAUGUGAACAGUAAAAUCGAAUGGAUGGGAAUGAAAUGAACAGAAAAAAAGAAGUGAUGGGAAACUGGGAAAACUGGUGAACGAAAACCGCUUGGGCCACCGGGUCAAAACAAGGGUUAUUGUUUGAAUUCGAUUCAGGAGGCAAGAAACCUGAUUUUUUGUAAUUCGAUUCAGCGCCAUUAAAGCUGGUUUUCACAGCAACUAUGAUUUUUUUUUUUUAUAAUAGCACCAACUCCUACCCUUAAUUUAUAAUCAAACAUUACAUCUUCAAGAUUUAAUUUAUACCAAUAUUCAGGGGCAGACGACCAUGAAAAGUUCCUUGGAGCUUCCAUUAAUGGAGUUAAAAAUUAAUAUCUCGUUGAUGACUACUCUCAGCACAAGCGGUGAAGUGGCUUUGGCUUUAGCAAAAACCUUCUAUGCAUCUUCAUCUUUUAAAAAGCACACCCUUUCUUGCUCCCCAGUUAGUCCACAUCAAAAUUACAAGCGAACAAGCGAUUCUUUUUUGAGUUAUUUGAUGAAGAGGCAGCAUAAUUCAUAAAAUCCAUAAGUUAUGUCCAGUCCUUUUAAUCAACUCAGGAAAAAAUUAGAAUGAAUCUAAUUAAACUUUUGAUUUUUUGCAUCCAAUACGAGCAGGACAUAAAACUGCAUCUUUCACCGGCUUCAGAUGGUCAGCAAAAACUUUCUUUUUUUAAGCGUUUGGGAGCAAAUCGGAUAAAGCUCUUCAUAAAAAUCAAAAAGUAACCCCAAGGAUCAUCCAGGUCAAUCUGCAUGAGUUUUGCUGUUCAUACAUGAGCCAUAGAAGCAAGUUGAACCGCCAAACCGGGCACUAUGGUAAGACGUGGAAACACCGGAUCCCAUUCGUACCUCGAUCUGUUCGUUUUCUCGUUCAGAACGGGCCGAUAUGCGCAAGUAAGAAGUUUCCUCAGCCUGAGAGUUCAAAGAAAUCAUGUCACUUUGGGUUGCACAGGCUAUAGGAGAAAUUAUUCUUUUCGACUUACUUUUUUCAACCGGCUACAAACCGCUUCAAUCGGUAAAAUUAGAAUUAUAAUAGUUACACGUGUUGUAAUGUUGUUGAUUUAUUUGUCAAUUUCUUUAAUGUUUGUUACAUGUUAUGUAAGGUAACGAGACCCAUAAUUGAGUGCAUAGAAUUUCAAUGAAUUUCUGCCCCGUUGAGUUCACCGACUAAACUUUUGUAAAAUUAAAAAAAAAAAAAGUACAUAAAAUUUCAGAAAGGCUAAUACUAAGUUAUAUGCAUGUAACUUACAACCCUCUUACAUAAAUAAUGAAUAAUAUGAGCCCACUCAUUAUUUAUGUAAGAGCAUUAUAAGUUACAUGCAUGUAACUUAAGGUGAUCCUUUCAGAAAAUACAAAACGCGCGGAAUUAACCAAAAUAUAAUUUAACAAAAAAGGAAAAAAAAAGUAAGAUUUUUAAAAUGUGUGGAAGGUAAUCCAUAUUUUAUUGAAAUGACUUGUCUCGAAUAUUAAAAUGAUUGAUUUUUUUUUUUAAUAAUAUCAACUUCCAUAUUUUCUACCCCAGAACAUGCUCACAUUCAAGUCAAUCUCGCUAAUUUGAAAUACAAAAUCAAAUCAACACCAAAGCAAUGAAAAGUAAAGCUUUUAAAUUUUAACUCCAGCUAGCAAACGUAUUCAGCGUUUUCAAAUUCUUCCCAUUGCAUCUUCCUCCAUCAAUGCAAUAUUUGAACGAUUAAGAAAGAGUUUGAGAACAUAAAAAAUCCCCAAGGCUUAUACGGUAUUAACAAAUUUAAAUUCUCAAUUAUAAUAGAUAAUAAUUAAACUAAUAAUUAUUUAUUUUUUUAUUUUAGUAAUUUCACCUAAGAAUAAUAUUGUAAUUAGAAAAAAAAUCUAAUAAGUAGGGUGGUCUUAUACAAAAUCAACUGCAUAUACAUAUAUAUAUAUAUAUAUAUAUAUGCAGAUGCAAAUGAUAAUUUUUAAUUCUUUUUUUUUAAUAAGAAAAUUGUGUAUUGAGAUGAAUGAGAUGUUUAAUUUAAUUAAUUUCCUUACUUUCAUAUACAUUGUCUUUCUAUCUAAAGAAAGCUUGGUGUUGAGAUCGACAUGAAGUUGCAAGUUGCUGCCCAUGCCUGGCUGCUGAUUAAUAAUAAAACGAGACAAACUAAUUAAACUCUGGCCUCCAUGCGUAUGUCAUCCUAACUUUACUUGCUCUUGUUUGUUAAUAUUCAUUCUUAGAGAGGUGAAAAAAUUACAAGUCUUGAAUAACAAGGAGUUUAAUUGCCUCUAACUUCACUUGGUCUAUCAAUUCCCCUGCAAUUUCGGAAGCCAAGCGCAAAAUCAUACAGAGAAUUAAUUAUCUUUUUAUUAUCAACCCAUCUUCAAGAAGAUUUUCCUCAAUUUGCCCCAGAGGAGUUGGAGCUGUGUUUCUGAUAAGCCAAAGAGAUAGUAGCAAUUAAUAUUGAUAUUGCCUACCCAAGAAAUAUGAGUGAAUUAAGUAUUAGCAAGACUUCAUUCAGAGGAGCAAUUAAACCACUUCCUUAUCAAUUGCGGCAGCCGUCUAUUAACUAAAAUGCCAAUCUAAUACAGGAAGAAACAACAUUUACAGAUUCGGCAAUUGAGUUCAUUAAGAAGUAGCAUCAUAUUCGGGUGAUGAGUUUCAUUUUUUUAAUAAUUUUAGUCUAAUUUCAAUUGUACUGUGACCGCUACUCAAGGGAAGUGAAAGUUACAGAUGUGGCAAAAUAAAUAAUUAAAUUAACAAAAAUGCUAACUAAUUUUCCUGAAUACCUAGGGUUGCACAAUUUCACCAACCUGGAAGAAUUGACAUUAGUGGACUGGUCUCCUCCCCAUAUAAUUAUAAUCCUUCUAGAAAGCUAAUUUUUAUUAAAUAUUUGCUUUUAAGUUAAUUUCAAUUAAAAAAUGUUUUAAGUUAUAUAUACUCUAAUGAGAUUCUGAAUUCCUUUCUUCCAAUAAUAAUGAAAACUUAUUAAAUUAGAAAUGAAAAAAUGGGCGUUGAUGAUUCAUCCUGAUUUGGAUAGAUUACUUGUAUAAAAUUGACAAUUUUGAUUUAAUUUUUGUUUAUUGUUAACUUUCAGGCUAUCUUAAUUUCAAGAAUUUAGAAUAUUAAUUUGGUCAUGGAUUUCAACCCGUGACUGUUAUAUUCUAUACUUAAUGGUACCAUUCUUGAUUGAGGGCAAUGACUCUCACUCCUCUUGUAAAAAAAUAUUUUCAACUAUUUUGAUGACUUAAAAAUUGAUAGAUUUAUUGUUGUCAUGACCAAAUUAUUCAUUCGGCAAAGCUUAUCUUACAUCACCUGUAACAAACAGCCAAUACAUAUGGGUGGUUAGAUUUUGAUAUUUCUUAAUCUAAUGGAUGAAAAUAAUUUUAACGCAAAACAAGGUAUGGGUGUAAUAGCUAUUUACAAAAAAAUUUAUUUUGAAUCACAUAUUACUUAUUUUUUCAAAUAAGUCCUCAUUAAUUUUUUAUAACUAAAUGAUUUUAUCGUCCAUCUCUUUUACAUCUAUUUUUAAAAAUUGUUAAAGUUUUUACUAAAUUUUUAUAAAGAUCUAAAUGAUUAUCAUGUUUAUAAAAAUCUACAAAUUCUAAAUAUAUAUUUGCAUUUACAUUUAUAAUUUUUUGUCUCUCUUAAAAUAUAAACUAGAUUUUUUUUUCUUUUAUAUAAUUCAAGAUGCUAAAUUUAGAUAAGAGAUAUUAUAUGUGAUAAAUAUAUUAUGACUCUAAUAAAUUACUAGAAAGAUGGUAAAAUGAAUAAAUUAUUGGAACCUCUAAUAAUUUCACAAAAUAUAAAAAUUAAUAAAUUAUCACAUUCUAGCUAUACACAAAGAGGAUUUUCGUAUGAAAGAUUAAAAUCCUUUGACCUAAUCAAUGAUUCAGACAUGCGGAGAAAUAAUCAAUUAAAUUAAAUUUCACUAUAUUUAUCAAAUAAAUUAGGAAAACCCAAAUUUAUCUAUAAAUGAUAUAAAAAAAAUGAAAUAUUAAAAAUUAAAAAUUUCAAUGAAGAAAACAUACAACAAAUUAAAAAGUUAGGAGUUCAAAUGAGUAAAAAGUCUGCGCUCUUACCAUUUGAGUUAGCCUUCGCCUCAACUUGAACUUUAUUAUUUUUUUGUAACCCUAAUUGACAUCAACUUUAACUUUAUUAUGUUAUUAUUUCAAUCCCCCAUUAUGCCUUUUUAAUACUCCAUUAUACCAUUUUUAUAGUGCAAAUUUAAUUGCACAUCUAAAUAAAUUGAUUAUUGUUACUCCACCACCAAUAUUUCGAAAAGUCACUAGACCAUUCCUGCCUUUAGUUUCCCUUAAGUUUAACCAUUGACUGUUUUUAGCAUCUUAAAAUAUACAUUUAUUCCUUGAUUAUGUGAUAAAUUUAUGAAAAUAUCCAUUUAACUUAAAUUAAUUGGAAUAACCAUGCGUAACAUAAAUUAAUAGAACAAAAUUAUCAAGUGUAUGUUCUAUCUUACUUUUUGAAGAAUUUAACAUAUAUAAUGCUAUACUAUUAAUUAUAUCCUGAUUUUCAUCGAUUAUAGCGAGAGUUUCUCCAAAUCAACUCCCUUAUUCAAAUAAUACAGAAAAAAUAGUAAUUUAAUUGUAAAAAAAACAGGUGUUGAUUAUAUAUCCUAAGUUUCGUCGAUUAUGUGAUCAAAGCGGCAUUGUUGAUUUAUUUCUUUUUCAAUGUUGAUUUUUAGGUUAUAUAAAUUUCGAGGAUUUAAAAUCUUUGGUCAUGGAUUACAUGCUUAUUAAUUUUUCUGCCAUUGACUGUCAUAUUCUAUACUUAAUGGUACCUUUCUUGAUCAAGGGUAAUUACUCUCUCUUCUCCUCUUAUAAAUUCCUCUUCCAUUAACAUCACUAGGAGUAUGUUGAUCUCUCAGACGUUAACUUGAGUGGAGAGUUUCCAAAUUGAUUGUUAUAAAACAACACAAAAACUAGACAUACUUGAUCUGUCUAAUAAUUCUCAUUCGGUAAAAUUAAUUAAUUUUAGGAGAAUAUUGGGCCAAACUAAUUGCACUCAAUAAAUCUCUUUUCCUUUAAAAAACUGCUACGCUUUGAUUUUAGUGCUUAAUAUUUGCUGAACACCGAUACACGGAAUUUGAAAUCAAACUCGUAACUACAGAUUAUCUAAUUGCAAGUUUCUGUCCAUAGCUGCUGAUUUGUAGUGAUUAUCUAAUUGACUGAGGCGACAACAAUUUUUUUUUUUUAAUUUUCAAUAGCACAAUGUGGAAUUCAAUAAUUAAAUUCUCCUUCAUAAUUUGUUUCCAGUUAAAUUAUUAAUUACUUAAACUCUGUUUUAAGUCUUUAAUUUUAUGUGUUUAUGCAGAAUUGGAUUCUUGAGCGUGUUGGACACGACCAACAAUGAAAUUGACAGUAAACAAACAUUACAACGUGUGGACUCCGGUAGCUGCCCUACAAGUCUACAACUUUACAAAUAAUACUUGAGUAAGCACCUUUGAUUCUCCGGACCCUUCAAUGAAUUUCUAGCCCCGUUAACUCCACCGACUAAAGUUUUGUAAAAUAAAAAAAAAAUACAUGGAAUUCCACCAAAUGCAAAACGCGUGGAAUUUAAUUUUCGGCCGUGUGGACCAAAACAUAAUUUAAUGAAAAAGGAAAAAAAUGAUAAGAUUUCUAAAAUGUGUGGAAGGUGAUCCAUAUUUUACUGAAACGACUUGUUAAAUUUUUUAAGAAUUUAGAAUAUUUGAUCAUAAAUUACAUGCAUGUUAAUUUUUCCGUCAUUGACCAUCAUAUUCUAGACUUACCUUUCUUGAUGAAGGGUACUUAGUCUCUCUUCUCCUCUUAUAAAAAUUAUAUUAAUUGAUUUCUUGUUAUAGUUAAUAGUCUUUAAGAACGUAUAGAUUUAUUGUUUUCAUGACCAAAUUAUGCCCGGCUAAGGUUGCGACUAUUAAUAAAAUUAAUAUUUAAUGUUUAUGUUAAAAGAUAUAAGAUUUUGUGCAUUCAUUUUGUGCAUUCAUUAAUUGUUAUUAGCUAAAGGAUGAAUUUUUUUUUCAACCCAAUCAGUUGAUACAUCUGCAAGAGUUUUUUCUUUCAUUGACCAUAAUUAUAUUCCGGGUACAACAAAUUGUCUUUGGUGCUUGGAAAAUAUGACUUCUUACUUCAAGUUUGAUACGUCUCUCACCAUAAGCGUACUGGAAAUAUAUCCUCAUCUUCUGUCAUUUAUCUAGGACCUUGCUACGUUACAGACUCUGUAUGUAACGCAGCAAAUGAGGAGCAUCCACGCGUUGCAGGAGAGAGGAAAAGUUGUUGGAAUUUAGCUGAUACAAGACUAAUUUCCAUUGAGCUGUUACAUACAGAGUCUGUAAGGUAGUUUUGUCCCAUUUAUCUAAUAUCAAUUGAAGAUCUCACUUUUUCAAACUAUCACUUCCAAGUAUCAUUGUCACUUGGCCAUUCUUGGACCAUUCAAAACCAAUCAAGUGUUGAAAUAAUCAAAUAUAUGCAAAAUUAGAGUCAUGAUUUUCGGUCCCCCAAAUUCUAAUUAUAUAACUUCUAUAUAUCUCAUUGUCAGGUCACGAACUUGUUGGCACAUUUUCCAAAUUCCUCUUCCAUCAGCUCUCACAUGUUAACUUGAGUGGAAAGUUUCCAACUUAAUUGCUAGAAAGCAACGCAAAAUCGGACACACUUGCUCUGUCCCAUAAUUCUCUUUUCUACGUUGAAAAAGAAAAAAAAAAGAAAAAAGAAAAUAUAUCUAUGUAAAAUUAAAUAAUAAACUGAGCAAAAGUACAUUUGUUUAAUUAACAUCUGAUCGGGGCAUUUUUGGUGUGAUUUCGUGCUGUGUAAGCCACAACUAAAAUCAAACAGCCCCUUAGCAUACUUCUUCCAUUUUAUCUGCUACUUUUGUGGAUCUUAUAGGGUGGGCAUGUGGACAGAAUUUAAAAGUUUUAAUAGUCUCAAAGAAUAAAAUAUGUUAAAGCUGAAGUUGAAAAAAUGGGUGUUGAUGAUUCAUCCUGAUUUGGAUAGAUUACGUGAAUAAAAUUGACAAUUUUGAUUUAAUUUUUGUUUAUUGUUAAUUUUCAGGCUAUCUUAAUUUCAAGAAUUUAGAAUAUUAAUUUGGUCAUGGAUUUCAAUCCGUGAGUAUCAUAUUCUAGACUUAAUGGUACCAUUCUUGAUUGAGGGCAACGACUCUCACUCCUCUUGUAAAAAAAUAUUUUCAACUAUUUUGAUGACUUAAAAAUUGAUAGAUUUAUUGUUGUCAUGACCAAAUUAUUCAUUUUAAUGAAAUAUAAUUAAUGCAUCAAAAUUAGCAGGUGUAUGUUCUAUCUUACUUUUUCAAUACUGCACCUUUUCAAUACUGUUUCUCUUGUAAUUUUCUUUUUCCUUUUUUCAAUGAAAAAAAAGGGAAGGUUUUUCCGAGUAAUCCAUUAUUUGAUUACCGUCAAUCAAGAAAACGACCAAAUUAAUUUCUCUCCAUGAGCUAGAAAAUUUUGUUAUUUGAAAAUAACAUCAUUAAUUAUAGAGUGGAUCAAACCGUGUUAUUGUCUUUCAUAAAAUUGAUGUCUUUUUAAGAGUCAAUACUUUUUAUUUACGCAAACCAGUCGACAUCAAUUUAAACUUCCAUAUUUUUAUUAUUAUUAUGUUAUUUAUUUUAUCAGCGGCUAUAUAUCAAGAAAGCGACAAAAUUUAUUUCUCAUGACUUCCAAAAACUAGAAAACAACAUCAUUAAUUGGGGUUGAUCAAACCGCAUUAUUAGUGUCACACUAUAUUUGUACAACCAAGUCAACAUCAAUUUUUUUAAAUUUUAUAAAUUAAGAAGAUCAUUUUGGCCUUACAGAGUCUGCGCUCUCACCAUUUGAUUUAGCCUUCGCCUCAACUUGAACUUCAUUAUUUUUUUGUAACCCUAAUUGACAUCAACUUUAACUUUAUUAUGUUAUUAUUUCAAUCCCCCAUUAUGCCUUUUUAAUCCUCCAUUAUACCUUUCUUAAAGUGCAAAUUUAAUUGCACAUCUAAAUAAAUUGAUUAUUGUUACUCCACCACCAAUAUUUUGAAAAGUCACUAGACCAUUCCUGCCUUUAGUUUCCCGUAAGUUUAACUAUUGAUUGUUUUUAGCAUCUUAAAAUAUACAUUUAUUCCUUGAUUAUGUGAUAAAAUUAUGAAAAUAUCCAUUUUAGCUUAAAUUAAUUGGAAUAACCAUGCGUAACAUAAAUUAAUAGAACAAAAUUAUCAAGUGUAUGUUCUAUCUUACUUUUUGAAGAAUUUAACAUAUAUAAUGCUAUACUAUUAAUAAAUUUAUCAUUUAAUAUAUAUGUUCAAAUAUUUUAUAUAUUUAUUAAUUGUUAUAUAGUCAAAGGAUGAAUGAUUUUUCAGGUCUACAUGAGUUGGUGCAUCUGCAAGACUCAAUUUUGACAACAAUGAUCUAAGGGGUAAUUUACCUUGCUGUUUGAAAAAUAUAACCUCUCUUCAUGAUUUACUUCCAAUCUACUUACUGUAAAUAUCUCCUCAUCUCCUCUAACUUAUAUGAUAACCCUUGAAGAUCUCACAUUUUCAAACGAUCAUAUUAGGGUUUUUAUUCUUAGCAUCAUCGUGUCAAUAAUAUAUGUUGCAGUAAGAUUUUUUCAGACCAAUUCCCUUCUUCAAAUAAUAAUGGAAAAGUAUUAAUUUAAAAAUAAAAUGAAUAUGCAUUGAUUAUAUCCUGAUUUUCAUCGAUUAUAGCGAGAGUUUCUCCAAAUCAACUCCCUUAUUCAAAUAAUACAGAAAAAAUAGUAAUUUAAUUGUAAAAAAAACAGGUGUUGAUUAUAUAUCCUAAGUUUCGUCGAUUAUGUGAUCAAAGCGGCAUUGCUGAUUUAUUUCUUUUUCAAUGUUGAUUUUUAGGUUAUAUAAAUUUCGAGGAUUUAAAAUCUUUGGUCAUGGAUUACACGCUUUUUAAUUUUUCUGCCAUUGACUGUCAUAUUCUAUACUUAAUGGUACCUUUCUUGAUCAAGGGUAAUUACUCUCUCUUCUCAUCUUAUAAAUUCCUCUUCCAUUAACGUCACUAGGAGUAUGUUGAUCUCUCAGACGUUAACUUGAGUGGAGAGUUUCCAAAUUGAUUGUUACAAAACAAAACAAAAACUAGACACACUUGAUCUGUCUAAUAAUUCUCAUUCGGUAAAAUUAAUUAAUUUUAGGGGAAUAUUCGGCCAACCUCUAUAAUUUCAUAGUGAUCAUUAAUUAAUUAAACGAUACAAAUAUCUAAAGUGAUUAGAUGUUUGCUGACAAUACAAGUUCAUGGCUUGAAAUUUGAUCUCUAUCGAUUGAUUUACAAAUGGAAGUACUUGUGCCUUUGUGGCGAUAAUUGAACCAGAGAUGUGAAGCUGUAAAGAUUUGGCAGUAGUAAAUUGUUAAUUAUAAAGACAUAAAGAAAAGUUCCCAUGAUUAUUAUUUUUCCAAAAACUUUUUUACAACAAAUUCAUCUCGCCAAAAAUUAUAUUUUGCUAACAAACAAUAAUUGAGUACUUGGCCGUAUUGACUUCACGUCUCCACCUGCUUUCUAAGUGAAAACAUGGAAAUGUGUAAUUUCCACAAAAUGCCAAACGUGUGGAAUUUAAUUUUUAGCCUUGUGGACUAAAAUGCAAAUGAAAGAAAAAGGGGAAAAAACAAAAAAGAGCCCAAAGACUUUUAAAACGUGUAGAAGUCUUUGGGCCCCAAAGACUUCUAAAACGUGUGGAAGUCUUUGGGCCUUUUUAUAAUGGUGGAUUUUUUUUUUUUUUUUUAAAUUGGAAACUUCAUUAAGAGGCAAAGAUUACAGAGAAGUCCCCAGUUCGAGUCGCAGGAAAGUCGCCUUUGUUGGGAGAACCUGUGCCUCUCGGUUCGAGUGGGGACUUCUAGUCUAGGUUGUGGUACGGACUUAAAGGUGUCUCCCACAGUUGGGGCCCUCCCCAGAAUACCUCGUGGUCAAAACAAAAAAAAAAAAAAAAAAAGAUUACAGAGAAGUAAAUAACCAAGGAGGUGGGACAUGACUCCACUCCUCAAAGCCUGACAAAGAACCCCCCACCCGAGCGGUAACAUGGGCGGCAGUGUUCAAAGACCUUCGAAUAAAAGAGAACUCAAUAUCUCCUAUAGACUUAGCUAAAGCUAGACAAUCAUCAAGAAUAAGACCAUACCCAUUCGGACAAGAAUAGCUUGCUGUGAGAGCUUUAAAAACCUGGAAGCAGUCCAUUUCUACUACAACACAAGACAAAUGCCGCUUCUUAAUCCAGCUGAGGAUCUCACGCACACCAAGCGCUUCAGCAUCCCUUGCACCAAAACUACCCAGGACAGAUGCACAGCAAGCUGCCACAAACAGCCCAUCAGAGUUGCGAAUGACCCCUCCAUAACUUACUUUUCCCUAAGCUGAAAAUGUUGCGGCAUCAACGUUACACUUAAGCCAACCUAACUGAGGAGGUGUCCAGCAAAUUGCCCCAUGACGGCCUUGGAAACAAGUAGCAUUAUUGACAUCAGAUUUCUGCCUCGCAAUUUGACAUUGAAACAAAUAAUUUCCAGCAGAGUUGAGGACAUGACGCACACUACAGACUUUGUUAUUCCAAACUUUGGAUUUUUUAAAAGAAAAAAAUAACAACACUUCUAUGGUUUGUUUUGAUAAUCAUAUUUACAUAUACUCUCUAAUUUUCAAAAUGGACAUAUAAUUUUUUUUUACAAAUAUAUAUUAUUCGUAUUUUUUAUUAUUUUUAUUAUCAUAUUUUUAUUUAUUAUAAAUGUUUAAAGUAAAUUUUUAGGUUGAAAUAUAAUAAAAGGGUAUAAUCGUUCUCUUAUUAAAGACACAUACUUUUAUUUUCUAUCCAUUUGUCAUCUCAAUCACUCUCAAUUAUUCUUUAUUGCUAGCUCAAAACGUGUUGCUGUUGCAAAUUAUAGCAAAAUGAAAAAUAUGGAAAAAAAAAAGGGAAGAAAAUUAAUGCAUGAAAGACUUGGAGAAAACAACCAAAUAAGUCAACUAUAAUCAAGCUGGGUGUAUAAAUUGUUUGAUGUGUCAUAAGCAAAUAGAGAGACGGACAGUGUGUGCGUUUUUUAAUAGUUAAAGAUAUAGAUAGAAUGGGUGGUUCAAAAUCAAAAUUGGUGAUAAUGUUUGUUCUGUUAUUAAUAAUAUUAGAAGGUGGGGGGAGUGAGAGAUGUUUGGAUCAAGAGAGAUUUGCUCUUUUGCGACUUAAACUUUUCUUUGAUGAUCCUUUUAAUUCGCUUCACCACUGGGUAGAUGAUGAGGGAGCUACUGAUUGUUGUCAAUGGGAAAGGGUUGAGUGCAGCAACACCACAGGUCGAGUGAUACAACUAGACCUUUCUUUCAUUGGGAAUUGGGAUUUGAAAGAGCGGUAUCUGAAUGCUUCUUUGUUUACUCCCUUUCAACAACUUGAGUCACUUUAUUUAAAAUACAACAAUAUAGCCGGUUGUGUUGAGAAUGAAGGUGCUUCGUUUAAUUUAAUUAAUUUACUUUCUCUCCCCUAAUUUAUGUUGAAUAUCAAGACCAAGCAAUUAUAUGCAUAUUCAUUCAGUUGACAAUUUUGACUAAUUUUUUUUAAAUGAUUAAUUUUGAAAUUACACGAGUACAAUUUUUAAAUGAUCUUUUUUUUUAUUUUACUUGCAGGUAUAGAGAGGCUAUCAAGAUUGAGCAACUUGAAGAUGCUUGAUUUAAGUGAAAACUUGUUCAACAAUAGCAUCUUAUCAUCUGUAGCUCAUCUUUCAUCAUUAACAUCAUUAUAUUUAUAUUCGAAUAGAUUGGAAGGAAGUAUUGAUGUUAAAGGUACAUAAUUAAAAUUUCAUCUCUUCUCCAAGCUCUUUCAUUAACUUGCUAAAAUAAGAUUCAAGGUUUUGAAUUCAAUUUUUUUUUAUGAUUAAUAUUGAAGAAAAAAAUAAUUUUAAGCAAUUCAUAAAUACAAGUUCUAAUGUUUCUCAUAAUUUUAUCUUGUACUUUUUCGUAUGUCUUGAAUUUAAGAUUAAAAAAAAACUCUAAUGGGGAACCAAACACAUCCACAACUUAUUAUUAUUAUUUUCUAAUUUUUCUGUGUGUUUUGAAACAUUCAACUCAAUUUGUACUUUUUACAGAAUUAGAUUCUUUGAGAGAUUUGGAGGAGCUAUACAUUGGUUGGAACAUGAUUGACAAAUUUGUGGUCCCAAAAGGUACUACAAAUACCAUUAAAAAAUUUAAAUUUUUACAAAUUAGGUAGAUUCUUUGCCAUUUGGUUCAUUAUUUUACAAAUUAGCUAGAUUCUCUGAAUUUAGACAAUGAAUUUUGAUUUUCUUAAAUCCUAUUAUAAUUACUAUUAAAAAACAGGUUACAGAGGUUUGAGGAAGUUGAAAAGCCUAGGUCUAUCGGGAGUUGGAAUUACAAAUGGAAGCAAGUUGUUACAGUCAAUGGGAUCAUUCCCAUCCCUCAACACUCUUCACCUUUCGUUUAAUGAAUUUACGGAAACAGUAACAACUACUACUCAAGGUAAGUAAAUGGUACAUAUGUCGCCAAAUUUAUAAAUAAACUGUUAAUUAAUUAAUUAAUUUUUUCGUAUUAUUAAGAAAGCUAAAUUCGUUGCUCCUUCCUUUUAAAUCUAAACAGAGUUGCACAAUUUCACCAACUUGGAAUAUUUGACAUUGGACUAUUCCUCUCUCCAUAUAAGCCUUCUGCAAAGCAUUGCAUCAUUCACUUCGUUAAAAAAUCUGUCGAUGUCUUAUUGUGAAGUCAAUGGCGUCCUAAGCGGUCAAGGUAAAAGAAAAGUGUUGAUUGUGAAUAAGCUGUUAAUUAAUUAAUGUUGUUGCUCCUUGCUUCUAAACAGAGUUGCGCAAUUUCACCAACUUGGAAUAUUUGAAUUGGACUCUUCUUCCUCGCUUGUCAAAUAUUGGACUCUUCCUCGCUUGCGCAAUUUCAUCAUUCACUUCUGCAAUUUCUUGAAGAAUGAAUUUAUUUAUUUAUUUAUUAUUGUUGUAGUUGUUGUUGUUGUUGAAGUGGGGUGGGCAAGCGUUCACUCAAUUAAUAUGUGGGGAAUUAAAUAUUAACAUCAACGUAGAAUUGUGGAAAAUUAAAGUAAAAUGAGAAAUAUGGAAUGAAAGGAAGAAAGUUAAGAGCAUGAAAGACUGGGAGAAGAAUAAAGACCACCAAAUAAGUCAACUGAAAACAAGCUGAGGCCUGGGUGUACAAAUUGUUAGAUGUGUUUAUUAUAAAUAACAUAGAGCCCUCUUGUUGGUUGCAGAGGCAGAGAGACAGAGAGUGUGCAUUUUAUUAAUUAAAAAUAUUUAUAGAAUGGGUGGUUGCAAAAUCCAAAAUGGUGAUAAUGUUAGUUUUGUUAGUAUUAAUAAUAUUAGAAGGGGGGUAGUGUGAGGGAUGUUUGGUGCAUGAGAGAUUUGCUCUUUCGAGACUUAAAACAUUUCUGCAAACCUCCUUAUAAUUUUCGUCACGAAUGACCGCUGUCAACACCACAGGCUGAGUGGUAUCUGAAUGCUUCUUGGUUUACUCCCUUUCAACAAUAUAGUCGGUAGUGUUGAGAAUGAAGGUGUUUCGUUUAAUUUAAUUAAUUUACUUUCUCCCUCCUAAUUUAAGUUGAAUAUCAAGACCGAGCAACUAUAUGCAUAUUCAUUUAGUUGACAAUUUUGACAUAUUUUUUUAAAUGAUUAAUUUUGAAAUUACACCAAACAGAUGCGAUCUCUGUUUUGAUUUUACUUGCAGGUCUAGAAAGAUUGGCCAACUUGAAGAUGCUUGAUUUAAGAGGAAACUUGUUCAAUAAUAGCAUCUUAUCAUCUCUAGCUCGUCUUUCAUCAUUAACAUCAUUAGAUUUAUCUUACAAUCGAUUGGAAGGAAGUAUUAAUGUUAAAGGUACGUAAUUAAAACGUCAUCUCUUCUCCCAACUCUUUCAUUAACAUGCUAAAAUAAGAUUCAAGGCUUUGAAUUCAAUUUUUUUAUGAGUAAUAUUAGAAAAAUAGUUUUAAGCAAUUCAUAAAUACAAUUUUCAAUGUUUCUCAUAAUUUCAUCUUGUACUUUUGUAUGUCUUGACUUUAAGAUAAAAAAAAAAAUUACUCUAACUAUGAAGCAAAUACCCCAUGACUAAUUUAUCAUUUUGUCCAGUUAAAAAUGAUAAAAUUUAUCAUUUUGUUUUUAUUGAUUAAUUAACUCUGUUUUAAGUCUUAAGUCUUGGCUUCUUGGCAUGUUUGCAGAAUUUGAUUCCUUGAGCAACUUAGAGGAGUUGGACAUGAGCGGCAAUGAAAUAGACAAUUUUGAGGUUCCUCAAGGUAAACUAUUAAAAUAUUAUUCAAUUACAUUAAUUUAAUUCGUUUGAUUAGGGAAGGCCCAAAAGGUACAGAAACAUAAUUGAAAAAAAAAAUAAAGAAACAGAGAAUUCAUAUUAUUUCAAAAAACAAAAGGUAAUACUAUUAUUUCAAAAAUAGAAUGUAAUAAAGAUUUGAUUUCGGUUCUUUAAUCUUUACAGCAAUUGAAAAACAAUGUUGCUCUAAAUAUGAAAUGACUCCAAAUUGAAUUAGUCAUUUAUUUCGUUUAGCUCUAAAUUUAGAAAAAAUGAAUUUUGAUUCUCUUCAAUUCUUUCAAAAUUAUUAUUAAUAAACAGGUUACAAAGGUUUGAGGAAGUUGAAAACUUUGUAUCUAUUGGGAGUUGGAAUUAGAGAUGGAAGCAAGUUGUUACAGUCAAUGGGAUCAUUCCCAUCCCUCAACAAUCUUGACCUCUCUUAUAAUAAUUUUACCGAUACAGUGACCACUACUCAAGGUAAGUAAAAGGUAUAGAUGUGGUCAAAUUCAUAAACAAACUCUUAAUUAAUUAAUUAAUUUUCCAUAUUAUUAAUAAAAGUGAAAUUUGUUGCUUCUUCCUUCUAAUUCUAAACAGAGUUGCACAAUUUCGCCAACUUGGAAUAUUUGACAUUGCACGGUUCCUCUCUCCACAUAAGCUUUCUGCAAAGCAUUGCAUUAAUGUUUCCUUCGUUAAAAAAUCUGUCGAUGCUUGAUUGUAAAGUAAAUGGUGUCGUACGUGGUCAAGGUAAAAGAAAAGUGUUGAUUGUGAACUCAUUGUUGUCCUACGUGUUCAACAUUUUAUUUAUUUAUUUUAUUGUUUAAUGUUUCUGCUAGGUUUUCCUCAUUUCAAGAGUUUGGAACAUUUGGACAUGGAUGACUUGCGCAUUGUACUCAACACCAGCUUUCUUCAAAUCAUCGGUGAAUCGAUGCCUUCUCUUAAGUACUUAUCACUGUCAUAUUCUAGUGCUAUCACUAACAGCAGUGGGAUUCUUCAAGGUUAAUAAGAUGCUCCCACCGUUCCCUCUUAAUCUAUAAUAUUAAUUUUUGAUUAAAUAUAUAAUUACAAAAACCAAUCACUUAUAAAAGAAUGCUAUGUAUUUGUUAAUUUUUUUAUUGUACUGAUGGAUAAAUUAAUAAAUUUUCAGGCCUCUGUUCGCUGGUGCAUCUGCAAGAGUUGCACAUGGCUGAUAAUGAAUUAAGAGGUAGCUUGCCUUGGUGCUUGGCAAAUAUGACAUCCCUCCGAAUAUUAGAUGUUUCUUCCAAUCAACUUACUGGAAGCAUCUCCUCAUCUCCCCUCUUUUACUUGACAUCCAUUGAAGAGCUGAGCCUUUCAAACAAUCACUUCCACAUCCCAAUUUCACUUGAACCACUUUUUAAUCACUCAAGACUCAAAAUUUUCUAUGCUGACAACAACCCAAUAAAUGCAAAAAUAACUAAGUCACAUACUUUGACCACCCCAAAAUUCCAACUAGCAUCUCUUUCAUUGUCUUCCAGUUAUGGAGAUGGUGUCACAUUCCCCAAAUUCCUUUACUAUCAACAUGACCUGGAGGAUGUUCAUUUCUCACGCAUACAAAUGAAUGGAGAAUUUCCAAAUUGGUUGUUGGAAAACAACACAAAAUUAAGACAACUUUCUCUCGUCAAUGAUUCUCUUGCAGGACCUUUUCGAUUGCCAAUUCAUUCACACAGGCAUUUAAGACUGUUGGAUGUCUCCAACAACAACUUCCAAGGCCACAUUCCAGUAGAAAUUGGAGAUAUUUUACCACGUUUAAUAUCCUUCAACAUUUCAAUGAAUGCUUUGGACGGUAGCAUUCCCUCUUCAUUUGGUAAUAUGAACCUUCUCCAAAUUCUGGACUUAUCCAACAACCAAUUGACUGGUGAAAUCCCCGAGCACUUGGCCAUGGGUUGCGUCAACUUGGAGUUUCUUGCAUUAUCAAACAACAGCUUAAAAGGUCAUAUGUUCUCCAGAAACUUUAACCUGAUAAACUUGAGAUGGUUACAAUUGGAAGGCAAUCACUUCGUAGGAGAGAUCCCACAAAGUUUGUCUAAAUGCUCCUCACUAGAAGGAUUGUAUCUUAAUAAUAACAGUCUCUCGGGUAAGAUUCCACGAUGGUUGGGUAAUCUCACAUGGUUAAUACAUAUUAUAAUGCCCAAGAAUCACCUUGAAGGUCCUAUUCCAGUGGAGUUUUGUCAUCUUUAUUCGCUUCAGAUUUUGGACAUUUCAGACAACAAUAUAUCUGGAAGUUUACCAUCUUGUUUCCAUCCUCUCUCUAUCACACAAGUUCACCUAUCGAAAAAUAUGUUACAUGGACAGCUAAAAGGAGGUACUUUCUUUAAUUGCUCUUCCCUUGUGACAUUAGAUCUUAGCUAUAACCUCUUGAAUGGCAGCAUUCCAGAUUGGAUUGAUGGGCUUUCUCAGUUAAGCCACCUUAUCUUAGGUAACAAUAAUCUUGAAGGUGAAGUGCCAGUUCAAUUGUGUGGAUUGAACCAACUACAAUUGUUAGAUCUUUCUAAUAAUAAUCUUCACGGUCUUAUUCCUCCUUGUUUUGAUAACACCAAACUUCAUGAAAGUUACAACAAUAGUUCUAGUCCUGAUGAGCAAUUUAAAAUAUUGUUUUCCAUCAAAGGCCAUCAGGGACAUGUAGAAAAGAAAAUCCAAGAAUUUUUUGAGUUCACAACAAAGAACAUUGCGUACAUUUUCCAAGGAAAAGUGCUUAGCCUCCUAUCAGGACUUGAUCUUUCUUGUAACAAGCUAAUCGGUCAUAUUCCUCCUCAAGUUGGAAAUUUGACAAGGAUUCAAACAUUGAAUCUAUCACACAACAACUUGACAGGAUUGAUCCCAUCAACAUUUUCAAACUUGAAGCAAAUCGAAAGUUUGGAUCUUUCCUACAACAAAUUGAAUGGGAAAAUCCCUCAUCAACUUGUGGAGUUAAAGGAAUUGGCUGUUUUCAGUGUGGCAUACAAUAACUUAUCAGGCGAAAUUCCAGAAUGGAAAGCACAAUUUGCAACCUUCAACGAGAAUAGCUAUGAGGGAAAUACUUUUCUUUGUGGACUGCCAUUACCCAUUUGUAGAUCACCAACAACUAUGUCGGAGGCUUCAAUCGAAAAUGAACGAGAUGAUAAUUUAAUUGACACGGACAGUUUUUUUAUCACAUUUACAACAUCGUACGUAAUUGUGAUAUUCGGAAUUGUUACUGUUUUAUAUGUAAAUUCUUAUUGGCGACAUAGAUGGUUUUACUUUGUUGAAAUGUGGAUAACUUCAUGUUACUAUUUUGUUGUAGACAAUCUUAUUCCAACAAGAUUUUGUCAUUGAAAUUAAUUAGUAGUUUAAUUACAAUUCUUUAAGUACUAAUCAAGUUUGCUUAGGAAAUAAAUUUAUUUUUAUUUUUAUUAAAAUUGUAGUAGUAUUUAGCAUUAUAUAGCUUCCAACUUCCAAGCACUUCACAUUUGUCUCUACACUUAAAAAGCUGAGUGAUCAUGUUUUACAGAUAUGGAUCUGGAGUAGGAUAGAUCCAAACACCAAACUCAUAUCUGUCCAUCAUAGCUUAUAGCUUCCCUAUACUGUGCAGCAUACUUAAAUAAGAGAAUCAUCUCCAAUGUUAAAAGCAGCCACUCUAUAACAUUCAUUUAGAAACUAUAUUCAGAAUAGUUUUAUAAUCAUACACAAGAAAUGAAACACCUAGAUGCACUUGAUCGCCUAUUUUACUCUGAAAAAGAACAAUUAUGGUGCUAUCAUCAUCUUCUCAAUUAGCAACAUUAACACUAAAUCCAGCGAUGGACCCAGACAUUUCAUCAAGAAAGGUAUAUAUCUAAUAAAGUUGAAGCUUGACAAAAAAUUCAGGAAGAUUAAUGCCUCGCCACAACAAGGGGCACAACAACAUCAAAGUAGAGAUAAAACAGUAUUCUCAAAGCUAAAACUCUCAAAUCCACCCACCAGAAUUUCAUAUCUCCUCAACAAUUUUAAAAACUAAAGGUAAUUAGGAUUUAACAUUAAUUUUUUAUAUAUUAGUUUCAUAAUUUACAAAUCAAUGAAGAUGAAGAUUAUGCUAAUGAAUUCAAAUUAUACCAUACAUUCUCUAGAUUUUACCAAAAAUUUCCAAGUCAAUCCCACAUAUUUCAUAAUUUUAAGACUGGAAAGUGUUAUGCCAAAACUCAGUAAAGAACUGACAAUGGCUCCCCAAGAUCCACUCAAGAAGGGUUCUUGUAUCUAAAACUAUUGUGAGCCCAAGCAAUCAAAGCAAGUCAAUGAAAGAAUUAAAAGAGGCAGAAAGAACAAUACACAGGAAAGCUUAUAGUGGUUCGGCUAUGGAAGCCUACAUCCACUGUGAAAGGGUGAAUCCAAGUUUGUAUUCAAUGAGUGUCUUACAGAGUACAAGCUUAUUAGAGAAGCUUAACCAUUCAUGAACAACAUGACAUAUUCCAGAAUACCCAGCUAUAUAUAUAAGCAAUGCUCGAUCAUCACCUGCAAGCUUCCCCUGUUAUCCGUGAAGAAGAACAGCAGCUUCCCGCGCUAAUUAACGGCUUAACAGACUCCUGAUAAGCCUCCCUCACACGUGUCUUCAUCUCUAUUAUCUUAAGUACUAAAACGACACUUCAAGCAGCCGUUUUGGUUAAGUGAAUCACGUGCAAACCACAAGCCUUCUUUGCGCACACAGACGACACAAUUUUCUUGUCAUAUAGCUAUCUCAGGACUGUCAACCAACGUGUAAUGGUGUUAACAAAUCUUCAACCGACUUGUCGCACUUGACUAUAAACUGAUUUGCAGUUCAUAUUCAACAUUCUCCACCUUGAGCUCAAAUCAUCCAUCCCUCAGGUUCACCCUUCCACUUCUUUCCUGCAGUCUAUAUCCUGCAGAUGCCAGCUGAGUUCAAACAGAACUCAAACUUGGCUCCUGGUACAGCUUUGGUAAGCAUGUCAGCAAUGUUGCUAUCAGUGUGUAUUUUAGCCAGCUUAAUCACACCCUUUGAUAUUUCCAAUCUGACAAAGUGAAGCUUGAUGUCAAUAUGCUUGGUUUUCUCGUGAUGUAUCUGGUUCUUACUCAGACAUAUAGCACUUUGGCUGUCACAGUGAAUUGUAAUUUGGUUUUGUUCAAAUCCCAGUUCUGUCACUAUCCCUCUGAGCCAGAUAGCUUCUUUGAUUGCCUCUGCAGCUGCUGUGUAUUUUGCCUCAGUUGUUGACAGAGCAACAACACUCUGCAGUGAAGCCUUCCAGUUUAUGGUGCAGCCAUUAAGCAUAAACAGAAAACCUGUUAAAGACCUUCUUUUAUCCAGAUCUCCAGCAUAAUCUGCAUCCACAUAACCCUCCACACUAACCUCUUCAUAUUUCUCAGCUCCAUAGAUCAGACCAUAACCAGUUGUACCAGCCAGGUAUCUUAAGAUCCAUACAACAGCCCUCCAAUGAUCUUUCCCUGGGUUUGCCAUGUACCUGCUUACCACACUCACUGCAUGAGAGAGAUCAGGCCUAGUCAGGACCAUUGCAUACAUUAAACAUCCAACAGCACUUGAGUAUGGAUAUUUAUUCAUUUCAGCCUUUUCAGUAUCAGAGUUUAGACACUGUUGGCAGGACAGUCUGAAAUGAGAGGGCAGUGGUGUCUGUACUGGUUUACAUUUAUCCAUAUUGAAUUUCUCAAGUACUUUCCUGAUGUAUUUGUGCUGUGUUAGGCUUAGGAUACCAUUCUUUCUGUCUCUCUUUAGCUGAACUCCAAGGAUCUUCUUUGCAGCACCCAGAUCCUUCAUCUCAAAUGUAUUGCUCAGCUGCUGUUUCAGUUCAUUGAUGAACUCCAUCUCCUUACAAGCUAUUAACAUAUCAUCUACAUAGAGUAGCAGGUAGAUCUUGUCACCACCUUCUAUGGUUUUAAAAUAGAUACAGCAGUCAAAACUGCUCCUUUGAAAACCAUGAUCUGACAUGAACCUGUCAAACCUUAGAUACCACAGUCUUGGAGACUGUUUUAAUCCAUAUAGUGACUUCCUUAGAUGACAUACAUGAUCAGUCUUUUCUGGAUCCUCAUACCUUUCAGGUUGUGACAUCACUAUCAUCUCAUCUAUUUCACCAUGCAAGAAGGGAGUCUUCACAUCCAUCUGUUCAAGAUGCAUGUCUUGUACAGCCACUAGAGAUAACAAGAUCCUCAGGGAGGCAUGUCUCACCACUGGGGAGAAAACUUUUGUAAAGUCCACCCCCUCUUUCUGAGUGAAGCCUUUUGCAACCAAUCUGGCUUUAUAUCUUUGUGGCUCAACAUCUGGUAUUCCCUCCUUAAUCCUGUAGAUCCAUUUGCACCCUACUACCUUCUUGUUUGCUGGUCUUUCAAUGAGAUUCCAGGUGUGAUUCUUUUUCAAAGACAUCAUUUCCUCAUCCAUGGCCUUGAUCCAUUCUUCUGCUUUAUCACUGUUAAUAGCUUCUGAGUAUGUUCUUGGUUCAUCUGUUGCUACUUCAUGUGCUGCUGUUAAUGCAAAUGCUAUUAGGUCUGCAUAUGCAUAUCUUCUAGGAGGUCUUAUUACUCUCUUUUCUCUGUCCCUUACUAACUGAUAAUCUCCACUUCUUCCCUGAUCACUUGCUGCUUCAAUCUCAGUGUCAUGCAUUUCCAUGUCUGCUAUGUCUCCAGCCUCUGAUCUUGGUUUCAGUUUCUAGUUUGAGUUUGACAGCUCCACCUCAAGAUAAGAUUUCUCAUCUUUUUCUUUCAUUUCUGCAUUUGUAGUUUUUAAGGAUGCUGAGUGUUGGAGCAUUUCAGCUUCAUUAAAAACUACAUCUCUGCUUAUGAUUGCUUUUGGUGGCUUCAUGUCUGUGCACCACAGUUUAUACCCUUUUACCCCUUCAGGGUAACCAAGAAAUACACACUUCAAUGCCCUAGGCUCUAAUUUGCCUUGUCUAAUGUGAGCAUAUGCUGGACAACCAAAUAUCUUCAAACUGGAGUAAUCUGCUGGUUCACCAUACCAAAGUUCAUAUGGUGUCUUGAAGUUAAUUCCAGUUGAAGGGCUUCUGUUCACAAUGUGACAAGCUGUUGACAGAGCCUCAGCCCACAAGGACAUAGGUAGCUUGGAGUGAAUGAGCAUACACCUCACUUUGUCAACUAAGGUUCUAUUCAUCCUCUCAGCUAAUCCAUUUUGCUGAGGUGUAUAUCUUACUGUUCUGUGCCUCAUGAUCCCAUGCUUGCUGCAAAACUCUUCAAACCUCUUGUUGCAGAAUUCUAAUCCAUUAUCAGUUCUGAGCUUCUUAACCUUCCUAUUGGUCUGAGUUUCAAUCAGUGUUUUCCAGUUCUUGAAAUGUUCAAACACUUCAUCUUUGUUCUUCAGCACAUACACCCAAACCAUUCUGGAAUGGUCAUCAAUUAGAGAUAGAAAAUACCUUGCCCCUCCUAAAGAUGUUGUUUGUGCAGGUCCCCACAGAUCAGCAUGUAUGUAUUCUAGAGUUCCUCUUGAAACAUGUGCACCUGUGCUGAAUUUGACUCUUGAUGAUUUGCCUAGGACACACUCCUCACAAAAUUUCAAGUACUCUAUUUUACCUUCACCCAAGACUCCCUGUUUUGAUAGUUCUCUCAAGCCUCUCUCACUCAUAUGGCCUAAUCUAAAGUGCCACAAUAAGGUUUUGUUUAGGUUCUGGUUUGAAACUCCAACAUCUCCUGUGACUUCAGACCCCUGGAGCACAUACAGGCCAUUGUCUAAGUUUCCUUUCAUCAACACCAUAGACCCUUUUAUCACCUUUAAAGUGCCUGACUCAAGCUUGAUUACACACCCCAUUCUGUCAAGCAUGCCAAGAGAAAUUAGGUUCCUCUUUAAAUCAGGGAUGUGUCAAGCAUUUGUUAAUUCUCUUAUUGUGCCAUCAAGCAUUUCCAGAAUACCCAGCUAUAUAUAUAAGCAAUGCUCGAUCAUCACCUGCAAGCUUCCCCUGUUAUUCGUGAAGAAGAACAGCAGCUUUCCGCGCUAAUUAACGGCCUAACAGACUCCUGAUAAGCCUCCCUCACACGUGUCUUCAUCUCUAUUAUCUUAAGUACUAAAACGACACUUCAAGCAGCCGUUUUGGUUAAGUGAAUCACGUGCAAACCACAAGCCUUCUUUGCGCACACAGACGACACAAUUUUCUUGUCAUAUAGCUAUCUCAGGACUGUCAACCGACGUGUAAUGGUGUUAACAAAUCUUCAACCGACUUGUCGCACUUGACUAUAAACUGAUUUGCAGUUCAUAUUCAACAGAAAGUUUCAUUAGUUAGAAGUUUCAUUACCUUCAAGUGGAAGAUGAAGAAGAACAUUAUGCAAGUGAUUCAGACUACAUCAUACAUACUCCAAAUGCAACUAGAAAUUAAGAAGUUCAUGCCCACAGAUUUCAAAACAUUAUGAUUGGAAAGUUUCACAAAUACAGACAAAUUUUAAAUUCAAUCUCUUACAUCAAGGUAGUUUGAUUGAUAUGAGUUACUUUCUGAUCAAACUACUAAUAUAACAUUCAAUUCAGGGAGAAAGUAAAUUAAAAUUGGGAAGAAAUGAUAGUAAAAAUUUGUUGCUAAACAUGAUGUGUAUUUGUUUUUUUUAGGCAAUUUGGAAACACAGUUGUUACUACAGAUAUUCUCCUCAACUUGGAGGUAAAUACAAAUAUUAAAAUGCAUAUGAUCACACAUAUUACUUGGAGCUUAGUAAGAUUUGAUUAAGAGAAGCAAUCAAACCGCAAUCAAAGCACUUAUCAAUUGCCGCAGUCGUUAUAUAAACUAAAAUGGCAAUAUAAUACAAGAAAAAGAACAUAUAGAUACUUGGCAAGAGUUCAUUAAGAAGUCGCAUCACAUUCGGGUGAGGAGUUUGCUUUUGAUAUCUUGCUAGCUGGGGCUUUUUCUUGUCUUUCUAUGUUUGCCGAGGGAAACCAACCAGCUUGGCCCUGGCAUUCACCUUCCGACCGUCCAGUAAGAGCCACCUUGAGAAGUUAUAACUAAAAAGGUGAAUUAAACAAAAGUUGACCGUUCAAAGACCUAAGGGGAAAACUAAUUCUUUUACGUAGGAGUGAAUUAGUUGUGAUUACUGAAAUUACAGCAUUAACCAUGAAAGCAUAACAAGAUAUAAAUUCAUAUAUCUAUAAAGGUAAACUGGGUGGUUUAGAAUUGAGCUAGCAACCCUACUAUAUUCUGAUUUGCACUUCAAUGUAAAAGGGAAUAUAUAGUAGGAAGAAAGAAAACCAACCAUUAUUUUUUAACUCAUUGUUUUUCAAUCAAAAUUUUAAGAACAAAAUGUCAUGUGCUUUGAACAUCAAAUAAGUAUAAGCAUUAGUUCUAAAUUCCACAUAUUAUAAGUUGUUAGAAGAAUAAGUUAAUAGCAUACUAGAAAAAUCUAUGUGUUGUUAUUUAGAGGGGAAAGUACCUGGCGAACCACAACAUAAUCAUCAAUUGAAAGACUUAGCUCCCCAUUUGCUUGAGCGUCAAAUGGAUUUAUAACUUGCAAGAUAAUGGGAUAAAUAGAACUUAAUCUUAAAAAAAACAUAACAAAAGCAGCAACAGUAGCAGCAGCGUUCAUUGUAACCACUAUGAUUAUGGCCAACAAAGAUAUAUUAGAAAAAAUUUCCAUUUUUACUACGACAUUAAUAUGUACUAUACGAUAUCAUGACGAUUGGGUUACCAAGAGCUAUCAAAGUUCAAUAAGUUCUGUAUAACUUUAUGUAGUUAUUUAAAUUAUGGAUCGGAUUUUAAAUUUGAAAUUUUGACUGCUCUCCACAAAACAUGGCCUAUGCAUAAGAAAGUCAUAGAUAAUGACGAUUACAAGUGUCCGACAUCUUUUGAGGGAUGGAUUUAACAUGACAGCUUAUGGUCAGUCAAUUUCCUCUGCCUAACAAUAUAAGCUUUCUCGGCCAGAUAUAUCAUCAAAUACAUAGAUUGCCCCCAAGUCACAUCCAUAUAAACAUAGUUUUUAUAGGUAAACCAAGUAAGGAGAAUCAUAAUUCAGACAUAAUCACAAAAAGGCCCAUCUAAAUUAAGAGAAAAUCUCAAAAAGAGGGAUGUUGAGCUAUCAGUCAUGUAUCUAUAAGCAAUAUCAAGACCUUACAUCACCUACUACAUCGUGAGUAUCUACACAACUUUCAGUGGUUUGUCUUUCUUUGGCAUGCCUAACUCAGCUUUGAUGUUGCUGAGAUAUUGAUGGUAGAGACACAUGAUACUUCUAGCUCAUGCAUUCUAUCUAGCUCAUCCGACAGCUUUCUCUUUUUUAAUUCAUUAGUGUUUGUUAAACCUCAUGCUUCAAAGUCUUGUUCUCUAAAACAAAGUUUCCUAAGAAUAACUUCCUCAGCACCACAUUUGGACACUUUUAGAGCAAUUUUAUUUUGUGGAAAAGAAUUUUCAAGGUGUUAACUAAUAAAUUUUAAAAAAUAAUUACAAUUUGUCCUACGAUCAUAUGAUAAUUUAUUUGGGAUGAAAGGAUACAGGCAGACAUCUUCCACUUUCAAGACUAAUCACUACUUCCGUAGAUGUUGUACAAUAAUACAAAUACUUGACCAGAUGGUAGUGAUAGAAGAAAAAAAUUUUAUUGCUCCAAAAUUAAAAUAAGGGUCAAUCUAUAAUGCCGUAACUAAAUUUACGACAUUGAUACCGUAAUGUACGUGGACCGUUAGAUUUGAAAAAAAAAUCUCUACCAUUAAUUCUAAAUAAAUAGGUAACCUGUUACCUAAGUAGCAGGUAAUUACUAUUUUUUGUUCAAGUUCCAUGUUACAUUUACCAAUUUUAUGUGUGAUUUACAAGUUUUAUGAAACUUUUACAAGUUUUAAGCAACAUUUACAAGUUUUAUGCAACAUUUACAAGUUUUUGUUUUAUUUACAAGUUCUUCUCACAAUUACAACUGUAACAUUAAUUUACCUAUUUUUCCAUUAAUUUAUUAGUUUUAUGUGUGGUUUACAUAUUUUAUGUUUUAUUUCACACUUAAUGUGAAUUUACUAGUUCUAUGUCAUUUUUCUAAGUUUUUGUUUUGUUUACAAAUUCUUCGUACAAAUUACAACUCCGGCAUUAAUUUACUCAUUUUUUCAUCAAUUUACUAGUUUUAUGUGUGAUUUACACAUUUUUUGUUUUAUUUCACAAUUAAUGUCAAUUUACUAGUUCUAUGUCAUUUUUAUAAGUUUUUGUUUUGUUUACAAGUUCUUCGUGCAAAUUACAAUUCCAACAUUAAUUUAUCAUUUUUUUCAUUAAUUUACUAGUUUUAUGUGUGAUUUACAUAUUUUUUGUUUUAUUUCACACUUAAUGUGAAUUUACAAGUUCUAUGUCAUUUUUCUAAGUUUUUGUCUUGUUUACAAGUUCUUCUUACAAUUUACAACUCGAAUAUUAAUUUACCAUUUUUUCCAUACAUUUACUAGUUUUAUGUGUGGUUUACAUAUUUUUUGUUUUAUUUCACACUUAAUGUGAAUUUACAAGUUCUAUGUCAUUUUUCUAAGUUUUUGUCUUGUUUACAAGUUCUUCUUACAAUUUACAACUCGAACAUUAAUUUACCAUUUUUUCCAAACAUUUACUAGUUUUAUGUGUGGUUUACAUAUUUUUUGUUUUAUUUCACACUUAAUGUGAAUUUACUAGUUCUAUGUCAUUUUUCUAAGUUUUUGUUUUGUUUACCAGGUUUUCGUACAAAUUACAACUCCAACAUUAAUUUACUCAUUUUUCCAUUAAUUUACUAGUUUUAUGUGUGAUUUACACAUUUUUUGUUUUAUUUCACAAUUAAUGUCAAUUUACUAGUUCUAUGUCAUUUUUAUAAGUUUUUGUUUUGUUUACAAGUUCUUCGUGCAAAUUACAAUUCAAACAUUAAUUUACCAUUUUUUUCAUUAAUUUACUAGUUUUAUGUGUGAUUUACACUUUUGUUUGUUUUAUUUCACACUUAAUGUGAAUUAACAAGUUCUAUGUCAUUUUUCUAAGUUUUUGUUUUGUUUACAAGUUCUUCGUACAAGUUACAACUCCAACAUUAAUUUACUCAUUUUUCCAUCAAAUUACUAGUUUUAUGUGUGAUUUACACAUUUUUUGUUUUAUUUCACAAUUAAUGUCAAUUUACUAGUUCUAUGUCAUUUUUAUAAGUUUUUGUUUUGUUUACAAGUUCUUCGUGCAAAUUACAAUUCCAACAUUAAUUUACCAUUUUUUAAUUAAUUUACUAGUUUUAUGUGUGAUUUACACUUUUGUUUGUUUUAUUUCACACUUAAUGUGAAUUAACUAGUUCUAUGUCAUUUUUCUAAGUUUUUGCUUUGUUUACAAGUUUUUCGUACAAAUUACAACUCCAACAUUAAUUUACUCAUUUUUCCAUCAAUUUACUAGUUUUAUGUGUGAUUUACACAUUUGUUGUUUUAUUUCACAAUUAAUGUCAAUUUACUAGUUCUAUGUCAUUUUUAUAAGUUUUUGCUUUGUUUACAAGUUCUUCGUGCAAAUUACAAUUCCAACAUUAAUUUACCAUUUUUUUAAGUAAUUUACUAGUUUUAUGUGUGAUUUACACAUUUUUUGUUUUAUUUCACACUUAAUGUCAAUUUACUAGUUCUAUGUCAUUUUUAUAAGUUUUUGUUUUGUUUACAAGUUCUUCGUGCAAAUUACAAUUCCAACAUUAAUUUACCAUUUGUUUAAGUAAUUUACUAGUUUUAUGUGUGAUUUACAUAUUUUUUGUUUUAUUUCACACUUAAUGUCACUUUACUAGUUCUAUGUCAUUUUUAUAAGUUUUUGUUUUGUUUACAAGUUCUUCGUGCAAAUUACAAUUCCAACAUUAAUUUACCAUUUUUUUCAUUAAUUUACUAGUUUUAUGUGUGAUUUACAUAUUUUUUGUUUUAUUUCACACUUAAUGUGAAUUUACAAGUUCUAUGUCAUUUUUCUAAAUUUUUGUCUUGUUUACAAGUUCUUCUUACAAUUUACAACUCGAACAUUAAUUUACCAUUUUUUCCAUACAUUUACUAGUUUUAUGUGUGGUUUACAUAUUUUUUGUUUUAUUUCACACUUAAUGUGAAUUUACAAGUUCUAUGUCAUUUUUCUAAGUUUUUGUCUUGUUUACAAGUUCUUCUUACAAUUUACAACUAGAACAUUAAUUUACCAUUUUUUCCAUACAUUUACUAGUUUUAUGUGUGGUUUACAUAUUUUUUGUUUUAUUUCACACUUAAUGUGAAUUUACAAGUUCUAUGUCAUUGUUCUAAGUUUUUGUCUUGUUUACAAGUUCUUCUUACAAUUUACAACUCGAACAUUACUUUACCAUUUUUUCCAAACAUUUACUAGUUUUAUGUGUGGUUUACAUAUUUUUUGUUUUAUUUCACACUUAAUGUGAAUUUACAAGUUCUAUGUCAUUGUUCUAAGUUUUUGUCUUGUUUACAAGUUCUUCUUACAAUUUACAACUCGAACAUUAAUUUACCAUUUUUUCCAAACAUUUACUAGUUGUAUGUGUGGUUUACAUAUCUUUUGUUUUAUUUGACACUUAAUGUGAAUUUACAAGUUCUAUGUCAUUGUUCUAAGUUUUUGUCUUGUUUACAAGUUCUUCUUACAAUUUACAACUCAAACAUUAAUUUACCAUUUUUUCCAAACAUUUACUAGUUUUAUGUGUGGUUUACAUAUCUUUUGUUUUAUUUCACACUUAAUGUGAAUUUACUAGUUCUAUGUCAUUUUUCUAAGUUUUUGUUUUGUUUACAAGUUUUUCGUACAAAUUACAACUCCAACAUUAAUUUACUCAUUUUUCCAUUAAUUUACUAGUUUUAUGUGUGAUUUACACAUUUUUUGUUUUAUUUCACACUUAAUGUCAAUUUACUAGUUCUAUGUCAUUUUUAUAAGUUUUUGUUUUGUUUACAAGUUCGUCGUGCAAAUUACAAUUCCAACAUUAAUUUACCAUUUUUUUCAUUAAUUUACUAGUUUUAUGUGUGAUUUACAUAUUUUUUGUUUUAUUUCACACUUAAUGUGAAUUUACAAGUUCUAUGUCAUUUUUUUAAGUUUUUGUCUUGUUUACAAGUUCUUCUUACAAUUUACAACUCGAACAUUAAUUUACCAUGUUUUCCAUACAUUUACUAGUUGUAUGUGUGGUUUACAUAUUUUUUGUUUUAUUUCACACUUAAUGUGAAUUUACAAGUUCUAUGUCAUUUUUCUAAGUUUUUGUCUUGUUUACAAGUUCUUCUUACAAUUUACAACUCGAACAUUACUUUACCAUUUUUUCCAAACAUUUACUAGUUGUAUGUGUGGUUUACAUAUCUUUUGUUUUAUUUCACACUUAAUGUGAAUUUACAAGUUCUAUGUCAUUGUUCUAAGUUUUUGUCUUGUUUACAAGUUCUUCUUACAAUUUACAACUCAAACAUUAAUUUACCAUUUUUUCCAAACAUUUACUAGUUUUAUGUGUGGUUUACAUAUCUUUUGUUUUAUUUCACACUUAAUGUGAAUUUACUAGUUCUAUGUCAUUUUUCUAAGUUUUUGUUUUGUUUACAAGUUUUUCGUACAAAUUACAACUCCAACAUUAAUUUACUCAUUUUUCCAUUAAUUUACUAGUUUUAUGUGUGAUUUACACAUUUUUUGUUUUAUUUCACACUUAAUGUCAAUUUACUAGUUCUAUGUCAUUUUUAUAAGUUUUUGUUUUGUUUACAAGUUCGUCGUGCAAAUUACAAUUCCAACAUUAAUUUACCAUUUUUUUCAUUAAUUUACUAGUUUUAUGUGUGAUUUACAUAUUUUUUGUUUUAUUUCACACUUAAUGUGAAUUUACAAGUUCUAUGUCAUUUUUUUAAGUUUUUGUCUUGUUUACAAGUUCUUCUUACAAUUUACAACUCGAACAUUAAUUUACCAUGUUUUCCAUACAUUUACUAGUUGUAUGUGUGGUUUACAUAUUUUUUGUUUUAUUUCACACUUAAUGUGAAUUUACAAGUUCUAUGUCAUUUUUCUAAGUUUUUAUCUUGUUUACAAGUUCUUCUUACAAUUUACAACUCGAACAUUACUUUACCAUUUUUUCCAUACAUUUACUAGUUUUAUGUGUGGUUUACAUAUUUUUUGUUUUCUUUCACACUUAAUGUGAAUUUACAAGUUCUAUGUCAUUGUUCUAAGUUUUUGUCUUGUUUACAAGUUCUUCUUACAAUUUAUAACUCGAACAUUAAUUUACCAUUUUUUCCAAACAUUUACUAGUUUUAUGUGUGGUUUACAUAUUUUUUGUUUUAUUUCACACUUAAUGUGAAUUUACUAGUUCUAUGUCAUUUUUCUAAGUUUUUGUUUUGUUUACAAGUUUUUCGUACAAAUUACAACUCCAACAUUAAUUUACUCAUUUUUCCAUUAAUUUACUAGUUUUAUGUGUGCUUUACACAUUUUUUGUUUUAUUUCACACUUAAUGUCAAUUUACUAGUUCUAUGUCAUUUUUAUAAGUUUUUGUUUUGUUUACAAGUUCGUCGUACAAAUUACAACUCCAACAUUAAUUUACUCAUUUUUCCAUUAAUUUACUAGUUUUAUGUGUGAUUUACACAUUUUUUGUUUUAUUUCACACUUAAUGUCAAUUUACUAGUUCUAUGUCAUUUUUAUAAGUUUUUGUCUUGUUUACAAGUUCGUCGUGCAAAUUACAAUUCCAACAUUAAUUUACCAUUUUUUUCAUUAAUUUACUAGUUUUAUGUGUGAUUUACAUAUUUUUUGUUUUAUUUCACACUUAAUGUGAAUUUACAAGUUCUAUGUCAUUUUCUUAAGUUUUUGUCUUGUUUACAAGUUCUUCUUACAAUUUACAACUCGAACAUUAAUUUACCAUGUUUUCCAUACAUUUACUAGUUGUAUGUGUGGUUUACAUAUUUUUUGUUUUAUUUCACACUUAAUGUGAAUUUACAAGUUCUAUGUCAUUUUUCUAAGUUUUUGUCUUGUUUACAAGUUCUUCUUACAAUUUACAACUCGAACAUUACUUUACCAUUUUUUCCAAACAUUUACUAGUUUUAUGUGUGGUUUACAUAUUUUUUGUUUUAUUUCACACUUAAUGUGAAUUUACAAGUUCUAUGUCAUUUUUCUAAGUUUUUGUCUUGUUUACAAGUUCUUCUUACAAUUUACAACUCGAACAUUACUUUACCAUUUUUUCCAUACAUUUACUAGUUUUAUGUGUGGUUUACAUAUUUUUUGUUUUCUUUCACACUUAAUGUGAAUUUACAAGUUCUAUGUCAUUGUUCUAAGUUUUUGUCUUGUUUACAAGUUCUUCUUACAAUUUAGAACUCGAACAUUAAUUUACCAUUUUUUCCAAACAUUUACUAGUUUUAUGUGUGGUUUACAUAUUUUUUGUUUUAUUUCACACUUAAUGUGAAUUUACUAGUUCUAUGUCAUUUUUCUAAGUUUUUGUUUUGUUUACAAGUUUUUCGUACAAAUUACAACUCCAACAUUAAUUUACUCAUUUUUCCAUUAAUUUACUAGUUUUAUGUGUGAUUUACACAUUUUUUGUUUUAUUUCACACUUAAUGUCAAUUUACUAGUUCUAUGUCAUUUUUAUAAGUUUUUGUUUUGUUUACAAGUUCGUCGUGCAAAUUACAAUUCCAACAUUAAUUUACCAUUUUUUUCAUUAAUUUACUAGUUUUAUGUGUGAUUUACAUAUUUUUUGUUUUAUUUCACACUUAAUGUGAAUUUACAAGUUCUAUGUCAUUUUGUUAAGUUUUUGUCUUGUUUACAAGUUCUUCUUACAAUUUACAACUCGAACAUUAAUUUACCAUGUUUUCCAUACAUUUACUAGUUGUAUGUGUGGUUUACAUAUUUUUUGUUUUAUUUCACACUUAAUGUGAAUUUACAAGUUCUAUGUCAUUUUUCUAAGUUUUUGUCUUGUUUACAAGUUCUUCUUACAAUUUACAACUCGAACAUUACUUUACCAUUUUUUCCAAACAUUUACUAGUUGUAUGUGUGGUUUACAUAUCUUUUGUUUUAUUUCACACUUAAUGUGAAUUUACAAGUUCUAUGUCAUUGUUCUAAGUUUUUGUCUUGUUUACAAGUUCUUCUUACAAUUUACAACUCAAACAUUAAUUUACCAUUUUUUCCAAACAUUUACUAGUUUUAUGUGUGGUUUACAUAUUUUUUGUUUUAUUUCACACUUAAUGUGAAUUUACUAGUUCUAUGUCAUUUUUCUAAGUUUUUGUUUUGUUUACAAGUUUUUCGUACAAAUUACAACUCCAACAUUAAUUUACUCAUUUUUCCAUUAAUUUACUAGUUUUAUGUGUGAUUUACACAUUUUUUGUUUUAUUUCACACUUAAUGUCAAUUUACUAGUUCUAUGUCAUUUUUAUAAGUUUUUGUUUUGUUUACAAGUUCGUCGUGCAAAUUACAAUUCCAACAUUAAUUUACCAUUUUUUUCAUUAAUUUACUAGUUUUAUGUGUGAUUUACAUAUUUUUUGUUUUAUUUCACACUUAAUGUGAAUUUACAAGUUCUAUGUCAUUUUGUUAAGUUUUUGUCUUGUUUACAAGUUCUUCUUACAAUUUACAACUCGAACAUUAAUUUACCAUGUUUUCCAUACAUUUACUAGUUGUAUGUGUGGUUUACAUAUUUUUUGUUUUAUUUCACACUUAAUGUGAAUUUACUAGUUCUUUGUCAUUUUUCUAAGUUUUUGUUUUGUUUACAAGUUCUUCGUGCAAAUUACAAUUCCAACAUUAAUUUACCAUUUUUUUCAUUAAUUUACUAGUUUUAUGUGUGAUUUACAUAUUUUUUAUUUUAUUUCACACUUAAUGUGAAUUUACAAGUUCUAUGUCAUUUUUCUAUGUUUUUGUCUUGUUUACAAGUUCUUCUUACAGUUUACAACUCGAACAUUAAUUUACCAUUUUUUCCAUACAUUUACUAGUUGUAUGUGUUGUUUACAUAUUUUUUGUUUUAUUUCACACUUAAUGUGAAUUUACUAGUUCUAUGUCAUUUUUCUAAGUUUUUGUUUUGUUACAAGUUUUUCAUACAAAUUACAACUCCAACAUUAAUUUACUACAUUUUCUAUCAAUUUACUAGUUUUUUUCUAUUUUUUAUUUUUUUUAAUUUUGUAGACCAAUUUACCACUGUAACGCUAAUUUACCCGUUUUACCUUCAAUGUACGAGUCAUACGUGUGGUUUAGAAAUUUUUUUUCUUAUUUCACAUUUAUUUGGAAUUUAGGUUAUUUAGUUUAAGUCAAUUGCCUCAACUUAAAUCCAACGUGAAAAUGGUUAAAGAGUUGGAUUAUUGACAUUUUAUGAUUUAGAUAGAAUGAUAUAAGGGUGGGCAUGAGUUGGGUUUGAUAGGGUUAGUGAAAUUCUAACAUGGUCUACUUUUUAAUGAGCUGAUAUAAAAUUCAUCCAAUUUAACUAAAUAAACUUGUUUAACUAAAUUCUACCCAAACCUUAUAUCGUCUGGUUAAGUUGAUUAGGUUGAAGCUCAAAUCAAAAUUUUAAAUUGAACAAUGAAAAUGAUAUUAAACUUAUUAAAAUCAAAUAUAAAUCUUUUAUAACAUGAAAUUUUCAUUCACUAUCUAGUGUACGUAAAGAAAGUUAAUAAAUUAACUAUCUUUAAAUUAAGAAAAUUUCCACAAAAAGCAUAUAGACUUUAUUUCUCUUGCAUCUCCUUUUCCAAUUCCAAAUUAAGACUUUUUAGAUAAUUAGCUAGCAUCAUAUACAAAAAUAAAAUGAAAGUGAUAUAUAAUUAUGUGCCGUUAAGUAUUCACUAAAAAAAUAAAAAAAAAUUAAAACCAACUUACUUUUAUAUUAAUCUUAUAAAAUAAUAAAUUUACUUAUAAGAGAGUGUGAUUUUGGUUUUGGAAUUGUAGUCUAAAGCAGCAGAUGCAAGAAUGAAAUAUCCUCUUGUAUUAAAAGAUUAAAAAGAAUAAAAAAUUAGAUAAACCAUUUAAGUCGUUAUAAUCUUGCAAUUGAGAAUUAACACAUUAUCAUUUUCCUUUUUCUUCUUCUUCUUCUUCUUCUUCUUCUUAUUAUUAUUAUUAUUAUAGAUUUGGUUGGGUUAGACUGGUUAAUUAUAAUUUAUCCAACCCAAACUAAUUAUUAAUUAGGUUUGAAAAAAACAGACCCAAUUAAACCACAAUAAUCUGCUCAUGGUGCAUUUACCAAUCAGUAAUCAUAACGGGCUACAAUCAGAAUCAAGAAUGUGAAUAAGAAUAAGUUAUUUAUUUGAGCUGUAGAAAUUGAAGUCGGAAUGAGAUUCAUUUCCAUCAAUGUGUUUAAUUUGUCUUGAAAUCGGAAUGAAUUAUCAUAAUUUCUUAAAUGCCCUUUGUUGAUUAUUGUCAAUUGGUGGUAAUAAUAAUCAUAAUAAUAAUAAUAAUAAUAAUAAUAAUCAUCAUCAUCAUAAUAUUUAUUAAAAUAGUAUUAUAAUUAUGAUUACUAAUUCAUUAUUGAUAUUAUUUAUUAAUUUCAUGAUUUUGUUUUAUGAUUAUUAUUUAUGAAAAUAUUAUUGUAAUCAAACUUUAUAAUAAUUAUUAUAAUAAUAAGUUAUUAUUAUUAUUAAUAUUUUAUUAUAUUAUUAUUUCGUAAAAAUAUUAUUAUAUUUAUAAUUUUAUUGUUAUUAUUAUUAAUAUGAAAUUAUUUCAUUAUUGUUUAUUAUAAUAUUAUAUUAAUUAUAAUUCAUUAUAAUUUAUUAAUCUUUCAUUAUUGUUCAUGUGCGUAGGAGUUAGAUUUGAGAUAAUGUUCUGAAAAUAACUCGGUUAAUGUUUGAAAUCUUGUUUAUAUUAGGUCUUAUUUUUCUAGCUAGGUUACUAUUAUGCUUGCAAUUUUAUUUUUCUAAAUAAUUAGAUUAUCAUCAUGCUAUCGCAGCAAGUUUGGACAGACAUGAUGGUUGCGUAAAACCUCAACUAUUUUUUAUUAUUGACUAGGCCUUGCUUGCUUCUUGUUUUUCAAUUUAGGCAGUGAUGGUAGUAAAAGCUUUUGGAGUUUUGGACAAUGAUGAUGGCAACUCACAGCUCACAAUGUCAGAACACAUUCAAUUUUACACAACAAUGAUAAGUAUUGACCAUGAGGCAGGAUACUGAAAAUUUGUUGUGUCCGUCAAUGGUAAAAUGAUUACAAUUGAGAUGGUGAUUACAAUUGAUUUUUUUUUAAUGAAACCAUAUGUUUUAAUUAUUUAUGCUUGUAUCCGUCAAUGGUAAAAUUAUUAUGGUAUAUUUGUGUUAGAAAUUAUAUUUAUUUCAUUUGUUGCUGUAACAACAUAAAUAUAAACUAUGCUGAUUAACUUGAAUAUUUCGUUUGGAGUCAAACAAUGAUAAAAACAAAAUAAUACAUAAAAAUUGGAGUGUUGUGGUUGAAAGCAAAUAAAGGCAAAGCUCACACACGGUACAACUGCAAUUAAAAGAAAAAGGCAAAGCAAAACGCACUGAUAUCAAACUUUAAUCACAUCUCGAAUUUACACAAUAAUCAAUAGCAGAUCCUAAAAAAUUCCAAAAGAAAAUCUUAAAACAAAUAGUCAACAAGAUAUUAGAAUCAUUAUAAAAAUAAAUAACCAAGAAUAAUACUAAUUUCAAAUAAAAUAUAUAGAAUGGUAGUAAAACAAAGAACUAUCGUUACUACUGCUCCCCAACAAAGAUGAUCCACUUUCCCACAAGAUGUUACUAAAGAGGAAAUUGUGAGCCACCUGGAGAAUAAAGGAAAACUUGCAUUAAACAUUGACUAUUUCCAGUCCACAUUCUGCUUAUACUCGGUACGCAAUUGCAAAUUGGAAAUUGUUUCUAAUUAAUUUUAUGUGAAACAACAAUUAUAAUUGCAAUAACUAAUAAAUAACUACUACAAAUCAUGAAAUGUAAUAGGAGCAAAAAAAAAGCAAGAAAGAAAUAGUUAAAGAGAACCUACUUUUAACAUGCUGCAAGCUUUUGGACUCUACUUUUUCUUCUUCAAAUUCUUUUGACCAUUAACUUUGUUCGUCACUUUGUUCGGUGGAAGAUUAUUCUUGUGCGAAUCAUAAAUUCUUCAGCCUUACAUCUGAUACUAUCUCUCACUUUAUUUGUAUCUCCGUUGACAAGGUGGAGUGCAAUGCGAUAUCUUUCUAUUGUUGAGUUAUACUAAAUAUAGUACGAGAAAAAAUAAAAAAGUGAGAAACAGAGUCAUCAUUCAUUUUAAAACUUUAAAUCAAUAUGAUAUAAAAUUAAUGUCACAUACAUGUUUUAUAGAUAAUAGAUCACAUUGCGUCUCCAUGAACUUGAUCACAAACAAACCGCAGUCAGUUCCAUUUGGUUGUACUGGGACAUUAUCUGGAUAUGAAAUUUUAAAACUAAAAAAAUCCCAACAUGAAUAAAAUUUUCCCAAAAAAUCAUCGAGGAAAACUUCAUUGAGUCCCUGUAACUGUGAUAAUGAUGAUAAUAGUCAGCAUACAUUUGCAUUUAUUGGUAAUAAUACAGGUGAAAUGCAAGCUUCACUUACAAUUGCUCUAACAAUUUCCUCUCGAUGUGAAUUCGAACUAUUACUAGGUAAAGAGUCCCAAAUUUCAACGGUUUGCGUUUUAACAAUCAACACCGCUAGAUACCAAUGUGCAGAGCCAUCAUUUAUAGGAACAUAGAUCUACAUGACAAAUGCAUAAUUUUUAAUAAUUACCAUUAAAUGUCUUAAACAAUGGCAUGAUUUAUUGUAAUUUUGCAUUUAAUUUCUUACCUUUUCACAUACUGCUAGUUCUGACAUGUAUUUAUCUCGAAUAUUAUGAUUUUUGACAAAAUCUUCGAUGCUUGAUUUCUUAUUGCAGGCCAUGUUUGCCACUAUUUUUUGCUGCAAAACUCAUAAAAUAAAUACAAAAUUAGUAUAUUAUCAACAUAUAGGGUCAACUGUCAAUAAAAAAAUUCACAGUAUAACAUUUACAACUUACCGAAAAGAUGGUGGGCAAAUACCAAAUACGCAUCUUUAGGCUCGUUUUUGCACGUUCUUUGUUUGUCAAGUAGUUGACGAAACAAUCUAUGACCUACGAAUAGAGCCAUUAAACAAGAAGACUUAAAUACUUAGAAAGAAAAUAAAUAAAUUGAAUGAUUAAACUAAAUAUAAAGAAGGUAUGCUUACUGUGUCAAUGAUCCAAGUAUUAGGAGCCAAAGAAAACAUCUCUUGGCGAGAGACGAAAAAACUAAUUCCAUCAACAAUAUGCUCACUAUAUUAAGAAUCCAAAAAUAUAAUUAAAACUAUAGCAGUGUUAAUGCAAAAAUAAUAACAUAUGGAAAGUGGGUCAUGAGAAAAUCUAAUUACUCCAUAGGCAAUUCUCCUUGAAAUAUAUAUUGCAGCAACUUCAUAUCUUCCUCUGAAAAUGAAUUUAGUAGAGUGAUUGAAUCAUGAAAAAAUUUUUGUUUGCUUCGUCUUUUGGGAAACUGAUUAUAAGGGGAUUUUUGGUAUGGACUAGGCUUUCGCUUUCGGGAGCGCAUAUCUUUAACCUCAAAUACACUAAGUUGGUUUGAUGAUUCCUCUUCAAUAGAACAAUCAUCAUUCGGGCCAUUAUCCUACAAAAAUUAUGAUUUAUAACUUAAUACUCAUCUAUGCACUAUUAUGUUUUACUUGUGCAAAAAAGAAGAUCACAGUUUAUUGCUAAAUACUUGUAUAGCUGCAUUGUAGAAAAUUUGCUUACGCUUUCCCUCAUUUAGGUCUGACUCACCCGUCAAAAUUCUCUCAUCAUGUUUCUCUUCAACAUUCUCCUCAUCCACUAAUUUCUUCUCAAGAAUAUCAUCUCCAUCUGGCCUUUCUUUGGCUCUCUUCAUUAGUUCCGCAAAAGUUAAAAUUUCAUGGCUUGAUUCAUCGUUCUUUUGUUGCUUUCGGGAAGGAGAAGUAAUUCCAACAGCAGCGCCAUUAUUCUCCUUUUUCUGCUCAACUUGCUUUUGUGUUAAGUUCUCUUUAAGGGUUUCCAUUACUUGUUGCAUUUGCUGCAUCCAGCUACCCAUUGAAUGCUUUAAACCAUCAAGCUCCAAUGCCAUACGGCCAAUAUCUUUUCGAACAAGUGAUAAUUCCUUCUGAUGUUGACAAUUAUGUAUGCAUUCUUCAUUCUUCCGACUUAUUCCAUCAAAUGUUUCAUGGGCCGUGUUUUGUUGAGGAUGGAUUUCUCGCAAAUUAACCUAAUAAAUACCACAUACUAUUAAAUACAUGUCAUUUCAAUAUGAUACGUUAAUAUUUAAUUAAUAAAAAGUAGAUGUCCUACCUUUGAGCUCCCAUAACCGCCAUUUUUCUUAACAAAACUCAAUAAGUUAGUUACAUCUCGAUUUGUCCAUGUUGUUAUUGGACUCAAAGAUUUAUCAAUAAAUUUUCGUGCAAAUGAUAUAGAAUCCAUGUAAAAAAGCUACAAUAUUAACAAAAUGAUCAAAACAAAGCAAAAACAAAAUAACACAAUAAAACUGAUGAAAUCAUUUUUAAAAAAAAUUACCUCCAAAAAUAGUACACAACCAUUAACAACUUUAUGUUGUCCUGCCUUGAACUUUUGUAUGCCCUCAACUAGCCCUUUAAAAGCCCACGUUGCCCAAUUUUUUUUAUUUAUGGCACUGGUGUCUUUCAAAAAAACCAAGUAAUACGGGGCUAAAUUCAACCCCGAUUUAGGAAAAAUAAUUGUAGCUAUAGCAAACAAAACAAAGCUUCUUUUAAAGUCAUCAUUCACCUCCCUUUGAUUCACCAAUUUUGACUCUAAAGUUUUCAGCUUAAUGUAUCCACUGUCAUCACAAUAUUCAUUCCUCAAUUUAUCUAUGUCAUCAAUAGCAAGAUCCACAUCAAUGUCGACUCCACCAUCUUUUAUUCCCAUAAUGUACUCAAAAUCUCGAGGCGACAGAUUGAUACUCUUACCAUGCAAAAAAAUACAUGAAGUAAAUGGAUCAAAAUUUUGAACCAACCAUGAACAUAAAUCUCGUUUCAGUCGACCACAUUUUAUGUGCAGAAGACUUUCAAAUCCUAACUCCACAACAACUUUUUUUUGAUUUUCUGACAAUUUUGCGACCAGUUUUGUAAAACGAUCUGGAGCGCAUCUAGUUUCCAUGGCUUUUUGAGUUCCCUUCACAAAAUCAUCUUCUUUGUCUUUAUUCUGUGCUAUAUCACUAUCAACCAUUCUAAAUUUAGCCUUUUCUUCUUCACUCAAAUUUUUUAAACAUUUCCCUAAUUUAAUUCUGUUCUAAAAAAUUAAAAAAAAAUAUGACAAUAAGUUAUUGCUUGUAACACAUCCCAAAUUUAAUGGAAAUUAAUUAUCGCACCUACACUCACCAUUUUUUUCCUUGUUCCCAUAAUAUUUUUGCUUCUUGCUUGCUGCAGUCAAUUAAAUAUUUUGAAAAAAAUAUAUAUAAUCAGUGCAUGUUAACAUUAUUAUGCUCGGCUUUACUAAAUAUUCAUAAAUUUACCAACAGUCAAACACAUAAUAUUUAAUGUAAGAAGACUUACAAAUACUCAAUGAAAGGCCGAUUUCUUCUUAAAUUUUCAUUUUCCUGGCUCACAUUAUCAUUCUCCUUGAAAUCAUUCUCAUUACCCUCAUCUACAUUUUCAGCCAUUUUCGAGUUUACAAGAACCUGUACAUGAAGAUUUAGCACAAAAAGAAAUGUCAAAUAUCACAAGUUUUGGAUCCUGUAAAACAACAGAAACUUUAACCCAAAAGCAGUAAUAAAUUUAUCCAGAAACAGCAAAAAAUGUAACUAAAAAACAGCAGUAAAUUUUACCCAAAAAUAAUAGAAAAUUUAACCCAAAUACAGCAGCAAAUGAAGCCCAAAACACCAAAAACAUUUACAUGUAAACAGCAAAAAAUUUAGCCAAAAAACAGUCGUAAAUUUAUCCAAACAGCAACAAAUUUACCCAGAAAUAGCAAAAAAUUUAACACAAAAAUAACAAUAAAUUUAUCCAGAAAUAGUGAAAAAUUUAACUGUAAAACAGCAGCAAAUUUACCUAGAAGCAACAGAAAAUUUAACCUAAAAAGAGUAGCAAAUGAAGCCCAAACACCAGAAAAAUUUACCUAAACACAGCAGAAAAUUUAACCCAAAAAUAGCAGUAUAUUUACACAGAAACAGCAAAAUAUUUAACCAAAAAACAGCAGCAAAUGAAGCCCAGAACACCAAAAAAACUUACCUGGAAACAGCAAAAAAUAUAACCCAAAAACAGCAGUAAAUUUAUCCAAAAACAGCAAACAAUUUAACUCAAACAAAAGCAGCCAAUUUACCCAAAAAUAGCAGAAAAUUUAACCUAAAAAUAGCUGCAAAUGAAGCCCAAAAUACCAGAAAAAUUUAACCAAAAACGGCAGCAAAUCAUCACAAAUGCAGCAGAAAAUUUAUUCAAAAACAGCAAAAAAUUUAAGUGAAAAACAGUAGUUUAUUUACCCAGAAACAGCAAAAUAUUUAACCCAAAACCAGCAGCAAAUGAAGCCCAAAACACCAAAAACAUUUACCUUAAAACGGCAGAAAAUAUAACCCAAAAACAGCAGUAAAUUUAUCAAAAAAUAGCAAAAAAAUAAACUAAAAACCAGCAGUCACCUUACCCAGAAACAGCAGAAAAUUAAAUCUAAAAAUAGCAGCAAAUGAAGCCCAAAACACCAAAAAAAUUUACCUUAAAACAGCAGAAAAUAUAACCCAAAAACAGCAGUAAAUUUAUCAAAAAACAACAAAAAAAUAAGCUGAAAAAUAGCAGCCACCUUACCCAGAAACAGCAGAAAAUUAAAUCUAAAAAUAGCAGCAAAUGAAGCUUUAUCAAUAGGAAAGUUUAAAAUAUUUUUUUUCUGAAGCCAAAGCAAGAAAUCUAUAAAGUCCUUGUGAUCUUCAACUUGAGAAUUGUUACUCAUCCUAUUCUCAUGUUCUUGAAUGACUACCUCAAGAAAAUUAUCAACUCCUUGGUCACUAAAUUUUUCUACUCUAACAUCACGAAAAGAAUAAUGAAUCCUUUUGUUACUUAAAAGUUGUACAACAAAUAAGAUUUGAACUUUUCUUAAGUACUCACCAUAAGGUGUCAUAGAGACAUCUACACAACCGUUUAAAAGUUUUACAAAUGGGGUUAAUUUUGGUUGAUUGCAAAGAUUACAUUUCUAACGAUCUCACAGGAUAGCUUGUCAAAGCGGAACUAGAUUAUCGUUACAAUAAAUUAAAAUGCAUUUAUGGUUUUAUGCAUUUUUGUCAUUUAUUGUGAAUAUUAUUUCAAAUUAUUUAUGCAUGGAUGUUUUAUUUUUCAGAAAAUGUCUUCCCUGAGCCCACUUACUAUUAUUCUGAGUCAAAACAAACUCACUGGAGAGAACUAUAUAGAUUGGAAAAGAAAUCUAUUCAUUGUCCUGACUGCUGAAAAUUAUAAAUAUGUCUUAACCCAGCCAUGCCCCCCAGUUCCAGCGGAUGAUGCUCAUAGAAAUCAGAGGAGGCUUUAUGAGAAAUGGCAAAAGGCCAAUGAAAUGGCAAAGUGCUACAUUUUAGCCUCGAUUUCUAAUAUUCUGCAGACCAAACAUCAGAACUUGGAGACUGCCACUGAAAUAAUGGAUAGUCUCCAACAGAUGUUCGGUCAGAGUACUCGCUCUGCGAGACAAGCAGCGCUGAAAGGAAUUAUGAACAGUAAAAUGGGGAAAGGCACAAGAGUUCGUGAUCAUGUCCUCAAAAUGAUGGACUAUUUGAAUGAGGCUGAGAUUCAGGGAGCACAAAUCGAUGAUAACUCAAAGAUUGACAUGGUGCUAGAAUCUCUGCCAGAAACAUUCAAGGAGUUUAAGGUCAAUUAUAACAUGAACAAAAGAAACAUGACCUUAACUGAAUUGAUGAACGAACUCCAUUCUGCUGAAGAGAUCUAUCGUGCUGAGAAAUCUCUGGGAAGCAUAAAUAUUACUGAAAAAAGUUCAUCUUCUGGGCCUAAACCGAAAGGCAAAGGUAAGAAGAAAGCUGGGAAAAAGAGACCGUCUACCAAGCAAGAUGGCAAGCCGAAAGGCAAAUGCUUCAAGUGUGGACAGAAAGGUCACUGGAAAAAGGAUUGCCCUAAGAUUGUGAAAUCAGGUAUGGGAAAUCUUUUUGUAAUUGAGGCCUGUUUAGUUCAAAAUCCUAUUGACACUUGGGUGUUGGAUUCAGGAGCAACUAAUCAUAUUUGUAAUUCACUUUAUUGGUUUCAGGAAACCAGGAAAAUAAGUGAAGGAAGCGUCAACCUGCAGUUAGGGACAGGACAGUUCGUGUCAGCAGUAAAGACUGGAUCUGUUUUAUUAUCUUUUAAUAAUAAGACUUUAGUUUUGAAUAAUUGUCUUUAUGUUCCAGACAUUAAGAGGAAUUUAAUUUCAGUAGCUUGUUUGUCAAAGCAAGGGUACACUGUAAAUUUUGGAUCCUCUGUUUCUAUUUUUCAUAAUAAGAGACUUAUUUGUUCUGGUACAUUGGAAGAUAAUUUAUAUCAUUUAAGUCCAAUGAUCCAUUCUAUGCAUGACACAGUGAUAAAUAAUGAUGAGCAUACACAUUUAUCUAAGAAAAGAAAUAUUUCUUCCAACCAAUGUUACCUCUGGCAUUUACGCUUGGGUCAUAUAAACCAAAAUAGGAUACAGAGAAUGAUCAAAGAUGGGCUCUUGGGUCCAUUAGAAAAUGAAUCAUUGCCACUCUGUGAAUCCUGUUUAGAAGGGAAAAUGACCAAAAGGCCAUUCUCGGCCAAAGGAGUACGUGCAACAGUACCACUUGAAUUGGUACAUACAGAUGUAUGUGGACCAAUCAAUGUACAAGCUCGAGGAGGUUAUGAGUAUUUCAUCACUUUUACUGAUGAUUACUCAAGAUACGGUUAUGUUUAUCUAAUGCGUCAUAAGUCUGAAGCUCUUGAGAAAUUCAAAGAGUAUAAGGCUGAGACAGAAAAGUAAUUAGAUAAGAACAUAAAGAAACUUCGAUCUGAUCGAGGUGGUAAAUUUCUCUCAGGAGAUUUCAAAGAGUAUCUGGUUGAAAAUGGGAUUAUAUCUCAAUUGACUGCCCCGGGAACACCACAACAAAAUGGGGUAGCUGAAAGAAGAAAUAGAACUCUUUUGGAUAUGAUGAGAUCUAUGCUUAGUUAUUCGUCAUUACCAAUCUCUUUUUGGGGACUAGCACUGGAAACUGCAGUUUACCUUUUGAACUUAGUUCCAUCUAAGUCAGUGCCUAAAACCCCAAUAGAAUUAUGGUCAGGUCGCAAACCAAGUUUACGACAUGUCCGUAUUUGGGGAUCACCAGCACAUGUGCUGAAACCAAAGGCAGACAAAAUGGAUUCACGUUCUGAGGUUUGUAUGUUUGUGGGGUAUCCCAAAGGAACAAGGGGAGGUUUAUUUUAUAGUCCUCAAGAUAGGAAAGUGAUCGUGAGCACACAUUUCACUUCCCUUGAGGAAGACUAUAUGAAUAACUUCAAACCUAAGAGUAAGGUAAUACUUGAAGAACUGUCAGGUGAUCAGGUUGAUGCUCAGCUUUCAAUGCCUAUUACAGAACAGGAAGAACAGCAACAACCAGAUGAUCAACACAGGAUUAACCCUGAACAACCAUCACUUUUAGAACCUCGUCGUAGUGGGAGGGUAACUAGGUUACCUGCGAGAUACAUGCUUUUGGGAGAAACCUAUACGGCUAUCUCAGAUGAACAUGUACAAGAUCCCACUAGUUACAACGAAGCUCUAAUAGAUAGAGAUGUUGAAUUUUGGAAAAAGGCCAUGAAUCAAGAAAUGGAAUCUAUGUAUUCCAAUCAAGUCUGGGAACUUGUAGAGGCACCAAAUGGGGUAAAACCUAUAGGAUGCAAGUGGAUCUACAAGAGAAAAAGAGGAGUAGACGGAAGGGUGGAAACAUUUAAAGCAAGAUUAGUAGCCAAAGGGUUUACUCAGAAAGAGGGAAUCGAUUAUGAGGAAACUUUUUCUCCGGUUGCUAUGCUUAAAUCCAUCAGGAUUCUGCUCUCCAUUGCUGCAGUGCUAGAUUAUGAAAUUUGGCAAAUGGAUGUCAAGACUGCCUUUCUCAACGGGCAUCUUGAAGAAAACAUCUACAUGCAGCAACCAGAUGGAUUUAUACAAAAAGGCCAACAACACAUGGUAUGUAAGUUGCAGAGAUCCAUUUAUGGAUUGAAGCAAGCAUCCCGGUCAUGGAACAUCAGAUUUGAUCAAGCGAUAAAAUCGUUUGGAUUCAUUCAGAACAUUGAUGAACCAUGUGUGGACAAGAAAAUUCAAGAAAAAUCUGUAGCCUUCCUAAUUCUUUAUGUAGACGAUAUUCUCCUAAUUGGAAACGAUAUAGGAGUACUGACUACAAUAAAGAGUUGGUUACCAAAACAAUUUGAUAUGAAAGACCUGGGAGAGGCAAGUUAUAUUCUUGGUAUCAAAUUACUACGAGACCGGAAGAAUAAAACUUUAGCCUUGUCUCAAGCGGUCUAUAUCGAUAAGAUAUUGGCUAGAUUUAGCAUGGAAAAUUCCAAGACUGGUUUAUUACCAUUCAGACAUGGAAUUACAUUCUCUAAGGAUCAAUCACCUAAAACAUCUGAAGAGAUAGAGAGAAUGAGACGAGUUCCCUGUGCAGAAGCUGUGGGAAGUCUUAUGUAUGCCAUGCUUUGCACUAGGCCAGACAUCUGUUUUGCGGUAGGGAUGGUUAGUAGAUAUCAAUCUAAUCCUGGACCUGAACACUGGACUGCGGUCAAGCAUAUAAUGAAGUAUCUGAAAAGAAAUAAAAAUUAUAUGCUUGUGUAUUCUGGUGUUGAACUCAUUCCAGUGGGUUAUACUGAUUCUGACUUUAUGUCAGAUAAGGAUUCUAGAAAAUCAACUUCCGGCUAUGUGUUUGCAUUGGGAAGUGGAGCUAUUAGUUAGAGGAGUGUGAAACAAUCUUGUAUCACAGACUCAACAACUGAAGCUGAAUAUGUGGCUGCAUCUGAAGCUGCAAAAGAAGCUGUAUGGCUCUGCAAGUUCCUACGAAAUCUUGAGGUGGUACCUGUUGUAACUGCACCCCUUAAACUAUUUUGUGAUAAUGGUGGUGCGGUAGCUCAAUCUAAGGAACCAAGGAACCACAAGAAACAAAACAUAUUGACAAGAAGUAUCAUCUUAUAAGGAAAUAGUGUAGAAAGGUUAUAUGACAGUACCCCAAAUGGCAUUAGAUGCUAAAUGGCAGAUCUUAUUACAAUGGCCAUUAGUGGGAAACCUUUAUAACUUGCACUUAGAGCCCUAGAGCAUGUGCAAUAUGCCAGAUAUGCUUUGAGAGCUAGUGGGAGAUUGUUGGGAAAAUAUGCUCUUUAAAAGCAUAUGUGUUUAUUUAAUUGUAAUAAACAAUUUUUCUGAUUAAUAAAAUAAAUGAGGUAUUUUAUUCAAAUAUCUUAAUUGCAUUAAUAUUUGUAUUAAAGUCCAUUUAAUCAUAUUAUAUGUAUUUAUGUGAUCACCAUGUGGAUUCACAGAAGACAUAAAUACAAGUUAUCUUAUGAUUAAAUAAAUUUAGUUCGCAGUUGAUAAAUAAAGUUGGGCACUUUAUUUAGGUAUAGACUGUAAUAAAUUCAUUGAAUGAUUUGUCUUAAUCAUGUAUGAAUUUAUUGAUGUAGUACGACUACAUUGAACAGGAUCACAUAUGAGAUUUAAUUAACUUUGUAAUAACUGUCAGACUUAUUAAAUCUCAUAGGCGUUGAUUUUACUGUAAUCUUAAUCUUGAGUUAAUUAUGAUUUCAUGAUUGUGAUUGUUAUUUCAUUUGAGUUACCAAUGGGCACGACACAUCCUUGUGGUCAAGAUUACCCGGUAUCUUGGUGGGAGCAAUUAUGAGUAUUGGAGUUAUGGAUUAACAAUAUAGAAUUUGUACAACACAUCUCUUGAUAGGUUUUCGGUACUUGAUCAUAGAAUUCUCUGGCCAGAGUGUGUCAACAUAUUUAGUAUGUUGAAAAUGAUCAUUAGAGAAAACCAGUAAGGAUCAAGGAAUAAGAUGUUAUUAAAUUGAUUGGACAGUUGAGAUAUCAAUUUAAUUAACGAUGUGGUACAAAGGAUUGUGCAGUAAAGAAAUCAAUGUGGCUUGGGACGAAUUAUUAUUCGAGCAUACAAUUAUGGAAGUCAGUUCUAAUCUUUUAGUGGAGUAGAUUUGGAAUUAAAUAAUUGGGCUAGUUUAAUUACAGGCCUAAUUAUUGUAGCCACUAUUGUAUGUUCCCAAAUGAUCCCCGGGUUAGCUCAUUUAAUUGACUGCACCACUACUGGACUAAUAAGUAAGAUAACUAGCUAUUUGGGUCAAAAGCCUAAAUAUAUCAUUUAGUGGGAGGCUCCAUUUAAUUAGCUUUUGUAUAAGGGGCCUUAUGUUAUUUUACAAGGUGGGUCCCCUAUUGAAAAAGCAAAUAAACGUGAGUUUUGUUUUUUGAUUAUUUGGAGCCCAGGGUUUUCACUAAAGGGUGAUAUAAAAGGCUUAUUUUUCCCUAAAGAAAAAAAGAGAAGCCAUUUUAUACAGAUCAGAGAAAAAGAUUUUUAUCUCCAUUGUUGAGAGAAAAAUUUUCUCGUGCUAGUUGCUUUGGUAGUGAUAAAGGCGCCCACACGUCAAGUGCAUAUCGAACCUGAGUCAUAACCUGGAAGAUCAUUGGAGACAGUUCGUGAUCUAACAAGCGUGGUGGUGACGGAUCGUGAUCUAACAGGAGUGGUGGUGGCGGAUCGUGAUCUAGGAGCCUAAAUCACUUCAACGGAAAAAGUCCAAUCGGAUUUUCAAGGUACGAUUUCUAGAAUACAAAUUCUUAUAUAUUAUAUGAGAGCGAUCUUCAAAAGGUUUUAUAAAAAUUUAAAAACCGAAUUUUUCCCCAACAUAAAUAUCCUUUGAAAAUAUUGCCAUCAGAUUUUGAAUUGGAGAACCUGAUUGAACUCAGCUUGCCUUGUAGUAAGGUUAAGCAAAUUUGGAAAAGAGAAAAGGUAUAAUGUAUUACUAUUACCAAAGUAUCUAUUUUUCUUUCUUUAAGUAUUUAUAAUGAAUAACUUUGAAAUUGAAUGAUGCUCAUUUAGUAUAGUUGUGUAUCUUUGGUUAUGGGAAGCUGUCAAGUUAAAAUCUAUAGAUCUUCACCACCCCCUGUAUCUCAAUAGGAUCCCAAAAAUACUAAAUCUUAAAAAAAUAAAUCUUUCAAAAUGUGAAAGCAUGCUUACGUUACCCGCGUAUAUCCACAAUUUCAACUAGCUCAGUAUGUUGUGUUUCAUGGGAUGCAAAAUUCAUUUUGUUUCUCAUGAAAGGAUUGACUUGUCCGGAUGUAUUAGGGUUAAUGAACCAACUAAUCCCAUAAUUUGUUGAUGUAGGGUCCUAACAAAUUAUUGCAGUAGAUUGUAGAUCAAUACACUAUUCGAAAACGUAUUUGAUCCACACAGUGAAUGUUUGAGGGUGCAUUUCUCGCGAACUAGCCAUACCCUAAACGAGGAGCCAGUCUCCUUGUAAUUGAGCAGACAGGUGAAGUCUGGUAGCAAAUAUCCAAGAGCAGGAAUUCUAUGCUCAAUCACAAGGACAUCCUCUUUUGGACUAUAAUUCGAACAUGGUUCCUACUAGGAGCCGAGAGCCUUUCCUGCUGGAGAUCGGGGUCGGCAGACCUAGUCUAUAACGGUUAACGAGACGUGCACUCCUAUUUGAGAAUCUAGGCACGAAACCAACUCAGCCGCAACUACGACAUUCAGGCAUCCACUUCCGUAAGCUGAGGGAGGUGAUGGACGUGGAUCGUGGGGCGUUGGAUUCGUAGGAAGGCUAUAAAACGGUAAUCAACGAAGGUAAAGGGGUUAGACACUUUUACACUAGAACUUAAGAAAUAAGAGCAUUUACUAAAAAAGGAGAGAAACACUCAUAGGUGUUCCACUGCCUAAGAGAUCAUGAGAGAGCCACGAGAUCAGUGGCCGAGUUUCCCAAAAAGUAAACUUAAAUUUUUGACUUGAGCGUAGGAGGAUUUUUCCUGCGUGCUCUGACCAGUUUUUGUGUGCGCAGGAGUCUGCUAAGUCAUACGAGGCAUAGCUCUGCUCGGUUAGAAGAGUUACGUGAAGUAUCCUAGGUUGGUCGUGAGUUCGGGAGUUGAGGAGAGAUCCUGGUUGCAGACGAGCAGACACCAGAAUCUCGCAUCAACAGUGAAGAUAGGGAUGGCAAAAGUCCGGGUCGGGUCCGGGUUUGGGGGUGCCCGAGACCGACCCGGAUUUCACACAUAACUGCCCGGACCCGGACCAUGCCCGGAUUUUUUCUAUGCGGGCCGGGUAUAUACCCGGCACUAUCCGGGCAUGGGUUUUUUCCAGGUUUUCUCUACCCGCAUUUUCAAAACUGACUAAAAAAAAAAAUUUGAUAAAAAAUGCUAAAUAAGUAAACAGGGCAGUGGAAAUUCACAAGGUUGAAAGCUUGCGCAAUUGGGCCUGAAAAUUCAUAACUUAUCCCCGAAUUAGCACUUAGCAGAAAACUCCCUUUCAAACUGUAAAGAGAUUUGAUGCCCAGGAAUCGAUUUGACGAAAGAAGAAAAAUGCCUUGGUCUUUUUGUUCUCUCUUCUUUUUCCACAGUGAAGAGGAAAGAAAAAUGCCCAGGAUUAUCUUGUGGACAGCAAAGUUGAUUUCAUGUGCUUUGUUGUCUUCUUAUUUUCAAAUCCCUUAGAAACAAAGUCAGAACCUGAAAUCACUAUCCUUAAACCUGCAAUUCCCUAUGUUGCAAGUCAUUUUCAGCUUCAUAGUUUUCGGUAUCAGCCUCCCUUUCCCCUUCUCCGUCAUCAUGGACGCUUCCAUUUUCUUCUUCCUCAUCUUCAUCUACUUCUACUUCAUCUUCCUCGUACUCCCCUUCUUCUAGUUCCUAGAUGUCAUCCAAGAAAAUAAUUAAGCAUGCUGCAUAUAUAUAUAUAACACCUAACAACAAUAAUGCCAAUUACUUAAUUUCUUCAUUUUUUUUUGAAAAAAACAGCCAAAAAAAAUUAAUAAUACCUCGUGGUCGUGGGUCGUGGCUGUGUUGGUGAAGUUGCAGCUGAACAAGAACAGCUGAUGCCGUCGCGUGGUGGCUGCUGCUGAGAAGAUGAACAAACGGUGAAGAGCCCUGUGACAGGACGGCUGUGCUUUGCGAGGAGAAAUAGAGUUGACUGAGGAAGGUAAGAGUUUCGGGGAGGGAGAGGCACGGUCAACACUGCAUCAGUGCCGGUGGGUGGUGGAGAGACGGAGAGAGGUGCCGCCGAUUUGGAGAUUUCUGGGUGGGUGCUGACUGCUGCAGUGCUGCAUUGUUCACUUGCAAAGUUGCAAUCGCGUUUUAGGGUUCAGUUUUGGGGGCAAUUAGGCAAAGCAAAUUUUAUUUUCGGUUUUAUAUUUUCCUUUUUUUUUUUACUUAAUAAAAAACCGGGCACAGGUCCGAGUUCCGGGUUCUUGGUGCUGUGACCGGACCCGUGCCCGGAAGCAUCCGGGCAUUGAAAAUCAAUGCCCGGAUUCGCUUUUUUCAUUCAUGCGGUCCGGGUAAAACCCAGACCGCACACACCGGGUCCGGGCCGGAUCCGGUCCGGACGGGUUUUUCUGCCACCUCUAAGUGAAGAUGAUUCAAUAUUAAGCAUGUCAUAUAAUCUAGAAGUGGAUAUUGGACCAAUUUGAUGAUGAAUUUCUUUCAAUCUCAAUCUUUUUCUUUUUAGCAACAUGACUAGUCAUUGUGCAAAUUUAAACUCUGACAAUGAUUUCUCAAUCGGUUUCUAAAAUGAUGACCAUGCAUGUAUAUGUGUGUGUGUAGAGAGAGAGAGAGAGAGAUCACACGUGUGUGAUUUCCUUUUGCCAAUAGGAUAUGCAGAGAGCUUGAUCUUACCCAAUAGCGAAACAAACUUCCUAAUAAGUGAAGGUAUAGUAUAAAUACUUAUACUUUCAUGUUAUUUUGUUCAUCAGUAGCUUGAUUAUUUUAUAUGCAUCUUCGAUUUUAAUUUUCUUUCCCUAUAAUCGCUAUUAUCUUUGAACUGGUCAUGAUUUGCCUAUAAGAUUUCUCAUGUUGUUUUGAGGUGCAAUGGAUUUUGAAUUUAGUGACGAGCAGUGGAAGCCAGAAGGCAAAUUAUGAAAAUGGAUAAAGAUCUAUAAUUAGCUGUUAUGGGAUGUCACAUAUCAUAUUGAUGGUAACAUUAUAUAUAUAUAUGUACAUAUAAUUAAUGGGGUUGGCUCACGAGCCCAUUAAUAAUCGUAUAUUAGCUUAUAUACUUCAAACAAUGUACUAUGAAGCAAUUUCACAAAUACUUGUUAGCUUAUGUUGAGCUUUAUUGAAUCAGUAGUUCACAGUUCAAUAAAAUGCAGGUUUAAUGUGACAGAGAGAUGUAGAUAACAGCCGCAAAACACUGAGAUUGAAAAUCAGGGCUACUAAAUUCUACUAAAAGCCCUUAAAAUAGACAGCGAUCACCCUGAAAUGUAUAUACUGAAACUAAGAAAUAUUAAUCGCAAAGUUAUGCAUUAAUAGAACUAUUGACUACUUAUCUUUAGCAUAAGGUAUAUUUUUAACUACAGCUUUAUGCUUUGUUUUAAGAACUAGGCAAAAAUGGUGUAUCUUCAAUCCAAUCAACAUGUAUACCACUUAUCUUCCUCUUCACUUCUGUCUAUUUUGAUUUGCACUUCAUAUCCUGCACUUGCUGCUUAGAAAUAGUCUUAUUCUGGACAUUGAAAGUAGAAAAAGUGCUUGAAACAAUCAUUGGCAUAGCCCGAGAUUCCAUUGAAUCGUGGACUCCAAGCUUUCAUAGUUCUAUAAAGAAAAUGACAAAACUUCAUACAAUUGGCAUUCUGCUUUUAACAUUUGCACAACCUGAGCGAGUUAGCAAGCCCCUUGUUGCGUUCCCAUUGAAUAGACCUACUUCUGUUAUCCACAGAAGAUCCACAACUCAAAAUGUUUAUCACCAGGCUAUUCUUAAACUGAGCCUAAACUGAGUAGAAACUUCCGCACAUCUCUCAGCAUUUACAUGAAGAAAUCGACAACUAUCCUCAUCUCUCAGCACAUCUCUCAGCAUUCUACAAAGUUGCAUUUCACUAAGCAAUCUAUCCUCUCCAUUCCUAGCAAAGUGACAUUGAUUCCCGUAUUUGUAAUCGCCUAACUUGGGUUUUGGGCAUAGCUUGGUCUUAAAAUUACCACCCAUUACUUUGUUCAGUGCCACUGGCAUCCACAAGCUCUAGCCCUGUUAGCUGAAUCAUAUUCAAUGGGACAGUGAGGCAGCAUUUCACUAACAUAUUCAAUUUGACUACUUAUAUUGACGCAAAUAUUAGAAUUUGAAAUCACUUCUUUUCUUGGAAUAUUAUAUUAAAAUGAACCCAAAUGAAAGUUCUUGAAUGGAAAUGAUUUUUAUUUAAUUUUCGAACAGAUUCAAGAAAACCCAGAGAACACAAAUUUUACACAGUAAUAUGAUUAAGAGCUGAGAACGUACAUGUAGUAAAUGUCUAUCAAAAAACACCCAAGGGUUUCUUUAAAAUUAGAAACUAGUAAACAAAAAGAAAGAAUCAUUUCACAUUUUUAGCAACUUUGGGGUGAGUGAGUGAGUGAGAAAUUGAAACCCUAAAGUGAUGACAAUAGUAAGAUUCAGUAUGAAGUGAAACCCCAAUUUGAAAUGUAGGCAUGAGUUGCUGAGUCAGUAGAUGAAGCUAUAAAUAGGCAUUCGGUUUCCUUCUUUUCGGUUUGGAGGGCCAUGGAAUAGUGUAUUGGAGUGGGCUCCAAGUAAUAGCCUCUAUCACUGGAACGACACAUCUGUAAAACGUGAUACAUGGGGAAGGAUUGGGCAUUAUAUUCUUAGAGUUAGAUUAGCGCCUUAUUUAGGGUGUAUAUUAAGCAGAUUAUACAUUACAUGGAGAUGGAGUUUAUGAAAUAGAUUAAAAAGAAAAGAAAAUUUCGGUGUCUAAAGUUUGCCACUUGGAAUAUUUCGGUGUCUAAAAAUUCACUCACCACUUAUGUCAUGUUUGAUUAUAUGUUGAAAAGAUAUUAAAAUAGUAUAAUGCUAUUAAGGCUUAACGUAUAUUUUUUAUUAGUAGAGUGUAGAAUUUUUAAGAAAUAAAUUAUUAAAUUAUUAUAACUAACAUAUUAUUUUAAAGUUGUGUUAUGAAAAAAAAAUAAAAUAAAAACAUACAGUAAAUAAGAAUAUUCUAAAACUUUUAUCUUUUUAAAAUUAGUUUUUAACAUAAGGUGAACUAUUUUUUUUUAAAUCACAUAUUCUAGUUAAAAUCAAAUAUGUAUUUAUAUGAAGCUUGUAAAUUUUUUUUUUAGUACUGAUAUUUGAAUAUUAUCAAUAAAAAAAAAAGGGUAAUGUUCAUGCUGCAUUAUUUUUGUAGCACACAAUAGGACAACACCGUUUAUGUUAUAAUACUAUCGCUUCUGUUAUGAUAAUAUUUUUUUGUGGCCAAAUAUCUUUUUUUUUUUUUUUAAGUAAAAGGGUGGACAAAAUACAAAUCAGUUUUUAAUCCUCAAUCUCUCCCAAAAUUUAAAUUCGUAGUUAACAAAACAAAAUUGUUGGAAAACCAUUAAGCUAGGUCCAUGGGUUGUUAAAACUAUAUAGCUGACAAAAAGUUACUAACAAAAACAGAAUGUCCAUUUUAUAACUUUCUUUAAAAACAUUCCUUAACUUUUUUAAAAAGUUACCAACAAAAAGUUAUUUCCAAUUUUUAUUUUGUUAUAAUUUUUAUAACAAAAUUCGUAGUUAACUAAACUCUUCUUAUUCCCUUUCUCAACUGCCAUACCCUAACCCACUAAACCACGCUCAAUUAAGGCCAUCAGAUUCUCCCGGGCCCACAUUAAUCCAACUGCUCACAGAGACCGACAGCCUCUCUAUCUCCGUUUCAAGCUCCCUCUUCAACUGGCUUCUGCUACCGUCCUACUGUUUCUCGGCUUCGGAGGCCGUAUUUGCUCGGCCGGUCCCACGAAGCUCCCUCUCACUCCAAUUGUCGCCCCACAAGACCAAUUGCUUAAUCAAGACACCGAACAAGAAGAGGAUGAGAAGUUGAAACAAGAAUUUGAGAUUGAAGUAAUUUGAGGAUAGACUGCCUAUCCUCUUUCUUUUCGGAAUUCAGUGCCUCAAUCUUGGGUUAAGGAUUUUAUGCGAAGUCAGGGAAAGAGAUUGAAGUUUCAGAUGAAUUUGUGUGCUAGCAUUGAUGGGAUCUUUAACAAUUUAUCUGUGCCCUUUAACAAAGUUAAGGCUAAGUCAGCUUCGUAUAUGGCUGCUGAUUUGGUUAGUGUUGGUGAUUCAUGGCUCAGUUUUGCAAUUAAGAUUGGUUCAAAUGCUUAUGUCACAAAUGGAAGGUAACAUCUUUAUCUUUGACCCGAUAAUUUUUAUUAUCUUUUUAAUUGCAAUGAGAAGAAAUGCCACUGUAGCAUGUAGUGAUGGCACUUAAUAAGUGAGUUGCUCGGAUGUGAACUAGAAAAAUUAAAUAUUGUCUCCUUGGGUAUGCUAGCUUGUAAGUCAGGGUUAAUAUCAGAGCUUAAGAUACUAUAACCGUGAGAAGCUAUUGACUGCCAAUUAAAAUAUCCAUUAAAAUGUCUAGGGAGUUAUGAAGGUGGAGGUAACUUCCAAUUUCUAAGGCCACAGAGUAGACAUCAUCCAGGAUCCUAGGAAAGUCCAGUUAACCUCCUGCUUGAUGCAAUUAAUAAAUUUGGUCAAUGCCACUGAAACCUGCUAACUGACGUCACAAUGUGACAUGAGCACUUCAAAAUGGGACAGACGGUCAGUAGCACUAAAUUUUUCUUGCCUAAGAUUGAGCAAUUGGUCUAACUACUAAUCCCUAUUGUAGGUUGAUCAUUAUUUUUUCAAUUAUGUUCAGUUUGACCCAAAAAGUUGCAGAAUCUUGAGCAGAAUAUUGUCACCGAACACUGUCAAUGUCGUUUAGCAUAGCCAACUAACUUGAUGUUAAAACAAGCACACAAUGUGUCUCAUGUCUCACAAAUCAAAUUAUCAUCUGUAAUGAUGGAGAAUUUUUCCAAUGUAUGAAGUAUGUUUUGAUACGUGGGUUACCUUGGAGAAGAUAUCUCAAAAUAAAGAAUAUGGGGAGAAAACAGUUCAGUAGUUUAUUAUUCUGUAGUCAAGUUUUGUCUUGAAAAUGGUCAAAAUUUAAAUGAAUAAGGACAGGGGAUCUUCAUUCUUUUUUCCCUUUUUUAUACCAAGAUAUCUCUCAACCUUUAUAUAAUCCCCACUGGAUAUCUGCUUCUAAUAAUUAAAAUAAAAAUUUCACCGCUCUAACAAUAAAAAGUAACAUCUUUAGUCAAAUAAUUUACAGUUCCUCAUCAUCUUAGUGUGAGACUAUCAGUACAUUCCAAAAACAUAAUAAAACUGGUUUGAUCCUGUUUAUUGAUGUUUAAAUGUUGUUCAUUGUGACAUGUAGAAAUGAUGAGGCAAAGUUUAUUUGGACAUCAAUUAGUAAGAUCUUGUUUGAAGUUGUUUUCUGAAAUGAACUGCCAAAUGGUAGUUUUUUGGGGACAUUUGAUGGCUCUUUUUUUUUCCUCAUUUUCAACAUGCGCCUGCUUGGAACAGGAAGAAUUAGGCUGCAGAGUUGUUAUAUAUUUUGAGAUGCUCUGGUCAUUGCACAAUUUGUUCACACUGGAAAUUAGAAUGAGAAAUUUGUUGAUGCUGUUUUGAGAGAUCUGCAUUCUAUGCACAAUAACAUGAUUAAUGAAAAUGCAUUGUAGGACUGGAAAGAUCUGUGGCAGCCUGAGCUCGCAAGAAGAAUUUCAAUGGUUAAUUCUCCCCGAGAGGUUAUUGGUUCAGUUUUGAAGUAUAGGGGAGCAUCAUACAAUUCAAAUGAUAUUGAUUCACAAGUUGCUGGUGGGAAGAUUGCUGUUCAGCAGAAUCUGGCAUUACUGGCAAACCAGGUACUCUUACAGAAAUGAUAUCUGGUCAUUGCAUGUUAUUGCCUGACAACUGAUUUUGUUUGUAAAAGUCUGCUUCUUCAUACAUAUGAAUGCAUAUGUUAGUGUUUUCUUCUCCUUUUCAUACAUAUAAAUGCAUAUGUUAGUGUUGUCUUUUCCUUUUCAUACAUAUUAAUACAUAUGUUGGUGUUCUCUCCUGAGAUGGAUGCAAUAAAGGCUUUUGCUCCUAAAUUUAGCUGAAGAAAUGGCAAGGGAUGUGAGAUUCUGUCUCUUUAAAUUAAAAAAAACCCAAAACAAUGAAAAUCCAUAAUAAUGUGGUGUGGAUAAAUUGGCUCCAUUUGGUUCGUUUCCUUAAUGUGAAUGCGCGAGCAAUAGAGACUAACAAAAUGAAGUGACAACAAGAAGUCAGUGUCCUUUGAUGGAUGCAUUUUUAGGCAGAAAUAUGUUUGUAAUUGACCAAAUUUGUCUGGCAUGCCAAUUUCAAAAAAAUUAAAUUAUGUGGUUAUUAGCGGUAAUGAAGGGGGAUAGUAGGUGCAAUCAGGUGGAUCCAGGAAAGUUCAACAAAGUUUUGGUAUGGCGUAGUGAAAUUGGUUUGUGCAACUCAGGAGUCUUUCAGGUGAACGAUGAUAGGUUUUGAUUUAUGAAUAUUAUAAAUAUACUGUGCAUAGUAUUCUAGUAGAAUCAUCUAUAAGUUCUAGUUAUUGAAAUUGUAUACUUUGCCCGGUUUGAGUUAAGGGCACAUGUAAUAUGAAAGAUAGUUGUCGCAUCUUUUAGGUUACCUAACAUUUGAUCAAUCCUAUUAUGGGGGCUUCAAGAUGUCUAACAAUAUGUAGAAUGCCCAUGCUCCUACCCAUUGUUUAUCUUCUACAAUAAUUUGUUUUAGAUGCUAAUAUCUUUGUCGAUACCGGUAACAAUAUUACAAUAUCAGCGUUUAUUGGGUUUUACAUAGGUUCGACUGGUUGACAGUACACACUAUCUGAAGGCAUUUGCAAUUGGAGAUGUAUGGGUUGCUGUUGGGUGGAUCAGUGAUGUUCUUCCUGCUGUCAAACAUAUGUCUAAUGUUGCUGUGUUGUUCCCAAGUCUGGUGCUAGCUGCCUGCCAUUCUACUUCGAUAUUCACAUUGUUAUCUCCUUCAUAUUAGCGAUCAGUAAACACGAUAAUGUGACUAAUAAGUUCGUAUUCUCUUUAUAGGCAAUCCCUGCUGCCUCAAGACUUGAAACAAAACAAAUUGGAGGGCGAGUCAGAGGUCCAUCUCCAUUAAUCCAUCAAUGGAUAGAAUUCUGCUUGCAAACAGCGAGAGCAUUGCCUUUCAAGCAAGAGGUUAUCCUGGGUGCAUCUCCCUCUGCCCUUGAAAGUACUCUGGUUAAGUUGCCUGAAGAACUUCUGGAGGGUAAACCAAGUCUGGAUACUAACUUAAUUGCUGGAGUACUCCCGGCUGAAAUUCUGGCCAGAUGUGAGUUUUUGGAGCCAUUAUCUGAAGCUACUUUGUCAGAUUAUGAGUGGCUGGUUGUUAAUCUGCAAAAACCUGCUCCUGUCUUGAUGAAAAGGGUGCAACAUUACUUGUCAUCAUUAAUCCAAAGCUUUCUAGCAAGAGCUACAUUGAAAAGUUAAUGGCGCUGCAUGCCAGUCAUUAUAAUGCUGUCAGGGCAAUUGGGUCAGGGCAAUUAGGUCUGAGCAUAACUUCAUUAGGAAAAGAGGCUUCAGCUACGUUAAAUAUUACAGGAUGUACUGAGAUGGCUGAAGUUCUUGAGGUUUUAUGAGAAAGAUGAGUGUUUGUUUGAACAAAGUUGUUGCCAAUCUUGCAGAGUUCGAAAACAAAGAUCACGGAGCGAAUGCCACCAAUUUCUUCAUCAUUUUAGCCUCCAUAGUUGAAGUUUCCUCAUUUGAAGCUGUUUAUGCAUAUGCUUUUUCCCUUCUCAAGUACAGGAAAUUGAAGAAUUAACCAGAUGUGAUAUGCUGAAAGAGGGAAGUUUUCUUCCUUGAAUGUGGCCUUUGUGAUUUGUCUUGAUGGAAUAGGGUGAUCACUGGCGAGAACCCAAUCAAGGUAGAUUUUAUGAUGUUAACAUAUUAUUAAGCAUUUUGUUGCAUCAGCAAUGAUGCUUUCAUAGAAUGAAAGUGUUUAAAUUUAACUGAAUGAUCUUGAUUGAUCAAUUAUGAGUUUUAAUCGAGUAAAAACUAAAUACAAUGAUCGUUAACAAAUAUUGAAAUUGGGUAAAUAUGAUCUUGAUAUUGAAGAAUUUGAAAUCACAACCCACACAGGAAAUCACCCUUCGCGUGGGGAUGGUGAUGUUUACUGCAGCGAUAUUGAAUAUGUCCGCUGCUCUUUGGGUUAUGGUGCGAGUGCGACUUGCGAUUUCAAGGUUGCCAUGAAACAAUGGAAAAGAUUAACAUGCCCUCCAAUGAAUGAAACUAUUAUGUUAUUAACAAUGCACAGUCCGAGUACUUUUCCAGGAUCAGAUACGAGGUGGUCUAAUGUUGAUAAUAAUAGAUUAUCAAAUGACAAAUCGUUGUUCUUGGGUGGUGAUUUCAGAAAUAAAAUACAUUCUGAGAGAUGCUGGUUUACUAUUGCAAGCCCCCAGAUUUAAGAAUCUUUUGAUGAUAAUUUAUCACCUGCAGCUGUGCCGGAAGAUUCAAGUAGCACUGAAAAAGAUGAUAAUUUAAUUGAUAUGGACAGUUUUCAUAUCACUUUUAAAUCAUCUUAUGUAAUUGUAAUGUUAGGAAGCAUUAGUGAUCUAAAAGUGAACUAUUAUUGGUGUAAUUGGUGGUUUUAUCUUGUUAAAAUAUGGAUGACUUCCUGUUACUAUUUUAUUAUAGACAAUCUUAUUCAAUUAACAUAUGGUUUAAAACCAUUAUGUUUUAUGUAAAUCAAUCUAUUAAUUUUCAUGAUACUUAACUGAGUUAAAACCAAGUGCACUCAAUAAAUGUCUUUUCCUUUAAAAAACUGCUACGCUUUGAUUUUAGUGCUUAAUAUUUCGUAACUACAGAUUAUCUAAUUGCGAGUUGCUGUCCAUAGCUACUAAUUUGUAGUGAUUAUCUAAUUGACGAAGGUGACAAUAAUUAUUUUAUUUUCAAUAGCACAACGUGGAAUUCAAUAAUUAAAUUCUCCUGUUUAAUUUGUUUUAAGUUAAAUUAUUAAUUACUUAAACUCUGUUUUAAGUCUUUAAUUUUCUGUGUUUAUGCAGAAUUGGAUUCUUGAGCGUGUUGGACAUGACCAACAAUGAAAUUGACGUAAACAAACAUUACAACGUGUGGACUCCGGUAGCUACCCCGCAAGUCUACAACUUUACAAAUAAUAAUUGAGUAAGCACCUUUGAUUUCUAGCCCCGUUGACUCCACCGACUAAAGUUUUGUAAAAUAAAAAAAAAAUGCAUAGAAUUCCACCAAAUGCAAAACGCGUGGAAUUUAAUUUUCGGCCGUGUGGAUCAAAACAUAAUUUAAUGAAAAAGGAAAAAAAAUGAUAAGAUUUUUAAAAUGUGUGGAAGGUGAUUCAUAUUUUACUGAAACAACUUGUUAAAUUUUUCAAGGAUUUAUAAUAUUUGGUCAUAAAUUACGUGCAUGUUAAUUUUUCCGCCAUUGACUAUCAUAUUCUAGACUUAAUGGUACCUUUCUUGAUGAAGGGUACUUAAUCUCUCUUCUCCUCUUAUAAAAAUUAUAUUAAUUGAUUUCUUAUUAUAGUUAAUAGUCUUCAAGAACGGAUAGAUUUAUUGUCUUCAUGACCAAAUUAUGCAUGCCUAACGUUGCAACUAUUAAUAAAAUUAAUAUUUAAUGUUUAUGUUAAAAUAUAUAAGAUUUUAUGCAUUCAUUAAUUGUUAUUAGCUAAAGGAUGAAUUAUUUUUUCCCAAUCAGUUGAUGCAUCUGCAAGAGUUUUUUUUUUCUUUUAUUGACCAUAAUUAUAUUCCGGGUACAAUAAAUUGUCUUUGGUGCUUGGAAGAUAUGACAUCUCUCUGUCAACUUACUGGAAAUAUCUCCUCAUCUACUCUCAUUUAUCUAAUAUCAAUUGAAGAUCUCAUAUUUCCAAACUAGGACCUCCAAAUCUCAUUAUCAUUUGAGCAUUCAAAACUAAUCAAGUGUGGAAAUAAUCAAAUAUAUGCAAAAAUCGAGUCACAAUCUUUGGCCCCUCAAAAUUCUAAUUAUAUAACUUCAUAUCUCAUACAUUUUCCAAAUUCCUCUUCCAUCAACAUCACUAGGAGUAUGUUCAUCUCUCACACAUUAACUUGAGUGGAGAGUUUCCAAAUUGAUUGUCAGAAAACAAUACAAAAGCUAGACACACUUGAUCUGUCUAAUAAUUCUCUUUCGGUAAAAUAAAUUAAUUUUAGGGUAAUAUUCAGCCAACCUCUGUAAUUUCAGAGUGAUCAUUAAUUAAUUAAUUAAACGAUACAAUAUCUAAAGUGAUUAGAUGUUUGCGGACAAUAUAAGUUCAUGGCUUGAAAUUUGAUCUCUAUCGAUUGGUUUACAGAUGGACGUACUUGUGCCUUUGUGGUGAUAAUUGAACCAGAGAUGUGAAGCUGUAAGGAUUUGGCAGUAGUAAAUUGUUAUAAAGGCAUAAAGACAACUAUUUUACAACAAAUUCAUCUCGCCAAAAAUUCUAUUUUGCUAACUAACAAUAAUUGAGCACUUGACCGCAUUGACUCCACGUCUCCAGCUACUUUCUAAGUAAAAACAUGGAAAUGUAAUCUCCACAAAAUGCCAAACGUGUGGAAUUUAAUUUUUGGCCUUGUGGACCAAAAUGCAAAUGAAAGAAAAAGAAGGAAAAAAACAAGGCCCAAAGACUUCUAAAAGAUGUAAAAGUCUUUGGGUUUUUUUAUAAUGGUGGAUUUUUUAAAAGAAAAAAAAUAACAACACUCCUAUGGUUUGUUUUGAUAAUCACAUUUACAUAUACUCUCUAAUUUUCAAAAUGGACACAUAAAUCUUUUUUUUUCCUACAAAUGUAUAUUAUUCGUAUUUUUUAUUAUUUUUAAUAUCAUAUUGUUAUUUAUUAUAAAUGUUUAAAGUAAAUUUUUAGGUUGAAAUAUAAUAAAAGGGUAUAAUCGUUCUCUUAUUAAACACCCAUACUUUUAGUUUCUAUCCAUUUGCCAUCUCAAUCUCUCUCAAUUAUUCAUUAUUGCUAGCUCAAAAUGCGUUGCUGUUGCAAAUUAUAGCAAAAAGACAAAUAUGGAAAAGAAAAAACGGUAGAAAAUUAGUGCAUGAAAGACUUGGAGAAAACAACGAAGUAAGUCAACUAUAAUCUAGCUGGGUGUAUAAAUUGCUUGAUGCUUUAUAAGCAAAUAACAUACAGAGACAGACAGUGUGUGUUCGUUUUUUCAUAGUUAAAGAUAUAGUUAGAAUGGGCGGUUCAAAAUCAAAAAUGGUGAUAAUGUUUGUUAUGUUAUUAAUAAUAUUUAAAAGUGGGUGGAGUGAGGGAUGUUUGGAUCACGAGAGAUUUGCUCUUUUGCGACUCAAACAUCUCUUCGAUGAUACUGGUAGUUAUCCUUACGACUGGGUAGAUGGUGAGGGAGCUAUUGAUUGUUGUCAGUGGGAAAGGGUUGAGUGCAGCAACACCACAGGCCGAGUGAUAGCGCUAGACCUUUUUGAAAUGUAUUCGGGAGAGUACAGCUGGUAUCUGAAUGCUUCUUUGUUUACUCCCUUCCAACAACUUGAGUCACUUGAUUUAACUGACAACAAAAUAGCCGGUUGUGUUGAGAAUGAAGGUGCUUCGUUUAAUUUAAUUAAUUUACUUUCUCCCCCCUAAUUUAAGUUGAAUAUCAAGACCGAGCAACUAUACGCAUAUUCAUUUAGUCGACAAUUUUGACUUUUUUUUAAGUGAUUAAUUAAUUUUAAAAUUACACCAAUAUCUAUGAUCUUUUUUUUUUUUUAAUUUUGCUUGCAGGUCUAGAGAGGCUAUCAAGAUUGAACAACUUGAAGAUGCUUAAUUUAAGUGAAAACUCGUUCAACAAUAGCAUUUUAUCAUCUCUAACUCAUCUUUCAUCAUUAAGAUCAUUAAAUUUAUUUUGGAAUAGAUUGGAAGGAAGUAUUGACUUUAAAGGUACAUAAUUAAAACUUCAUCCCUUCUCCAAGCUCUUUCAUUAACUUGCUAAAAUAAGACUCAAGGCUUUGAAUUCAAUUUUUUUUAUGAUUAGUAUUAAAAAAAACAGUUUUAAGCAAUUUAUAAAUACAAGUUUUAAUGGUUAUCGUAAUUUCAUCUUGUAAUUUCAUAUGUCUUGAAUUUAAGAUUAAAAAAAAACUCUAAUAGCGAACCAAACACCUCCACAACUUAUUAUUAUUAUUAUUAUUAUUAUUAUUUAUGGUGAGGUUGGAAACAUUCAACUUAAUUUGUACUUAUUACAGAAUUUGAUUCUUUGAGAGAUUUAGAGGAGCUAGACAUUGGCGCGAACAAGAUUGACAAAUUUGUGGUCUCAAAAGGUACUACAAAUACCACAAAAAAUGUAAACUUUUACAAAUUAACUGGAUUCUUUGCCAUUUGGUUUAUUAUUUUAUAGGUUUGAGUAAGUUGAAGUCUCUUGAUUUAAGUGGUAUCAAACUCAACCGUAGUAUCUUAUCUUCUCUAACUGUCUUUUCUUCAUUAAGAGAAUUACAUCUACGUGAUAUCGGAUUCAAAGGAACAUUUGAUGUUCGAGGUAAGCCUAAGCCUUGCUUUCUCAUUUUCUAUAUGCCAACUAGAUUUGUGUAUCAUCGACAUAAUUUAAUAUUUAAUUUGAUAAGUCUGAAGGAAUUACAUGCUAAUUUAAACAUACUUUUAUUUACUUUGUCAAUUAAUUAAUUAAUUAAUUACUAUUUGACAUUGGACGGUUCCUCUCUCCAUAUAAGCCUUCUGCAAAGCAUUGCAUCAUUCACUUCGUUAAAAAAUCUGUCGAUGUCUGAUUCUGAAGUCAAUGGUGUCCUACGUGGUCAAGGUAAAAGAAAAGUGUUGACUGUGAAUAAGCUGUUAAUUAAUUAAUGUUGUUGCUCCUUGCUUCUAAACAGAGUUGCGCAAUUUCACCAACUUGGAAUAUUUGAAUUGGAUUCUUCCUCGCUCCAUAUAAGCCUUCUACAAUUGCUUGAACAAUUUAUUUAUUUAUUUAUUUAUUAUUAUUGUUGUUGUUGUUGUUGUUGAAGUGGGGUGGGCAAGCGUUUACUCGGUUAAUAUGUGGGGAAUUAAAUAUUACAAUCCAAGGUAGAAUUGUGGAAAAUUAAAGUAAAAUGAGAAAUAUGGAAAGAAAGGAAGAAAGUUAAGGGCAUGAAAGACUAGGAGAAGACUAAAGACCACCAAAUAAGUCAACUGAAAACUAGCUGGGGCCUGGGUGUAAAAUUGUUAGAUGUGUUUGUUAUAAAUAACAUAGAGCCCUCUUGUUGGUUGCAGAGGCAGAGAGACAGAGAGUGUGCAUUUUGUUAAUUAAAAAUAUAAAUAUAUAAAAUGGGUGGUUCAAAAUCCAAAAUGGUGAUAAUGUUAGUUUUGUUAGUAUUAAUAAUAUUAUAAGGGAGGUGGCGUGAGGGAUGUUUGGUGCAUGAGAGAUUUGGUCUUUCGAGACUUAAAACAUUUCUUCAAUUCUCCUUCUAAUUUUUGUCACGACUGACCGUUGUCAAUGGGAUGGGGCUGGGUGCAGGGUUGAUUUACGUUAGAACAAUAUAGCCGGUAGUGUUGAGAAUGAAGGUGUUUCAUUUAAUUUAAUUAAUUUACUUUCUCCCUCCUAAUUUAAGUGGAAUAUCAAGACUGAACAAUUAUAUGCAUCUUCGUUCAGUUGACAAUUUUGACAUAUUUUUUUAAGUGAUUAAUUUUGAAAUUACACCAAACAUUAUUUGUGAUCUCUGUUUUGACUUUACUUGCAGGUCUAGAAAGAUUGAGCAACUUGACGAUACUUGAUUUAAGUCAUAACUUGUUCAAUAAUAGCAGCUUGUCAUUUGUUGCUCGUCUUUCAUCAUUAACAUCAUUAGAUUUAUCUUACAAUGGAUUGGAAGGAAGUAUUAAUAUUAAAGGUACGUAAUUAAAACGCCAUCGCUUCUCCCAACUCUUUCAUUAACAUGCUAAAAUAAGAUUCAAGGCUUUGAAUUCAAUUUUUUUUAUGAGUAAUAUUAGAAAAAUAGUUUUAAGCAAUUCAUAAAUACAAUUUUCAAUGUUUCUCAUAAUUUCAUCUUGUACUUUUGUAUGUCUUGACUUUAAGAUUAAAAAAAAAAAUUACUCUAAAUGUGAAGCAAAUACCCCAUGACUAAUUUACAAUUUUGUCCAAUUAAAAAUGAUAAAAUUUAUCAUUUGUUUACAUUGAUUUAUUAACUCUAUUUUAAGUCUUAAGUCUUGGCGUCUUGGCAUGUUUGCAGAAUUUGAUUCCUUGAGCAACUUAGAGGAGUUGGACAUGCGCGGUAAUGAAAUAGACAAUUUCGAGGUUCCUCAAGGUACACAAUUAAAAUAUUAUUUAAUUACAAUAAUUUAAUUCGUUUGAUUAGGGAAGGCCCAAAAUGUACAAAAACAUAAUUAAAAAAAAAUAAAGAAACAGAGAAUUCAUAUUAUUUCAAAAAACAAAAGGUAAUACUAUUAUUUCAAAAAAAGAAUGUAAUAAAGAUUUGAUUCCGGUUCUUUAAUCUUUAUAGCAAUUGAAAAACAAUGUUGCUCUUUUCCUAAAGCAUAAAAUAUGAAAUGAGUCAUAAUUGAAUUAGUCAUUUAUUUUGUUUAGAUAUAAAUUUAGACAAUAAAUUUUCAUUUUUUUUUCAAUCCUAUCCUUAUUAUUAUUAUUAAACAGGUUACAGAGGUUUGAGGAAGUUGAAAAGCCUCUAUCUAUCGAACGUUAAAAUUAGAGAUGGAAGCAAGUUGUUACAGUCAAUGGGAUCACUCCCAUCCCUCAACACUCUUUACCUGAAGCAUAAUAAUUUUACCGGUACAGCGACAACUACUACUCAAGGUAAGUAAAAGGUACAGAUGUGGCCAAAAUUAUAAACAAACUGUUAAUUAAUUAAUUUUUCCGUAUUAUUAAUUAAGCUAAAUUUGUUGCUCCUUCCUUCUAAAUCUACACAGAGUUGCACAAUUUCACCAACUUGGAAUAUUCGACAUUGUCCGGUUCCUCUCUCCAUAUAAGCCUUCUGCAAAGCAUUGCAUCAUUAUUCCCUUCAUUAAAAAAUCUGUCGAUGUCUUAUUGUGAAGUCAAUGGUGUCGUACGCGGUCAAGGUAAAAGAAAAGCGUUGAUUGUGAACUCACUCAAUGGUGUCCUGCGUGUUCAACAUUUUUGUUUAUUUAUUUUAUUGUUUAAUGUUUCUGCUAGGUUUUCCCCAUUUCAAGAGUUUGGAACAUUUGAACAUGGAACGCGCGCGCAUUGCACCCAACACCAGCUUUCUUCAAAUCAUCGGUGAAUCGACGCCUUCUCUUAAGUACUUAUCACUGUCAGAUUUUACUCUCAGCACUAACAGCAGCAGGAUUCUUGAUCGAGGUUAAUCAGAUGCUCCCACCCUCCCUUCUUAAUCUAUAAUAUUAAUUUUCAAUUAAAUAUUUAAUUACACAAAUGAAUCACUUAUUAUAAAAGAAUAAUACGCAUUCAUUAAUUUCUAUAUUGAAUUAAUUGAUGAAUUUAAUAAAUUUUCAGGCCUCUGUUCGUUGAUGCAUCUGCAAGAGUUGUACAAGGUUAAUAAUGAUUUAAGAGGUAGCUUGCCUUGGUGCGUGGCAAAUAUGACAUCCCUCAGGAUAUUAGAUGUUUCUUCCAAUCAACUUACUGGAAGCAUCGCUUCAUCUCCCCUCGCUCAUUUGACAUCCAUUGAGGAGUUGCAUCUUUCAGACAAUCACUUCCGGAUCCCAAUUUCACUUGAACCACUUUUCAAUCACUCAAGACUCAAGAUUUUCGAUGCUGAAAACAACGAACUUAAUGCAGAAAUAACUGAGUCAUAUUCUUUGACCACCCCAAACUUCCAAUUACAAUAUCUCUUGUUGUCUUCCGGUUAUGGAGAUGGUGCCACAUUCCCCAAAUUCCUUUACCAUCAACAUGACUUGGAGUAUGUUGAUCUCUCACACACAAAGAUGAAUGGAGAAUUUCCAAAUUGGUUGUUGGAAAACAACACAAAAUUAAAAACUCUUUUUCUGGUUAAUGAUUCUCUUGCAGGACCUUUCCGUUUGCCAAUUCAUUCACACAAGCGGUUAAGACAGUUAGAUGUCUCCAACAACAACUUCCAAGGCCACAUUCCAUUAGAAAUUGGAGAUAUUUUACCAAAUUUAAUAUCCUUCAACAUUUCAAUGAAUGCUUUAGACGGUAGCAUUCCCUCUUCAUUUGGUAAUAUAAACUUACUCAAAAUUCUGGACUUAUCCAACAACCAAUUGACUGGUGAAAUCCCUGAGCACUUGGCCGUCGGUUGCGUCUACUUGGAUUUUCUUGCGUUAUCAAACAACAGCUUAGAAGGUCAUAUGUUCUCUAGAAACUUUAACCUAAAAAACUUGAAAUGGUUACAAUUGGAAGGCAAUCGCUUCGUAGGUGAGAUCCCACAAAGUUUGUCUAAAUGCUCCUCACUAAAAGGAUUGUACCUUAACAAUAAUAGUCUUUCGGGUAAGAUUCCACGAUGGUUGGGUAAUCUCACAUGGUUACAAUAUAUUAUAAUGCCCAAUAAUCAUCUUGAAGGUCCUAUUCCAGUGGAGUUUUGUCAACUUUAUUCGCUUCAGAUUUUGGACAUUUCAAACAACAACAUAUCUGAAAGUUUACCAUCUUCUUUCCAUCCUCGCUUUAUCAAACAAGUUCACCUAUCGAAAAAUAUGUUACAUGGACAACUAAACAGAGGUACAUUCUUUAAUUGCUCUUCCCUUGUGACAUUAGAUCUUAGCUAUAACUGCUUGAAUGGCAGCAUUCCGGAUUGGGUUGAUGGGCUUUCUUAGUUAAGCCACCUUAUCUUAGGUCACAAUAAUCUUGAAGGUGAAGUGCCAGUUCAAUUGUGCGAACUGAACCGAUUGCAAUUGUUAGAUCUUUCUAAUAAUAAUCUUCACGGUCCUAUUCCUCCUUGCUUUGAUAACACCACACUUCAUGAAAGUUACAGCAAUAGUUAUAGUCUUGAUGAGCAAUUUGAAAUAUUUGUUUCCAUCGAAGGCUCUUGGGGAUCGGUAGAAAAGUAAAUCCAUGAAAUUUUUGAGUUCACAAUAAAGAACAUUGCGUACAUUUACCAAGGAAAAGUUCUUAGCCUCCUAUCAGGACUUGAUCUUUCUUGCAACAAGCUAAUCGGUCAUAUUCCUCCUCAAAUUGGAAAUUUGACAAGGAUUCAAACAUUGAAUCUAUCACACAACAACUUGACAGGAUUGAUCCCAUCAACAUUUUCAAACUUGAAGCAUAUCGAAAGUUUGGAUCUUUCCUACAACAAAUUGAAUGGGAAAAUCCCUCAUCAACUUGUGGAGUUAAAGACAUUGGAGGUUUUCAGUUUGGCAUUCAAUAACUUAUCAGGCGAAAUUCCAGAAUGGAAAGCACAAUUUGCAACCUUCAACGAGAGUAGCUAUGAGGGAAAUACUUUUCUUUGUGGAUUGCCAUUGCCCAUUUGCAGAUCACCAGCAACUACGCCGGAGGCUUCAAUUGGCAAUGAAAGAGAUGAUAAUUUAAUUGACAUGGACAAUUUCUUUAUCACAUUUACAACAUCGUACGUAAUUGUGAUAUUUGGAAUCGUUGUUGUUUUAUAUGUAAAUCCUUAUUGGCGAUGUAGAUGGUUUUACUUUGUUGAAAUGUGGAUAACUUCCUGUUACUAUUUUGUUGUAGACAAUCUUAUUCCAACAAGAUUUUGUCAUUGAAAUUAAUAAGUAGUUUAAUUAGGAUUCUUUAAGUACUAAUCAAGUUUGCUUAGGAAAUAAAUUUUUAUUAAAAUUGUAGUAGUAUUUAGCAUUAUAUAGCUUCCAACUUUCAAGCACUUCACAUUUGUCUCUACACUUAAAAAGUUGAGUGAUCAUGUUUUGCAGAUCUGGAUUUGGAGAAGGAUGGAUCCAAACCCAAAUCUGUCCACCAUAACUUAUACCCUACACUGUGUAGCAUACUUAAAUAAGAGAAUCAUCUCCAAUGUUAAAAGCAACCACUCUAUAACAUUCAUUUAGAAACUAUAUUCAGAAUAGUUUUAUAAUCAUACACAAGAAAUGAAACACCUAGAUACACUUGAUCGCCUAUUUUACUCUAAAAAAGAACGAUUAUAGUGUUAUCAUCAUCUUCUUCACUAGCAACAUUAACACCAAAUCCAGCGAUGGACGCAUACAUUUCAUCAAGAAAGGUAUAUAUCUAAUAAAGUUGAAGCCUGACAAAAAAUUCAGGAAGAUUCAUGCCUCGCCACAACAAGGGGCACAACAACAUCAAAGUAGAGAUUAAGCAGUAUUCUCAAAGCUAAAACUCUCAAAUCCACCCACCAAAUUUUCAUAUCUCCUCAACAAUUUUAAGAACUAAAGAUAAUUAGGAUUUAACAUUAGUUUUUUAUAUAGUAGUUUCAUAAUUUACAAAUCAAUGAAGAUGAAGAUUAUGCUAAUGAAUUCAAAUUAUACCAUACAUUCUCUAGAUGUUACCAAAAAUUUCUAAGUCAAUCCCACAUAUUUCAUAAUUUUAAGACUAGAAAAUUUCAAUAGUUAGAAGUUUCAUUACCUUCAAGUGGAAGAUGAAGAACAUUAUGCAAGUGAUUCAGGUUAUAUCAUACAUACUCCAAAUGCAACUAGAAAUUAACAAGUUCAUGCGCACAUAUUUCAUAACAUUAUGAUUGAAAAGUUUCACAAAGAGAAAUUCUAAAUUCAAUCCCUUGCAUCAAGGCAGUUUGAUUGAUUUGAGUUACUUUAUGAUCAAGCUACUAAUAUAACAUUCAAGUCAGGGAGAAAGUAAAUUAAAACUGGGUACAAAUAACAGUAAAAAUUUGUUGCUAAACAUGAUGUGUAUUUUUUUAAGGCAAUUUGGAAACACAUUUGUUACUAGAUAUUCUCCUCAACUUGGAGACAAAUACAAAUAUUAAAAUGCAUAUGAUCGCACAUACUACUUGGAGCUUAGUAAGAUUUCAUUAAAAGAAGCAAUCAAACCACUUAUCAAUUGUCGCAAUCGUUCUAUAAACUAAAAUAGCAAUAUAAUACAAGAAAAAGAACAUAUAGAUACUCGGCAAGAGUUCAUUAAGAAGUCGCAUCACAUUAGGGUGAGGAGUUUGCUUCUGAUAUCUUGCUAGCUGGGGCUUUUUCUUGUCUUUCUACGUAUGCCGAGGGAAACCAACCAGCUAGGCCCUUGCAUUCACCUUCCGACCAUCCAGUAGGAGCCACCUUGAGAAGUUAUAACUAAAACGGUGAAUUAAAAAAAAGUUGACAAUUCAAAGACCUAAGGGGAAAACUAAUUCUUUUACGUAGAGGAAGUGAACUAGUUGUGAUCACUGAAAUAAAAAAAUAACUAUGGAAGCAUAACAAGAUAUAAAUUCACAUGUCUAUAAGGGUAAACAGGGUGGUUUAGAACUGAGCUAGCAACCCUACUAUAUUCUGAUUUGCACUUCAAUGUAAAAGGGAAUAUAUGGUAGGAAGAAAAAAAACCAACCAUCAUUUGUUAACUUAUUGCUUUUCAAUCAAAAUUUUAAGAACAAAAUGCCAUGUGCUUUGAACAUCAAAUAAGUAUAAGCAUUAGUUCUAAAUUCCACAUAUUAUAAGUUGUUAGAAGGAUAAGUUAAUAGCAUAGUAGAAAAAUCUAUGUGUUGGUAUUUAGAGGGGAAAGUACCUGGCGAACCACAACAUAAUCAUCAAUUGAAAGACUUAGCUCUCCAUUUGCUUGAUCAUCAAAUGGAUGUAUAACCUGCAAGAUAAUGGGAUAAAUAGAACUUAAAAAAAGCAUAACAAAAGCAGCAACAGCAGCAGCAGCAUUCAUUGUAACCACUAUGAUCAUGGCCAACAAAGAUAUAUUAGAAACAAAAUUCCAUUUUUACUACGACUUUAAUAUGUACUAUACGAUAUCAUGACGAUUGGGUUAUCAAGUGCUAUCAAAGUCUAAUAAGUUCUGUAUAACUUUAUAUAGUUAUUUUAAUUAUGGAUCAAAUUUUAAAUUUGAAAUUUUGACUGCUCUCCACAAAAUAUGGCCUAUGCACAAGAAAGUCAUAGAUAAUGAGGAUUACAAGUGUCCGACAUCUUUUGAGUGAUGGAUUUAACAUGAGAGCUUAUGGUCAGUCAAUUUCCUCUGCCUAGCAAUAUAAGCUUUCUCGGCCAGAUUUAUCAUCAAAUACAUAGAUUGCCCCCAAGUCACAUCCAUAUAAACAUAGUUUUCUAGGUAAACCAAGGAGAAUCAUAAUUUAGACAUAAUCAUAAAAAGGCCCAUCUAACUUAAGAGAAAAUCUCAAAAAGAGGGAUGUUGAGCUAUCAGUCUUGUAUCUAUAAGCAAUAUCAAGACUUUACAUCACCUGCUACAUCGUGAGUGGCUACACAACUUUCAGUGGUUUGUCUUUCUUUGGCAUGCCUAACUCAGCUUUGAUGUUGCUGAGAUAUUGAUAGUAGAGACACAUGAUACUUCUAGCUCAUGCAUUUUAUCUAGCUCAUCCGACAACUAUUUCUUUUUUAAUUCAUUAGUGUUUGCUAAACCUCAUGCUCAAAAGUCCUGUUCUCCUAAACAAAGUUUCCUAAGAAUGACUUCCUCAGCACAACAUUUGGACACUUUUAGAGCAAUUUUAUUUGGAGGAAAAGAAUUUUCAAGGUGUUAACUAAUAAAUUUUAAAAUAUAAUUACAAUUUGUCCUACGAUCAUAUGACAAUUUAUUUGGGAUGAAAGGAUACAGACAGACAUCUUCCACUUUCAAGACUAAUCACUACUUCCGUAGAUGUUGUGCAAUGAUACAAAUACUUGACCAGAUGGUAGUGAUGGUAGAAAAAAAUUUAUUGCUCCAAAAUUAAAAUAAGAAUGCAAUAUGUUAAGCAAAAGACUGUGCAACAUCAAAUUAAUUGAUGAGUUUGUAAUUCAGUAAAUUAACAACUUUCAUGGUAAAAUACAACAAGUUUCUUUUAAAAAAAAUAAAAAAAAUAAAUCUUAAAAGACAGCAUUCAUUUUUGUGCGCAUGUUAUUUCUUAAGAUUUUUCAGGAGGAGGGCAAUAGAGGGACUUUCACCUAUGCAAGAGAGCAGAAGCCUUACUUUUGCUAUAAAGUAGACGUCAUUCUGAUUAAUAUGCGUUUGAAUCAGCUCCGUUUGCUAUAAAGUAGACGUCACACAUGAGGCAUUUACAUCCAUUUCCAAAGUCACAUGUUGCGAGGAGGACUCAUUUGAUUGCUCCUCUAGGAUCAUCUAAUGCAAGUAGUAAGGGUUGGAAGAAAAUAAAAAGUCACAAUUAUUCUUUUGCGUAAGUGAGACGAAAAUGAUAAAUGCAAUAUUAUCAGCAGUAAACAAGAAGAGAACGCUCCAAGGAAUAGAUAGAUGCAGACAAGCAAGUUAAAAUGCAUAGUCCCAAACCUCCGCAUACAACUUCUCUAAAAUAGCAAUAACGUGUUGAUGAUAUGUUUUCUCAGCAUCUACCUGCAAAGGCCCGAGACCAGGAAAACGGCAAUAAAACCACUAGCUAAAGGAGAAAGUAAAGAAAGAAAUACACUUGACAUAAAUCUUGACAAGAAGCACAGUUUAAACCCCAAUCAUAUUGUUUAGAACUACCAUUCGUUAUUGUAACAUUUCGAACAAGUGUUGACUUAAUUCAACAUUGUUGGAAAGAUAGGCUUUUAAAAGCGGAAGAAAGCCACUCAAACCAAAGUGAUUGUCCUUGUAUUGAUCAAGGGAUGUAAACAUAUUACAUUUGCAGGAUAAGUUUUAAUUAAUCACUCCCCUGAUUUAUUUGGGUUGCAGUUUAAUUUGUGAAUUUUUUUCUAUAGACAUGUUAGUUCUUGCUAUUGAAAUGUUAAAAGCAUUGAAAAAUUAUUCAAUAAAUUAUGCAUAACAUUAAAAUAGAGGACAUAUUAAAAAGUUUCUAAUUACAAUGUUAAUAUUUCCUAUAUUUUAGCAUUUGCAUAUUUUAAUUUAUUUAAAAGCUACGUCGAUCAACUGUGGGCAUGAAGAUUUUAGCUUCUACGAGACUUGAUUGGAAUAUGCAUAAGGAAGAGUGUUAAAAUAUGAUGCAUCCAACGAAAGACAAACCACGUGUAGUCUUUUAAUUAAGCCAAAGUAGCAGCUCAAACAAAUGACACUUGGACCAACAUGCAAUCAUGAAGUGGCCGGAAAAAGGACAAAUGCAACUUUGGCUUAAAUAAAAAAUAACAUGUGACUUGACUUUUGCUGGACAUGCAUCAUGUUAUUACAAGACAACAGAAAUCAGUAUGAUAGUACUAAAAGUUGACAAUAACAUGAAGAUAAGAGGCAGAAUGUCAACACAUGCAUAGGCACACACAAGAAAGUAUUAACUUAUAUACCAUAGCAAAAAGUCUUUGAUAUGUCAUCUGUUGCUGCUGUGAUUCAACUGACAGCAUGGCAGCUGUUGCUUCUCUACCAAGAGCCAUUAUUGUAGAUUUAAGCUCGGUCAAUCUUGCUUCUGCAUUUCGAAGCUUCACAGCACUCUCUGCUGAUAUAUCAGAUUCCCUAAUCUUUGAUCGGCGCCUAAAUACUUCAGCUGCCUGGUGAAAAUAUUCAAUAUAAAUCUAACAUAAUUCUAAUCUUACCUGGGCUUCAACUUCAUGUCGAAGUUUGUCAUAACGAUGAGUCAGGUGUCGAGCAUCUUCCAAAGGUGCUCCGUUGAUUAACGCCCGUAGUGGCUCAGAUACCUACAUGUCCAAAAACCUGUAACAUAGUUAGAAAAAUGAAAAGAAAGAGCGAAACCUCAAUUAAAAAGUUCCUCCAACAUAAUCAUGGAAUUUGGGCCUACUUCAAGGAUAUAUAUAUAUAAGGAUAAUUUAUGCAAUUUUGGGUCUUAGGAUGAUUCAUAUUAGGUUAGUGUUCUUCUCUUCUGUAUUUAAGGUUAAAAUAGAAAUAAACCUAUGCAAAUAUAUAAAUUAGGGCUGUAAGACUUCCACAUGCAUCCUUCAGUCUCAUGGAUUUGAUUUUACUAUAGAUGCAAGUGUCUUUAUCGAAAAUGCUUGGAGUCAAUUGAGAGAACUCACGGCCAAUAACUUGUCAGACGCUAGUCUUUGCUAGUGAUGUAAGAAGUCACAAGGUCUCUUCAGCAUUUGAACCAAUAAAAUUAUUAAGUCAUGGAUGUCACUAGCAAUGAUUUUAAUAUAAAACAUUAAAUAUUUCAGAGUUGUAACUUUAAAAUGGAUUCUUUUAUUCAAUAUCUUAGAACUAAGUUUCCUUAUGAGAAGAUAAUAGUUUCAGUAGUAAUUUACAUAUAAUUUUCUAUAUUUGAAUUAUUUUCUAGUUAGGGAUGAACUAACCUGAUCACCAAGAAUCCCAAGCAAAGUUUCCCUCUCAUUUUCCAUCAAAUCAUGUGAAGUGCCAAAUUGAAGAGCAGCUCUUGCAACGCAAGAAUUGUCACUUUGAUUCUCCGCUCCAUACUUGCAACAAUCUUCAGCCAACUUUCUCGCUACAAUAUUUGAAUACAAAAAUAUUGUGCACAAGAACUAGUCAAGAAAAAAAAAAUCAAAUAUUAUAACGAAUGCAAGAGCAAACAAACAACCUAUUUCCAUUUGUUUCAAGCUUACUGCAACAAGCCCUUCAAUGCCACGAACAAUAUUCCUCUGAAAAUGCUGCGCUACAGAGCAUAUAUUCCAAAUUAUUGUUCAGAUAAAACCAUAGAAACCAUCAUAAUUAUUCAACAUACAUUAAGCUCCGUUUGGUAAAUACUUGCAACUUCAGUCUAGAGAAUACAGUUCUAUAUAUGUAGCAGUCUAAAGGAGGAUGGUGCCUUAGCUGCCCUGGUGGAAUUGUAUAGAUUUUGAAGUUGUUGGUGACACUCAAUUUCAGCUUCAUCAACUGCCUGUACAAAUCAUAAAAAACUAAUGAAAAAAAUAAAUAAAAUCGAGAAAUUUCACUAAUUAAAAGUCUAAAUAUAAUUUUAAAAAAGAAAGAAACGCACUUGGUGCUGCUUGGCGACUUGUUCUCGGAGCUUGAUUGCCUGUUUCUUGAUAGCUUCCAUACUGUUUCUUUCAAAAAGCGGCGACGGCUCAGCUCAUGGAAGUUGGGGAAAAAAAAAAGUGUGAUCAAGAAAAUAAAAAGGCAUAUUAUUGUUGACAAAAUGUGAAAAUAAAAAAGAAAAAAGAAAAUUAUAAGUUUGAAAGGAGAAGAUGAUAGUGGAAGAGUGCGGCGUGGCUGCCAGCUACUUGGAUUGUAUUGUCGGGUAAGGUAAUUGUAGAAAAUUAUAAGUUUGAACAGAGCAUGUUAGACUUUUGUUGACCAAAUUCAAAAGGCAAAUGGCACGGCCCAGAAGCUUUGGAAUACAGUAACUUACAAGAAAGCUCCAUUUAUUCUUCUUAUACUUUACGCUUGCAUCAGCUUAAAUCACUUCUUAAUCGCUUGCUUUAACUGCGCCGCUUUGUACUGUUCUAUAUAUGUAGCAGUUAUGCGGAUGUAGUUCACGGCUGAGGGUACGUGUUUGUUUGACGUGGUAGUUACGUUACGACGUUACGAGAGUAUUAUUAGUUAUUUCACAGGGAUAAAUAAGAUUAGUCACAAUAAACCCACUAGUUUUAUAAAAUUCGAGUAAUAUAGAAUAAAAUAAAAAAUGAAUACAAAAUUGACUUUUAUUUUUUAUGGUUGACUAUAUUUUGUGUUCUCUUCUGGUACUACUACAAUUGUUCCCUGUAUAUCACUCAUACCCAUAUAUCAUUGACACAAGAAAUGAAAUCUAAUGUCAGAUGUUUAGUUAAAGAAUCACUUAUGAAAAAAUUUUACCAUUUUGAUUUGAGGAUCCCUAUUUUGAACUGCAAGCUAAUGUUCAUCAAGAACAGAGUAUGGCAGUUGAGUAGAAAAACUAUUUUUGGACAAAUUAUUUUUAUUGAUAGAAGAAUUUCUCAAGGGACUACUAAAAUUAUUAAAAAAAAAUGUCAAACACGCCCAUAUAUCAUCAACACAAUUGGUUUUGAGAAUCCAUACUUUAAACUGCCGCCUAAUAUUCAUCAAGAGCAGAGCAUGGCUUGUGAGUAGAAAAUUUUCUGAUUUUGGCCCCAAAUAAUCCAGCACUUUCUCAUGAAGAAAUGCAUACAAAGCAUACCAUGGUACCAUACAAUACAAGGAGUCUCCGUUCUCUAGUUUUUCAAACUCUAAAGGGGCCAAUACUCCCUAAUUCCCCCUCGAAAAUUCUGAUUAUGACAUUAUUCAUCCCUCGAUGCAAUCAAAGUAGUGACAAAGUUAGGAAAAAUAUGAGUCCUAAGUAAUUGCUAGGCAGGGCUCCUGUGAGCAAAAUUGUCCUAAGCAUUAUAUGCAUACAUGGUGUGGUACAUAAAGCACAAUGAAUUCCACACUAUAACACAAACCCAGAAAGAGAAGAAACAACUUAAUUGAUGUAAAGACAAAAAGAAGAUAAAAUGAUAUAGAAAAAAAAAUUCAAAGAGAUAGCAACAUACUAUAGACUGAAGCCACUUGAUCUGCUCAUUGAUUGCAGCCUUAAACUUGCAAAUAGUUACCGUAAGCUAGUGCUAUAAGAAGUGAAAAUGAUGCACACCCUGAUUCCCUUCGACUUCCAUUUACUGUCAAACAUUCUAUUAAUACAAAAAAAUUGUUCAAAUAUCUUGCCAUAAAUAUAGCCGUUUGACUGGCUUAAUAAAGUCACAAAUAACCAUUCAUAUUGAUCCACAGUGUCACACCGCCUGCUUUAUGCAUACAACAGCUGUAUGUAUACCAACUCCUAACCUUAUCAAUACAUUUGGCAAAAACUUAAGAAGAAAACUAUUUCUCCAUCUCUUUUUUGAAAUUUCACAAUAAACCAGCAUAUUGUAAACGUUAUGUUGUAACCUUAUGAUAAAUGCUCUAGACUCCAAAUGAAUUUUAUAUAUGAGGGUUUGUUGCAGCAGAUAUAUUGACUUAUCAAGUAUGAAUCAUUGUCUAGAAGAACUAUCUUUAGAUAAAAGAAUAUUAGAACCAUUCUAGAAUAUCUUUAGGUUGCUAGUUCUAACAGGAAUCUGCAUGUGGCAACAGUUGCCAGAUCCACAAUUCCCCAACUUGAAAUACAUAGUUGCACACCGUGAGAUAGUGCUGCAAUCUACUGAGAUCUAACUUAUAUGAUACUUUAAGCUACUAAUGUUUGCAUAUUUCUACAUGUUAAAUUGACACUACCAUCUAUAAUCACUCUAAAACGACAGAUGAUAAGCAGCUUUUGGCUACUUAUUACUAGCAUCCACAAUUAAUUUUUGUUCAGCAAUCAGCUUAUUUUAUAGAAAUUGAUUUAGUCAGCAACAAACACUAUAAUCCUUGAAAUUAGUUCUUGUUCUUUGUAAUUUUCUAUGAUUUUUCAUACAUCAAUUAAUCUGCAGUGCCAAGAUGAGGUUUGGUUUUUCAAACUAAAUAAUCAAGUAGCAAAAAUACAAAUUUAGAGAUUAGGGGGUGAACUAGCUAGGUGGUUUACAAAUAUUCCUAUUUGUAAGGUGAAUUAAUUGAAUCAUGAGAAAACAAUGUGACCAUAGCUCAAUAUGAGAUGAUUUCGGAGAGGCAUAUUGUUUUCAAGUGAAUUUGAUCCAUUAAGAGAUGAAGUGGAUUGAAGUGGAAAGUUUAAAUAACAAAUCCUUGUUCUUGAGUUUUACGACGUUGUUACUCCUUCAGGUGGCAGAUUAUGCAAGUGAAUUCAAAAACACAAUGCAUCAAUCACGGGGAUGCUACACCAAAAGACGGGAUCAUAGUCUAUGCAUUGAACAGUUACAGUUGCUGCUACCAAUUGACUCGGCAAAGAUCAAGAAGACUGAACGGGAAGUUAAUGCCAUCAAUGUCGUCUUCACUAUAGCUGCUGGGAAUGUAGGUGAACUUUCCUCAUUUGCGGCUGUCUAUACAUAGGCUUUUCCCCAGCUUAAGUACAAAUAAAUGAACCUGCUUUGAAGGCUUUAUUAUUGACCACAAUAAGGAUUACUAAUUGAAGAAGACUAUACGGAGUUAAUCCCACACUUUCGUUCUCUCAAUUUCUUUCAGAAGUGCCUCUGAAAAUAGCUGCCAAACCGUUAGUCAGCUUGUUAGACUCUGUUUUCUGGAAACAGAGCCCUAACUAACUGACUGUACAGAGUAAGUCAACAUAGCAUAUUUAAUCGUUUUAAUUGAAUUGUCUUCGUAGCGAUCAUCAACAAACUCAUCAUGAGAUUUUUGAAGCACCCAAGGACUAUCACUGGGUUUCUCUUCUGGUUGAUUAAUUAAUUAAUCAAAGAACGGUUGGAUACCCAAGGACAAUUAAAAUUAUUCGACUUCUGGAACUGGGAAUGAAGUGCAAUGAUGGAGCAAAAUUUACAAUGUCUCCGGUUUCUCCUACCAUCGGACUUUUGCAGUGAGAACAUAUAACAAAAAGGCCUUCAUCAAAAUUUGUAGACUCCGGGUAUGGAUUGGAUCGAUUUUUUUGUUUGAUAUUGAAGAACCUCUUUACUAUCGCGAUAUAGAUUAUGUGCAAGGAGUUGUCUACUGUUCUUUGCCUUGUGCUAUGAUCGGUGCUCUUGAGGCUGCCCUGAAACACAGGAAAAUACUUCGAUAUCCUCCGUUCGAUGAUGCAAAGAACCGGUUAAUGUAUGAUUACCUAAUUGACUCAGGAUCAGGUAACAACAACAACAAUUUAUUAAUAUCACAAACGAAGAAGAUCGCGGAGAGGGAGAUGUAUGCCUAUACUGUUUACAGGUUUGAUCCAUUGGGGAUGAAGUGGUCUCAAGUCGAAAGUGAUUUAUUAAACAACAAAUCAUUGUUCUUGGGUUAUACCUCAUGAUGUCAUCAAGUGGAAGAUUAAGAUUAUGCAAGACGAAGAUCGUUUGAUAUUGAAGAAUUUGAACAGAAAGCCCAUAGAAAGUACUUAAAAAAGCAUAUUCUUGUUGGGGUAGAAUAUUGAGAAAGGAGUUGUCUACUGUGUGUUGCGUGAUUAUGCUAUGAUCUGUGCUUUGAACAUUGCCCUGAAAACAGUGGAAAAUACUUCAUAUCCUCGACAUGAUGAUAAAAAAUUGGUUACCGAUUACGUAACUGACUCAGGUGACAACAAUCCAUUAAUAGCACAAUUUGAGGUGAUGCCGUUUAGGUAUAUGGUUAACAGGUUUGAUUCAUCAAUGAUGAAGUGGGCUUAAAUUAAAAGAUCAUAUAAUAAGUCGUUCUUCUUGGGCAUAUCGUCAUUACUACUUCAAGUGAUCAAAGAUGAAGAUGAAGAUGAAAAUUGUGCAAGUGAGUUCAAGAAUACCAUACAUCGUUACUUGGGAUACUUCUUCAAAUAUGGAUGGGGUCAUAAUUUACUCCCACGAAUUUCAACCCAAUUUUAUGAUUGGAGUGUCCCACCAUGACUCAGAAAAAUUUUGAUUCAACCUCCUCCACCAAUGGAUUUUGAAUAGUCACUUUGUGAUCAAGCAACUUAAUUAAACUCAGAGAGUCAGAGUUCGAUUUUGCUGGCACCGCAUUUUCUUUAAAAUGUGGCCAUGUAAGGAGAGCGGCACAUAAUGUCACUUCCUUAUCAAGCACUUUAAAGAGGGAUUUUAGAAGAAGAUACAACUGCAAUUGUUUUCGUAUGUAUAUAUAUAAACAACAGCACACAUUCAGUUCAUAAAAGAAAUUUUUGCUAACCAUGAUAUGUGGUAGUGCUUUUUAGGCAAUUUAGAAACAGAGUUGUUCAACUUACAGCAGGUAUUCUCCUCAAGUUCGACGUAAAUACAAAUAUUAAUUAGAAUCCAUAUUAUAAUGACACACAUAACUUGCUUCAAAAUUAUCAGAAAUUAAAAUUGCUGAUUCAUAAUGCAGAUAACUUGGAUGAAUUGAUGUUAAAGGAAAAAUCACACGCAUAACUUGGAGAGCAAUUGCGACAGCAGCCAAGUAUAUAUUUUUAUUUGAGAGUUGAGAAGAAUAUAUUUAAUGAAGCUUGAUAACAUUUGAUGGGAUAGCAAGUAAGGGUAAAUAAGAUAUUUUUAUUUGUUAUUUAUUUGAAUUAUAUCUAUUUUGUUCAAGUUAAAAUACUAAAUAUAAAUUGGAGGUAGACAUUUUAACAGAUCAUCUAAGCUCUCAAAUCUGAAAUUUUGUGUAGAUUUAAAUUCAUAAUUUUAGUUAAUUUUCAUUCAUUCAUAUAAACAAAUUUAUGAGAUUUUUCUUUUCAGCAUGUUAUAUUUUGAAACUUUCAAUGUAUUAUUCUAGCUUUAUUUAAACAAUUAAUUUAUUUAAUUUUGAAUUUGAUCAGUAGUAAAAUUAUUUUUAUAUCAAAUUUUUUUUAUUUAAAUAGUUCGUGGAUUGGACAAAAUUAAAAAAUUUUAAUCUACAAAAUGGUGGAUUAGAUAUGAAUUGGGUUAAAUCCACAUUCGAUUUGCAGUCGUAUGAAUUUGAUUUGGAUUGAAUUUCAUCAAUCCAUGGAUUAGAUUGGAUUGAAAAUUUAUUAUCCGCAAAAUCGUGGAUCGAAUAUGGACUGAUGUCCAAUCAGCAAAAUCCGAUCCCCGAACACGCCUCUAUCAAAAUUUUCAAGAAUAUGUUUUAUCUUACAAAUUUUUUUUUAAAGUCAUAAUCUAAUGGCAGCCCAAUUUUAUAAAGUCACACACAACCAUUCUUAUUAAAUUAGAAAGAUCAAACACUGCACUGGAUCUUGAACAGAUCAACACAAGUUGCACAACUUGCGAUUGAAUCCGGCCUGAAACAAUCAACUCUUUAGCAAGAACAAUUAAUCAGAGUCAAGAAACAAGUUUAAUGAAUAUAAACCUAUAAUUGAAACAAACAUAGCAAAGAAAAAAAAUACAGAUUUUACACGGUUCAGUUGUACCUAGGAUGGCACAACCUACACCACGAGAGAAGCUUUCUGGUGAGAUUUUAUUGAUGAUCAAAGAAGAAUCUUUUGACAAAGCUAAUAAUAGAGAUUUCAGAGAAUAAGCUAUAACCUCUCUCCCUCUUCAAUCUCUCUCUAUUUUGUUCCCAUUGAUGACCCCAAUCUGCUUAGUUAGCCAGCUUUAUAGCUGCAUCAGUAACAAACCAGCAAACCCAGAUUGAGCAGAUUGACGACACGUGGAUAACGGCUUUAACGAACCUGGUUAAGAACUGCUCACAUGUUCGUCACGCGUACUGCUUAAAUGAUGGCCAAAACGACUUCAAACAAAUGUCGUUUUGAGGCUUAUGAAUUACAAGUGAUAACACGAGAUUGUCUCAUGACUUUUAAAUGCAACAACGUGCCCAAAACGCUGUCGUUUUACUCUGUUGAGUUUGAUUCAUUACUAAGCUUUACGACUGGCAAUGGAGAAGAUGAUAAUUUAAUUGAUAUGGACAGUUUUUAUAUCACUUUUACAAAAUCCUAUGCAAUUGUAAUAUUGGGAAUUAUUGAUGUUUUAUAUGUGAAUCCUCAUUGGCAAAAACUAGUGGUUUUAUCUUUGUUGAAAUGUAGAUUACCUCUCGUUACUAUUUUAUUAUAAACAUAUAGUUUCGUAAGUGAAACUAUAUAUUUAUAAUAAAAUUAACAUAUAGUUUCGUUACAUUUCUGCCUCAUUAAGAUUCUCAAAUACCAGUCAGGUUUGCUUAAGAAAUAAAAUUUUUCCAUUAAAAUUGCAGUAGUAUUUCCAAGCAUAUCGCAUUUUCUAUGAUUUUUCAUAAAUUAAUUAAUCUGCGGUGCCAAUAUCAGAUUUAGUUUUUCAAACUAAAUAAUCAAGAAAGCAAACAUACAAAUAUACAGUUUAGAGGGGUAAACUAGGUAGGUGGUUUAGAUUUUAGAACUAAGCCAGCUACCUCACUAAAUUCCGAUUCGUACAGUGAACUGCAAGAAAUUGAGAAAACAAUGUAUUUAUAAUUUAAUAGAAUCAUAAGAAAACAAUGUAGUCAUUGCUCAAUAUAAGAUGAUUUCGGAGAGGCACAUUGUUUUCAAGUUAAUUUGAACCGUUUAUAAGAGAUGAAGUGGAAUGAAGUUGAAAGUUUAAAUAACAAAUCCUUGUUCUUGAGUUUUACGACGUCGUUACUCCUUCAAGUGGCAGAUUAUGCAAGUGAAUGCAGAAACACAAUGCAUCAUCCGCGGGGAUGAUACAUCAAAAGGCGGGGUUUGUUUAUGCCUGCAGAUUAGCAAUUUCACUCAUAUCGAAAAUUAAUUUUUUAUAUAUACUAAUCAACACUAAAUUGAUUAUGUGUUGUAUGUUUAUAUGCUAAUCAACACGAAAUUAUAUUGAAUUAUUAACAUUCAUAUUCCUAAUAAAAAUUAUUUUCCAUCAGUAUUCAAAAUUUUCACUUAUAGAAAAUGCGUUUUACGUGAAUACUAGUUAUUGUGUAAAUUUGAAUGAUAGCGAAAAAUAAACCUAUUUGAAAACUGUAAGGGUGUGUUGGGAUAUUUUACAACUGUCGGAAUCUGGUAGGAUAUUGCACCAUUUGCCCAAUAUUUUUAGACGUACUCCAACCGGUAUUCAAGAUAAGUAAAAUUUACAAGCGUGGCAAAAUAAAAAAAAUUAAAUUCGUAAUUUGUAAACGAAUUUUCCUGACAUGUAUAGUAGAUGAAGUUGUUGACCCUUUCUUUGGAUUAUUUCAGCUCUGGUUGUUGGUCACCGAUGAGCCGAAGUCUUAUUUUAAUUCUAUUUAAACUCAUCAUAAGAUUCGUGGAGCACCUAACUAACUUAACUGACUGUGCAGAGCAUCUCAACAUGGCAAAUUUAACCAUCAUUCAAGUGAUGGGUUUAAUAAGACUGCUUUUGUUCUACCAAGUUCCUCCGCCUCUAAGCAGAAUUACUAUUGAAGGGCCAAAUGGAAAAUGAAAACGUGUGAACAACAACAACCACCCCACAAAUUCAAUGACGAUGCUCGGAGAGGGUUAGGUUGGGCCUCUGAGAAAAAAAAAAAUUAUUUAGUUAAAAAGUUACCCUUAUUGAAACCUGUAUAAAAAUUUUAUAUUAAUUAGUUAUGUUGCCUCUUCAACUAUGAUCAAAUUUUUAUCUGAGCUCAUCAUUUAAUGAGUAAACAUGUAUUUUAAUGAUCUCAAUUAAUAUUUAGAACAAAUAUUUUAAGAAGUAAAGCUCAUUAUAUCCCCCAUUAUUAUGUAUCUCUGUAAUGUAUUGAAUUAGAAGAAAAAAAAAAUUCAACUCACUCAAAAAAAAAAAAAUGCUGGUAGCUUCGUAAUAAUUACUGUCUUGACUGCACCAGAUAAAGUUUUGUAAAAGAAUUCUGAUAUUUACCCCGGGUCAAACCCCGAAAAUAACUUAAACGGUGUCGUUUUGAUUUUUUUUUUUUUUAUACUCCAAAACGUUCUUACCAUUUCCGUUUCACUUACCAUUUAAUGCUCACAACUCAAAUAAAAAGCCCAGAAACUAGAAUCAAACUUUACAGAAACUAGAAUGCCCAGAAACGUUGUAUAGCAGGAACGUAUGUAAAGAGAGUAAACAAGAGGGAUUAAACAGAACAUACGUUUUCUUCACUUAUUAUUAGCAACAAACACCCUACACAACACACAUUUAAUGCUCACAACUCAAAUAAAAAGCCCAGAAACUAGAAUCAAACUUUACAGAAACUAGAAUCAAACAAUACACAUUUCAUUUCUUCAAGGUUAGGGAGAGACUCAGGGGAGUGAUUAAUUAACAAAAAUAAGAAUAAUAAUACCAACAUUUGUACAGGUCAAAUAAGAAUAAUAAUACUCAACCUAAUACCCAGUAUAUACAAACAAAUGCCCAGGCCAUCGUUCCUAUUUUGCCAUAACCUAAAGAGGAAAAAGCGAAGCACUACCUCAGGCUGUGAACUUUGCCGCUUCGUGAGUUUAAUUUCCCGAACAAGUUUCGGCUACCAGCGUUACCAGUGUUGACGGUGACCGUGGCUGUCAGCGUUGACGGUGACCGUUGGUGGAUCCCGAAUGCCUGGACCUUGGUCGAGGAAGGAAAGUAACGAAUUUUUUGAACAAACGAAGAAACGAAGCACCGAAGAGAUUUACGGUCAAACGGAACAAGACCAACUUGCUCUUCUAUCUAUGGCUUUCCCAGUUGAAACGAAGAAACGAAGAGGAAGAGGUUUAAUUCUUCUCAAAAUCGUCCAUCAGAAACGGCAACGUUUUGGAGUAUAAAAAAAGAAAAAAAAAUCAAAACGACGCCGUUUAAGUUAUUUUUCGAGUUUGACCCAGGACAAACAUCAUUUUCCUUUGUAAAAUAAUAAGUUCUCAUUAGUGGUUUUUAAUUUUUAAUUUUUUUUUCGGCACACCUGAUCAAGAAUUCUAUUUUGUUAACUAAUAAAUUGCAAAGCAUAAGUGUUGAACGGUACAAAAAAAUUUGAAAAAAAAACACUUAAAACGUAGGGAAAUGAGAAAUAUAGAAAGAAAGGAAGAAAGUUAAGACAUGAAACUGAUCUGCCGUGAAAUUGAUAAUCAUGUUUCUAUUUCGUUAACUAAUCAAACGGAAAACUGGAACUGUAAACAAACAUUAACACGUGUGGACUCUGCUAGCUGCCCUACAAGUCUACAAUAAUAAUUGAGUACCUUUGAUUCAUCCUUCUAUGAAUUUCUAGCUGUAUUGACCCCAACUGCUAAAGUUUUGUAAAAUUAAAAAAAAAAAAAAAAAAAAAAACUGGAAUUUCAACAAAAUUCAAAACGUGAGAAAUUUAAUUUUUGGCCAUGUGGAACAAAAUGUAAAUUACGGAAAAAGUAUAAAUCUCAAUUGCUUAGUAUGGUUAGGUUUUGUGAGCAUCACUAGAAAGUGAAAACUAUGAAUGAUAGGGGUGAUGUUUGCAACAUGAAUAAACGAUGAACUGAUUCAAUUGAUGAUCGUAAUUAUAUAAUGAGCAAAAUUUACAAAAUCAACAAAAGUUAAUAAAAAUUUAUUUUAAUAAUAAAACUUAUUAUUUAACGGCGCUCUAACCAUGGAGUACCAUAAUCAUAUUCUUCUUUUAAGAAAAUUAUAACUUAUUUCAAAUAGCACCAUAACAUAAUUCUAGAUAUUUAAAAGAAAAGCAUUAUUCACCUGAAAUGACUUGGAAGUCUAAAGAAAAAGAGGGAGUGGCUCCCCACAAUUUUCUUGUUUUCAGUAUAUUUUCUUUUUAAAAUCUUUUGACUCAUACAUAAUCUACCCUCGUUCAUUAUCUCUAUUUUGCUCUGUUCAAGUCCCUUUUUUUUCAAAUCUUAGUUUAAAUAAGAAAAUUGAAUAAAAGUACAUUUGUGUAAUUAAUUAGUAUCUGCGGGGGAUAUUUGGUGUAAUGUUUUGCUAUGUAAGACUCAGCUAUUAUUAAAUAGUUCCUUAACCUGUUUCGCAGUUUAUUUGCUAUCUUUGUGGAUCUCAUAGGCGUUGCAGAAUUUAAUAAUUUUAUUCGUCAGAAGAAUAGGAUAUUGGCUUCAAUAAAUUUAAUUUAAACCAACUUUUAUUUACUCCAUCAAUUAAUUAAUGCCAUUUGGUUUUGAAAAAUUCAAUAAUUAAAUUCUCACGUUUCAUGUGUUUGAAGUUAAAUUAUUCAUGGGUAAUUAUCACAAACCUCCCCUGAAGUUUGAUGUAUUAUCAAUUUGAUAGAUUGUAUUCGCGUAUUCUCAGCCACCUCCCCUUAAGUUAGUACACCGUUUAGUAUAAGUUUAGUGAGUGAGGGCAAGAUAGUAAUAGAACUCGUUAAUAAUAAAAAAUUCAAACAAACUUAAAAAUAUCAAAUUGGAUUCUGAAAUUGAUUUGAAUUUUGUUAAUAUUCCAAUGGGUAAAAACAAAAACAUGAUUUUAACCAACAGACAAUAUUAUAACAAAAAAAUGAGAAAGGAAAAUGGCAUCUUCUUGCUCCAUUCAGACAAGAGCUAACAAGAACAACGCCCCUUUCAUCUCUACUAUACUUUAAUAGAAAAAGGGUGCCACGAUCGGGAGACCAUGACGAUGAACUCGAAGACGCCGAUAGCAGGGACGACCGAAUCACGAACGCCAGGUGGAAGAAUGUUGACCAGUGAGUUUCCAUGUUGACCCACAGACAACCUCAGUUUGUUCGAGCCGCGAAUGAGGUAUGAAAAUGCUUAUUACUGUGCAUGUCAGUUUUAUUAGAUGGAAUUAAUCAAUUUGGUAAAAAUGAGUAAUGGGUCUCGACAAUUUUUUGAGAGUAUCUAUGUUGCUUCCAUUGUUUUCCAUCGAUUGGGUUAGUUGUAGGUUAAUGAUUGUUGUAAAUGCAUGUUCACCUGAUUUUGAUUGAAGAUGGCUUCAGCUACAUUAUGCUGCCUUGUGAAUGAUUGAAGAUGGGUAUGAAAAUUUUUUAAUUGUUUAAGCUAUUGCCACUGAUUGUUUGGAUUCAUGCUAGUUUUUAUUAAAUUACAGAUGUAAUUAAGUGUUGGAGAUUCCUUGUGCCGCAAUAUUAAUAUUUUGAGGAUACUUGAUUUUGUUUUUUUUUCUUUUUAUCACGAUAUGUACAUGUCUUGGUUGAAAAAAUGUCAUGAUUUGCUGCAUUCUCUCACACUGGAGCAGUGAGUUUAGUGGUUUUAAUUCUUUUCUUCUCUUUGACUAUGGCUCUACUUCACUGCAUUCAGAUGUCUUUAUUUGUCCAGCGUCAAAUGAUAAAGGAACAUAGUCUCCUUUUGAUUUCAGUUUGUCUUUCUGUUUUGCAGCCAAGAGGUUCUAACUACCAUCGAGAGUGAAAGGCUCUCCAAGUCAAGGCACAUAGCUCCUGCUGCUCUUGUUACUUUCCCUGAAGAUUUUGAUAAUGGGCUGGUGAUUAUUUAGUUUGGUUUCAAAUUAUGUUCUCGACAUUGUAUUUUGAAAUAUUUGGUUGGUGAGAUAAAGUUUAUUAUUAUAUCUCUAAUAUGUGAGAUGGGAUAUUUCAAGAUGGUAUUUUGGUUACAAUGUUUUAUUUGGUAUUUACAAUGUAAUCACAGCUCUUGGCGCUAAAACGGAUAUGACUAGCCAACAAUUCUUUGAUUUGUGUGAACGAAGUAUUUUUUUUCAACACAAGGGUAUUUUGGUCAUUUUGUCAAGUAACAAACAGUCAACUAAAUGGUAUACUAACGUUAGGGGAGGUGGCUGAGAAUACACAAAUACAAUCUAUCAAACUGAGAAUACGCUAAACCUCAAGGGAGGUUUCUGAUAAUUACCCAAUUAUUCAUUAACUAGAACUCUGUUCAAAAUUGACUGUCUUGUGGUUCCCAAAUGUAGUUGUAAUAUUGAAUGAAGGUAAAAACUUUCUAUGCGAGUUUAAAUCUAAAUCUGGACAAUGAAUUUUGACUUUCUCAAUGCUAUCCUAAUUACAAAAAUUAUAUUAAUUGAUUUAUUGUUACAGUUACUAGCCUUUUAAAAUGGAUGAAUUUAUUGUUUCCGUGACCAAAUUAUGCCUGCCUAACGGUGCAACUAUUAAAAAAACUAAUAUUUAAUGCAUAUGUUAAAAGAUUUAAAAUUUUAUGCAUUUAUUAAUUGUUAUAAUCUAAAAAAAAAUAAUUAAUUCAGGUCAAUCUGAGUUGGUGCAUCUGCAGGAGCCUUUUUUUUAAAUUUUUUUCCCCUUAUUGACCAUAAUGACAUCUCCUUCAACAUGACUAUUGACUAGGAGCAUGUAAAAACAUGGAAACAGAAUUUCCACAAAAAUGUCAAACGUGUGGAACUUAAUUUUUGGCCAUGGGGAACAAAUGCAAAUGAAAGAAAAAGGAAAAGACGCCUCUAAGAUUUGUUUCAAUGGUUUACAUUGACUCUUUAAUUUAAUUUAUAGUAACACAAUUUUUUUUUGUACAAAUAUAUAUUAUUCAUGUUUUGUAUUAUUUUUUAACAUCAUAUUUUUAUUUAUUAUAAAUAUUUAAAAUUAAUUUUUAGGUUGAUAUUUAAUAAAAGGGUAUAAUCGUUCUAUCCAUUUCUCAUCUCGCGAUCUCUCUCAAUUAUCCUUUAUUGAUAUCUCAAAGCGCGUUGCUGUGGAAAAUUGUAGCAAAAUGAAAAAUUGGAAAGAAAGGGAAGAAAAUUAUUGCUUGGAGAAAACAACCAAAUAAGUCAACUGGUCUUUAGUGAGAACAUAUCAUUUGUUUUGAUAUUGAAGGACCUACUUCUCUGCCGCGAUGUAGAAUAUGUGAAAGGAGUUGUCUACUGCUCUUUAGGUCAUAAUAAUGUGAUUGGUGCAUUCAACGUUGCCCCGAAACACUGGAAAGUACUUCCAUAUCCUCCGAAUGAGAACUGAUUUAUAUAUGAUUUCCUAAUUGACUCAGGAUCAGAUGACAACAACAACUUAUUAAUAGUUAUAUCAAAACGGCAGAAGACGUGUUUUGUUUACAGGUUGAUCCAUUUGGAAUGACGUGGUCUCAAGUCGAAAGUAAUUUAUUGCAUGCCUGUCGUCUAAAGCAUUACCUCACAAGGUUAUAUCAAAGGGUGUUUUACCUCAUCACGUCUUCAAGUAGAGGAUGAAGUCAGCCACUCGGCCUUUGGCCGAGUGGUGAGAGCUGCUCUCCAAUUUGGAGAGCAGCAGUUCGAACCCCCACAAUGUAUUGUGGGGGUCUUCCUUUCUUCAAUUAAAUUUGAGUGAAGGCAGUCUGUUUUUUUACCCAAGUGUGAGUAGCAGACAUCCCUUGAAAGUGUGAGUAGCAGACAUCCCUUGAAAGGAAUGAAGUUAUAGUCUGAUUUGUAAAUAUCAGUUAUAUUCUCAUGUAAUAUGAGUUGUAGUUUGAGCAAUAGUCUCAUGUAAUCAAAAAAAAAAAAAAAAAAAGUAGAGGAUGAAGUCUAUGCAAGUGAAUUCAGGAAUAUUGCAUGCCUGUCGUCUAAAGCAUUACCUCACAAGGUUUUAUGAGAGACGAAAGAUGUGUUUGCUUUGAACAAUUAAAGUUACUGCUACGGACCUCCCCAAAGGUCAAGAAGACAGAACAGGAAGCUAAUGCCAUCAAUGUCUUGUUCAUUAUAGCUGCUGGGUAGUUAGGUGUAGUUUCCUCAUUUGAAGCUGUCUAUACAUAGGCAUUUCCCCUGCUUAUGUACAAAUAAAUGAACAACCUUGAAGCUUUAUUAUUCGCAACAAAAAGGGAUUACUAAUUGGAGAAGACUAUACAGAGUUUCUCUCACACUUUCUCUCUGUCAAUUUCAUCCAGAAGGUCCCUCUGAAAGCUUCUCCCAAAACAGUUAGUCAUCUUUUAUGCUCUGUUUUCUGAAAGCAGAGUCCUAACUAAAUUAAUUGACUGUACAGUGCAUUUCAACAUAGCAUAUUUAACCGUUUUAACAGUUAUUUGGACCGUCUUCAGAGCUAACAUCAACAAACUCAUUCAUAUGCUUAAUAAUGAACGAAUAGUCUUGGAUCGAUGUUUUGCAGCAAGAGCAACUCGACACAAUCUGGAUUCAACCUCCUCCUUUCUAACAGGGGAUUUCGAUUUGAGUUACUUUGUGCUCAAGCAAAUUCACAUCAUAGUUUUGAUUCUUUAGAUAUGAAUUCAUCACAUUACAUGUAUCAGAUUAAGUGUAACAAAAUUUGUAAUUUACUGCGAAAGAAUAUGCACUAAAAAAUGAUUUCAAGACUAUUUGACUAUAAAAAGCAGCUGUCAGAGUGCACUAAAAAUUUCUGUAGGAUAUUUUGUAGCUGUUUAAUAUGUUAUGAUGGGCAUAUAAUUCUCAAAUUUUGAUGCCUCUCAGUGAAAAAUAUAUCAAAGUUUAGAUUAUGUGUUCGAGCUUUAAUAAAUGGUCGGAAAAAAAGCUGCUGUCAGAGUGCACUGAGUUAAUAAUAAUAACAACAAUAAUAAUAAACUAAAAAGCAGAAUUAAUUACUAUUGAAUGGUCGGAAAAAAAAUUGAAAACGUGUGAACUCCAAUAAUCACCCCACAAAUUCAGUGGCGAAUUUUGGCGAGGGCAAGGCCGGGCUUCUCAGAAAAAAAAUUAUUUAGUUACAAAAUUAUCUUUAUUGAAACCUAUAUAAAUUUUUUUUAUAUUAAUUAGUUAUGUUAUCUCUUCAAUUUGGUGAAUAAAUGUGUGUCUAAAUAAUUUCAAAUAACAUUUAGAACAAAUGUUUUGAGAGGUAAAGCUUAUUUUGUCUCGCAUUAUUAGGUGCAUCUAUAAUUUCUUAUUUACAAAAUUAUAUUGUACGAUAAAAAUGUAUUGAAUUAGGGGGAAAAAAGGUCAGCUCACUCAAAAACAACAAAUGGUAUUAGCUUCGCCACUGCACAAAUCUAGAAUAAUAAUGAUUCCUUAUCAUGCUGGGGGAUCCUUUACUUUCUAGCCGUAUUGACUGCACCAGGUAAAGCUUUGUAAAAUAAUAAGUUACUCAUUAGUGGUUUUUAAUCUUUUUAAUUCUUUUUACCGCACACCUGAUCGAGAAUUUUAUUUUGUUAACUAAUCAAUUGCAACGCAUAUACCGCACACAAGAUUGGAAAAAAAAAUCUUAAAAAACGUGCGGAUUCGGUAGCCACACCAGAAAUCUAUUACAAUAAUUCCUGGCCGUAUUGAAGUUUUUAAAAUAACAAGUUCCCCUUCUUGUUUUUUUUUUUUAAAUAUAUAAGCUUAUAACAAUUUUAGAAUAAUGACUCAUUUGUAGAAGAAUUUAUGAUUUCAUAUUAAUAUUAAUAUUGAAGUGGGGUGGGUCAAAUCUCAAUUGCUUGAAGAAUUUAUUUAUUAUUAUUAAUAUUAUUAAUAUUGAAGUGGGGUGGGUAACGGAUAAGCGGUUCACUCAGUUCGUGGCGAAUUAAAUAUUACCAUCCAAGGUAGAAUUGUGGAAAAUUAAAGCAAAAUGACAAGUAUGGAAAGGAAGGCUGAAAGUAAGGCAUGACGAAAGGCUUUGAGAAGGCUGAAGACUACCAAAGAAGACAACUGAAAGAGAGAAUGUGUGUUUUUUAAUAGUUAGAGAUAUAGCUAGAGUGGGUGGCUCAAAAUCCAAAAUGGUGACAAUGUUAGUUCUCGUAUUGGUAAUCUUGGGGGGGGGGGGGGGGGGGGGAACUCAGGGGAGGUCGAGUGAGGGAUGUUUGGAGCAUGAGAAAUUUGAUCUUUUGCGGCUUAAACAUUUCUUCAAUUCCCCUUAUACACUUCAAAACUGGGUAGGUGAACAAAGGGAAAGGGUUGAGUGCAGCAACUCCACAGGCCGCGUGGUACAACUACACCUUGGUCUUACUAUAUCGAUCUGGGAGAGUGGUAUCUGAAUGCUUCUAUAUUUACUUCCUUUCAACAACUUGGUAACAAAAUAGCCGGCUGCAUGCGUUGAGAAUGAAGGUCCUUCAUUUAAUUUAAUUUACUUAAUUUCUCCCUCCUAAUUAAUGUCUAUAACCAUUAGGAGGAACAAGGGAUUUUAUUAACUCAAAUAUAUCUAAUGGAGCUCAUUCUUUGGUUUUACUUGCAGGUCUAGAAGUAGGUGUCAUCUAACAGCUGCUUUAAUAAUUUCCCACCCCUUCAUCUUUGAUGGAAAGAUGAAAUAAAAACAAAAUGGUGAAAAUGGUAUUGGUACCUGAGGCUAUGUAAUCUAAUUCAAAAACUGCACCAUCAAAACGAUUACAUAAGUCUCAGAAGAAUCAAACAUCAGUUUGCAAAAUAUCAAUUGCUGGAGGUUUGAUUCUAACUUCCGCUCUUCAUUUUUAUGGGCAUGUUGUGUUGUACUUGCAUCAGAAAAUCAUAUUUUAGUUUAUUUACACUCAACGCUUGGAUUAAAGUUUUAGAGGGGGGGAUUGAAGAAGACUAGAAUGACACAAAAGAAAGAGUUGAGCGAGUGCCGCUUUUGUCGUCAUUUAAGGAGCUCUUUAUAAAUUUUAGGAUUUUUUUCCUGAGAAAAUUUAUGCCAACUCAUUCUUUGCUUCUUUUCUGAAGGGAUAGAUGCAACCGAAACUAUAUUCUUGAAUUAUCCAGGAUAAGAGACAUACGUUUAGAUUCUCGAGCCUUUAAAACAAUAUCAAAUUUUAGAUUGCCGAAAUUUUAUAUUGCCGAGUAUGAUGGUGUUCCAAUUAUAAGCUCCAGGGUGCAACUUCACUGAGGUUUAGAAUGCCUUCCUAUAGAAUUGAGAAAUCUCCAUUGGCAUAAAUAUCUUUUGAAAAUACUGCCAUCAGAUUUUGAAUUGGAGAACCUGAUUAAACUCAGCUUGCCUUCUAGUAAGGUUAAGCAAAUUUGGAAAAGAGAAAAGGUAUAAUGUAUUACUAUUACCAAAGUAUCUAUUUUUCUUUCUUUAAGUAUUUAUAAUGAAUAACUUUGAAAUUCAAUGAUGGUCAUUUAAUAUAGUUAUGUAUCUUUCAUUAUAGGAUGCUCUCAAGUUAAAAUUUAUAGACCUUCUCCCCCUGUAUCUUGAUAGGAUCCCAGAAAUCCUAAAUCUUAAGAAAAUAAAUCUUUCAAAUUGUGAAAGCAUGCUUACAUUACCCCCGUAUAUCCACAAUUUCAACCAGCUCAGUAUGUUGUGUUUCAUGGGAUGCAAAAUUCAUUUUGUUGCUCAUGAAAGAAUUGACUUGUCCGGAUGUAUUAAUUUUGCAGAUUUUCCACAGAUUAUGGGAAUAUAACAAAGCUAGACUUAAGCGAGACCCCAAUAAAAGAAGUUCCCUCAUCAAUAGAGUGCCUAGCUGAUCUGAAAACGUAGCGUUCGAGUAAGUGCACGAGGCUGAAGAGGCUUUCCAACAAGCAUUUGUAAAUUGAAAUCUCUUCUUGAGUUUUAUCUUUAUAACUACUCAAACCUUGAAUGUUUUCCAGAAAUCAUGGAGAAAAUGGAACGUUGAAAGAUAUAAAUCUAGCAAGGACGGCCAAUUACAGAGCUACAAUCGUGAUGGUCUUCUGGAUAACAUUAGCAAUUUAAAAUCUUUGAGGUACAUCUCGGCUAAUGGAUCGGCCAUUAGUCCUCUGUCGGAGAUUUGGCUGUACUUAAAUAUCUAUUGUUUUCUCGAUGCAGAGGUUUUGUAUCAUUGCCUCCAAUAUUAUUUUCAGGUUCAGGUUUAUCGAAUUUCGUACAACUAACUUUAAGAGACUCUGCUGUAGUGGAAAUUCCCCAAAACAUUGUUUGGCAAUCCUCAUUGAAAAUUUUAAAUCUAAAGGCUUGUUUGUUAACUACUUGAAGUAUGAAACUAAUGAUUUUUUUUAAUUUAUAUUUGAUUUUGAGAUAUUUGUAUCGGAAUUAAAAAAAUGAACUUUUGUGACAUUUAUCUAAAUAAAAAAAAGCUUAAUGAGAAGUAAAUAAUCCCCUUUUUCGUUUUGACUUACAAAAACAUAAUGUUAACUAACCAUGUUUAAGAUAUUUUUUAUUUAUAAAAACAAAUUAGAUGCUACUUAUAUUUAUUAUCGAAAAUUGAAAAACAAACAUGUUAUUCAUACAUUUAUAUUCAAACUUAUUCAGUCUUCAGCUAAAUACAGAUACAUUUAGAUUUCAGAGAAAAAAAUAAAUACUUCCUAAGUGGGAAUAACUUUGAGAGUUUACUUGCAAAUGUCAAGCAACUUGCAAGGCUAGAAUAUCUUGACUUGAACGGUUGCAAUAUGCUUCAGUCAUUAACAGAGCUUCCAUUGUUUCUAUAUUUUUCAGAAGUAAGGAAUUGCAAGCGCUCCAAUCUUUGCCAGAGCAUAGAUUUCAUGUUUACCAAUUGCCUGAAACUGAAUGAAAACGCAAACAACAGCAGUUUGGCAGAUUCAGAACAAAGGACUCAACAUAUGGCAAAUGCACCACUGAGACUAUUCCAUGAAAAGGUACCCCUACUCACUUUCUCUGUCCAAUCUUUGCAUCUGAUCAUCUGGGAUUCAAAUCCUCUACUCAUCUUGCUACUUGGCCUGCCAUUUUAACAUCCACUGACUGGUCGUUACCAAAAAUCAAAAACAGUAAAAUGAUACAUCUAAACCAUGCAUACAUAACCAAUAAUGUAUAUGUGUUGCAAGACUUUAGAAAGGCAAGAUGAGUAGAGUAUCGGCUUUGGUCUAAAAUUGUGGUUUUUAUAUGACAGCAGAAGCCUCAGGUACAACGUCAUGUCAGCAUUUGUUUACCUGGAAGUGAAAUUGCUGACUGGUUUAGCAAACAAGGUUUUGGAUCUUCAAGAACUAUCCAACUUCCACCACAUUGUUGGAACAGAAACUUAAUCAAAUUUGCUCUUUGUGUUGUUAUUGAACUUGAGGAAGGUUUUGAUGCUAAUGUUGAUGAAUUUUUUGUCCACUGUUUCUGCCAUUUUGAGAUAAGGGAUACUCCCUCUGAAACUAAACAUGAUCACUUUUGCGUUAUGAAAGCCGUAAACGUCCAUUGACUCGGAUCAUAUCAUAUUUGGAUUUCAUCCCUGUUGGAAUGUUGAGUGCAUUUAAGUCCAACCCUGUUACUAUAAAGUUUUUUGCCAACAGUGAAGAGGAAUGCACUCAAAGUGUUCCUCAAAUCUGAAAAAGAUGAAUUGGAACCGACUCCCAAGAGAAUUUAAAGAAAGCAAGUUGGUUUCUCAAGUUCUGAUUUCUUAUCUAAGUCCAACUCUCCAAUUACACUUUCUAUUUAUUUAUCAUUGUGCUUUAUCAUCAUCAAUAUUAAUAUUAAUAAAAUAAAAAGCAGUUGAGAGCCAAAUAAAGCCACUUGAAAAUCACUCAGUCACGCUUUUGGGACAUCAUUCUGCUCAUUACUUUUAAUCUGUAUCUCCGUUGUUUUAUUUGGUAUUUAUUACCAUUAGCAAAUAAAGGGAUUAGUUGAUUAUUGUGAGCUCACUAGAUGGAGCUCACCCUUAAAUGUCGGCUUGUACCAAGGAGGUGCCUUAGGGUUAAUAAACCAACUAAUCCCAUAAUUUAUUGAUGUAGGGUCCUAACAAAUUAUUGCAGUAGGUCAGUACACAGCUCGAAAACGUAUUUGAUCCAUACAUUGAAGAUGAUUCAAUAUUAAGCAUGUCAUAUAAUCUGGAAUAGGAUAUUGGACCAAUUUGAUGAUAAUGACUUUCUUUCAAUCUCAAUCUUUAUCUUCUUCGCAAUAUGACUAGCCAUUGCAAACUCAAACUCUGACAAUGAUUUCUCAAUCGCUUUCUAAGAUAUUGAGCAGGUAUGUAUAUGUAUGUGUGUAUGUGUGUGUGUGUGUGUGUGUGUGUGUGUGUGUGUGUUUGUGUAUAUAUAUAUAUAGAGAGAGAUCACGAGUGUGUGAUUUCCUUUUGCCAAUAAGGUAUGCAGAGACCUUGAUGUUACCCAAUAGCAAAAAAGCUUCCUAAUAAGUGAAGGUAUAGUCUAAAUACUUACACUCUCAUAUUAUUUUGUUCAUCAGCAGUUUGAUUAUUUUAUAUGCAUCUUUGAUUUUAGUUUUCUUUCCCUAUAAUUGCUAUUAUCUUUGAACUGGUCAAGAUUUGCCUAUAAGAUUUCUCAUGUUGAUUUUAGGUGCAAUGGAUUUUGAAUUUAGUGCAGGUGCAGAAGCUCGAAGGCAAAUUAUGAAAAAGGAUAAAGAUCUAUAAUUAGCGGUUAUGGGAUGUCAUAUAUCAUAUGGAUGGUAAUGGGGUCGGAUCACGAGUCCAUUAAUAAUCAUAGAUUGGCUUAUAUAUUUCAAACAAUGUACCAUGAAGUAAUUUCACAAGCACUUGUUAGUCUAUGUUGAGCUUUAUUGAAUCAGUAGUUCACAGUUCAAUACAAUGCAGGUUUACUAUUUGAAGUAAAUGCUUAUGGUGUGCAUUCUUCAUAAAACUAACUACUGAAUUUUUCGUUGAAACUUGCAGAAUGUAACAGAGAGAUGCAGAUAGCAGCCACAAAACACUAAGAUUGAAAAUCAGGACUACUAAAUUCUAUUACAAGCCCUUAGAAUAGACAACGAUCAUCCUCGAAUGUAUAUACUGAAAGUAAGAAAUAUUAAUCGUAAAGUUAUGCAUCAACAGAACUAUUAACUACUUAUCUUUAGCAGAAGAUUUAUAUUUUUAGUUGCAGCUCUCUACUUUGUUCGAAGAAUUAGGCAAAAGUGGCAUAUCUCCAAUCCAAUCAGCAUAUAUACCGCUCAUCUUCUCCAGUUCUUUCCGCUUUGAUUUGCACUCAUACCCUGCACUUGCUGCUUAGAAAUAGUCAUAGUUUGCACAUUGACAGUAGAAAAAGUACUUGAAACAGUCGUUGGCACAGCAUGAGAUUCCAUUGAGUCAUGGUCUCCAAGCUUUCGUAGUUCUGCAAAGAAAAUGACAAAACAUCAUGCUAUUGGCAUUCUACUUUUAACAAUUUUCCACAACCUGAGCUAUUUCAUAUCUCUCUAUAAAUUAUGAUCCAUGAGUGGACCACUGACGGAUGCAAGUUUAUUAUCACUUGUAACUGCUGGUUCAACCUUCAGAUAAGUUUGUGAUAAAGGCAUUUACGAGUACAAUGGCAAAAUUACAUGAACUUAUGUUAUCAAUCAUUGUUUUGCCUUCUCAUGAUAGAAUUCAAUGCAACAUAAAACAUUGAUAUAUUUGUACCUUGCCAUGCCGUGUUGUGAACCUAGAAGCAAUGCAAAGUGGAAGGAACAUAUCAAGCUAUCUACUGUAUAUAACAAAUUCUUACUAGCCCACAAUGCUGUGCCGCCACAUUGAUCAAGUAACACUACUAUUUCAUUUCCAAACUGGCAUAUAUAAUCUAAUGUUGAACAAACCAAAUUGGGAAUCAUCAUUCCUUACAUUAAGCUGACAUUCGUACCUGCUAGUCCAUGGGCAAAGUUGCAUAUAUUUUCAUACAGGCAGCUUCCCCUUAUCUCUCAGUUCCAACAGAGAUUUGGUUUCCCAUCACCAGCCUUUGAUUCAUUCGAUCAUAGAUACUCCGAGUUAGCAAGCCCCUUGUUGUGUUCCCAUUGAACAGACCCACUUCUGUUAUCCACAGAAGAUCCACCACUCAAAAUACUUAUCACUGAGCUAUUCCUAAACUGAGUAGAAACUUUCGCACAUCUCUCCGCAUUUACGUUAAGAAAUCGACACCUAUCCUCAUAUUUGCAAGUUUUCUGAUAAUAGAACGGUCUACAAAGCUGCAUUUCGUUAGGCAAUCUAGUCUCUCCAUUCCUCGCAAAGUGACAUUGAUUCCCGUAUUUGUAAUUGCCUAAUUGGGGUUUUGGCAAUAGCCUGAUCUUAAAAUUAGCACCCAUUACUUUGUUCAAAGCCACUGGCAUCCUCAGAUUAGGAACAACAUUUUCAAAUUUUUUAGCCCUGUUAGUCGAAUCACAUUCAACAGGAUAGUGAGGCAGCAUUUCACCAACAGAUUCAAUUUGACUACUCAUAUUGAUGCACAUAUAAGAAUUUGAAAUCACUUUUUCUUGGAAUAUUUAAUGACCAGACGAAAGUUCUUGAAUGGAAAUUAUUUAAUUUGAUUUGAUUUCCAACAAAUUCAAGAAACCCCAGAUAGUAACUAAACAAAAAUCAAACAAUAAUACGCAAUGGGUUUCUUUCUUUUUGCUUUUGGAGGGCCAUGGAGAUCUGGAGUGGGCUGUAAGUAAAUUAUGCCUUCAUCACUGGAAUGACAAAUUUGUAGAAGAUGAUAUAUGGGGAAGGAUUGAAGUAUUGAACAAAUUAAAUUACGUCCAUUGUGAUGAAUUAAAAAUAAAAUAACAAUUUUAACUUUAUAAUAAAAUUUGAUGUUAUCAUUACAUCUUUUAUUAAAAAAUUAAAUUAAUCAAGAAUGAUAUUAUUUUCUUUUAAUGUUAUCAAACUAAUCAACCUAUAAAAAUUAUAAAUUGUGAAGAAUAAAUACAUACACCACUUAAAAUGAUAUUUAUAUCAAAUUACUAGUUUUUAAGUUUUUCUUUUCAGAUGUUGAAAAAGAAAAAACAAACAUGUCAUUUAGAUAUUUUCAUUCAGACCUAUUCAGAUUUAAACUAAAUACAGACCUAUUCAGAUUUCAAAUAAAAAACAAACACAACCUUAGUAUAGCACAGAGCUUUUUUAGUGUAGCAUUUUAUAAGCAGAUUUUUUUUAAAAAAUUAUUAUUUAUUUGGUUGUUUUGCAUAGGAGAGCGUUUAAAGCUCCAAAAUCUUUGAUCAGUCAAUUUUUUUUUUUUUUGUUAGUAAAACUUUCAACAAAAAUUUAUUAUUCAUUUGAUCGUAUAUGAGAGUUUUUAUUAGUAAGUUAUAUAAAGUUCUUUAAUUUUUUUUUUAUUAGUGCAACUUUGUACAAGUACAAUUUUUAUUUUCUAAAAAAAAUUAAUUCAAUAAUAUUAGGAAUUUCAAUAUUUAAAUCCUAAUAUCAUCUGUCACUCAUUUAUUAAAUGACUAAUUUCAUAACUUAUAAAUUUAUUUAACUAACACCCAAUGAGUGAAUAUUACUAUGAUGAAGACUCAAAUUGAAAUUUAGAUGUUAGGUUGCGUAACGUUGCUCUUAUUUGGUUAUUUAUGAGAGCUUUCUUAUACAAACUUAUUUGUAUACAAAUUGAUAUAGUCUAAAUUCAUUAACUAGAUGAAAAUAUAAAAUAAUAAAAAUAAAUCAUAUGUACUAAGAAUUGUUUAAUUCAUCAAAUUGAAUUAUCCUACUUAUGUUUGUACCAAAUAAAUUUAUAUAAGAAUUUAUAAUUCUAUUUUUAAAUGUCCAACUAAAUUUUUAGUCCUUUAUUCUUUGUAAAAUUCAAAUUCAAAUGGCUCAUCAAAUAAAAUUAAAACUAUUGGCUAAUCAAAUAAAAUUAUUUGAAACCAUUGGGUAUGGUAGCUGGACCUCUUGGAACUAUCUAAGCCAUGAAAUUAACAGCGAAAAGAGUUUUAAAUGUCUAUUUUAUAAAUUUUUUAAUUAUUUUUUUAUUUACCAUUUUACCACCCAUAGUGAAAGUGUCUCAUCGACAGUUGAACAGUCAACAUAUCAGUCCUUAGGAAUUUACGUUUGGGGUAUUUUUGUAAUUAUAAGAAGGUAAACUAAUCGCAAAAUUCAUUUGGCUUGAACUUGCUCGCCUUCGCCCUGUGUAUGGUCGUGGCGUUAUCAAUAUCACCUUCUCCACUCGUACUGACACCAAACCUUAACCGUUCAGAUUCCCUUUCUCGAUUGUCAUACCCUAGGCCCCGUCUACGUGUCUCCGAUAAACAGUGCUCAAUUAAGGCCAUCAGAUUAUCCCGGACCCACAUUGAUCCAACGGCUCACAAUGACCGACAACCUCUAUAUCUCCAUUUCAAGCUCCCUUUUCAACUGGCUUCUGCUUCCGUCGUACUCUUUCUCGGAUUCGGAGUCCGUAUUUGCUCGGCCGGUCCCGCACAGCUCCCUCUCGCUCCAAUUGUCACCCAACAAGACCAAUUGCUUAAUCAAGGCACAGACCAAGAAGAGGAUGAGAAAUUGAAACAAGAAUUUGAGAAUUGGAAAUCGAAAACGUACCCAUUUGUGAUAAGGAAUUUAUGCGAAGUAAGGGAAAGAGAUUGAAGUUUCAGAUGAAUUUGUGUGCUAGCAUUGAUGGGAUCGUUAACAAUUUAUCUGUGCCCUUUAACAAAGUUAAGGCUAAGUCAGCUUCUUAUAUGGCUGCUGAUUUGGUUAGUGUUGGUGAUUCAUGGCUCAGCUUUGCGAUUAAAAAGAGAUUGAUUGAGCCAAUAGCUGGAGCUGAAGAUCAAGAUUGGUUCAAAUGCUUAAGUCACAAAUGGAAGGUAACAUCUUUGUCUUUGACCCGAUAAUUUUUAUUGUCUUACAUUGAAAUUUGGUAAUGUGGUUUGUAGUCAUUUUAUUUAUUUGCUUUUAUUUGCACCAACGAAGUCUCAGGUAUAUCUAUGCAGGAAUGAUACAGGAGAAAUUGAUCCUCGAGGUAAAAUAUGGGCGGCACCAUACAGGUGGGGCACAAUGGUGAUAGCCUACAAGAAAAGUAAAUUUCGAAAGCAUAAUUUGGCUCCAAUUGAGGUAAUAAUUGUCUUUAAAUUUUAUAUGAAACAAAAUCAAGACUGCCUUUCUGUUCAAUAUUUUUGAUGAUAAUAUCUUUAGAAGCAUCGCAUUGACGGGUAAUAAUGGUAUCCCUGAAAGAGUCUAUAAACUCAAUGAUAUUAUCUUCUACACAUGGUUUAUUAAACUUCUUCGUUGUAGUCAAAUGUACACUAAGAACAAUGAGAAGCUAUGCUACUGUAGCAUGUAGUGAUGGCGCUUAAUAAGUGAGUUGCUAGGAUGUGAACUAGAAAAAUUAAAUAUUGUCUCCUUGGGUAUGCUAGCUUGUAAGUCAGGGUUAAUAUUAGAAUUUAAGAUACUAUAACCAUGAGAAGCUAUUGACUGCCAAUUAAAAUAUCCAUUAAAAUGUCUAGGGAGUUAAGAAGGUGGAGGUAUCUUCCGAUUUCUAAGGCCACAUAGUAGACAUCAUCCAGGAUCCAAGGAAGGUGCGGUUAAGCUCCUGCUCGGUGCAAUUAAUAAAUUUGGUCAAUGCCACUGAAACCUGCUAACUGAUGUCACAAUGCACCAUGAGCACUUCAAAAUGGGAUAGACGGUCAGUAGCACUAAAUUUUUCUUGCCUAAGAUUGGGCAAUUGGUCUAACUGCUAACCCCUAUUGUAGGUUGAUCAUUAUUUUUUCAAUUAUGUUCAGUUUGACCCAAAAAGUUACAGAAUCUUGAUCUGAAUAUUGUCACCGAACACCGUCAAUGUUGUUUAGCAUAGCCAACUAACUAAAGUUUGGUAAAACAAACACACAUUGUGUCUCAUGUCUCACAAUUCAAAUUAUCAUCUGUAAUGAUGGAGGAUUUUUCUAAUGUAUGAAGUAUGCUUUGAUACGUGGGUUAGCUUGGAGAAGAUAUCUCAAAAUAAAGAACAUGGGGAGCGAAUGGGAAGAAAACAGUUCAGUAGUUUAUUAUUCUGUAGUCAAGUUUUGUCUCAAAAAUGGUCAAAAUUUAAAUGAAUAAGGACAGCGGAUCUUCAUUCUUUUUCCCUUUUUUAUGCCAAGAUAUCUCUCAACCUUUAUAUAAUCCCCACUGGAUAUCUACUUCUAACAAUUAAAAUAAAAAUUUCACCCACACAAAUAAAUACUGACCAAGCUCUAACAAUAAAAAGUAACAUCUUUAGUCAGGUAACCUCUUUACAGUUCCUCAUCAUCUUAGUGUGAGACUAUCAGUACGUUCCAAAAACAUAAUAAAACUGGUUUGAUCCUGUUUAUUGAUGUUUAAAUGUUGUUCAUUGUGACAUGUAGAAAUGAUGAGGCGAAGUUUCUUUGGUCAUCAAUUGGUAAGAUCUUGUUUGAAGUUGUUUUCUGAAAUGAACUGCCAAAUGGUAAUUUUUUUGGGCAUAUGAUGGCUCCUUUUUCCUCAUUUUAAACAUGUGCCUGCAUGGAACGGGAAGGAUUAGGCUGCAGAGUUGUUAUAUAUUUUGACAUGCAAUGGUUAUUACACAAUUUGUUCACACUGGAAAUUAGAAUGAGAAAUUUGUUGAUGCUGUUUUGAGAGAUCCGCAUUCUAUGCGCAUUAACAUGAUUAAUGAAAACAGAUUAUAGGACUGGAAAGAUCUGUGGCGGCCUGAGCUCGCAGGAAGAAUUUCAAUGGUUAAUUCUCCCCGAGAGGUUAUUGGUUCCGUUUUGAAGUAUAUGGGAGCAUCGUACAAUUCAAACAAUAUUGAUUUGCAAGUUGCUGGUGGGAAGAUUUCUGUUCAGCAGAAUCUGGCAUUAUUGGCAAACCAGGUACUCUUAAAGAAAUGAUAUCUGGUCAUUGCAUGUUAUUGCCUGACAACUGAUUUUGUUUGUAAAGUCUGCUUCUUCAUACAUAUGAACGCAUAUGUUAGUGUUUUCCUCUCCUUUUCAUACAUAUGAAUGCAUUUGUUAGUGUUGUCUUUUCCUUUUCAUACAUAUUAAUACAUAUGUUGGCGUUCUCUCCUGAAGAAAUGGCAAGGGAUGUGAGAUUCUGUCUCAUUAAAUUAACAAAAACCCAAAACAAUGAAAACCCAUAAUAAUGUGGUGUGGGUAAAUUGGCGCCAUUUGGUUCGUUUCCUUAAUGUGAAUACGCGAGCAAUAGAGACUAACAAAAUGAAGUGACAACAAGAAGUCAGUGUCGUCUGAUGGAUGCAUUUUUAGGCAGAAAUAGGUUUGUAAUUGACCAAAUUUGUCUGGCAUGCCAAUUUCAAAAAAAUUAAAUCAUGUGAUUAUUAGCUGUAAUGAAGGGAGACAGUAGGUGCAAUCAGGUGGAUCCAGGAAAGUUCAACAAAGUUCUGGUAUGGCGUAGUGAAAUUGGUUGUCCAACUCAAGAGUCUUUCAGGUGAACGAUGAUGGGUUUUGAUUUAUAAAUGUUAUAAAUCUACUAUGAAUAGUAUUCUAGCAGAAUCAUCUGUAAGUUCUAGUUAUUGAAAUUGUCUACUUUGUCCAGUUUGAAUUAAGGGCAAAUGUAAUAUGAAAAAUAGUUGCCGCAUCUUUUAGGUUACCUAACAUUUGAUCAAUCCUAUUAUGUGGGCUUCAAGAUGUCUAACAAUAUGUAGAAUGCACAUGCUCCUACCCAUUGUUUAUCUUAUACAAUAAUUUGUUUUAGAUGCUAAUAUCUUUGUCGAUCCCGGUAUCAAUAUUACAAUAUCUGCGUUUAUUGGGUUUUACAUAGGUUCGACUGUUUGACAGUACACACUAUCUGAAGGCAUUUGGAAUUGGAGAUGUAUGGGUUGCUGUUGGGUGGAGUAGUGAUGUUCUUCCUGCUGUCAAACGUAUGUCUAAUGUUGCAGUUGUUGUUCCCAAGUCUGGCGCUAGCUUAUGGGCCGAUCUUUGGGUAUACCCAUGCCUGCCUUUCUACUUCGAUAUUCACAUUGUUAUCUCCUUCAUAUUAGUGAUCAGUAAACACGAUAAUGUGACUAAUAAGUUCGUAUCCUCUUUAUAGGCAGGCCCUGCUGCCUCAAGACUUGAAACAAAACAAAUUGGAGGGCGAGUCAGAGGUCCAUCUCCAUUAAUCCAUCAAUGGAUAGAAUUCUGCUUGCAAACAGCGAGAGCAUUGCCUUUCAAGCAAGAGGUUAUCCCGGGCGCAUCUCCCUCUGCCCUUGAGAGUACUCUGGUUAAGUUGCCUGAAGAACUUCUGAAGGGUAAACCAAGUCUGGAUACUAACUUAAUUGUUGGAGUACCCCCGGCUGAAAUUCUGGCCAGAUGUGAGUUUUUGGAGCCAUUAUCUGAAGCUACUUUGUCAGAUUAUGAGUGGCUGGUUGCUAAUCAGCAAAAACCUGCUCCUGUCUUGAUGAAAAGGGUGCAACAUUACUUGUCAUCAUUGAUCCAAAGCUUUCUAGCAAAAGCUACAUUGAAAAGUUAAUGGCACUGCAUGCCAGUGAUUAUAAUGCUUCAGGGCAAUUGGGUCAGGGCAAUUAGGUCAGAGCAUAACUUCAUUAGGAAAAGAGGCUUCAGCUACAUUAAAUAUUACAGGAUGUACUGAGAUGGCUGAAGUUCUUGAGGUUUUAUGAGAAAUGAAAGAUGAGUCUUUGUUUGAACAAAGUUGUUGCCAAUUUUGCAGAGUUCGAGAAGAAAGAUCACGGAGCGAAUGCCACCGAUUUCUUCAUCAUUGUAGCCUCCAUAGUUGAAGUUUCCUCAUUUGAAGCUGUUUAUGCAUUAAGCUUAUUCCCUGCUCAAGUACAGGAAACUGAAGAAUUAACCAGACAUGAUAUGCUGAAAGAGGGAAGUUUUCUUCCUUGAAUGUGGCCUUGUGAUUUGUAGUGAAGUAAUAGGAUGAUCACUAGCAAGAACCCUAUCAAGGUAGAUUUUAUAAUGUCAACAUAUUAUUAAGCAUUUGUCAAUUUAGCACUUUCGCAAUGAUACAUUCAUAGCCUGAAAUUAAUUAUAUGAUCCUGAUUAAUCAAUUAAUCUUCAUGAGAUUUAACCUAGUUAAAACUAAGUACAAUCAUCGUUAACAAAUACUGAAAUUGGGUAAAUAUGAUCUCGACAUUGAAGAAUUUGAAAACACAACCCACGGAGGAAAUUACCUGUUGCAUGGGGAUGGAGAUGGUUACUGCAGGGAUAUAAAAUAUGUGCAAGGUGUUGUCCACUGCUCUUUGGGUUAUGGUGUGACUUGCGAUUUCAAGGUUGCCCUGAAACAAUGGAAAAGAUUAACAUAUCCUCCAAUGAAUGAAAACGGCUUGUCUAAUUCUAAUUACCGAAUUGACUCAGAAUCAGGUGGCAAUAAUAACAGGUCAUUAGCAUUACACAGUCCGAGUACUUUUCCAGGAUCAGAUACAACGUGGUCUAAUGUUGAUAAUAAUAGUUUAUUAAAUGACAAAUCAUUGGUCUUGGGUGUUGGUUAUAUACGUCAUUACUACUUCAAGUAGAAGAUGAAGGUUGUGCAGGUGAUUUCAGAAAUAAAAUACAUUCUGAGAGAUGCUGGUCUACCAUUGCAUGCCCCCAGAUAUAAGAAUUUUUUGAUUGGGGCAUUUGGCAAGAUUCGACAAAUUCUAGAUUCAACCUCCUCCACCAAGGGAUUCCAACUGAGUUAUCAAUUAUCGUAGCAGUUCUAUUAACUAAAAUUAGCAAAUAUAAUAUAAGAAAAAGAACAAUAAAUACACACUGAAGUUGAAUUGAAAAUGAAGUUGCAAGUUGCCGCCCAUAGCUGCUGACUAAUAAUAAAACGAGACAAAUUAAUUAAACUCAGACCUCUUUGUAUAUGUUAUCCUAACUUUACUUACCCUUGUUUGUAAUUUUCACUUAACACUUGAUGCCUAAACCAUUAAAACCAAAUGACCAUAGGGGUAUUUAAAGUAUGUAAAAAUAAACAAAAACACGUAAAAAAAUUCAAACAAUUAAUAAUUACACUCUAAAUGCACCACUCAACUCUUAAUAAUAGCCAUACUCUAAAACAAUCUACAACCUUUGAGGGGAGUAGCUAUGAGGAAAAUCCUUUUCUCAGUGGAUUGCCAUUGCCCAAUAGUUGCAAUGAAAAGAGACCACCUGCAACUGUGCCGGAAGAUUCAACUAGCUCUGAAAAAGAUGAUAAUUUAAUUGAUAUGGACAGUUUCCAUAUCACUUUUAAAUCAUCUUAUGUAAUUGUGAUGUUAGUAAGCAUUAGUGAUCUAUAUGUGAACUAUUAUUGGCGCCAUUGGUGGUUUUAUCUUGUUAAAAUAUGGAUGACUUCCGGUUACUAUUUUGUAGUACACAAUUUUAUUCAAUUAACAUAUACCUUAAAACCAUUAUGUAUGUGCUUUAUUAAGAUUCUCAAGUACCAAUCACGUUUGCUUAAGAAAUAAAAUUUUACCAUUAAAAGCGUAGUAAUAUUUCCAAGCGCUUCGCAUUUAUCUCAACAUUUUGAAGGAAUUUCGAGAAAUACACGGGUCCAAAAGUCUAGUCAUCAUCCUUAUUCUUGGUAUGAGUUGAUUUUUAGUGAUUAUCUAAUUGACUGGGGUGACAACAAUAGCACAACGUAGAAUUCAAUAAUAGAAUUCUCCUGUUUAAUUUGUUUUAAGUUAAAUUAUUAAUUACUUAAAACUCUGUUUUAAGUCUUUAAUUUUAUGUCUUGGCGUAUAUGCAGAGUUGGAAUCUUGAGUGAGUUGGACAUGACCUACAAUGAGAGUGGCAGUAAACAAACAUUAGAACGUGUGGACUCCGGUGGCUGCCCUGCAAGUCUACAACUCUACAAGAAUAAUUUCUAGCCCCGUUGACUCCACUAACUAAAGUUUUUUAAAAUUUAAAAAGGUACAUAGAAUUCAACAACAAGCAAAACGUGUGGAAUUUAGUUUUUUGCCGUGUGGAACAAAAUACAAUUUAGCAAAAAAGGACAAGAAAAAUGGUAAGAUUUCUAAAAUGAGUGGAAGUUGAUCCAUAUUUUACUGAAACGACUUGCCCCGAACAUCACGACGAUUGAUUUUUUUUAUUUAUUUUUUGAAUAACAUCAACUUUCAUAUCUUUCUAACCCCCAGAAUAUGCUCACGUUCUAGUCUAUCUUGCUAAUUUAAAAAAAUAAAAUCAAAUCAACACCAAAACAAUGAAAAGUAAAGCUUUUGAAUUUCAACUCCAGCUAGCAAACGUAUUCAGCGUUUUCAAAUUCUUCCCAUUGCAUAUCUUCUUCCUCCAUCAAUGCAAUAUUUGAACGAUUAUGAAAGAAUUUAAGAACAUAAAAAAUCUCCUAGGUUUAUACGGUGUAACAAAUUUAAAUUCUCAAUUACAAUAGAUAAUAAUUAAACUAAUAAUUUUUUAUGUACUUAUUUUAGUAAUUUCACCUAAGAAUAAUAUUGUAAUUAGAAAAAAAAAAUCUAAUGAGUAGGGUGGUCUUAUACAAAAUCAACUGCAUACAUAUAUGCAGAUGCAGAUAAUAAUUUUUAAUUCCUUUUUUUAAUAAGAAAAUUGUGUAUUGAGAUGAAUAAGAUGUUUAAUUUAAUUAAUUUCCUUACUUUCGUAUACAUUGUCUUUCUAUCUAGAGAAAGCUUGGUGUUCAGAACGACAUGAAGUUGCGAGUUGUCGCCCAUGGCUGCUGAUUAAUAAUAAAACGAGACAAAUUAAUUGAACUCAGGCCCAUAUGUAUAUGUUAUCCUAACUUUACUUGCUCUUGUUUGUUAAUAUUCAUUCUUAGAGAGGUGAAAAAAAUUACAAGUCUUGAAUAACGAGGAGUUUAAUUGCCUCUAACUUUACUUGGCCAGGCCUUCUAUAAUCUCAUUAAUAAUACAGAGAAUUAAUUAUCUUUUUAUUAUUAAACCAUCUUCAGGAAGAUUUUCCUUAAUUUGCUCCAGAAGAGUUGGAGCUGUGGUUCUGAUAAACCAAAGAAUUAGUAGCAAUUAAUAUUAAUAUUUCGCCCAUGGCUGCUGAUUAAUAAUAAAACGAGACAAAUUAAUUAAACUCAGGAGCAUUUAAACCACUUCCUUAUCAAUUGCGGCAGCCGUCUAUUAACUAAAACGCCAAUCUAAUACAAGAAGAAAGAACAUUUACAGACUUGGCAAUUGAGUUCAUUAAGAAGUAGCAUCGCAUUCGGGUGAUGAGUUUCCUUUUGUUAAUGAUUUUAGUCUAAUUUCAAUUGUACUGUGACCGCUUCUCACUCAAGGUAAGUGAAAGUUACAGAUGUGGCAAAAUAAAUAAUUAAAUUAACAAAAUGCUAACUAAUUUUCCUAAAUACCUAGGGUUGUACAAUUUCACCAACCUGGAAGAAUUGACAUUAAUGGACCGGUCUCCUCCCCAUAUAAUUAUAAUCCUUCUAGAAAGCUAGUUUUUAUUAAAUAUUUGCUUUUAAGUUAAUUUCAAUUAAAAAAUGUUUUAAGUUAUAUAUACUCUAAUGAGAUUCUGAAUUCCUUUAUUCCAAUAAUAAUGAAAACGUAUUAAAUUAGAAAUGAAAAAAUUGGUGUUGAUGAUUCAACCUAUUUGGAUAGAUUACGUGAAUAAAAUUGAAAUUUUGAUUUAAUUUUUGUUUAUUGUUAAUUCUCAUGCUAUCUUAAUUUCAAGAAUUUAGAAUGUUAAUUUGGUCAUGGAUUUCAACCCGUGAGUAUCAUAUUCUAGACUUAAUGGUACCAUUCUUUGAUUGAGGGCAAUGACUCUCACUCCUCUUGUAAAAAAAUAUUUUCAACUAUUUUGAUGACUUAAAAAUUGAUAGAUUUAUUGUUGUCAUGACCAAAUUAUUCAUUUUAAUGAAAUAUAAUUAAUGCAUCAAAGUUACCAGGUUUAUGUUCUAUCUUACCUCUGUUUCAUUUUUUUUUUUUCAGUUAUCAGCUAUGCCCCUGAGGCAUUUUGUAGAGUAUAGCUUCUGCUUACCUCUGUUUCAUUUUUUUUAAUAAAAAAACAAGGGAAGGUUUUUCCGAGUCAUCCAUUAUUUGAUUUCCGUCAAUCAAGAAAACGACCAAAUUAAUUUCUCUCCAAAAUUUCCAAAAGCUAGAAAAUUUUGUUAUUUGAAAAUAACAUCAUUAAUUAUAGAGUGGAUCAAACCGCGUUAUUGUCUUUCAUAAAAUUGAUGUCUUUUUAAGAGUCAAUACUUUUGAUGUACGCAAACCAGUCGACAUCAACUUAAACUUCCAUAUUUUUAUUAUUAUGUUAUUUAUUUUAAUCCCCGAUUAUUUGAUUAGCCACUAUAUAUAUAUCAAGAAAGCGACAAAAUUUAUUUCUCAUGACUUCCAAAAACUAGAAAACAACAUCAUUUAUUAUUUUUUUGCAACCCUAAUUGACAUAAACUUUAACUUUAUUAUGUUAUUAUUUCAAUCCCCCAUUAUGACCUUUCUAAUCCUCCAUUAUGCAUCUUUUAUAGUGCAAAUUUAAUUGCACAUCUAAAUAAAUUGAUUAUUGUUACUCCACCACCAAUAUUUCAAGGAAAAUUCUAUGAUGCCGUGAUUAAAAUUACGGUAUUAAUGCCGUAGUUAUUAUGUACCGUUAGAUUAGAUCAACGGCACAUAAUAAUUAUAAUUAUAUAAAUUUUAUUUUUUCAACAGGUUACAACCCGGUUAACAUUUUUUUAUAAGUAAAAGUUAACCGAUUAAAAUUAAAAAUAAUUAUUAUAUUUUUUUAGAAAAUUAUUAUAACUGAUUUAUUUUAAAAUCGCUCAUUCACGUUAAUUAGGGAUUAUGAUAGGACCGAAGUAAAACUUCAGCCGAUUCAUAUUGAGAGGAAAAGAGCAACUGAGUCUUUCUCCACUACCAGUCUUUCUCCACUACCAACUCCACGUCAUCGCCGUUCCGCCGUUUUGUUUCAUCAUGUGUUGGGAAAGGGCAGAGGUUGUUUCCCAGUGGCCAACUCGAAGAAGCUAAAGUUCGUUAAAUUCCAAAACACAUAAUCCUUGCAAACUAGAACGGGCAAAGGCUAUCUUUGAAUUGUGCUUUUUUUUCCUGUUUUUCGAGCCAGACUGCCCACCAAGUUAGCCAAUUCUUGGUACUAAUUUUGUCUUUUAGUAUUGAUUUUUGGGGAAUUCCUUUUUUCACCUUGAUUUUCUUUUGAAUUGUUUUAUAUCUGCUUGAUUUUCUUUCUUUCACUCUUUUGUAUUCUUUGGUUUUCUUCAUCAAAAUUUACUAUUUUCACAUGUUAUCUUGAUUAUUUCCUGCUAAUUAAUUUUGUAUUGUAAAUAAUCUAUUUGUUGGACUUCCAGAGUGAGCAAGUUAAUUUGAUUUAAUUAGGUGCCUAUUAUAAUAGCUUUUCUGGUUUGUUGUAGGCAAUUCUAACUGUAUUCUAAAUAAACUUCCAUAUGAUUAGAUCUUGAUAAAUGCAAAGGAUAACAAUGUUAUAAGCCAUUGGCCUAAGAAAAUGUGUAAAUCCUCUAUUUGAGGUACAAAUUUUCUCUCAUAUGUUUUUUUUUUUAUUUUGUAUUUUUUCACAAAGAACUGGUUGUUAAGAUCCUAUUUCAUUAGUUGAAACUGAUUAAAAGGAGAUUACCCUUCGGCAGUUGGUGGGAAAGAUUUAAGUUCAUCUUUCUGGAUCUUCUACUUUAGACUUAUCAUUCAAGAAAGUGUCAAAACUCGAAUGGCUGUAAAACUUUGAACAGAUUAUUAAUUAAUUUAGGUGCAAGAUCUUUUAUAACACUUUAAUAAGUUAUUACCAUUGCAUUCUUUUUUUCUUUUCUUUGAGAAGAAACCAUUUAACUUUAGACUAACUUCCAAAUUUACCUUUGUAAUUUAGCUAAAUAGGUAAAUUUAUUCAAAAGUUGUCCUCCUCGCAAGCUUAAGGUAUUUCAACUUUGCCUACAACUACAAGUUAAAGAGAAAUUAUCGUGAAAACCAUGCCACGGCCGCAGUAUUUAAAAUGUGCACAAGGAGCUUAGAGAACUGGGCUUUGUUUGAUUACAUGAAAGGAAAUGGACAAAAUUUAUGUUACAAAAGAAGCUUGGAGCUGAUAAAUGAUGCAGUAUGAGUGAACUUUUUGUCGCUCUUUGAGGAAUUUUUCUACAAAUUUUGAUGUAGCUAUUAUUUUGGUGAAUGAUUUAUUCUUUUCUUUUUUCUUCAAUAUUAUGAUUUUGUUUCCAUAUUUUAAUAGAAAUUAUUAAAAUUCUAAGGAAAUUGCACUAUUUAUCUCAAGAAAGUGGCUUAAUUCUACAUAUAUGAGUAAUGUUUCCAUAAUUACAAGCAUAAUAGUGGCUUAACUCCAUAAUUCUACAUAUAUGACAUCAAACCCAACUCAUGCUCACCCUUAUAUCAUUCUAUCUAAAUCAUAAAAUGACAAUAAUCCAACUCUUUAACAAUUUUCACAUUGGAUUUAAGUUGAGGCAAUUGACCUAAACUAAAUAACCUAAAUUCCAAAUAAAUGUGAAAUAACACAAAAAAUUUCUAAACCACACGUAUGACUCGUAAAUUGAAGGUAAAACAUGUAAAUUAGCGUUAGAGUGGUAAAUUGGUCUACAAAAUUAAAAAAAAUAAAAAAUAGAAAAAAACUAGUAAAUUGAUAGAAAAUGUAGUAAAUAAAUGUUGGAGUUGUAAAUUAUAAGAAGAAAUUGUAAACAAAACAAAAACUUAGAAAAGUGACAUAGAACUUGUAAAUUGACAUUAAGUGUGAAAUGAAAAACAAAACUUUGUAAACCACAUAUAAAACUAGUAACUUGAUGGGAAAAUGGGAAAAUUAAUGUUGGAGUUGUAAAUUGUAAGAAGAACUUGUAAACAAAACAAAAACUUAGAAAAAUGACGUAGAACUUGUAAAUUGACAUUAAGUGUGAAAUGAAACAAAAUAUUUGUAAACCACACAUAAAACUAGUAAAUUAAUGGAAAAAUGGGUAAAUUAAUGUUGGACUUGUAAUUGGCAAGAAUAACUUGUAAACAAAAUAAAAACUUAGAAAAAUGACAUACAACUAGUAAAUUGACAUUACGUGUAAAAUGAAAUAAAAAACUGUGUAAAUCACACAUAAAACUAGUAAAUUGAUGGAAAAAAUGGUAAAUUAAUGUUGGAGUUGUAAAUUGCAAGAAGAACUUGUAAACAAAACAAAAACUUAGAAAAAUGACGUAAAACUUGUAAAUUGACAUUAAGUGUGAAAUGAAACAAAAAAUUUGUAAACCACACAUAAAACUAGUAAAUUAAUGAAAAAAAUGGUAAAUUAAUAUUGGAGUUGUAAUUUGCACGAAGAAGUUGUAAACAAAACAAAAACUUAGAAAAAUGACAUAGAACUUAUAAAUUGACAUUAAGUGUGAAAUGAAAUAAAAAAUUUGUAAACCACACAUAAAACUAGUAAAUUAAUGGAAAAAUAGGUAAAUUAAUGUUGGAGUUGUAAUUGGCAAGAAGAACUUGUAAACAAAACAAAAACUUAGAAAAAUGACAUACAACUAGUAAAUUGACAUUACGUGUGAAAUGAAACAAAAAAAAUGUGUAAAUCACACAUAAAACUAGUAAAUUGAUGGAAAAAGGGUAAAUUAAUGUUUGAGUUGUAAAUUGCAAGAAGAACUUGUAAACAAAAUAAAAACUUAGAAAAAUGACAUACAACUAGUAAAUUGACAUUACGUGUGAAAUGAAACAAAAAAAAUGUGUAAAUCACACAUAAAACUAGUAAAUUGAUGGAAAAAGGGUAAAUUAAUGUUGGAGUUGUAAAUUGCAAGAAGAACUUGUAAACAAAAUAAAAACUUAGAAAAAUGACGUAGAACUUGUAAAUUGACAUUAAGUGUGAAAUGAAACAAUAAAGUUGUAAACCACACAUAAAACUAGUAAAUUAAUGAAAAAAAUGGUAAAUUAAUGUUGGAGUUGUAAAUUGCAAUAAGAACUUGUAAACAAAACAAAAACUUAGAAAAAUGACGUAGAACUUGUAAAUUGACAUUAAGUGUGAAAUGAAACAAAAAAUUUGUAAACCACACAUAAAACUAGUAAAUUAAUGAAAAAAAUGGUAAAUUAAUAUUGGAGUUGUAAUUUGCACGAAGAAGUUGUAAACAAAACAAAAACUUAGAAAAAUGACAUACAACUUGUAAAUUGACAUUAAAUGUGAAAUGAAACAAAAAAUUUGUAAACCACACAUAAAACUAGUAAAUUAAUGGAAAAAUAGGUAAAUUAAUGUUGGAGUUGUAAUUGGCAAGAAGAACUUGUAAACAAAACAAAAACUUAGAAAAAUGACACACAACUAGUAAAUUGACAUUACGUGUGAAAUGAAACAAAAAAAAUGUGUAAAUCACACAUAAAACUAGUAAAUUGAUGGAAAAAGGGUAAAUUAAUGUUUGAGUUGUAAAUUGCAAGAAGAACUUGUAAACAAAAUAAAAACUUAGAAAAAUGACGUAGAACUUGUAAAUUGACAUUAAGUGUGAAAUGAAACAAAAAAUUUGUAAACCACACAUAAAACUAGUAAAUUAAUGAAAAAAAUGGUAAAUUAAUAUUGGAGUUGUAAUUUGCACGAAGAAGUUGUAAACAAAACAAAAACUUAGAAAAAUGACAUAGAACUUGUAAAUUGACAUUAAGUGUGAAAUGAAACAAAAAAUUUGUAAACCACACAUAAAACUAGUAAAUUAAUGAAAAAAAUGGUAAAUUAAUAUUGGAGUUGUAAUUUGCACGAAGAACUUGUAAACAAAACAAAAACUUAGAAAAAUGACGUUGAACUUGUAAAUUGACAUUAAGUGUGAAAUGAAACAAAAAAUUUGUAAACCACACAUAAAACUAGUAAAUUAAUGAAAAAAAUGGUAAAUUAAUAUUGGAGUUGUAAUUUGCACGAAGAAGUUGUAAACAAAACAAAAACUUAGAAAAAUGACAUAGAACUUGUAAAUUGACAUUAAGUGUGAAAUGAAACUAAAAAUUUGUAAACCACACAUAAAACUAGUAAAUUAAUGGAAAAAUAGGUAAAUUAAUGUUGGAGUUGUAAUUGGCAAGAAGAACUUGUAAACAAAACAAAAACUUAGAAAAAUGACAUACAACUAGUAAAUUGACAUUACGUGUGAAAUGAAACAAAAAAAAUGUGUAAAUCACACAUAAAACUAGUAAAUUGAUGGGAAAAGGGUAAAUUAAUGUUGGAGUUGUAAAUUGCAAGAAGAACUUGUAAACAAAAUAAAAACUUAGAAAAAUGACGUAGAACUUGUAAAUUGACAUUAAGUGUGAAAUGACACAAAAUAUUUUUAAACCACACAUAAAACUAGUAAAUUAAUGUUGGAGUUGUAAUUAGCACGAAGAAGUUGUAAACAAAACAAAAACUUAGAAAAAUGACAUAGAACUUGUAAAUUGACAUUAAGUGUGAAAUGAAACAAUAAAGUUGUAAACCACACAUAAAACUAGUAAAUUAAUGAAAAAAAUGGUAAAUUAAUGUUGGAGUUGUAAAUUGCAAGAACUUGUAAACAAAAUAAAAACUUAGAAAAAUGACGUAGAACCUGUAAAUUGACAUUAAGUGUGAAAUGAAACAAAAAAUUUGUAAACCACACAUAAAACUAGUAAAUUAAUGAAAAAAAUGGUAAAUUAAUAUUGGAGUUGUAAUUUGCACGAAGAAGUUUUAAACAAAACAAAAACUUAGAAAAAUGACAUACAACUAGUAAAUUGACAUUAAUUGUGAAAUGAAACAAAAAAUGUGUAAAUCGCACAUAAUACUAGUAAAUUGAUGGAAAAAUAGGUAAAUUAAUGAUGAAGUUGUAAUUGGCCAAAAGAACUUGUAAACAAAACAAAAAUUUUAAAAAAUGACAUAGAACUUGUAAAUUGACAUUAAGUGUGAAAUGAAACAAACAAUGCGUAAAUCACACAUAAAACUAGUAAAUUGAUGGAAAAAUGAAUAAAUUAAUGUUGGAGUUGUAAAUUGUAAGAAGAACUUGUAAACAAAACCAAAACUUAGAAAAAUGACAUAGAACUUGUAAAUUGACAUUAAGUGUGAAAUAAAACAAAAAAUUUGUAAACCACACAUACAACUAGUAAAUUAAUGGAAAAAUAGGUAAAUUAAUGUUAGAGUUUUAAAUUGUAAGAAGAACUUGUAAAUAAAACAAAAACUUGUAAAUGUUACAUAAAACUUGUAAAUCAACAUUAACUUGUAAAAGUUUCAUAAAACUUGUAAAUCACACAUAAAAUUAGUAAAUGUAACCUGGAACUUGAACAAAAAAGAGUAAUUACCUGCUAUUUAGGUAACAGGUUACCUAUUUAUUUAGAAUUAAUGGUAGAAAUCUUUUAUUCAAAUCUAACGGUCCACGUCCAUUACGGCAUCAAUGCCGUAAAUUUAGUUACGGCAUUAUAGAAUGACCCAUAUUUCAAAUAGUCACUAGACCAUUUCUGCCUUUAAUUUUCCCUUAAGUUUAACUAUUGACUGUUUUUAGCAUCUUAAAAUAUACAUUUAUUCCUUGAUUAUGUGAUAAAAUUAUGAAAAAAAUCCAUUUUAGCUUAAAUUAAUUGGAAUAACCAUAAACAUAACUUAAAUUAAUAGAACAAAAUUAUCAAGUGUAUGUUCUAUCUUACUUUUUGAAGAAUUUAACAUAUAUAAUGCUAUACUAUUAAUAAAUUCAUCAUUUAAUAUAUAUGUUCAAAUAUUUUAUAUAUUUAUUAAUUGUUAUAUAGUCAAAGGAUGAAUGAUUUUUCAGGUCUACAUGAGUUGGUGCAUCUGCAAGACUCAAUUUUGACAACAAUGAUCUAAGGGGUAAUUUACCUUGGUGUUUGACAAAUAUAACCUCUCUUCAAGAUUUACUUCCAAUCUACUUACUGUAAAUAUCUCCUCAUCUCCUCUCAUUUAUAUGAUAACCCUUGAAGAUCUCACAUUUUCAAACAAUCAUAUUAGGGUUUUUAUUAUUAACAUCAUUGUGUCAAUAAUAUAUGUUGCAGUAAGAUUUUUUCAGACCAAUUCCCUUCUUCAAAUAAUAAUGGAAAAGUAUUAAUUUAAAAAUAAAAUGAAUAUGCAUUGAUUAUAUCCUAAUUUUCAUCGAUUAUAGCGAGAGUUUCUCCAAAUCAACUCCCUUAUUCAAAAAAUACAGAAAAAAUAGUAAUUUAAUAGUAAAAUUAACAAGUGUUGAUUAUAUAUCCUAAGUUUCAUCGAUUAUGUGAUCAAAGUGGCAUUGUUGAUUUAUUUCUUGUUCAAUGUUAAUUUUUAGGUUAUCUAAAUUUCAAGGAUUUAAAAUCUUUGUUCAUGGAUUACACGCUUAUUAAUUUUUCUGCCAUUGACUGUCAUAUUCUAGACUUAAUCGUACCUUCCUUGAUCAAGGAUAAUUACUCUCUGUUCUCCUCUUAUAAAUUCCUCUUCCAUUAACAUCACUAGAAGUAUGUUGAUCUCUCAGACGUUAACUUCAGUGGAGAGUUUCCAAAUUGAUUGUUACAAAACAACACAAAAACUAGACACACUUGAUCUGUCUAAUAAUUCUCUUUCGGUAAAAUUAAUUAAUUUUAGGGGAAUAUUUGACCAACCUAUAUAAUUUUAGAUUGAUCAUUAAUUAAUUAGACGAAAAAAGUACUUGUGCUUUUGUGGCGACAAUUGAACCAGAGAAGUGAAGCUGUAAAGAUUUGGCAGUAGUAAUUAUAAUUUUUUCAAAAAACUUUUUUACAACACAGGCACCUGGCCAAAAAUUUUAUUUUUCUAACUAACAAUAAUUGAGUAGCUGACCGUAUUGACUCCACCUACUUGCUAAAGUAAAAAAAUAGAAAUAGAAUUUCCACAAAAUGUCAAACAUGUAAAAUCUAAUAUUUGGCCGUGUGGAACAAAAUACAAAUGAAAAAAAAUAGAAAAAAAGGCCUAAAGACUUUUAAAAUGUGUGGAAGUCUUUCGGCCCUUUUAUAAUGGUGUGUUUUUCAAAGGAACAAAUAAUAAUAAUGACACUUCUACGGUUUGUUUUGAUAAUCACACAUAUACUCUUUAAUUUGAUAAAUGGUUACACAAAUUUUGUUUACAAAAAUAUAUUAUUCAUGUUCUGUAUUAUUUUUUAACAUCAUAUUUUUAUUUAUUAUAAUUGUUUAAAGUUAAUUGUUAGGUUGAUAUAUAACAAAAACGUAUAAUCGUUCUCUUACUAAACAAACAUACUCGUAGUUUCUGUUCAUUUGUCAUCUCAAUCUCUCUCAUUUAUCCUUUAUUGAUAGCUCAAAACGCGUCACUGUGGAAAAUUAUAGCAAAAUGACAAAUAUGGAAAAAAUGGGAAGAAAAUUAAUGCAUGAAAGAGUUGUAGAAGACAACCAAAUAAGUCAACUAUACGCUAGCUGGGUGUAUAAAUUGUUAGAUGUGUUAUAAACAAAUAGCAUAGAGCCUUGGUUGGUUACAGAGAUAGAAAAAGUGUGUGUGUUUUUUAGAACUUAAAGAUACAGUUAGAAUGGGUGGUUCAAAAUCAAAAAUGGUGAUAAUGUUUGUUCUGUUAUUAAUAAUAUUUGAAGGUGGGUGGAGUGAGGGAUGUUUGGAUCAUGAGAGAUUUGCUCUAUUGCGACUCAAACAUUUCUUCAUUAAUCCUUAUAAUCUUCUUUACAACUGGGUAGAUGAUGAUGGAGCUACUGAUUGUUGUCAGUGGGAAAGGGUUGAGUGCAGCAACACCACAGGGCGAGUGAUAGCACUAGACCUUUUUGACGCGCAUGGGGGAGAGUACUGGUAUCUGAAUGCUUCUUUAUUUACUCCCUUUCAACAACUUGAGUCACUUGAUUUAAGUUGGAACAAUAUAGCCGGUUGUGUUGAGAAUGAAGGUGCUUCGUCUAAUUCAAUUAAAUUACAUUUCGCUCUCCAAAUUUAAGUCGAAUAUCAAGACUGAGCAGCUAUAUGCAUAUUCAUUCAAUUGACAAUUUUUACAUAUUUUGUAAAAUGUUUAAUUUUGAAAUUACACCAAACAUCAUAUGUGAUCUUUGUUUUGAUUUUACUUGCAGGUCUAGAAAGAUUGAGCAACUUGAAGAGGCUUGAUUUAAGUCAUAACUUGUUCAACAAUAGUAUCUUAUCAUCUGUGGCUCAUCUUUCAUCACUAACAUCAUUAGAUUUAUCUGAAAAUAGAUUGGAAGGAAGUAUUAAUGUUAAAGGUACGUAAUUAAAACGUCAUCGCUUUUCCCAACUCUUUCAUUAACAUGUUAAAAUAAGAUUCAAGGCUUUGAAUUCAAUUUUUUUUAUGAGUAAAUAUUAGAAAAAUAGUUUUAAGCAAUUCAUAAAUACAAUUUUCAAUGUUUCUCAUAAUUACUCUAACUGUGAAGCAAAUACCCCAUGACUAAUUUAUCAUUUUGUCCAGUUAAAAAUGAUAAAAUUUAUCAUUUGUUUAUAUUGAUUUAUUAACUCUAUUUUAAGUCUUAAGUCUUGGCGUCUUGGCAUGUUUGCAGAAUUUGAUUCCUCGAGCAACUUAGAGGAGUUGGACAUGAGCUACAAUGAAAUAGACAAUUUCGAGGUUCCUCAAGGUAAACAAUUAAAAUAUUAUUUAAUUACAUUAAUUUAAUUCGUUUGAUUAGGGAAGACCCAAAAUGUACAAAAACAUAAUUAAAAAAAUAAAGAAACAGAGAAUUCAUAUUAUUUCAAAAAACAAAAGGUAAUACUAUUAUUUCAAAAAAAGAAUGUAAUAAAGAUUUGAUUCCGGUUCUUUAAUCUUUAUAGCAAUUGAAAAACAAUGUUGCUCUUUUCCCAAAGCAUAAAAUACGAAUUGACUCCCAAUUAAAUUAAUCAUUUAUUUCGUUUAGGUCUAAAUUUAGAAAAAUGAUUUUUGAUUCUCUUCAAUCCUAUCCUUAUUAUUAUUGUUAAAUAGGUUACAGAGGUUUGAGGAAGUUGAAAAGCCUCUAUCUAUUGGAAGUUAAAAUUAGAGAUGGAAGCAAGUUGUUACAGUCAAUGGGAUCAUUCCCAUCCCUCAACACUCUUGACCUUUCGUGGAAUAAUUUUACCGAUAUAGCGACAACUACUACUCAAGGUAAGUAAAAGGUACAGAUGUGGCCAAAUUUAUAAACAAACUGUUAAUUAAUUAAUUUUUCCGUAUUAUUAAUUAAGCUAAAUUUGUUGCUUCUUCCUUCUAAAUCUAAACAGAGUUGCACAAUUUCACCAACUUGGAAUAUUUGACAUUGGACGAUUCCUCUCUCCAUAUAAGCCUUCUGCAAAGCAUUGCAUCAAUAUUCCCUUCGUUAAAAAAUUUGUCGAUGAUUGGUUGUGAAGUCAAUGGCGUCCUACGUGGUCAAGGUAAAAGAAAAGUGUUGAUUGUGAACUCGCUCAAUGGUGUCCUACGUGUUCAACAUUUUUAUUUAUUUAUUUUAUUGUUUAAUGUUUCUGCUAGGCUUUCCUCAUUCCAAGAGUUUGGAACAUUUGGAGAUGGAUGACGCGCGCAUUGCACUCAACACCAGCUUUCUUCAAAUCAUCGGAGAAUCAAUGUCUUCUCUUAAGUACUUAUCACUGUCAUAUUAUACUCUUAGCACUAACAGCAGCAGGAUUCUUGUUCGAGGUUAAUCAGAUGCUCCCACCCUCCCUUCUUAAUCUAUAAUAUUAAUUUUCAAUUAAAUAUUUAAUUACACAAACCAAUCACUUAUUAUAAAAGAACAAUACGCAUUCAUUAAUUUUUAUAUUGUAUUAAUAAUUGAUGAAUUUAAUAAAUUUUCAGGCCUCUGUUCGUUGAUGCAUCUGCAAGAGUUGUACAUUUAUAAUAAUGAUCUGAGAGGCAGCUUGCCUUGGUGCAUGGCAAAUAUGACAUCCCUCAGAAUAUUAGAUGUUUCUUCUAAUCAACUUACUGGAAGCAUCUCCUCAUCUCCCCUCGUUCAUUUGACAUCCAUUGAAGAGCUGUAUCUUUCAAACAAUCAUUUUCGGAUCCCAAUUUCACUUGAACCACUUUUCAAUCACUCAAGACUCAAGGUUUUUUGGGUUAAGAACAAUGAAAUAAAUGCAGAAAUAACUCAGUCACCUUCUUUUACCGCCCCAAACUUCCAAUUAUCACGUCUCUCAUUGUCUUCCGGUUAUGGAGACGGUGUCAUAUUCCCCAAAUUCCUUUACCAUCAACUUGGUUGUUGGAAAACAACACAAAAUUGAGACAACUUUCUCUCGUCAAUGAUUCUCUUGCAGGACCUUUUCGGUUGCCAAUUCAUUCACACAAGCGGUUAAGACUGUUGGAUAUAUCCAACAACAACAUCCGAGGCCACAUUCCAGUAAAAAUUGGAGAUGUUUUACCAAGUUUAUACGUUUUCAACAAUUCCAUGAAUGCUUUAGACGGUAGCAUUCCCUCUUCAUUUGGUAAUAUGAAAUUCCUCCAAAUUCUGGACUUAUCCAACAAUCACUUGACAGGUGAAAUCCCCGAGCACUUGGCCGUGGGUUGCGUCAACUUGCAGUCUCUUGCAUUAUCAAAUAACAACCUACAAGGUCAUUUGUUCUCUAGAAAUUUUAACUUGACAAACUUGAAAUGGUUACAAUUGGAGGGCAAUCGCUUCGUAGGUGAGAUCCCACAAAGUUUGUCUAAAUGCUCCUCACUAGAAGGAUUGUAUCUUAACAAUAAUAGUCUUUCGGGUAAGAUUCCACGAUGGUUGGGUAAUCUCACAUGGUUACAAUAUAUUAUAAUGCCCAAUAAUCAUCUUGAAGGCCCUAUUCCAGUGGAGUUUUGUCAGCUUGAUUCGCUUCAGAUUUUGGACAUUUCAGACAACAACAUAUCUGGAAGUCUACCAUCUUGUUUCCAUCCUCUCAAUAUCAAACAAGUUCAUCUUUCAAAAAAUAUGUUACAUGGACAGCUAAAAAGAGGUACAUUCUUUAAUUGCUCUUCCCUUGUGACAUUAGAUCUUAGUUAUAAUCGCUUGAAUGGCAGCAUUCCGGAUUGGAUUGAUGGGCUUUCUCGGUUAAGCCACCUUAUCUUAGGUCACAAUAAUCUUGAAGGUGAAGUGCCAGUUCAAUUGUGCGAAUUGAACCAACUACAAUUGUUAGAUCUUUCUAAUAAUAAUCUUCAUGGUCCUAUUCCUCCUUGCUUUGAUAACACCACACUUCAUGAAAGUUACAGCAAUAGUUCUAGUCCUGAUGAGCAAUUUGAAAUAUUUUUUUCCAACGAAAGCUCUCAGGGAAAUGUAGAAAAGCAAAUCCAUGAAAUUUUUGAGUUCACAACAAAGAACAUUGCGUACAUUUACCAAGGAAAAGUGCUUAGCCUCCUAUCAGGACUUGAUCUUUCUUGCAACAAGCUAAUCGGUCCUAUUCCUCCUCAAAUUGGAAAUUUGACAAGGAUUCAAACAUUGAAUCUAUCACACAACGACUUGACAGGAUUGAUCCCAUCAACAUUUUCAAACUUGAAGCAUGUCGAAAGUUUGGAUCUUUCCAACAACAAAUUGAAUGGGAAAAUCCCUCAUCAACUAGUGGAGUUAAAGACAUUGGAGGUUUUCAGUGUGGCAUACAAUAACUUAUCAGGCGAAAUUCCAGAAUGGAAAGCACAAUUUGCAACCUUCAACGAGAGUAGCUAUGAGGGAAAUACUUUUCUUUGUGGAUUGCCAUUGCCCAUUUGCAGAUCACCAGCAACUAUGUCGGAGGCUUCAAUUGGCAAUGAACGAGAUGAUAAUUUAAUUGACAUGAACAGUUUCUUUAUCACAUUUACAACAUCAUACGUAAUUGUGAUAUUCGGAAUUGUUAUUGUUUUAUAUGUAAAUCCUUAUUGGCGACGUAGAUGGUUUUACUUUGUUGAAAUGUGGAUAACUUCAUGUUACUAUUUUGUUGUAGACAAUCUUAUUCCAACAAGAUUUUGUCAUUGAAAUUAAUUAGUAGCUUAAUUACGAUUCUUUAAGUACUAAUCAAGUUUGCUUAGGAAAUAUUUUUUUAUUAAAAUUGUAGUAGUAUUUAGCAUUAUAUAGCUUCCAACUUCCAAGCACUUCACAUUUUUCUCUACACUUAAAAAACUGAGUGAUCAUGUUUUGCAGAUCUGGAUUUGGAGCAGGAUGGAUCCAAACCCAUAUCUGUCCACCAUAACUUAUAGCUUCCCUAUACUGUGCAGCAUACUUAAAUAAGAGAACCAUCUCCAAUGUUAAAAGCAUUCACUCUAUAACAUUCAUUUAGAAACUAUAUUCAGAAUAAUUUUAUAAUUAAACACAAGAAAUGAAACACACAGAUACACUUGAUCGCCUAUUUUACUCUAAAAAAGAACGAUUAUUGUGCUAUCAUCAUCUUCUUCACUAGCAACAUUAACACCAAAUCGAUGGACCCAUACAUUUCAUCAAGAAAGGUAUAUAUCCAAUAAAGUUGAAGCCUAACAAAAAAUUCAAGAAGAUUAAUGCCUCGCCACAACAAGGGGCACAACAACAUCAAAGUAGAGAUUAAGCAGUAUUCUCAAAGCUAAAACUCUCAAAUCCACCCACCAGAAUUUCAUAUCUCCUCAACAAUUUUAAGAACUAAAGAUAAUUAGGAUUUAACAUUAGUUUUUUAUAUAUUAGUUUCAUAAUUUACAAAUCAAUGAAGAUGAAGAUUAUGCUAAUAAAUUCAAAUUAUACCAUACAUUCUCUAGAUGUUACCAAAAAUUUCUAAGUCAAUCCCACAUAUUUCAUAAUUUUAAGACUAGAAAAUUUCACUAGUUAGAAGUUUCAUUACCUUCAAGUGGAAGAUGAAGAACAUUAUACAAGUGAUUCAGAUUAUAUCAUACAUACUCCAAAUGCAACUAGAAAUUAACAAGUUCAUGCGCACAUAUUUCAUAACAGUAAAAAUUUGUUGCUCAACAUGAUGUGUAUUUUUUUUCAAGGCAAUUUGGAAACACAAUUGUUUCUACAGAUAUUCUUCUCAACUUGGAGAUAAAUACAAAUAUUAAAAUGCAUAUGAUCGCACAUAUUACUUCGAGUUUAGUAAGAUUUCAUUAAAAGAAGCAAUCAAACCACUUAUCAAUUGUCGCAGUCGUUCUAUAAACUAAAAUAGCAAUAUAAUACAAGAAAAAGAACAUAUAGAUACUUGGCAAGAGUUCAUUAAGAAGUCGCAUCACAUUCGGGUGAGGAGUUUUCUGAUAUCUUGCUAGCUGGGGCUUUUUCUUGUCUUUCUACGUAUGCCGAGGGAAACCAACCAGCUUGGCCCUUGCAUUCACCUUCCGACCAUCCAGUAGGAGCCACCUUGAGAAGUUAUAACUAAAACGGUGAAUUAAACAAAAGUUAAUCGUUCAAAGACCUAAGGGGAAAACUAAUUCUUUUACGUAGGAGGAGUGAAUUAGUUGUGAUCACUGAAAUAACAGCAUAACUAUAGAAGCAUAACAAGAUAUAAAUUCACAUGUCUAUAAGGGUAAACUGGGUGGUUUAGAACCGAGCUAGCAGCCCUACUAUAUUCUGAUUUGCACUUCAAUGUAAAAGGGAAUAUAUGGUAGGAAGAAAGAAAACCAACCAUCAUUUGUUAACUCGUUGCUUUUCAAUCAAAAUUUUAAGAAAAAAAUGCCAUGUGCUUUGAACAUCAAAUAAGUAUAAGCAUUAGUUCUAAAUUCCACAUAUCAUAAGUUGUUAGAAGGAUAAGUUAAUAGCAGAGUAGAAAAAUCUAUGUGUUGGUAUUUAGAGGGGAAAGUACCUGGCGAACCACAACAUAAUCAUCAAUUGAAAGACUUAGCUUUCCAUUUGCUUGAGCAUCAAAUGGAUGUAUAACCUGCAAGAUAAUGGGAUAAAUAGAACUUAAAAAAAGCAUAACAAAAGUAGCAACAGUAGCAGCAACGUUCAUUGUAACCACUAUGAUCAUGGCCAACAAAGAUAUAUUAGAAACAAAAUUCCAUUUUUACUACGACAUUAAUAUGUACUAUACGAUAUCAUGACGAUUGGGUUACUAAGAGCUAUCAAAGUCUAAUAAGUUCUGUAUAACUUUAUGUAGUUAUUUAAAUUAUGGAUCAGAUUUUAAAUUUGAAAUUUUGACUGCUCUCCACAAAACAUGGCCUAUGCACAAGAAAGUCAUAGAUAAUGAGGAUUACAAGUGUCCGACAUCUUUUGAGUGAUGGAUUUAACAUGAGAGCUUAUGGUCAGUCAAUUUCCUCUGCCUAGCAAUAUAAGCUUUCUCGGCCAGAUUUAUCUUCAAAUACAUAGAUUGCCCCCAAGUCACAUCCAUAUAAACAUAGUUUUUCUAGGUAAACCAAGUAAGGAGUAUCAUAAUUCAGACAUAAUCAUAAAAAGGCCCAUCUAACUUAAGAGAAAAUCUCAAAAAGAGGGAUGCUGAGCUAUCAGUCUUGUAUCUAUAAGCAAUAUCAAGACUUUACAUCACCUGCUACAUCGUGAGUGGCUACACAACUUUCAGUGGUUUGUCUUUCUUUGGCAUGCCUAACUCAGCUUUGAUGUUGCUGAGAUAUUGAUAGUAGAGACACAUGAUACUUCUAGCUCAUGCAUUCUAUCUAACUCAUCCAACAACUAUCUCUUUUUUAAUUCAUUAGUGUUUGCUAAACCUCAUGCUUAAAAGUCCUGUUCUCCUAAACAAAGUUUCCUAAGAAUGACUUCCUUAGCACCACAUUUGGACACUUUUAGAGCAAUUUUAUUUGGGGGAAAAGAAUUUUCAAGGUGUUAACUAAUAAAUUUUUAAAAAAUAAUUACAAUUUGUCCUACGAUCAUAUGACAAUUUAUCUGGGAUGAAAGGAUACAGAUAGACAUCUUCCACUUUCAAGACUAAUCACUACUUCCGUAGAUGUUGUGCAAUAAUACAAAUACUUGACCAGAUGGUAGUAAUGGUAGAAAAAAAUUUUAUUGCUCCAAAAUUAAAAUAAGAAUGCAAUAUGUUAAGCAAAAGGCUGUGCAACAUCAAAUUAAUUGAUAAGUUUGUAAUUCAGUAAAUUAACAACUUUCAUGGUAAAAUACAACAAAUUUCUUUUGAAAAAAAUAAAAAAAAUAAAUCUUAAAAGACAGCAUUCAAUUUUGUGCGCAUCUUAUUUCUUAAGAUUUUUCAGGAGGAGGGCAAUAGAGGGACUUUCACCUAUGCAAGAGAGCAGAAGCCUUACUUUCCCUAUAAAGUAGACGUCAUUCUGAUUAAUAUGCGUUUGCAAAUCAGCUCCGUUUGAAUCAGUAUUCUGAUAGACACACGAGGCAUUUACAUCCAUUUCCAAAGUCACAUGUUGCGAGGAGGACUCAUUUGAUUGCUCCUAUACGAUCAUCUAAUUCAAGUAGCAAGGGUUGGAAGAGAAUAAAAAGUCACAAUUAUUCUUUUGCAUAAGUGAGACGAAAAUGAUAAAUGCAAUAUUAUCAGCAGUAAACAAGAAGAGAACGCUCCAAGAAAUAGAUAGAUGCAGACAAGCAAGUUAAAAUGCAUAGUCCCAAACCUCCGCAUACAACUUCUCUAAAGUAGCAAUAACGUGUUGAUGCUAUGUUUUCUCAGCAUCUACCUGCAAAGGCCCGAGACCAGGAAAACAACAAUAAAACCACUAGCUGAAGGAGAAAGCAAAGAAAGAAAUACACUUGACAUAAAUCUUGACAAGAAGCACAAUUUAAGACAUAACAAACCCCAAUCAUAUUGUUUAGAACUACCAUUCGUUAUUUCGUUAUUGUAACAUUUCGAACAAGUGUUGACUUAAUUCAACAUUGUUGGAAAGAUAGGCUUUUAGAAGCAGAAGAAAGCCUCUCAAACCAAAGUGCUUGUCCUUGUAUUGAUCAAGGGAUGUAAACAUAUUACAUUUGCAGGAUGAGAUUUAAUCACUCCCCUGAUUUAUUUGGGUUGCAAUAAAACUAAGCGAGCAACUGUUUGACUUUCAAGCAACAACUAAAUCAGCUAUUAAAAUUCAAAUAAAAUCAUAAUAGAAUAAUAACAGGCCAUCUUGCAUCAAAAAUUAAGUUUAAUUUGUGAAUUUUUUUCUAUAGACAUGUCAGUUUCUGCUAUUGAAAUGUUAAAAGUAUUGAAAAAUUAUUCAAUAAAUUAUGCAAGCAUUAAAAUAGAGGAAAAAUUAAAAAGUUUCUAAUUACAAUGUUAAUAUUUCCUAUAUUUUAGCAUUUGCAUAUUUUAAUUUAUUUAAAAGCUACGUCGAUCAACUUUGGGCAUGAAGAUUUUAGAUUCUACGAGACUUGAUUGGAAUAUGCAUAAGAGUGUUAAAAUAUGAUGCAUCCAACGAAAGACAAACCACGUGUAGUCUUUUAAUUAAGCCAAAGUAGCAGCUCAAACAAAUGACACUUGGACCAACAUGCAAUCAUGAAGUGGCCGGAAAAAGGACAAAUGCUACUUUGGCUUAAAUAAAAAAUAACAUGUGACUUGACUUUUGCUGGACAUGCAUCAUGUUAUUACAAGACAACAGAAAUCAGUAUGAUAGUAAUAAAAGUUGACAAUAACAUGAAGAUAAGAGGCAGAAUGUCAACACAUGCAUAGGCACACACAAGAAAGUAUUAACAUAUAUACCAUAGCAAAAACUCUUUGAUAUGUCAUCUGUUGCUGCUGUGAUUCAACUGACAGCAUGGCAGCUGUCGCUUCUCUACCAAGAGCCAUUAUUGUAGAUUUAAGCUCGGUCAAUCUUGCUUCUGCAUUUCGAAGCUUCACAGCACUCUCUGCUGAUAUAUCAGAUUCCCUAAUCUUUGAUCGGUGCCUAAAUACUUCAGCUGCCUGGUGAAAAUAUUCAAUAUAAAUCUAAUAUAAUUCUCAUCUUGCCUUAUACAUGCAUAUGUUACCUCAAAGCUUACCUGGGCUUCAACUUCAUGUCGAAGUUUGUCAUAACGAUGAGUCAGGUGUUGAGCAUCUUCCAAAGGUGCUCUGUUGAUUAACGCCCGUAGUGGCUCAGAUACCUACAUGUCCAAAAACCUGUAACAUAGUUAGAAAAAUGAAAAGAAAGAGCGAAACCUAAAUUAAAAAGUUCCUCCAACAUAAUCAUGGAAUUUGGGCCUACUUUAAGAAUAUAUAUAAGGAUAAUUUAUGCAAUUUUGGGUCUUAGGAUGAUUGGUAUUAGGUUAGUGUUCUUCUCUUCUGUAUUUAAGGUUAAAAUAGAAAUAAACCUAUGCAAAUAUCUAAAUUAGGCCUGUAAGACAUCCACAUGCAUCCUUCAGUCUCAUGGAUUUGAUUUUACUAUAGAUGCAAGUGUCUUUAUCGAAAAUGCUUGGAGUCAAUUGAGAGAACUCAUGGCCAAUAACUUGUCACACGCUAGUCUUUGCUAGUGAUGUAAGAAGUCACAAGGUCUCUUCAACAUUUGAACCAAUAAAAUUAUUAAGUCAUGGAUGUCACUAGCAAUGAUUUUAAUAUAAAACAUUAAAUAUUUCAGAGUUGUAACUUUAAAAUGGAUUCUUUUAUUCAAUAUCAUAGAACUAAGUUUCCUUAUGAGAAGAUAAUAGUUUCGAUAAUAAUUUUACAUAUAAUUUUCUAUAUUUGAAUUAUUUUCUAGUUAGGGAUGAACUAACCUGAUCACGAAGAAUCCCGAGCAAAGUUUCCCUCUCAUUUUCCAUCAAAUCAUGUGAAGUGCCAAAUUGAAGAGCAGCUCUUGCAACGCAAGAAUUGUCACUUUGAUUCUCUGCUCCAUACUUGCAACAAUCUUCAGCCAACUUUCUCGCUACACUAUUUGAAUACAAAAAUAUUGUACACAAGAACUAUAAAAAACGAAUGAAAAAUAAAUAAAAUCGAGAAAUUUCACUAAUUAAAAGUCUAAAUAUAAUUUUUGAAAAAAGAAAAGAAACGGACUUGCUGCUGCUUGGCGACUUGUUCUCGGAGCUUGAUUGCCUGUUUCUUGAUAGUUUCCAUACUGUUUCUUUCAAAAAGCGACGACGGCUCAGCUCAUGGAAGUGGAAAAAAAAAAGUGUGAUCUAGAAAAAUGAAAAGGCGUGAAUAAUUUUUGACAAAAAGCGAAAAUCAAGGAAAGCCGGCUCUUUCCAGAAAAUAAAAAAAAGAAAAUCAUAAGUUUGAAAGGAGAAGAUGAUAGUGGAAGUAUGCGGUGUGGCUGCCAGGUACUUGGAUUGUAUUGUCGGGUAAGGUAAUAGUAGCGAAUUAUAAGUUUGAACAGAGCAUGUUGGACUUUUGUUGACCAAAUUCAAAAGCCCAAUGGCACGGCCCGGAAGCUUUUGAAUAGAAAAACUUGCUAGAAAGCAUCAGUUUAAAUCACUACUUAAACGCUUGCUUUAACUGCACCGCUUUGUACUGUUUUAUGUAUGUAGCGGUUGUGUGGUUGUAAUUCACGGCUGACGCUAUGUGUUUGUUUGUACUGUUCUAUUCGGUGAUUGGGUAUUAUUAGUUAGGCCAAAACUAUGUUGCAAUAGUGGUAUUUCAGUCAUUGAAUCUAUAGUUGUACAGUUACAUUAAUAAGAUCUAAUGGCUGAAAGCAACAGUGGUACCGUACCACUGUUGCAAUAUAACUGGACCCUAUUAGUUAUUUCAAAGGGAUAAAUAAGAUUGCUUACAACAAACCUACUAAUUUUAUAAAAUUCAAGUAAUAUAGAAUAAAUUAAAAAAAUAAAUACAAAAUUGACUUUUAUUUUUUAUGGUUGACUAUAUUUUGUGUUCUCUCUGCUACAAUUCUUCCCUAUAUAUCAAUUACACCACAUACUAUCGACACAAGAAAUGAAAUCUAAUAUCACCCGUUUAGUUAAAAAAUCACUCAUGAAAAAAUUUUACCAUUUUGAUUUGAGGAUCCAUAUUUUAAACUGCAAGCUAAUGUUCAUCAAGAAUUACUGAUGGCCGUUGAGUAGAAAAAUUAUUUUUGGACAAAUUAUUUUUGUUGAUAGAAGAAUUUCUUUAGGGACUACUAAAUUAUUAAUAAAAAUGUCGAACACACCCACAUAUCAUCGACACAAUUGAUUUUGAGGAUCCAUGCUUUGAACUGCAGCCUAAUGUUCAUCAAGAAUAGAGUAUGGCUUGUGAGUAGAAAAUUUUCUUAUUUUGGCCCGAAAUAAAAAGAAAUUAAAUUGGAUGAGAAUCUGCCACUUUCUCAUGAAGAAAGGCAUACGGAGCAUACCAUGGUACCAUACAAUAUAAGGAGCCUCUAUUCUUUGGUUUUUCAAACUCUGAACGGGCCAAUAUUGCCAAAUUCCCCCUUGAAAAUUCUGAUUACGACAUUAUUCAUCGCUUGAUGCAAUCAAAGUAGUGACAAAGUUAGGAAAAAUAUGAGUCCUAAGUAAUUGCUAGGCAGGGUUCCUGAGAGCAAAAUUGUCCUAAGCAUUAUAUGCAUACAUGGUGCGGUACAUAGAGCACGUUAAAUUCCCCACUAUAUCACAAACCCAGAAAGACAAGUAAUAACUCAACUGAUAUAAAGACAAAAAGAAGAUAAAAUGAUAUAGAAAAAAGAAUUUCAAAGAGACAGCAACAUACGAUAGACUGAAGCCACUUGAUCUGCUCAUUGAUUGCAGCCUUAAACUUGCAAAUAGUUACUGUACGCUAGUGCUCUAAGAAGUGAAAAUGAUGCCAGCCCUGAUUCCCUUUUGACUUCCAUUUACUGUCAAACAUUCUAGUAAUACAAAAAAUUGUUUAGAUAUCUUGCUAUAAAUAUAGCCGUUUGACUGUCAUAAUAAAGUCACAAAUAACCAUUCAUAUUGAUCUACUGUCACACAGCAUGCUUUAUGCAUACAACAGCUGUAUGUAUACCAACUCCUAACCUUAUCAAUACAUUUGGCAAAAACUUAAGAAGAAAGCUAUUUCUCCAUCUCUUUUUUGAAAUUUCACAAUAACCAGCACAAUGUGAAAGCUAUGUUCUAACCUUAUGAUAAAUGCUCUAGACUCCAAAAGGAUUUUAUAUAUGAGAGUUUGUUGCAGCAGAUAUAUUGACUUAUCAAGUAUGAAUCAUUGUCUGGAUGAACUAUCUUUAGAUAAAAGAAUAUUAGAACCACUGUAGAAUAUCUUUACGCUGCUGGUUCUAACAGGAAUCUGCAUGUGGCAACAAUUGCUAGAUCCACAAUUCCCCAACUUGAAAUACAUAGUUGCACACCAUGAGAUAGUGCUACAAUCUACUGAGAUCUAACUUAUAUGGUACUUUAAGCUACUAAUGUUUGCAUAUUUCUACAUGUUAAAUUAACACUAUUAUCUAUAAUCACUCCAAAACAACAAAUGAUAAGCAGCUUUUGGCCACUUAGUACUAGCAUCCACAAUUAUAAAUAAGAGAUCAUGGGUUUACUUGUUGCACCUACUUAAUUAUCUGCAGUUGACAUCCUGACGCAAGGUUUAAAUAGUGACUGCUUAGAACCCUUGUAGUUGGAUCUUGACCUCUCCCAUUGUAGCCAAGAUUGGUUACUCUGGUAAUGAAUCAACACUCUCCUGCUCAGGGCCAUGAAGAUCUGAAAGCUCAGCACUAGUGGAGAACUUCAUCAAUCUCUUCUUCUCAGCAUACUUGAGACAAGGCUGCCUUACGAGACCAAUCACCACAGCACCAACGCUUAAAACUGCAACUUUUAAAGAAGAAAGAGCCAACACAACACAACACAAAUCAAUAUGGUUGGAGGAAUACACAUGAUAAUGGCUCCAACAGUGACAGUGGGUAUCUUGUAGGGACGAGAUGCAGCAGGAUAUUGCAUCCUUAACCAUACAAAUGCUAUGAACUCCAUAAUCAUUCCAAAACAGUACAGGAAGUUCUCUGCAGCUACAAUAUCUCAAAAGCUCAGCCAUGAUAGCAAAACCACACCAGAUGCUGAGAAUAUGAUUCCAAUCAAAGGAGUCCCAUAACAAGACCUCUUAGCAAAAAACUCAGGUAGCAUUCCACGCUCAGCCAUCCCCAAAAGUUGGAAAGAGUCGCUGCUCAUCUCAGCCACAAACAUGCCCAUAUUGGACAUUGCUGCAGCCCCCUGGAUGCACCAUCUCAACCAAACUCCUCCAAGCACUUUAGCGAUAUCUGAAAAGUAACCAUUGGUCCACAAGUCGCGAUCUAAUGGAAUAGCUCCAGUUCCAAGUAGAAGGGGAAAGAAAUAUCCAAAAACGACCAAGAUCAAAGCAUAAAACAAAGCCUUUGGAAGAGUCUUCUUUGGGUUAUCCACCUCUCCAGCUAGUGUACUUAUUGAGUCCCAGUAGUUGGAGAUUCCAAAACAGGGUGUUCAAAUACAAAUUCCAGUCCACUUCACCUAAAUUUACUACAAGCCAUCUUGAAGGCUCUAACUUGGGAAGGGACACAAGUCCCAUAACCACAAAAGGAAGGAAUGAGAAAAUCCCUAAAAGAACAGCAGCCCAUCCCACAAUGGUUAGACCCCUAUAGUUCAUGAAAGUGAGAACAAAAGUCAAAGCUAACGCCGCAAAGGCUCUAGGUAACCCAUCGCCCAAAGCAGGGAUACCAGACUUCAAGUAGUCAAGAAACAGAACUGGGUAUAAAGCAUUAUCAAUAACCCCACUUAGCCACUUCAUCCAAACUUGCUGAAAACCCCAAUAUGGGCCUAAGGCAGAUGAAACCCAAACCAUAUAACCACAAUUUUCAGGAAACACGGUACCCAUCUCGGCAGUAAUUAAAGCUUCAGGGACACUCCAUAUAAUCGGAAACACCAAGAAACCAAGAAGUGCUAAAAGAGGACCAGCUGCCUUUACACUAUCCUCAACACCAAACGGCCCCCCAGAAACCUCAUAGAAUAUAAGGAAAAUAAGUGGCAAGAUUGAUACUUUUUAGCGCCAUGGACUCUAGGAGAAGAUGGUUGGUCAUUGAUAUUAACAUAUUCAACAGCAUCAGACUGCCCCAUUUCUACUGAAAGUUGCCUAUUCACAGUGUUCCUCAAUUUCUGCAUCAAGUUUAAGCAUAACUAUCAAAAGGGUAUCGGCAUCUAAAUUAUGAAACAAAAUGAGCAUUUACUUAUUAAAAAAAAUCAAAAAAACAGAAAUGGAUUUCACAGAAUACAUGAAUUUAAGUUCAACAUUAAACAGGCGCUUAAGAAAACAAAAGGGUCUGUUCGUAAAGCCAUCAGAUUGCAAGAUUGAACAACAUUAACGGAAUCAAUAGAAUAGAUGUAAAGAGAUCUGAAAAGAAAAUAAAAUAAAAGAUGAAGAGAGAUAAAACGAACCAUCAAAUAAGUGCAUGCAGAGCAGAGAGGCAGAUACUAGAGAAGCUCCGUCGUGUUAGAGUAGGGGUGGCAAUAUGGGUCAGGAUUCGUUUAUUCGAUUCGAUUCGAUACGAAUUAAAUGGGUUUGGGUUUGAAAAAAUUAAUUCGUUUAAUAAAUGGAUGAAUUCGAUUCGAUUCGUUAAUUAAACGAAUCGAAUGCGGGUUUGAAAAUUUAGAUUCGUUUAUUCGUUUAAAAUUCGUUUAAUAAAUGGGUCAUAAACGAAUAGAAUACGGGUCGAUUCGUUUAAAAUUCGUUUAUUAUUUGUUUAAUUAAAUUACUUUUUUAUCCUUAAAUUUAUUUGAAAGCUUUUUAAAAUUUGAAGGUUAAUAUUGUAAUUUUAAGUAAAUAACAAAAAAAAAAAAAACAAAGUAGCGGAAACCUAAAGCUAAAUCCCUAAAAAUUCUCCCUUCACUCAGCCGCCGCUCUCGUUGCUCUCUAGUCUCUACCUCUCUCACACGAAUCACACUCACCCACCCAUACCAAGUGAAGCAAUCAAGCAACAAAAACAGCCGCCGGUAGCCACUGUCAUUAACUCACAGCGAACCGACGAUUACAACCACCAUCGUUCAUCCAUCAUCGAUUGAGCUUGAGGGACGCAGCCACGCGAGUGCAGCCCGCAACUCGGCAGCAACCCAGGAGCAUCAGCCGCGCAACGUAUUAGCAGCCACUCGAACCCACAGCAGUAGCUAACUCGUGCGGCGGUGCAGCAGCAGCAAACCCAGGCGAGCGCGACCCGAACCAGUGCCCAGGUUCUGAGUGAGUUCCUCGUUUAGGAAGAUCGCUUUUAAUCUUUUUGUAGUUACUUUGAUUUUAAGUAACAUAGACGAUGAACCCAACAGAGAAGCUGCAACGAGCUAUCCAUUUUUGAAGCGGCUUCUGUGGCUCUGCGUAAAGAGCUAAUUAACCAGCUGCAUCUUGGACCAAGAGAUAUAAAUGAAUAUAUUUUUCUUUUGCGCAGUACGAAGCAGUAAUUAAGUUGUUCUCUAGGAAAUCAAUCCAUAAUCAAGGUUUUAAUGCUAUUAAUGAUAUACAGUAUGUUCUUCUUUAGAUUUUAUAAGUGUAUAACACCUCCUUUGACAUAAUAUAUAUUGAUGUAGACCUCUCGGAGUCAGAUGGAUGAUUUGCCCAGGCCGGCUGCUUUCUGCAAGACAAUGCCAAAAAAAAAAAAAACCUUUUGCUCGCAGUUUAUGUGUUUUAUCCACAUUUGACAGGGCAUUUUGUAAUUUAUUUGAGCAUUAAUUAUGCCAAGUUUCAGUUCUGUUCUCAUUUUUCUUGGACUCGUAACAGCAAUCAGCAUCAGGAAGAUGCAAGGUAGGUUUAAGUGCUUAUUUAAUUAAUUCCCAAGCGAUCCGAAUCAACAAGCCAUCACCAACUCAGGGUAAUAUCAUGAGAUUAUGGUUGAAUUAUUGAGAAAUUUUGUAUUGUAGAAUAUUAUGAGAUUAUGGUUUAGAAAAUGUUUUGUAUUGUUCGGAAAAUAUUAUGAAAUUAUGUAUAAAUUGAUUAUGGUGUUAAAAAUUAUCUGUAGGAUAAGGAAGAAGCCCCCACAAAUAUUGGAUUAAUUUUUUUUUAGUAUUAAAAUUUAUAAUUUAUUAUGUUGUAUUGUUAAUAUUUUGUGUAUUGGAAUAUUGUGCAUUAGGAAUAUUGCUGGGUUAGAAUUUGGCAUACAUGAUGAAUAGAUUUGAUUUUUGAAAUAUUGUUAGGUAAAGUUUUUAUCUUGUUCAAUUAUCAUUUCCUUGAAAAUGCUACAAAUUUGCUAUAUAUUUGAUUUUUGAAAUUUUACAAUGACUAUUAUCAAUAUUGCAGCAUGUUAAUAACAUUUUAUUUACUUUUUGGUGUAGGAUUUUUGUUUUCAAGGUGACAAAGACAAAUGAAGAGAAUUAAAGAAAUUACAUUUCUUUAUAAUUUGAAUUUGAAUUAUUGUUAUUUGUAAUAUUAAGGAUUUGGUAUUUGGUAUUUGGAUGACUGUAUAAUAUAAUUUGAAUUAUUUGUAUUUUGUUGUGGGAUAUUAAAUUUGUUUUUUUUGCUUAAUUUUGUUUAUUAAUUAUAUUUUCUAAACGAAUUGAAAACGAAUCCUAAUUCGAUUCGAUUCGUUAUGGAUUCGUAAAUGAUAAACGAAUAAUAAACGAAUCCGGAUUCGAUUCGAUUCGUUUAUCAAUUCUAUUAAACGAAUUAAACGAAUCGAACCGAAUAUUCGUUUAAUAAACGAAUCGAAUCCGAAUCCUGAAAUUUCAAUUCCUUUAAUAAACGAAUCGAAUUCGAAUUCGAUUCGUUUAUUCGUUUUGCCACCCCUAUGUUAGAGAGAGCCUAAUUCAAUCAGAGCUCACUGAGUUUCUUUUCAACCGACCGGCAAAUUUGGAGUGCCACAACAUAAUAUUUUUACUUUUAAUUUUUGGAACACUUUUGAAUAGAAUUUUUUGUUUUUAAAAAAGGUAAGGGAGAUUAGUAUUUAUUUAACUUUAUAUUUUUUUAAAUACUUUACAAAUAUUUUUGUCGUUAAAAUAUUAAUAUUUUUAUUAAUAAUUUUUAUAUUUUUAAUUUAUUUUUAUAAUAUUAUUUUUUUAUAAUAAUUUUUUAUUUUAAUAUUAAUAAAAAAUAAUUAAAUUAACAAGUUAAUCCUAAAAUAAAUAAACACGUGUUUGGUUUUGGGCUUUUUCUUUUGUUCGUUUAAUAUCAUCUGGCUCCCUGAUUUGUGACUAAUUAUCAACGGAAUCCCGUUGGUUUCUAAAUUGAAAUAAUAGAAGGUCAUGAGACUAUUUACUCCAUUUAGCACUGCAGACUUAGGUGGCGUUUGUUUUUUAACUUAAUGACUUAAAGUGACUUAACUUAAUUAAUUAAGUUAAUUAGAGGUGUUUAUUUUUAUAACUUAAUAAGACCUUUUAGAUAAUUUUGACUUAAUAAAAUAAGCCAAUUUUUUUGGCUUUUUACUUAAUGGAGAAAUCUGAAUUAAGUCAAUUACUUGCUAAUGUCAAAAAUAUCCUUGCUUUAUAAUUUAUUUUUUAUGUCUAUCCCAAAACUCACCCAUAGACAUUUACCCCACACAAAAAUAUCCUUAUUUUUUCUUUCUUAUAUUAUAUACGAUAAAAUUUAAAAUUUAUGAUAUUUUAUAUAUUAAAAUUCCAAAAUAAUUAUGUAUUCACUUGAAUAUAGUUUUACUUAUAAAUGUUAAAAUAUUGUGGUAUUUAAUUUAUUAUUUAUUUGACAUUCAAAUUUAAUAAGGAUACAAAUGUAAAAGUACAUAUUUUCAGCUUUUUAAGUUGAAAAAAACAAACAACUUAAUACUUGUUUUCCGAGAUUCAGACAAAAAAAUAAACAUAUUAUUCAGAUUCAGACAUUCAGAUCUAUUCAGAAUUCAGAUUAAUUCAGGUCUAUUCAGAUUUCAGACAAAAAACAAACGCCACCUUAGAGUAUAUUGAAAAAGCUUUGUCAAAUAGUAGUAAUAGGGGCAUAAGAAAUAAAUUAUAGCUAUCACAAAUUCGUUAGAAGAAUUUCAAUUUUUUCCAUCAAUAAUGGCUAUGAAGCAAAAUUACCUUAGGUUAUAUUGCAAUACUAAUACUUCAAAUCCUGAUAAUAAAUUUGAUGACAGUCGUUUUUAUCAUGGUUUUAACAGAUAUAAGAAGAGAAAAUUAACUGUUCAAACAAAUUAGAAGCAAAUUCUUUCAUAUCUUUCUUUUAUUUUUCCGCUUACUUUCUUAGCAUCCAAACAAGUUAAAGUUAAAACGCUGUUAGAGCCAACAAUAUGCAGGCAUCAAUAAGCAUAGUAGUUUUGUAUAUGUAUUCUAUACGAUAUUCUAGGGAUGUCAAUUGUAGAACAUUUUGUGGUAACUUUUUUACAUUAAUUAAUGUUUGAAGAACUUGUUAAAAAGAAAAUGGUAAUUUUAUCAUUUUGAAAGACAAAAAAAAAAAAAAAGAGUGAAAGUGGCGUUACCUCAUGGUCAUUAGAGACUUGUUGCAAUGAUAGCUCAAAAUUAAAAAUUUGUGAAGAAUUAGUAGACAACGACGAUACUAUAUUUAUACAGUCACCAACGUGUUGAUUUUUGUUUAAUGUUUGAUCGAUAGAAACUUUCGUCGUCGUCGCCGUUGUUGAAUUCGUGCUUAGAAUAUCACAAGAGAAGAAAAAAGGAUGAAAGGGAAGAGAAGAAGAGAGAAGUGGUGGAUAGCAAAUAUGAUAUGCUAGCUACACACAGGCCUUAGAGAGUUUUUUUUUAAUAUUUAUUGUAUUUUUGUUUUUGUUAUUGGUUUUUCAUAUGCUUCCAAGGCAGCAAUGCGUUACAUCAUAAAUUGGACCUUUUAGGGGAGGUGGUAAAAAACAUGAGAGCAAUGCAUUCUAGCGCAUACAUGCAGAAAGAGUUUCCAAAUUUUCAAAAGUUUUUUUAUUUCUUCCACCUUUUUUUGCUUAAAAUAAAUUUUAAUUGUAUUUUGCAUUAACUUAGAGAAAAAAAAAAUCCAGUUCUAUACAUAAACGCAUACAUUGAUUAGAAAAUGAGUUUUAUGGACACAAAGGGACAAUAUAAGAGAUUCUUUUUGUUUAUUAGAAGUAACAUAACUAGUUAGUGUAACAUGUAAUUAUAAGCUACCAAUAAUUUGCACUGAUGAUAAUUAACGGUAUAGAUUUUGAGCUAUGAAUGUCUUGUGGCUAGUUUAAUUGGAUUUUCGAGUUUUCAGCAGAUCUAUUUUAAUGAUUAUUAAAUUAUUUUCACUUCUUAUGCCUUAAUAAAAAAAAUCAAUAUUUUUUGUUGUAUUCUAUAUUUUAAAACUUAAUUUUUAGUUCUUUAUAUUGCAAACCAAACUGAGUCAAAUCGAGUAUGCUCUUCAAAUAAUUUUUCCAUUGCCUUCAAGAAGAAUUCAUUUUAUUUUUAUAUAUUAAUUUAACACUUGUAAACCGGGCCGUCAGAUUGCACAUAAAGCAAAUGAUCAAACCGUUACAAGACCGGCCCAGGCCCACCGACUCUAUUUUCUUUCAUUUGACCAUUAAAAAGCUUUUGGCCACCCCCACCAAAUAAAUAAGCUCUUGUUCUCUUUUGUUCCCUCUCAAAGGAAAAUAUCUGAUCACCGAAUAAUGAUUCCGGUGACAUAAAAGAUCGAAACACCCCCCUAAAUUCCCUAAAUUUACGAUAAUACCCCACCAUGGAUGAUUAUGUUGAAAUGCCGCCUUACGAUGAAAGGCCUAAAAAGGGUUUUAACUUCACCUCCAUGCGCUUGAUCUUAACCCUCGUUUUCCCAAUUUUAACUUGCUUUUUGUUGGCAUUUUUUAUUGGAAUCGUAGCUGUUUUAUUCGGCAAAUCAUCAGUUUCCAGUUCCAUUUUUGUCCCUUCCCAGUGCAAGAUAGUGUCCAGCAGUAAGCUUUUUUUAACAUUUUCAAUUUUUUCCAUUUAUGAAGUCCAAAAAUUUUAUUAAUUUUGAUUUUUUUGAAUGAUUUUGCAGGUGUUGAUAUAAGUUCAUCAAAAGUUUGUGAACUUGGGGUGUUGAAUUAUAAGGCGAAGCGUGUGUUUUAUCCAUUUGAAGCAAGUAAAUUUCGAUGUCGGUAUGAUUACUAUUGGGCUUCUAUCUUCAAGGUAUUCAUACAUUUUUCCCUGUACUAUAAGCUUCUCAGUGGCGUUCUUGUGAGCGGUAGUGAGCGGUGUGGCUGACAGCUUCUUGAAAAUUAUAAGUUUGAACAGAGCAUGUUAGAGCACCACCAAAAGCCUCUUUAAAUAAGAUUUUAUUAUUUAUUUAAAGAGUCACAUCAAUAUUGAAAGCUCCAAAAGACACUUCAAUUAAAAUUCUUCAAAUAAGAAUUGAUUCUCUCUCUUCAAAUUUGGAGAGUUAAUUUCUCCCUCUUCAAUUUAUAUUUUAUUACUUUUCAUUGAAGAAAUAGAGAAGUGCUUUAAUUGCUAUUGACUUUUCCUUUAAAAAACUAAUUAUAUGAUUAAAAUAAUAUUAACUUAUUUAUAUUUGAAGAGUCUUUUGGAGAAUAUCAUAUUUUUUUCACCCUUCUAUUUGCCACAUAAGUAAACAAAUAGAUAUUUAAAAAGUAAAAUUUAUAGAAGCUUUUGGAGAUGCUCUUAGACUUUUGUUGACCAAAUUCGAAAGCCAAAUGGCACAGCUCAGAAGCUUUUGAACUGAAUAACUUACUAGGAAGCUCCAAUUUUUUGUUGGCUACAGUAAAAGGAUGUUGUUUUAUUCUUCUUAUACUUUACGCUUGCAUCAGCUUAAAUCACUUCUUAAACGCUUUGCUUUAACUCCACUGCUUCGCUGGGGGGAUUUACCUUGGAACAAGUGGGGACUUAAGUCCCCACUGAAAAAAAAAAUUGUUUUAAUAAUUAAUUUGAUUUGCCAAAACUUCUCAAUAAAUUUUUCUUAAGCCCCCCAUAAUUUCUUUCAACAAGCAAUUGAUCUAAAUGAGUUAAUUUCUGUCAGUUGUAUCCAAAUGAGUUCUCUGCAAUUGAUAUCAUGGCACUUGAAAUUCAACUUGAUACAUAUAUUUUGGAUAUGCGCACUAGUGCGAGACUAAAAGACAUAAGGUAUAUCCAUUGGUUUACUUGUUAAUAAUAUUAGCAUUGACUUUACCCGUUGCCACUGCUAGUGUAGAGAGAGUAUUUUCAGCCAUGAACAUUUUGAAGAAUUGGUUAUAAAGCCGUGAGUAAUGGAUGAAUGAUAGUUUAAUUAUUUACAUAGAAAAAUACUUAUUUAAUAAUAUUGAUAAUGAACUUGUAAUGCAACAUUUUUAAUGUAUGAAAACUUGAAAGGACAAUUGUAAACAUAUAUUGAAGUAUGAUAAAUCUUUCAAAUUUAUAUAUUUAUUACUUUUAAAAUUUUUUUAUAUUGCCGUUGAAUGAGCCCCCAGUCAAUCAAUAUGUUGUCUUCGCCCUGCUUCGUACUCUUCUAUAUAUGUAUCGGGUAUGCAGUUGUAGUUAACGGCUGAGACUACGUGUUUGUUUGACGUGGUAGUAACGUUACGAGUCUGUUAAACAUUCGAUGAUUAAAGUAUUAUCAGUUAUUUCAAAGGGACAAAUAAGAUUAGCUACAACACACCCACUAGUUUUAUAAAAUUCGAAUGAGAUGGAAUAAAAUAAAAAAAUAAAUAAGUAAAUUGACUUUUAAUUUUAGUGGUUGAAUAUAUUUUGUAUUCUCUUAGGGCACUGCUGUAAUUAUUCCUUAAACGUCAGUCAUACCCACAUAUAAUAGACACAAGAAAUGAAAUCUAAAAUCACCUGUUUAGUUAAAGAAUCAUCAUGAAAAAAUUUUGCCAUUUUGAUUUGAAGAUCCACAUUUUGAACAACCAACUUAUGUUCAUCAAGAAUGGAUCAUGGCCUGUGAGUAGAAAAAUUAUUUUUGGACAAAUUAUUUUUUUUAAUAGAAGAAUUUUUCAAGGGACUAAUAAAAUUACUAAUAAAAAUGUCAGACACACCCACGUACCAUCGACACAAUUGACUAUGAGGAUCCAUGUUUUGAACUGCCACCUAAUGUUCAUCAAGAAUAGAAUAUGGCUCGUGAAAAGAAAAUUUUCUGAUUUUGGCCUGGAAUAAAAAGAAAUUAAAUUGAAGGAGAAUCUGCUACUUUCUCAUUAAGAAAGGCAGACAUGGUAUACCAUGGUACCAUACAAUAUAAAAAGUCUCCAUUCUCUGGCUUUUCAAACUCUGAAGGGGGCAAUAUUCCCCAAUUCUCCCGUGAAAAUUCUGAUUACGACAAUGUUCAUCGGUUGAUACAUAAGUACAAGUAGUGACAAAAUUAGGAAAAAUAUGACUCAUAAGUAAUUACUAGGCAGGGCUCUUGAGAGCAACAUUGUACUAGGCUUUAUAUGCAAACAUGGUGUGGUACAUAGAGCCCGUUGAAUUCCACACUAUAACACAAACCCAGAAAGACAAGUAAUAGCUCAACUGAUAUAAAGACAAAAAGAAGAUAAAAUGAUACAGAACAAAGAAUUUCUAAGAGACAGCAACAUACAAUAGACUGAAGCCAGUUGAUCUGCUCAUUGAUUGCAGCCUUAAACUUGCAAAUGUUUACUAUAGCCUGGUGCUCUAAGAAGUGAAAAUGAUGCAAACCUUGAUUCCCUGUUUACUUCCAUUUACCAUCAAACAUUCUAUUCAUAAGAAAAAAAAUGUUUAGAUAUCUUGCCGUAAAUAUAGCCAUUUGAUUGUCUUAAUAAAGCCACACACAACCAUUCAUAUUGAUCCACAUUGCCACAUAGCCUGAUUUAAGCAUACAACAGCUGAAUGUAUACUGACUCCUAACCUUAUCAAUACAUUGGCGACAACUUAAGACGAAAACUAUUUUUCCAUCUCUUUUUUGAAAUUUCACAAUAAAACAGCACAAUGUAAGAGCUGCAAUGAAAAUGGACCGUCUGGAACUAUGGCGGAAGCUUCAACUAGUGUAGUGAUUUGACCUUCUUAUUAACCUAGCGAGAUCAAACACUGCCGUUGAUCUUGAACAGAUCAAUACGAUACGCACAACUUAUGAUUGAAUCCAGAAACAAUCAAAUCUUUAGCAAGAAUAAUUAAUCAGAAUCAAGAAACAAGUUUAAUGAAUAUAAACCUAUAAUUGGAACAAACACAGCCAAAGAACCCAAGAAUGACACAACGUACACCAAGGGAGAAGCUUUCCAGUGAGAUUAUAUUGAUGAUCAAAGAAGAAUCUUUUUACAAAGCUAACAAAAGUGAUUUCAGAGAAUAAGCUAUGACCCUCUCUCUCUUCAAUCUCUGUCUAGUUUGUUAACAGUGAUGACCCCAAUCUGCUUUGUUAGCCAGCUUCAUAACUGCGUCAGUGACAAACUAGCAAACCCAGAUUGAGCAGACUAACGACACGUGCAUAACAGCUUUAACGAACUUGGUUAAAGAACUGCUCACAUGUUCGUCACGCGUGUAGCUUAAAUGAUAGCCAAAACGACUUCAACCAGAUGCCGUUUUGAAGCUUAUGAAUUAUAAGUGAAAACACGUGCUUGUCUCGUGACAUUUAAAUGCAACAACAAGCCCAAAACACUGCCGUUCCACUAUGUUGAGUUUGCCAUCUCCAAGCUUCACAACUAGCAACGGACAAGAUGAUAAUUUAAUUGACAUGGAGAGCUUUUAUAUCACUUUUACAACAUUCUAUAUAAUUGUGAUAUUGGUAAUCGUCGGUGUUGUAUAUGUGAACCCUCGUUGGCGACACUGGUGGUUUUAUCUUUAUUGAAAUAUGGAUGACUUUUCGUUACUAUUUUGUUGUACAUAACCUUAUUCACAGGAGAUUUAAUCAUUGAAAUUAACAUGUUAGUUUCAUUAGAAGGCUGAGUGGUUAGGGCUGCUACCCUCCAACUUGGAGGGCAAUAGUUUGAACCCACAAGCGCAAUGUGGGGGUAUUUCAUUCUUUAAUUACAUUGUAUAAUUGAAUAAAGAUAAUAUUCUCUCUUACCUAAGUGUGAGUGGAGUAGACAUCCUUCGAAUAUUAGUGAGGGUCAAAACUUGGGCAGAGCUCAAUAAGUAUUGAUAUAAGUUGGUCCUAAUAAUAGUCUGAUUUGUAAAUAUCAGUUAUAGUCUCAUGUUUCCUUCCUUAGUUAUAUUGUAUAAUUAAGUAAAUGUACUCUUUUCUCUUACCCAAGUGUGAGUGGAGUAAACAUCUCUCGAAUAUUAGUGAGAGUUAAAAUCUGGGCAGAGCUCCAUAAGUAUUGAUGUAAUUUGAUCCCAAUAAUAGUAUGAUUUGUAAAUACCAGUUAUAGUAUCAUGUAAUAUGAGUUGUAAUUUGAGUAAUAAUUUCAUGUAAUUACAAAAAAAAUGUUACUUUCAUUACUUUUUUCUUCGUUAAAAUUCUCAAGUAUCAAUUAUGUUUGCUUAAGAAAUAAAAUUUCAUUAUGAAAAUUGUAGCAGUAUUUCCGAGCACCUCACAUUUUCAAUGAUUUUUCAUAAAUCAAUUAAUCUGCCAUACCAAUAUCAGGUUUAGUUUUUCAGACUAAAUGAUCAAGAAAGCAAACAUACAAAUUCACAUUUUAGAGGGGUAAACUAGCUUUUAGAUUUUAGAACUAGGCUAGCUACCUCACCAAAUUCCAAUCUGUACAGUGAACUACAAGAUUAAGAAAAUAAUGUAUUUAUAGUUUAAUUGAAUCAUGAGAAAACAAUGUAGUCAUAGCUCAAUCGGACAUGAUCACGGAGAGGCAUAUUCUUUUCAAGUUAAUUUGAUCCAUUUAUAAGAAAUGAAGUGGAUUGAAGUUAAAAGUUCAAAUAACAAAUCCUUAUUCUUGAGUUUUACGACGUCGUUACUCCUUCAAGAGGCUGAUUAUGCAAGUGAAUGCGGAAACAGAAUGCAUUAUCCAAUUUCACUCAUAUAGAAAAUUAAUUUUUUAUAUAUACUAAUCAACACUAGAUUGAUUAUGUUUUGUAUGUUUAUAUGCUAAUCAACAAUAAAUUAUAUUAAAUGAAGAAAUGCUUCAAAAUUUUCUAAUUUAAUUUAGAAAAUCAAUUAUUAACAUUAAUAUUCCUAAUAAAAAUUAUUUUCCAUCGGUAUUCAAAAUUUUCACUUAUAGAAAAUGCGUUUUACGUGAAUACAAGUUAUUGUGUAAAUUUGAAUGAUAGCGAAAAAUAUUUUUUUUAAUAAUUGUAAAAAUAAUUAACCAUAACAAAUCCCUUGCGUAAAUAAUAAUCGUUAUUUAAAAGGUAGAAAGAUGGUUAGUGCACAAUCAAAUUUUAAGCCCCUACCUCCUCAGCCCAAGAUUCAAACUUAGAUGAUCAGCCAAAUAAAAGUAUUUGAAAAUCAUUCAAUCAGGUUCUCGGGGCAAAAAUACAAGAUCCUUAUUUGCAUGAUAUAUAUGAAUUAAUGUAAUUUAUUUGAAUUAUCCAAAUUUAUUAGAGAUAAAACUAUAAAAUAUACCAAAAAAGUUAGAAGGAAGGGUGUGUUGGGAUAUUUUACAAACUAUAGGAAUCUAGUGAGAUUUUGAGCCAAACUGUAGGGAGUUGAAGGCAUUUGCCCAAUAUGUUUAGACGUACACUAACCGUUAUUUGCUCUUGUUGUUGGUCCCGGAUGAGCUGUAGUCUUAUUUUAAUUUUAUUUAAACUCACCAUAAGAUUCGCGGAGCUCCUAACUAACUUAAAUGACUCUGCAGAGCAUGUCAACACAUAGCAUGUUUAACCGUUUUAUUUGUAGAAGAAUUUAUGAUUUCCCAUUAGCAUUAUUAUUGAAGUGGGGCGGGUCAAAUCUCAAUUGCUUGAAAAUUUUUAUUAUUAUUAUUAGUCUUGAAGUGGGGUGGGUAACGUUCGCUCAAUUCGAGGGGAAUCAAAUAUAUCAUCCAAGGUAGAAUUGUGGAAAAUUAAAACAAAAUAAGAAAUAUGGAAAGAAAAGAAGAAAGUUAAGAUAUGAAAGACAUAUACAGUUGAAAUUGAUAAUCAUGUUCCUAUUUUGUUAACUAAUCAAAUGGAAAGCUGAACUGUAAACAAACAUUAAAACGUGUGAACCAAGCUAGCUGUCCUACAAGUCUACAAUAAUAAUUGAGUACUUUGAUUCAUCCUUCUAUAAAUUUCUACCCAUAUUGACUCCACCGAAAUUUCCACAAAAUAAAAAAAAAAAAAAAACUGAAUUUCCACAAAAUGCAAAACCCGUAGAACUUAAUUUUUGGUCAUGUGAACUAAGAUGUAAAUUAAAGAAAAAGUAUAAAAUUAAAAAAAGAUAAGAUUUCUAAAAUGUGUGGAAGGUGAUUCAUGAUUCACUGACACUACUUACUCCAAAUAUGAAGAUAAAUCUAUCUAAUUUCAUUAAAAAUAGUUGGAAAAAAUUAACUAAUAGAAAGCUACGGAAAUUAACCCCCCACAAAAAUGACUUUUUAUGGAAGAAUUUAUGUUUUUUAAAAUAUGUUAUCAAAGUGUAUUUGAUCAAAUCUCAAUUGGUUAGUAUGGUUAGGAUUUUGUGAACAUCACUAAAAAGUGAAAAAUAUGAAUGAUAGGGGUGAUGCUUGCAAUAUGAAUAAAUAAUGGACUGAUUCAAUUGAUGAUUACAUUUAUAUAUUAUUGAUUAUUUAUGAAUUUUCAGACUUGUUAUGAUGUAUAACUAUGUGAUUUUGAAACUUGAAACCGUGGCAAACAUUGAAAGGAAUUAUAACUUGAAAUCAUGACUCACGGGGUAUGUCAUGAUUCACGUGCACAAAAAAGGUAGAAUUGUGGAACUUGAUAACCCAACGACAAAUGCGGAAAGAAAGGAAGAAAAUUAAAAGACUUGGGGCCUAGCCUGCGUGUAUAAAUUAUUAGAUUUCUUUCUAUUUUAUAAGCGUAACCAUCAAUUUACUCCAUAACAAUCUUUAAUUCAUUUCUUAAAGAGUAAUGAUAUAGCCACAAACUCUUGUACAAACUUAUUUUGUAUAAAUUGAUGUGGCAUGAUAAGAUUUGUUGAAUUAAAUAUUACUUGGCCCAUAUGAUUUGUUUUUAUUAUUUUAUAUUUUCAUUCAACCAAUGAAUUAAUGUCAUGUCAGUUUGUACAAAAUAAAUUUAUACAAAAAUUUGUGGCUGUAUCAUUACUCUUUCUUAAAAUAUCAAAACUUUAAUUUAUCUUUUAAAUAUCGUUACCUCUCCAUUGGUUUUAACAGUUAAAAGGGUAAAAUUAUAUUUGUAUAUUUUCUUGACUGUUAACUAAAUAAUAAAAGUCAAAAUUCAAUCUUGUUAUCUUGUUUCAAUCCUCUAUCAAUCAAACAAGAUUUCUAAAAUAUGUGGAAGAUAUUGCAUGAUUUCCUCAACGUACCUGGCCCGAACAUCAAGGUAAAUAUCUCUAAAAUAGUUGAUUAAAUCUCAGUUGCUAAGUAUAGUUAGGAUUGUGUGAACAUCACUGAAAACUAUGAUUGAUAGAAGUGAUCUUUGCAAUAUGAAUAAAUAAUUAACUGAACCAAUUGAUUUACAUAUUAAAGUUUAUGAAUUUUCGGACUUGUUGCGAUAUAAUAAUAGCAUAUGAUUUUGAAACUUGAAACAGUGGUAAAUAUUGAAAGGAAUUAAUUUGAAAGCAUGAUCCGUGGGGAAUGUGAUGAAUCGUGUUUACCAAAAAGGUAGAAUUGUGGAAAUUUAUAACAGAACGAUAAAUAUGGUAAAAAGGAAGAAAAUUGAAAGACUUGGGGCCUGGCCUGGGUGUAUUUUCUAACUGUCCAAUGGACAAAAUUAUAUUUGUAUAUUUUCUCAUCCCUAGGUUUCAUACAAUAGCUCAUUUCAUUUUUAUUUUUUAAAUAAUAGCCUAAAACAUCAUUCUAUUAACUCACUAUUAGUUGAAUGUCGUUUGUUAGUAAUUCAUUAAGGGUAAAAAAUCAUUUUCUAUCAAAGAGAAAAUUAGAAAAAUAAAUAAAAGUUGACAUAUAACUAAAAAUGAUUUGAUCUAAUCCCACUAAAUAAGAAAUACCAAAAAAGAUGAAAAAUUUAUAUUUCAAGCAAUUCUUUUUUCACUUAUUUCUAUUUUGGCAACAUGAAAGCCCUAUAAACCCUAGAUCUAAGUACUAAAAAUAUCACAAUUUUCUUAUUCAUAUAAGUAUACUCUCUAAUUGCAUUGUAAAAUGGUUUGAAUUAAAUUGAAAAUAAAGAAGAUAUUCAGCACAUGCAAGCACAUAAAAAUUGGUGGCAUUUUUUAGUUUUUCUUCCAAUGAUUUAAAGAUAUUGUUUUAAUUACAGUUUGUUCCUUAUGACAAUUAUUCAAUGGCGAUAUCAAACUAUAUCAUCGUUGAUUUUAUUUAAGAAAAAGUUAAUGAAUUUUGCAUAUUUUGUAGUGUUAUUUAAUUGUGUAAAAAAAAUUAUUUUAAUAUAGUUUGUAUCGCUUUAAUGAAAAAUCAUAUUUUGCCCCCAAUGAAUUACUAGUUAACGAUUUUACAUUAAUGGUGAGUUAACGGAAGGAUAUUUUAGGCUAUUGUUUGAAAAGUAAGGAUAAAAUGAGCUAUUGCAUUAAACUCUAGGGAUGAAAAAUGCUUUUUCCCCUUUCUUAUCAAUCAACUAUCUGAUAAAAGUCAAAACUCAUAUUUUUUUUUUCCUUGUUUCAAUCCCCUCUCAAUCAAAAAAGUUUCCUUGUCUAAGCAACGAGGAAUAUGGCUAGAAAGAUUGUUAUUAGAAAGAUUUAUCAAUAGUAAUUGGUUCACAACUGAACAUUUUUAGAUUAUUGUGAGUCAAUAUAGGUCCUGUUUGGGAUUGAAGUGUUGCAGUUUUUAAGUUACAACUGCUGUGGAAAAAAAAACUAUAAUUAUGAAAUAAAAGUUAAUAAUAUAUAAUAAAUAUAAAUUUUAACUAAUAAUUUUGAUAAAAUUAUUAAAAAUAUAAUAGAUUUUUCAUAAUACAAGUAAAAUAUCAUAUCUACAUAGCUUGCAAGGUACAACAGUUAGUAUUUACCAAAUAGUUUAGUACUAUUUGUAAUGUUGUAAUGUCGAGAGAUUACCCAACCAUUAUGGAAUCCUACCAAGAUGAUUGUUACCACUAAGAUAAAAUCCUUCUAGUGAACAACAAUCAGACAAAUUUUUUGGGGAUCUCUCUUACAAAGUGAUUACCAUCCAAUCGCAAUUUUGAAUGAAAAUAAUUUUUUUUUAUUGGGAGUUUGACCUUAACAUUAAAUUUAGACAAUAAAUUUUAACUUUCUUCAAUUAUUAAACAGAUUACAGACAUUUGACAAAUUUGAAAACACUUCAUCCAUCGAAAGUUCAAAUUAGAGAUGGAAGCUAGGUGCUACAGCUAAUGGGAACAUUAAUUCCUGUCCCUCAUCACACUUUAUUUUGGGUCUAAUAAUUUUACGGCAGCAUUGACCACUGCUCAAGGUAAGUAAAACUUACAAAUGUGUGGCAAAAUAAAUAAUUAAGUGCAUAAACUCUUAACUAAUUUUCUUGAUAUAUACAGCUAAGGUACUUGUUCCUUUUUUUUUAAAAAAAAAUGUUAAAAAAUUUCGGCUGAGCCUGCUUGUGGUUUUGAUAAAAAGGAGGGGCUGGCUUCAAAUAUUUGAAUAGGCAUCUCCGCCGUACCUCAAACAAAACUGUCAUUAUUAGUGUCAUGAAACAUGUUUCGGCCGUCAAAGUCAUGAGAGGGUUGAUGACGCUACUACGUAUGAUGACACACCAGCCGACAGUGUAGUAACAGCUCAAAAACAAAAUCUACCAAAAUCAACGAAAGUUAAUAAAAUUUUAUUUUAUUAAUAAAAAAACUUUUUAUUUGUGGAGAUAUGUGUAUUUGAGUCUGUGGACUGAAAUGGAAAAUAUGAAGACGUUCGUUGUGUAGAUUGACUUCAGUUGAACGGGUCUAACUGGUAUUUUAUGCUGACGUGGCACGAAUUAGUUAUAAUCUGUUAUAACGAUUCCAGAAAUAUCAGUAUAAAUAGAAGCUGAUGAGCAGUGCCUGUUGUACGAUCCUUUUCUUCUUCACUUGUUCGUCAAUUUGCAUAGCAUCUGUUUCAUUGUGAUCUAUGCAAAGUCUUCUGUAAAUCCACUUAUGUUUGAUUAGUUGUUGAUCAAUAACGAGAGUAAAUUUUUCCUUCAAAUCUUGCUGCUUCGUGCCCCUGUUUCAGUUCUGGUUUUUUUUUUUUUUUUUUUUUAGUUCUGGUUUCUUAAUUCAAUUGAAUUUCUUGGUGCUUAAUUCAUCAAGAUUCAGUGGAAUCGACUUGAAAAGGACUCAAUAGACUCAACAUUAUUUAACGACACUCUGACCGUGGAGUACCGUUAUAAUAAUCUGAUUUUAAGAAAAUUAUAACUUAUUUUAAAUAGCGCCACAAUAUAAUUCUAAAUAUUUAAAAGGAAAACAUUAAUGACAUUUUGUUUUGAAAAAUUCAAUUAUUAAACUCUCACGUUUCAUGUGUUUGAAGUUAAAUUAUUCAUUAACUAGAACUCUGUUCAAAAUUGACUGUCCUGUGUUCCCAAAUGUAGUUGCAAUAUUGAAUGAAAGUAAAAACUUUCUAUGGCGAGUUUAAAUCUAAAUCUGGACAAUGAGUUUUUAGUUUCUCAAUGCUAUUCUAAUUACAAAAAUUAUAUUGAUUGAUUUAUUGUUACAGUUACUAGCCUUUGAAAAUGGAUGGAUUUAUUGUUUCCGUGACCCAAUUAUGCCUGUCUAACGCUGCAACUACUAAAAAAUCUAAUAUUUAAUGCACAUGUUAAAAGAUUUAAAAUUUUAUGCAUUUAUUAAUUGUUAUAAUCUAAAAGAAAAUUAAUUCGUUCAGGUCAAUCUGAGUUGGUGCAUCUGCAGAGCCUUUUUCUUUUUUCCCCUUAUUGACCAUAAUGAUCUAAGGGGUAUAAUACGACCUUGGUUCUUGGUAAAAAUGACAUCUCCUUCAACAUGACUAUUGACUAGGAGCAUGUAAAAACAUGGAAACAGAAUUUCCACAAAAUGCCAAACGUGUGGAACUUCAGUUUUGGCCAUGUGGACCAAAUGCAAAUGAAAGAAAAAGGAUUUUCCCAGCUAAUGUACAAAUAAAUGAACAACCUUGAAGCCUUAUUAUUCGCAACAAAAAGGGAUUACUAAUUGGAGAAGACUACACACAGUUUCUCUCACACUUUCUCUCUGUCAAUUUCAUCUAGAAGUCCCUCUGAAAGCAUCUCCCAAAACAGUUAGUCAUCUUUUAUUCUCUGUUUUCUGGAAACAGAGUCCUAACUAACUUAACUGACUGUACAGAGCUGAUCAAGAAUUCUGUUUUGUUAACUAAUCAAUUGCAAAUCAUAUAUUAGUGUUGAACGGUGAACAAAAUUGAAAAAAAAAAAUUCUUAAAAAACGUGUGGACUCGGAUAGCCAGACCAGAAAUCUAUGACAAUAAUUAGCUUUGAUGCUGGGAAUCUUUUAGUUUCUGGCCGUAUUGACUCCACCAGUGAAGUUUUUAAAAUAACAAGUUCCCAUUCUUCGUUUUUUUUUUUUAAAUGUGCUUAUAAUAAUUUUAGAAUAGUGACUUAUUUGUAGAAGAAUUUAUGAUUUUCCAUUAAUAUCAAUAUUGAAGUGGCGUGGGUCAAAUCUCAAUUGCUUGAAGAAUCUAUUUAUUAUUAUUAAUAUUGAAAUGGGGUGGGUAACGGACCAACGGUUCACUCAAUUAAUAUGUGGGGAAUUAAUUAAAUAUGACCAUCAAAGGUAGAAUUGUGGAAAAUUAAACCAAAAUGACAAGUAUGGAAAGGAAGGCUGAAAGUAAGGCAUGACGAAAGUCUUUGAGAAGGCUGAAGACCACCAAAGAAGUCAACUGAAAGCUAGCUGGGGCCUGGUAUGUAUGUUAGAUGUGUUUGUUAUAAAUAACAUAGAGCCCUUUUGUUAUUUAUAGUUAUAGAGAAAGAGAGAAUGUGUGUUUUUUAAUAGUUAGAGAUAUAGCUAGAAUGGGUGGUUCAAAAUCCAAAAUGGUGACGAUGUUAGUUUUGGGGGUAGAGUGAGGGAUGUUUGGAGCUUGAGAGAUUUGCUCUUUUGCGGCUUAAGCAUUUCUUCAAUUCUCCUUAUAGACUUUAAAACUGGGUAGACGAGCAAAGAGGUUGUUGUCAGUGGGAAACCGUUGAGUGCAGCAAAGUGAAAUUAAUUUCUCCCUAUUCUUAGUCUUACCAGGAGUAUCGAUCUGGGAGAGUGGUAUCUGAAUGCUUCUCUAUUUACUCCCUUUCAACAAAUUGGCAACAAAAUAGCCGGUUGGGUUAAGAACGAAGGUCCUUCACUUAAUUUAAUUUACUUAAUUUAAAUUAAGAAGAAGUUCCGUCAUCAAUAGAGUGCCUAGCUGAUCGUAAAACGUUGCGUUUGAGUAAGUGCACGAGGCUGAAGAGGCUUUCCAUCAAGCAUUUGUAAAUUGAAAUCUCUUCUUGAGCUUUAUCUCUAUAACUGCUCAAACCUUGAAAGUUUUCCAGAAAUCAUGGAGAAAAUGGAACGUUUAAAGAUAUAAAUUUAGCAAGGACGGCCAAUUACAGAGCUGCAAUCUUGAUAGCCUUCGGGAUUGGUAUCAUUUUCAAGCAAUUUUCUCAAUGCAGAGGUUUGGUAUCAUUGCCUCCAAUAUUAUUGUCAGGUUUAGUUUAUCGAAUUUGUUACAGCUAAAUUUAAGGGACUCUGCUAUAAUGGAAAUUCCCCAAAAUAUUGUUUGUCAAUCCUCAUUGAAAAUUUUAAAUCUAAAGACUUGUUUGUUAACUAAUUGAAGUAUGUAAUUAAUGCUUUGUUUUUGUAAUUUAUGUUUGAUUUUGAGAUAUUUACAUUUGAAUAAAAAAGUAAACUUUUGUUACAUUUAUCUAAAUUAAAAAAAAAAAGGCUAAAUGAGAAGUAAACUAUGUUCAAGCAAUUUUUUAUUUAUAAAAAUAAACCAAAUACUACUUAUAUUCAUAUAUCAAAAAAUGAAAAACAAACAUGUUAUUCAUAUGUUCACAUACAAACUUAUUCGAACCUCAGCUAAAUACAAAUCCAUUUUGAUUUCAAACAAAAAAAAAAAAACUUCGUAAGUGGGAAUAACUUUGAGAUUUGACUUGCAAAUGUCAAGCAACUUGCAAGGCUAGAAUAUCUUGACUUGAACGGUUGCAAUGAUUUCUCAUCAUUGAGAGUUUAUCAUUGUGCUUCAUCAUCAUCAUCAUCAUCAUCAUCAUCAUCAUCAUCAUCAUCAUCAUCAUCAUCAUGAUUAAUAAAAAGGUAAGCAAUUAAGAGUCAAAUUAAACCACUUGAAAAUCACUCAUCCACGCUUUUGGGACAUCAUUCUGCUCAUUAUUUUUAUUCCGUAUCUUCAUUGUUUUAUUUGGUAAUUAUUACCAUUAGUAAAUAAAGGGAUUAGUUGAUUAUUGUGAACUAACUAAAUGGAGCUCACCCUUAAAUGUCGGCUUGUAUCAGGGAGGUGCCUUAGGGUUAAUAAAUCAACUAAUCCCAUAAAUUGUUGAUGUAGGGUCCUAACAAAUUAUUGCCGUAGAACAGCACACAGCUCGAAAACAUAUUUGAUCCACACAGUGAAGAUGAUUCAAUAUUAAGCAUGUCAUAUAAUCUGGAGUUGGAUAUUGGAUCAAUUUGAUGAUAAUGAGUUUCUUUCAGUCUCAAUCUUUAUCUUCUUCGCAACAUGACUAGCCAUUGCGCAAAUUCAAACUCUGACAAUGAUUUCUCAAUCGCUUUCUAAGACGAUGAGCACGUAUGUAUAUAUAUGUGUGUGUGCGCGUGCGCACGUGUGUGUUUGUGUAUGUAUAUAGGGAGAGAGAGAGAUAUCACACGUGUGUGCUUUCCUUUUGUCAAUAAGAUAUGCAGAGAGCUUAAUAAUCAUAGAUUAGCUUAUAUCCUUCAAACCAUAUGCUAUGAAGUAAUUUCACAAACACUUGUUGAAUGUUAUUGAAUCAGUAGUUCACAGUUCAAUACAAUGUAGGUUUCCUAUUUGAAGUAAAUGAUUAUGGUGUGUGCAUUUUUCAUAAAGCUAACAACUGAAUUUACCAUUGAAACUUGCAAAAUGUAACAGAGAGAUGCAGAUAGCAGCCACGAAACACUAAGAUUGAAAAUCAGGACUACUGAAUUCUAUUACAAGCCCUUAAAAUAGACAACAAUCAUCCUCAAAUGUAUGUACUGAAAAUAAGAAAUAUUAAUCGUAAAGUUAUGCAUUAACAAAACUAUUGACUACUUACCUUUAGCUAUAUGUUUUUAAUUGUAGCUCCCUACUUUGUUCUAAGAACUAGGCAAAAGUAGCAUAUCUUCAAUCCAAUCAGCAUAUAUACCGCUCAUCUUCUCCAGUUCUUUCCACUUUGAUUUGCAUUUCAUACCCUGCACUUGCUGCUUAGAAAUAGUCAUAGUUUGCACAUUGACAGUAGAAAAAGUACUUGAAGCAAUCAUUGGCAUAGCAUGGGAUUCCAUUGAGUCGCGGUCUCCAAGCUUUCAUGGUUCUGUAAAGAAAAUGACAAAAACAUCAUGCUAUUGGCAUUCUACUUUUAGCAAUUUUCCACAAGCUGAGCUAUUUCAUAUCUCUCUAUAAAUUAUGAUCGAUGAGUGGACCACUGAUGCAUGCAAGUUUAUUAUCACUUGUAACUGCUGGUUCAACCUUCAGAUAAGUUUGUGAUAAAGGCAUCUAUGAGUACAAUGGGAAAAUUACAUGAACUUAUGUUAUCAAUCAUUGUUUUGCCUUCUCGUGAUAGAAUUCUGUGCAACAUAAAACAUGAUAUAUUUGUACCUUACCAUGCCAUGUCGUGAACCUAGAAGCAAUGCAAAUUGCAAGGAACAUAUUAAGCUAUCUACUGUAUAUAACAAAUUCUUAUUAGCCCACAAUCUUGUGCCGCCACAUUGAUCAAGUAACACUAUUAUAUCAUUUCCAAAAUGGCAUAUAUAAUCUAAUGUUGAACAAACCAAAUUGGGAAUCAUCAUUCCUUACAUUAAGCUGACAUUCGUACCUGCUAGUCCAUGAGCAAAGUUGCUUAUAUUUCCACACAGGCAGCUCCCCUUAUCUCUCGGUUCCGACAGAGCUUGGUUUUCCCAUCACCAGCUUUGGAUUCAUUCGAUCACUGAUGCUCCGAGUUAGCAAGCCCCUUGUUGUGUUCCCAUUGAACAGACCCACUUCUGUUAUCCACAGAAGAUCCACCACUCAAAAUGCUUAUCACCGAACUAUUCCUAAACUGAAUAGAAACUUCCGCACAUCUCUCGGCAUUUACAUGAAGAAAUCGACACCCACCCCCAUAUUUGCAAGUUUUCUGAUAAUAGAACGGUCUACAAAGCUGCAUUUCGUUAGGCAAUCUAAUCUCUCCAUUCCUAGCAAAGUGAUAUUGAUUCCCGUAUUUGUAAUUGCCUAAUUGGGGUUUUGGCAAUAGCCUGGUCUUAAAAUUACCACCCAUUACUUUGUUCAAUGCCACUGGCAUCCUCUGAUUAGGAACAUUUUCACAAUUUUUAGCCCUGUUAGUCGAAUCACAUUCAACGGGAUAGUGAGGCAGUAUUUCACUAACAGAUUCAAUUUGACUACUCAUAUUGAUGCACAUAUAAGAAUUUGAAAUCACUUUCUCUUGGAAUAUUUAAUGACCCCUGAUGAAAGUUCUUGAAUGGAAUUAUUUAAUUUGAUUUGAUUUCCAACAAAUUCAAGAAACCCCACAUAGUAGCUAAACAAAAAUCAACCAAUAAUACGCAAUGGGUUUCUUUCUUUUUGCCUUUGGAGGGCCAUGGAGAUCUGGAGUGGGCAGUAAGUAAUAGCCUUUAUGACUGGAAUGACAGAUUUGCAGAAGAUGAUAGCUCAAAACGCGUUGCUGUGGAAAAUUGUAGCAAAAUUAAAAAUUGGAAAGAAAGGGAAGAAAAUUAAUGCAUGAAGACUUGGAGAAAACAACCAAAUUAAUCAACUAUAAGCUAGCUGGGUGUAUAAAUUGUUAGAUGCAUUAUAAGCAAAUAGCGUAGAGCCCUUUGGUUAGUUACAGAGACAGACAGUGUUUGUGUUUUUUAAUAGUUAAAGAUAUAGAUAGAAUGGGUGUUUCAAAAUCAAAAAUGGUGAUAAUGUUUGUUCUGUUAUUAAUAAUAUUAGAAGGUGGGGGAAGUGAGGGAUGUUUGGAUCACGAGAGAUUUGCUCUUUUGCGAAUUAAACUGUUCUUUGAUGAUCCUUUUAAUUAUCUUCACGAUUGGAUAGAUGAUGAGGGAGCUACUGAUUGUUGUCAGUGGGAAAGGGUUGAGUGCAGCAACACCACAGGCCGAGUGAUACAACUAAACCUUUUUUUAAUUGGGAAUUGGGAUUUGGGAGAGCGGUAUCUGAAUGCUUCUUUGUUUACUCCCUUUCAACAACUUGAGUCACUUUAUUUAAGUUGGAACAACAUAGCUGGUUGUGUUGAGAAUGAAGGUGCUUCGUUUAAUUUUAUUAAAUUACUUGCUCUCUCCUAAUUUAAGUUGAAUAUCAAGACUGAGCAACUAUAUGCAUAUCCAUUCAGUUGACAAUUCUGACAUUUUUUUGAAGUGAUUAAUUAAUUUUUGAAAUUACACCAGCAUCUAUGAUCCUUUUUUAUGUUACUUGCAGGUCUAGAGAGGCUAUCAAAAUUGAACAACUUGAAGAUGCUUAAUUUAAGUGAUAACUCGUUCAACAAUAGCAUCUUAUCAUCUCUAACUCAUCUUUCAUCAUUAAGAUCAUUAGAUUUAUCUUACAAUAGAUUGGAAGGAAGUAUUAAUGUUAAAGGUAUGUAAUUAAAACGUCAUCUCUUCUCCCAACUCUUUCAUUAACUUGCUAAAAUAAGAUUCAAGGUUUUGAAUUCAAUUUUUUUUAUGAUUAAUAUUAAAGGAAAAAAAACAAUUUUAAGAAAUUCAUAAAUACAAGUUCUAAUGUUUCUCAUAAUUUCAUCUUGUACUUUCAUAUGUCUUGAAUUUAAGAUUUAAAAAAAAAAAAAAACUCUAAUAGCGAACCAAACACCUCCACAACUUAUUAUUAAUAAUAUUAUUAUUUUUUCUGUGAGGUUUGAAACAUUAAACUCAAUUUGUACUCUUUACAGAAUUAGAUUCUUUGAGAGACUUAGAGGAGCUAGACAUUGCCGGGAACAAGAUUGACAAAUUUGUGGUCUCAAAAGGUGCUACAAAUACCAUAAAAAAUCUAAACUUUUACAAAUUAGCUAGAUUCUUUGCCAUUUGGUUAAUUAUUUUGCAGGUUUGAGGAAGUUGAAGUAUCUCGGCUUAAGUGAUGUGGGAUUCAAAGGAACAUUUGAUGUUCAAGGUAAGUCUAAGCCAUAUGCUUUCUCAUUUGAAUUCAUUAAGGAUAUCAAGAUCAUCGACAAAAUUAAAACAUACUUUAUUUUACUUCGUCAAUCAAUUAAUUAAAUACUAUUUGGCUUGGCUUCAUCAAUCAAUUAAGUCUUAUGUCUAGGCAUGUCUGCAGAAUUUGAUUCCUUGAGCAGCUUAGAGGAGUUGGACAUGAGCCGCAACGAAAUCGACAAUCUUGUGGUUCCUCAAGGUAAACAAUUAAAAUAUUAUUCAAUUACAUUAAUUUAAUUCAUUUGGUUAGGGAAGGCCCAAAAGGUACAAAAAAUAAAGGAAUAGAGAAUUUAUAUUAUUUAAAAAACAGAAUGUAAUAAAGAUUUGAUUCAAGUUCUUUAAUCUUUACAGCGAUUGAAAAACGAUCUUGCUCCUUUCCCAAAGCAUAAAAUACGAAUUGACUCCUAAUUAAAUUAAUCAUUUAUUUCUCUCAUCUCUGAAUUUAAACAAUGAAUUUUGAUCUUCAAUCCUAUUCUAAUUAUUAUUAUUAAAUAGGUUACAGAGGUUUGAGGAAGUUGAAAAGCAUGUAUCUAUCGGGAGUUGGAAUUAGAGAUGGAAGCAAGUUGUUACAGUCAAUGGGAUCAUUUCCAUCCCUCAACAUUCUUCACCUUUCGGAUAAUAAUUUUAUAGAAACAGUGACAACUACUACUCAAGGUAAGUAAAUGGUACAGAUGUGGCCAAAUUUGUAAAUAAACUAUUAAUUAAUUAAUUAAUUUUCCGUAUUGUUGAUAGUGCUAAAUUUGUUGCUUCGAAACAGAGUUGCGCAAUUUCACCAACUUGGAAUACUUGACAUUGGACAAUUCCUCUCUUCAUAUAAGCCUUCUGCAGAGCAUUGCAUCAUUCACUUUGUUAAAAAAAUUAUCUAUGACUAACUGUAAAGUCAAUGGCAUCCUAAGUGGUCAAGGUAAAAGAAAAGUGUUGAUUAUGAAUAAGUUGUUAAUUAAUUAAUUUUGUUGCUCCUUGCUUCUAAACAGAGUUGCGUAAUUUCACAACUUGAAUAUUUGACAUUGGACUCUUCCUCUCUCCAUAUAAGCCUUCUGCAAUUGCUUGACGAAUUUAUUUAUUAUUAUUAUUGUUAUUGUAUUGAAGUGGGGUGGGCAAGGGUUCACUCAAUUAAUAUGUGGGGAAUUAAAUAUUACCAUCCAGCAUAGAAUUGUGGAAAAUUAAAGCAAAAUGAGAAAUAUGGGAUGAAAGGAAGAAAGUUAAGGGCAUGAAAGACUUGGAGAAGACCGAAGACCACCAAAAUAAGUUAUGUGUUUGUUAUAAAUAACAUGGAGCCCCUUGUUGGUUGCAGCGGCAGGAGACAGAGAGAGUGUAUUUGAUUAAUUAAAAUUCAAAAUGGUGAUAAUGUUAGUUUUGCUAUUAUUAAUAAUAUUAUAAGAGGGACUUAAACAUUUCUUCAAUUCUCCUUAUAAUUUUUGUCAAGACUGGGUAGAUGAUGAGGGAGCUACUGAUUAUUGUCAGUGGGUUGAGGUUGAGUGCAGCAGCGCCACAUGCCUAGUGGUAUCUGAAUGCUUCUUGGUUUACUCCUUUUCAACAAUUUGAGUCACUUGAUUUAAUAUGGAACAAUACAGCCGGUUUUGUUGAGAAAGGUGCUUCAUUUAAUCUAAUAAAUUUACUUCCUCCCUCCUAAUUUAAGUGGAAUAUCAAGAUUGAGCAACUAUAUGCAUAUUCAUUCAAUUGACAAUGUUGACAUAUUUUUUAAAAUGUUUAAUUUCGAAAUUACACCAAAUAGAUGUGAUCUCUGUUUUGAUUUUACUUGCAGGGCUACAGAUGCUAUCAAGAUUGAGCAACUUGAAGAUGCUUGAUUUAAGUGGAAACUCCUUCUACAAUAGCAUCUUAUCAUCUGUAGCUCGUCUUUCAUCAUUAACAUCAUUAGAUUUAUCUGAGAAUAGAUUGGAAGGAAGUAUUAAUGUUAAAGGUAAGUAAUUAAAACGUCAUCUCUUCUCCCAACUCUUUCAUUAAUAUGCUAAAGUAAGAUUUAAGGCUUUGAAUUUAAUUUUUUUAAUGAGUAAUAUUAGAAAAAUAGUUUUAAGCAAUUCAUAAAUACAAUUUUCAAUGUUUCUUAUAAUUAUAUCGUGUACUUUCGUAUGUCUUGACUGUAAGAUUAAUAUAUAUAUAUAUAUAUAUACUCUAACUGUGAAGCAAAUCCCCCCAUGACUAAUUUAUCAUUUUUUCCAGUUAAAAAUGAUAAAAUUUACCAUUUGUUUAUAUUUAUUAAUUAACUCUGUUUUAAGUCUUGGCGUCUUGGCGUGUUUGCAGAAUUUGAUUCCUUGAGCAACUUAGAGGAGUUGUCCAUGAGCUACAAUGAAAUCGACAAUCUUGUGGUUCCUCAAGGUAAACGCUUAAAAUAUUAUUCAAUUACAUAAAUUUUAUUCAUUUGAUUAGGGAAGACCCAAAAGGUACAAAAACAUAAUAAAAAUAAAUAAAUAAAGAAACAAAACGUGGUAGUAUUAUUUCGAAAACAGAAUGUAAUAAAGAUUUGAUUCUAGUUCUUUAAUCUUUACAAUGAUUGAAAAACUAUACUGCUCCUUUCUCAAAGCCUAAAAUACGAAUUGACUCCCAAUUAAAUUAAUCAUUUAUUUUGUUCGUCAUUUAUUUCCCAAAGCAUAAUAUGUACAUCCUAUUCUAAUUACUAUUAAAAAACAGGUUAUAGAGGUUUGAGGAAGUUGAAAAGCCUGCAUCUAUCGGGAGUUGGAAUUAGAGAUGGAAUCAAGUUGUUACAGUCAAUGGGAUCAUUCCCAUCCCUCAACACUCUUUACCUGAUGGAUAAUAAUUUGACGGAAAUAGUGACAACUACUACUCAAGGUAAGUAAAAAGUACAGAUGUGGCCAAAUUAUAAAUAAACUGUUAAUUAAUUAAUUUUCCGUAUUAUUAAUAAAGCUAAAUUCGUUGCUUCUUCUUUCUAAUUCUAAACAGAGUUGCACAAUUUCACCAACUUGGAAUAUUUGAGAUUGGACCAUUCCUCUCUCCAUAUAGGCCUUCUGCAAAGCAUUGCAUCAAUGUUCCCUUCGUUAAAAAAUCUGUCAAUGUCUCAUUGUGAAGUCAAUGGUGCCCUACGUGAUCAAGGUAAAAGAAAAGUGUUGAUUGUGAACUCACUCAAUGGUGUCCUAUGUGUUCAAUGUUUUUUUUUAUUUAUUUUAUUGUUUAAUGUUUCUGCUAGGUUUUCCUCAUUUUAAGCGUUUGGAACAUUUGUACAUGGAUUACGCGCGCAUUACACUCAACACCAGCUUUAUUCAAAUCAUCGGUGAAUCGAUGCCUACUCUUAAGUACUUAUCACUGUCAAAUUCUAGUCUUAGCACUAACAGCAGGACUCUUGAUCAAGGUUAAUGAGAUGCUCCCACCCUCCCCUCUUAAUCUAUAAUAUUAAUUUUCGAUUAAAAUUAUGAUUACACAAACCAAUCACUUCUAUAUGAAAGAAUGCUCUGCAUUUGUUAAUUUUUAUAUCGUACUGAUGGAUGAAUUAAUAAAUUUUCAGGCCUCUGCUCAUUGGCGCAUCUGCAAGAGUUGUACAUUGAUAAUAAUGAUUUAAGAGGUAGCUUGCCUUGGUGCUUGGCAAAUAUGACAUCCCUCCGAAUAUUAGAUGUUUCUUUCAAUCAACUUACUGGAAGCAUCUUCUCAUCUCCCCUCGCUCAUUUGACAUCCAUUGAAGAGCUGUGGUUUUCAUACAAUCACUUCCAAAUCCCAAUUUCACUUGAACCACUUUUCAAUCACUCAAGACUCAAGAUAUUGCAAGCUGACAACAACGAAAUAAAAGCUGAAAUAAUUGAGUCACAUUCUUUGACCCCAAAAUUCCAAUUACAAUUUCUCUCCUUGUCCUCCGGUUACGGAGAUGGUUUCACAUUCCCCAAAUUCCUUUACCAUCAACAUGACCUACAGGAUGUUUAUUUCUCACACAUAACGAUGACUGAAGAAUUUCCAAUUUGGUUGUUGGAAAACAACACAAAAUUAGAAUUUCUUUUUCUCGUCAAUGAUUCUCUUGCAGGACCUUUCCGAUUGCCAAUUCAUUCACACAAGAGGUUAAGGUUGUUAGAUGUCUCUAACAACAACUUGGAAGGCCACAUUCCAAUAGAAAUUGGAGAUAUUUUACCAAGUUUAUAUGUUUUCAACAUUUCCAUGAAUGCUUUAGACGGUAGCAUUCCCUCUUCAUUUGGUAAUAUGAACUUCCUCCAAAUUCUGGACUUAUCCAACAAUCAAUUGACUGGUGAAAUCCCUGAGCACUUGGCUGUCGGUUGCGUCUACUUGGAGUCUCUUGCGUUAUCAAACAACAACCUAAAAGGUCACAUGUUUUCUAGAAAUUUUAAGCUGGUAAACUUGAAAUGGUUACAAUUGGAGGGCAAUCACUUCGUAGGAGAGAUCCCACUAAGUUUGUCUAAAUGCUCUUCGCUAGAAGGAUUGUAUCUUGAUAAUAACAGUCUCUCAGGUAAGAUUCCACGAUGGUUGGGUAAUCUCACAUGGUUAAUACAUCUUAUAAUGCCCAAGAAUCAUCUUGAAGGUCUUAUUCCAGUGGAGUUUUGUCAUCUUCAUUCGCUUAAGAUUUUGGACAUUUCAGACAACAAUAUAUCUGGAAGUUUACCAUCUUGUUUCCUUCCUCUCUCUAUUGAACAAGUUCACUUGUCAAGAAAUAUGUUACAUGGACAGCUAAAAGAAGGUACAUUCUUUAAUUGCUUUUCCCUUAUGAAGUUAGAUCUUAGCUAUAACCAGUUAAAUGGUAGCAUUCCAAAAUGGAUUGAUGGGCUUUCUCAGUUAAGCCACCUUAUCUUGGCUCACAAUAAUCUUGAAGGUGAAGUACCAGUUCAACUGUGCGAACUGAACCAACUGCAAUUGUUGGAUCUUUCUAAUAAUAAUCUUCAUGGUGUUAUUCCUGAUUGCUUUGAUAACACCACACUUCAUGAAAGUUACAACAAAAAUUCUAGUCCUGAUAAGCCAUUUGAAAUGUCUUUUUCUGUCAGAGGCCCUCAAGAAAAUGUAAAAAAGAAAAUCCUUGAAAUUUUGGAAUUCACAACAAAGAACAUUGCCUACACUUACCAAGGAAAAGUGCUUAGCCUCCUAUCAGGACUUGAUCUUUCUUGUAACCAGCUAAUCGGUCAUAUUCCUCUUCAAAUUGGAAAUUUGACCAGGAUUCAAACAUUGAAUCUAUCACACAACAGCUUGAUAGGAUCAAUCCCAUCAACAUUUUCAGAAUUGAAGCAUAUCGAAAGUUUGGAUCUUUCUUACAACAAAUUGAAUGGGAAGAUCCCUUAUCAGCUUGUGAAGUUAAAUACAUUGGCUAUUUUUAGUGUGGCAUACAAUAACUUAUCAGGCAAGAUCCCAGAAUGGACUGCACAAUUUGCAACCUUCAACGUGAGUAGCUAUGAGGGAAAUCUUUUUCUUUGUGGAUUGCCAUUGCCCAUUUGCAGCCCACCACCAACUAUGCCAAGGGCUUUAACUAGCAAUGAAGGAGAUGAUAAUUUAAUUGAUAUGGAUAGUUUCUUUAUCACAUUUACAACAUCGUACGUAAUUGUGAUAUUUGGAAUCGUCGGCGUUCUAUAUGUGAAUCCUUAUUGGCGACGUAGGUGGUUUUAUCUUGUUGAAAUGUGGAUAAUUUCCUGUUAUUAUUUUGUCAUAGACAAUCUUAUUCCAACAAGAUUUUGUUAUUGAAAUUAAUAAGUAGUUUAAUUAAGAUCCUUUAAGUACUAAUCAAGUUUGCUUAAGAAAUAGUUUUUUUUUUAAUUGAAAACUACAAGAAAAAUAGUAUAUGACAACAUGCAAAGAGUGUUGUAGAAGGGAUAUCACAACAAGCAUAUGAACGUUGCGGUUCUUGAUGUAGCGAAAAGUAGGUAACUUUCGACUACGUGCAAUUCACGUUGUUGAAAAAGAUAUGAACGUUGUUAAAUAUCAUAUGACAACUUACAAUGAUUGUGGUUAAAAAGAUCAUGUGCUUCCAAACUUUCGACUACAAGCCUAUGAAUGUGGCUAUAAAUUAUAUAGCAACAAGCAACUAAAUGUCGCCAUUAAUUCUAAUUUUUAUUUACAAUAAACCACAUAUCCUGCAUGUUGUCAAAAAAACAACAAUAUAUUAUUAAUAAUUAUUAUUAUCAUUAUUAUGACUACUAAUAUUAUCAUUUUUAUUACACUAUUACUGCCGCCAUAUGUAAAAUUCAUGCGAACUAAUUCUACAAUUUGACUUGUUAUAAUAAGUUUUCAUAAACUUAGUAAUAAGCACACAUCACAGCUAAGGGUCACACCAACAUUUUUGUAUUCAUACAAAUUCUAUUACAUAGCAAAUAUGAAAAACACCAUAUACCAUCAGUUUAAAUUUCAUCUAGCCAAACACCCAAAAAAUUAGUAAAAAAACACAUUAGUGGCUGUUGCAAUUCCAUAAAUAUCAACUUAAAAAAAACCAUCUCCAACGAAAGCUUCUUCAAUUUAGCAAUUCCAUCAAAAACUUGUUCAGGGCAUAUAUACACUCCUAAAAAAAUAUUAACUGAAUCAAUAUUCAUUUGUUGCAUUUGGAAUAUAAUUAUACACACACACACACACCCAAGAAGAAUAUUUUAUGCCUACAUACCUUUUUUAAAACAAUUUGAUACAACUUCCUGAUUAUUUCUCAUUUCUCUAAACUUCUUGCUUAUUGCCUGUCCGGCAAAUAUUAAAAUGUAUAAUUUUCAUAGACAUGAAACUUAACAUGGAUACUAUAAGUGCAAUGCUACGGACUAGCUUACUUUAAAUUCUGGAGAUAAUCUUUACUUGACAAUAUUAGCCCAAUCUUCUUUGAAAAUUAUACUUUUUUGGCCUAAUAAGAGCAACCAGCUCUGUCAUGUACUUUUUUGGUUUCCUUUAUCUUAGUUGUUAGCUCUGAUUUGUAUUGUCUCCAACAAUCACCCAUCGUUCUUAAUGCCAAGCAUUCAAGAUAAAAAAUGUAUUUCUAAAUAAAGAUAAUUACUAUGUAAUUCCAUAAACAUGCACCAAGGGCCAAUAGUUCGCUGUCAACUAAAAGCUAAUUUUCAAUGCACACAAGCACAUGCUCUCAUGUUAUAACUCUAAUAAAAGUGCAUAUUUGUAAGAAUUUACACCUACUAGCUGGCCAUAGUCGUUAAAUUCAAUGCUUAAUGAUGGAGAACAAUCUUGAAUCAUUCCAAGUUUGGUUGGACCUCUUUUGUCUUUUGGUGCAUCUAUCAUCAGAUUGAGGUUUGUGUGCAUUUUCCCUAUUGCUAGUUGCUAAUGAUCCAUUCUCCUCUUGAAUAGUUGCAUUUUCUCUAAAUUUAUCUCGACUUGCCUAGAAGACUUUGUAACGCAUAGCAAAAUUAAUGUAGGAAUAAACAUACUAGAAAAAAGUAUAUGAACAUGAAAAAGUAUAAUUUAAAGUUGAACAAAAAAAAAAAAUUCUUACUUAUACUAAACAAAAUGUAAUCACUCUCACUGGCCAAUAAUAAAUCUUGGAACCCUCUUUGUGGUUUUUUCAAUACUAAAUACUAAUUUGAUUUUUCAUUAUCCUUAGAAUAAAUCCAAAUUGGCUUUGUCCCUCAUGAAGUUUAACCAAAGUGAAUCCUUCGUCAACUUUAACACCAUUAACUAUAUUAGUUCAGUCACAUUUGAAAAUAGGGAACUAAAAGUAUUGUAAUCAAGCACUAAUAUAUCUCUCAAAACUCCAUAGUAAGUAACUUUUCCAAAAGAGAAAUCCAUUUUGAAUUUUAAUUAUACAAGGGGGAAACAGUACCUCAAGUUUGCUCUAUAAUCAGAUCCUAAAAUGUCACAGCUGAUUCAGGAGAUUAAUGGCAUUAACAGAAGUAACUAGUCAACAACGCCAAUAAGAGAUUAAAAUUGUGCCUUUCAAUUGAAAAAAAAAAUCAUUAUCCGUCUCACUAGUAAUAUUUACUCAUUUAAAUUAUUUUUACCGAAAUCAGUUUAUCUUGAAAAUAAAAUAUAAUCUUCAAAAUUAUCUUUUCCAUGUAAAAUAUUUAGCUUCAGGCGUUUCAAAAGAAAAUAAUCUUUUGGUUUCAAUCACCCACCACAGAAAAAGUAACAUUUAUUUUAUUCAUGCAUAACAGAUGAACCCCACAAGCAAUAAAGAAUUGUGCCACUUACCAAACAAUGAAUCUACAAUGGGACGAUGUCGAGUGAUUUUGAGUGAGAAGAAGUAUAGGGUGAAGACCCAAAUCUUCUAAAAACAAAAUAGGUGGAAAGAGUAAAUUAUUAAUUAAAUGGAAUUAGGGAAGUGAAAGUGAGCUUUAUCAAUGAAAUUGAAAAGAAGAGUACCUGAUACACUCAUUUCCUUGGGUGGGCAGCCGCCAUUACGAUGAAGAUUGAGAGGCCUGCUUUGCUUUAGUGGCAGAGAAAGAGUAAAGUGGUACUGCAAAGAGAACCGAGGGUUUCACUAAGUCAAUUUGUCUCUUUUUUCCCCCCUUUUUACCGCGCUUUAACCCGUGCGCGCAAAAUGAAAUUUUUUAUUUAUUACACAUUAUUUUCUAUUACUUUACUUUUAAAAAAAUAUUGUAGUUAAUGAUACCCUCAAAAAAUUUAUUUGUUAUAAUACUUUUAUGCAUAAAUUCCAUGAGCAACUAUUUAUGUUUUAAUUUUCACCAAUUUCAUAUUAAAUGAGAUAACAAAGAAUUUUACAAAAAAAAAAAUAUUUUCAACAACAUGCAACAUAUAAACGUUCUUAUUUAAAUAAUAAUUUUUGCAACAGGCAAUUCAUUGUUGCCUUAAAUAAUUAAUUGCAACAUGCAAAUUAUGAAUGUUGUUAUUACAUACUCCUAUACCGCAACAAAUGGUCGCUCGUUGUCGUAAGGUUUUAGACCACAGUCACUUUUUGCGUGUUGCUAAAACUUUAUAUUUACCAACAUGCAGUUUAUGACUGUUGUUAAUUAUAAAUUUGACAACAUUCCAUCUGUGCACGUUGUUAAAAUGAUGUUGCCUUAUCCCAAUUUUCUUGUAGUAGUAUUGAUCAUUAUAUCACUUCCAGCUUCAAAGCACCUAGCAUUUGUCUCUACACUUAGAAAGCUGGAUGAUUUUGCUUUGCAGAUCUAGAUUUGAAGUAGGAUGGUUCCAAACCCAUAUCUAUCUAUUGUAGCUUACCUAUGUUGUACAGCAUACUUAAACGAUAACACCAUCUCCAAUGUUAAAAGUAGCCAUUAUAUAAGAUUCUUAUGGAAACUAUAUUCGAAAUAGAUUUAUAAUCAUACAUAGGAAAUGAAAAACCUUGCUGCACUUGCUCGCCUAUUUUACUCUGAGCAAGAACAUCAUCUUUUUCAUUUGCAGCAUUAACAUCAAACCAAGGGAUGGAGACCCAGACAUUUCAUCAAGAAAGGCAUAAAUCUACUAAAGUUGAAGCUUUGACAAAAAAUUCAGUCGAAAGUCAAUGUCUGACCACAAGAAAGGGCACAACAACAUCAUUCUAGAAGAGAUGAAGCAAUAUUCUCAAAGCUAACGCUCUCAAAUACACCACACCAGAAUUUCAUAUCUCCUCGUCAAUUUUAAAAACUAAAGAUAAUUAGGAUUUAACAUUAGUUUGUUAUACAUUAGUUUCAUAAUUUACAAGCCAAUGAAGAUGAAGAUUAUGCCAAUGAAUUCAAAUUAUAUCAUACAUUCUCUGGAUGUUUCCAAAAAUUUACAAGUCGAUCCCACAUAUUUCAUAAUUCUAAGACUGGAAAGUUUCAUUAGUUAGAAAUUCAUUAUCUUCAAGUGGAAGAUGAAGAAAAACAUUAUGCAAGUGAUUCAUAUUAUAUCAUACAUUCUCCGAAUGCAACUAAAAUCAACAAGUUCAUGCCCACAAAUUUGAUAACAUUAUGAUUGGAAAGUUUCACAGAGACUUGAGAAAGGCAUUAUGAUUGAUUUGAGUUACUUUGUGAUCAAGCUACUAAUAUAACAUUCAAUUCAAGGAGGGAAUAAGUUGGGAAGAAAUAGUAGUAAAAAUUUGUUACUACAUAAUUCUCCUCAACUUUGAGAUAAAUACAAAUGUGAAAAUGUAUACGAUCUAAUAUUACAGAUAUGAAAAUGCAAAUGAUCACACAUAUUACUUGCAACUUAGCAAGCUUUAACUAAGAGGAGCAAUCAAACUACUUAUCAAUUGUCGUAGACAUUCCGUAAUCUAAAAUGGAAAUAUAAUGCAAGAAAAAGAACAUACAGAUACUUGGCAGAAGUUCAUUAAGAACUCCAACCAUAUUCGAGUCAUGAGUUUGCUUUUGAUAUCUUGUUAGCUGGGGUUUUCUCCUGUCUAUUGACGUAUGCUGAGGGAAAUGACACAACUUAAAAGUAAUUUUUAACUCCCAAGUCUAAGAGUGUCUUGUUGUAUUAUAACUCGGUGAGCCCGAUGUCGAUCCACAGAGAAAAGAUUUAAUUAGUUUACUUUAUUUUAACUAAAAAUUGAAAUUAAAACUUAAAUAUAAACAACUUAAUUUAAAUGAAACUAUGAAAUUAAACUAGUUAUGAUUAUGGAUCCACUCUUAGAAGUAAAUAAAACUUAAUAAAUUCUUUUUGCCCUUUUUUUACAUUUAUUGCCCAAAAGAUUAAUUAUAUAAAUUAUUAUUAUUUUCCCUUUAAUUUUAUGAUGGAUUAAGUAUUUAUUGUGCCAAAAUUUAAUUUGUCUACAAUAAGUCAAAAUACCAUUUUACCAUACCUUAUAUUAAGAUAUUAAGAAUUUAUUGUGCCAAAUUCAUUUGUUUGUCUACAAUAAAUCAAAAUUUCAAAAUAUAAAAUAUGUAUAAAAUUAAAUAGAAAAUAAUUUAAUUUAUAAAAUUAAAAAUAGAAUUUGCUUAAAUCAUAUUUAUUUCCUAAGAGUUUCACCUUCCCCUAACUAAUAUUAUUUAGUUAAGCAUAAUUAAAAUAAAAAGAAGUAGUAAAAUUGAAUUACUUAUAAUUAAAAGAAAUAAAAACAACUAAAAUUGGAAAUAAAAAUAAUUUUAUUUAUAAAAAUAAUUAUACAAAAGAUUAAAAACACACCUGGAAAUCAAGAUUAUAAGGAGAUGGAGAGAAUUUGAGAAGAAAAGAGUUGUAGAGAGAUGAUUAAAAACAUAAAAAUGAGGCUCUAUUUAUAGAAAAAUAAAUUCAUAAUCCAGUGCUUUGCGGUCCAUCAUAAGCUUCAUGCAUGUGCUCCUCACAACCUUUAGAUCAAGAUCCAAUGGCUGGUCAAACUUCAAAAGUCAACAUCACACGUGGCAUCGUUUGACUCGUUCGAUUUGCCCAAAGAACGGUUGAGAUUUGGAGGGUUAAUGGGUGGAUCAGGUCGACCCGAAUACAAAGAUUCGGAUCCUCCAACUUGCUUCACCAACCAUUGCCACGUGGCACACUCAUGGCCAUUGAAUCAUGAACGGUUGAGAUUUAGUCAAAAUUGCCAGCUAUCCCAUGCACUCAUACCUAUUGUAAGCUCAUUUCAUCAUCCAAUCAGUGCUUGGUCAACAGGAAAAGUCAACUUUUUUUUACACAAGCCCAAUUUUAAGCCGAUCUUGACUGAUUUUAAGGUUUUCGGACCUCCGGAAUCCAAAUUUGACCUUCGUUUAUCUGUUUGGAGCCUCGAAUUACGUGAAAUCAAUAUUUUUCCUAAUAAACACAUAAAAAUACAUAAAAUUAAAUAUAUUUAAAACAUAAUUAAUAAUUCCUAAUAUAUUACAUAAACAAAAAUAUAAAUUAUAACAUAAGCAUAAAAUAACAUAUUAUCGCUUGAUAAUUAAACAAUUUUUAAUACUAAUCACACCCCCCAACCAGCUUAUUGCUAGCCCUCUAGCAAUUAAAGCGUUAUAUUAAAUUAAGAUUUAUAAAAUUCACAUGCAAGUUAAUAAUUGUUCAUCUAUCUUCUAAAUUACCAAAUAAAUGAACUCUCCCAAAUUUCUUUACCAUAUUGAUGUUCCUUCAUUAUCCAGAAUAUCAUCAAACCUUCUUUUGUGCUCCAGUAAUUAACACAAUACUUAUGGGGCUUCAUUAAAAGAAAAACAACAUUUUCGUUACAAAAUUCAUUAGAAAUUAUAUCUUUAGGCAAUAGAUUAUUCACACACACACACACACACACACACACAUAUAUAUAUAUAUAUAUUUUAAAUAUUACAUUUCUAACCCGUGUAGCAAGCUUUAGGUCAGUGACUCCCAAACCAGUUGACCUUAGGGCACUAGGUGUUGAAACACCCCUACGGACUUAAUUACUCGGGUUUCUAGAUAUAACAAAAUUAAAAACAUUUUUUUUUCUUUUUUUUCUUUUUGUUUUUGUUUUUUUUUUUUUUUGCAAUAUACACUUUCUACUACCUUAGAUACUAUUCCUAAUAAAUCAAAAGAACUAAAUGCUGUAAAAUUUUAACUUACAACCCACUAGUAUGUAUCAUAAUGUGUGUGUGAAGAAUGAUUCAACAAUACCUGUUAAAUGAGUAAACAAUUAAAUAACUUAAUAACCAAGUGGAGAGUUCACAAAUUCGGGUAAUUCAAAGAAAAGGGAACAAAAACAAUUUACUAUGAAUCUCAAAAUCAAAAUAUAAUACAACAAGACUAUUAGGAUGCGUCUCAAAAGUCGUGACUCUUUACACGGCCAUCCUAGACAAAAACAAAAAUGUUUUUUUUUAAGAAAGAAAAGAAAAAAGAAAAGAGAAAAACAACACACAUAUUUAAAAACAUACGUCAAUUAUCCCCACUCCACAACCUAAUCUAAACAUUAUCUUAACAUUUUAUAAUUUUACAAAUAUGCAAAAAAUAAUAAUAAUAAUAAUAAAAGAGAAUAAUAAAAGAAAAAGAAGAGGAGAUCUCACCUGAACUUGAUGCAGAAGCUUAAAAGCGGAUAACAAAGAUGAAGAAAAAGUCAAUUUUUUUUUUUUAACAACACCCUUAAGACUAAGAAGAUGCGUUUCUAGAGGUACUGCAUUCUCUAUAUCCUGUCAUCUUCGACUCAAAUUUGUCCUAAGUUAGUCUUUACAGAAAAAAAAAAUUUUGUUUUUUUGUUUUUUUUUUUUGUAAACACAUCACCAGGACUAAGACAUUCCACAAUUAUUAACUAUUCCCUCCCCCUAACCUGAAAAAGACAUUGUCCUCAAUGUUUUAAAAGGAAAGAGAAAGAGUUUAGAAGACAACACAUGAACACUACAACAGAAAAUAUUUAGAGACGGAGAGUUAAAUCUAAAUCGCACUUCUUAUUACUGCUACUGUUACCGCUACCAUCAUUAGUUGACCAAUUCAGUGUAAAAGUUUUUGGAUUUGGCUCUGGUGUAUAAGCUUGUAAAAGAUCAAGUAACUCAUUAGUAGUAGAAGCAGAAAUAAAGAGUUUUUUUUAUAGAAUAUGGAACAAAAUGAUUCUUUAUUGCAUGGUUAAUAAAAGUUAGCAAGCCGUCAUAAAAAUUAUUAACAUUUAACAAACCGAUGGGUUUUUUAUGAAUGUUCAAGUGGGCCCAGGAUGCAAAUGUAAUUAGUGCCUCAAAAGUUGCAAGAUCUCCUGGCAAGAAAAUAAAAGCAUCAGCAUGAUUCAUCAUUUCAGAUAUUCUGUCUUGCAUACUUGAUACCACUAAUUCUUCUCCAAUUGGUGGGCCAAACAACUUCUGAGACAAGUCUUGAUAACCCUCGUUCACCUCCUCCAUAUGCAAGAUGCAGUUUCCUCUCUGCUAUGACACGACCAAGAUCUACAGCUGCCUGAACGAACUCUUUGUACUUUCCAUAGUAAAACCCAGAAAAGCACACAAAUGUUUUUGAAUUGUUUACUCGAAGAUGCUGCCAUUGGACUAAUUUUCAAAAACAAGUUGUGAGUGUUUGAAAAACGAGCUCAUAUUUAAAGAUCUUGGUGACAUAAAUAAUGAGAAACAGCUGUAAAUGGGUUGGCAUAUUUGUCAAAUGAAGAGUAAAGCUCGUGGCUCAAUAAUUCAAAAAUAAACAGUAAAAAGAAAAUAAUGAUUAGAAAAAGCAAACAGUAAAAGAAAACAAUAUUUAUUAAAUACAAAAUCACAUCACUAAAUGCAAUAAUACAAAUGAUAAAAUAACAGUGAAGUGAAAGGAUAUUUACUGGUAGUUGUGAUUGCGGCUCACAUCUUCCUCUGGUUUUACGUCCAGUAACGGCUUGAAUGCCCUCUAUGGGUCGAGGAUCGGCUUGCCAUCCAGUUUUCUUAUAAACUGGCAAACAUGGUCUUUUUGAGUCAGAUUCCCAAGACUAAACUGUGUACUUUAUUUUUGGAAUACUAUCCACAAAUUAUAAAUCUCAUGUUGCACAAAUUCACUUCAAUGCGUCUCAAGAGAUCGUAAGAUAUCAUCCAAUGAUUCUUUACUCAUGCCAUCUUUAACGAAUUUAAUUUUAUCUUUACGAGUAUCAGAAACCAUUCCUAAAGAUUUACAAUCUGGUCGUUUGCAACCAAGUCUUACACAGUUAUGACAUUUUGAGCCAAGUCGUUUAGCUCUCCUUUUCUUAGCAAACGUACUUUUACCAAAACCAGGCAUGUAAGAAACAAAUGGAUCAGAAAACUCACCUGCUAAUCAGACCUUUGCUUCAAUUAACCAACGAAUGUCAGAAGGAAUGCCAUUGAUCAUUAACAAACGCAGUCGUUCACAACGAGCUUUGUAAAUUUUCCUGAGGGCAUUCUGAGGGAGAGAGGGAAAAUGCUUAUUGAGUUUAUGUUGUAUUUCUUCCAUGUUUGAUUUUGGGGUUUCAGUUAUUGUGGGAAACUGAAGAUACCGACUUAAGAAGUCACGGAGUACCGUUAUCCGCCAUUUAUACGGGAAAAUAAAUCAAAACACACCAAAAUCAAAUCUGCAAAAUCAAAUCAAACGUGAAAGCGAGCAAAAAGAAACACACAAUAUAAAAGGAAAAUGAACUUACAUUCGUCCUCUCAUUGAGUUAACCUCAAGCUCUAAUUGAAAUUCAUAUAUGCCACUCUCUACUGUUCUGAGUUGUCCCUCUAAAUCCUCAACAUAAGACACGAAUUCUGGUGGUUGCAGAUCCCAAAGUGGAUGUGAUUUACAGCUUUGUAUCAGGCCUCUUAAGUGAAAUUUCACACGCAGAAAUCUUUUUAGAUGUGCGAACAUGAAUUUUCUCAUUGAGGUGCUCAUGAUGUAAAAUGAAAAUUGAUGAAAGAAUGUACAACUGUCAAACAAACACGCUUACACAAGAAAAACAAUGUUAAAAAAAAUAUGUACAGUGCAUCAAUCUAGAGAAAAAAAAAUCAAACAAUGAAAUGGUAAAAUAAUAGUAAAACAAAAAUAAAUAAAUAAAUCAUUAAAGACUUAAUCAAGAACUGGUAGGUCACCCAAAUUAAUUUCGGUGUCCUCGUCACGUGGGUGAUGUUCCAGAUAUGGUUUUAAUCUUUGACCAUUAACUUUAAAUGUGACACCAUUCUUUGAAUUCUCAAUUUCUAUGGCCCCAUAUGAAUAUACAUUUUUUACAACAAAUGGGCCACUCCAUUUUGACUUUAACUUCCCUGAAAAUAAAUGAAGACGAGAAUUAUAAAGCAACACUUUUUGACCAAUCUCAAAUGUUUUUCGAAAAAUUCUUUUAUCAUGAAAUGCUUUUGUUCUUGCCUUAAUAAUUCUUGAAUUUUCAUAUGCAUCAUUCCUUAAUUCCUCAAGUUCAUUCAAUUGCAAUUUUCACACAUUAUCAGCAUCAUCUAAAUUUGAAUUAAAAGCUUUAAUAGCCCAAAGUGAUUUAUGUUCAAGUUCAACAGGUAAAUGACAAGGUUUACCAUAAACUAACCGAUAAAGUGACAUUCCUAAUGACGUUUUAAAUGCAAUAUGAUAGGCCCAAAGUGCAUCAUUAAGUCUAAGCGACCAAUCUUUUCGGUUUGGGUCAACCGUUUUUUUCCAAAAUUUAUUUUAUCUCCCUAUUUGCUAAUUCAACUUGACCAUUUGUUUGAGGAUGAUAAGGGGUAGCAAUUUUAUGUGUAAUUCCAUAUUUCUUCAUUAAAGACUCAAAUGACUUAUUACAAAAAUGCUUACCUCCAUCACUGAUAAUGGCUCGAGGGAUUCCAAAUCGACUUAAAAUAUUUUCUCUUAAAAAUUUAACCACAGUUUUACUAUCAUUAUUUCGACAGGAAAUUGCUUCAAUCCAUUUUGAGACAUAAUCAACUGCAACUAAUAUAUACACAAAUCCAAAAGAUGAUGAAAAUGGACCCAUGAAAUCAAUUCCCCAACAGUCAAAUAUUUCAAUUUCAAGUAUGGGAUUUAAGGGCAUCAUGUUUCUUUUUGUAAUUGAUCCCAAUUUUUGACAUUUUUCACAACUUUUGCAAAAUUCAUAUGUGUCUUUGAACAUGGUAGGCCAAUAAAAUCCACACUGUAAAAUUUUAGCAGUAGUUUUUCUUGAAGAAAAGUGACCACCACAUGCUUCAGAAUGACAAAAAUUAAUGACACUACUUACCUCAUUAUCAGGAAUACGUCGCCGAAAAAUUUGAUCUGGGCAAUAUUUGAACAAAUAAGGGUCAUCCCAAUAAAAUUUCUUUACUUCAACAAAAAAUUUCUUUUUCUCUUGAGCAUUCCAUUGCAAAGGCAUUAUACCUGUAACAAGGAAAUUAACAAUGUUAGCAUACCAAGGCAUUGAAGUAACAGAAAAUAAAAAUUCAUCAGGGAAAGAAUCAUUUAUGGGUGUUAUAUCAUUGCAGAAUUCGGAUGUGAGUCUUGAUAAAUGAUCAGCAACAACAUUUUCAGCACCCUUUUUAUCUUUGAUGGUAAGGUCAAAUUCUUGUAGUAACAACAUCCAACGAAUUAGUCUUGGUUUGACAUCCUGUUUACUCAUCAAAUAUCUCACAGCAGCAUGGUCAGUAAACACAACAGAUUUAGAGCCAAGCAAAUAUGAACGGAAUUUGUUUAAUGCAAAUACCACAGCAAGUAAUUCUUUUUCAGUUGUAGAAUAAUUCAUUUGAGCACUAUUCAAAGUCUUACUCGCAUAAUAAAUCACAAAAGGCUUACCAUCCCUUCUUUGUCCUAAAACAAUACCAACAGCAAAAUCACUUGCAUCACACAUUAAUUCAAAUAACAAAGACCAAUAAGGAGAUUGCAUAAUAGGUGCAGAUGUUAAAAGACAAAUUAUUUUUUUAAAAGAUUUUUGGCAAUCAUCAUUCCAUUCAAACGGUGCAUCUUUUAAUAAGAGGUUACAAAGUGGUUUAGAUAUGGCACUAAAGUUUUUUAUAAACCUCUUAUAAAAUCCUGCAUGUCCUAAAAAGGAUCGCACAUCUCUAACUGUUUUUGGUUGUGGCAAUUUAGAUAUGACUUCGAUUUUUGCUUUAUCAACUUCAAUUCCUUUAAUAGAAACAACAUGACCCAAAAUAAUUCCAGAAGUAACCAUGUAGUGACAUUUUUCCCAAUUCAACACGAGGUCUUUUUCAACACAUCUUUUUAAAACUUUCUCCAAAUUAUCAAGGCAAUCAUCAAAAGAAUUCCCAAACACAGCCAAAUCAUCCAUAAAGACCUCUAAACAAUGUUCAACCAUAUCACAAAAAAUGCUUAACAUACAUUUUUGAAAUGUUGCAGGAGCAUUACAAAGCCCGAAUGGCAUUCUUUUAAAUGCAAAUGUUCCAAAAGGACAUGUAAAUGUGGUCUUUUCUUGGUCCUCAAGUGCUAUAGGAAUUUGAUAAUAGCCUGAAUAUCAAUCUAAAAAACAGUAGUAGGGAUGUCCUGCUACUCUUUCUAAUAUUUGGUCAAGGAAUGGUAAUGGAAAAUGAUCUUUUCUAGUGGCUUCAUUUAAUUUUCUAUAAUCAAUGCACAUGCGCCAACUAGAUGUAAUUCGCGUUGGAAUUAAUUCACCUUUUUUCAUUUUUAACAACAAUGAUUCCAGAUUUUUUAGGCACUACUUGUGUAGGACUUACACACUUACUAUAAAAAAUAGGGUAGAUAAUUCCCACAUCAAGCAAUUUAAGGACUUCUGUUUUGACAACCUCUUUCAUGUGUGGGUUUAAUCUUCUUUGAGGUUGUUCACAUGUUUUAGCAUUUUCUUCCAAAUUAAUUCUAUGUGUGCAAAUUAAGGGAUUAAUACCUUUAAUAUCAUUUAAAGUCCAUCCAAUUGCAUUUUUAUACUUUUUAAGAACAGGUAGUAACUUACCUUCUUAGUCGCUUGUUAAAAUAGAAGAAAUCACAACAGGAUAAGUUUGUUCUUCUCUAAGAAAAGUAUAUUUCAAUCCUUCAGGCAAAGGUUUCAAUUCCAUUUUAGGUGCUUCUUGUUGUUCUGUCUUUUCAAUACUUCCAAGCUCCUCAAAUUUUGGCUCGUCAUCAUAAUUUUGUGAAGUCUGCACAGAAUCAAGCAACGAAUUUAUAUUAGAAAUAUUUAGUUCAAGUUGCUUAUUUGACUCAAUUGAAUUAACUAAAUAAACAUUUGAGAGUUUAGAAAAAUCCCCUUUUUGAAUAUUUUUCUUGAUACAAGAUUCAAACAAUUCAUUUUGUUCAUCAGUAUCAUCUUCAUUCUCAUUUUCUUUAUUAGGUUGCCUGCACAUGUUGAAAACAUUUAAUUCCAAAGUCAUAUUCCCAAAAGAUAAAUUCAUUAAACCAUUCCUACAAUUAAUCAAAGCAUUAGUAGUUGCUAAAAAUGGUCGACCUAAAAUUACAGGAAUUGGUUUGUAAUUAUUCACAACAGGUUCAGUUUCCAAGACAAUAAAAUCUACAGGAUAGAUGAAUUUAUCAACUUGUACUAAAACAUCUUCCACUAUUCCUUUUGGUACUUUAACUGAUCUAUCGGCAAGCAAAAGUGUAGUUGAAGUUGAUUUUAACUCACCAAGAUUAAGUUGAAGAUAAACUGAAUAAGGAAGCAAAUUAACACUAGCUCCAAGAUCUAGUAAAGCAUGCUCAAUUUUGUGAUUACCAAUAAUACAAGAAAUGGUAGGACAACCAGGAUCUUUAUAUUUCAACUUAUUAUUAGUAGACAGAAUUGUACUUACCUGUUCGGCCAUGAAAGUACUCUUUCUUACCUUCAAUUUCCUCUUAACAGUGCACAAGUCCUUUAAAAAUUUGGCAUAUGAAGGUACCUGCUUGAUUGCAUCUAAUAGAAGAAUGUUAACUUUCACUUGCUUAAAGAUUUCAUAAAUUUCAGAAGAGUGGUUUAUUCAAUGCAUGCGGAAAUGGUGGUUCAGGUGGAACACUAGUUAUUUCUUCACUAGGUGUAAGUUCAUUUAGUCCUUCCUUACCCUUUGAAUUUUCAUUAUUUUCAUAAGGUUCAGGCAUAGGUCUAUCAACAACCUUACCACUACGAAGAGUUAUAACUGACUUGACUUGGUCUGUGGGUGGAUUUUGUUGAAUUUUAGGAUUUGGUUGUGGUUGAGCUGGAAAUUUUCCUUUUUCUUGAAUGGUGAGUGCAUAAGCAAUUUUAGCAAGAGUAUCUUUCAAAUCAGAAAAAGUUUGUGCAUUUUGAUUGUUAAUAACAUCUUGCUUUCUGAUGAAUGAAUGCAUUGUGCCUUCCAGAUUUUUCCAGGGUGGUGGAACAUAUGGUGCAUAAGGCUGAGGAUUUUGAAAAUUUUGUGGAGGUGGUGCUUGUGAAGAUUGUGCAUUAUUAUUAUUCCUCCAACUGAAAUUCGGAUGAUUUCUCCAACCAGGAUUAUAAGUCUAUGAAUAUGAGUUUGGUUUAUUGAAAGUGUUAAUGACAUUAGCUUGAUCAUUUAGACAUUCUUUAAGUGUAGGCAAAGUGGGACACUCUUGAGUGAAAUGAUCAUUCGAACUACAUAUGUUACAUGCAAUUUCUUGAACAUAUUUUACUUGAUCACUCUUUUUAUGCUCCAAAGCUUCAACUUUCCUAACUAGGGAUGCAAAUUUUGCUUGUAAAUCAUGAUCUUCCCUAAGGUUAUAGAUUCCUCCACUAGAUGGAGAUGAUUGUUGCUUAUUUGUCAAUUCAAAAAUUCCAACAGUAUCCCAAUGUUGUGUAUUUUCAGCUAAUUGGUCAAGGUAAUCUAGUGCAUCUUCAGGAUUUUUAUCCCUAAAUUCACCAUUACACAUCAUUUCAACAACCGGUCUACUUUGGGGUAUUAAGCCCUAGUAGAAGUAAGUGACCAAUCGCCAAGUUUCAAAACCAUGAUGUGGGCAUAUGUUAAGCAACUCUUUAAACCUAUCCCAACAUUGGUAUGAUGUUUCUCCAUUUUUUUGAGUGAAAGAAGUGAUUUGCCUUUUAAAAGAAUUUGUUCUAUGAGGUGGAAAUAAUUUUUUCAAAAACUGUUCUUACAUGUUAUUCCAAGUUCUUACUGAUCCAGAUCUAAGGUUUUGUAGCCAAGUUUUUAUCUUUUAAUGAAAAAGGAAAAAGCUUUAAUCUAAUUAUGUUCAUGCUACAAUUUUGGUCCGUGUAUGUAUUACAAACUUCCUCAAAAUCUCUUAGAUGCAAGUACGGAUUCUCAGAUUCUAAACCAUGAAAUGUUGGUAAAAGUUGGAUAAUACCUGGUUUAAAGUUGAAUCGAGAUGCUUCUGGAGGAAAUACUAUACACGACGGUGCUCCAGUCCUGGUUGGAUUCAUGUAGUCUCUCAGAGUUCUUGGUUGAUUUUGAUCAUGCCCAUGUUGGGAUUGGUUGUCUCCCUGAUCAAUUUGAGGGUUAAGUUCGCCCAAAACGUUUUCGUCUUGAUUCUCAUCCAUGAUUGGUGGUGGAGAUUGAGAUCUACGAAUUAACCUGCCACUUGAAGAUCGAGACCAACGUCUCAUGCAAUGGUUAUAUUAUAAAGAUAAUAUUUACACAAAUUGAUAACAAAAUAAAAUUAAAAAAAUUAAAUAUGCAAAUAAUAUAAGUGUACGAAAGAAAAUUAAAUAACAAUUUUGGUGGUUGAACCCACCAAUUAACAAUAAAUUAAGUAUAAAAUAAAUGCAAAAGAAAGAAAAAGAAAAAAAAAUGGUGGUUGAACCCACAAGUUAAAAAAAAUAAAGCAAAAAAAAUACAAAAUUAAAUAAAUACUGAAAAUUAAAUAACUGAAAAUAAAAAUUAAGAGUUAGUAGUUAGUUUGGUGGUUAAACCCACCAAUAAAGCAAAAAUAAAUAAAUAAAUACGAAAUAAAAUAAAUGUAGAAAAUUAAAUAACUGAAAUUAAAAAAAGUUAGGAGUUAGCAGUUAGUAAUUAAGAGUUAGUAAUUAGAGUUAGUAAUUAAAGUUAGUUUGGUCCAAAUUAAGUCCAAAAUAAGUCCAAAUAUGUCCAAAGUAUGUCCAAGUCUUGAUUAUUUUGAGGAAUUUCGUCUAGGGAUUCUAUUGCAAAUUAUUUUUAAUUUUAUGGUCAAACUAUAAUUUUUAGAAGUUUAGAAUUGAGCAAUUUGGGAUGAAAGUGAAAUGAUUGAAAGAUGUUGGGGUGAGAAUGUAAUUACCAGAAGAUUGGGCUAGAAACGGAAAUUGUUGGGGUGAAACGAGAAUUAUGAAAGAUAUGGGGACAAAAGAGAAUUUAAGAAAAGGAAAGGGGGCAAACGACAUUUUACAUAUAAGAGAAAAAUAAAAAACGGAAAAACAAACCAAAUAAAAAAAACUUUUCCCCGGCAAUGGUACCAAAAACUUGACACAACUUAAAAGUAAUUUUUAACUCCCAAGUAUAAGAGUAUCUUAUUGUAUUAUAACUCGAUGAGCCCGAUGUCGAUCUACAGAGAAAAGAUUUAAUUAGUUUCCUUUAUUUUAACUAAAAAUUGAAAUUAAAACUUAAAUAUAAACAACUUAAUUUAAAUGAAACUAUAAAAUUAAACUAGUUAGGGUUAUGGAUCCACUCUUAGAAAUAAAUAAAACUUAAUAAAUUCUUUUUGCCCUUUUUUUACAUUUAUUGCCCAAAAGAUUAAUUAUAUAAAUUAUUAUUAUUUUCCCUUUAAUUUUAUGAUGGAUUAAGUAUUUAUUGUGCCAAAAUUUAAUUUGUCUACAAUAAGUCAAAAUACCAUUUUACCAUACCUUAUAUUAAGAUAUUAAGAAUUUAUUGUGCCAAAUUCAUUUAUUUGUCUACAAUAAAUCAAAAUUUCAAAAUAUAAAAUUAAAUAGAAAAUAAUUUAAUUUAUAAAAUUAAAAAUAGAAUUUGCUUAAAUCAUAUUUAUUUCCUAAGAGUUUCACCUUCCCCUAACUAAUAUUAUUUAGUUAAGCAUAAUUAAAAUAAAAAGAAGUAGUAAAAUUGAAUUACUUAUAAUUAAAAGAAACAAAAACAACUAAAAUUGGAAAUAAAACUAAUUUUAUUUAUAAAAAUAAUUAUAAAAAAUAUUAAAAACACACAUGAAAAUCAAGAUUAUAAGGAGAUGGAGAGAAUUUGAGAAGAAAAGAGUUGUAGAGAGAUGAUUAAAAACAUAAAAAUGAGGCUUUAUUUGUAGAAAAAUAAAUUCAUAAUUCAGUGCUUUGCGGUCCAUCAUAAGCUUCAUGCAUGUGCUCCUCACAACCUUUAGAUCAAGAUCCAAUGGCUGGUCAAACUUCAAAAGUCAACAUCACACGUGGCAUCGUUUGACUCGUCCGAUUUGCCCAAAGAACGGUUGAGAUUUGGCGGGUUAAUAGGUGGAUUGGGUCGACCCGAAUACAAAGAUUCGGAUCCUCCAACUUGCUUCACCAACCAUUGCCACGUGGCACAAUCAUGGCCAUUGAAUCAUGAACGGUUGAGAUUUAGUCAAAAUUGCCAGCUAUCCCAUGCACUCAUAUCUAUUGUAAGCUCAUUUCAUCAUCCAAUCAGUGCUCGGUCAACAGAAAAAGUCAACUUUUUUUACACAAGCUCAAUUUUAAGCCGAUCUUGACUGAUCUUAAGGUUUUUGGACCUCCGGAGUCCAAAUUUGACCUCCGUUUAUCUGUUUGGAGCCUCGAAUUACGUGAAAUCAAUAUUUUUUCUAACAAACACAUAAAAAUACACAAAAUUAAAUAUAUUUAAAACAUAAUUAAUAAUUCUUAAUAUAUUACAUAAACAAAAAUAUAAAUUAUAAUAUAAGCAUAAAAUAACAUAUUAAACAAAAAUAUAAAUUAUAAUAUAAGCAUAAAAUAACAUAUUAUCACUUGAUAAUUAAACAAUUUUUAAUACUAAUCAGGAAACCAACCAGCCUUGCCCUUGCAUUCACCUUUCGACCAUCCAGUAGGAGCCACCUUGAGAAGUUAUAGCCAAAAAAGGUGAGUUAAACAGAAGUUGACCAUUCAAAGACUUGAGGUGAAAUAAUUAAAGCAAAAUAGGCUAAUUCUUUUACUUGAAAAGAGUGAAUUAGUUGUGAUUAUUGAAAUUGGAUUAACCAUGGAAGUAUAACAAGAUAUAAAUUCAUGUGAAAUUCUUAAAUGGAAAUAUAAGAUUAGAGCUCCUCAAUUUGCUUUUAAUUCAGCUAGACAACUAAGAGUGAUUUAUAGGUGAAAGUAGUUUGUAUAAGCAUAAAUUUAAUUUUUAGCAGUUCAGUAAGAGUUAAAUCCUUUUGAAUCAUCAAAAUAUCCAGAUUUAUUUCACCCUUUUGAACAGAGGAUAUAGCAAUUUCACUAGGAUUUAUUGUCAAAGUAGGUAAUGCACAGCAAAGAUUUUUUUAAAAACAAAUAACCUAUAAAAAGUACACACAUAUAACGUAUUAACAAAAUUACUUCAUUCUACAACAAUCCGUUUAUAUUAUAGUAAUUGGUUUAGUCGGCAACAAGCACUAUAAUCCCUUAAAUAAAUUUUUUUAUGUAAUUUUCUAUAAAUUUCAAAAAUCAAUUAAACUGGAGCUAAGACCAUUUCUAGUUUUCAGAUAAAAUAACCAAUCAAACAUUCAAAUUAACAGUUUAGGGUAAACUGCGUCAUUUAGAACUGAGCUAGCAGCCUUAUUAUAUUCUGAUUUGCACUUCAAUGUAAAAGGGAAUAUGUGACAGGAAGAAAGAAAACCAAUCAUCGUUUGUUAACUGAGCUAUCAUUCUUGUAUUUAUAAGCAAAUAUCAAGACUUUAGAUCACCAGCUACAUCAUGAGUGGCUACACAACUUUGCAGUGGUUUGUCUUUUUUUGGCAUGCCUAACUCAACUUCGACAUUGUUGAGAUAUUGGCAGUAGAGACACAUGAUACUUCUAGCUAUGCAUUCUAGCUAGCUCAUCCUGCAACGUUCUCUUUUUAAUUCAUUGGUGUUUGCUAAACCUCAUGCUUAGAAGUCUUGUUCUCCUAAACAAAGUUUCCCUAAGAAUGACUCCUUCAGCACCACAUUUUAACACUUUUUAGAGCAAUUUUAUUGGGGGAAAAGAAUUUUCAAGGUGUUAACUACUAAAUUUUAAAAGAUAAUUACGAUUUUGACCUACAAUCAUAUGACAAUUUAUCUGGGAUGAAAGGAUACAGACAGACAUAUUCCACUUUCAAGACUAAUCACUACUUCUCUAGGUGUUGUGCUAUAUUACAAAUACUUGACCAGAGGGUAGUGAAAAUAGAAAAGAACUUUAUUGCUCUACAAUUAAACUAAGAAUGCAAUGUGUCAAGCAAAAGACUGUGCAACAUCAAAUUGAUUGAUAAGUUUCAAAUUCAGCAAAUUAACAACUUUCAUAGGAGAAUACAACAAAUUUCUUUUAAAAAAAUAAAAAAUUAAGUCUUAAUUAAAAGAUAACAUUCCAUUUUGUUUAUAUCUCUUCUAUGUUAUUUCUUAAGAUUUUUCAAGAGGAGGACAAUAAAGGGACUUUCAACCAUGCAAGAGAGCAUAAGCCUUACUUUCGCUAUAAAGUAGGCAUCAUUAUGAUUAAUAUGCGUUUGUAAAUCAGCUCUAUUUGAAUCAGCAUUCUGAUGGCCACGUAAGGCAUUUACAUCCAUUUCCAAAGUCACAUGUUGCGUGGAGGACUCAUUUGAUUCCUCCUCUAGGAUCAUCUAAUUUGAGUAGCAAGGGUUGGAAGAGAAUACAAAGUCACAAUUAUUCUUUUGCAUAAGAGAGACGAAAAUGAUAAAGGCAAUAUUAUCAGUAGUCAACAAGAAGAAAAUGCUUCAAGGGAUAGAUAGAUGCAGACAAGUGAGUCAAAAUGCUUAGUCCCAAGCCUCAGGAUACAAAUUCUCUACAACAGCAAUAACGUGUUGAUGAUAUGUUUUCCGAGCAUCUACCUGCAAAGGCCCAAGACCAGGAAAGUAAAGAAAGAAAUACACUUGACAUAAAUCUUAACAAGAAGCAUAAUUUAAGACAUAACAAAACCCAGUCAUUGUUUAGAACUACAUUUGUUAUUGUAACAUUUCAAACAAACGUUCACUUAAUUCAACACUGUUGGAAGGAUAGGCUUUCAGAAGUAAAAGAAAGCUACUCGAACCAAAGUGAUUGUCCUUGUAUUAAUCAAGGGAUGUAAACAUCUUACAUUUGCAGGAUGAGUUUUAAUCACUUAUUUAAUAACACAUACCCUUGAUUUAUUAGGGUUGCAGUAAAGUUAGAAAAUAUUGAUCAAAUUCUUCCAUUGAAACAAACUUAGUAAACAAAGCUAAGUGAGCAGCUGUUUGACUUUCAAGCAAACAGCUAAACCAGAUAUUAAAAUUCAAAUAAAAUCAUUAAUAGACUAAUAACAGGCCAUCUUGCAUAAAAAAAUUAAGUUUAAUUUGUGAAUUUUUUUCCUAUAAACAUGUUAGGUCCUACUAUAUUGAAAUGUUAAAAGCACUAAACAAUUAUUCAAUAAAUUAUGCAAACACUAAAAUAGAGACUUAUUAAUUAAAAGAUUUUUGGUUAGUAACCGAGAAUGUCGGAGAGCUCCGAUAACCAAGAACUUCAAGACAACCCUACCCUGCUGAAAGUGCCUCCACCGCCGCUAAAUGAAGAUCAGUCCACUAAAAAGGCGCGUUUUCGCAGUCAUGGUACAGCUGAAGAUAAUCCAACGCCGCUAUCCUUCAAGGAAGCGCUUGUUCCCUCUAACCAACAUAGGAACUUUGAUUCCGCUGAGAUGGAUGAAGACUGGGACUUUGAACCUGGCGAUGUGAUGGUUGGAGAAGAUGACACCAUGCCAACUAUUGUGUUCUCGAAAAGAGUCCAUGAUAAACUGACUAAACCUUGGCAAAAUUCUGUGGUAGUGAAGUUAUUGGGGAGAAACAUUGGGUAUAAGGUUUUAUGUAACCGUCUAAAGGUAAUGUGGCCUAUGAUUCAUGAUUUAUCUGUGAUUGACCUCGAGAACAAUUAUUAUUUAGUUCGUCUCCACUCAACAGAGGAUGCAGUCUAUGCUUUAACAGAGGGGCCAUGGGUUAUCUUUGGGCACUAUUUAACAGUGCAACCUUGGACUCCACUUUUCGACAGCACCGUUACUGAUAUUGCCUCAGCAACUGUUUGGAUCCGCUUACCUGGCAUGGCUUUUCAUUUAUACGACAAGCGUGUUCUGCGGGAAGUUGGACAACUUGUGGGCACAAUUAUUAAAAUUGAUUAUCAUACCGAAUCAAGGGAGAGGGGAAAGUUUGCGAGGAUUGCUGUCCGUGUUUCUCUUUCUCAGCCUUUGGUGUCUCAAUUUAAUCUGGACGGAAAAAUUCAGAAGGUUGAAUACGAAGGGCUGCCAAUUAUAUGUUACCAGUGUGGUAAAUAUGGCCACACCAGCAGUACUUGUCCUGAGAAACAAGCUGCGAAUGGGGCUAGGGCCGAGAGUUCGGUGAGAUCUCCACCAGUCAACGUGACAGCUGAUAAGGAUGGCGCCUCAGCUAUGGCUAAUAACAGUGGUGAGAAAUUCGGUCCAUGGAUGAUUGUGGCACGAAGAGGGAGACCUAAAGGAGUUAGGGACAAGGAGAAUAUCACCGAUUCAGAAAGGAAUCAGCGUAUUAACUAUACUACGGCUUCCCGUUUUGCUGCUUUAGUUGAUGGGCCUGAUACAAUUACUGUGACAUAAAUUGAUGUUCAAGAUCCCACCAUUGUCCCCCCCAACAACCAGCUAAAUCCAUUACCGACCACUUUCACACCCGAAGGAACCACCCUCUGAAAAUCCGUAGCACCCUAAAGCCUCAUAAUCACCUAUCCAAAGCUAAACAAGUGGCCAAAUCACACCUUAAAGCCUCAUCAUCUACUUCCAUGCAUGCAAACUUAUGUCCCAAUGUUCAUAUGGAUCACUCCACCCAUAAUAAUGUCCCGAUCCAGUAUCCCUUAGGACAUCCUUUUAGCUUGCCCGUUGAACCUUCGUUCACCUUGACCACCCUGAAUCCUCACAAGCAUACUGCCGUGACCUUUCCCAUAGCCAACCAUGAGAUUGUGGGUAAUCAACCAGGCUACUCAUGUGGAAAAGUGGCUGAUAACCUGGAGCAGCAACUCUACCCAAAGCAAUUAGCUGAUCCUCCCAAUGUAAGAGAAGACGGAGCUGUUAAUCCGAUGGAGUUUUAUGAUGGUGACCCUCAACUUGCAAUUGGCAAUGAAGAGGAAGACAUUAUGUCUGAUGAUGAAAAUACUAGUGUUAAUGAAACCCCCAGAGUGCAUGGAGGAGGGGCCCUAGGGCCUAGAAUGUAAGGACUCCAUGCUCCCCUGUUUUGCUUAUAUCUUUAAUGAUGUACAAUAUAAUGUUUUGGAAUUGCCAAGGAGCUUUUUUGCCGGGAUUUUGCAGGACUUUUAAGACUAUUGUCAGUAAUUAUAGACUGAAUCUGGUGGCCUUAUCCAAGCCUCGCAUUAGUGGAGUAAAGGCUGAUGACUUCAUUAAAAAAAAUGGCUUCCAGAGGUCUCAUCGGGUGGAAGCUAGGGGUUUUUCUGGUGGCAUUUGGAUUUUGUGGGAUGACAGUUUUGAGGUGGAAUUUAUCAUCAAUCAUAAUCAAUUUAUUCACUUUAAAAUAAUUGAUUUGAAAGGUUGUAGUUCCUGGGUCACAGCAGUUUAUGCGAGUCCGAUACCCAUGGUAAGGAAAAUUUUAUGGUCGGAGUUAGAUAAAGUUGCCAAGUCUGUUGAUGGUCCGUGGAUGAUUGGUGGGGACUUCAAUGCAAUUAGAAGAGUAUCUGAAAAAAAAGGAGGGUCAGCCAGGACAAGUGGUGUGCGUGAACUCUUUAAUGGAUGGUUCCAUCGAAACCAUCUCAUGGAACUUGUCUUUAAGGGACCCAAAUACACAUGGUCAAGAGGCAACUUAUCGAAAAGGUUAGAUCGGGUGAUUUGUAAUGAAGAGUGGAUGAUGAUGAACGAUGAGACAGAAGUUUUCCACCUCCCCAAAUUAAAUUCCGAUCAUAGACCGGUGAUGUUUCGUUGCAAGAAAUACAAUUCCGCUCCUACGGGGGUGAAACCUUUUCGGUUUUUGGCUCCCUAGCUAACUGAUGAGAGAUUCCAACCCUUUGUGGAAAAUAACUGGAGGAGCAAUUUGAACUACACUAAUGUUGUGGAUGAUUUUAUCAACAAACUGGGAAACUGGAAUAAAGAUAUUUUUGGCAAUAUUUUUAAAAGAAAAAAAGAGAUGCUGGCUAGAAUAGGUGGCAUUCAACGCUUUCUGGAGAAGCGUCAGUCUAGGAGUUUAAGCAAGCUAGAAUCUAAGCUAAAGAGGGACCUUGAAAAAGUGUUAACUCAAGAGGAAGUGCUAUGGUUCCAAAAAGCUCGAAGAGAAUGGAUUGUCUGUGGGGAUAGGAACACAACCUUUUUCCAUCAAAAAUCUAUAAAGAGACGCCGACGAAAUAAAGUGGGUAUGAUAAAAAAUGAUGAGGGGCAGUGGAUCCAUGACGAAGCUGAUAUUAAAGCCCAUGCAGUCUUUUAUUUUUGUAAUUUGUACACGAAGGAGGGAGGUGUUCCUGUCCAAUACCCUUUUACUCUUGACUUCCCUUUAAUUGAUAAUGUUGUGCUUAACAAUCUGAUCAGAGGUGUUGAUGAUGCAGAGAUUAGAGAUAUUGUCUUUACCAUGAGCCCAUUGAAAGCCCCGGGUAUAGAUGGCCUUUAUGCCAUUUCCUUCCAGACUCAAUGGCACGUGGUGGGGUCUUCAGUUUGUCAGCUUAUUAAAGAGUUUUUCGCGGGAAAGCAAUUGCCCCAGGAAUUGAACCAAACUCUUCUUGUGCUGAUUCCCAAGAUCAAUAAUCCAUAUUCUCUCAAAUUAUUUAGACCUAUUAGUCUUUGCACAGUGGUGUACAAGACUAUAACUAAAUUGGUAGCUAAUCGCCUCAAAGCCAUUUUGCCGCAAAUCAUUGGCCCUGCUCAGACGAGUUUUGUUCCUGGGAGACAUAUAGUCGAAAACGUCAUCGUUGCCCAAGAAAUCAUUCACUCUAUGAGGAACAAAGGGGGCAAAACUGGUCAGAUGGCUAUCAAGGUUGACUUGGAAAAGGCGUAUGAUCGUUUGAGUUGGGAUUUUAUUCAGGAGACUCUGGGGGUGAUUGGGUUGCCGAUGGAUUUGAUUCGUAUUAUAAUGGAGUGUAUAACCACAGUUUCGAUGCAACUCUUGUGGAAUGGUGAGCUCACGGAGAGUUUUAACCCAUCUAGAGGAAUCAGACAUGGGGACCCUUUGUCCCCGUAUAUUUUCGUCAUGUGCAUCGAGAGGCUAAGUCACGGUAUCAAUCAUGCAGUUGGGAACGGGCGUUGGAAACCCAUCAGGCUUAAUCGUGGAGGUAUUCCUAUUACUCAUUUAUUUUUCGCUGAUGAUCUUCUUCUUUUAGCGGAGGCUUCUAGUCAGAAUGCGCAGGUGAUCAAUGAGGUCUUGGAUACUUUUUGUGUAAGCUCUGGCGAGAAAGUGAGCAGAGAAAAGACCCAAAUUUUCUUCUCUCGAAAUGUUUAGAAGAGCACAAUCCGAGAGAUAAGGAAUACACUCGGAUUUUCAGUUACGAAGAACCUCGGUAAAUACCUUGGUAUGCCCAUCAUUCACUCCCGAGUUACCAAGGCAACUUAUCAAGAUAUUCUAGAUAAAGUACAGCAGCGUUUAUCAGGCUGGAAUGCCAAGCAUCUCUCUCUAGCGGGCAGGAUCACUUUGGCACAAUCGGUAAUACAAGCUCUCCCAGUUUAUGCCAUGCAAUCAACGAAAAUUCCAGCUUCGGUUCUUACCAAAAUUGAGCAAAGAUGUAAGCAUUUUAUCUGGAGUGGAAAUGCCGAACAAAGAACAUUGAAUCUCAUCCGGUGGGACACUCUUUGCCAACCCAAGUCAUGUGGGGGCCUUGGUCUUAAAGAUUUAUCUCAUAUGAAUAUGGCUUUGAUGAUGAAAAUUGGGUGGGGUUUAGUCAACUCUCCUAAUACUUUUUGGGUCCAGGUGCUGGCUUCUAAGUAUAAGGUUGAUACCACUUGUCUUCCUGGCAGCUUACAAACGAGGAACGGGUCUUACUUGUGGCGUGCUGUGGGGAAGGUUUGGGAUCAUGUGUUGAAGGGAACUCGUUGGGCUCUUGGGGAUGGAAAACGAGUGCAAUUUUGGUGGGAUUUAUGGCUCAGUGAGGCUGAUAACUUACAAUCAUAUGCCACGAACCCAAUUCCUGAUCAGCUGAUUAAUUUGUGUGUGGCUGAUUUUUCAGAUAACAAUGGCAACUGGAAUUGGCAUUUAUUUGCUCAUUUGCUUCCCAACCACAUAAUUCUAAAGAUUGCUUCAGUUAAAGCUCCUUGUGCUCUUAGUGGUGAGGAUCAAUGUUACUGGGCUUACUCUAAUACAGGUCAAUUCACGGCGAAAUCUGCGUACCUCUCUUUGCACCAAUCCAAUAAUGUGGCCGAUAAAUCUUUGUGGAAUUUGGCUUGGAAAUGGAAUGGACCUCAAAGUAUCAUAACAUUUAUUUGGCUCGCCAUGAGCAAUAGGCUGAAAACAAAGUCGGAGCUUUUUCGAAGGCACAUUACUAUGGAUGCCACUUGUUGUAGUUGCGGCCAACACUUGGAAGAUACCAUUCAUGUGUUGAGGGAUUGUAUCAUUGCCCGGCAUGUGUGGCUCAGUUUGGUGCCUCAUACUUUAUGGAAUAAUUUUUUCGAUUUGGACUUGACGAGUUGGAUCUACUACAAUCUCAAGAACACGGGUUUGAUUAGGAGAGAUGAUAAUUGGCCCUGUAUUUUUGGUGUUGCUCUGUGGCGGAUUUGGUAUUGGAGAAACCAAUUCAUUCACAAUAAAGAAAUCAUCAGUAUUGCAAAUAUUGUGCUGGACAUCACGCACCGCGCGGCCGAAAUCAAUGCUUCCAUGGAGAAUAUCUGUAGACCAGGCCAUGAAAGGAUAAUCAAAUGGUUGAAGUGGAUGGCCCCACCUUGGCCUUUCUUUAAACUAAAUACAGAUGGUGCUCGGAAAAUUUCAGGAAAUGCAAGUGCAGGUGGUCUCAUUAGAAAUUAUUGCGGAGAAUGGGUUCACGGUUUUGGCAUGAAUAUUGGCCAUUGCACUAUUACUGGGGCGGAGCUUUGGGGUCUUCUUCAAGGAUUGCAACUUGCCUGGAAUAUUGGGAUUAGACAAUUACUUGUUGAAGUUGAUAGUCGAUGCAUCACUGAGAUCUUAGCCACAGAUACCAAUCAUCCCAAUGCUAACUCCUCUCUUAUUCAAGGAAUUAAAAGACUUCUCAACAUGGAGUGGCAGGUUUCUCUGUCACACUGCUAUAGAGAAACAAAUUAUGCAGCUGAUUACCUCGCCAAUCAAUCUCUUCUUUUGCCUCUUGGGGUCCAUGUGUUUCCAACGCCUCCAUCCGGAACUGACAGGUGGCUGCUGCACGAUGUAUGUGGGACUGCUUACUCACGAAUGAUCUUUGCUUAGUUUCUUAACUUCGCCCUUUUGUAUCAAAAAAAAAAAAAAAAAUAGAGACUUAUUAGAAAGUUUCUUACUACAAUGUUAAUAUUUCCUCUAUUUUAACGUUUACAUAAUUUUAAUUUAUUUAAAAUCUACGUCGAUCAACUUUGGGCAUGAUGAUUUUAGCUUUUACGAGAGUUUAUUGGAAUAUGCAUAAGGAGUGUUAAAAUAUGAUGCAUCCAACAAAAGGCAAGCCAUGUGCAGUCUUUUAAUUUAGCCGAAGUAGCAGCUCAAACAAAUGACACUUUGACCAACAUGCAAGCAUGAAGUAGCUAGAAAAAGGACAAAUGCUACUUUGGCUUAAAUAGAAAAUAGCACGUGACUCGACUUUUGUUGGACAUGAAUCAUGUUAUUACAAGACAACAUAAAUCAUUAUCAUUAUAAUAAGAGUUAGCAAUAAGUAACAUGAAGAUAAGAGGCAGAAUGUCAACACAUGCAUAGGCAUACACAAGAAAGUAUUAACUUCUAUACCAUAGCAAAAAGUCUUUGAUAUGUCAUUUGUUGUUGCUGUGAUUCAACUGACAACAUGGCAACUGUCGCUGCUCUACCAAGAGCCAUUACUGUAGAUUUAAGCUCGGUCAAAUUUGCUUCUGCAUUUCGAAGCUUCAUAACACUCUCUGCUGAUAUAUCAGAUUCCCUAAUCUUUGAUCAGCUCCUCAAUACUUCAGCUAAUUCUCAUCUCGCUUUAUACAUGCAUAUGUUACCUCAAAGUUGACCUGGGCUUCAACUUCAUGGCGGAGUUUGUCAUAACGAUGAGUCUGGUGCCGAGCAUCUUCCAAAGGUGCUCCGUUGAUUAAUGCCCGUAGUGGCUCAGAUACCUACAUGUCCAAAAGCCAGUAAUAUAAUUAGAAAAUUGGAAAAAAAAGAUCGAAACCUUAAUUACAAAGUUCCUCCAGCAUAAUCAUGGAAUUUGGGCCUACUUUAAGAACAUAUAUAAGGAUAAUUUAAGCAAUUUUGGGUCUUAGGAUGAUUGGUCUUAAGUUAGGGUCUAUCCUUCUGUUUUUAAGGUCAAAAUAGAAAUAAACCUAUGCAAAUAUUUAAAUUAGUGCUGUAAGAGUUCCACAUGCAUCCUUCAGUCUCAUGGAUUUGAAUUUACUAUAGAUGCAAGCGUCUUUAUCCAAAAUGCCUGGAGUCAAUUGAGAGAACUCACAACCAAUAACUUGUCCCACGGUGGUCUUCACUAGUGAUGUAAGAAGCGACAAGGUUUCUUCAACAUUUGAACAAAAAAAUUAUAAAGUCAUGGAUGUCACUAGCAAUUGUUAAAACAUUAAAUAUUUCAGAGUUGUAACGUUUAAAUGGAUUCUUUUAUUCAAUAUCUUAGAACUAAGUUUCCUUAUGAGAAGAUAAUAGUCUUGAAAGUAAUUUUACAUAUAAUUUUCCAUAUUUGAAUUAUUUUCUCGUUAGGGAUGAAUUUACCUGAUCACCAAGAAUCCCAAGCAAAGUUUCCCUCUCAUUUUCCAUCAAAUCAUGUGAAGUGCCAAAUUGAAAAGCAGCCCUUGCAACACAAGAAUUGUCGCUUUGAUUCUGCGCUCCAUAUUUGCAACAAUCUUCGGCCAACUUUCUCGCUACAAUAUUUGAAUACAAAAAUAUUAUACGCAAAAACUAGUCAAGAACAUUAAAAAAAAUAAAUAAAUAUUAUAACGAAAGCAAGAGCAAACAAACAACCUAUCUCCAUUUGUUUCAAGUUUAGUGCAAUUCAACACCACGGACAAUAUUCCUCUAAAAAUGCUGUGUUACAUAGCAUAUAUUCCAAAUUAUUGUUCAGAUAAAACCAUAAAAACCAUCAUAAUUAUUCAACAUACAUUAAGCUCUGUUUGGUAAAUACUUGUAACUCCAGUCUAGAAAAUAUAGUUGUUUGUACAAUAUUCGACAAAAUUAUUAUUUAAAAAUCAUAUUUAAUUACCAAAAGCCACAACAAAUCAAUAUCAAAACAGAGAGGGUAAUACCUUAGCUGCCCUGGUGGAAUUGUAUAGAUUUUGAAGUUGUUGGUGACACUCAAUUUCAGCUUCAUCAACCGCAACAUUUUCAUUACCAAGACGCAUGCAGCAAAUGCUUCAAUACUGCCUGUACAAAUCAUUAAAAAAUAAUAAAAACAUAAAAUUGAGAAAUUUCACUAAUUGAAAGUUUAAAUAAUUUUUAAAGAAAAAGAAAGAGACGUGCUGCUGCCUGGCGAUUUGUUCGCGGAGCUUGAUUGCCUGUUUCUUGAUAGCUUCCAUAUUGUUUCUUCGGGCAUUGCUGCAAUUGUUUCUUCUAUGUCAGUCACACCCACAUAUCAUUGACACAAGAAAUAAAAAUCUUAGAUCACUUGUUUAAUUAAAGAAUCACUUACAAAAAAGUUUUGCCAUUUUAAUUUGAGGAUCCAUAUUUUGAACUACCAACUAAUGUUCAUCAAGGGCAGAGUAAAAAUUACUUUUGGACAAAUUAUUUUUGUUGAUAGAAGAAUUUCUCAAGGGACUAUUAAAAUUAUUAAUAAAAAUGUCAAACACAUCCACACAUCAUCCCACAUAUCAUUGACACAAUUGAUUUUGAGGAUCCAUGUUUUGAACUACAACCUAAUGUUCAUCAAGAACAAAGUAUGGCUUGUGAGUAGAAAAUUUUCUGAUUUUGCAAAAAGAAAUUAAAUUGAAGGAGAAUCUUUUACUUUCUCAUUAAGAAAGGCAUACGGGGCAUACCAUGGCACCAUACAACACAAGGAGUCUCCAUUCUCUGCUUUUUCAAAAUCUAAAGGGGGCAAUAUUUCCCAAUUUCCCCUUGAAAAUUCUGUUUACAACAUUAUUCAUCACUUGAUUCGAUCAAAGUAGUGACAAAGUUUGGAAAAAUAUGAGUCCUAAGUAAUUACCAAGCAAGGUCCCUGAGGGCAACAUUGUCCUAGGCAUUAUAGACAUAUAUGGUGUGGCACAUGGAGCACAUUGAAUUCCAGACUAUAACACAAACCCUGAAAGACAAGUAACAACUCAAAUGAUACAAAGACAAGAAGAAGUUAAAAUGAUAUAGAACAAAGAAUUUCAAAGACAGAGCAACAUUCCAUACACAGAAGCCACUUGAUCUACUCGUUGAUUGCAGCCUCAAACUUGCAAAUAGUUACUGUAGGCUAGCGCUCUAAGAAAUAAAAUGAUGCAAAACCUUGAUUCCCUUUUGUCUUCGAUUUACUGUCAAACUUAUUACUAGCAUCCACAAUUAAUUUUUGUUCAGCAAUCAGCUUAUUUUAUAGAAAUUGAUUUAGUCAGCAGCAAACACUAUAAUUCUUGAAAUUAAUUUUUGUUCUUUGUAAUUUUCUAUGGUUUUUCAUAAAUCAAUUAAUCUGCAGUGCCAAGAUGAGGUUUAGCUUUUCAAACUAAAUAAUCAAGUAAGCAAAAAUAUAAAUUCAGAGAUUAGAGGGGUAACCUAGCUGGGUGGUUUAGAACUGGGCUAGCUACCUCACUGUAUUCCAAUUUAUAGAGUGGAUUAAUUGAAUCAUGAGAAAACAACGUGGUCAUAGCUCAAUAGGAGAUGACUGCGGAGAGGCAUAUUGUUUUCAAUGAUCUAUUAAGAGAUGAAGUGGAUUGAUGUGGAAAGUUUAAAUAACAAAUCCUUGUUUUUGAGUUUUACGACGUCGUUACUCCUUCCAAGUGGCAGAUUAUGCAAGUGAAUGCAGAGACACAAUGCAUCAUCCACGGGGAUGAUACAGUAAUAGGCGGGAUCAUAGUCUAUGCAUUGAACAGUUACAGUUGCUGCUACCCAUUACCUUGGCAAAGAUCAAGAAGACAGAACAGGAAGCUAAUGCCAUCAAUGUCGUCUUCACUAAAGCUGCUGGGAAUGUAGGUGUAGUUUCCUCAUUUGAAGCUGUCUAUACAUGGGCCUUUCCCCUGCUUAAGUACAAAUAAAUGAACGGCCUUGAAGGCUUUACCAUUCACCCCAAAAAAGAUUACUAAUUGAAGAUGACUAUACAGAGUUAAUCUCACACUUUUGUUCUCUCAAUUUCUUUUAGAAGUCCCUCUGAAAAUAGCUGCCAAAACAGUUAGUCAGCUUUUAUACUCUGUUUUCUGGAAACAGGGUCCUAACUAACUGAGCUGACUGUGCAGAGUAUGUCAAUAUAGCAUAUUUAAUCGUUUUAACAGUAUUUUCGAAUUGUCUUCGCAGUGAUCAUCAACAAACUCAUCACAAGAUUUUUGGAGCACCCUAGGACUAUCACUGGGUUUCUCUUCUGGUUGGUUAAUUAAUUAGUCAAAGAACGGUUGGAUAUCCAAGCACAAUUACUAGAUUCUAAAAUGACUAGUUCACUAUUCUUUUACAGCCCUUUCACCAGUCAAAUUAUUCGACUUCUGGAACUGGGAAUGAAGUGCAAUGAUGAAGCAGCAUUUACAAUGUCUCCGGUUUCUCCUGAAUAUUAGAUUUUUGCAGUGAGAACAUAUAACAAAAAGGCCUCCAUCAACGUAGGUAGAAUCCGGGAUAUGGAUUGGAUCGAGUUUUUGUUUGAUAUUGAAGAACCUCUUUACUAUCCCGAUAUAGAAAAUGUUCUUUGCCUUGUGCUAUGAUCGGUGCUUUUGAUGUUGUCCUGAAACGGUGGAAAAUACUUCGAUAUCCUCCAUUUGAUGAUGCAAAGAACUGGUUAAUGUACUAUUACCUAAUUGACUCAGGAUCAAGUAACAAUGACAAUUUAUUAGUAGUAAUAUCACAAACUAAGAAGAUUUCGGAGAGGGGGAUGUAUGUGUAUACUGUUUACAGCUUUGAUCCAUUGGGGAGGAAGUAGUCUCAAGUUGAAAGUGACUUAUUAAAUAACAAAACAGAGUUGUUCAAUUUACAACAGAUAUUCUCCUCAAGUUCAACGUAAAUAUGGAUAUUAAUUAGAAUCCAGAUUAUUAUGACACACAUAACUUGCUUCAAAAUUAUUAGAAAUUACAAUUGCUGAUUCACAAUGCAUAUAACUUGUAUAUUGAGAUGGAUAAGAUGCUUAAUUUAAUUAAUUUACUUACUUUCAUACACAUCGUCUUUCCAUCUAGAGAAAACUUGGGGGUGAGAACGAUAUGAAGUUGCGAGUUGCUGCCGAUAGCUUCUGAUUAAUAAUAAAACGAGACAAAUUAUCUGUUUGUUAAUAUUCAUUCUUAGAGAGGAGAGUAAAUCACAAAUCUUUAAUAACAAGGAGUUUGCCAUUAACUUUACUUGGCCUUAAUAUUAAUAUUGCCCACCCAAGAAAUAAGAGUGAUUUAAAGUAUUACCAAGACUUCAUUGAGAGGAGCAACCAAACCAACUCCUUAUCAAUUGCGGCAGCCGUCUGUUAACUAAAAUGCCAAUUUCAUACUCGGCAAUUGUGUUUGUUAAGAAGUGACACAGCACUCAGGUGAUGAGUUUACUGUGACCACUAUUCAAGGUAAGCGAAAAUUACAGAUGUGGCAAAAUCAAUAAUUAAAUUCAUAAACUAAUUAAAUUCAUGGAGUUGCACAAUUUCAUCAACUUUGCAAGAAUUGACAUUAAUGGACUGGCGCUCUCCCCAUACAAUUAUAAUUAUAAUCUUUCUAGGAAGCAAAUUUUUAUAAAUUAUUUGUUUUUAAGUUAAUUUCAAUUUCAAAAAAUAAAUUUUUUAAGUUAUGUAUACUCUAAUGAGAGUUUCUUCAUAACAAUUCCCCUACUCCAAUAAUAACGAAAAGGUAGUUACUUAGAAAUAAUUAAAAUAAACAGGGGUUGAUUGUAUAUCCUAAUUUGCAUCGAUUUUUUUUUACCUUAAUUUCAGGAAUUUGUGAAUGGAGGAUGAUCACGCGUGUAUUAAUUUUUCAGUCGUCGAUUGUCGUAUUCUAGACUUAACGAUAGUGUUCUUGAUCAAGGGCAAUGACUCCCACCCCUCUUUUAAAAAUAUUGUCAAGUAUAUUAAUGACAAAAUCUCUUAUAGUUAAUAGUCUUUAAAAAUUUAUAGAAUUACUAUUGUCAUAACUAAAUUAUUCAUGUUUAAUGAAAUACUAAUGCAUCAAAAUAAAGGUGUUCACAAUCCAAUUCGAUCCACUCAAUUCGUUUGAUCUGCAGAAGUGCAAUCCGCAAAAAUUUAAUCUGUGAAUUAGUGGAUUGGAUUGCAUUGAAAAUUUAAAAAUCCGUAGUCGAUAAAUUGGAUAUUGAUAUACUUUUAUAAAUAUACAAAAAUUCACGAAUUCACAAAAAAAAGUAUUUAAUUAAAAAAUAAAACUUAUAAAUGUUGCAUGACUACUUACUAAUAAAUAAAUAAGUUAAAAUGUAGUUAGUUAAUUUAACACCAUAUUAUAUCUUAUUCGAUAACAAUAUAAAAUAAAAAUAAUUAAAAAAAUUAAUAAUUGGAUAAACAAAUGUGGCUUUCUAAACAGUAAAAAUUCUAGACUUAAAAAUUUAUAUUGUUAUUCUAUUUUUUUUAAAUUGACAUUUUUCUAUUGUCUUACAUGUACAGAGAUUUUGAGAGUUGAGAAGAAUAUAUUUGAUGAAGCUUGAUAGCAUUUGAUGGGAUAGUAAGUAAGGGUAAAUAUUUAUUAAUUAUUUUUAUUAAAUAAAAUAUUUUUAUUUGUUAUUUAUUUCUAUUAUAUCUAUUUUAUUCAAGUUAAAAUACUAAAUAUAAAUUGGAGGUAGACAUUUUAACAGAUCAUCUAAGCUCUCAAAUCUGAAAUUUUGUGUAGAUUUAAAUUCAUAAUUUUAGUUAAUUUUCAUAUAUUCAUAUAAACAAAUUUAUGAGAUUUUUUCUUUUCAUCAUGUUAUAUUUUAAAACUUUCAAUGUAUUAUUCUAGCUUUAUUUAAACAAUUAAUUUAUUUUAAUUUUAUUUAAUUUUUGAUUUGAUCAGCAGUAAAAAUAUUUUUAUAUCAAAUUUUUUUAUUUAUAUAGUUCGUGGAUUGGGCAAAAUAAAAAAUUUUUAAUCCACAAAUGGUGGAUUGGAUAUGAAUUGGGUCAAAUCCAUCUUCGAUCUGCAGUCGCAUGGAUUGGAUUUGGAUUGAAUUUUAUCAAUCCAUAUAUUAGAUUGGAUUGAAAAUUUAUAAUCCGCAAAAUCAUGGAUCGGAUAUGGACUAAUGUCCAAUCCGCAAAAUCCGAUCUCCGAACACUCCUCUAUAAAAAUUUUCAAGAAUAUGUUUUAUCUUACAAUUUUUUUUUUUAAAGUCAUAGUCUAAUGGCAGCCCAAUUUCUACCCCAUCCAUAUAAGCGGAGUUCAAAUCUCAUACCUCUUAUCUCCACACAAGAGAUUUAACCAAUUGAAAUAGCUAGCACCCACAAAUAUACUAGUACAACAUCUCUUAACGUUUAACAUACAUAUAAUUAACGUUAUAGCCAUUGAUAAACUCAUUGUUCAUUAUGUGAUCAAGAAUUUGAUCCUGCGAGUAAUAGCGGUAAGAAGAACCAUUAUUGUUGGGGGGACUUAGCAUAAGAUUUCUAGGUAUCUAACCUAAAAGACUAGCCUUUUAGGUGGAGUGACCUACUACCUUAUAAACCCAAGCAUCUUCCCUUUACUAGUCAAUGUGAGACACAACUCAACAAUCCCCCUCUCGGACGAAACCACCGCCAGACUCCGAUCCUUUCGUCUGACACACCAGAGUUGUUCCACCACCACAUUCGGGCUAUUAGGGUUUAGCUCUAAUACCACUUGUUAGGGGGACUUAGCAUAAGAUUUCCAGGUAUCCAACCCAAAAGACUAGCCUUUUAGGUGGAGUGACCUACCACCUUAUAAACCCAAGUAUCUCCCUUUUACUAGCUAACGUGGGACAAAACUCAACAAUUAUAAUGCCUAGCUCUUAUCGUAGUUAAUUCUCUGGCCCGAUGCUUCAUCAUAGUGAUUUAAAAAAUCAACAACAGCUAUCUAAAAGAAAUGAAGAUAUCAUCUACGUAAAGAACAUGAGACAGAGAUCACAACCCAUAAGAACUGAGAUAAAUUGGACCAGACCAGUAAUCUUGAGAUAAGUUAAACCGUGACUUAAGUUGAAAUCAGAUGAUAAAUGGCUUUUGGCCACUUAUUUCUAAUUUCCACAAUUAAUUUCUGUUCAGCAAUCAGCUUAUUUUAUAGAAAUUGAUUUAGUCAGCAACAAACACUAUAAUCCUUGAAAUUAGUUCUUGUUCUUUGUAAUUUUCUUUGAUUUUUCAUACAUCAAUUAAUCUGCGGUGCCAAGAUGAGGUUUAGUUUCAAGCAAAAAUACAAAUUCAGAGAUUAGAGGAGUAAACUAGCUAGGUGGUUUAGAACUGGGUUAGCUACCUCACUAUAUCCCAAUUCAUAGCUCAAUAGCUCAUACAUCAAUUAAUUGAAUCAUGAGAAAAUGUGGUCAUAGCUCAAUAUGAGAUGAUUUCGGAGAGGCAUAUUGUUUUCAAGUUAAUUUGAUCCAUUAAGAGAUGAAGUGGAUUGAAGUGGAAAGUCUAACUAACAAAUCCUUGUUCUUGAUUUUUACGUCGUCUUUACUCCUUCAAGUGGCAGAUUGUGCAAGUGAAUUAAGAAACACAAUGCAUCAUUCACAGGGAUGCCACAUCAAAAGACGGGAUCAUAGUCUAUGCAUUGAAUAGUUAAAGUUAUCUCAAAGAGGACAGAACAGGAAGCUAAUGCGAUCAAUGUCCUUUUCACUAUAUCUGCUGGGAUUGUUGGUGUAGUGUCCUCAUUUGAAGCUGUCUAUACAUAGGCUUUUCCCCUACUUAUGUACAAAUAAAUGAAUGGCCUUGAAGGCUUUACUACUGACCCCAAAAAAGAUUACCAAUUGAAGAAGACUAUAUAGGGUUAAUCUCACACUUUCGUUCUCUCAAUUUCUUUCAGAAGUCCCUCUGAAAAUAGCUGCCAAAACAGUUACUCAACUUUUAUACUCUGUUCUCGGGAAACAGAGUCUUAACUAACUUAACUGACUGUGCAGAGCAUGUCAAUAUUCUUAGUAUAUCUAACCGUUUUAACAGUAAUUUUUUACCGUCUUCGCAGUGAUCAUCAACAAGCUCAUCAUAAGAUUUUUGGAGCACCCAGGACUAUCACUUGGUUUCUCUUCUGGUUGAUUAAUUAAUUAAUCAAAGAACGGUUGGAUACCCAGGGACAAUUACUAGAUUCUAAAAUGACUUAGUUCACUAUUCUUUUACAUUCCUUUCACCAAUAAAAUUAUUCGACUUCUGGAACUGGAAAUGAAGUGCAAUGAUGGAGCAACAUUUACAAUGUCUCCGGUUUCUCCUGACUAUCGGAUUUUUGCAGUGAGAACAUAUAACAAAAAGGCCUCCAUCAACUUGAAGAACCUCUUUACUAUCGCGAUAUCGAAUCUGCGCAAGGAGUUGUCCAUUGUUCUUUGCCUUGUGCUUUGAUCGGUACUUUUGAUGUUGCCCUGAAACAGUGGAAAAUACUUCGAUAUCCUCCGUUUCAUGAUGCAAAGAACUGGAUAAUGUACGAUUACCUAAUUGACUCAGGAUCAAGUAACAACAACAAUUUAUUAAUAGUAAUAUCACAAACUACGAAGAUUUCGGAGACGGAGAUGUGUGCGUAUACUGUUUACAGGUUUGAUCCAUUGGGGAUGAAGUGUUCUCAAAUCGAAAGUGAUUUAUGAAAUAACAAAUCAUUGGUCUUGGGUUACACCUCAUUAUGUCUUCAAGUGGAAGAUGAAGAUUAUGCAAGAUGAAGAUCGAGUUUUGGUUUGAGAUUGAAGAAUUUGAACAGAAAGCCCAUAGAAAGUACCUAAAUAAGCAUAUUCUUGGGGUAGAAUAUGGAGAAAGGAGUUGUCUACUGUGUGUUGCGUAAUUAUGCUAUGAUCGGUGCUUUCAACAUUGCCCUGAAAACAGUGGGAAAUACUUCAUAUCCUCGACAUGAUGAUAAAAAAUUGGUUACCGAUUACGUAACUAACUCAGGUGACAACAAUCCAUUAAUAGCACAAUUUGAGGUGAUGUCGUUUAGGUAUAUGGUUAACAGGUUUGGUUCAUCAAUGAUGAAGUGGGCUCAAAUUAAAAGAUCAUAUAAUAAGUCGUUCUUCUUGGGCAUAUCGUCAUUACUACUUCAAGUGAUCAAAGAUGAAGAUGAAGAUGAAAAUUGUGCAAGUGAGUUCAAGAAUACCAUACAUCGUUACUUGGGAUACUUCUUCAAAUAUGGAUGGGGUUAUAAUUUACUCCCACGAAUUUCAACCCAAUUUUAUGAUUGGAGUGUCCCACCAUGACUCAGAAAAAUUCUGUUUCAACCUCGUCGACCAAUGGAUUUUGAUUAGUCACUUUGUGAUCAAGCAACUUAAUUAAACUCAGAGUUUAAUUUUGUUGGUACUGCAUUUUUUUUAAAAUGUGGCCAUGUAAGGAGAGCGGCACAUAGUGUCACUUCUUCAUCAAGCACUUUAAAGAGGGAUUUUAGAAGAAGAUACAACUGCAAUUGUUUUCGUAUGUAUAUACAUAAACAACAGAACAUUCAGUUCAUAAAAGAAACUAGUGUUUUUUAGGCAAUUUAGAAAUAGAGUUGUUCAACUUACAACAGAUAUUCUCCUCAAGUUCGACGUAAAUACAGAUAUUAAUUAGAAUCUAGAUUAUUAUGGCACACAUAACUUACUUCAAAAUUAUAAGAAAUUACAAUUGCUGAUUCGCAAUACAUAUAACUUGGAAGAUUUGAUGUUAAAUUUUGUCAUUAAAAUUGUAGUAGUAUUUCUAAACACCUCGCAUUUGUAUCCACAUUUUGCAGGAAUUUUGAGAAAUACACGUGUCCGAAAAAUCACACGCAUAACUUGGAGAACAAUUGCGACAGCAGCCGAGUAUAUAUUAACUAACUAAAAUGGCCAACCAGAUUUGCUUAAGAAAUAAAAUUUUGUCUUGUAGUAGUAUUUCCAAGCACCUCGCAUUUGCAUCCACAUUUUGCUGGAAUUUUAAGAAAUACACGUGUCCGAAAGUCUAAUCAUCGUUUUUACUAUUCGAGUAUUGGUAUGAUAAUGACGAAUUUGAAAAGCCACACUGUAAAAACAGUUUGUGAUCUGUGCAUGACGAACCACCAACAGUGUAGUAAGAGCACAGGAAAAAAUCUAACAAAAUUAAUUGCGUCCAUAGAUAUUCAGACGCAAACAAUAAUUUUAAAUAAUAGCAAUUAGUAUUAAUAUUGCCCACCCAAGAAAUAAGAGUGAUUUAAAGUAUUAGCAGGACUUCAAUGAGAGGAGCGAUCAAACCACCUCCUUAUCAAUUGCCGUAGCCGUCUAUUAACUAAAAUGACAAUUUCAUACAAGAAGAAACAACAAGUACAUACUCGGCAAUUGUGUUCGUCAAGAAGUGACAUAGCAUUAAGGUGAUGACUUUACUUUUGUUAUCUUGCUAACAAUGGUAGUCUAAUUUUAGUUUUAAUGUGAUCACUAUUCAAGGUAAGCGGAAGUUACAGAUGUGGCAAAAUCAAUAAUUAAAUUCAUAAAAUAUUAAUUGUUUUCAACAAAUUUUGAGGUAGGAAAAGCCAAAACAAAUCUAGAACAAUAAAUUUGUAUUUUUUGGGGAGACGGGGUACCUCACUAGUUUGUUGUGUGCGGUGUGGUGUAUCUGAAAUCUGGGGGAGGUGAGAAGGGGAGAGGGAGUGGCAAAAAUGGUGAAAGGUCAAAACCAAGAGAGAUAUCCUUCAAAAUGAGCUUCACGCCUGCAAAACAGUGAAAUAGAGGUUAGAGGUGAAGCCGGGGUACCCCGGUGUUCACACUCCGACGCUCAAAUUAGCAAACUCAAGCUUUUAUGGUAAAGAGAGCUAGCUAGCCCUCUAUAAAUUAUGGUUUAAGAUUGAAGAAAACCUAUUUUUUAGAGUGUGAGUGUUAAUGGUGAGUGAGAGCAUGAUGGAGAAUGAAACCUAAGCACCUUUAUAUAUGGAGUACCUCAGCUGACACGUGGCGUACCCUUUUUGGCUAACGUCCUUUUACCUUUUUAUGAUUUUUGGGCCGUUAUGUGCAUGUUCGCGGCGUAUCUCAUCCUUUGGGAACAUGGUGCGCGCUAGAGAGUGGUCCAGGGUACCUCUGCAGUAGCUGUCGGGUAGGCGGCUGAGGACCACUGUCCUUGGGAUAGUGUCCUUCACUUUUGGCAGAGGUAGCAGGCGGCUGUCCCCCCUUUUUGGUACGACGUUCUUGAUUCUUAAUUCUGACAAAAUUGAAUAAUAUCUUUUAAGAUAUGAAGACGUUUCUUACGGCGGAUAUUUUCAGAGGGUUCUCUUGCAUCUGAUUUGCCGGGUACCUCGAGUUACGUGGGGUACCUCAAUUUAUGUGGAGUACCCCUAAUUGUGCGGGGUACCUCUAUUUGUGUGGGGUACCUCUAAUUGUGCGGGGUACCUCAAAUCACGCCGGAUACCUCGGAUUGUGCAGGGUAUCUCGUAUCAUGUCGGGUACCUCUAUUUGUCCGGGGUACCUUAAAUCAUGCCGGGUACCUCGAAUUGUAUGGGGUACCUCAGAUUGUGCUGGGUACCUCUAAUCAACUCGAGUACCUCUAAUCAGACCGGGUACCUCUAAUCAGGCCGAGUACCUCUAAUCAUGCUGGGUACCUCGAGUUAUUCCGAUUACCUUGAAUUAUGUUGGAGUUAUUCUGGGUACCUUGAAUUAUGCUGGAGUUAUUCCGGGUACCUCGAAUUAUACAGGGUACCCCAGUCUAUGCGGGGUACCUCGAGUUAAUCUGGAGUUAUGCGGGGUACCUCUGACCGUGCCGGGUACCUCAAAUCAUGCCGGGUACCUCAAAUCACGCCGGGUACCUCUAAUCUUACGGGGUACCUAUAAUCUUGCGGGGUACCUCAGAUUGCACUGAAGUUAUUCUAUUCGUCGACACAUGGCGUUCUGCUAUCUUUCUUAUUUUUCCCUCAAACAAUAUCCCCCUAGUUUCUUUUGGCGAGAAGUAUUGGAGGCAAAAGAAACUUACAUAAAAAGUAGGAGCGACACGUGGCGAUAUGAAGUUUAGCUCGAUGGGUAGCUGAAUAGAGGAUGCCUCUAGGGGUACCCUCAUGAAGGGAAGAUCUCUGGAGUGAACAAGACUUUGAGGGGACACUUUGAUGAAGUUUCAGAGGAGAAUGCCCAUAAGGUGGAAGACCCUGAGGAGCUUUAAGUUAAGCUUGAGGACUUGAUACCUCGACAUAAGAACAUAGUUGACAAUGCUUUUGAGUGCAUCAUGACCGAAGAAUGAAGUGCUGAUAUGGGGCUGGUGGUGCCAAGAGUAGAGAACUAGGUAGAUAAGCCGGCUAUCUUGAAGGCAAUUGAGAAUAGUAGGGCUCCCCACACAUCUUGGUUUGAAAGCCCAUGGAGAUCAACUAGGGUACCUCAGAUGAAGUCGCCAUAAGGUACCCCUGAUACCGACGCUUGUGUUUUUGCUAUUUCUAACACUUUUGUUGAUCCCCUUAUCCUAAAUAAUGAAGGUGAAGAUAACCAUCCUAUUAUGUAACCUUGUUCGGCAUUACCGACAAGGCGUAUGGGGUACCUCGGGUACCCAUAAGCUUGGAUAUCCCCUGAGCUAUCUGUUACUUCAUGGCGGGAUAACCCAAUUUUAUCAAACAUAUGGCGAUUCCUUCAAAUAUGCUUGCUGUUUAUCUCAGGCUUUCUUAGAGUUCCUCUUGGUGUACACGAGGAAUGGUUUUCUGUCAUAGGGUACCCUGAGUACUAUGGGUACCCUUAAUCUUGUCUCAUCAGUGUAUCGCGGUUUACUUAGACAUGCUUGUUGCGGUUAAUUCAUGGCGGAACAACCCAAUUUCAUCAAACAUAUGGUGAUUCCUCCGGAUAUGCUUGUUGCUUAUCUCAAACUUUCUUAGGGUUCCUCUUGGUGUAUUUGAGGACUGACUUUCUGGCGUGAGGUACCUCAGAGGUACCCUUAAUUAGUGUAUGGCAAUUUUCAUAGAAAUGCUUGCCGCAAAUCUUCACAAAACUUGUGGCGAUUCCUUUUGAGAGAUGAUGGAAAACCUCAUGAUCCACCAUUCUCUCUACAUCAAAUAUGCAAGACAAAUAGUCAUAAAGGUGGGCUGCUCGCCUACCCUUAUGUAAGAUGGUAAAAAAUAUCAUGAUCCGCCAUUCGCGUGGAAUCAAAUAUACAACAUAGAUUGAGAUAAAGGUGGCUGCUCGCCUACCCUUUUGCGAUAUGGUCAAAAACCUCAUGAUCUACCAUUCGCUGGAAUCAAAUAGACAAUAUAGAUUGAGAUGAAGGUAGUUGCUCGCCUACCCUUAUGUGAGAUGGUCGAAAACCUCAUGAUCCACCAUUUGCAUGGAAUCAAAUAGACAAUAUAGAUUCAGAUAAAGGUGGCAGCUCGCCUACCCUUAUGCGAGAUGGUCGAAACCUCAUGAUCCACCAUUCACAUGGAAUAAAAUAGACAACAUAAAUAAAAAUGAAGGUGACUGCUCGCCUACCUUUAUGCGAAAUGAUUGAAACCUCAUGAUCGACCAUUCGCUCAGAAUCAAAUAUGGCGAAUAAAUAAUGAUAAAGGCGGCUCUGAUGUUAAGUAGAUUAGCAUGAUUGGGGAUAAGUCAGGUACCUCUGGUACCCUGGAGUAAGGUGAUCUCUGGAUACCCUUUUGCAUCAUAAUAAACAAUACUUUUACUAGUAGUGUGACUUUUCUUUGUUGGAUCGGUGGCCCAAAUCGAGACUGAAACCGAGUCUUCAACUGGGGUACCCUAUUUUUCAUCUUUGGGUAUUCGAGGAUCCAAAUGUGCCUCCAAUUCACAUUUUGGCUUAAUCUGGUCCCCCUGGGGUACCCCCGCAUAACUCUAGAGUAACUAGUUAUGGGGUACCCUACCACCGAGGCCUCGGUGGUGGCUCUUGCUGCUCUGGUGGUGGCGAUCUUGGAGGUUGGGGUACCCGUGAGAUACCCUAAGUGUUAAACACUCGUCCCCACAGGAUAACCCUUGGAGGGCUCCGCAUUCAGGGUACCCUUGGUAUUGGGCCUUCCAUCAUCUUCGGCUUCUCCUUAUUCUUUGUGACCUCGACCUUAUCUUCUUGGCAAUUCAAAUGAAAUUUCUCAUCCAUCUCCACUUGCUGCAACGCCCAAGAACGGGCUUCCCUAUAUGAAAGUGGGUGCUUAUUUUGAAAGGAACGUCAUAACUUGCCCAACCGUAAAUUUUUCUCGAAAUGGGUCAGUGUUUGUUGGUUUCCAAAUGCUCCGGUUCGCAACACCUCUUGGUGGAAACGGCUCAUAUACUCCGCCAAAGGUUUGGCUUCCCCUUGCUUGAUAAAAGCGAGUUUGGAGGCUACCCUAUCUUGAGUGGAAACAUAGGAAAACUCUUUAGUAAAUUCGGAUAAUAAUUGGUGUAGAGAAUAUAGGUUACCCACCUUCAAGGACUGAAACCAUGACUUCGCGAGGCCCAUGAGUGUGUGUGUAAACAUCCUACACAUGGCAUUCUCAUAUACACCCAUGAUGGAGAAUGAAACCUAGGCACCUUUAUAUAUGGAGUACCUCAGCUGCCACGUGGCAUAUCUUUUUUGGCUAACGUCCUUUUAUCUUUUUAUGAUUUUUGGGCCGUUAUGUGCAUGUUCGCUGCGUAUCUCAUCCUUUGGAAACGUGGCGCGCGCUGGAGAGUGGUCCAGGGUACCUUUGCAGUAGCUGUCGGGUAGGCGGCUGAGGACCACUGUCCUUGGGACAAUGUCUUUCACUUUUGGCAGAGGUAGCAAGCGGUUGUCCCCCCAUUUUGAUACAACAUUCUUGAUUCUUAAUUUUGACAAAAUCGAUUAAUAUCUUUUAAGAGAUGGAGACGUUUCUCAUGGCGGAUAUUUUCAGAGGAUUCUCUUACAUCUGAUCUGCCGGGUACCUCGGGUUACGUGGGGUGCCUCAAUUUAUGUGGGGUACCCCUAAUAGUGCGGGGUACCUCUAUUUGUACGGGGUACCUCUAUUUGUGCGGGGUACCUCAAAUCACGCCAGGUACCUUGGAUUGUGCAAGGUAUCUCGUAUCAUGUCGGGUAUCUCAAUUUGUCCGGGAUACCUUAAAUCAUGCCGGGUACCUCGGAUCGUGCGGGGUACCUCAGAUUGUGCUGGAGUCAUUUCAUUUGUCGACACGUGGCGCUUUACUGCCUUUCCUAUUUUUCCCUCAAACAACAUCUCCCUAAUUUCUUUUUGGCGAGAAGUAUUGGAGGCAAAAAAAACUCAUUGUAUGAGUGACACGUGGUGAUGCGUCUGGACCGGGGAUACCUUGCGUAGUUUCUUCCCUUGACAAAACUUUGUGUACUGUCGAGCUAAAAAAAUCUUCUCUUUGUCUUUUCCCUUUCCCGCCACUUUUCUUUCUUUUUUUUUUACUCAACUGCUGAUGAGAACGAACAGUUGUCUUUAUGUCUCUCUCCUGUUUUCUUGGGAAAUGGCAGCCUUCUAACACACAGUUUGAAUUUUAAAAAUAUCAAUCUCACACAAACAUCUCUUACCUCCUUUCUUGUGCAGUGUGUUCUGUCAUGUUGAAUUAAAAACCCCUGACGUGAAUGUCAAUCUCCUCUCAUUUAUUUUGAAAAUCCCCAAACGAUCUCCCAAAAGUUGAUUAUCUCCAGUGGCCUUCUUCUUUCAACAUUUCGUCUUUUCUCCUAACUGCAUCAAUAUUGCUCACAGGAAAAAAUUUCUUCUUUACUUUUUUUUUUUGCGUUCGUUCGUCUUCCCUUGGGCUUUAUUUUCUCUUUACUUUCCUUUUUUUCUUUUAUUUCCUUCUUCUUCCUUUUUCCUUCUUUCCUUCUCUUUCUCUCUCGGUCGGUGUUCAUCUGGUGCGUUUUCCGGCGUUGAUCUCGGCUGCUGCAGUGGCGGUUUUGGCUUCAGAUCUGGUCGGUUCAAGGCAGUUUUUCGACGGCUCAUGACGAGAUCCGACCUGGCGGUAGAUACGGUAACCUCCCUCCCUCGUGUCUUCAUUUUAUCCUUACUUUCUCUCUCUUCUUUCUCAUUUUCUUCUCUCUUUCUCUUCUCUUUUUCGUUUCGGCCGGCGUUCUCCUUGGCGAUUUCUGGCGUCAGUUCGGUGGCUGCAGUCGCGGCAGCUGGCGUCGGUUCAAUGGCUGCAGUCCCCCCCUCCGUGUUGUCUUCUCCGUUCUUCCUUUUCUCUUUUUUCCUUUUUUUUAAUUUUCGGCAGCGUUCUCCCUUGGUGGUUUCCGGCGUCCUUCUCGCGAUCUCCGGCGUCGGUUCUCGGUGGUUGCAGCCACGACAGUCGACGCCGGUUGCUGCAGCUUCCCCCCCCCACCGCGUUGGUUUGGUUCGGUAGCUGCAGCUUCUUCAUUUUUUUAUAAAUAAAAUGAAUUGACUAAUUUCAUUUGUGCUUGAAUAAAUAAAAUAAAUUUGCAGCUUCUUCGUUCUUCACACCAUUGGUUUUUAUACUUGCAUAUUCUUACUUACUGGUUUUGGUUGCCUGCAGCUUUGUCUUCCCACGAUUACCAAUCCUGAUCCGUCAAGUUGGUAAAUCAUAGGUAUCCUUCCUCGUUUCUCCUCCUUUGGCGCAUUUACAAUGGCGUUAUUUUGCAUACUCUGAGAAAAUUUUGUUUGUUUGUUUGUUUUUUUUUUUUUUUGUGGUUGGUGUUUGCAUUUGAUGGUUGAUGUGUGGUGGGUGGUGUAUGGCAUGAAAAUAUUGUUGGGGGAAUUGUGGCUUGGUGGUUACAUUGUUGGGAGAAUUGUGGCUUGGUGGUUACGUUGUUAGGGGAAUUGUGGCUUGGUGGUUAUGUUGUUAGGGGAAGUAAAUAGGCAAGAAACAUACGGGACCUGUGAGGAAGCGACGUGCAAUUGGGGCUAGUAGGUUUGACAGCCCUCCUGCGCGUUCUCCUUCCCACAUCUCCAUUACCGAGAGGGAUAGGUCCCCCCUAGUACCUCUAGGAGUUGUAACUCUCAUUUUGAGCUCCCUCCUCUUAGGAGUACUCCUCGUGUCAGCCCACGCCACUAAACGGCCAACCCCCCAUCCUCGAAAGAAGGGUAGGUCAUCAAAACCUAAGGUUCCAGCUCGUUCCUCAGACCGGCCUCCCAAAUCUCCCCCUGCCACACCUUCAAAAUCUGGCAACCUUUAUUCCCUAGGCACUAGGAGGGCUACUUUGGGGGACUUAGAACAAAUUAGAGCCAAAUACAAUAUUCCUCCGUCUGUCCAGCUUAGGGUACCCCAUGUGGAUGAGCGACCUGAGUGUCCGAAGUCUGAUGGGAUUGCUCUCCACAUUGACCUCUUUCAUCUAGGACUUCGCCUGCCCCUCCAAUCUUUCUAGAUGAAGAUGUUUAGUUUUUUGGGGGUAGCUCAUGGGCAGCUGUCCCUUCCAGGGUGGAGGACACUUACGGGCUUACAUGUGUUAUAAUUGGAGGUAUUGAGGCGCAACAUUUCUAUUCAGGAAUUGAGGGGCCUCUACCAAUUCAAAAAGCCCAAGGGUUCCGCUAUUGCUUACUUCUCCGCUUGGGGUGAUCAUAGUCAUAUUGUUGAGGGGGACCCUACCUUGAAGAAGGGUUACCGAAAGGGGUGGUUCGUUGCUGAGGGUAGGUGGGGGACAGAGACUCUAGGUGAAAAGGGCAACCCCGUGGAGGUUCCAAAUUCCUUCAAUGUAGACUGUAAGUAUCUUCCUUGUUUACGGUUCUUUAUUGUAAUAUUUCGCAUGAAUGUCUCGUUAACCUUGGGUUCCAUGCUUUUGUAGGUGUGACGUGGGCUAAAGGAUCAUGCCUACUUCAGGAGGUGAAAGAGUUUGUGGAGAGGCUCCGAGGUGCACAGAGGGGUAGUGAUGUGUUAGAGGAGAGCAAAUUACAGAGAGCGGGGUUGAUUGACCGAAGUCCUCCAUCUGCUUCUGGGGAUGACUCAUGUAUGAUUCUGAAGUCGGGGGGUACCCUAUUAUUAUCUACGGGACUGGGGUACCCCGUUAUCACCGCAUUCUUUAUUUUGCUUCCCCGCUUUUAAUUUCCUAUUUUUGCUUUUAUAGUACUUAGUACUUGUCCGGCUAACAUAACGUUUGUGCAUUGGGUGCAGUUAUGGAGUCGGCGGGUGACGCCUUUGAUACCUUUUUCUAAGUAGUUGUGUGAGGUGCUUCUAGAUCUCAGGAUUCGGCGGUACCCCAGAAAAGUUCCCGGCCACCUCGAGCUCCCGGACUAAAGGGAAAAUUCCAGGGUACCUCCCACAGUGGGUCGAAGGGUACCCCUCGUUCAAAAAAGAGAAAAUUCGGGAUGGUUUCUGCUUUCCCCGAUGAAUUGCGUGAAGGCGACCUAGACCCGGCCUCCAACAAGGAGGUUUCACACUUGGCUCGGUGUUUCUACUAUUCUGCUGAAAAUGUUACCUCCGAGGUGGCUGAAGAGACAGACAAGAUGAGCUUGAGCCAACACUAUGUCAGGCACUCAGGGCUACCCAAGAGGUAAGCUUUAAUAGGGUACCCCGGGUGUAUCCUCCAUUUUUUAUUUAUUUACUCCUAUUGCCAUACACAUAUAUUUAAAAUGUCUUUUACGACCUGCAGGCAUCCUAUUUUCUCAGCCACUGUCUUUCAGAUCUCGACUCCCUUGUUGCCGCCCAAUCGGAGGUUGACAAGUUAAGGGGUGAGCUUCGAAGUCGUCAGUCUUACGAGAACGAGCUUGCUCGAGAAGUCAAGACUUUGCGGGAACGCAUUACUGGCCUUUCUGGAGAGAAAUCUCGAGUGGAGAAAGAUUGCGACGAGUUGAGGGCCACAAACUAGGAUCUGUUAUCCCGACAAAAGACGAUGGCAGAGGAUGCAUUCUCACUCAUCAUGACGGAGGUGUGGAGUGUGGAUCCGAAAUUAGAGGUACUCCAUGUGCAGAAAUUCGUCAACAAGGCCACGAUUCUGAAGACGAUUGAGGAGAGGAAUAAGUCUUCCCAUGCACGGUCAGGUACCCCUUCCGAGUCGCCUAGGGUACCCCGCGCGCUUCAGCCGUUGCUCGCCUCAGAUGCCCCUACUUCGGCUGCUCAUAUUCCAGGUACCUCAGAGUCCUCUGCUGAUCGCCCUCUGGAGACGGACGGUAGGGAUGGCGUUCCACCCUCGGUGUAACCUUUUCACUGUGCUCUUAUUUUUUAGAUCUAUCCACAUUUUGCUAUUUCGAACUUGUUUCUUUCUUUUUGGUUUCUUGGGAUAUUCUGUAUUAUUGGGACUUCUCUUUUGUUAUGAUAUCAUGCCACCGAGCCCUUUUGUACUUUGCAUUCUUGUUAUUCUGCAAAUGAAUGUUUGGCUAAACUGUUAUCUUGUAAAUUUUCAGGGUACCUCUCAUUUUUCUUUUUUCUUUUUGAAAUGGGGUACCCCCGGUACCUUAACAAAUAUUCGACAUCAGGCGCCUGCUGGUUUAUACAGAUUAGCGAAUUUGGUGCAUGCCCUUCUCGGCAACCAUGGCGGAUUUCCCAUAAAUAGGUAAUCAAAACAUCAUCGCGACAUCUCGAUCAAAAAUUGAAAGUGCGCAAUUGGUCCAACCAAUCAAUUUCUUAUUCUUUCGAAGUUCUCUCCGAAUUUUUGAAUAGCUUACCCCCUACUUUGCUCAAGUAAGAGGACGGAGGUGUGGGUGUUCUCAUACCUAAGCUGAACCUCGUGCCGCUGGGGUAUGCCGAUUUUACUCCAUCCUCGGCUCCUCUUUGACCCUCCCUCUCUUUGUCUAGGUAGUUUUGUCAUGCUUCCGCAGAAAGACUACCCCUGGGCUGUUCACUCCGUUGCCCAUCUUGGCUUUACAUAGAUCGUCAUGAUCUAGGCAUAUCAGGUACCCUGGCUGGUCCUGUGAUAGGUUAGUUAUAAUUGACAAGCGUAUGGCGAGAAUUGCAUAUAACCAAAUGCGAGGGUAUAUUAAUGGCGAUAAAUGAAUAUAAUCCGCAUUCUAAGAUCGAAGUGGCGAAAAAUAAAAAAGAACCCACAUCAUAUUUGUUGAGAAAGAAAAUGCAUUUAUAGAUAACGAAAGCGUUGAUCAAUACAUGACUUAGCGUUGUUACCCUGAGGAGAAUGAGAGACCGCAAGACCUCCUAUCCUUUUCAUUUGAAAAUUAAAGAAACUUUAAAGUUGCAACUGACCAACAUAAGGCAUUCGGGGUACCACAUUUGGCCUACCACGCAAAAACAUUAAAUAAAGCAAACAACAGCAAAAGCCUAAAGGUUAAGACACUAUCCUUUAGUAAUAUUUCCGUAGCAUUGCAGCAUUUCAGGGGUGCCUCACGAUUGUCUUAUUCAUAUGGAGUAGCUAUGCCAAGGUUGGUGACGACUGCAAUGGUGUGAGCUUGAAAAUAUGGUCUGAGCUUCCGUGCGGAGACAACCAAUGCCAAAACGACCUUUUCACAGGUGGGGUACCUCUUUUCGGCAUCAACCAUAGCCUUAUUAGUGUAGUAAAUAGGUCGUUGUACCUCAUUAUCAUCCUCUCGGAGUAACACGGAGCUGGUGGCAUACUCGAAUACGGUGAGAUACAACAGAAGCACCUCUCCCGGCUCAGAUUUGGCAAGUAGUAGAGCAUUCACGAGGUACCCCUUCAGUUCUUGAAAAGCCUCUUCGUAAUCGGGUGUCCAUUGGAGCUUCUUGCCGGUCUUCAAAGCUUUGAAAAAUGGCUUACACCGGUCUGUAGCCUUGGAGAUAAAGCGGCUCAGGGUAGCUACCCGGCCUGCCAAGCUUUGAACCUCCUUGAUGGUGCGUGGCGAUUUCAUGUCAAGAACCGCGUGAAUUUUAUCGGGGUUGGCCCAAUCCCCCGUUAUUGUACCAUGAACCCAAGAAAUUUCCCCAAGGUAACCCCAAAUGCACAUUUUUCAGGGUUGAGCCGCAUCUGGUGUCUUCUUAAAACUGUAAAAGUAUCUCUGAGAUGCCCCAGGUGUUCCCCCAUAUGUACCGAUUUAGUGAUCAUGUCAUCUAUGUACACCUCCAUGGUGUGCCCGAUUUGUUUCUUGAAAAUUUUGUUCACUAGCCGCUGAUAGGUAGCCCCGGCAUUCUUCAAACCAAACGGUAUAACCUUAUAACAGUAUAACCCGCGGUUGGUGAUAAAGGCCGUUUUCUCUUAAUCGGGUUCAUACAUUGGGAUUUGGUUGUAACCGGAGAAGGCGUCCAUAAAACUAAGCAUCUCAUGCCCCGCUGUUGCAUCAACUAGCUGGUCUACCCGGGAAGCGAGAAGCUAUCCUUGGGGCAGGACUUGUUCAAAUCGGUGAAGUCCACACACAUACGCCACCUUCUGUUUGAUUUCCUGACUAGAACAACGUUGGAUACUCAAUCGGGGUACACUGCUUUCUGGAUAAAUCUUGCUGCUAAUAGGCAGUCUACCUCUUGUUCAAUUGCAUCGUACCUCUUUUGGUUGAAGGUGCGACGCUUCUGUUUCACCGGUUUAUUAUGUGGGCUGACAUUGAGUUUGUGACAAGAGAGGAAAGGUGGGAUACCCGGCAUAUCUAAGCGGGACCAGGCGAAUACAUCGUGGUGCUCGCGUAGAAAGGUGAUGAGCCCCUCUCUUUGUUCCUCCGAAAGAUUGGAGCCUACUUUCACGAUCUUUGUUGGGUCGGUGGUACAAAUCGAGACUGAAAUAAGGUCUUCAACUGGGGUACCCCGUUUUUCAUCUUUCAAUAUUCGGGGAUCCAAAAGUGCCUCAACUUCACAUAUGGGCUCCACCUGGUCCCCGUGGGAUACUUUUGACCUAUCCCCCGCAACUGCUUCUACGCCCAUUGGUGAGGAUUCCAACUGUUUUCGUGGGUGGGCUACCUGAGGAGAUUUUUUGAAUACCACUCUCCGCUGUCUAGCAAGUACUCGCUUUGAGGGAUAAGGUGUGGGCUGGCUGCCACUGGGGUACCCCUUCAUUGGCGGAUCAGAAGCGAUUUGAUAAGUGACUUUGGAGGCCAUGAAGUAACAUCCACGAGCCGAUUGCUGGUCCCUUUUAAUGGUGAUAACUUCUUGGGCGGACGGGACUUUCAUGGCGAGGUAGUGCAUGGAUACCACCGCUUUAGUUGCUAUUAAGAACGGCAUACCCAAUAUGAUAUUGUAGGCACCCGGGUGAUCUACAAUAAGAAAAUCAAUCAUAUGAACAACACGGUAAGGUACUUUACCAAGUGUAACGGGCAGUGUAAUGAUGCCUUUUGGUAUAACCAUAUCUCUGGCGAACUCAAUAAGAGGCGUAGCAUAAGGGAUGAUCUUUGGCGACUCUAUCAGUAGUUGAUCCAAGGCGCUUUUGAAAAUGAUGUCAACGGAGCUGCCGGUAUCUACAAGAGUUCUUGCUACCUUACCGAUGGCAACCUUCAACGUAAUUUACUAAGGCAUCGUCAUGGGGGUACGAGAUACCCUCCGCAGUUUUUUCUGUAAAAAGGAUAGGCGGGGGAUGGUGGGGUACUUUCGGUGUACCCCAUUCAUUAAGGUUGACUUCUCUGUCAAUAUUAGUGGUUAUCGACAACGAUCUACCAUAGCCUUUGAUAGCCCUCCUAGAUUGGCCCGCUAAAGUAGGUCCACCCAUAAUCAUCCGGACAUACACGCCUUUCUUAUGUCCCGGGAGUACCUCUCGUUCAGGACUGCCAUCAGCUACCCGCUUGCCCUUAUCCUGCUCCGUGGAUUUCCGAGCUUCUCUCAUGCCAGCAACAAAUUCUUUGAGGUACCCGCUAAGAAUCAAAGAUUCAAUUUCCUCUCGCAAGGUAAAAUACUCGGCUGUGCUAUGACCGAAGUCCUCAUGGAACUCACAAUACUUCAAGUUAUGCUUCAUGUUGGGGUACUUCUUCAUUGGCUAAGGAGGACGAAGGAGGCCGCUAUCCCGAAUAUGGUAGAAGAUCUGCUCUGGGGAUCGAUUCAGUGGAUGGUAAGAUUCGUACCAAGGCCUCGGUGGUGGCGAUCUUGGAGGUUGGGGUACCCUGAGCGUUAUACCCUCGUCCCCGCGGGGUAGCCUGUGGAGGGCUCCAUGCUCAGGGUACCCGCGGUAUUGUGGCCUCCAUCCUCUUGGGAUUCUCUUUGUUCUUUGUAACAUCAGCCUUAUCUUCUUGGCGCUUCAAUUGGCAUUUAUCGUCCAUCUCCACCUGCUGCAACGCCCGGGAACAGGCUUCCCCAUAUGAAAGUGGGCGCUUCUUUUGAAAAGAACGCCAUAACUUGCCUAACCGUAAAUUUUUCUCAAAAUGGGUUAAUGUGUAUUGGUUUCCAAAUGCUCCGGUUCGCAGCACCUCUUGGUGAAAACGACUCAUAUACUCCGCCAAAGGUUCGGCUUCCCCUUGCUUGAUAAAGGCAAGUUUGGAGCCUACCCUAUCUUGAGUGGAAGCGUAGGAAAACUCUUUAGUAAAUUCGGAUAACAAUUGGUGUAAGGAAGAUAUACUACCUGCUUUCAGAGAGCGAAACCAUGACUUCGCAGGGCCCGUAAGUGUGUGUGUGUAAACAUCCUACACAUGGCACUCUCAUCUACACCAUUGAUAAGCAUUUAGUCGCGGUAUAGCUCAGCAUGCUCCGAGGGAUCAGUGACACCCGAGUAUUGGGGUAUUUGAGGCAUGGCGAACGCCUCGGGGAGAGCUGCCUUCCGAAUCUCCAUAGUGAAUGGCGAUUGGUAGGUCAUUGGCGUUGGAGCAGCUGUGAUGUUUUGCUUCUCGGAGAGGAGCUUCACUUGGGCUUCCAGGUUCUCCAUUUUUUUCACAAGUUCGUGGGGUACCCUCGGGGUACCUGAUGAUGUCGCCACCAUUUGAGAAGCCCUUUUGGCGUUUAACUUUUCAUAGAGAUCCUCGUGGGUAUGCUUUGCACGCCUCGUACCCUGGCUGCUGCAGGAAUUGCAAGAGGCGGUGGAACACUCGUCUCGGGAGCCCACGGUAUGAAACUUAAAAUGGGUACCCGAUGGCCUAUGCUUUGGCUUGUUGCCCUCGGGUACCUUUUUUCUGAUCAUAACUUGGUCGUCCUUUUGAGGUGGUAGAGCAUCUAGUGUCACUGGUGGAAGUGAACUUUCGGGUGCCCGAGAUCCAACCGCCCUAAGUAUUGCAUGGGCAAGAUCCUCAAAAUGCUUGUGGGAGAUGGGUUCAUCAUCUUGGCGGAUACCCGUUGAUUGCUUGAUACCCUUGCCCUUGCUGAGAUGGGCUACCCUUCUUACGGUAUCACUACCUUCACCGCUGUUGUCAUCUCCCAUCCUUGUAGGAUCCGCCAUUAAACCUUCGGGAGGUGCGUCAGGUGCCAUGUAUUGGAGUACACACAACAACUAGUUUGGUAACUGCGGUAGAGGCUUUUUGUACGCUUCCCCACAGACGGCGCCAAUUGUUUUCAACAGAUUUUGAGGUAGGAAAAGCCAAAAUCUAUCUUGAACAAUGAAUUUAUAUUUUUGGGGGAGAUGGGGUACCUCACUUGUUUGUUGUGCACAAUGUGGUGUAUCUAAAAUUCGGGGGAGGUGAGAAGGGGAAAAUGAGUGGUAACAACAGUGAAAGGUCAAAACCAAGAGAGAUGCCCUUCAAAAUGAGUUUCACGCCUGCAAAAUAGUGAAAUAGAGGUUAGAGGUGAAGCCGGGGUACCCCGGCGUUCACACUCCGACGCUCAAGUAAGCAAACUCAAGCUUUUAUGGUAAAGAGAGCUGGCUAGCCCUCUGUAAAUUAGGGUUUAAGGUUGAAGAAAACCUAUUUUUUAGAGUGUGAGUGUUAAUGGUGAGUGAGAACAUGAUGGAGAAUGAAACUUAGACACCUUUAUAUAUAGAGUACCUCAGCUGCCACGUGGCAUACCCUUUUUGGCUAACGUCCUUUUACCUUUUUAUGAUUUUUGGGCUGUUAUGUGCAUGUUCGCGGCGUAUCUCAUCCUUUGGAAACGUGGCGCGCGCUGGAGAGUAGUCCAGGGUACCUCUGCAGUAGCUGUCGGGUAGGCGGCUGAGGACCACUGUCCUUGGGACAAUGUCCUUCACUUUUGGCAGAGGUAGCAGGCGGUUGUUCCCUCCUUUUGAUACGACGUUCUUGAUUCCUGAUUCUGACAAAAUCGAAUAAUAUCUUUUAAGAGAUGGAGACGUUUCUCAUGGCGGAUAUUUUCGGAGGAUUCUCUUGCAUCUGAUAUGCCGGGUACCUCGGGUUACGUGGGGUACCUUAAUUUAUGUGGGGUGCCCCUAAUUAUACGGGGUACCUCAAAUCACGCCGGGUACCUUGGAUUGUGCAGGUAUCUCGUAUCAUGUUGGGUACCUCAAUUUGUCCGGGGUACCUUAAAUCAUGCCGGGUACCUCGGAUUGUGUGGGGUACCUCAGAUUGUGCUGGAGUCAUUCCAUUUAUCGACACGUGGCGCUUUACUGCCUUUCUUAUUUUUUUCCUCAAACAAAUAUUAAUUAUUGUGAUUAUUUAUUCAAAAAACUAUAAUUAUUAAUAUAUUAUUGUUAAUAAAAUAUUAAUAUAUUAAUUAAUAGUAAUAAUUUUAUUAAUAGUUAUUAUAAUAGUAUAUUAACUAAUUAAUUAUAAGCUAAACCGUGACUUAAGUUGAACUCAAAAGGACCAGAAUUUAAAAACAUUUCGGGUGAGCCCUUUAGGAAUUUUCUAAAGUACGGCUUCUGCUUAGCUCUGUUUAAUUUCUCUUAUAUUUUUAUACAAAAAGUCUCCGUUCUCUGCCUUUUCAAACUCUGAAGGGGGGCAAUAUUCCCUAAUUCCCCCUUGAAAAUUCUGAUUACGACAUUAUUCAUCGCUUGAUGCAAUCAAAGUGGUGACAAAGUUAGGAAAAAUAUGACUCCCAAGUAAUUACUAGGCAGGGCUCCUGAGAGCAACAUUGUCCUAGGCAUUAUAUGCAUACACGAUGUGGUACAUAGAGCACGUUGAAUUACACACUAUAACACAAACCCAGAAAUACAAGUAAUAACUCAACUGAUGUAAAGACAAAAAUAAUAUAAAAUGAUAUACAAAAAGAAUUUCAAAGAGAUAGCAACAUACAAUAGACUGAAGCCACUUAAUCUAUUCGUUGAUUGCAGCCUUAAACUUGCAAAUAGUUACUGUACGCUAGUGCUCUAAGAAGUGAAAAUGAUGCAACUGAUCCCCUUUUGACUUCCAUUUACUGUCAAAUAUUCUAUUCAUACGAAAAAAAUGUUCAGAUAUCUUGCUAUAAAUAUAGCCGUUUGACUGUCAAAAGUCACACACAACCAUUCUUAUUAAAUUAGCAAAGAUCAAACACUGCCCUAGAUCUUGAACAGACCAACACAAGAUGCACAACUUACGAUUGAAUCCGGCCAGAAACAAUCAACUCUUUAGCAAGAACAAUUAAUCAGAGUCAAGAAACAAGUUUAAUGAAUAUAAACCUAUAAUUGAAACAAACGUAGCCAAGAAACAAAUAGAGAUUUUACAUGUUUCAGUUGUACCAAGGAUGGCACAACCUACACCAUGGGAGAAGCUUUCUGGUGAGAUUUUAUUGAUGAUCAUAGAAGAAUCUAUAACCCUCUCUCCCUGUUCAAUCUCUUUCUAUUUUGUUCCCAGUGAUGACCCCAAUCUGCUUAGUUAGCCAGCUUUAUAGCUGCAUCAGUAACAAACUAGCAAACCCAGAUUGAGCAGAUUGACGACACGUGGAUAACGGCUUUAACGAACCUGGCGAAGAACUGCUCACAUGUUCGUCACGUGUGUUACUUUAAUGAUGGCCAAAACGACUUCAAACAAAUGCCGUUUUGAAGCGUAUGAAUCAUAAGUGAAAACACGUGCUUGUCUCGUGACAUUUAAAUGCAGCAACAAACCCAAAACGCUGUCGUUUUACUCUGUUGAGUUUGAUUCAUCACUAAGCUUCACGACUAGCAAUGGAGAAGAUAUAAUUUAAUUGACAUGAACAGUUUUUAUAUGACUUUUGUAACAUCCUAUGUAAUUGUGAUAUUUGGAAUCAUGGGUGUUCUAUAUGUGAACCCUAGUUGGCAACACUAGUGAUUUUAUCCUUGUUGAAAUGUUACUAUUUUGUUGUAGAUAACUUUAUUCCCACGAGAUUUGUCAUUGUUGUAGAUAACCUUAUUCCCAUGAGAUUUGUCAUUGAAAUUAACACGUAGUUUCAUUGCAUUUCUGCUUCAUUAAAAUUCUCAAGUACCAGUCAGGUUUGCUUAAUUAAGAAAUAAAAAUUUUGCCCACCUUGCAUUUUCUAUUAUUUUUCAUAAAUCAAUUAAUAUGCAAUGUCAAUAUCAAGUUUAGUUUUUUAUACUAAAAAAUAAAGAAAGGAAACACACAAAUUCACAGUUUAGAGGGGUAAACUAGAACGUUCAUCAUACAUAAUUGCAUAUCAUGAGACAGUGCUACAGUCUACUGAGAUCUAACUUACAUGAUAAUUUAAGCUACUAAUGUUUGCAUAUUUCUACAUGUUAAAUUAACACGAACAUCUAUAAUCACUCCAAAACGACAGAUGAUAAGCGGCUUUUGGCCACUUAUUACUAGCAUCCACAAUUAAUUUUUGUUCAGCAAUCAGCUUAUUUUAUAGAAAUUGAUUUAAUCAGCAACAAACACUAUAAUUCUUCAAAUUAAUUUUUGUUCUUUGUAAACUAGCUAGGUGGUUUAGAACUGGGCUAGCUACCUUACUAUAUGGGAAAUUUUUAACCUACCCCAAAUAAAUUGAUAUUUUGCACCGCGCCCCUAAUUCCGUUAAUUUUUCAAUUAUUUCUAACGGCUCCGUCUAACUUUUGAUUGAAUGACAAAAAUGCCCCUCUAUAUGAAAAAAAAAACAAAAUUUUUAGCUCAUUUAAUUUUUUUAAGGUUUUUAUUUCAAUUGCAAUAAAAAAAAAUUUCUUAUUACAUGUACAUUUGUCACCACUAUUAUUUUUCCUUUAAUUUUUUAAAGAUUUUUAUCUCAAUUGCAAUAAAAAAAAUUUCUUGUUACAUGUACAUUGUCACCACUAUUAUUUUUCCUUUAAUUUUUUUUAAGAUUUUUAUUUCAAUUGCAAUAAAGAGAAUUCCCAUUAAAAUUAAUUUAAAGAAUGAACUUUCAAUUUUACCCCUCCACUAUUAAACUUAACUGAAAAAUUAACGUAAUUGGGGAUGCAGUGCAACACGUCAUUUUUUUUUUGGUGCGCGGUGCAAAAUAUCAAUUUAUUUGGGGGUAGGUUAAAAAUUUCCCUUACUAUAUUCCAAUUUGUACGGUGAAUUAAUUGAAUCAUGAGAAAACAAUGUGGUCAUUGCUCAAUAUGAGAUGAUUUCGGAGAGGCAUAUUGUUUUCAAGUUGAUUUAAUCCAUUUAUAAGAGAUGAAGGGGAUUGAAGUGGAAAGUUUAAAUAACAAAUCCUUGUUCUCGAGUUUUACGACGUCGUUACUCCUUCGAAGUGGCAGAUUAUGCAAGUGAAUUAAAGAACAAAAUGCAUCAAUCACGAGGAUGCUACAUCAAAAGACGGGAUCAUUGUUUAUCCACUGAACAGUUACAGUUGCUGCUACCAAUUACCUCGGCAAAGAUCAAGAAGUCAGAACAGGAAGCUAAUGCCAUCGAUGUCGUCUUCAUUAUAACUGCUGGGAACGUAGGUGUAGUUUCCUCAUUUGAAGCUGUCUAUACAUAGGCUUUUCCCCUGCUUAAGUACAAAUAAAUGAACAGCCUCGAAGGCUUAAGUACACUUUCGUUUUCUCAAUUUCUCUCAGAAGUCCCUCUGAGAAUAGCUGCCAAAACAGUUACUCAGCUUUUAUACUCUUGUCUUCCGGAAACAGAGUCCUAACUAACUGACUGUGCAGAGCAUGUCAAUAUUCUUAGUAUAUCUAACCGGUUUAACAGUAAUUUUUUACCGUCUUCGCAGUUAUCAUCAACAAACUCAUCAUAAGAUUUUUGGAGCACCCAAGGACUAUCACUUGGUUUCUCUUCUGGUUGAUUAAUUAAUUAAUCAAAGAACGGUUGGAUACCCAGGGAGAAAGGAGUUGUCUACUGUGUGUUGCGUAAUUAUGCUAUGAUCGGUGCUUUCAACAUUGCCCUGAAAACAGUGGGAAAUACUUCAUAUCCUCGACAUGAUGAUGAAAAACUGGUUACCGAUUACCUAACUGACUCAGGUGACAACAAUCCAUUAAUAGCACAAUUUGAGGUGAUGCCGUUUAGGUAUAUGGUUUACAGGUUUGACUGAUCAGUGAUGAAGUGGACUGAAAUUAAAAGAUCAUAUAAUAAGUCAUUGUUCUUGGGCAUAUCGUCAUUACUCAUUACUACUUCAAGUGAUCAAAGAUGAAGAUGAAGAUGAACAUUGUGCAAGUGAGUUCAAGAAUACCAUACAUCGUUACUUAGGAUACUUCUUCAAAUAUGGAUGGGGUCAUAAUUUACUCCCACGAAUUUCAACCCAAUUUUAUGAUUGGAGUGUCCCACCAUGACUCAGAAAAAUUCUGAUUCAACCUCCUCCACCAAUGGAUUUUGAUUAGUCACUUUGUGAUCAAGCAACUUAAUUAAACUCAGAGAGUCAGAGUUCGAUUUUGCUGGCACCGCAUUUUUUUUAAAAUGUGGCCAUGUAAGGAGAGCGGCACAUAAUGUCACUUCCUUAUCAAGCACUUUAAAGAGGGAUUUUAGAAGAAGAUACAACUGCAAUUGUUUUCGUAUGUAUAUAUAUAAACAACAGCACACAUUCAGUUCAUAAAAGAAAUUUUUGCUAACCAUGAUAUGUGGUAGUGCUUUUUAGGCAAUUUAGAAACAGAGUUGUUCAACAUACAACAGGUGAACUCCUCAAGUUCGACGUAAAUACAAAUAUUAAUUAGAAUCCAUAUUAUAAUGACACACAUAACUUGCUUCAAAAUUAUUAGAAAUUAAAAUUGCUGAUUCAUAAUGCAGAUAACUUGGAUGAAUUGAUGUUAAAGGAAAAAUCACACGCAUAACUUGGAGAGCAAUUGCGACAGCAGCCAAGUAUAUAUUAACUAACUAAAAUGGCCAAUCAGAUUUGCUUAAGUAAUAAAAUUUUGUCUUGUAGUAGUGUUUCCAAGCACCUCGCAUUUGCAUCCACAUUUUGCAGGAAUUUUAAGAAAUACACGUGUCCGAAAGUCAAAUCAUCGUCCUUACUAUUCGAGUACUGGUAUGUUAAUGACGAAUUUGAAAAGCCACACUGUAAAAACAGUUUGUGAUCUAUGCAUGACGAACCACCAACAUUGUAGUAAUAGCACAGGAAAAAAUCUACCAAAAUUAAUUGCGUCCAUACAUAUAUGCAGAUGCAAACAAUGAUUGUAAAUUCUUUUUUUUUAAAGAAAAAAAAUAAGAAAAUUGUAUAUUGAGAUGGAUAAGAUGCUUAAUUUAAUUAAUUUACUUACUUUCAUACACAUCGUCUUUCCAUCUAAAGAAAACUUGGUGGUGAGAACGAUAUGAAGUUGCGAGUUGCUGCCGAUAGCUGCUGAUUAAAAAUAAAACGAGACAAAUUAAAUUAAGGACAAUGAUACAGAGCAUACUUAUCUGAAUUGUGCUAAACUUUCAAAGAUUUUGUCUCACGCGUGCAUGUAUAUCAUUUGUGUUUAAGAUUUAAUUAGUUAUAGUUAUAAUUAUUAGUCAUUUUAUAUUUAUUGAUUCAUCUAUACUGGAUAAAUUUUGAUGGAUUUAAAAAAAAAAAAAAAAAACUCGGUUGCCGAAAAAAUAAAAGAAAAGAAAAUGUUGAAUCUUACAUUUUAAUAUUUAGUUAAUUCUCCUUUCGAGCGUCUUCUUAGGCUUAGCAAACUAACUUAAAUUCUGCUAAUUUCUGUUAAAAAAAUUUGAUGCUGGCACUAAAAUGUUAAAAAAAAAAUGGUUUCUUAGAAAAGAACAAGAAAAGAAAAAUUUCAGCAUCUUCUACUCAGAAUUCUUUUCGUUGUUUAAGACUAUGUUUAUGUUUUCCAAAGAAAAGAAGAUUUUUAUUUUUAGUGACUAAUUUGAUUCUUAUUGGAUGAAAGGGGUGCGAUUUCAAUGAGAAAAAUGGGGAACAAAAUAAAGGAAGAUGAAAGAAUUGAGGGGAUCAUACACGUGGUCUUUUGAAGCUUCCUGAGAAUCGGAAAUGUAUCAACUGCAACUGUUUCUUAUGCCUUUUGCAGUAUUCUGAUAAUUUUAGUUUGAGUGGUUAAGAUAUUAAAUAAUCCAUUACAUUGCUUCCUAUUUUCUUGAUCGACUUACAUGAUCCUAGAUCUAAUGUAUGUUUCUUAUUGGCAGGGACCUCAAUAUGUUUGCACAAACUGCAGUGGAGUACAGUAAGUGUUGAUACAAAUUCUGAAAUUCUUAAUUCCGUCUGCAUACUGUGAAUAGCCUCUGUUUUAAAUUCCAACUUUUCCCAGUUUCAGCUCGACAUUUUAAAGCCAUUCUACGUGAUUCUUAAUUAUCUCUAUUGAAGCUUUAAUUUUAAUGAUGCUAGCUAUAUUUGUAUAAUUUAUAAUCGGUCCGGCCACCAUGUACUAUCUUUUUAUGAUUAAAGCAUCUUCAACAAGAUUUUCUUCAAUUUUCUCCAAGAGGAGCUGGAGCUGUGUCUCUGAUUAGCCAACGAAUUAGUUGCAAUUAAUAUUAACAUUGCCCACCCAAGAAAUAAGAGUGAUUUAAAGAAUUAGCAAGACUUCAUUGAGAGGAGCGAUCAAACGACCUCCUUAUCACCUGCGGCAGCCGUCUAUUAACUAAAAUGCCAAUUUCAUACAAGAAGAAGCAACAAGUACAUGCUCGGCAAUUGUGUUCGGUAAGAAGUGACAUAGCAUUCAGGUGAUGACUUUACUUUUGUUAUCUUGCUAACAAUGGUAGUCUAGUUUAAGUUUUACUGUGGAAGUUACAGAUGUGGCAAAAUCAAUAAUUAAAUUCAUAAAAUGUUAAAAAAUAAAACUUAUAAAUGUUGCAUGACUACUUACUAAUAAAUAAAUAAGUUAAAAUGUAGUUAGUUAAUUUAACACUAUAUUAUAUCUUAUUCGAUAAUAAUAUAAAAUAAAAAUAAUUAUAAAAUAAAUAAUUGGAUAAACAAAUAUGGCUUUCUAAACAGUAAAAAUUCGAGAGCUAAAAUUUAUAUUGUUAUUUUUUUUUAAAUUGACAUUUUUUCUAUUGUCUUACACGUACAUAGAUUUUGAGAGUUGAGAAGAAUAUAUUUGAUGAAGUUUGAUAUCAUUUGAUGGGAUAGCAAGUAAGGGUAAAUAUUUAUUAAUUAUUUUUAUUAAAUAAAAUAUUUUUAUUAAAUAAAAAAAUUUAUUUGUUAUUUAUUUCAAUUAUAUCUAUUUUGUUCAAGUUAAAAUACUAAAUAUAAAUUGGAGGUAGACAUUUUAACAAAUCAUCUAAGCUCUCAAAUUUGAAAUUUUGUGUAGAUUUAAAUUCAUAAUUUUAGUUAAUUUUCAUAUAUUCAUAUAAACAAAUUUAUGAGAUUUUUAUUUUCAGCAUGUUAUGUUUGAAACUUUCAAUGUAUUAUUCUAGUUUUAUUUAAACAAUUAAUUUAUUCAAAUUUUAUUUAAUUUUAAAUUUGAUCAGUAGUAAAAAAAAUUUUAUAUCAAAUUGUUUUAUUUAAAUAGUUCAUGGAUUGGACAAAAUUAAAAAAUUUUAAUUCACAAAAUUAUGGAUGGGAUAUGAAUUGGGUUAAAUCCACAUUCGAUCCGCAGUUGCAUGUAUUGAAUUUGGAUUGAAUUUCAUCAAUCUAUGUAUUAGAUUGAAUUGAAAAUUUAUAAUCUGCAAAAUUGUGAAUCGGAUAUAUAAACUGAUGUCCAAUCAGCAAAAUCCGAUCCCCGAACACUCCUCUAUCAAAAUUUUCAAGAAUAUGUUUUAGCUUACAAUUUUUUUUUUAAAGUCAUAGUCUAAUGGCAGCCCAAUUUCUACUCCAUCCAUAUAAGCGGAGUUCAAAUCUCAUACCUCUUAUCUCCACACGAGAUUUAACCAAUUGAAAUAGCUAGCACCCACAAGUAUACUAGUACAGCAUCUCUUAACGUUUAACAUACGUAUAAUUAACGCCAUAGCUAUUGAUAAACACAUUGUUCAAUAUAUAUGAUCAAGAAUCUGAUCCUGCGAGCAACAGCAGUCAGAAGAACCAUUAUAAUGCCUAGCUCUUAUCCUGGUUAAUCCUCUGGCCCGAUGCUUCAUCAUAGUGAUUUAAAAAACCAACAACAGCUCUCUAAAAGAGAUGAAGAUAUCAUCUACGUAAAGAACAUGAGACGGAGAUUCACAACCCAUAAGAUCUGAGAUAAAUUGGACCAGACCAGUAAUCUUGAGAUAAGUUAAACUGUGACUUAAGUUGAAAUCGGAGGACCAGAAUUUUAAAAUCUUUCGGCUAAGCCCCUGAGGAAUUUUCUAGAGUACGGCUUCUGCUUACCUCUGUUUAAUUUCUCUUUAUAUUUUUCUUUCACUUCAUUAAUAAAGUCAAAUAAUAAAUCAAAGAACGAGGGAAGAUUUUUCCAAGUCAUGCAUUAUUUGAUUACCAUCAAUCAAGAAACCGACCAAAUUAAUUUCUCCCCGUGAUUUUUAAAAAUUAAAAAAAAAUUAUUUGAACAUAACAUCAUUAAUUAUAGAGUGGAUCAAACUGCGUUAAUCAUGAAACUGAUACCUAUUAAGAGUCAUACUUUUUACUUAUGCAUACUAAAAGACAUCAAAUUGUUCCGAUCCCCAAUUAUUUGAUCAGCAACUAUCAAGAACUAACCAAAUUUAUUUCUUCAUGACUUCCAAACACUAGAAAAUUUUGUUAUUUGAUAAUAAUAUCAUUAAUUAGAGUUUAUCAAACCGCAUUAUUUUCUUUCAUAAAAUUGAUGCCUAUUAGUGUCACACUUUAUUUGUAUUACCUAGCGGACAUCAACUUUUUUUUUUAAAAUUAAAAAGACCAUUUGAUUUUAACCCAUGUCCUUGGCCUUAGGGAAGCUGACUUCUUUUAUAGUCGAUAUCAGCUUGAACUUUGUUGUGUAAAUUAUUUCAAUCCCCGAUUAUGCAAUUUUUAAAUUAUAGCCUAACGGCGGUCUCAUCACCAUGUGUGUGAUUUUCUUUUGCCAAUAGGAUCUGCAGAGAGCUUGAUCUCACCCAAUAGCAAAAUAAACUUCCUAAUAAGUGAAGGCAUAGUAUAAAUAUUUCACCCCCAUAUUAUUUAUUAGCAGCUUGAUUAUUUUAUAUGCAUCUUUGAUUUUUAUUUUUUUUUCCCAUAAUUGCUACUAUGUUCGAACUGGUCAUGAAUUAUCUAUAAGAUUUUUCAUGUUGCUUUUAGGUGCAUUGGAUUUUUUUUAGUUUAGUGGAAGAGCAGAGGAAGGCAAAUUAAGAAAAAGGAUAAAGAUCUAUAAUUAGCUUCUCAUAACAUAUUGAUGGUAACAUUAUACAUAUGUAUAUCUAAAUAAUGGGUUGGAUCAGGAGCCCAUUAAUAAUCAUAGAUUAGCUCAUAUAGUUAAAAAAAAUGUACCAUAAAGCAAUUUCACAAGCACUUGUUAGCCUAUGUUGAGCUUUAUUAUCAAUAGUUCAAAGUUCAUCAGUGCACUGCAAGUUUACUAUUUGAAGUAAAUGUUAUGGUGCGUGCAUUCUUCAUAAGGCCAACUAUUGAAUUUAGCAUUGAAACUUACAAAAUGUAAUAGAAAGAGGUAGAUAACAGCCAUAAAACACUAAGAUUGGAAAUCAGGGCUACUAAAUACUAUUACAAGCCCUUAGAAAAGACAGUGAUCAUCUUAAAAUGUAUAUACUAAAAGUAAGAAAUAUUAAUCGCAAAGUUAUGUGUCAACAGAACUAUUAACUACUUGUCUCUAGUAGAAAGUAAAUAUUUUUAACUUCAGCUCUCUACUUUGUUUUAAGAGCUAGGCAAAAGAAGGAAAUUUCGAUGUCUAAAGUUUGCCACUUGGAAUAUUUCACUGUCUAAACAUUCACUCACCACUUAUUUCAUCAACGAAUUUUGUCUAAUUAUAUGUUGAUAAAGAUAUUAGAGUAAUAUAAUGUGUUUAAAGCUUAACUUAUAUUUUUUAUUAGUAGAGUGUAGAACUUUUAAGAAAUAAAUUAUUAAAUUACUAUAACUAACAUAUUAUUUUAAAACAUAUUAUUUUAAAGCUAUGUUAAGGAAAAGAAUGAAACAAAAAUAAAUAAAUAAAUAAGGGUAUUCUAAAACUUUGAUCUUUUUAAAAGUAGAUUUUGACAUAGAUAAAAUAAUUUUUAUAUUUUUUAAAUCACAUACUCUAGUUAAAAUCAAAUUUGUAUUUAUAAAGUUUGUAAAUUUUUUUUUUUUUUAGCACUGAUAUUUGAACACUAUCAAGAUAAGAAAUAGGGUACUGGUCAUGCUACAACAUUAUUAUAGCACGUAAAAAGACAAUACCAUUUAUUUUAUUGUACUAUCAUUGUUGAUAUAAUAGUAUUUUGUUAGUGGUCAAAUAUUAUUUUUUUAAGUAAAAAAAGUGAACAAUGUAAAUUAACUUUUAAUCUCUCCUAAAAUUCUAAUUCCUAGUUACGAAACAAAAUUGUUUAAAAAUCAUUAGGCUAACUGCAUGGGUUCUUAAAACCAUAGGUGAUAGAAGUUACUAACACAAGCAAAUUUGACGGUCCAUUUUAUAAAAUUUGUUAUUUACCAUUUUACCACCUAUAUAAGGAGUGCCGCAUCGACAUAUCAACUCAUUUGCAGAUUAUUUUAAUUUUGUAAAAUUCAUUUAACCUGCACUUGGUCGCCCCUAUUCUCUGAAUGGUUAUGGCGAUAUCAUCAUUAUCGUUACUUGUACCAACGCUAAACCCUUCUUAUUCCCUUUCUCGCCUGUCAUACCCUAACAUUAUAUCCCGUGUCCACACUAAAGACAAGUAGUCAAUUCAGGCCAUCAGAUUAUAGUGGACCCACAUCAAUCCAACUGCUCACAAUGACCGACAGCCUCUCCAUCUCCAUUUCAGGUUUCCUCUUCAACUGGCUUCUGCUUCCGCCGUAUUUGCUCCAUUUCUUGGAUUCGGAGUCCGUAUUUGGUCGGUCGGUCCCGCACAGCUCCCUCUCACUCCAAUUGUCACCCAACAAGACCAAUUGCUUAAUCAAGGCACAGAACAAGAAGAGGAUGGGAAAUUGAAACAAGAAUUUGAGAAUUGGAAAUCGAAAACGUCCGCAUUGACCGUGCCUUUGAGGGCAAUUACUUUUCUUGAGAAUUGAAGUUUGGUAAUGUAAUUUGUUCUCCAUCUGUGUUCCCUUUGUAGUCAUUUCAUUUAUUUGUUUGUUUGCUUUUAUUUGCAGGAGAAAUUGAUCCUCGAGAUAAAAGUAAAUUGUCUUUAAGCUCAUUUAGUUUUAUAUCAAACAAAAUCAAGACUGCCUUUUUCUUCAAUAGUUUUGAUGAUAAUAUCUUUAGAAGCAUCUCAUUGACAGGUAAUCGUGGUACCCCUUAAAGAGUCUAUAAACUCAAGGAUAUUAUCUUCUGCAAAUGGUUCAUUAAACUUCUUAGAUGUAGUUAAAUGUACACUGAGAACAACGAGAAGCUAUGCCACUGUAGCAUGUAGUGAUGGCACUUAAUGAGUGAGUUGCUAGGAUAUGAACUAGAAAAAUUAAACAUUGUCUCCCUGGGUAUGCUAGCUUGUAAGUCGGUUAAUAUUAGAGCUUGAGAUACUAUAACCAUGAGAAGCUAUUGACCGCCGAUUAAAAUAUCCAUUAAAAUGUCUAGGGAGUUAUGAAGGUGGAGGUGUCUCCCAAUUUCUAAGGCCAUAUAGUAGACAUCAUCCAGGAUCCUAUUAAAGUGCAGUUAGCCUCCUGCUUGAUGCUAAUGUCAAACAAUUAAUAAAUUUGGUCAAUGUAACUGAAACUUGCUAACUGACGUCAGAUUGCGACUUGAGCACCUUAAAAUGGGAUAGACGAUUAGUAGCACUGAAUUCUUCUUGCCUAAGAUUGAGCAAUUGUUCUAACUACAAUCUCCUAUUGUAGGUUGAUUAUUAUGUUCUAAUUAUGUCGAUUUUGACCCAAAAAAUUACAUAAUCUUGAUCUGCAUAAUGUCACUGAACAGUGUCAAUUUCGUUUACCAACUAACUUGAGUUUGAUAUAACAAACACACGGUGUGUCUCUCAUGUCUCACCAUGAUGGAGAAUUUUUCUAAUGCAUGAAGCAAGCUUCGAUAUGUGGGUUAGCUUGGAGAAGAUAUCUUAAAAUGAAGAAUAUGGGGAGUUAAUGGGAAGAAACAGUUCAGUAGUUUAUAAUUCUGUCGUCGAGCUGUAUCUCUAACAUGGUCAAAAUUUAUGUGAAUAAGGACAGGGAAUCUUCAUUCCUCUUUCCCUUUUUAUACCCACAUAUCUCUCAACCUUUAUAUGUUGCUCACUGGAGAUCUGCUUCUGAUAACUAAAAUAAAAAUUUCAUCCACUCAAAUAAAUUCUGACCAAGCUUUCACAAGAAAAAGUAACAUCUUUAGUGAAGUAAUUUACAAGUAAUUUAGAGUUCCUUAUCAUCUUCUUGUGAGUCUAUCAGUAUGAUCCAAAAACAUAAUAAAUCUUGUUAGAUCCUGUUUAUUGAUGUUUAAACGCUGCUCAUUGUGAAAUGUAGAAACAAUGACGUGAAGUUUCUUUGGUCAUCAAUUAGUGAGAUCUUGUUUGAAGUUGUUUUCUGAAAUGAACUGCCAAAUGAUAGUUUUUUUUUUUUUUUUUCUUUGGACGCAUUUGAUGGCUCUUUUCUCCUCAUUUUAAGCAUGUGCCUGCUUGGUAUGGGAAGGAAUAGGCUUCAGAGUUGUUAUAUAUGUUGACAUGCUCUGGUCAUUACACAAUAUGUUCAAAUUGGAAAUUAGAAUGAGAUAUUUGUCGAUGCUUUUUGAGAGAUCUGCAUUCUAUGCAGCAUAACAUGAUUAAUGAAAACGGGUUUAAGGACUGGAAAGAUCUGUGGCAGCCCAAGCUUGCAGGAAGGAUUUCAAUGGUUAAUUCUCCCAGAGAGGUUAUUGGUACAGUUUUGAAGUAUAUGGGAGCAUCAUACAAUUCAAACGGCAUUAAUUAGCAAGUUGCUGCUGGGAGGAUUGCUGUUCAGCAGAAUCUGGCAUUACUGGGAAACCAGGUACUCUUAAAGAAACGAUAGCUGGUCAAUGCAUAUUAUUGCCUGACGGCUGAUUUUGUUUGUAAAGUGUGCCUUUUCAUACAUAUGAAUGCAUAUGUUAGUGUUGUCUUCUCCUUUCCAUAAAUAUGAAUGCAUAUGUUGGUGUUCUUUUCUGAGAUGGAUGCAAUAAAGGCUUUUUCUUCUAAAUGACGAGUUUUCAUUUAAAAAUGUUAUAAAUCUGCCAUGCAUAGUAUUCUAGUAGAAUCAUCUAUAAAUUCAAGUUAUUGAAAUUGUCUAUUUGUCCAGUUUGAGUUAAGGACGCAUGUAAUAUGAAAAAUAGUUGUCGAAUAUUGUAGGUUAGCUAAUAUUUGAUCAAUCCUAUAGGGAGGGCUUUAAGAUGUCUAACAACAUGUAGAAUGCCCCUGCUUCCCCCACAAUUUUUAUCUUAUACAAUUUUUAUCUAUAAACAGUAUUUGCCAGACCUUAACUGUUCAGAUUCCCCUUCUCGACUAUCAUACCCUACGCCCCGUCUCCGUGUCUCCGAUAAACAGUGCUCAAUUAAGGCCAUCAGAUUAUCCCGGUCCCACAUUGAUCAACGGCUCACAAUGACCGACAACCUCUGUCUCCAUUACAAGCUCCCUCUUCAACUCGCUUCUGCUUCCAUCCUACUCUUUCUCAGAUUCGGAGCCCGUAUAUGCUCGGCUGGUCCCACGAAGCUCCCUCUCACUCCAGCUGUCAACCGACAAGACCAAUUGCCUUAUCAAGACAGAGAACAAAAAGAGGAUGAGAAAUUGAAACAAGAAUUUGAGAAUUGGAAAUCGAAAACGUACUCAUUGACCGUGCCUUUGAGAGUUGUUUCUCUUCAGAAUUCAGUGCCUCAAUCUUGGGUUAAGGAUUUUAUGCGAAGUCAAGGAAAGUGAUUGAAGUUUCAGAUGAAUUUGUGUGCUAGCAUUGGUGGGAUCUUUAACAAUUUAUCUGCCCUUUAACAAAGUCAAGGCUAAUUCAGCUUCUUAUAUGGCUGCUGAUUUGGUUAGUGUUGGUGAUUCAUGGCUUAGUUUUGCCAUUAAAGAGAGAUUGAUUGAGCCAAUGGCUGGAGCUGAAGACCAAGAUUGGUUCAAAUGCUUAAGUCACAAAUGGAAGGUAACAUCUUUAUCUUUGGCCCGAUAAUUUUUAUUGUCUUACAUUGAAAUUUGGUAAUGUAAUUUGUUCUCUAUCUGUAUUACCCUUUUUAGUCAUUUUAUUUAUUUGUUUAUUUGCUUUUAUUUGCACUAACGAAGUCUCAGGUAUAUCUAUGCAGAAUGAUGCAGGAGAAAUUGAUCCUCGAUGUGAAAUAUGGGCGGCACCAUACAGGUGGGGCACAAUGGUGAUAGCCUACAAGAAAAGUAAAUUUCGAAAGCAUAAUUUGGCUCCGAUUGAGGUAAUAAUUGUCUUUAAACUCAUUUAGUUUUAUAUCAAACAAAAUCAAGACUGCCUUUCUCUUCAAUAUUUUUGAUGAUAAUAUCUUUAGAAGCAUCUUAUUGAUGGGUAAUAAUUGUAUCCCUGAAACAGUCUAUAAACUCAAUGAUAUUAUCUUCUACAAAUGGCUCAUUAAACUUUGUCGUUGUAGUCAAAUGUACACUCAGAGCAAUGACAAGCUAUGCCACUGUAGCAUGUAGUGAUGGCACUUAAUAAGUGAGUUGCUAGGAUGUGAACUAGAAAAAUUAAAUAUUGUCUCCCUGGGCAUGCUAGCUCAUAAGUCAGGGUUAAUAUUAGAACUCAAGAUACUAUAACCAUGAGAAGCUAUUGACUGCCAAUUAAAAUAUCCUUUAAAAUGUCUAGGAAGUUAUGAAGGUGGAAGUAUCUUCCGAUUUCUGAGGCCACAUGGUAGAUAUCAUCCAGGAUCCUAGUACAGUGCAGUUAACCUCCUGCUUGAUGCAAUUAAUAAAUUUGGUCAAUGCCACUGAAACAUGCUAACUGACGUCGCAAUGCGACAUGAGCACUUCAAAAUGGGACAGACGGUCGGUAGCACUAAAUUUUUCUUGCCUAAGAUUGAGCAAUUGGUCUAACUACUAACCCCUUUUGUAGUUGAUCAUUAUUUUUUCAAUUAUUUUCAGUUUGACCCAAAACGUUACAGAAUCUUGAUCUGAAUAUUGUCACUGAACAUUGUCACUGAACAUUGUCAAUGUCGUUUAGCGUAGCCAACUAACUUGAGUUUGGUAAAACAAACACACAGUGUGUCUCAUGUCUCACAAUUCAAAUUAUCAUUUGUAAUGAUGGAGAAUUUUUCCAAUGUAUGAAGUAUGCUUUGAUACGUGGGUUACCUUGGGGAAGGUAUCUCAAAAUAAAGAAUAUGGGGAGAAAACAGUUCAGUAGUUUAUUAUUAUGUAGUCAAGUUUUGUCUCAAAAAUGGUCCAAAUUUAAAUGAAUAAGGACCGGGGAUCUUCAUUCUUUUUUCCCUUUUUUAUACCUAGAUAUCUCUCAACCUUUAUAUAAUCCCCACUGGAUAUCUGCUUCUAAUAAUUAAAAUAAAAAUUUCACCCACACAAAUAAAUACUGACCAAGCUCUAACAAUAAAAAGUAACUUCUUUAGUCAAGUGAUUUACAGUUCCUCAUCACCUUAGUGAGACUAUCAGUGUGUUCCAAAAACAUAAUAAAAUUGGUUUGUUCCUGUUUAUUGAUGUUUAAAUGUUGUUCAUUGUGACAUGUAGAAAUGAUGAGGCGAAGUUUAUUUGGUCAUCAAUUUGUAAGAUCUUGUUUGAAGUUGCUUUCUGAAAUGAACUGCCAAAUGGUAGUUUCUUUGGGGCAUUUGAUGGCUCUUUUUUCCUCAUUUUAAACAUGUGCCUGCUUGGAACAGGAAGGAUUAGGCUGCAGAGUUGUUAUAUAUUUUGACAUGCUCUAGUCAUUGCACAAUUUGUUCACACUGGAAACUAGAAUGAGAAAUUUGUUGCAUUCUAUGCACAAUAACAUGAUUAAUGAAAAUGGAUUGUAGGACUGGAAAGAUCUGUGGCAGCCUGAGCUCGCAGGACGAAUUUCAAUGGUUAAUUCUCCCUGAGAGGUUAUUGGUUUAGUUUUGAAGUAUAUGGGAGCAUCAUACAAUUCAAACGAUAUUGAUUCGCAAGUUGCUGGUGGGAAGAUUGCUGCUCAGCAGAAUCUGGCAUUACUGGCAAACCAGGUACUCUCAAAGAAAUGAUAUCUGGUCAUUGCAUGUUAUUACCUGACAACUGAUUUUGUUUGUAAAAGUCUGCUUCUUCAUACAUAUGAAUGCAUAUGUUAGUGUUUUCUUCUCCUUUUCAUACAUAUGAAUGCAUAUGUUGCUUCUUUUCCUUUCCAUACAUAUUAAUACAUAUGUUGGUGUUCUCUCCUGAGAUGGAUGCAAUAAAGGUUUUUCUGAAGAAAUGGCAAGGGAUGUGAGAUUCUGUCUCAUAAAAUUAACAAAAACCCAAAACAAUGAAAACCCAUAAUAAUGUGGUGUGGGUAAAUUGACGCCAUUUGGUUCGUUUCCUUGAUGUGAAUACGCGGGCAAUAGAGACUAACAAAAUGAAGUGACAACAAGAAGUCAGUGUCCUUUGAUGGAUGCAUUUUUAGGCAGAAAUAGGUUUGUAAUUGACCAAAUUUGUCUGGCAUGCCAAUUUCAAAAAAAUUAAAUUAUGUGGUUAUUAGCUGUAAUGAAGGGGGAUUGUAGGUCCAAUCAGGUGGAUCCAUGAAAGUUCAACAAAGUUCUGGUAUGGCGUAGAAAUUGGUUUGUGCAACUCAAGAGUCUUUCUGGUGAACGAUGAUGGGUUUUGAUUUAUAAAUGUUAUAAAUCUACUGUGCAUAGUAUUCUAGUAGAAUCAUCUAUAAGUUCUAGUUAUUGAAAUUGUCUACCUUGUUCAGUUUGAGUUAAGGGCACAUGUAAUAUGAAAAAUAGUUGUUGCAUCUUUUAGGUUACCUAACAUUUGAUCAAUCCUAUUAUGAGGGCUUCAAGAUGUCUAACAAUAUGUGGAAUGCCCAUGCUCCUCCCCAUUGUUUAUCUUAUAUAAUAAUUUGUUUUAGAUGCUAAUAUCUUUGUCGAUACCGGUAACAAUAUUACAAUAUCUGCGUUUAUUGGGUUUUACAUAGGUUCGACUGUUUGACAGUACACACUCUCUGAAGGCAUUUGGAAAUGGAGAUGUAUGGAUUGCUGUUGGGUGGAGUAGUGAUGUUCUUCCUGCUGUCAAACGUUUGUCUAAUGUUGCAGUUGUUGUUCCCAAGUCUGGUGCUAGCUUAUGGGCUGAUCUUUGGGUAUACCCAUGCCUGCCAUUCUACUUCAAUAUUCACAUUGUUAUCUCCUUCAUAUUAGUGAUCAGUAAACAUGAUAAUGUGACUAAUAAGUUCGUAUUCUCUUUAUAGGCAAUCCCUGCUGACUCAAGACUUGAAACAAAACAAAUUGGAGGGUGAGUCAGAGGUGCAUUUCCAUUAAUCCAUCAAUGGAUAGAAUUCUGCUUGCAAACAGCGAGAGCAUUGCCUUUCAAGCAAGAGGUUAUCCCGAGCGCAUCUCCCUCUGCCCUUGAGAGUACUCUGGUUAAGUUGCCUGAAGAACUUUUGAAGGGUAAACCAAGUCUGGAUACUAACUUAAUUGCUGGAGUACCCCUGACGGAAAUUCUGGCCAGAUGUGAGUUUUUGGAGCCAUUAUCUGAAGCUACAUUGUCGGAUUAUGAGUGGCUGGUUGCUAAUCUGCAAAAAUCCACUCCUGUACUGAUCAACAAGAUGCAACAUUACAUGUCAUCAUUGAUCUUUAGCUAAAGGUACAUUGAAAAGUUAAUGGCACUGCAUACCAGUCAUUAUAAUUGGGUCAGGGCAAUUGGGUCAGGGCAAUUAGGUCAGAGCAUAACUUCAUUAGGAAAAGAGGCUUCAGCUACGUUAAAUAUUACAGGAUGUACUGAGAUGGCUGAAGUUGGUGAGGUUUUACGAGAAACGAAAGAUAGUGUUUGUUUGAACAAAGUUGUUGCCAAUCUUGCAGAGUUCGAGAAGAAAGAUCACGAAGCGAAUGCCACCGAUUUCUUCAUCAUUGUAGCCUCCAUAGUUGAAGUUUCCUCAUUUGAAGCUGUUUAUGCAUAUGCUUUUUCCCUUCUCAAGUACAGGAAAUUGAAGAAUUAACCAGAUGUGAUAUGCUGAAAGAGGGAAGUUUUCUUCCUUGAAUGUGACCUUUGUGAUUUGUCUUGAAGGGAUAGGGUGAUCACUGGCAAGAACCCUAUCAAGGUAGAUUUUAUGAUGUUAACAUAUUAUUAAGCAUUUUGUUACAUCAGCAAUGAUGCUUUCAUAGCAUGAAAGUGUUUAAAUUUAACUGAAUGAUCUUGAUUGAUCAAUUAUGAGUUUUAAUCGAGUAAAAACUAAAUACAAUAAUCGUUAACAAAUAUUGAAAUUGGGUAAAUAAGAUCUUGAUAGUGAAGAAUUUGAAAUCACACCCACACAGGAAAUCACCCUUCGCGUGGGGAUGGAGAUGUUUACUGCAGCGAUAUUGAAUAUGUCCACUGCUGGACUAAUUCUGAUUACCUAAUUGACUCAGGAUCGGCUGGCAAUAAUAACAGUUUAUUAACAAUGCACAGUCCGAGUACUUUUCCAGGAUCAGAUACGACGUGGUCUAAUGUUGAUAAUAAUAGAUUAUCAAAUGACAAAUCGUUGUUCUACUAUUGCAAGCCCCCAGAUUUAAGAAUCUUUUUCAGAAAUUAAAUACAUUCUGAGAGAUGCUGGUCUACUAUUGCAAGCCCCCAGAUUUAAGAAUCUUUUGACGGUAAUUUAUCACCUGUAACUGUGCCGGAAGAUUCAACUAGCACUGAAAAAGAUGAUAAAUUAAUUGAUAUGGAGAGUUUUCAUAUCACUUUUAAAUCAUCUUAUGUAAUUGUGAUGUUAGGAAGCAUUAGUGAUCUAUAUGUGAAUUAUUAUUGGCGCCAUUGGUGGUUUUAUCUUGUUAAAAUAUGGAUGAAUUCCAGUUACUAUUUUGUUGCAGACAAUCUUCUUCAAUUAACAUAUGGUUUAAAAUCAUUAUGUAAAUCAAUCUAUUAAUUUUCAAGAUAUUUAACUGAGUUAAAACUAAGUGCACUCAAUAAAUCUCUUUUCCUUUAAAAAACUGUUACGCUUUGAUUUUAGUGCUUAAUAUUUAUUGAACUCCGAUACAGGGAAUUUGAAAUCAAACUCGUAACUACAUAUUAUCUAAUUGCAAGUUUCUAUCCAUAGCUGCUGAUUUGUAGUGAUUAUCUAAUUGACUGAGGUGACGACAAUUUUUUUUUUUUAAAUUUUCAAUAGCACAAUGUGGAAUUCAAUAAUUAAAUUCUCCUUUUUAAUUUGUUUCCAGUUAAAUUAUUAAUUACUUAAACUCUGUUUUAAGUCUUUAAGUUUAUGUGUUUAUGCAGAAUUGGAUUCUUGAGCGUGUUGGACACGACCAACAAUGAAAUUGACAGUAAAAAAAACAAUACAACGUGUGGACUCCGGUAGAUGCCAUACAAGUCUACAACUUUACAAAUAAUAAUUGAGUAAGCAACUUUGAUUCUCGGGGCCCUUCAAUGAAUUUCUAGCCCCGUUGACUCCGCCAACUAAAGUUUGUAAAAUAAAAAAAUACAUAGAAUUCCACUAAAUGCAAAACGCGUGGAAUUUAAUUUUCGGCCAUGUGGACCAAAACAUAAUUUAAUGAAAAAGGAAAAAAAUGAUAAGAUUUCUAAAAUAUGUGAAAGAUGAUCCAUAUUUUACUGAAACGACUUAUUAAAUUUUUCAAAGAUUUAGAAUAUUUAGUCAUAAAUUACGUGCAUGUUAAUUUUUCCGCCAUUGACUAUCAUAUUCUAAACUUAAUAGUACAUUUCUUGUUGAAGGGUACUUAAUCUCUCUUCUCCUCUUAUAAAAAUUAUAUUGAUGGAUUUCUUGUUAUAGUUAAUAGUCUUUAAGAACGGAUAACUUUAUUGUUUUCGUGACCAAAUUAUGUCCGCCUAAGGUUGUGACUAUUAAUAAAAUUAAUAUUUAAUGUUUAUGUUAAAAGAUAUAAGAUUUUAUGCGUUCAUUAAUUGUUAUUAGCUAAAGGAUGAAUUAUUUUUUCAACCCAAUCAGUUGAUGCAUCUGCAAGAGUUUUUUUCUUUUAUUGACCAUAAUUAUGUUCCGGGUACAAUAAAUUGUCUUUGGUGCUUGGAAAAUAUGACUUCUUACUUCAAGUUUGAUAUGUCUCUCUCCAUAAACUUACUGGAAAUAUAUCCUCAUCUACUGUCAUUUAUCUAAUAUCAAUUGAAGAUCUCACUUUUUCAAACUAUCACUUCCAAGUCUCAUUGUCACUUGGCCAUUCUUGGACCAUUCAAAACCAAUCAAGUGUUGAAAUAAUCAAAUAUAUGCAAAAUUAGAGUCACGAUUUUUGGUCCCCCAAAUUCUAAUUAUAUAACUUCUAUAUAUUUCAUUGCCAGGUCACGAACUUGUUGGCACAUUUUCCAAAUUCCUCUUCCAUCAGCUCUCACACGUUAACUUAAGUGAAAAGUUUCCAAGUUGAUUGCUAGAAAGCAACGCAAAAUCAGACACACUUGAUCUGUCCCCUAAUUCUCUUUUCUACGUUGAAAAAGAAAAAAAAAAAUAAAAUACAUACAUACAUAUAUAUAUAUAUAUAUAUAUAUAUAUAUAUAUAUAUAUAUAUAUAUAUCUAUGUAAAAAUAAAUAAUAAACUGAGUAAAAGUACAUUUGUUUAAUUAACAUCUGAUCGGGGCAUUUUUGGUGUAAGCCACAACUAAAAUCAAACAGCCCCUUAGCAUACUUCUUCCAUUUUAUCGGCUACUUUUGUGGAUCUUAUAGGGUGGGCAUGUGGACAGAAUUUAAAAGUUUUAAUAGGCUCAAAGAAGAAGAUGUGUUAAAUCUAAAGUUGUUGCACCUUCUGAUUAAAUAAAGUUGUACAAUUUCAUCAACUUGAAAGAAUUGACAUUAAUGAACUGGUCGCCUCUCCAUGUAUGAAGCCUUCUUAAAAGUUAAUUUUUAUUUCAGAAAAAAAAAGUUUAAGUUACAUAUAUUACAGUAAGAUUUUUUGAGACCAAUUCCCUUCUUGAAAUAAUAAUAGAAAAGUAUUAAUUUAAAAAUAAAAUGAAUAUGUAUUGAUUAUAUCCUGAUUUUCAUCGAUUAUAGUUAGAGUUUCACCAAAUCAAUUCCCUUAUUCAAAUAAUACAGAAAAAAUAGUAAUUUAAUAGUAAAAUAAACAGGUGUUGAUUAUAUAUCCUAAGUUUCAUCGAUUAUGUGAUCAAAGUGGCAUUGUUGAUUUAUUUUUUGUUCAAUGUUAAUUUUUAGGUUAUAUAAAUUUCAAGGAUUUAAAAUCUUUGGCCAUGAAUUACACGCUUGUUAAUUUUCCUGCCAUUGACUGUCAUAUUCUAGACUUAAUGAUACCUUUCUUGAUCAAGGGUAAUUACUCUCUCUUCUCCUCUUAUAAAUUCCUCUUCCAUUAACAUCACUAGGAGUAUGUUGAUCUCUCAGACGUUAACUUGAGUGGAGAGUUUCCAAAUUGAUUGUUACAAAACAACACAAAAACUAGACACACUUGAUCUGUCUAAUAAUUCUCUUUCGGUAAAAUUAAAUAAUUUUAGGGGAAUAUUCGGCCAACCUCUAUAAUUUCAUAGUGAUCAUUAAUUAAUUAAUCGAUACAAAUAUCUAAAGUGAUUAAAUGUGACUUGAAAUUUGAUCUCUAUCGAUUGGUUUACAAAUGGACGUACUUGUGCCUUUGUGGCGAUAAUCGAACAAGUACCCAUGAUUAUUAUUUUUUCCAAAAACUUUUUUACAACAAAUUCAUCUCGUCAAAAAUUCUAUGUUGCUAACUAACAAUAAUUGAGCACUUGGCCGCAUUGACUCCACGUCUCCACCUCUUUCUAAAUUCUAAGUAAAAACAUGGAAAUGUAAUUUCCACAAAAUGCCAAAUGUGUGGAAUUUAAUUUUUUGCCUUGUGGAUCAAAAUACAAAUGAAAGAAACAGAAGAAAAAAAAGGCCCAAAGACUUCUAAAAGAUGAAGAAGUCUUUGUGCCUUUUUAUAAUGGUGAAUUUUUUUAAAGAAAAAAAAUAACAACAUUUUUAUGGUUUGUUUUGAUAAUCAUAUUUACAUAUACUCUCUAAUUUCAAAAUGGACACAUAAAUCUUUUUUUUUUACAAAAUAUAUAUUAUUCAUAUUUUUUUUAUUUUUUUAUUAUCAUAUUUUUAUUUAUUAUAAAUGUUUAGAGCAAAUUUUUAGGUUGAAAUAUAAUAAAAAGGUAUAAUUGUUCUCUUAUUAAACACACAUACUUUUAUUAGUUUCUAUCCAUUUGUCAUCUCAAUCUCUCUCAAUUAUUCUUUAUUGCUAGCUCAAAACGCGUUGCUGUUGCAAAUUAUAGCAAAAUGACAAAUAUGGAAAAAAAGGGAAGAAAAUUAAUGCAUGAAAGACUUGGAGAAAACAACAAAAUAAGCCAACUAUGAGCUAGUUGGGUGUAUAAAUUGUUAGAUGUGUUAUAUACAAAUAGCGUAGAGCCCUCUAGUUGGUUCCAGAGACAGAAAGAGCGUGUGUGUUUUUUCACAGUUAGAGAUAUAGUUAGAAUGGGUGGUUCAAAAUCAAAAAUGAUGAUAAUGUUUAUUAUGUUAUUAAUAAUAUUUAAAAGUGGGUGGAGUGAGGGAUGUUUGGAUCACGAGAGAUUUGCUUUUUUGAGACUCAAACAUUUCUUCAAUGAUCCUCUUAAUUCUCUUUACGACUGGGUAGAUGGUGAGGGAGCUACUGAUUGUUGUCAGUGGGAAAGGGUUGAGUGCAGCAACACCACAGGCCGAGUGAUAGCACUGGACCUUUCUUAUAUAUAUUCGGAGAGUACAGCUGGUAUCUGAAUGCUUCUUUAUUUACUCCCUUCCAACAACUUGAGUCACUUGAUUUAACUCAAAACAAAAUAGCCGGAUGUGUUGAGAAUGAAGGUACUUUGUUUAAUUUAAUUAAUUUACUUUCUCCCCCCUAAUUUAAGUUGAAUAUCAAGACCGAGCAAUUAUAUGCAUAUUCAUUUAGUCGACAAUUUUGACUUUUUUUUAAAUGAUUAAUUUUGAAAUUACACCAGUAUCUAUGAUCUUUUUUAUUUUAUUUUAUUUGCAGGUAUAGAGAGGCUAUCAAGAUUGAACAACUUGAAGAUGCUUAAUUUAAGUCGAAACUCAUUCAAUAAUAACAUUUUAUCAUCUCUAACUCAUCUUUCAUCAUUAAGAUCAUUAAAUUUAUUGUGGAAUAGAUUGGAAGGAAGUAUUGACGUUAAAGGUACAUAAUUAAAACUUCAAGCUCUUUCAUUAACUUGCUAAAAUAAGAUUCAAGGCUUUGAAUUCAAUUUUUUUUAUGAUUAAUAUUAAAAAAAACAGUUUUAAGCAAUUUAUAAAUACAAGUUUUAAUGUUUCUUGUAAUUUCAUCUUGUACUUUCAUAUGUCUUGAAUUUAAGAUUAAAAAAAAAAACUCUAAUAGCGAACCAAACACCUCCACAACUUAUUAUUAUUAUUUUAAUUUGUGGUGAGGUUUGAAACAUUCAACUCAAUUUGUACUUAUUACAGAAUUUGAUUCUUUGAGAGAUUUAGAGGAGCUAGACAUUGGCGGGAACAAGAUUGACAAAUUUGUGGUCUCAAAAGGUACUACAAAUACCAUAAAAAAAUAUGCUAACUUUUACAAAUUAGUUAGAUUCUUUGCCAUUUGGUUUAUUAUUUUACAGGUUUGAGUAAGUUGAAGUCUCUUGGUUUAAGUGGUAUCAAACUCAAUCGUAGCAUCUUAUCUUCUCUUUCUUCGUUAAGAGAAUUAGAUAUAAGUCGUACGGGAUUCAAAGGAACAUUUGAUGUUCGAGGUAAGCCUAAACCUUGCUUUCUCAUUUUAUAUAUGCCAACUAGAUUUGUGUAUCAUCGACAUAAUUUAAUAUUUAAUUUGAUAAGUCUGAAUGAAUUACAUGCUAAUUUAAACACACUUUUAUUUACUUUGUCAAUUAAUUAAUUAAUUAAUUACUAUUUGGCUUGGUUUGGACGAAAUUCUCAUGAUGUUUUUAAUUUCUUUAAAUUAAUUAAUUAAUUAACUCUGUUUUUAAGUCUUAAGUCUGGGCAUGUUUGCAGAAUUGAUUCCUUCAAUAACUUAGAAGUGUUGGACAUGAGUUGGAACGAAAUCGACAAUCUUGUGGUUCCUCACGGUAAACAAUUAAAAUGUUAUUCAAUUACAUUAUUUUAAUUCAUUUGAUUAGGGAAGGCCAAAAAGGUAAAAAAAAUAAUAAUAAAGAAACAGAGAAUUUGUAUUAUUUAAAAAACAGAAUGUAAUAAAGAUUUUGAUUCUGGUUCUUUAAUCUUUAAAGUGAUUGAAAACAAUGUUGCUCUUUUCCCAAAGCAUCAAAUACGAAUUGAAUGCCAAUUAACUUAAUCAUUCAUUUCGUUUAGCUCUAAAUUUAGACAAUGAAUUUUUAUAUUAUUUCAAAAACAUGACGUAAUAGAAUUUUUUUAAAAACAGAUUCUAAUAAAGAUUUGAUUCCAAUUCUUUAAUCUUUACAGUGAUUGAAAAACGAUACUACUCUUUUCCCAAAGCAUAAAUACGAAUUGACUCCCAAUCAAAUUAAUCAUUUAUUUCGUUCAUCUCUGAAUUUAAAUAAUGAAUUUUGAUCUUCAAUCGUAUUAUAAUUACUAUUAAAGAACAGGUUACAGAGGUUUGAGGAAGUUGAAUCAUCUUGAUCUAUCGGGAGUUGGAAUUAGAGAUGGAAGCAAGUUGUUACAGUCAAUGGGAUCAUUCCCAUCCCUCAACACUCUUUACCUUUCGUGGAAUAAUUUUAUCGAUACAGCGACCGCUACUCAAGGUAAGUAAAAGGUACAAAUGUGGCCAAAUUUAUAAAUAAAUUGUUAAUUAAUUAAUUUUUCCGUAUUAUUAAUUAAGCUAAAUUUGUUGCUCCUUCCUUCUAAAUCUAAACAGAGUUGCACAAUUUCACCAACUUGGAAUAUUUGACAUUGGACUUUUCCUCUCUCCAUAUAAGCCUUCUCCCAAAGCAUUGCAUCAUUAUUCCCUUCGUUAAAAAAUCUGUCGAUAUCUCAUUGUGAAGUCAAUGGUGUCCUACGCGGUCAAGGUAAAAGAAAAUCGUUGAUUGUGAACUCACUCAAUGGUGUCCUACGUGUUCAACAUUUUUAUUUAUUUAUUGUUUAAUGUUUCUGCUAGGUUUUCCUCAUUUCAAGAGUUUGGAACAUUUGGAUAUGGAUUACACGCGCAUUGCACUCAACACCGGCUUUCUUCAAAUCAUCGGUGAAUCGAUGCCUUCUCUUAAGUACUUAUCACUGUCAAGGUUAAUCUAUAAAUCGAUGCCUUCUCUUGAUCAAGGUUAAUCAGAUGCUCCCACUCUCCCCUCUUAAUCUAUAAUAUUAAUUUUCAAUUCAAUAUUUAAUUACACAAACGAAUCACUUAUUAUAAAAGAAUAAUACGCAUUCAUUAAUUUUUAUAUUGUAUUAAUAAUUGAUGAAUUUAAUAACUUUUCAGGUCUCUGUUCGUUGGUGCAUCUGCAAGUGUUGAACAUUGCAGGCAAUGAUUUAAGAGGUAGCUUGCCUUGGUGCUUGGCAAAUAUGACAUCCCUCCGAAUAUUAGAUGUUUCUUCCAAUCAACUUACUGGAAGCAUCUCCUCAUCUCCCCUCGUUCAUUUGACAUCCAUUGAAGAGCUGAUGCUUUCAGACAAUCACUUCCAGAUCCCAAUUUCACUUGAACCAUUUUUCAAUCACUCACGACUCAAGAUUUUCCAUGCUUACAACAACGAAAUAAAUGCAGAAAUAACUGAGUCACAUUCUUUGACUGCCCAAACUUCCAAUUAAAAUAUCUCUCAUUGUCUUCCGGUUACGGAGAUGGUGUCACAUUCCCCAAAUUCCUUUACCAUCAACAUGAUCUGGAGACUGUUGACCUCUCACAUAUAAACAUGAGGGAGAAUUUCCAAAUUGGUUGUUGGAAAACAACACAAACUUAGAAAUAUUUUUUGGUUAAUGAUUCUCUUGCAGGACCUUUCCGGUUGCCAAUUCAUUCACACAAGCGGUUAAGACUGUUGGAUAUAUCCAACAACAACAUCAGAGGCCACAUUCCAGAAAUUGGAGAUGUUUUACCGGGUUUAUUUUCUUUAAACAUUUUCAUGAAUGCUUUAGACGGUUGCAUUCCCUCUUCAUUUGGUAAUAUGAAAUUCCUCCAAUUUNNNNNUUAAUUAAUUAANNNNNGAUGGGAAAUUGAAACAAGAAUUUGAGAAUUGGAAAUCGAAAACGUCCGCAUUGACCGUGCCUUUGAGGGCAAUUACUUUUCUUGAGAAUUGAAGUUUGGUAAUGUAAUUUGUUCUCCAUCUGUGUUCCCUUUGUAGUCAUUUCAUUUAUUUGUUUGUUUGCUUUUAUUUGCAGGAGAAAUUGAUCCUCGAGAUAAAAGUAAAUUGUCUUUAAGCUCAUUUAGUUUUAUAUCAAACAAAAUCAAGACUGCCUUUUUCUUCAAUAGUUUUGAUGAUUAUCUUUAGAAGCAUCUCAUUGACAGGUAAUCGUGGUACCCCUUAAAGAGUCUAUAAACUCAAGGAUAUUAUCUUCUGCAAAUGGUUCAUUAAACUUCUUAGAUGUAGUUAAAUGUACACUGAGAACAACGAGAAGCUAUGCCACUGUAGCAAUGUAUGAUGGCACUUAAUGAGUGAGUUGCUAGGAUAUGAACUAGAAAAAUUAAACAUUGUCUCCCUGGGUAUGCUAGCUUGUAAGUCGGUUAAUAUUAGAGCUUGAGAUACUAUAACCAUGAGAAGCUAUUGACCGCCGAUUAAAAUAUCCAUUAAAAUGUCUAGGGAGUUAUGAAGGUGGAGGUGUCUCCCAAUUUCUAAGGCCAUAUAGUAGACAUCAUCCAGGAUCCUAUUUAAAGUGCAGUUAGCCUCCUGCUUGAUGCUAAUGUCAAACAAUUAAUAAAUUUGGUCAAUGUAACUGAAACUUGCUAACUGACGUCAGAUUGCGACUUGAGCACCUUAAAAUGGGAUAGACGAUUAGUAGCACUGAAUUCUUCUUGCCUAAGAUUGAGCAAUUGUUCUAACUACAAUCUCCUAUUGUAGGUUGAUUAUUAUGUUCUAAUUAUGUCGAUUUUGACCCAAAAAAAUUACAUAAUCUUGAUCUGCAUAAUGUCACUGAACAGUGUCAAUUUCGUUUACCAACUAACUUGAGUUUGAUAUAACAAACACACGGUGUGUCUCUCAUGUCUCACCAUGAUGGAAUUUUUCUAAUGCAUGAAGCAAGCUUCGAUAUGUGGGUUAGCUUGGAGAAGAUAUCUUAAAAUGAAGAAUAUGGGAGUUAAUGGGAAGAAACAGUUCAGUAGUUUAUAAUUCUGUCGUCGAGCUGUAUCUCUAACAUGGUCAAAAUUUAUGUGAAUAAGGACAGGGAAUCUUCAUUCCUCUUUCCCUUUUUAUACCCACAUAUCUCUCAACCUUUAUAUGUUGCUCACUGGAGAUCUGCUUCUGAUAACUAAAAUAAAAAUUUCAUCCACUCAAAUAAAUUCUGACCAAGCUUUCACAAGAAAAAGUAACAUCUUUAGUGAAGUAAUUUACAAGUAAUUUAGAGUUCCUUAUCAUCUUCUUGUGAGUCUAUCAGUAUGAUCCAAAAACAUAAUAAAUCUUGUUAGAUCCUGUUUAUUGAUGUUUAAACGCUGCUCAUUGUGAAAUGUAGAAACAAUGACGUGAAGUUUCUUUGGUCAUCAAUUAGUGAGAUCUUGUUUGAAGUUGUUUUCUGAAAUGAACUGCCAAAUGAUAGUUUUUUUUUUUUUUUCUUUGGACGCAUUUGAUGGCUCUUUCUCCUCAUUUAAGCAAUGUGCCUGCUUGGUAUGGGAAGGAAUAGGCUUCAGAGUUGUUAUAUAUGUUGACAUGCUCUGGUCAUUACACAAUAUGUUCAAAUUGGAAAUUAGAAUGAGAUAUUUGUCGAUGCUUUUUGAGAGAUCUGCAUUCUAUGCAGCAUAACAUGAUUAAUGAAAAUGGGUUUAAGGACUGGAAAGAUCUGUGGCAGCCCAAGCUUGCAGGAAGGAUUUCAAUGGUUAAUUCUCCCAGAGAGGUUAUUGGUACAGUUUUGAAGUAUAUGGGAGCAUCAUACAAUUCAAACGCAUUAAUUAGCAAGUUGCUGCUGGGAGGAUUGCUGUUCAGCAGAAUCUGGCAUUACUGGGAAACCAGGUACUCUUAAAGAAACGAUAGCUGGUCAAUGCAUAUUAUUUGCCUGACGGCUGAUUUUGUUUGUAAAGUGUGCCUUUUCAUACAUAUGAAUGCAUAUGUUAGUGUUGUCUUCUUCUUUCCAUAAAUAUGAAUGCAUAUGUUGGUGUUCUUUUCUGAGAUGGAUGCAAUAAAGGCUUUUUCUUCUAAAUGACGAGUUUUCAUUUAAAAAUGUUAUAAAUCUGCCAUGCAUAGUAUUCUAGUAGAAUCAUCUAUAAAUUCAAGUUAUUGAAAUUGUCUAUUUGUCCAGUUUGAGUUAAGGACGCAUGUAAUAUGAAAAAUAGUUGUCGAAUAUUGUAGGUUAGCUAAUAUUUGAUCAAUCCUAUAGGGAGGGCUUUAAGAUGUCUAACAACAUGUAGAAUGCCCCUGCUUCCCCCACAAUUUUUAUCUUAUACAAUUUUUAUCUAUAAACAGUAUUUGCCAGACCUUAACUGUUCAGAUUCCCCUUCUCGACUAUCAUACCCUACGCCCCGUCUCCGUGUCUCCGAUAAACAGUGCUCAAUUAAGGCCAUCAGAUUAUCCCGGUCCCACAUUGAUCAACGGCUCACAAUGACCGACAACCUCUGUCUCCAUUACAAGCUCCCUCUUCAACUCGCUUCUGCUUCCAUCCUACUCUUUCUCAGAUUCGGAGCCCGUAUAUGCUCGGCUGGUCCCACGAAGCUCCCUCUCACUCCAGCUGUCAACCGACAAGACCAAUUGCCUUAUCAAGACAGAGAAAAAAAGAGGAUGAGAAAUUGAAACAAGAAUUUGAGAAUUGGAAAUCGAAAACGUACUCAUUGACCGUGCCUUUGAGAGUUGUUUCUCUUCAGAAUUCAGUGCCUCAAUCUUGGGUUAAGGAUUUUAUGCGAAGUCAAGGAAAGUGAUUGAAGUUUCAGAUGAAUUUGUGUGCUAGCAUUGGUGGGAUCUUUAACAAUUUAUCUGCCCUUUAACAAAGUCAAGGCUAAUUCAGCUUCUUAUAUGGCUGCUGAUUUGGUUAGUGUUGGUGAUUCAUGGCUUAGUUUUGCCAUUAAAGAGAGAUUGAUUGAGCCAAUGGCUGGAGCUGAAGACCAAGAUUGGUUCAAAUGCUUAAGUCACAAAUGGAAGGUAACAUCUUUAUCUUUGGCCCGAUAAUUUUUAUUGUCUUACAUUGAAAUUUGGUAAUGUAAUUUGUUCUCUAUCUGUAUUACCCUUUUUAGUCGUUUUAUUUAUUUGUUUAUUUGCUUUUAUUUGCACUAACGAAGUCUCAGGUAUAUCUAUGCAGAAUGAUGCAGGAGAAAUUGAUCCUCGAUGUGAAAUAUGGGCGGCACCAUACAGGUGGGGCACAAUGGUGAUAGCCUACAAGAAAAGUAAAUUUCGAAAGCAUAAUUUGGCUCCGAUUGAGGUAAUAAUUGUCUUUAAACUCAUUUAGUUUUAUAUCAAACAAAAUCAAGACUGCCUUUCUCUUCAAUAUUUUUGAUGAUAAUAUCUUUAGAAGCAUCUUAUUGAUGGGUAAUAAUUGUAUCCCUGAAACAGUCUAUAAACUCAAUGAUAUUAUCUUCUACAAAUGGCUCAUUAAACUUUGUCGUUGUAGUCAAAUGUACACUCAGAGCAAUGACAAGCUAUGCCACUGUGUAGCAUGUAGUGAUGGCACUUAAUAAGUGAGUUGCUAGGAUGUGAACUAGAAAAAUUAAAUAUUGUCUCCCUGGGCAUGCUAGCUCAUAAGUCAGGGUUAAUAUUAGAACUCAAGAUACUAUAACCAUGAGAAGCUAUUGACUGCCAAUUAAAAUAUCCUUUAAAAUGUCUAGGAAGUUAUGAAGGUGGAAGUAUCUUCCGAUUUCUGAGGCCACAUGGUAGAUAUCAUCCAGGAUCCUAGUACAGUGCAGUUAACCUCCUGCUUGAUGCAAUUAAUAAAUUUGGUCAAUGCCACUGAAACAUGCUAACUGACGUCGCAAUGCGACAUGAGCACUUCAAAAUGGGACAGACGGUCGGUAGCACUAAAUUUUUCUUGCCUAAGAUUGAGCAAUUGGUCUAACUACUAACCCCUUUUGUAGUUGAUCAUUAUUUUUUCAAUUAUUUUCAGUUUGACCCAAAACGUUACAGAAUCUUGAUCUGAAUAUUGUCACUGAACAUUGUCACUGAACAUUGUCAAUGUCGUUUAGCGUAGCCAACUAACUUGAGUUUGGUAAAACAACACACAGUGUGUCUCAUGUCUCACAAUUCAAAUUAUCAUUUGUAAUGAUGAGAAUUUUUCCAAUGUAUGAAGUAUGCUUUGAUACGUGGGUUACCUUGGGGAAGGUAUCUCAAAAUAAAGAAUAUGGGGAGAAAACAGUUCAGUAGUUUAUUAUUAUGUAGUCAAGUUUUGUCUCAAAAAUGGUCCAAAUUUAAAUGAAUAAGGAGGGGAUCUUCAUUCUUUUUUCCCUUUUUUAUACCUAGAUAUCUCUCAACCUUUAUAUAAUCCCCACUGGAUAUCUGCUUCUAAUAAUUAAAAUAAAAAUUUCACCCACACAAAUAAAUACUGACCAAGCUCUAACAUAUAAAAGUAACUUCUUUAGUCAAGUGAUUUACAGUUCCUCAUCACCUUAGUGAGACUAUCAGUGUGUUCCAAAAACAUAAUAAAAUUGGUUUGUUCCUGUUUAUUGAUGUUUAAAUGUUGUUCAUUGUGACAUAGAAAUGAUGAGGCGAAGUUUAUUUGGUCAUCAAUUUGUAGAUCUUGUUUGAAGUUGCUUUCUGAAAUGAACUGCCAAAUGGUAGUUUCUUUGGGGCAUUUGAUGGCUCUUUUUUCCUCAUUUUAAACAUGUGCCUGCUUGGAACAGGAAGGAUUAGGCUGCAGAGUUGUUAUAUAUUUUGACAUGCUCUAGUCAUUGCACAAUUUGUUCACACUGGAAACUAGAAUGAGAAAUUUGUUGCAUUCUAUGCACAAUAACAUGAUUAAUGAAAAUGGAUUGUAGGACUGGAAAGAUCUGUGGCAGCCUGAGCUCGCAGGACGAAUUUCAAUGGUUAAUUCUCCCUGAGGUUAUUGGUUUAGUUUUGAAGUAUAUGGGAGCAUCAUACAAUUCAAACGAUAUUGAUUCAAGUUGCUGGUGGGAAGAUUGCUGCUGCUCAGCAGAAUCUGGCAUUACUGGCAAACCAGGUACUCUCAAAGAAAUAUCUUUGCAUGUUAUUACCUGACAACUGAUUUUGUUUGUAAAAGUCUGCUUCUUCAUACAUAUGAAUGCAUAUGUUAGUGUUUCUUCUCCUUUUCAUACAUAUGAAUGCAUAUGUUGCUUCUUUUCCUUUCCAUACAUAUUAAUACAUAUGUUGGUGUUCUCUCCUGAGAUGGAUGCAAUAAAGGUUUUUCUGAAGAAAUGGCAAGGGAUGUGAGAUUCUGUCUCAUAAAAUUAACAAAAACCCAAAACAAUGAAAACCCAUAAUAAUGUGGUGUGGGUAAAUUGACGCCAUUUGGUUCGUUUCCUUGAUGUGAAUACGCGGGCAAUAGAGACUAACAAAAUGAAGUGACAACAAGAAGUCAGUGUCCUUUGAUGGAUGCAUUUUUAGGCAGAAAUAGGUUUGUAAUUGACCAAAUUUGUCUGGCAUGCCAAUUUCAAAAAAAUUAAAUUAUGUGGUUAUUAGCUGUAAUGAAGGGGGAUUGUAGGUCCAAUCAGGUGGAUCCAUGAAAGUUCAACAAAGUUCUGGUAUGGCGUAGAAAUUGGUUUGUGGCAACUCAAGAGUCUUUCUGGUGAACGAUGAUGGGUUUGAUUUAUAAAUGUUAUAAAUCUACUGUGCAUAGUAUUCUAGUAGAAUCAUCUAUAAGUUCUAGUUAUUGAAAUUGUCUACCUUGUUCAGUUUGAGUUAAGGGCACAUGUAAUAUGAAAAAUAGUUGUUGCAUCUUUUAGGUUACCUAACAUUUGAUCAAUCCUAUUAUGAGGGCUUCAAGAUGUCUAACAAUAUGUGGAAUGCCCAUGCUCCUCCCCAUUGUUUAUCUUAUAUAAUAAUUUGUUUUAGAUGCUAAUAUCUUUGUCGAUACGGUAACAAUAUUACAAUAUCUGCGUUUAUUGGGUUUUACAUAGGUUCGACUGUUUGACAGUACACACUCUCUGAAGGCAUUUGGAAAUGGAAUGUAUGGAUUGCUGUUGGGUGGAGUAGUGAUGUUCUUCCUGCUGUCAAACGUAUGUCUAAUGUUGCAGUUGUUGUUCCCAGUCUGGUGCUAGCUUAUGGGCUGAUCUUUGGGUAUACCCAUGCCUGCCAUUCUACUUCAAUAUUCACAUUGUUAUCUCCUUCAUAUUAGUGAUCAGUAACACGAUAAUGUGACUAAUAAGUUCGUAUUCUCUUUAUAGGCAAUCCCUGCUGCCUCAAGACUGAAACAAAACAAAUUGGAGGCGAGUCAGAGGUGCAUUUCCAUUAAUCCAUCAAUGGAUAGAAUUCUGCUUGCAAACAGCGAGAGCAUUGCCUUUCAAGCAAGAGGUUAUCCCGAGCGCAUCUCCCUCUGCCCUUGAGAGUACUCUGGUUAAGUUGCCUGAAGAACUUUUGAAGGGUAAACCAAGUCUGGAUACUAACUUAAUUGCUGAGUACCCUGACGGAAAUUCUGGCCAGAUGUGAGUUUUUGGAGCCAUUAUCUGAAGCUACAUUGUCGGAUUAUGAGUGGCUGGUUGCUAAUCUGCAAAAAUCCACUCCUGUACUGAUCAACAAGAUGCAACAUUACAUGUCAUCAUUGAUCUUUAGCUAAAGGUACAUUGAAAAGUUAAUGGCACUGCAUACCAGUCAUUAUAAUUGGGUCAGGCAAUUGGGUCAGGGCAAUUGGGUCAGGGCAAUUAGGUCAGAGCAUAACUUCAUUAGGAAAAGAGGCUUCAGCUACGUUAAAUAUUACAGGAUGUACUGAUGGCUGAAGUUGUUGACGUUGUACGAGAAACGAAAGAUGAGUGUUUGUUUUGAACAAAGUUGUUGCCAAUCUUGCAGAGUUCGAGAAGAAAGAUCACGAAGCAAAUGCCACCGAUUUCUUCAUCACUGUAGCCUCCAUAGUUGAAGUUUCCUCAUUUGAAGCUGUUUAUGCAUAUGCUUUUUCCCUUCUCAAGUACAGGAAAUUGAAGAAUUAACCAGAUGUGAUAUGCUGAAAGAGGGAAGUUUCUCCCUUGAAUGUGGCCUUGUGAUUUGUCUUGAAGGAAUAGGAUGAUCACUGGCAAGAACCCUAUCAAGGUAGAUUUUAUGAUGUUAACAUAUUAUUAAGCAUUUUGUUACAUCAGCAAUGAUGCUUUCAUAGCAUGAAAGUGUUUAAAUUUAACUGAAUGAUCUUGAUUGAUCAAUUAUGAGUUUUAAUCGAGUAAAAACUAAAUACAAUAAUCGUUAACAAAUAUUGAAAUUGGGUAAAUAUGAUCUUGAUAUUGAUGAAUUUGAAAUCACAACCCACACAGGAAAUCACCCUGCGCGUGGGAUGGAAAUGUUUACUGCAGCGAUAUUGAAUAUGUCCACUGCUGGACUAAUUCUGAUUACCUAAUUGACUCAGGAUCGGCUGGCAAUAAUAACAGUUUAUUAACAAUGCACAGUCCGAGUACUUUUCCAGGAUCAGAUACGACGUGGUCUAAUGUUGAUAAUAAUAGAUUAUCAAAUGACAAAUCGUUGUUCUACUAUUGCAAGCCCCCAGAUUUAAGAAUCUUUUUCAGAAAUUAAAUACAUUCUGAGAGAUGCUGGUCUACUAUUGCAAGCCCCCAGGUUUAAGAAUCUUUUGACGGUAAUUUAUCACCUGUAACUGUGCCGGAAGAUUCAACUAGCACUGAAAAAGAUGAUAAAUUAAUUGAUAUGGAGAGUUUUCAUAUCACUUUUAAAUCAUCUUAUGUAAUUGUGAUGUUAGGAAGCAUUAGUGAUCUAUAUGUGAAUUAUUAUUGGCGCCAUUGGUGGUUUUAUCUUGUUAAAAUAUGGAUGACUUCCAGUUACUAUUUUGUUGCAGACAAUCUUCUUCAAUUAACAUAUGGUUUAAAAUCAUUAUGUAAAUCAAUCUAUUAAUUUUCAAGAUAUUUAACUGAGUUAAAACUAAGUGCACUCAAUAAAUCUCUUUUCCUUUAAAAAACUGUUACGCUUUAAUUUUAGUGCUUAAUAUUUAUUGAACUCCGAUACAGGGAAUUUGAAAUCAAACUCGUAACUACAUAUUAUCUAAUUGCAAGUUUCUAUCCAUAGCUGCUGAUUUGUAGUGAUUAUCUAAUUGACUGAGGUGACGACAAUUUUUUUUUUUUAAAUUUUCAAUAGCACAAUGUGGAAUUCAAUAAUUAAAUUCUCCUUUUUAAUUUGUUUCCAGUUAAAUUAUUAAUUACUUAAACUCUGUUUUAAGUCUUUAAGUUUAUGUGUUUAUGCAGAAUUGGAUUCUUGAGCGUGUUGGACACGACCAACAAUGAAAUUGACAGUAAAAAAACAAUACAACGUGUGGACUCCGGUAGAUGCCAUACAAGUCUACAACUUUACAAAUAAUAAUUGAGUAAGCAACUUUGAUUCUCGGGCCCUUCAAUGAAUUUCUAGCCCCGUUGACUCCGCCAACUAAAGUUUGUAAAAUAAAAAAAUACAUAGAAUUCCACUAAAUGCAAAACGCGUGGAAUUUAAUUUUCGGCCAUGUGGACCAAAACAUAAUUUAAUGAAAAAGGAAAAAAAUGAUAAGAUUUCUAAAAUAUGUGAAAGAUGAUCCAUAUUUUACUGAAACGACUUAUUAAAUUUUUCAAAGAUUUAGAAUAUUUAGUCAUAAAUUACGUGCAUGUUAAUUUUUCCGCCAUUGACUAUCAUAUUCUAAACUUAAUAGUACAUUUCUUGUUGAAGGGUACUUAGUCUCUCUUCUCCUCUUAUAAAAAUUAUAUUGAUGGAUUUCUUGUUAUAGUUAAUAGUCUUUAAGAACGGAUAACUUUAUUGUUUUCGUGACCAAAUUAUGUCCGCCUAAGGUUGUGACUAUUAAUAAAAUUAAUAUUUAAUGUUUAUGUUAAAAGAUAUAAGAUUUUAUGCGUUCAUUAAUUGUUAUUAGCUAAAGGAUGAAUUAUUUUUUCAACCCAAUCAGUUGAUGCAUCUGCAAGAGUUUUUUCUUUUAUUGACCAUAAUUAUGUUCCGGGUACAAUAAAUUGUCUUUGGUGCUUGGAAAAUAUGACUUCUUACUUCAAGUUUGAUAUGUCUCUCACCAUAAACUUACUGGAAAUAUAUCCUCAUCUACUGUCAUUUAUCUAAUAUCAAUUGAAGAUCUCACUUUUUCAAACUAUCACUUCCAAGUCUCAUUGUCACUUGGCCAUUCUUGGAUCAUUCAAAACCAAUCAAGUGUUGAAAUAAUCAAAUAUAUGCAAAAUUAGAGUCACGAUUUUUUGGUCCCCCAAAUUCUAAUUAUAUAACUUCUAUAUAUUUCAUUGCCAGGUCACGAACUUGUUGGCACAUUUUCCAAAUUCCUCUUCCAUCAGCUCUCACACGUUAACUUAAGUGGAAAGUUUCCAAGUUGAUUGCUAGAAAGCAACGCAAAAUCAGACACACUUGAUCUGUCCCCUAAUUCUCUUUUCUACGUUGAAAAAGAAAAAAAAAUAAAAUACAUAUAUAUAUAUAUAUAUAUAUAUCUAUGUAAAAAUAAAUAAUAAACUGAGUAAAAGUACAUUUGUUUAAUUAACAUCUGAUCGGGGCAUUUUUGGUGUAAGCCACAACUAAAAUCAAACAGCCCCUUAGCAUACUUCUUCCAUUUUAUCUGCUACUUUUGUGGAUCUUAUAGGGUGGGCAUGUGGACAGAAUUUAAAAGUUUUAAUAGGCUCAAAGAAGAAGAUGUGUUAAAUCUAAAGUUGUUGCACCUUCUGAUUAAAUAAAGUUGUACAAUUUCAUCAACUUGAAAGAAUUGACAUUAAUGAACUGGUCGCCUCUCCAUGUAUGAAGCCUUCUUAAAAGUUAAUUUUUAUUUCAGAAAAAAAAAAGUUUAAGUUACAUAUAUUACAGUAAGAUUUUUUGAGACCAAUUCCCUUCUUGAAAUAAUAAUAGAAAAGUAUUAAUUUAAAAAUAAAAUGAAUAUGUAUUGAUUAUAUCCUGAUUUUCAUCGAUUAUAGUUAGAGUUUCACCAAAUCAAUUCCCUUAUUCAAAUAAUACAGAAAAAAUAGUAAUUUAAUAGUAAAAUAAACAGGUGUUGAUUAUAUAUCCUAAGUUUCAUCGAUUAUGUGAUCAAAGUGGCAUUGUUGAUUUAUUUUUUGUUCAAUGUUAAUUUUUAGGUUAUAUAAAUUUCAAGGAUUUAAAAUCUUUGGCCAUGAAUUACACGCUUGUUAAUUUUCCUGCCAUUGACUGUCAUAUUCUAGACUUAAUGAUACCUUUCUUGAUCAAGGGUAAUUACUCUCUCUUCUCCUCUUAUAAAUUCCUCUUCCAUUAACAUCACUAGGAGUAUGUUGAUCUCUCAGACGUUAACUUGAGUGGAGAGUUUCCAAAUUGAUUGUUACAAAACAACACAAAAAGUAGACACACUUGAUCUGUCUAAUAAUUCUCUUUCGGUAAAAUUAAAUAAUUUUAGGGGAAUAUUCGGCCAACCUCUAUAAUUUCAGAGUGAUCAUUAAUUAAUUAAUCGAUACAAAUAUCUAAAGUGAUUAAAUGUGACUUGAAAUUUGAUCUCUAUCGAUUGGUUUACAAAUGGACGUACUUGUGCCUUUGUGGCGAUAAUCGAACAAGUACCCAUGAUUAUUAUUUUUUCCAAAAACUUUUUUACAACAAAUUCAUCUCGUCAAAAAUUCUAUGUUGCUAACUAACAAUAAUUGAGCACUUGGCCGCAUUGACUCCACGUCUUCACCUCUUUCUAAAUUCUAAGUAAAAACAUGGAAAUGUAAUUUCCACAAAAUGCCAAAUGUGUGGAAUUUAAUUUUUUGCCUUGUGGAUCAAAAUACAAAUGAAAGAAACAGAAGAAAAAAAAGGCCCAAAGACUUCUAAAAGAUGAAGAAGUCUUUGUGCCUUUUUAUAAUGGUGAAUUUUUUAAAAGAAAAAAAAUAACAACAUUUUUAUGGUUUGUUUUGAUAAUCAUAUUUACAUAUACUCUCUAAUUUUCAAAAUGGACACAUAAAUCUUUUUUUUUUACAAAAUAUAUAUUAUUCAUAUUUUUUUUUAUUUUUUUAUUAUCAUAUUUUUAUUUAUUAUAAAUGUUUAGAGCAAAUUUUUAGGUUGAAAUAUAAUAAAAAGGUAUAAUUGUUCUCUUAUUAAACACACAUACUUUUAUUAGUUUCUAUCCAUUUGUCAUCUCAAUCUCUCUCAAUUAUUCUUUAUUGCUAGCUCAAAACGCGUUGCUGUUGCAAAUUAUAGCAAAAUGACAAAUAUGGAAAAAAAGGGAAGAAAAUUAAUGCAUGAAAGACUUGGAGAAAACAACAAAAUAAGCCAACUAUGAGUUAGUUGGGUGUAUAAAUUGUUAGAUGUGUUAUAUACAAAUAGCGUAGAGCCCUCUAGUUGGUUCCAAAGACAGAAAGAGCGUGUGUGUUUUUUCACAGUUAGAGAUAUAGUUAGAAUGGGUGGUUCAAAAUCAAAAAUGAUGAUAAUGUUUAUUAUGUUAUUAAUAAUAUUUAAAAGUGGGUGGAGUGAGGGAUGUUUGGAUCACGAGAGAUUUGCUUUUUGAGACUCAAACAUUUCUUCAAUGAUCCUCUUAAUUCUCUUUACGACUGGGUAGAUGGUGAGGGAGCUACUGAUUGUUGUCAGUGGGAAAGGGUUGAGUGCAGCAACACCACAGGCCGAGUGAUAGCACUGGACCUUUCUUAUAUAUAUUCGGGAGAGUACAGCUGGUAUCUGAAUGCUUCUUUAUUUACUCCCUUCCAACAACUUGAGUCACUUGAUUUAACUCAAAACAAAAUAGCCGGAUGUGUUGAGAAUGAAGGUACUUUGUUUAAUUUAAUUAAUUUACUUUCUCCCCCCUAAUUUAAGUUGAAUAUCAAGACUGAGCAAUUAUACGCAUAUUCAUUUAGUCGACAAUUUUGACUUUUUUUUAAAUGAUUAAUUUUGAAAUUACACCAGUAUCUAUGAUCUUUUUUAUUUUAUUUUAUUUGCAGGUAUAGAGAGGCUAUCAAGAUUGAACAACUUGAAGAUGCUUAAUUUAAGUGGAAACUCAUUCAAUAAUAGCAUUUUAUCAUCUCUAACUCAUCUUUCAUCAUUAAGAUCAUUAAAUUUAUUGUGGAAUAGAUUGGAAGGAAGUAUUGACGUUAAAGGUACAUAAUUAAAACUUCAAGCUCUUUCAUUAACUUGCUAAAAUAAGAUUCAAGGCUUUGAAUUCAAUUUUUUUAUGAUUAAUAUUAAAAAAACAGUUUUAAGCAAUUUAUAAAAACAAGUUUUAAUGUUUCUUGUAAUUUCAUCUUGUACUUUCAUAUGUCUUGAAUUUAAGAUUAAAAAAAAAACUCUAAUAGCGAACCAAACACCUCCACAACUUCUUAUUAUUUGUGGUGAGGUUUGAAACAUUCAACUCAAUUUGUACUUAUUACAGAAUUUGAUUCUUUGAGAGAUUUAGAGGAGCUAGACAUUGGCGGGAACAAGAUUGACAAAUUUGUGGUCUCAAAAGGUACUACAAAUACCAUAAAAAAAUAUGCUAACUUUUACAAAUUAGUUAGAUUCUUUGCCAUUUGGUUUAUUAUUUUACAGGUUUGAGUAAGUUGAAGUCUCUCGGUUUAAGUGGUAUCAAACUCAAUCGUAGCAUCUUAUCUUCUCUGACUGUCUUUUCUUCGUUAAGAGAAUUACAUCUACGUGAUACGGGAUUCAAAGGAACAUUCGAUGUUCGAGGUAAGCCUAAGUCUUGCUUUCUCAUUUUAUAUAUGCCAACUAGAUUUGUGUAUCAUCGACAUAAUUUAAUAUUUAAUUUGAUAAGUUUGAAUGAAUUACAUGCUAAUUUAAACACACUUUUAUUUACUUUGUCAAUUAAUUAAUUAAUUAAUUAAUACUAUUUGGCUUGGUUUGGACGAAAUUCUCAUGAUGUUUUAAUUUCUUUAAAUUAAUUAAUUAAUUAACUCUGUUUUUAAGUCUUAAGUCUGGGCGUGUUUGCAGAAUUUGAUUCCUUUAACGACUUAGAAGUGUUGGAUAUGAGAUACAAUGAAAUCGACAAUCUUGUGGUUCCUCAAGGUAAACAAUUAAAAGGUACAGAUGUGGCCAAAUUUAUAAAUAAAUUGUUAAUUAAUUAAUUUUUUCGUAUUAUUAAUAAAGCUAAAUUCGUUGCUCCUUCCUUCUAAUUCUAAACAGAGUUGCACAAUUUCACCAACUUGGAAUAUUUGACAUUGGAAUCUUCCUCUCUCCAUAUAAGCCUUCUGCAAAGCAUUGCAUCAAUAUUCCCUUCGUUAAAAAAUCUGUCGAUGUCUUUUUGUGAAGUCAAUGGUGUCGUACGCGGUCAAGGUAAAAGAAAAGCGUUGAUUGUGAACUCACUCAAUGGUGUCCUACGUGUUCAACAUUUUUAUUUAUUUUAUUGUUUAAUGUUUCUGCUAGGUUUUCCUCAUUUCAAGAGUUUGGAACAUUUUGACAUGAGGUUCGCGCGCAUUGCGCUCAACACCAGCUUUCUUCAAAUCAUCGGUGAAUCGAUGCCCUCUCUUAAGUACUUAUUACUGUCAUAUUCUACUCUUGGCACUAACAGCAGCAGGAUUCUUCAUCAAGGUUAAUGAGAUGCUGCCACCCUCCCCUCUUAACCUAUAAUAUUAAUUUUCGAUUAAAUAUUUAAUUACACAAACCAAUCACUUAUUAUAAAAGAACAAUACGCAUUCAUUAAUUUUUAUAUUGUAUUAAUAAUUGAUGAAUUUAAUAAAUUUUCAGGCCUCUGUUCGUUGGUGCACCUGCAAGAGUUGUACAUUGAUAAUAAUGAUUUAAGAGGUAGCUUGCCUUGGUGCUUGGCAAAUAUGACAUCCCUCCGAAUAUUAGAUGUUUCUUCCAAUCAACUUACGGGAAGCAUCUCCUCAUCUCCCCUCGUUCAUUUGACAUCCAUUGAAAAGUUGGAUCUUUCAAACAAUCACUUUUGGAUCCCAAUUUCACUUGAACCACUUUUCAAUCACUCACGACUCAAGCUUUUCUAUGCUGACAACAAUGAAAUAAAAGCUGAAAUAACUGAGUCACAUUCUUUGACUGCCCCAAACUUCCAAUUAAAAUAUCUCUCAUUGUCUUCCGGUUACGAAGAUGGUGUCACAUUCCCCAAAUUCCUUUACCAUCAACAUGACCUGGAGUAUGUUGACCUCUCACAUAUAAACAUGAGCGGAGAAUUUCCAAAUUGGUUGUUGGAAAACAACACAAACUUAGAAUAUAUUUUUUUGGUUAAUGAUUCUCUUGCAGGACCUUUCCGGUUGCCAAUUCAUUCACACAAGCGGUUAAGACUGUUGGAUAUAUCCAACAACAACAUCAGAGGCCACAUUCCAGUAGAAAUUGGAGAUGUUUUACCGGGUUUAUUUUCUUUAAACAUUUUCAUGAAUGCUUUAGACGGUUGCAUUCCCUCUUCAUUUGGUAAUAUGAAAUUCCUCCAAUUUCUGGACUUAUCCAACAACCAAUUGACUGGUGAAAUCCCUAAGCACUUGGCCGUGGGUUGCGUCAACUUAGAGUCUCUUGCGUUGUCAAACAACAACUUAGAAGGUCAUAUGUUCUCCAGAAACUUCAACCUGACAAACUUGAAAUGGUUACAAUUGGAAAGCAAUCACUUCGUAGGAGAGAUCCCACAAAGUUUGUCUAAAUGCUCCUCACUAAAAGGAUUGUAUCUUAACAAUAAUAGUCUUUCGGGUAAGAUUCCACGAUGGUUGGGUAAUCUCACAUGGUUACAAUAUAUUACAAUGCCCAAUAAUCAUCUUGAAGGUCCUAUUCCAGUGGAGUUUUGUCAGCUUGAAUGGCUUCAGAUUUUGGACAUUUCAGACAACAACAUAUCUGGAAGUUUACCAUCUUGUUUCCAUCUUCUCUCUAUCAAACAAGUUCAUCUUUCAAAAAAAUAUGUUACAUGGACAGCUAAAAAGAGGUACAUUCUUUAAUUGCUCUUCCCUUGUGACAUUAGAUCUUAGUUAUAACCGCUUGAAUGGCAGCAUUCCGGAUUGGGUUGAUGGACUUUCUCGGUUAAGCCACCUUAUCUUGGCUCACAAUAAUCUUAAAGGUGAAGUGCCAGUUCAAUUGUGCAAAUUGAACCAACUACAAUUGUUAGAUCUUUCUAAUAAUAAUCUUCAUGGUCCUAUUCCUCUUUGCUUUGAUAACACCACACUUCAUGAAAGUUACAGCAAUAGUUCUAGUCCUGAUGAGCAAUUUGAAAUAUAUGUUUUCAUCGAAGGCCCUCAGGGAGGUGUAGAAAAGAAAAUCCAUGAAAUUUUUGAGUUCACAACAAAGAACAUUGCGUACAUUUACCAAGGAAAAGUGCUUAGCCUCCUAUCAGGACUUGAUCUUUCUUGCAACAAGCUAAUCGGUAAUAUUCCUCCUCAAAUUGGAAAUUUGACAAGGAUUCAAACAUUGAAUCUAUCGCACAACAACUUGACAGGAUCGAUCCCAUCAACAUUUUCAAACUUGAAGCAUGUCGAAAGUUUGGAUCUUUCCAACAACAAAUUGAAUGGGAAAAUCCCUCAUCAACUAGUGGAGUUAAAGACAUUGGAGGUUUUCAGUGUGGCAUACAAUAACUUAUCAGGCGAAAUUCUAGAAUGGAAAGCACAAUUUGCAACCUUCAACGGGAGUAGCUAUGAAGGAAAUACUUUUCUUUGUGGACUGCCAUUGCCCAUUUGCAGAUCACCAGCAACUACGCCGGAGGCUUCAAUUGGCAAUGAACGAGAUGAUAAUUUAAUUGACAUGGACAAUUUCUUUAUCACAUUUACAACAUCGUACGUAAUUGUGAUAUUCGGAAUUGUUAUUGUUUUAUAUGUAAAUUCUUAUUGGCGACGUAGAUGGUUUUACUUUGUUGAAAUGUGGAUAACUUCAUGUUAUUAUUUUAUUGUAGACAAUCUUAUUACAACAAGAUAUUGUCAUUGAAAUUAAUUAGGAGUUUAAUUACGAUUCUUUAAGUUCUAAUCAAGUUUGCUUAGGAAAUAAAUUUAUUUUUAUUUUUUAUUAAAACUGUAGUAGUAUUUAGCUCUAUAUAGCUUCCAACUUCCAAGCACUUCACAUUUGUCUCUACACUUCCAAACCCAUAUCUAUCCACCAUAACUUAUACUUCCCUAUACUGUGCAGCAUACUUAAAUAAGAGAACCAUCUCCAAUGUUAAAACCAGCCACUCUAUAACAUUCAUUUAGAAUAGUUUUAUUAUCAUACACAAGAAAUGAAACACCUAGAUGCACUUGAUCGCCUAUUUUACUUUAAAAAAUAAUGAUUAUGGUGCUAUCAUCAUCUUCUUCACUAGCAACAUUAACACCAAAUCCAGCGAUGGACCCAGACAUUUUAUCAAGAAAGGUAUAUAUAUAAUAAAGUUGAAGCUUGACAAAAAAUUCAGGAAGAUUAAUGCCUCGCCACAACAAGGGGCACAACAACAUCAAAGUAGAGAUGAAGCAAUAUUUUCAAAUCUAAAACUCUCAAAUCCACCCACCAAAAUUUCAUAUCUCCUCAACAAUUUUAAGAACUAAAGAUAAUUAGGAUCUAACAUUAGUUUUUUAUAUAUUAGUUUCAUAAUUUACAAAUCAAUGAAGAUGAAGAUUAUGCUAAUGAAUUCAAAUUAUACCAUAGAUUCUCGAGAUGUUACCAAAAAUUUCUAAGCCAAUCCCACAUAUUUCAUAAUUUUAAGACUAGAAAAUUUCAUUAGUUAGAAGUUUCAUUACCUUCAAGUGGAAGAUGAAGAACAUUAUACAAUUGAUUCAGAUUAUAUCAUACAUACUCCAAAUGCAACUAGAAAUUAACAAGUUCAUGCGCACAGAUUUCAUAACAUUAUGAUUGGAAAGUUUCACAAAGAGAAAUUCUAAAUUCAAUCUCUUGCAUCAAGGUAGUUUGAUUGAUUUGAGUUACUUUCUCAUCAAGCUACUAAUAUAACAUUCAAGUCAGGGAGAAAGUAAAUUAAAACGGGGAAGAAACAACAGUAAAAAUUUGUUGCUAAACAUGAUGUGUAUUUUUUUUUAAGGCAAUUUGGAAACACAGUUGUUACUACAGAUAUUCUCCUCAACUUAGAGAUAAAUACAAAUAUUAAAAUGCAUAUGAUCGCACAUAUUACUUGGAGCUUAGUAAGAUUUCAUUAAGAGAAGCAAUCAAACCACUUAUCAAUUGUUGCAAUCGUUCUAUAAGCUAAAAUAGCAAUAUAAUACAAGAAAAAGAACAUAUAGAUACUUGGCAAGAGUUCAUUAAGAAGUCGCAUCACAUUCGGGUGAGUUUGCUUCUGAUAUCUUGCUAGCUGGGGCUUUUUCUUGUCUUUCUACGUAUGCCGAGGGAAACCAACCAGCUUGGCCCUUGCAUUCACCUUCCGACCAUCCAGUAGGAGCCACCUUGAGAAGUUAUAACUAAAAGUCUAAAACAAUGAAUUAAACAAAAGUUGACCGUUCAAAGACCUAAGGGGAAAACUAAUUCUUUUACGUAGGAGGAGUGAAUUAGUUGUGAUCACUGAAAUAACAGCAUAACUAUGGAAGCAUAACAAGAUAUAAAUUCACACGUCUAUAAGGGUAAACUGGGUGGUUUAGAACUGAGCUAGCAACCCUACUAUAUUCUGAUUUGCACAUCAAUGUAAAAGGGAAUAUAUGGUAGGAAGAAAGAAAACCAACCAUCAGUUGUUAACUCAUUGCUUUUCAAUCAAAAUUUUAAGAACAAAAUGCCAUGUGCUUUGAACAUCAAAUAAGUAUAAGCAUUAGUUCUAAAUUCCACAUAUCAUAAGUUAGAAGGACAAGUCAAUAGCAUAGUAGAAAAAUCUAUGUGUUGUUAUUUAGAGGGGAAAGUACCUGGCGAACCACAACAUAAUCAUCAAUUGAAAGACUUAGCUCUCCAUUUGCUUGAGCAUCAAAUGGAUGUAUAACCUGCAAGAUAAUGGGAUAAAUAGAACUUAAUCUUAAAAAAAGCAUAACAAAAGCAGCAACAGUAGCAGCAGCGUUCAUUGUAACCACUAUGAUCAUGGCCAACAAAGAUAUAUUACAAACAAAAUUCCAUUUUUACUACGACAUUAAUAUGUACUAUAUGAUAUCAUGACGAUUGGGUUACCAAGAGCUAUCAAAGUCCAAUAAAUUCUGUAUAACUUUAGGUAGUUAUUCAAAUUAUGGAUCAGAUUUUAAAUCCGAAAUUUUGACUGCUCUCCACAAAACAUGGCCUAUGCACAAGAAAGUCAUAGAUAAUGAGGAUUACAAGUGUCUGACAUCUUUUGAGUGAUGGAUUUAACAUGAGAGCUUAUGGUCAGUCAAUUUCCUCUGCCUAGCAAUAUAAGCUUUCUCGGCCAGAUUUAUCAUCAAAUACAUAGAUUGGCCCCAAGUCACAUCCAAAUAAACAUAGUUUUUCUAGGUAAACCAAGUAAGGAGAAUCAUAAUUCAGACAUAAUCAUAAAAAGGCCCAUCUAACUUAAGAGAAAAUCUCAAAAAGAGGGAUGUUGAGCUAUCAGUCUUGUAUCUAUAAGCAAUAUCAAGACUUUACAUCACCUACUACAUCGUGAGUGGCUACACAACUUUCAGUGGUUUGUCUUUCUUUGGCAUGCCUAACUCAGCUUUGAUGUUGCUGAGAUAUUGAUAGUAAAGACACAUGAUACUUCUAGCCCAUGCAUUCUAUCUAGCUCAUCCGACAACUAUCUCUUUUUUAAUUCAUUAGUGUUUGCUAAACCUCAUGCUUAAAAGUCCUAUUCUCCUAAACAAAGCUUCCUAAGAAUGACUUCCUCAGCACCACAUUUGGACACUUUUAGAGCAAUUUUAUUUGGGGGAAAAGAAUUUUCAAGGUGUUAACUAAUAAAUUUUAAAAAAUAAUUACAAUUUGUCCUACAAUUAUAUGACAAUUUAUCUGGGAUGAAAGGAUACAGACAGACAUCUUCCACUUUCAAGACUAAUCACUACUUCCGUAGAUGUUUUGCAAUAAUACAAAUACUUGACCAGAUGGUAGAAAAAAAUUUUAUUGCUCCAAAAUUAAAAUAAGAAUGCAAUAUGUUAAGCAAAAGACUGUGCAACAUCAAAUUAAUUGAUAAGUUUGUAAUUCAGUAAAUUAACAACUUUCAUGGUAAAAUACAACAAAUUUCUUUUCAAAAAAAAAAAAAAAAAAUUAAAAGACGGCAUUCAAUUUUUUGGGCAUCUUAUUUCUUAAGAUUUUCCAGGAGGAGGGCACUAGAGGGACUUUCACCUAUGCAAGAGAGCAGAAGCCUUACUUUCGCUAUAAAGUAGACGUCAUUCUGAUUAAUAUGCGUUUGCAAAUCAGCUCCAUUUGAAUCAGUAUUCUGAUAGACACGUGAGGCAUUUACAUCCAUUUCCAAAGUCACAUGUUGCGAGGAGGACUCAUUUGAUUGCUCCUCUAGGAUCAUCUAAUUCAAGUAGCAAGGGUUGGAAGAGAAUAAAAAGUCACAAUUAUUCUUUUGCAUAAGUGAGACGAAAAUGAUAAAUGCAAUAUUAUCAGCAGUAAACAAGAAGAGAACACUCCAAGGAAUAGAUAGAUGCCGACAAGCAAGUUAAAAUGCACAGUUCCAAACCUCCGCAUACAACUUCUCUAAAAUAGCAAUAAUGUGUUGAUGAUAUGUUUUCUCAGCAUCUACCUGCAAAGGCCUGAGACCAGGAAAACAACAAUAAAACCACUAGCUAAAGGAGAAAGUAAAGAAAGAAAUACACUUGACAUAAAUCUUGACAAGAAGCACAAUUUAAGACAUAACAAACCCCAAUCAGAUUGUUUAGAACUACCAUUCGUUAUUUCGUUAUUGUAGCAUUUCGAACAAGUGUUGACUUAAUUCAACAUUGUUGGAAAGAUAGGCUUUUAGAAGCGGAAGAAAGCCUCUCAAACCAAAGUGAUUGUCCUUGUAUUGAUCAAGGGAUGUAAACAUAUUACAUUUGCAGGAUGAGUUUUAAUCACUCCCCUGAUUUAUUUGGGUUGCAGUAAAACUAAGCGAGCAACUGUUUGACUUUCAAGCAACAUCUAAAUCAGCUAUUAAAAUUCAAAUAAAAUUAUAAUAGAAUAAUAACAGGCCAUCUUGCAUAAAAAAUUAAGUUUAAUUUGUGAAUUUUUUUCUAUAGACAUGUUAGUUCCUGCUAUUGAAAUGUUAAAAGCAUUGAAAAAUUAUUCAAUAAAUUAUGCAAACAUUAAAAUAGAGGACAUAUUAAAAAGUUUCUAAUUACAAUGUUAAGAUUUCCUAUAUUUUAGCAUUUGCAUAUUUUAAUUUAAUUUAAAAGUUACGUCAAUCAACUUUGGGCGUGAAGAUUUUAGCUUCUACGAGACUUGAUUGGAAUAUGCAUAAGGAAGAGUGUUAAAAUAUGAUGCAUCCAACGAAAGACAAACCACGUGUAGUCUUUUAAUUAAGCCAAAGUAGCAGCUCAAACAAAUGACACUUGGACCAACAUGCAAUCAUGAAGUGGCCGGUAAAAGGACAAAUGCAACUUUGGCUUAAAUAAAAAAUAACAUGUGACUUGACUUUUGCUGACAUGCAUCAUGUAUUACAAGACAACAGAAAUCAGUAUGAUAGUACUAAAAGUUGACAAUAACAUGAAGAUAAGAGCAGAAUGUCAACACCUGCAUAGGCACACACAAGAAAGUAUUAACAUAUAUACCAUAGCAAAAAGUCUUUGAUAUGUCAUCUGUUGCUGCUGUGAUUCAACUGACAGCAUGGCAGCUGUCGCUUCUCUACCAAGAGCCAUUAUUGUAGAUUUAAGCUCGGUCAAUCUUGCUUCUGCAUUUCGAAGCUUCACAGCACUCUCUGCUGAUAUAUCAGAUUUCCUUAUCUUUGAUCGGUGCCUAAAUACUUCAGCUGCCUGGUGAAAAUAUUCAAUAUAAAUCUAACAUAAUUCUCAUCUUGCCUUAUACAUGCAUAUGUUACCUCAAAGCUUGCCUGGGCUUCAAACUUCAUGUCGAAGUUGUCAUAACGAUGAGUCAGGUGUCGAGCAUCUUCCAAAGGUGCUCCGUUGAUUAACGCCCGUAGUGGCUCAGAUACCUACAUGUCCAAAAACCUGUAACAUAGUUAGAAAAAUGAAAAGAAAGAGCGAAACCUCAAUUAAAAAGUUCCUCCAACAUAAUCAUGGAAUUUGGGCCUACUUCAAGGAUAUAUAUAAGAUAAUUUAUGCAAUUUUGGGUCUUAGGAUGAUUCAUAUUAGGUUAGUGUUCUUCUCUUCUGUAUUUAAGGUUAAAAUAGAAAUAAACCUAUGCAAAUAUCUAAAUUAGGGCUGUAAGACUUCCACAUGCAUCCUUCAUCUCAUGGAUUUGAUUUACUAUAGAUGCAAGUGUCUUUAUCGAAAAUGCUUGGAGUCAAUUGAGAGAACUCACAGCCAAUAACUUGUCACAUGCUAGUCUUUGCUAUGAUGCAAGAAGUCACAAGGUCUCUUCAACAUUUGAACCAAUAAAAUUAUUAAGUCAUGGAUGUCACUAGCAAUGAUUUCAAUAUAAAACAUUAAAUAUUUCAAGUUGUAACUUUAAAAUGGAUUCUUUUAUUCAAUAUCUUAGAACUAAGUUUCCUUAUGAGAAGAUAAUAGUUUCAGUAGUAAUUACAUGAAAUUUUCUAUAUUUGAAUUAUUUUCUAGUUAGGGAUGAACUAACCUGAUCAUGAAGAAUCCCAAGCAAAGUUUCCCUCUCAUUUUCCAUCAAAUCAUGUGAAGUGCCAAAUUGAAGAGCAGCUCUUGCAGCGCAAGAAUUGUCACUUUGAUUCUCCGCUCCAUACUUGCAACAAUCUUCAGCCAACUUUCUCGCUACAAUAUUUGAAUACAAAAAUAUUGUACACAAGAACCAGUCAAGAAAAUAAAAAAAAAAUCAAAUAUAUAUAACGAGAGCAAGAGCAAACAAACAACCUAUUUCCAUUUGUUUCAAGCUUACUGCAACAAACCCUUCAACGCCACGGACAAUAUUCCUCUGAAAAUGCUGUGCUACAGAGCAUAUAUUCCAAAUUAUUGUUCAGAUAAAACCAUAGAAACCAUCAUAAUUAUCAACAUACAUUAAGCUCCGUUUGGUAAAACUUGCAACUUCAGUCUAGAAAAUACAGUUUGUUUGUACCAUAUUUGACAAAAUUAUAUUUAAAAAUCAUAACUAAUUACCAAAAGCCACAAUAAAUCAUAUCAAACAGAGUCUUAUUAUUAGCUAAAGGAGGAUGGUGCCUUAGCUGCCCUGGUGGAAUUGUAUAGAUUUUAAAGUUGUUGGUGACACUCAAUUUCAGCUUCAUGAACCGCAAUAUUUUCAAUACCAAGAUGGAGCAGAUGCUUCAAUGCUGCCUGUACAAAUCAUAAAAAACUAAUAAAAAUAAAUAAAAUCGAUAAAUUCACUAACUAAAAGUCUAAAUAUAAUUUUUGAAAAAAGAAAAGAAACGGACUUGCUGCUGCUUGGCGACUUGUUCUCGGUGCUUGAUUGCCUGUUCUUGAUAGCUUCCAUACUGUUUCUUUCAAAAAGCAACGACGCUCAGCUCAUGGAGGUGGAAAAAAAAAGUAUGAUCGAGAAAAAUAAAAAGCGAUGAAUAAUUUUUUGACAAAAAGCGAAAAUAAAAAGGCAUGAAUAAUGAAUAAUUUUUGACAAAAAGCUCUUUCCAGAAAAUAAAAAAGAAAAAAAGAAAAAAGAAAAUUAUAAGUUUGAAAGGAGUAGAUGAUAGUGGAAGUGUGCGGUGUGGCUGCCAGCUACUUGAAUUGUAUUGUCGGGUAAGGUAAUAGUAGAGAAAUUUUUUUUUUGAAGAAAAAUGGGUAAUUUUUAAAAACCUCCCCUGAGGUUUGGCUUGUUGUAAGUAGAUGGCGAGAAUCCAUUUAUUUGUAAAAAACCCCCUACGUUUUUGCUCCGCUUGGUUGCCGUUUGGGCAAUUGUGGCUUGUUGACAUUUCGCAAUAAAACAAAUCUUUUGCAACUUUCGUUUCCUUGAGAACAAUAGCUAGAUUUCUCAAUCUGUUUCAUCCAACACUUCAAAAAUUUCAACUUUUAUGAGUUAUUGCAUUCUCUGGCAAAGUAGACUUCUUCUAAUUUUAUCACAGUGCUUUCAGGAACAAGAAUGGGAUCCAUUAACAUCCCCUCAAAUUUUACAGCUUCCUUACAGCUAUACACUGCUGUAACACGAAGUUUAAUGAUUCCAUCGCCAAAUAGUCCCCAAAAUCUAUUCUUCCCCAUAUUGAACAACUUAAGUUCACAACACUUGCAUUCUAAAGGCUUCCACUAACAUCUAAUAUCUCAAGACUCAACGUUGCUUUACAAUAAUUGUUAUUACUACCAAACAAACAUGAAGAAACCCCGAUUAUCGGAUAAAUCAACCAAAAUGAACAAGAGAAGAACCCAAAACAAGUGAAUCGCUAGAGCAAAACCCCCAACCCAUAUCCCUAAUCCCACACUCAAAAAAACCCAAUUUCUCUCCAAAGUCAUUGACACUAGCAUCACUACUAGACUCUAAUUCCAAUCCUAGAUUACAUUUAAUGUUAACCCAACUAAAAUGAAUGUUCUUACUACAAUACGCAUCGUUUACACUCUCAAACAACGCGCUGAACUUACUCUUAAACGAUCCCACAUUGGUCAAACACUCAUCACUCACAUCGACAUCCAAGAAUUCACUCAAAAACUUCAUAGACUCGACAAUUGGAGAAAACAAAACCACUAAACUCAACUUUAUACAAGCAUACCCAUCGAGAAUCUUACCGUCAUUAACCGAAUCACAACAAAUCACCGGGUCCCACGCGCAGUCGUGAACGAGCUUACGCAUGGACGGGGCAACAUUUAACCCCCGCGGCAAAAACGACGAAGCUUUGGAAAAAUUGUNUUUUUAAAAGGCAAAAAUAACAACACUUCUAUGGUUUGUUUUGAUAAUCACAUUUACAUAUACUCUCUAAUUUUCAAAAUGGACACAUAAAUCUUUUUUUUUCUACAAAUGUAUAUUAUUCGUAUUUUUUAUUAUUUUUAAUAUCAUAUUGUUAUUUAUUAUAAAUGUUUAAAGUAAAUUUUUAGGUUAAAAUAUAAUAAAAGGGUAUAAUCGUUCUCUUAUUAAACACCCAUACUUUUAGUUUCUAUCCAUUUGUCAUCUCAAUCUCUCUCAAUUAUUCUUUAUUGCUAAAAACGCGUUUUGUUGCAAAUUAUAGCAAAAAGACAAAUAUGGAAAAAAAAAAAGGAAGAAAUUAGUGCAUGAAAGACUUGAGAAAAACAACGAAGUAAGUCAACUAUAAUCUAGCUGGGUGUAUAAAUUGUUUGAUGCUUUAUAAGCAAAUAACAAACAGAGACAGACAGUGUGUGUUCGUUUUUUCAUAGUUAAAGAUAUAGUUAGAAUGGGUGGUUCAAAAUCAAAAAUGGCGAUAAUGUUUGUUAUGUUAUUAAUAAUAUUUAAAAGUGGGUGGAGUGAGGGAUGUUUGGAUCACGAGAGAUUUGCUCUUUUGCGACUGCAACAUUUCUUCAAUGAUCCUCGUAAUUCUCUUUACAACUGGGUCGAUGAUGAGGGAGCUACUGAUUGUUGUCAGUGGGAAAGGGUUGAGUGCAGCAACACCACAGGCCGAGUGAUAGCGCUAGACCUUUUUGAAAUGUAUUCGGGAGUACAGCUGGUAUCUGAAUGCUUCUUUGUUUACUCCCUUCCAACAACUUGAGUCACUUGAUUUAACUGCCAACAAAAUAGCCGGUUGUGUUGAGAAUGAAGGUGCUUCGUUUAAUUUAAUUAAUUUACUUUCUCCCCCCUAAUUUAAGUUGAAUAUCAAGACCGAGCAACUAUACGCAUAUUCAUUUAGUCGACAAUUUUGACUUUUUUUUAAGUGAUUAAUUAAUUUUAAAAUUACACCAAUAUCUAUGAUUUUUUUUUUUUUAAUUUUGCUUGCAGGUCUAGAGAGGCUAUCAAGAUUGAACAACUUGAAGAUGCUUAAUUUAAGUGAAAACUCUUUGAAAAAUAGCAUUUUAUCAUCUCUAACUCAUCUUUCAUCAUUAAGCUCAUUAAAUUUAUUUUUAAAUAGAUUGGAAGGAAGUAUUGACUUUAAAGGUACAUAAUUAAAACUUCAUCCCUUCUCCAAGCUCUUUCAUUAACUUGCUAAAAUAAGACUCAAGGCUUUGAAUUCAAUUUUUUUUAUGAUUAGUAUUAAAAAAAACAGUUUUUAAGCAAUUUUAUAAAUACAAGUUUUAAUGGUUAUCGUAAUUUCAUCUUGUAAUUUCAUAUGUCUUGAAUUUAAGAUUAAAAAAAACUCUAAUAGCGAACCAAACACCUCCACAACUUAUUAUUAUUAUUAUUAUUAUUAUUAUUUGUGGUGAGGUUGGAAACAUUCAACUUAAUUUGUACUUAUUACAGAAUUUGAUUCUUUGAGAGAUUUAGAGGAGCUAGACAUUGGCGGGAACAAGAUUGACAAAUUUGUGGUCUCAAAAGUACUACAAAUACCACAAAAAUGUAAACUUUUACAAAUUAGCUGGAUUCUUUGCCAUUUGGUUUAUUAUUUUACAGGUUUGAGUAAGUUGAAGUCUCUUGAUUUAAGUGGUAUCAAACUCAACCGUAGUAUCUUAUCUUCUCUAACUGUCUUUUCUUCAUUAAAGAAUUACAUCUACGUAAUAUCAUAUUCAAAGGAACAUUUGAUGUUCGAGGUAAGCCUAAGCCUUGCUUUCUCAUUUUCUAUAUGCCAACUAGAUUUGUGUAUCAUCGGGCAUAAUUUAAUAUUUAAUUUGAUAAGUCUGAAGGAAUUACAUGCUAAUUUAAACAUACUUUUAUUUACUUUGUCAAUUAAUUAAUUAAUUAAUUACUAUUUGACAUUGGACGGUUCCUCUCUCCAUAUAAGCCUUCUGCAAAGCAUUGCAUCAUUCACUUCGUUAAAAAAUCUGUCGAUGUCUGAUUGUGAAGUCAAUGGUGUCCUACGUGGUCAAGGUAAAAGAAAAGUGUUGAUUGUGAAUAAGCUGUUAAUUAAUUAAUGUUGUUGCUCCUUGCUUCUAAACAGAGUUGCGCAAUUUCACCAACUUGGAAUAUUUGAAUUGGAUUCUUCCUCGCUCCAUAUAAGCCUUCUACAAUUGCUUGAACAAUUUAUUUAUUUAUUUAUUUAUUAUUAUUGUUGUUGUUGUUGUUGUUGAAGUGGGGUGGGCAAGCGUUCACUCAGUUAAUAUGUGGGGAAUUAAAUAUUACAAUCCAAGGUAGAAUUGUGGAAAAUUAAAGCUAAAUGAGAAAUAUGGAAAGAAAGGAAGAAAGUUAAGGGCAUGAAAGACUGGGAGAAUACUAAAAACCACCAAAUAAGUCAACUGAAAACUAGCUGAGGCCUGGGUGUACAAAUUGUUAGAUGUUUGUUAUAAAUAACAUAGAGCCAUCUUGUUGGUUGCAGAGGCAGAGAGACAGAGAGUGUGCAUUUUGUCCAGUUAAAAAUGAUAAAAUUUAUCAUUUGUUUAUAUUGAUUUAUUAACUCUAUUUUAAGUCUUAAGUCUUGGCGUCUUGGCAUGUUUGCAGAAUUUGAUUCCUUGAGCAACUUAGAGGAGUUGGACAUGAGCGGCAAUGAAAUAGACAAUUUCGAGGUUCCUCAAGGUACACAAUUAAAAUAUUAUUUAAUUACAUUAAUUUAAUUCGUUUGAUUAGGGAAGGCCCAAAAUGUACAAAAACAUAAUUAGAAAAAAUAAAGAAACAGAGAAUUCAUAUUAUUUCAAAUAACAAAAGGUAAUACUAUUAUUUCAAAAACAGAUUGUAAUAAAGAUUUGAUUCCAAUUCUUUAAUCUUUACAGUGAUUGAAAAACGAUACUACUUCCCAAAGCAUAAAAUACGAAUUGACUCUCAAUUAAAUUAAUCAUUUAUUUCGUUUAGGUCUAAAUUUAGAAAAAUGAAUUUUGAUUCUCUUGAAUCAUUUCCUAAUAUUAUUAUUCAACAGGUUACAGAGGUUUGAGGAAGCUGAAAAGCCUGCAUCUAUCGGGAGUUGGAAUUAGAGAUGGAAGCAAGUUGUUACAGUCAAUGGGAUCAUUUCCAUCCCUCAACGCUCUUUACCUGAGCAAUAAUAAUUUUACCGGUACAACGUCAACUACUCAAGGUAAGUAAAAGGUACAGAUGUGGCCAAAUUUAUAAAUAAACUGUUAAUUAAUUAAUUUUCUGUAUUAUUAAUAAAGCUAAAUUUUUUGCUCAUUCCUUCUAAUUCUAAACAGAGUUGCACAAUUUCACCAACUUGGAAUAUUUGACAUUGGACGAUUCCUCUCUCCAUAUAAGCCUUCUGCAAAGCAUUGCAUCAAUAUUCCCUUCGUUGAAAAAACUGUCGAUGUCUUAUUGUGAAGUCAAUGGUGUCGUACAUGGUCAAGGUAAAAGAAAAGUGUUGGUUGUGCACUCACUCAGUGGUGUCCUACGUGUUCAAUAUUUUUAUUUAUUUAUUUUAUUGUUUAAUGAGAUGCUUCCACCCUCCCCUUUAAAUCUAUAAUAUUAAUUUUCGAUAAUAUAUAAUUAUAGAAACCAAUCACUUAUAAAAGAAUGCUAUGCAUUUGCCAAUUUUUUUAUAUUUUACUGAUUGAUGAAUUAAUAAAUUUUCAGGCCUCUGUUCGUUGGUGCAUCUACAAGAGUUGUACAUUGCAACUCUUGUAGUAAUUAAUUAAUUAAGUAUUAGUUAAUUAAUUAAUUAAUUAAUUUUCUGUAUUAUUAAUAAAGCUAAUUUUUUUGCUCAUUCCUUCUAAUUCUGAACAGAGUUGCACAAUUUCACCAACUUGGAAUAUUUGGCAUUGGACUCUUCCUCUCUCCAUAUAAGCCUUCUGCAAAGCAUUGCAUCAUUAUUCCCUUCAUUAAAAAAUCUGUCGAUGUCUAGUUGUGAAGUCAAUGGUGUCGUACGCAGUCAAGGUAAAAGAAAAGGGUUGAAUGUGAACUCACUCAAUGGUGUCCUACGUGUUCAACAUUUUUAUUUAUUUAUUUUAUUGUUUAAUCUUUCUGCUAGGUUUUCCUCAUUUCAAGAGUUUGGAACAUUUUGACAUGGAUUUCACGCGCAUUGCACUCAACACUAGCUUUAUUGCACUCAACACUAGCUUUCUUCAAAUCAUCAGUGAAUCGAUGCCUUCUCUUAAGUACUUAUCACUAUCAUAUUAUACUCUUGGAACUAAUAGCAGCGGGACUCUUGAUCAAGGUUAACGAGAUGCUCCCACCCUCCCCUCCUAAUCUAUAAUAUUAAUUUUUUAUUUAAUAUAAUUACACAAACGAAUCACUUAUAAAAGAAUGAUAUGCAUUUGUUAAUUUUUUUAUUGUACUGAUGGAUGAAUUAAUAAAUUUUCAGGCCUCUGUUCGUUGGUGCAUCUACAAGAGUUGUACAUUGCAAGCAAUGAUUUAAGAGGUAGCUUGCCUUGGUGCAUGGCAAAUAUGACAUCCCUCAGAAUAUUAGAUGUUUCUUCUAAUCAACUUACUGGAAGCAUCUCCUCAUCUCCCCUCGUUCAUUUGACAUCCAUUGAAGAGCUGAUGCUUUCAAACAAUUACUUCCAGAUCCCAAUUUCACUUGAACCACUUUUCAAUUACUCAAGACUCAAGAUUUUCAAUGCUGAGAACAACGAAAUAAAAGCUGAAAUAACUGAGUCACAUUCUUUGAUCGCCCCAAAAUUCCAAUUAAAUACUCUCUCAUUGUCUUCCAAUUACGGAGACGGUUUCAUAUUCCCCAAAUUCCUUUACCAUCAACAUGACCUGGAGUAUGUUGAUCUCUCACACAUAAAGAUGAAUGGAGAAUUUCCAAAUUGGUUGUUGGAAAACAACACAAAAUUAGAAACUCUUUUCUGGUUAAUGAUUCUCUUGCAGGACCUUUUCGGUUGCCAAUUCAUUCACACAAGCGGUUAAGACAGUUGGAUGUCUCCAACAACAACAUUCGAGGCCACAUUCCAGUAAAAAUUGGAGAUGUUUUACCAAGUUUAUACGUUUUCAACAAUUCCAUGAAUGCUUUAGACGGUAGCAUUCCCUCUUCAUUUGGUAAUAUGAAAUUCCUCCAAAUUCUGGACUUAUCCAACAAUCACUUGACUGGUGAAAUCCCCGAGCACUUGGCCGUGGGUUGCGUCAACUUGCAGUUUCUUGCAUUAUCAAAUAACAACCUACAAGGUCAUUUGUUCUCUAGAAAUUUUAACUUGACAAACUUGCAAUGGUUACAAUUGGAGGGCAAUCGCUUCGUAGGUGAGAUCCCACAAAGUUUGUCUAAAUGCUCCUCACUAGAAGGAUUGUACCUUAACAAUAAUAGUCUUUUAGGUAAGAUUCCACGAUGGUUGGGUAAUCUGACACGGUUACAAUAUAUUAUAAUGCCCAAUAAUCAUCUUGAAGGCCCUAUUCCAGUGGAGUUUUGCCAGCUUGAUUCGCUUCAGAUUUUGGACAUUUCAGACAACAACAUAUCUGGAAGUUUACCAUCUUGUUUCCAUCCUCUCUCUAUCAAACAAGUUCAUCUUUCAAAAAAUAUGUUACAUGGACAGCUAAAAAGAGGUACAUUCUUUAAUUGCUCUUCCCUUGUGACAUUAGAUCUUAGCUAUAACCGCUUGAAUGGCAGCAUUCCGGAUUGGGUUGAUGGGCUUUCUCAGUUAAGCCACCUUAUCUUAGGUCACAAUAAUCUUGAAGGUGAAGUGUCAGUUCAAUUGUGCGAAUUGAACCAACUACAAUUGUUAGAUCUUUCUAAUAAUAAUCUUCACGGUCCUAUUCCUCCUUGCUUUGAUAACACCACACUUCAUGAAAGUUACAGCAAUAGUUCUAGUCCUGAUGAGCAAUUUGAAAUAUUUUUUUCCAUCGAAGGCCAUCAGGGAUUUUUAGAAAAGCAAAACAUGAAAUUUUUUGAGUUCACAACAAAGAACAUUGCGUACAUUUACCAAGGAAAAGUGCUUAGCCUCCUAUCAGGACUUGAUCUUUCUUUGCAACAAUGCUUAAUUGGUCAUAUUCCUCCUCAAAUUGUGAAAUUUGACAAGGAUUCAAACAUUGAAUCUCUCGCACAAUAACUUGACAGGAUCGAUCCCAUCAACAUUUUCAAACUUGAAGCAUGUCGAAAGUUUGGAUCUUUCCAACAACAAAUUGAAUGGGAAAAUCCCUCAUCAACUAGUGGAGUUAAAGACAUUGGAGGUUUUCAAUGUGGCAUACAAUAACUUAUCAGGCGAAAUUUCCAGAAUGGAAAGCACAAUUUGCAACCUUCAACGAGAGUAGCUAUGAGGGAAAUACUUUUCUUUGUGGACUGCCAUUGCCCAUUUGCAGAUCACCAGCAACUAUGCCGGAGGCUUCAAUUUGGCAAUGAACAAGAUGAUAAUUUAAUUGAUUAUGGACAGUUUCUUUAUCACAUUUACAACAUCGUACGUAAUUGUGAUAUUCGGAAUUGUUAUUGUUUUAUAUGUAAAUUCUUAUUGGCGACGUAGAUGGUUUUACUUUGUUGAAAUGUGGAUAACUUAAUGUUACUAUUUUUGUUUAAACAAUCUUAUUGCAACAAGAUAUUGUCAUUGAAAUUAAUUAGCAGUUUAAUUACGAUUCUUUAAGUUCUAAUCAAGUUUGCUUAGGAAAUAAUUUUUUUUUUAUUUUUUUAUUAAAAUUGUAGUAGUAUUUAGCGCUAUAUAGCUUCCAACUUGGUAGAAAGCUCCAUUUUUUGUUUGGCUACAGUAAAAGCAUGUUGUUUUAUUCUUCUUAUACUUUACGCCUGCAUCAGCUUAAAUCACUUCUUAAACGCUUGCUUUAACUGCACCGCUUCGUACUGCUCUAUAUAUGUAACGGUUAUGCGGUUGUAGCUCACGGCUCAAGCUACGCGUUUGUUUGACGUGGUAGUUACGUUAUGAUGUUUCGAGUCUGUUAAACAUUCGGUGAUAAGAUUAGUUACAACAAACCUACUAGUUUUAUAAAAUUCAAGUGAGAUGGAAUAAAAUAAAAAAUAAAUAUAAAAUUGGCUUUUAUUUUUUUAGGUUAACCAUAUUUGUGUUCUCUUCGGGCACUACUACAAUUGUUCCCUAUACAUCAGUUACACUCACGUAUCAUCGACACGAAAAAUGAAAUCUAAUAUCACCUGUUUAGUUAAAGAAUCACUCAUGAAAAAAAAUUACCAUUUUGAUUGAAGAUCCAUAUUUUGAACUACCAAUUAAUGUUCAUCAAGAACAGAGUGUGGCCGUUAAGUAGAAAAACUAUUUUUGGACAAAUUAUUAAAUUCCAAUAUUGUAUCCAUAUGCAAACGAUGCCUGAAGCAGAGCCUCCAAACAAUGACCAGGGCACAAAACAAGAGUGUAGUAAUCAAGUGUAUUGUCUCAUAAUCAAUUAAAAGCAGAUAUACAGGAUACCAUAUUCAAUUCCAAAUAACAAAAGCAUAAUGAGGAUGAGAAGAACAAUGAUCACUCAAAUAUUUCUUCACUUUGGUUGUCAAUUAUCUAUUCAAAUUAAUCAGUGUCAUUAUGGACUUAUUUAUUUAGAAGAGCGGGUGAUAAAUAUAUUCAAUAUGUGAACAAGAAGUUGAUUAACUUUAUGAUCAUUUGGAAGGUCGGCCGUGUCAUCACUCGUCAAACACAUUGCAUCGAUCCACCAGCAUGAACCGACCGGAUUAUGCCCAAAAAGUUGAAAUAUCAAUAAAAAAAACAAUUAAUUAAAGUCGAAGAUGGGUCCUUUACAUUAUGUUUUGUUUUCGUAUUAGGUAGGAGGUUAUUAUAUUAUAUCAUGUAAUUAAUUUAUUAUUACUCAACACUAAGUAAUAACUUAACUAUAUAAAGACAACAAGAAGAUAAAAUGAUAUAUAAAAAAAAAAAGAAUUUCAAAGAGAUAGCAACAUACAAUAGACUGAAGCCAUUUGAUCUGCUCAUUGAUUUCAGCCUUAAACUUGUAAAUAGUUACUGUCAAAUAUUCUAUUCAUACGAAAAAAAUGUUUAGAUAUCUUACUAUAAAUAUAGCCGUUUGACUGUCUUAAUAAAGUCACACACAACCAUUCUUAUUAAAUUAGCAAGAUCAAACACUGCCCUGGAUCUUGAACAGAUCAACACAAGAUGCACAACUUAUGAUUGAACCAGAAACAAUCAAAUCUUUAGCAAGAACAAUUAAUCAGAGUCAAGAAACAAGUUUAAUGAAUAUAAAACCUAUAAUUGAAACAACAUAGCAAGAAAAAAAUACAGAUUUUACACGGUUCAGUUGUACCUAGGAUGGCACAACCUACACCACGAGAGAAGCUUUCUGGUGAGAUUUUAUUGAUGAUCAAAGAAGAAUCUUUUGACAAAGCUAAUAAUAGAGAUUUCAGAGAAUAAGCUGUAACCCUCUCUCCCUCUUCAAUCUCUCUCUAUUUUGUUCCCAUUGAUGACCCCAAUCUGCUUAGUUAUCCAGCUUUAUAGCUGCAUCAGUAACAAACCAGCAACCCAGAUUGAGCAGAUUGACGACACGUGGAUAACGGCUUUAACGAACCUGGUAAGAACUGCUCACAUGUUCGUCACGCGUGCUGCUUAAAUGAUGGCCAAAACGACUUCAAACAAAUGUCGUUUUGAGGCUUAUGAAUUACAAGUGAUAACACGAGCUUGUCUCAUGACUUUUAAAUGCAACAACGUGCCCACAACGCCGUCGUUUUACUCUGUUGAGUUUGAUUCAUUACUAAGCUUUACGACUGGCAAUGGAGAAGAUGAUAAUUUAAUUGACACGGACAGUUUUUUAUAUCACUUUUACAACAUCCUAUGCAAUUGUAAUAUUGGGAAUUAUUGAUGUUUUAUUCUGUGAAUCCUCAUUGGCAAAAACUAGUGGUUUUAUCUUUGUUGAAAUAUAGAUGACCUCUCGUUACUGUUUUAUUAUAAACAUAUAUUUCGUAAGUGAAACUAUAUGUUUAUAAUAAAUUAACAUAUAGUUUUGUUACAUUUCUGCCUCAUUAAGAUUCUCAAAUACCAGUCAGGUUUGCUUAAGAAAUAAAUUUUUUCCAUUAAAAUUGCAGUAGUAUUUCCAAGCAUAUCGCAUUUUCUAUGAGUUUUCAUAAAUUAAUUAAUCUGCGGUGCCAAUAUCAGAUUUAGUUUUUCAAACUAAAUAAUCAAGAAAGCAAACAUACAAAUAUACAGUUUAGAGGGUAAACUAGGUAGGUGGUUUAGAUUUUAGAACUAAGCCAGCUACCUCGCUAAAUUCCGAUUCGUACAGUGAACUGCAAGAAACUGAGAAAACAAUGUAUUUAUAAUUUAAUAGAAUCAUAAGAAAACAAUGCAGUCAUUGCUCAAUAUAAGAUGAUGAUUUCGGAGAGGCACAUUGUUUUCAAGUUAAUUUGAUCCGUUUAUAAGAGAUGAAGUGGAAUGAAGUUGAAAGUUUAAAUAACAAAUCCUUGUUCUUGAGUUUUACGACGUCGUUACUCCUUCAAGUGGCAGAUUAUGCAAGUGAAUGCAGAAACACAAUGCAUCAUCCGCGGGGAUGAUACAUCAAAAGCGGGAUUUGUUUAUGCCUGCAGAUUAGCAAUUUCACUCAUAUAGAAAAUUAAUUUUUUAUAUAUACUAAUCAACACUAAAUUGAUUAUGUGUUGUAUGUUUAUAUGCUAAUCAACACGAAAUUAUAUUGAAUUAUUAACAUUCAUAUUCCUAAUAAAAAUUAUUUUCCAUCAGUAUUCAAAAUUUUCACUUAUAGAAAAUGCGUUUUACGUGAAUACUAGUUAUUGUGUAAAUUUGAAUGAUAGCGAAAAUAAACCUAUUUGAAAACUGUAAGGGUGUGUUGGGAUAUUUUACAACUGUCGGAAUCUGGUAGGAUAUUGCACCAUUUGCCCAAUAUUUUUAGACGUACUCAACCGGUAUUCAAGAUAAGUAAAAUUUACAAGCGUGGCAAAAUAAAAAAAAAUUAAAUUCGUAACUUGUAAACGAAUUUUCCUGACAUGUAUAGUAAAUGAAGUUGUUGAUCCUUUCUUUGGAUUAUUUCAGCUCUGGUUGUUGGUCACCGAUGAGCCGAAGUCUUAUUUUAAUUUUAUUUAAACUCAUCAUAAGAUUCGUGGAGCACCUAACUAACUUAACUGACUGCGCAGAUCAUCUCAACAUGGCAUAUUUAACCAUCAUUCAAGUGAUGGGUUUAAUAAGACUGCUUUUGUUCUAUCAACUAUCAAGUUCCUCUGCCUCUAAGCAGAAUUACUAUUGAAGGGCCAAAAGAAAAUGAAAACGUGUGAGCUCCAACAACCACCCCACAAAUUCAAUGACGAUGCUCGGAGAGGGUUAGGUUGGGCCUCUGAGAAAAAAAAAAAUUAUUUUGUUAAAAAGUUACCCUUAUUGAAACCUGUAUAAACAUUUUAUAUUAAUUAGUUAUGUCGCCUCUUCAACGAUGAUCAAAUUCUUAUCUGAGCUCAUCAUUUAAUGAGUAAACAUGUAUUUUAAUGAUCUCAAUUAAUAUUUAGAACAAAUAUUUUAAGAAGUAAAGCUCAUUAUAUCUUCCAUUAUUAUGUAUUUCUUUAAUUUCUUAUUUACAUAAUUAUAUUGUACAUUAAAAAUGUAUUGAAUUUGAAGAAAAAAAAAUUCAACUCAAAAAAAAAAAAAAAUGCUGGUAGCUUCGUAAUAAUUACUGUAUUGACUGCACCAGAUAAAGUUUUGUAAAAUAAUAAGUUCUCAUAAGUGGUUUUUCAUUUUUAAUUUUUUUUCCGGCACACCUGAUCAAGAAUUCUAUUUUGUUAACUAAUCAAUUGCAAAGCAUAAGUGUUGAACGGUACAAAAAAAUUUAAAAAAAUACACUUAAAACGUGGGGGUAGGGUAACGGCUUCACUCAAAUCGUUAGGUAGAAAUUGUGGAAAACUUCAAAGCGAAAUGAGAAAUAUAGAAAAAAAGAAGAGGUGGAUUUUUUCUAGUGAAAUUUCUAUGGGUAACGGCUCACUCAUCCUUCUAUGAAUUUCUAGCUGUAUUGACCCCAACUGCUAAAGUUUUGUAAAAAUAAAAAUAAAAAUAAAAAAACUGGAAUUUCAACAAAAUUCAAAACGUUUGAAAUUAAUAUUUUGGCCAUGUGGAACAAAAUGUAAAUUAAGUAAAAAUAUAAAUCUCAAUUGCUUAGUAUGGUUAGGAUUUUGUGAGCAUCACUAAAAAGUGAAAACUAUGAAUGAUAGAGGUGAUGUUUGCAACAUGAAUAAAUGAUGAACUGAAUCAAUUGAUGAUCGUAAUUACAUAAUGAACAAAAUUUACAAAAUCAACAAAAGUUAAUAAAAAAUUUAUUUAAUAAUAAAAAAUCAAUAAAACUUAUUAUUUAAGGGCGCUCUAACCAUGGAAUACCAUAAUCAUAAUCUUCUUUUAAGAAAAUUAUAACUUAUUAUUUUACAGGAUUGAUCCAUUUGGAAUGAAGUGGUCUCAAGUUGAAAGUAAUUAAUUUAUUGAAUAACUUUCGACUUAUUAAUAGUUAUAUCAAGGGUGUUUUACCUCAUCAUGUCUUCAAGUGGAAGAUGAAGACUAUGCAAGUGAAUUCAGGAAUAUUGCAUGCCUGUUGUCUAAAGCAUUACCUCACAAGGUUUCAUGAGAAACGAAAGAUGUGUUUGCUUUGAACAAUUAAAGUUACUGCUACGAACCUCCCCAAAGGUCAAGAAGACAGAACAGGAAGCUAAUGCCAUCAAUGUCUUGUUCAUUAUAGCUGCUGGGUAGUUAGGUGUAGUUUCCUCAUUUGAAGCUGUCUAUACAUAGGCAUUUCCCUGCUUAUGUACAAAUAAAUGAACAACCUUGAAGCUUUAUUAUUCGCAACAAAAAGGGAUUACUAAUUGGAGAAGACUAUACAGAGUUUUCUCUCACACUUUGCUCUCUGUCAAUUUCAUCCAGAAGUCCCUCUGAAAGCUUCUCCCAAAACAGUUAGUCAUCUUUUAUGCUCUGUUUUCUGAAAACAGAGUCCUAACUAAAUUAAUUGACUGUACAGUGCAUUUCAACAUAGCAUAUUUAACCGUUUUAACAGUUAUUUGGACCGUCUUCAGAGGUAACAUCAACAAACUCAUUCAUAUGCUUAAUAAUGAACGAAUAGUCUUGGAUUGAUGUUUUGCAGCAAGAGCAACACGACACAAUCUGGAUUCAACCUCCUCCUUUCUAACAGGGGAUUUCGAUUUGAGUUACUUUGUGCUCAAGCAAAUUCACAUCAUAGUUUUGAUUCUUUAGAUAUGAAUUCAUCUCAUUACAUAUAUCAGAUUAAGUGUAACAAAAUUUGUAAUUUACUGCGAAAAGAAUAUGCACUAAAAAAUGAUUUCAAGACUAUUUGACUACAAAAAGCAGCUGUCAGAGUGCACUAAAAAUUUCUGUAGGAUAUUUUGUAGCUGUUUAAUAUGUUAUGAUGGGCAUAUAAUUCUCAAAUUUUGAUGCCUCUCAGCGAAAAAUAUAUCAAAGUUACGGAUGAUAUCACGUAAAACAUGCAUGGCUCAGGCUCAGGCUCAGGUAAGAAAGCCACAGAAAAUGGAAAAUCUCACUGUCACGACUCACGUCACGCAUCAUUCAAGUGAUGGAUUUAACAAGACUGCUUAUGUUCUAUCAAAUUCCUCUGCCUCUCAGAAGAUAACUUUUCUGGGCCAAAUUUCUCAUCUAAAGCAUAUUAUGCCCCAAAGUCACAGAUAACAAAAUGGGGCACUACCGAUUAUGAAAGAGAACUAGUAGUUGUCAGAAGCCUAAGCCAAAUUCCGGUAGUAAGAAGAGGCCUUUCUUGAGUUUAGAUUAUGUGUUCGAGUUUUAAUAAAUGCCUAAGUUAAUAAUAAUAACAACAGUAAUAAUAAACUAAAAAGCAUAAUUACUAUUGAAUGGUAAAAAAAAAAAUGAAAAUGUGUGAACUCCAAUAACCACCCCAGUGGCGAAUUUUGGAGAGGGCUAGGCCGGGCUUCUUAGAAAUUAUUUUUAUUUAAUUACAAAAUCACCUUUACUGAAACCUAUAUAAAAUUUUUUAUAUUAAUUAAUUAUGUUGCCUCUUCAAUUAUCAUUAAAUUCUUGUCCGUUCAUAAUUUGAUGGAUAAAUGUGUAUUUCAAUAAUUUCAAAUAAUGUCUAGAACAAAUAUUUUGAAUUAUAAAACUCAUUAUGUCCUGCAUUACUAGAUGUAUCUAUAAUUUAUUAUUUACAAAUUAUAUUGUAUGAUAAAAAUGUAUUGAAUUUUUGUUUAAAAAAAAGUUCGGCUCACUCAGAAAAAAAUGUUAUUAGCUUCGCCACUGCACAAAUCUAGAAUAAUAAUUAUUCCUUAUUAUAUUGACUGCACCAAGCAAUAAACUAAUAAGUUCUCAUCAGUGGUUUUUAAUCUUUUUAAUUCUUUUUACCGCACACCUGAUCAAGAAUUUUAUUUUGUUAACUAAUCAAUUGCAAAGCAUAUAUAAGUGUUGAACGGUACACAAGAUUGGAAAAAAAAAAUCUUAAAAAACGUGCGGAUUCGGGUGGCCACACCAGAAAUCUAUUUACAAUAAUUAGCUUUGAUGCUGGGAAUCUUUUAAUUUCUGGCCGUAUUGAAGUUUUUAAAAUAAUAAGUUCCCCUUCUCGUUUUUUUUUUUUUUUAAAUAUAUAUGCUUAUAACAAUUUUAGAAUAAUGAUUCAUUUGUAGAAGAACUUAUGAUUUCCCAUUAAUAUUAAUAUUGAAGUGGGGUGGGUCAAAUCUCAAUUGCUUGAAGAAUUUAUGUAUUAUUAAAUAUUACCAUCCAAGGUAGAAUUGUGGAAAAUUAAAGCAAAAUGACAAGUAUGGAAAGGAAGGCUGAAAGUAAGGCAUGACGAAAGGCUUUGAGAAGGCUGAAGACUACCAAAGAAGUCAACUGAAAACUAGCUGGGGCCUGAGUGUAUAAAUUGUUAGAUGCGUUUGUUAUAAAUAACAUAGAGCCCUUUUGUUAUUUAUAGUUAUAGAGAAAGAGAGAAUGUGUGUUUUUUAAUAGUUAGAGAUAUAGCUAGAAUGGGUUGCUCAAAAUCCAAAAUAGUGACAAUGUUAGUUCUCGUAUUGAUAAUAUUGGGGGGGGGGGGGGGGGGGGGGGGGGGGUGUUGGGAGGUCGAGUGAGGGAUGUUUGGAGCAUGAGCAAUUUGAUCUUUUGCGGCUUAAACAUUUCUUCAAUUAAUAUCGAUCUGGGAGAGUGGUAUCUGAAUGCUUCUCUAUUUACUUCCUUUCAACAACUUGGUAACAAAAUAGCCGGCUGCAUGCGUUGAGAAUGAAGGUGCUUCAUUUAAUUUAAUUUACUUAAUUUCUCCCUCCUAAUUAAUGUCUAUAAUCAUUAGGAGGAACAAGGGAUUUUAUUAACUCAAAUAUAUCUAAUGGAUCUCAUUCUUUGGUUUUACUUGCAGGGCUAGAAGCAGGUGUCAUCUAACAGCUGCUUUGAUAAUUUCCCUCCCCUUCAUCUUUGAUGGAAAGAUGAAAUAAAAACAAAUUGGUGAAAAUGGUAUUGGUACCUGAGGCUAUGUAAUCUAAUUCAAAAACUGCACCAUCAAAACGAUUACAUAAGUCUCAGAAGAAUCAAAUAUCAGUUUGCAAAAUAUCAAUUGCUGGAGGUUUGAUUCUAACUUCCGCUCUUCAUUUUUAUGGCAUAUUGUGUUGUACUUGCAUCCGAAAAUCAUAUUUUAGUUUACUUGCACUCAAUGCUUGGAUUAAAGUUUUUUUGGGGGGGGGGGGGGGAUUGAAGAAGACUAAAAUUACACCAAAAAAGAGUUGAGCGAGAGCGGGUUUUGUCUUCAUUUAAGGAGCUCUUUAUAAAUUUUGGGAUUUUUUUCCUGAGAAAAUUUAUGCCAACUCAUUCUUUGCUUCUUUUCUGAAGGGACACAUGCAACCGAAAGUAUAUUCUUGAAUUCUCCAGGAUAAGAGACAUACGUUUAGAUUCUGGAGCAUUUAAAACAAUGUCAAAUUUUAGAUUGCUGAAAUUUUAUAUAUCCGAGUAUGAUGGUGUUCCAAUUAUAAGCUCCAGGGUGCAACUUCACUGAGGUUUAGAAUGCCUUCCUAUAGAAUUGAGAAAUCUCCAUUGGCAUAAAUAUCUUUUGAAAAUACUGACAUCAGAUUUUGAAUUGGAGAACCUGAUUGGACUCAGCUUGCCCUGUAGUAAGGUUAAGCAAAUUUGGAAAAGAGAAAAGGUAUAAUGUAUUACUAUUACCAAAGUAUCUAUUUUUCUUUCUUUAAGUAUUUAUAAUGAAUAACUUUGAAAUUCAAUGAUGCUCAUUUAGUAUAGUUAUGUAUCUUUGGUUAUAGGAAGCUGUCAAGUUAAAAUCUAUAGACCUUCACCACCCCUUUAUCUCAAUAGGAUCCCAGAAAUACUAAAUCUUAAAAAAAUAAAUCUUUCAAAUUGUGAAAGCAUGCUUACGUUACCCCCGUAUAUCCACAAUUUCAACUAGCUGAGUAUGUUGUGUUUCAGGGAUGCAAAAUUCAUUUUGUUUCUCAUGAAAGGAUUGACUUGUCCGGAUGUAUUAGGGUUAGUAAACCAACUAAUCCCAUAAUUUGUUGAUGUAGGGUCCUAACAAAUUAUUGCAGUAGAUUGUAGAUCAGUACACUAUUCGAAAACGUAUUUGAUCCACACAGUGAAGUGGAUAUUGGACCAAUUUGAUGAUAAUGAAUUUCUUUCAAUCUCAAUCUUUUUUCUUUUUAGCAACAUGACUAGUCAUUGUGCAAAUUCAAACUCUGACAAUAAUUUCUCAAUCGGUUUCUAAGAUGAUGACCAUGCAUGUAUAUGUAUAUGCGUGUGUAUAUGUGUGUGUGUGUAGAGAGAGAGAGAGAGAUCACACGUGUGUGAUUUCCUUUUGCCAAUAGGAUAUGCAGAGAGCUUGAUCUUACCCAAUAGCGAAACAAACUUCCUAAUAAGUGAAGGUAUAGUAUAAAUACUUAUACUUUCAUGUUAUUUUGUUCAUCAGUAGCUUGAUUAUUUUAUAUGCGUCUUCGAUUUUAAUUUUCUUUCCCUAUAAUCGCUAUUAUCUUUGAACUGGUCAUAAUUUGCCCAUAAGAUUUCUCAUGUUGUUUUGAGGUGCAACGGAUUUUGAAUUUAGUGACAAGCAGUGGAAGCCAGAAGGCAAAUUAUGAAAAUGGAUAAAGAUCUAUAAUUAGCUGUUAUGGGAUGUCACAUAUCAUAUUGAUGGUAACGUUAUAUAUAUGUACAUAUAAUUAAUGGGGUUGGCUCACGAGCCCAUUAAUAAUGGUAUAUUAGCUUAUAUACUUCAAACAAUGUACUAUGAAGCAAUUUCACAAAUACUUGUUAGCUUAUGUUGAGCUUUAUUGAAUCAGUAGUUCACAGUUCAAUAAAAUGCAGGUUUGCUAUUUGAAGUACAUGGUUAUGGUGCGUACAUUCUUCAUAAGGCUAACUACUAAUUUAUCAUUGAAACUUGAAAAAUGUGAUAGAGAGAUGUAGAUAACAGCCGCAAAACACUGAGAUUGAAAAUCAGGGCUACUAAAUUCUAUUAAAAGUCCUUAAAAUAGACAGCGAUCACCCUGAAAUGUAUAUACUGAAACUAAGAAAUAUUAAUCGCAAAGUUAUGCAUUAAUAGAACUAUUGACUACUUAUCUUUAGCAUAAAGUAUAUUUUUAACUACAGCUUUCUGCUUUGUUCUAAGAACUAGGCAAAAGUGGUGUAUCUUCAAUCCAAUCAACAUAUAUACCACUUAUCUUCCUCUUCACUUCUGUCUAUUUUGAUUUGCACUUCAUAUCCUGCACUUGCUGCUUAGAAAUAGUCUUUAUUCUGGACAUUGAAAGUAGAAAAAGUACUUGAAACAAUCAUUGGCACAGCCCGAGAUUCCAUUGAAUCGUGGACUCCAAGCUUUCAUAGUUCUAUAAAGAAGAUGACAAAACUUCAUACAACUGGCAUUCUGCUUUUAACAUUUGCACAACCUGAGCGAGUUAGCAAGCCCCUUGUUGCGUUCCCAUUGAAUAGACCUACUUCUGUUAUCCGCAGAAGAUCCACCACUCAAAAUGUUUAUCACCAGGCUAUUCUUAAACUGAGCCUAAACUGAGUAGAAACUUCCGCACAUCUCUCAGCAUUUACAUGAAGAAAUCGACAACUAUCCUCAUCUCUCAGCAUUCUACAAAGUUGCAUUUCACUAAGCAAUCUAUCCUCUCCAUUCCUAGCAAAGUGACAUUGAUUCCCGUAUUUGUAAUCGCCUAACUUGGGUUUUGGGCAUAGCGUGGUCUUAAAAUUACCACCCAAUACUUUGUUCAGUGCCACUGGCAUCCACAAGCUCUAGCCCUGUUAGUUGAAUCAUAUUCAAUGGGACAGUGAGGCAGCAUUUCACUAACAUAUUCAAUUUGACUACUUAUAUUGACGCAAAUAUUAGAAUUUGAAAUCACUUCUUUUAUUGGAAUAUUAUAUUAAUAUGACCCCAAAUGAAAGUUCUUGAAUGGAAAUGAUUUUUAUUUACUUUUCGAACAGAUUCAAGAAAACCCAGAGAACACAAAAUUUACACAGUAAUAUGAUUAAGAGCUGAGAACGUACAUGUAGUAAAUGUCUAUCAAAAAACACCCAAGGGUUUCUUUAAAAUUAGUAACUAGUAAACAAAAAGAAAGAAUCAUUUUACAUUUUUAGCAACUUUGGGGUGAGUGAGUGAGUGAGAAAUUGAAACCCUCAAGUGAUGACAACAGUAAGAUUCAGUAUGAAGUGAAACCCCAAUUUGAAAUGUAGGCAUGAGUUGCUGAGUCAGUAGAUGAAGCUAUAAAUAGGCAUUCGGUUUCCUUCUUUUCGGUUUGGAGGGCCAUGGAAUAGUGUAUUGGAGUGGGCUCCAAGUAAUAGCCUCUAUCACUGGAACGACACAUCUAUAAAAUGUGAUACAUGGGGAAGGAUUGGGCAUUUUAUUCUUAGAUUAGCCCCUUAUUUAGGGUGUAUAUUAAGCAGAUUAUAUAUUACAUGGAGAUGGAGUUUAUGAAAUAGAUUAAAAAGAAAAGGAAAUUUUGGUGCCUAAAGUUUGCCACUUGGAAUAUUUCGGUGUCUAAAAUUCACUCACCACUUAUUUCAUGUUUGAUUAUAUGUUGAAAAGAUAUUAAAAUAGUAUAAUGCUAUUAAGGCUUAACGUAUAUUUUUUAUUAGUAGAGUGUAGAAUUUUUAAGAAAUAAAUUAUUAAAUUAUUAUAACUAACAUAUUAUUUUAAAGUUGUGUUAUGAAAAAAAUGAAAUAAAAAUGUACAGUAAAUAAGAAUAUUUUAAAACUUUUAUCUUUUUAAAAUUAGUUUUUAACAUAAGGUGAACUAUUUUUUUUUUAAAAUCACAUAUUCUAGUUAAAAUCAAAUAUGUAUUUAUACGAAGCUUGUAAUUUUUUUUUUUAGUACUGAUAUUUGAAUAUUAUCAAUAAAAAAAAGGGUAAUGUUCAUGCUGCAUUAUUUUUGUAGCACACAAAAGGACAACACCGUUUAUGGUAUAAUACUAUCGCUUCUGUUAUGAUAAUUUUUUUUGUGGCCAAAUAUCUUUUUUUUUUUUAAGUAAAAAAAAGUGGACAAAAUGCAAAUCAGUUUUUAAUCCUCAAUCUCUCCCAAAAUAUAUAUUUCGGUGUCUAAAAAUUCACUCACAAAACUAUAGCUGACAAAAAGUUACUAACAAAAAGUUAGGUCCAUGGGUUGUUAAAACUAUAGCUGACAAAAAGUUACUAACAAAAACAGAAUGUCCAUUUUAUAACUUUCUUAAAAAACUUUCCUUAACUUUUUAAACAAAAAGUUAUUUCCAAUUUUUAUUUUGUUAUAAUGUUUAUAACAAAAUUCGUAGUUAACUAAACUCUUCUUAUACCCUUUCUCAACUGCCAUACCCUAACCCACUAAACCACGCUCAAUUAAGGCCAUCAGAUUCUCCCGGGCCCACAUUAAUCCAACUGCUCACAGAGACCGACAGCCUCUCUAUCUCCAUUUCAAGCUCCCUCUUCAACUGGCUUCUGCUACCGUCCUACUCUUUCUCGGCUUCGGAGUCCGUAUUUGCUCGGCCUGUCCCACGAAGCUCCCUCUCACUCCAAUUGUCGCCCCACAAGACCAAUUGCUUAAUCAAGACACCGAACAAGAAAAGGAUGAGAAGUUGAAACAAGAAUUUGAGAAUUGGAAAUAAAAAACGUACGCAUUGACCGUGCCUUUGAGAGUCGUUUCUCUUCAGAACUCAGUGCCUCAAUCUUGGAUUAAGGAUUUUAUGCGAAGUCAGGGAAAGAGAUUGAAGUUUCAGAUGAAUUUGUGUGCUAGCAUUGAUGGGAUCUUUAACAAUUUAUCUGUGCCCUUUAACAAAGUUAAGGCUAAGUCAGCUUCUUAUAUGGCUGCUGAUUUGGUUAGUGUUGGUGAUUCAUGGCUUAGUUUUGCCAUUAAAAAGAGAUUGAUUGAGCCAAUGGCUGGAGCUGAAGACCAAGAUUGGUUCAAAUGCUUAAGUCACAAAUGGAAGGUAACAUCUUUGUCUUUGAUCCUCGAGGUAAAAUAUGGGCGGCACCGUACAGGUGGGGCACAACGGUGAUAGCCUACAAGAAAAGUAAAUUUCGAAAGCAUAAUUUGGCUCCGAUUGAGGUAAUAAUUUUCUUUAAACUCAUUUAGUUUUAUAUCAAACAAAAUCAAGACUGCCUUUCUCUUCAAUAUUUUUUAUGAUAAUAUCUUUAGAAGCAUCUCAUUGACGGGUAACAAUGGCAUCCCUGAAAGAGUCUAUAAACUCAAUGAUAUUAUCUUCUACAAAUGGUUCAUUAAACUUUGUCGUUGUACUCAAAUGUACACUCAGAUCAAUGAGAAGCUAUGCUACGUUAGCAUGUAGUGAUGGCACUUAAUAAGUGAGUUGCUAGGAUGUGAACUAGAAAAAUUAAAUAUUGUCUCCUUGGGUAUGCUAGCUGGUAAGUCAGGGUUAAUAUCAGAGCUUAAGAUAGUAUAACCGUGAGAACCUAUUGACUGCCAAUUAAAAUAUCCAUUGAAAUGUCUAGGGAGUUAUGAAGGUGGAGGUAACUUCCAAUUUCUAAGGCCACAGAGUAGACAUCAUCCAGGAUCCUAGGAAAGUCCAGUUAACCUCCUGCUCGAUGCAAUUAAUAAAUUUGGUCAAUGCCACUGAAACCUGCUAACUGACGUCACAAUGCGACAUGAGCACUUCAAAAUGGGACAGACGGUCAGUAGCACUAAAUUUUUCUUGCCCAAGAUUGAGCAAUUGGUCUAACUACUAAUCCCUAUUGUAGGUUGAUCAUUAUUUUUUCAAUUAUGUUCAGUUUGACCCAAAAAGUUGCAGAAUCUUGAGCUGAAUAUUGUCACUGAACACUGUCAAUGUCAUUUAGCAUAGCCAACUAACUUGAUGUUAAAACAAACACACAGUGUGUCUCAUGUCUCACAAUUCAAAUUAUCAUCUGUAAUGUUGGAGAAUUUUUCCAAUGUAUGAAGUAUGCUUUGAUACGUGGGUUACCUUGGAGAAGAUAUCUCAAAAUAAAGAAUAUGGGGAGAAAACAGUUCAGUAGUUUAUUAUUCUGUAGUCAAGUUUUGUCUCGAAAAUGGUCAAAAUUUAAAUGAAUAAGGACAGGGGAUCUUCAUUCUUUUUUCCCUUUUUUAUACCAAGAUAUCUCUCAACCUUUAUAUAAUCCCCACUGGAUAUCUGCUUCUAAUAAUUAAAAUAAAAAUUUCACCGCUCUAACAAUAAAAAGUAACAUCUUUCCUCAAAUAAUUUACAGUUCCUCAUCAUCUUAGUGUGAGACUAUCAGUACAUUCCAAAAACAUAAUAAAACUGGUUUGAUCCUGUUUAUUGAUGUUUAAAUGUUGUUCAUUGUGACAGGUAGAAAUGAUGAGGCGAAGUUUAUUUGGACAUCAAUUAGUAAGAUCUUGUUUGAAGUUGUUUUCUGAAAUGAACUGCCAAAUGGUAGUUUUUUGGGGGCAUUUGAUGGCUCUUUUUUUUUCCUCAUUUUCAACAUGUGCCUGCUUGGAACAUGAAGGAUUAGGCUGCAGAGUUGUUAUAUAUUUUGAGAUGCUCUGGUCAUUGCACAAUUUGUUCACACUGGAAAUUAGAAUGAGAAAUUUGUUGAUGCUGUUUUGAGAGAUCUGCAUUCUAUGCACAAUAACAUGAUUAAUGAAAAUGCAUUGUAGGACUGGAAAGAUCUGUGGCAGCCUGAGCUCGCAGGAAGAAUUUCAAUGGUUAAUUCUCCCCGAGAGGUUAUUGGUUCAGUUUUGAAGUAUAGGGGAACAUCAUACAAUUCAAACUAUAUUGAUUCGCAAGUUGCUGGUGGGAAGAUUGCUGUUCAGCAGAAUCUGGCAUUACUGGCAAACCAGGUACUCUUACAGAAAUCAUAUCUGGUCAUUGCAUGUUAUUGCCUGACAACUGAUUUUGUUUGUAAAAGUCUGCUUCUUCAUACAUAUGAAUGCAUAUGUUAGUGUUUUCUUCUCCUUUUCAUACAUAUAAAUGCAUAUGUUAGUGUUGUCUUUUCCUUUUCACACAUAUUAAUACAUAUGUUGGUGUUCUCUCCUGAGAUGGAUGCAAUAAAGGCUUUUGCUCCUAAAUUUAGCUGAAGAAAUGGCAAGGGAUGUGAGAUUCUGUCUCAUUAAAUUAACAAAAACCCAAAACAAUGAAAAUCCAUAAUAAUGUGGUGUGGGUAAAUUGGCUCCAUUUGGUUCGUUUCCUUAAUGUGAAUGCGCGAGCAAUAGAGACUAACAAAAUGAAGUGACAACAAGAAGUCAGUGUCCUUUGAUGGAUGCAUUUUUAGGCAGAAAUAUGUUUGUAAUUGACCAAAUUUGUCUGGCAUGCCAAUUUCAAAAAAAUUAAAUUAUGUGGUUAUUAGCUGUAAUGAAGGGGGAUAGUAGGUGCAAUCAGGUGUAUCCAGGAAAGUUCAACAAAGUUUUGGUAUGGCGUAGUGAAAUUGGUUUGUGCAACUCAGGAGUCUUUCAGGUGAACGAUGAUAGGUUUUGAUUUAUGAAUAUUAUAAAUCUACUGUGCAUAGUAUUCUAGUAGAAUCAUCUAUAAGUUCUAGUUAUUGUAUACUUUGCCCGGUUUGAGUUAAGGGCACAUGUAAUAUGAAAGAUAGUUGUCGCAUCUUUUAGGUUACCUAACAUUUGAUCAAUCCUAUUAUGGGGGCUUCAAGAUGUCUAACAAUAUGUAGAAUGCCCAUGCUCCUCCCCAUUGUUUAUCUUCUACAAUAAUUUGUUUUAGAUGCUAAUAUCUUUGUCGAUACCGGUAACAAUAUUACAAUAUCUGCGUUUAUUGGGUUUUACAUAGGUUCGACUGUUUGACAGUACACACUAUCUGAAGGCAUUUGCAAUUGGAGAUGUAUGGGUUGCUGUUGGGUGGAUUAGUGAUGUUCUUCCUGCUGUCAAACAUAUGUCUAAUGUUGCUGUUGUUGUUCCCAAGUCUGGUGCUAGCUUAUGGGCUGAUCUUUGGGUAUACCCAUGCCUGCCAUUCUACUUCAAUAUUCACAUUGUUAUCUCCUUCAUAUUAGUGAUCAGUAAACACGAUAAUGUGACUAAUAAGUUCGUAUUCUCUUUAUAGGCAAUCCCUGCUGCCUCAAGACUUGAAACAAAACAAAUUGGAGGGCGAGUCAGAGGUGCAUUUCCAUUAAUCCAUCAAUGGAUAGAAUUCUGCUUGCAAACAGCGAGAGCAUUGCCUUUCAAGCAAGAGGUUAUCCCGAGCGCAUCUCCCUCUGCCCUUGAGAGUACUCUGGUUAAGUUGCCUGAAGAACUUUUCAAGGGUAAACCAAGUCUGGAUACUAACUUAAUUGCUGGAGUACCCCCGACUGAAAUUCUGGCCAGAUGUGAGUUUUUGGAGCCUUUAUUUGAAGCUACAUUGUCGGAUUAUGAGUGGCUGGUUACUAAUCUGCAAAAAUCCACUCCUGUACUGAUCAACAAGAUGCAACAUUACAUGUCAUCAUUGAUCUUUAGCUAAAGGUACAUUGAAAAGUUAAUGGCACUGCAUACCAGUCAUUAUAAUUGGGUCAGGGCAAUUAGGUCAGAGCAUAACUUCAUUAGGAAAAGAUGCUUCAGCUACGUUAAAUAUUACAGGAUGUACUGAGAUGGCUGAAGCUGUUGAGGUUUUACGAGAAUCGAAAGAUAGUGUUUGUUUGAACAAAGUUGUUGCCAAUCUUGCAGAGUUCGAGAAGAAAGAUCACGAAGUGAAUGCCACCGAUUUCUUCAUCAUUGUAGCCUCCAUAGUUGAAGUUUCCUCAUUUGAAGCUGUUUAUGCAUAUGUUUUUUCCCUGCUCAAGUACAGGAAAUUGAAGAAUUAACCAGAUGUGAUAUGCUGAAAGAGGGAAGUUUUCUUCCUUGAAUGUGGUCUUUGUGAUUUGUCUUGAAGGAAUAGGGUGAUCACUGGCAAGAACCCUAUCAAGGUAGAUUUUAUGAUGUUAACAUAUCAUUAAGCAUUUUGUUACAUCAGCAAUGAUGCUUUCAUAGCAGCAUGAAAGUGUUUAAAUUUAACUGAAUGAUCUUGAUUGAUCAAUUAUGAGUUUUAAUCGAGUAAAAACUAAAUACAAUCAUCGUUAACAAAUAUUGAAAUUGGGUAAAUAAGAUCUUGAUAUUGAAGAAUUUGAAAUCACAACCCACACAGGAAAUCACCCUUCGCGUGGGGAUGGAGAUGUUUACUGCAGCGAUAUUGAAUAUGUCCACCGCUCUUUGGGUUAUGGUGCGACUUGCCCUGAAACAAUGGAAAAGAAUAAUUAAUAAUUUAACGCCAAGACAUAAAAUUAAAACGUGUGGACUCCGGUAGCUGCCCUACAAGUCUACAACUCUACAAACAUUAACUCUACAAACAUUAAAACGUGUGGACUCCGGUAGCUGCCCUACAAGUCUACAACUCUACGAGAAUAAUUUCUAGCCCUGUUGACUCCACUAACUAAAGAAAUUUCAAAACGUACAUAGAAUUCCACAACAAGCAAAACGUAUGGAAUUUAAUUUUUUGCCGUGUGGAACAAAAUACAAUUUAACAAAAAAGGAUAAGAAAAAUGGUAAGAUUUCUAAAAUGCAUGGAAGGUGAUUCAUAUUUUACUGAAACGACUUGUCCUGAACAUUAAGACGAUUGAUUUUUUUUUUUUUUUUAAUAACAUCAACUUCCAUAUCUUUCUAACCCCUAGAAUAUGCUCACGUUCAAGUCUAUCUUGGUAAUUUGAAAAAGAAAAUCAAAUCAAAUCAACACCAAAACAAUGAAAAGUAAAACUUUUGAAUUUCAACUUUAAACUUUUGUUAACCCCUAGAAUAUUCAGCGUUUUCAAAUUCUUCCGAUUGCAUAUCUUCUUCCUCCAUCAAUGCAAUAUUUGAACGAUUAUGAAAGAGUUUAAGAACAUAAAAAAUCUCCAAGGUUUAUACGGUAUAACAAAUUUAAAUUCUCAAUUACAAUAGAUAAUAAUUAAACUAAUAAUUUUUUAUGUACUUAUUUUAGUAAUUUCACCUAAGAAUAAUAUUGUAAUUAGAAAAAAAAAUCUAAUAAGUAGGGUGGUCUUAUACAAAAUCAACUGUACUGUGAUGAGUUUCCUUUUGUUAAUAAUUUUAGUCUAAUUUCAAUUGUACUGUGAUCGCUUCUCAAGGUAAGUGAAAGUUACAGAUGUGGCAAAAUAAAUAAUUAAGUUAACAAAAUGCUAACUAAUUUUCCUCAAUACCUAGGGUUGUACAAUUUCACCAACCUGGAAGAAUUGACAUUAAUGGACUGGUCUCCUCCCCAUAUAAUUAUAAUCCUUCUAGAAAGCUAUUUUUUAUUAAAUAUUUGCUUUUAAGUUAAUUUCAAUUAAAAAAUGUUUUAAGUUAUAUAUACUCUAAUGAGAUUCUGAAUUCCUUUAUUCCAAUAAUAAUGAAAACGUAUUAAAUUAGAAAUGAAAAAAUUGGUGUUGAUGAUUCAACCUAUUUGGAUAGAUUACGUGAAUAAAAUUAAAAUUUUGAUUUAAUUUUUGUUUAUUGUUAAUUCUCAGGCUAUCUUAAUUUCAAGAAUUUAGAAUGUUAAUUUGGUCAUGGAUUUCAACCCGUGAGUGUCAUAUUCUAGACUUAAUGGUACCAUUCUUUGAUUGAGGGCAAUGACUCUCACUCCUCUUGUAAAAAAAUAUUUUCAACUAUUUUGAUGACUUAAAAAUUGAUAGAUUUAUUGUUGUCAUGACCAAAUUAUUCAUUUUAAUGAAAUAUAAUUAAUGCAUCAAAGUUACCAGGUUUAUGUUCUAUCUUAAUGCGCUUUUUUUUUUUUUUUCAGUUAUAGCUUCUGCUUACGUCUGUUUCAUUUUUUUUUAAUAAAAAAACAAGGGAAGGUUUUUCCGAGUCAUCCAUUAUUUGAUUACCGUCAAUCAAGAAAACAACCAAAUUAAUUUCUCUCCAAAAUUUCCAAAAGCUAGAAAAUUUUGUUAUUUGAAAAUAACAUCAUUAAUUAUAGAGUGGAUCAAACCGCGUUAUUGUCUUUCAUAAAAUUGAUGUCUUUUUAAGAGUCAAUACUUUUUAUUUACGCAAACCAGUCGACAUCACACAUAUACUCUUUAAUUUGAUAAAUGGUUACACAAAUUUUGUUUACAAAAAUAUAUUAUUCAUGUUCUGUAUUAUUUUUUAACAUCAUAUUUUUAUUUAUUAUAAUUGUUUAAAGUUAAUUGUUAGGUUGAUAUAUAAUAAAAACGUAUAAUCGUUCUCUUACUAAACACACAUACUCAUAGUUUCUGUUCAUUUGUCAUCUCAAUCUAUCUCAUUUAUCCUUUGUUGAUAGCUCAAAACGCGUCACUGUGGAAAAUUAUAGCAAAACGACAAAUAUGGAAAAAAAUGGGAAGAAAAUUAAUGCAUGAAAGAGUUGCAGAAGACAACCAAAUAAGUCAACUAUACGCUAGUUGGGUGUAUAAAUUGUUAGAUGUGUUAUAAACAAAUAGCAUAGAGCCUUGGUUGGUUACAGAGAUAGAAAAAGUGUGUGUGUUUUUUAGAACUUAAAGAUAUAGUUAGAAUGGGUGGUUCAAAAUCAAAAAUGGUGAUAAUGUUUGUUCUGUUAUUAAUAAUAUUAGAAGGUGGGUGGAGUGAAGGAUGUUUGGAUCACGAGAGAUUUGCUCUUUUGCGACUCAAACAUUUCUUCGAUGAUACUGGUAGUUAUCUUUACAACUGGGGAGAUGGUGAGGGAGCUACUGAUUGUUGUCAGUGGGAAAGGGUUGAGUGCAGCAACACCACAGGCCGAGUGAUAGCGCUAGACCUUUUUGGCACGUAUCGGCGAGAGUACAGCUGGUAUUUGAAUGCUUCUUUGUUUACUCCCUUCCAACAACUUGAGUCACUUGAUUUACAUGGCAAAAAUAUAGCUGGUUUUGUUGAGAAUGAAGGUGCUUCGUCUAAUUCAAUUAAAUUACAUUUCGCUCUCCUAAUUUAAGUCGAAUAUCAAGACUGAGCAGCUAUAUGCAUAUUCAUUCAAUUGACAAUUUUUACAUAUUUUUUAAAAUGUUUAAUUUUGAAAUUACACCAAACAUCAUAUGUGAUCUUUGUUUUGAUUUUACUUGCAGGUCUAGAAAGAUUGAGCAACUUGAAGAGGCUUGAUUUAAGUCAUAACUUGUUCAACAAUAGCAUCUUAUCAUCUGUGGCUCAUCUUUCAUCACUAACAUCAUUAGAUUUAUCUGAAAAUAGAUUGGAAGGAAGUAUUAAUGUUAAAGGUACGUAAUUAAAACGUCAUCGCUUUUCCCAACUCUUUCAUUAACAUGUUAAAAUAAGAUUCAAGGCUUUGAAUUCAAUUUUUUUUAUGAGUAAAUAUUAGAAAAAUAGUUUUAAGCAAUUCAUAAAUACAAUUUUCAAUGUUUCUCAUAAUUACUCUAACUGUGAAGCAAAUACCCCAUGACUAAUUUAUCAUUUUGUCCAGUUAAAAAUGAUAAAAUUUAUCAUUUGUUUAUAUUGAUUUAUUAACUCUAUUUUAAGUCUUAAGUCUUGGCGUCUUGGCAUGUUUGCAGAAUUUGAUUCCUUGAGCAACUUAGAGGAGUUGGACAUGAGCUACAAUGAAAUAGACAAUUUCGAGGUUCCUCAAGGUAAACAAUUAAAAUAUUAUUUAAUUACAUUAAUUUAAUUCGUUUGAUUAGGGAAGACCCAAAAUGUACAAAAACAUAAUUAAAAAAAAAUAAAGAAACAGAGAAUUCAUAUUAUUUCAAAAAACAAAAGGUAAUACUAUUAUUUCAAAAAAAGAAUGUAAUAAAGAUUUGAUUCCGGUUCUUUAAUCUUUAUAGCAAUUGAACAACAAUGUUGCUCUUUUCCUAAAGCAUAAAAUAUGAAAUGAGUCAUAAUUGAAUUAGUCAUUUAUUUUGUUUAGAUCUAAAUUUAGACAAUAAAUUUUGAUUUUUUUUUCAAUCCUAUCCUUAUUAUUAUUGUUAAACAGGUUACAGAGGUUUGAGGAAGUUGAAAAGCCUCUAUCUAUCGAAUGUUGGAGUUAGAGAUGGAAGCAAGUUGUUACAGUCUAUGGGAUCAUUCCCAUCCCUCAACACUCUUUACCUGAAGGAUAAUAAUUUUACCGAUAUAGCGACAACUACUACUCAAGGUAAGUAAAAGGUACAUAUGUGGCCAAAUUUAUAAAUAAAUUGUUAAUUAAUUAAUUUUUCCGUAUUAUUAAUAAAGCUAAAUUCGUCGCUCAUUCCUUCUAAUUCUAAACAGAGUUGGCAAUUUCACCAACUUGGAGUAUUUGACAUUGGACUUGUCCUCACUCCAUUUAAGCCUUCUGCAAUUGCUUGAAGAAUGAAUUUAUUUAUUUAUUUAUUAUUAUUAUUAUUGUUGUUGUUGUUGUUGUUGUUGUUGAAGUGAGGUGGGCAAGCGUUCACUCAAUUAAUAUGUGAGGAAUUAAUAAUUACAAUCCAAGGUAGAAUUGUGGAAAAUUAAAGCAAAAUGAGAAAUAUGGAAAGAAAGGAAGAAAGUUAAGGGCAUGAAAGACUAGGAGAAGACUAAAGACCACCAAAUAAGUCAACUGAAAACUAGCUGGGGCCUGGGUGUACAAAUUGUUAGAUGUGUUUGUUAUAAAUAACAUAGAGCCAUCUUGUUGGUUGCAGAGGCAGAGAGACACAGAGUGUGCAUUUUAUUAAUUAAAAAUAUAUAUAAAAUGGGUGGUUCAAAAUCCAAAAUGGUGAUAAUGUUAGUUUUGUUAGUAUUAAUAAUAUUAGAAGGGAGGUGGCGUGAGGGAUGUUUGGUGCAUGAGAGAUUUGGUCUUUCGAGACUUAAAACAUUUCUUCAAUUCUCCUUAUAAUUUUUGUCACGACUGACCGUUGUCAAUAGAAUGGGGCUGGGUGCAGGGUUGAUUUACGUUAGAACAAUAUAGCCGGUAGUGUUGAGAAUGAAGGUGUUUCAUUUAAUUUAAUUAAUUUACUUUCUCCCUCCUAAUUUAAGUGGAAUAUCAAGACAGAACAAUUAUAUGCAUCUUCGUUCAGUUGACAAUUUUGACAUAUUUUUUUAAGUGAUUAAUUUUGAAAUUACACCAAACAUUAUUUGUGAUCUCUGUUUUGACUUUACUUGCAGCGCUAGAGACGUUAUCAAGAUUGAGCAACUUGACGAUACUUGAUUUAAGUUAUAACUUGUUCAAUAAUAGCAUCUUGUCAUUUGUUGCCCGUCUUUCAUCAUUAACAUCAUUAGAUUUAUCUUACAAUGGAUUGGAAGGAAGUAUUAAUGUUAAAGGUACGUAAUUAAAACGUCAUCGCUUCUCCCAACUCUUCCAUUAACAUGCUAAAAUAAGAUUCAAGGCUUUGAAUUCAAUUUUUUUUUAUGAGUAAUAUUAGAAAAAUAGUUUUAAGCAAUUCAUAAAUACAAUUUUCAAUGUUUCUCAUAAUUUCAUCUUGUACUUUUGUAUGUCUUGACUUUAAGAUUAAAAAAAAAUUACUCUAACUGUGAAGCAAAUACCCCAUGACUAAUUUACAAUUUUGUCCAGUUAAAAAUGAUAAAAUUUAGGGAAAUUAUCAUUUGUAUACCCUUAGUUUACUCUAUUAUCAAAAAUACUACAACACUUUGAGGGUGUAUCAAUCGUCCACCCUAAGUUGACAAAAUGUAUUAGCCAACCACCAAACCGUUAGUUGCCGUUUAAAUAUGAUAACAUCAUAAGGGUAAUCUGGUCUUUUCAUAUGAUACAAGUGAUAAUUUAAGGGUAUACAAGUGAUAAAAAGAGAGUUUAAGGGAUACAAGUGAUAAUUUUCAAGGGUAAAAUCGUCAAUUUACUGUAAUUCCAUUAACUUUCAAACGGCAAUUAACAGUUUGGUGGUCGGUUGAUACAUUUCAUCAACUUAGGGUGGACGAUUGAUACACCCUUAAAGUGUUGUAGUAUUUUUGAUAAUAAAGCAAAUAUAGGGUAUACGAAUGAUAAUUUCCCUAAAAUUUAUCAUUUGUUUAUAUUGAUUUAUUAACUCUAUUUUAAGUCUUAAGUCUUAAGUCUUGGCAUGUUUGCAGAAUUUGAUUCCUUGAGCAACUUAGAGGAGUUGGACAUGAGCGGCAAUGAAAUAGACAAUUUCAAGGUUCCUCAAGGUAAACAAUUAAAAUAUUAUUUAAUUACAUUAAUUUAAUUCGUUUGAUUAGGGAAGACCCAAAAUGUACAAAAACAUAAUUAAAAAAAAAUAAAGAAACAGAGAAUUCAUAUUAUUUCAAAAAACAAAAGGUAAUACUAUUAUUUCAAAAAAAGAAUGUAAUAAAGAUUUGAUUCCGGUUCUUUAAUCUUUAUAGCAAUUGAAAAACAAUGUUGCUCUUUUCCUAAAGCAUAAAAUAUGAAAUGAGUCAUAAUUGAAUUAGUCAUUUAUUUUGUUUAGAUCUAAAUUUAGACAAUAAAUUUUGAUUUUUUUUUCAAUUCUAUCCUUAUUAUUAUUGUUAAACAGGUUACAGAGGUUUGAGGAAGUUGAAAAGCCUCUAUCUAUCGAAUGUUGGAGUUAGAGAUGGAAGCAAGUUGUUACAGUCUAUGGGAUCAUUCCCAUCCCUCAACACUCUUUACCUGAAGGAUAAUAAUUUUACCGAUAUAGCGACAACUACUACUCAAGGUAAGUAAAAGGUACAGAUGUGGCCAAAUUUAUAAAUAAACUGUUAAUUAAUUAAUUUUCUGUAUUAUUAAUAAAGCUAAAUUUUUGCUCAUUCCCUCUAAUUCUAAACAGAGUUGCACAAUUUCACCAACUUGGAAUAUUUGACAUUGCACGGUUCCUCUCUCCAUAUAAGCCUUCUGCAAAGCAUUGCAUCAAUAUUCCCUUCGUUAAAAAAUCUGUCGAUAUCUUAUUGUGAAGUCAAUGGUGUCGUACAUGGUCAAGGUAAAAGAAAAGUGUUGGUUGUGCACUCACUGAGUGUUGUCCUACGUAUUCAAUAUUUUUAUUUAUUUAUUUUAUUGUUUAAUGUUUCUGCUAGGUUUUCCUCAUUUCAAGAGUUUGGAACAUUUGGGCAUGAUGUCCACGCGCAUUGCACUCAACACCAACUUUCUUCAAGUCAUCAGUGAAUCGAUGCCUUCUCUUAAGUACUUAUCACUGUCAUAUUCUACUCUUGGCACUAACAGCAGCAGGAUUCUUGAUCGAGGUUAAUCAGAUGCUCCCACCCUCCAUUCUUAAUCUAUAAUAUUAAUUUUCAGUUAAAUAUUUAAUUACACAAACCAAUCACUUAUUAUAAAAGAACAAUACGCAUUCAUUAAUUUUUAUAUUAUAUUAAUUGAUGAAUUUAAUAAAUUCCAGGCCUCUGUUCGCCGGUGCAUCUGCAAGAGUUAUACAUUGGUUCUAACGAUUUAAGAGGUAGCUUGCCUUGGUGCAUGACAAAUUUGACAUCCCUCCGAAUAUUAGAUGUUUCUUCCAAUCAACUUACUGGAAGCAUCUCCUCGUCUCCCCUCAUUCAUUUGACAUCCAUUGAAAAGCUGUAUCUUUCAAACAAUCACUUCCAGAUCCCAAUUUCACUUGAACCACUUUUCAAUCAUUCAAGACUCAAGACUUUUUAUGCUGACAACAACGAACUAAAUGCAGAAAUAACUCAGUCACAUUCUUUGACCGCCCCAAACUUCCAAUUAUCACGUCUCUCAUUGUCUUCCGGUUAUGAAGAUGGCGUCACAUUCCCCAAAUUCCUUUACCAUCAACAUGAUCUGGAGACUGUUGAGCUCUCACAUAUAAAGAUGAAUGGAGAAUUUCCAACUUGGUUGUUGGAAAACAACACAAAAUUGAGACAACUUUCUCUCGUCAAUGAUUCUCUUGGAGGACCUUUCCGGUUGCCAAUUCAUUCACACAAGCGGUUAGGAAUGUUGGAUAUAUCCAACAACAACUUCCGAGGCCACAUUCCAAUAGAAAUUGGAGAUGUUUUACCAAGUCUAUACCUUUUCAACAAUUCCAUGAAUGCUUUAGACGGUAGCAUUCCCUCUUCAUUUGGUAAUAUGAAAUUCCUCCAAAUUCUGGACUUAUCCAACAAUCACUUGACUGGUGAAAUCCCCGAGCACUUGGCCGUUGGUUGCGUCAACUUGCAGUCUCUUGCAUUAUCAAAUAACAACCUACAAGGUCACAUGUUCUCUAGAAAUUUUAACUUGAUAAACUUGAAAUGGUUACAAUUGGAGGGCAAUCGCUUCAUAGGUGAGAUCCCACAAAGUUUGUCUAAAUGCUCCUCACUAGAAGGAUUGUAUCUUAACAAUAAUAGUCUUUCGGGUAAGAUUCCACGAUGGUUGGGUAAUCUCACAUGGUUACAAUAUAUUAUAAUGCCCAAUAAUCAUCUUGAAGGCCCUAUUCCAGUGGAGUUUUGUCAGCUUGAUUUGCUUCAGAUUUUGGACAUUUCAGACAACAACAUAUCUGGAAGUUUACCAUCUUGUUUCCAUCCUCUCUCUAUCAAACAAGUUCAUCUUUCAAAAAAUAUGUUACAUGGACAGCUAAAAAGAGGUACAUUCUUUAAUUGCUCUUCCCUUGUGAUAUUAGAUCUUAGCUAUAAUCGCUUGAAUGGCAGCAUUCCGGAUUGGGUUGAUGGGCUUUCUCAGUUAAGCCACCUUAUCUUAGGUCAUAAUAAUCUUGAAGGUGAAGUGCUAGUUCAAUUGUGCGAAUUGAACCAACUACAAUUGUUAGAUCUUUCUAAUAAUAAUCUUCACGGUCCUAUUCCUCCUUGCUUUGAUAACACCACACUUUAUGAAAGUUACAGCAAUAGUUCUAGUCUUGAUGAGCAAUUUGAAAUAUUUUUUUCCAUCGAAAGCCCUCAGGGAAAUGUAGAAAAGCAAAUCCAUGAAAUUUUUGAGUUCACAACAAAGAACAUUGUGUACAUUUACCAAGGAAAAGUGCUUAGCCUCCUAUCAGGACUUGAUCUUUCUUGCAACAAGCUAAUUGGUCCUAUUCCUCCUCAAAUUGGAAAUUUGACAAGGAUUCAAACAUUGAAUCUAUCACACAACGACUUGAUAGGAUUGAUCCCAUCAACAUUUUCAAACUUGAAGCAUGUCGAAAGUUUGGAUCUUUCCAACAACAAAUUGAAUGGGAAAAUCCCUCAUCAACUAGUGGAGUUAAAGACAUUGGAGGUUUUCAGUGUGGCAUACAAUAACUUAUCAGGCGAAAUUCCAGAAUGGACUGCACAAUUUGCAACCUUCAAUGAGAGUAGCUAUGAGGGAAAUACUUUUCUUUGUGGAUUGCCAUUGCCCAUUUGCAGAUCACCAGCAACUAUGUCGGAGGCUUCAAUUGGCAAUGAACGAGAUGAUAAUUUAAUUGACAUGGACAAUUUCUUUAUCACAUUUACAACAUCGUACGUAAUUGUGAUAUUUGCAAUUGUUAUUAUUUUAUAUGUAAAUUCUUAUUGGCGACGUAGAUGGUUUUACUUUGUUGAAAUGUGGAUAACUUCAUCUUACUAUUUUGUUGUAGACAAUCUUAUUCCAACAAGAUUUUAUCAUUGAAAUUAAUUAGUAGUUUAAUUACGAUUCUUUAAGUACUAAUCAAGUUUGUUUAGGAAAUAUUUUUUUAUUAAAAUUGUAGUAGUAUUUAGCAUUAUAUAGCUUCCAACUUCCAAGCACUUCACAUUUGUCUCUACACUUAAAAAACUGAGUGAUCAUGUUUUGCAGAUCUGGAUUUGGAGCAGGAUGGAUCCAAACCCAUAUCUGUCCACCGUAACUUAUAGCUUCCCUAUACUGUGCAGCAUACUUAAAUAAGAGAACCAUCUCCAAUGUUAAAAGCAUUCACUCUAUAACAUUCAUUUAGAAACUAUAUUCAGAAUAAUUUUAUAAUUAAACACAAGAAAUGAAACACACAGAUACACUUGAUCGCCUAUUUUACUCUAAAAAAGAACGAUUAUUGUGCUAUCAUCAUCUUCUUCACUAGCAACAUUAACACCAAAUCGAUGGACCCAUACAUUUCAUCAAGAAAGGUCUAUAUCCAAUAAAGUUGAAGCCUAACAAAAAAUUCAAGAAGAUUCAUGCCUCGCCACAACAAGGGGCACAACAACAUCAAAGUAGAGAUUAAGCAGUAUUCUCAAAGCUAAAACUCUCAAAUCCACCCACCAGAAUUUCAUAUCUCCUCAACAAUUUUAAGAACUAAAGAUAAUUAGGAUUUAACAUUAGUUUUUUAUAUAUUAGUUUCAUAAUUUACAAAUCAAUGAAGAUGAAGAUUAUGCUAAUAAAUUCAAAUUAUACCAUACAUUCUCUAGAUGUUACCAAAAAUUUCUAAGUCAAUCCCACAUAUUUCAUAAUUUUAAGACUAGAAAAUUUCACUAGUUAGAAGUUUCAUUACCUUCAAGUGGAAGAUGAAGAACAUUAUACAAGUGAUUCAGAUUAUAUCAUACAUACUCCAAAUGCAACUAGAAAUUAACAAGUUCAUGCACACAUAUUUCAUAACAUUAUGAUUGAAAAGUUUCACAGAGAAAUUCUAAAUUCAAUCUCUUGCAUGAAGGCAAUUUGAUUGAUUUGAGUUACUUUCUUAUCAAGCUACUAAUAUAACAUUCAAGUCAGGGAGAAAAUAAAUUAAAACUGGGAAGAAAUAACAGUAAAAAUUUGUUGCUCAACAUGAUGUGUAUUUUUUUUCAAGGCAAUUUGGAAACACAAUUGUUACCACAGAUAUUCUUCUCAACUUGGAGAUAAAUACAAAUAUUAAAAUGCAUAUGAUCGCACAUACUACUUCGAGUUUAGUAAGAUUUCAUUAAAAGAAGCAAUCAAACCACUUAUCAAUUGUCGCAGUCGUUCUAUAAACUAAAAUAGCAAUAUAAUACAAGAAAAAGAACAUAUAGAUACUUGGCAAGAGUUCAUUAAGAAGUCACAUCACAUUCAGGUGAGGAGUUUGCUUCUGAUAUCUUGCUAGCUGGGGCUUUUUCUUGUCUUUCUACGUAUGCCGAGGGAAACCAACCAGCUUGGCCCUUGCAUUCACCUUCCGACCAUCCAAUAGGAGCCACCUUGAGAAGUUAUAACUAAAAUGGUGAAUUAAACAAAAGUUGACCGUUCAAAGACCUAAGGGGAAAACUAAUUCUUUUACGUAGGAGGAGUGAAUUAGUUGUGAUCACUGAAAUAACAGCAUAACUAUGGAAGCAUAACAAGAUAUAAAUUCACACGUCUAUAAGGGUAAACUGGGUGGUUGAGAACUGAGCUAGCAACCCUACUAUAUUCUGAUUUGCACUUCAAUGUAAAAGGGAAUAUAUGGUAGGAAGAAAGAAAACCAACCAUCAUUUGUUAACUCAUUGCUUUUCAAUCAAAAUUUUAAGAACAAAAUGCCAUGUGCUUUGAACAUCAAAUAAGUAUAAGCAUUAGUUCUAAAUUCCACAUAUCAUAAGUUGUUAGAAGGAUAAGUUAAUAGCAGAGUAGAAAAAUCUAUGUGUUGGUAUUUAGAGGGGAAAGUACCUGGCGAACCACAACAUAAUCAUCAAUUGAAAGACUUAGCUCUCCAUUUGCUUGAGCAUCAAAUGGAUGUAUAACCUGCAAGAUAAUGGGAUAAAUAGAACAUAAAAAAAGCAUAACAAAAGCGGCAACAGUAGCAGCAACGUUCAUUGUAACCACUAUGAUCAUGGCCAACAAAGAUAUAUUAGAAACAAAAUUCCAUUUUUACUACGACAUUAAUAUGUACUAUACGAUAUCAUGACGAUUGGGUUACUAAGAGCUAUCAAAGUCUAAUAAGUUCUGUAUAACUUUAUGUAGUUAUUUAAAUUAUGGAUCAGAUUUUAAAUUUGAAAUUUUGACUGCUCUCCACAAAACAUGGCCUAUGCACAAGAAAGUCAUAGAUAAUGAGGAUUACAAGUGUCCGACAUCUUUUGAGUGAUGGAUUUAACAUGAGAGCUUAUGGUCAGUCAAUUUCCUCUGCCUAGCAAUAUAAGCUUUCUCGGCCAGAUUUAUCAUCAAAUACAUAGAUUGCCCCCAAGUCACAUCCAUAUAAACAUAGUUUUUCUAGGUAAACCAAGUAAGGAGUAUCAUAAUUCAGACAUAAUCAUAAAAAGGCCCAUCUAACUUAAGAGAAAAUCUCAAAAAGAGGGAUGCUGAGCUAUCAGUCUUGUAUCUAUAAGCAAUAUCAAGACUUUACGUCACCUGCUACAUCGUGAGUGGCUACACAACUUUCAGUGGUUUGUCUUUCUUUGGCACGCCUAACUCAGCUUUGAUGUUGCUGAGAUAUUGAUAGUAGAGACACAUGAUACUUCUAGCUCAUGCAUUCUAUCUAACUCAUCCAACAACUAUCUCUUUUUUAAUUCAUUAGUGUUUGCUAAACCUCAUGCUUAAAAGUCCUGUUCUCCUAAACAAAGUUUCCUAAGAAUGACUUCCUUAGCACCACAGUUGGACACUUUUAGAGCAAUUUUAUUUGGGGGAAAAGAAUUUUCAAGGUGUUAACUAAUAAAUUUUAAAAAAUAAUUACAAUUUGUCCUACGAUCAUAUGACAAUUUAUCUGGGAUGAAAGGAUACAGAUAGACAUCUUCCACUUUCAAGACUAAUCACUACUUCCGUAGAUGUUGUGCAAUAAUACAAAUACUUGACCAGAUGGUAGAAAAAAAUUUUAUUGCUCCAAAAUUAAAAUAAGAAUGCAAUAUGUUAAGCAAAAGGCUGUGCAACAUCAAAUUAAUUGAUAAGUUUGUAAUUCAGUAAAUUAACAACUUUCAUGGUAAAAUACAACAAAUUUCUUUUGAAAAAAAAUAAAUAAAUCUUAAAAGACAACAUUCAAUUUUGUGUACAUCUUAUUUCUUAAGAUUUUUCAGGAGGAGGGCAAUAGAGGGACUUUCACCUAUGCAAGAGAGCAGAAGCCUUACUUUCCCUAUAAAGUAGACGUCAUUCUGAUUAAUAUGCGUUUGCAAAUCAGCUCCGUUUGAAUCAGUAUUCUGAUAGACACACGAGGCAUUUACAUCCAUUUCCAAAGUCACAUGUUGCGAGGAGGACUCAUUUGAUUGCUCCUAUACGAUCAUCUAAUUCAAGUAGCAAGGGUUGGAAGAGAAUAAAAAGUCACAAUUAUUCUUUUGCAUAAGUGAGACGAAAAUGAUAAAUGCAAUAUUAUCAGCAGUAAACAAGAAGAGAACGCUCCAAGAAAUAGAUAGAUGCAGACAGGCAAGUUAAAAUGCAUAGUCCCAAACCUCCGCAUACAACUUCUCUAAAAUAGCAAUAACGUGUUGAUGCUAUGUUUUCUCAGCAUCUACCUGCAAAGGCCCGAGACCAGGAAAACAACAAUAAAGGAGAAAGUAAAGAAAGAAAUACACUUGACAUAAAUCUUGAAAAGAAGCACAAUUUAAGACAUAACAAACCCCAAUCAUAUUGUUUAGAACUACCAUUCGUUAUUUCGUUAUUGUAGCAUUUCGAACAAGCGUUGACUUAAUUCAACAUUGUUGGAAAGAUAGGCUUUUAGAAGCGGAAGAAAGCCACUCAAACCAAAGUGAUUGUCCUUGUAUUGAUCAAGGGAUGUAAACAUAUUACAUUUGCAGGAUGAGUUUUAAUCACUCCCCUGAUUUAUUUGGGAUGCAGUAAAACUAAGCGAGCAACUGUUUGACUUUCAAGCAACAUCUAAAUCAGCUAUUAAAAUUCAAAUAAAAUUAUAAUAGAAUAAUAACAGGCCAUCUUGCAUCAAAAAUUAAGUUUAAUUUGUGAAUUUUUUUCUAUAGACAUGUUAGUUCCUGCUAUUGAAAUGUUAAAAGCAUUGAAAAAUUAUUCAAUAAAUUAUGCAAACAUUAAAAUAGAGGACAUAUUAAAAAGUUUCUAAUUACAAUGUUAAGAUUUCCUAUAUUUUAGCAUUUGCAUAUUUUAAUUUAUUUAAAAGCUACGUAGAUCAACUUUGGGCAUGAAGAUUUUAGCUUCUACGAGACUUGAUUGGAAUAUGCAUAAGGAAGUGUGUUAAAAUAUGAUGCAUCCAACGAAAGACAAACCACGUGUAGUCUUUUAAUUAAGCCAAAGUAGCAGCUCAAACAAAUGACACUUGGACCAACAUGCAAUCAUGAAGUGGCCGGAAAAAGGACAAAUGCAACUUUGGCUUAAAUAAAAAAUAACAUGUGACUCGACUUUUGCUGGACAUGCAUCAUGUUAUUACAAGACAACAAAAAUCAGUAUGAUAGUACUAAAAGUUGACAAUAACAUGAAGAUAAGAGGCAGAAUGUCAACACAUGCAUAGGCACACACAAGAAAGUAUUAACGUAUAUACCAUAGCAAAAAGUAUUUGAUAUGUCAUCUGUUGCUGCUGUGAUUCAACUGACAGCAUGGCAGCUGUUGCUUCUCUACCAAGAGCCAUUAUUGUAGAUUUAAGCUCGGUCAAUCUUGCUUCUGCAUUUCGAAGCUUCACAGCACUCUCUGCUGAUAUAUCAGAUUCCCUAAUCUUUGAUCGGUGCCUAAAUACUUCAGCUGCCUGGUGAAAAUAUUCAAUAUAAAUCUAAUAUAAUUCUCAUCUUGCCUUAUGCAUGCAUAUGUUACCUCAAAGCUUACCUGGGCUUCAACUUCAUGUCGAAGUUUGUCAUAACGAUGAGUCAGGUGUCGAGCAUCUUCCAAAGGUGCUCCGUUGAUUAACGCCCGUAGUGGCUCAGAUACCUACAUGUCCAAAAACCUGUAACAUAGUUAGAAAAAUGAAAAGAAAGAGCGAAACCUCAAUUAAAAAGUUCCUCCAACAUAAUCAUGGAAUUUGGGCCUACUUCAAGGAUAUAUAUAUAAGGAUAAUUUAUGCAAUUUUGGGUCUUAGGAUGAUUCAUAUUAGGUUAGUGUUCUUCUCUUCUGUAUUUAAGGUUAAAAUAGAAAUAAACCUAUGCAAAUAUAUAAAUUAGGGCUGUAAGACUUCCACAUGCAUCCUUCAGUCUCAUGGAUUUGAUUUUACUAUAGAUGCAAGUGUCUUUAUCGAAAAUGCUUGGAGUCAAUUGAGAGAACUCACGGCCAAUAACUUGUCACACGCUAGUCUUUGCUAGUGAUGUAAGAAGUCACAAGGUCUCUUCAGCAUUUGAACCAAUAAAAUUAUUAAGUCAUGGAUGUCACUAGCAAUGAUUUUAAUAUAAAAUAUUAAAUAUUUCAAGUUGUAACUUUAAAAUGGAUUCUUUUAUUCAAUAUCUUAGAACUAAGUUUCCUUAUGAGAAGAUAAUAGUUUCAGUAGUAAUGUACAUAUAAUUUUCUAUAUUUGAAUUAUUUUCUAGUUAGGGAUGAACUAACCUGAUCACGAAGAAUCCCAAGCAAAGUUUCCCUCUCAUUUUCCAUCAAAUCAUGUGAAGUGCCAAAUUGAAGAGCAGCUCUUGCAACGCAAGAAUUGUCACUUUGAUUCUCCACUCCAUACUUGCAACAAUCUUCGGCCAACUUUCUCGCUACAAUAUUUGAAUACAAAAAUAUUGUACACAAGAACUAGUCAAGAAAAUUAAAAAAAAAAUCAAAUAUUAUAACGAGAGCAAGAGCAAACGAACAACCUAUUUCCAUUUGUUUCAAGCUUACUGCAACAAACACUUCAACGCCACGGACAACAUUCCUCUGACAAUAUUCCAAAUUAUUGUUCAGAUAAAACCAUAGAAACCAUCAUAAUUGUUCAACAUACAUUAAGCUAAAGGAGGAUGGUGCCUUAGCUGCCCUGGUGGAAUUGUAUAGAUUUUGAAGUUGUUGGUGACACUCAAUUUCAGAUUCAUCAACCGCAACAUUUUCAAUACCAAGAUGGAGCAGAUGCUUCAAUACUGCCUGUACAAAUCAUAAAAAACUAAUGAAAAAUAAAUAAAAUCGAGAAAUUUCACUAACUAAAAGUCUAAAUAUAAUUUUUUUAAAAAGAAAAGAAACGGACUUGCUGCUGCUUGGCGACUUGUUCUCGGAGCUUGAUUGCCUGUUUCUUGAUAGCUUCCAUACUGUUUCUUUCAAAAAGCGACGACGGCUCAGCUCAUGGAGGUGGAAAAAAAAAGUGUGAUCGGGAAAAAUAAAAAGGCAUGAAUAAUUUUUGAAAAAAAGCGAAAAUCAAGGAAAGCCAGCUCUUUCCAGAAAAUAAAAAAAGAAAAAAGAAAAAAGAAAAUUAUAAGUUUGAAAGGAGAAGAUGAUUGUGGAAGUGUGCGGUGUGGCUGACAGCUACUUGGAUUGUAUUGUCGGGUAAGGUAAUAGUAGAGAAUUUUUUUUUUUUAAGAAAAAUAGUAGAGAAUUUUUUAAGAAGCUAGAACAGAGCAUGACAUUAGACUUUUGUUGACCAAAGGAUGUUGUUUUAUUCUUCUUAUACUUUACGUUUGGUUUGGUUUUUCAAACUAAAUAAUCAAGUAGCAAAAAUACAAAUUUAGAGAUUAGGGGGUGAACUAGCUAGGUGGUUUACAAAUAUUCCUAUUUGUAAGGUGAAUUAAUUGAAUCAUGAGAAAACAAUGUGACCAUAGCUCAAUAUGAGAUGAUUUCGGAGAGGCAUAUUGUUUUCAAGUGAAUUUGAUCCAUUAAGAGAUGAAGUGGAUUGAAGUGGAAAGUUUAAAUAACAAAUCCUUGUUCUUGAGUUUUACGACGUUGUUACUCCUUCAGGUGGCAGAUUAUGCAAGUGAAUUCAAAAACACAAUGCAUCAAUCACGGGGAUGCUACAUCAAAAGACGGGAUCAUAGUCUAUGCAUUGAACAGUUACAGUUGCUGCUACCAAUUGCCUCGGCAAAGAUCAAGAAGACUGAACGGGAAGUUAAUGCCAUCAAGGAGUUGUCUAGUGUUCUUUUCCUUAUGCUAUGAUCGGUGCUCUUGAGGCUGCCCUGAAACACAGGAAAAUACUUCGAUAUCCUCCAUUCGAUGAUGCAAAGAACCGGUUAAUGUAUGAUUACCUAAUUGACUCAGGAUCAGGUAACAACAACAACAAUUUAUUAAUAGUAAUAUCACAAACGAAGAAGAUUUCGGAGAGGGAGAUGUAAGCGUAUACUGUUUACAGGUUUGAUCCACUGGGGAUGAAGUGGUCUCAAGUGGAAAGUGAUUUAUUAAACAACAAAUCAUUGUUCUUGGGUUAUACCUCAUGAUGUCAUCAAGUGGAAGAUGAAGAUCGUUUGAUAUUGAAGAAUUUGAACAGAAAGCCCAUAGAAAGUACUUAAAUAAGCAUAUUCUUGUUGGGGUAGAAUAUUAAGAAAGGAGUUGUCUACUGUGUGUUGCGUAAUUAUGCUAUGAUCGGUGCUUUCAACAUUGCCCUGAAAACAGUGGGAAAUACUUCAUACCCUCGACAUGAUGAUGAAAAAUUGGUUACCGAUUACCUAAUUGACUCAGGUGACAACAAUCCAUUAAUAGCACAAUUUGACGUGAUGCCGUUUAGGUAUAUGGUUUUCAAGUUUGAUUCAUCAGUGAUGAAGCGGACUAAAAUUAAAAGUUUAAAUGAUAAGUCAUUGUUCUUGGGCAUAUCGUCAUUACUACUUCCAGUGAUCAACGAUGAAGAUGAAGAUGAAAAUUGUGCGAGUUCAAGAUUACCAUUUAUCAUUACUUGGGAUAUUACUUCAACAUAGAUGGGGUUAUAAUUUACUCCCACGAACAUCAACUCAACUUUAUGAUUGGAGUGUCUCACCGUGACUCAGACAAAUUCUGAUUCAACCUCCUUCACCAAUGGAUUUUGAUUAGUUAUUUUGUGAUCAAGCAACUUAAUUAAACUCACAGUUUGUUAGUCUAAUUUUAGUUUUACUGUGACCACUAUUCAAGGUAAGCGAAAGUUACAGAUGUGGCAAAAUCAAUAAUUAAAUUCAUAAAAUGUUAAAAAAUAAAACUUAUAAAUGUUGCAUGACUACUUACUAAUAAAUAAAUAAGUUAGAAUGUAGUUAGUUAAUUUUACACCAUAUUAUAUAUUAUUCGAUAAUAAUAUAAAAUAAAAAUAAUUAAAAAAUAAAUAAUUGAAUAAAUAAAUAUGGCUUUCUAAACAGUAAAAAUUCUAGAGUUAAAAUUUAUAUUAUUAUUUUAUUUUUUAAAAUUGACAUUUUUCUAUUGUCUUACAUGUACAAAGAUUUUGAGAGUUGAGAAGAAUAUAUUUAAUGAAGCUUGAUAACAUUUGAUGGGAUAGCAAGUAAGGGUAAAUAAGAUAUUUUUAUUUGUUAUUUAUUUGAAUUAUAUCUAUUUGUUCAAGUUAAAAUACUAAAUAUAAAUUGGAGGUAGACAUUUUAACAGAUCAUCUAAGCUCUCAAAUCUGAAAUUUUGUGUAGAUUUAAAUUCAUAAUCCCCAAUUAUUUGAUCAGCAACUAUCAAGAACUAACCAAAUUUAUUUCUUCAUGACUUCCAAACACUAGAAAAUUUUGUUAUUUGAUAAUAAUAUCAUUAAUUAGAGUUUAUCAAACCGCAUUAUUUUCUUUCAUAAAAUUGAUGCCUAUUAGUGUCACACUUUAUUUGUAUUACCUAGCGGACAUCAACUUUUUUUUUAAUUUUUUAAAUUAAAAAGACCAUUUGAUUUUAACCCAUGUUCUUGGCCUUAGGGAAGCUGACUUCUUUUAUAGUCAGGCGAUGAGUUAAGAAGUGACAUAGCAUUCAGGCGAUGAGUUUAUUUUUGUUAUCUUGCUAACAGUUUUAGUCUAAUUUUAGUUUUACUGUGACCACUAUUCAAGGUAAGCGAAAGUUACAGAUGUGGCAAAAUCAAUAAUUAAAUUCACAAAAUGUUAACUAAUUAAAUUCAUAGAGUUGCACAAUUUCAUCAACUUGGAAGAAUUGACUUUAAUGGACUGGCCUUCUCCCCCUAUAAUUCUAAUGCUUCUAGGAAGCAAAUUUUUAUAAAUUAUUUAUUUUUGAGUUAAUUUCAAUUUCAAAAAACAAAUUUUUUAAGUUAUUGAUACUCUAAUGAGAGUAUCUUCAUAACAAUUCCCUUGCUCCAAUAAUAACAAAAAGGUGGUUACUUAGAAAUAAUUAAAAUAAAUAAGUGUUGAUUAUAUAUCCUAAUUUGCAUCGAUUUUUUUUUACCUUAAUUUCAGGAAUUUGGAAUAUAAGUUUGUGAAUGGAGGAUGAUCACGCGUGUGUUAAUUUUUCAGUCAUUGACUGUCGUAUUCUCGACUUAACGAUAGUGUUCUUGAUCAAGGGCAAUGACUCCCACCCCUCUUUUAAAAAUAUUGUCAAGUAUAUUGAUGACAAAAUCUCUUAUAGUUAAUAGUCUUUAAAAAUUUAUAGAUUUACUAUUGUCAUGACCAAAUUAUUCAUGUUUAAUGAAAUAUUAAUGCAUCAAAAUAGAUAUCUUCGGAAUCUAAUCCGAUCGGCUCAAUCCGUUUCAUUCGCAAAAGUGCAAUCCGCAAAAAUUUGAUCUGUGGAUUAGUGGAUUGGAUUGGAUUGAAAGUUUAAAAAUCCAUAGUCGAUAAAUUGGAUAUCGAUUUACUUCUCUAAAUAUGCAAAAAUUCAUGAAUUCGCAAAAAAAAAAAAUGUAUUUACUAAUAAAUAAAUAAGUUAAAAUGUAGUUAGUUAAUUUAACACCAUAUUAUAUCUUAUUCGAUAAUAAUAUAAAAUAAAAAUAAUUAAAAAAUGAAUAAUUGGAUAAAUAAAUAUGACUUUCUAAACAGUAAAACUUCUAGAGUUAAAAUUUAUAUUGUUAUUCUAUUUUUUUAAAUUGACAUUUUUCUAUUGUCUUACAUGUACAGAGAUUUUGAGAGUUGAAAAGAAUAUAUUUAAAUAAAAUAUUUUUAUUUGUUAUUUAUUUCAAUUAUAUCUAUUUUGUUCAAGUUAAAAUACUAAAUAUAAAUUGGAGGUAGGCAUUUUAACAGAUCAUCUAAGCUCUCAAAUCUGAAAUUUGUGUAGAUUUAAAUUCAUAAUUUUAGUUAAUUUUCAUAUAUUCAUAUAAACAAAUUUAUGAGAUUUUUUUCUUUUCAACAUGUUAUAUUUUUAAACUUUCAAUGUAUUAUUUUAGCUAUAUUUAAACAAUUAAUUUAUUUAAUUUUAAAUUUGAUCAGUAUAAAAUGUUUUUAUAUCAAAUUUUUUUAUUUAAAUAGUUCGUGGAUUGGACAAAAUUAAACAUUUUUAAUUCUUAAAUGAUGGAUUGGAUAUGAAUUGGAUCAAAUCCACAUUCGAUCCGCAGUUAUAUGGAUUGAAUUUGAAUUGAAUUUCAUCAAUCUAUGGAUUAUAUUGGAUUAAAAAUUUAUAAUCCACAAAAUCGUUGAUUAGAUAUGGAUUGAUGUCCAAUUCGCAAAAUCUAAUUGCCGAACACUCCACUAUCAAAAUUUUCAAAAAUAUGUUUUAUCCUAUAAUUUUUUUUUAAAGUCAUAGUCUAAUGGCAGCUCAAUUUCUACUGCAUUCAUAUAAGCGGAGUUCAAAUCUCAUACCUCUUAUCUCCACACGAGAUUUAACCAGUUGAAAUAGCUAGCACCCACAAAUAUACUAGUACAGCAUCUCUUAACGUUUAACAUACGUAUAAUUAACGCCAUAGCUAUUGAUAAACACAUUGUUCAAUAUAUAUGAUCAAGAAUCUGAUCCUGCGAGCAACAGCAGUAAGAAGAACCAUUAUAAUGCCUAGCUCUUAUCCCGGUUAAUCCUCUGGCCCGAUGCUUCAUCAUAGUGAUUUAAAAAACAAACAACAGCUCUCUAAAAGAGAUGAAGAUAUCAUCUACGUAAAGAACAUGAAACGGAGAUUCACAACCCAUAAGAACUGAGAUAAAUUGGACCAGACCGGUAAUCUUGAGAUAAGUUAAACUGUGACCUAAGUUGAAAUCAGAGGACCAGAAUUUUAAAAUCUUUCGGCUAAGCCCCUGAGCAAUUUUCUAGAGUACGGCUUCUGCUUACCUCUGUUUAAUUUCUCUUUAUAUUUUUCUUUCAUUUCAUUAAUAAAGUCAAAUAAUAAAUCAAAGAACGAGGGAAGAUUUUUCCAAGUCAUGCAUUAUUUGAUUACCAUCAAUCAAGAAACCGACCAAAUUAAUUUCUCUCCGUGAUUUUUAAAAAUUAAAAAAAAAAUUAUUUGAACAUAACAUCAUUAAUUAUAGAGUGGAUCAAACUGCGUUAAUCAUGAAACUGAUACCUAUUAAGAGUCAAACUUUUUACUUAUGCAUACUAAAAGACAUCAAAUUGUUCCGAUCCCCAAUUAUUUGAUCAGCAACUAUCAAGAACUGACCAAAUUUAUUUCUUCAUGACUUCCAAACACUAGAAAAUUUUGUUAUUUGAUAAUAAUAUCAUUAAUUAGAGUUUAUCAAACCGCAUUAUUUUCUUUCAUAAAAUUGAUGCCUAUUAGUGUCACACUUUAUUUGUAUUACCUAGCGGACAUCAACUUUUUUUUUAAUUUUUUUAAAUUAAAAAGACCAUUUGAUUUUAACCCAUGUUCUUGGCCUUAGGGAAGCUGACUUCUUUUAUAGGUGAUAUCUGCUUGAACUUUGGUGUGUUAAUUAUUUCAAUCCCCAAUUAUGUAAUUUUUUAAAUUAUAGCCUAACGGCGGUCUCAUCACCACGUGUGUGAUUUUCUUUUGCCAAUAGGAUCUGCAGAGAGCUUGAUCUCAUCCAAUAGCAAAAUAAACUUCCUAAUAAGUGAAGGUAUAGUAUAAAUAUUUCACCCCCAUAUUAUUUAUUAGCAGCUUGAUUAUUUUAUAUGCAUCUUUGAUUUUAAUUUUUUUUCCCAUAAUUGCUACUAUGUUCGAACUGGUCAUGAAUUAUCUAUAAGAUUUUUCAUGUUGCUUUUAGGUGCAUUGGAUUUUUUGAGUUUAGUGCAAGAGUAGAGGAAGGCAAAUUAAGAAAAAGGAUAAAGAUCUAUGAUUAGCUAUUUUGGGAUGUCUCAUAACAUAUUGAUGCUAACAUUAUACAUAUGUAUAUCUAAAUAAUGGGCUUGGAUCAAGAGCCCAUUAAUAAUCAUAGAUUAGCUUAUAUAGUUCAAAAAAUGUACCAUAAAGCAAUUUUACAAGCACUUGUUAGCCUAUGUUGAGCUUUAUUAUCAAUAGUUCAUAGUUCAUCAGUGCACUGCAAGUUUACUAUUUGAAGUAAAUGUUGUGGUGCGUGCAUUCUUCAUAAGGCCAACUAUUGAAUUUAGCAUUGAAACUUACAAAAUGUAAUAGAAAGAGGUAGAUAACAGCCAUAAAACACUAAGAUUGGAAAUCAGGGCAACUAAAUACUAUUACAAGCCCUUAGAAAAGACAGCGAUCAUCCUGAAAUAUAUAUACUGAAAGUAAGAAAUGUUAAUCGCAAAGUUAUGUGCCAACAGAACUAUUGACUACUUGUCUCUAGUAGAAAGUAAAUAUUUUUAACUUCAGCCCUCUACUUUGUUCUAAGAACAAGGCAAUAUAAGGAAACAUCGGUGUCUAAAAUUUGCCGCUUGGAAUAUUUCACUGUCUAAACAUUCACUCACCACUUAUUUCAUUAAUGAAUUUUGUCUAAUUAUAUGUUGAUAAAGAUAUUAGAGUAAUAUAAUACAUUUAAGGCUUAACUUAUAUUUUUUAUUAGUAGAGUGUAGAACUUUUAAGAAAUAAAUUAUUAAAUUACUAUAACUAACAUAUUAUUUUAAAGUUAUGUUAAGGAAAAGAAUGAAACAAAAAUAAAUAAAUAAAUAAGGGUAUUCUAAAACUUUGAUCUUUUUAAAAGUAGAUUUUGACAUAGAUAAAAUAAUUUUUAUAUUUUUUAAAUCACAUACUCUAGUUAAAAUCAAAUUGUAUUUAUAAAGUUUGUAAAUUUUUUUUUUUUUAGCACUGAUAUUUGAACACUAUCAAGAUAAGAAAUAGGGCACUGGUCAUGCUACAACAUUAUUAUAGCACAUAAAAAGACAAUACCAUUUAUUUUAUUGUACUAUCAUUGUUGUUAUAAUAGUAUUUUUGUUAGUGGUCAAAUAUUAUUUUUUUAAGUAAAAAAAGUGAACAAUGUAAAUUAACUUUUAAUCUCUCCUAAAUUCUAAUUCCUAGUUACGAAACAAAAUUGUUUAAAACCAUAGGUGAUAGGUGAUAGAAGUUACUAACACAAGCAAAUUUGACGGUCCAUUUUAUAAAAUUUGUUAUUUACCAUUUUACCACCUAUAUAAGGAGUGCCGCAUCGACAUAUCAACUCAUUUGCAGAUUAUUUUAAUUUUGUAAAAUUCAUUUAACCUGCACUUGGUCGCCCCUAUUCUCUGAAUGGUUAUGGCGAUAUCAUCAUUAUCGUUACUUGUACCAACGCUAAACCCUUCUUAUUCCCUUUCUCGCCUGUCAUACCCUAACAUUAUAUCCCGUGUCCACACUAAAGACAAGUAGUCAAUUCAAGCCAUCAGAUUAUAGUGGACCCACAUCAAUCCAACUACUUACAAUGACCGACAGCCUCUCCAUCUCCAUUUCAGGUUUCCUCUUCAACUGGCUUCUGCUUCCGCUGUAUUUGCUCCAUUUCUUGGAUUCGGAGUCCGUAUUUGGUCGGUCGGUCCCGCACAGCUCCCUCUCACUCCAAUUGUCACCCAACAAGACCAAUUGCUUAAUCAAGGCACAGAACAAGAAGAGGAUGAGAAAUUGAAACAGAAUUUGAGAAUUGGAAAUCGAAAACGUACGCAUUGACCGUGCCUUUGAGGGCAAUUACUUUUCUUGAGAAUUGAAGUUUGGUAAUGUAAUUUGUUCUCCAUCUGUGUUCCUUUGUAGUCAUUUCAUUUAUUUGUUUGUUUGCUUUAUUUGCACUUACGAAGUCUCAGGUAUACCUACGCAGGAAUGAGCAGGAGAAAUUGAUCCUCGAGGUAACAUAUGGGCGCGCCAUAUCGGUGGGGCACAGUGGUGAUAGCUUACAAGAAAGUAAAUUUCGAAAGCAUAAUUUGGUUCCGAUUGAGGUAAUAAUUGUCUUUAAGCUCAUUUAGUUUUAUAUCAAACAAAAUCAAGACUGCCUUUCUCUUCAAUAGUUUUGAUGAUAAUAUCUUUAGAAGCAUCUCAUUGACAGGUAAUCGUGGUACCCCUUAAAGAGUCUAUAAACUCAAGGAUAUUAUCUUCUGCAAAUGGUUCAUUAAACUUCUUAGAUGUAGUUAAAUGUACACUGAGAACAACGAGAAGCUAUGCCACUGUAGCAUGUAGUGAUGGCACUUAAUGAGUGAGUUGCUAGGAUAUGAACUAGAAAAAUUAAACAUUGUCUCCCUGGGUAUGCUAGCUUGUAAGUCGGUUAAUAUUAGAGCUUGAGAUACUAUAACCAUGAGAAGCUAUUGACCGCCGAUUAAAAUAUCCAUUAAAAUGUCUAGGGAGUUAUGAAGGUGGAGGUGUCUCCCAAUUUCUAAGGCCAUAUAGUAGACAUCAUCCAGGAUCCUAUUAAAGUGCAGUUAGCCUCCUGCUUGAUGCUAAUGUCAAACAAUUAAUAAAUUUGGUCAAUGUAACUGAAACUUGCUAACUGACGUCAGAUUGCGACUUGAGCACCUUAAAAUGGGAUAGACGAUUAGUAGCACUGAAUUCUUCUUGCCUAAGAUUGAGCAAUUGUUCUAACUACUAUCUCCUAUUGUAGGUUGAUUAUUAUGUUCUAAUUAUGUCGAUUUUGACCCAAAAAAUUACAUAAUCUUGAUCUGCAUAAUGUCACUGAACAGUGUCAAUUUCGUUUACCAACUAACUUGAGUUUGAUAUAACAAACACACGGUGUGUCUCUCAUGUCUCACCAUGAUGGAGAAUUUUUCUAAUGCAUGAAGCAAGCUUCGAUAUGUGGGUUAGCUUGGAGAAGAUAUCUUAAAAUGAAGAAUAUGGGGAGUUAAUGGGAAGAAACAGUUCAGUAGUUUAUAAUUCUGUCGUCGAGCUGUAUCUCUAACAUGGUCAAAAUUUAUGUGAAUAAGGACAGGGAAUCUUCAUUCCUCUUUCCCUUUUUAUACCCACAUAUCUCUCAACCUUUAUAUGUUGCUCACUGGAGAUCUGCUUCUGAUAACUAAAAUAAAAAUUUCAUCCACUCAAAUAAAUUCUGACCAAGCUUUCACAAGAAAAAGUAACAUCUUUAGUGAAGUAAUUUACAAGUAAUUUAGAGUUCCUUAUCAUCUUCUUGUGAGUCUAUCAGUAUGAUCCAAAAACAUAAUAAAUCUUGUUAGAUCCUGUUUAUUGAUGUUUAAACGCUGCUCAUUGUGAAAUGUAGAAACAAUGACGUGAAGUUUCUUUGGUCAUCAAUUAGUGAGAUCUUGUUUGAAGUUGUUUUCUGAAAUGAACUGCCAAAUGAUAGUUUUUUUUUUUUUUUCUUUGGACGCAUUUGAUGGCUCUUUUCUCCUCAUUUUAAGCAUGUGCCUGCUUGGUAUGGGAAGGAAUAGGCUUCAGAGUUGUUAUAUAUGUUGACAUGCUCUGGUCAUUACACAAUAUGUUCAAAUUGGAAAUUAGAAUGAGAUAUUUGUCGAUGCUUUUUGAGAGAUCUGCAUUCUAUGCAGCAUAACAUGAUUAAUGAAAAUGGGUUUAAGGACUGGAAAGAUCUGUGGCAGCCCAAGCUUGCAGGAAGGAUUUCAAUGGUUAAUUCUCCCAGAGAGGUUAUUGGUACAGUUUUGAAGUAUAUGGGAGCAUCAUACAAUUCAAACGACAUUAAUUAGCAAGUUGCUGCUGGGAGGAUUGCUGUUCAGCAGAAUCUGGCAUUACUGGGAAACCAGGUACUCUUAAAGAAACGAUAGCUGGUCAAUGCAUAUUAUUGCCUGACGGCUGAUUUUGUUUGUAAAGUGUGCCUUUUCAUACAUAUGAAUGCAUAUGUUAGUGUUGUCUUCUCCUUUCCAUAAAUAUGAAUGCAUAUGUUGGUGUUCUUUUCUGAGAUGGAUGCAAUAAAGGCUUUUCUUCUCUAAAUGACGAGUUUUCAUUUAAAAAUGUUAUAAAUCUGCCAUGCAUAGUAUUCUAGUAGAAUCAUCUAUAAAUUCAAGUUAUUGAAAUUGUCUAUUUGUCCAGUUUGAGUUAAGGACGCAUGUAAUAUGAAAAUAGUUGUCGAAUAUUGUAGGUUAGCUAAUAUUGAUCAAUCCUAUAGGGAGGGCUUUAAGAUGUCUAACAACAUGUAGAAUGCCCCUGCUUCCCCCACAAUUUUUAUCUUAUACAAUUUUUAUCUAUAAACAGUAUUUGCCAGACCUUAACUGUUCAGAUUCCCCUUCUCGACUAUCAUACCCUACGCCCCGUCUCCGUGUCUCCGAUAAACAGCUCAAUUAAGGCCAUCAGAUUAUCCCGGUCCCACAUUGAUCAACGGCUCACAAUGACCGACAACCUCUGUCUCCAUUACAAGCUCCCUCUUCAACUCGCUUCUGCUUCCAUCCUACUCUUUCUCAGAUUCGGAGCCCGUAUAUGCUCGCUGGUCCCACGAAGCUCCCUCUCACUCCAGCUGUCAACCGACAAGACCAAUUGCCUUAUCAAGACAGAGAACAAAAAGAGGAUGAGAAAUUGAAACAAGAAUUGAGAAUUGGAAAUCGAAAACGUACUCAUUGACCGUGCCUUUGAGAGUUGUUUCUCUUCAGAAUUCAGUGCCUCAAUCUUGGGUUAAGGAUUUUAUGCGAAGUCAAGGAAAGUGAUUGAAGUUUCAGAUGAAUUUGUGUGCUAGCAUUGGUGGGAUCUUUAACAAUUUAUCUGCCCUUUAACAAAGUCAAGGCUAAUUCAGCUUCUUAUAUGGCUGCUGAUUUGGUUAGUGUUGGUGAUUCAUGGCUUAGUUUUGCCAUUAAAGAGAGAUUGAUUGAGCCAAUGGCUGGAGCUGAAGACCAAGAUUGGUUCAAAUGCUUAAGUCACAAAUGGAAGGUAACAUCUUUAUCUUUGGCCCGAUAAUUUUUAUUGUCUUACAUUGAAAUUUGGUAAUGUAAUUUGUUCUCUAUCUGUAUUACCCUUUUUAGUCAUUUUAUUUAUUUGUUUAUUUGCUUUUAUUUGCACUAACGAAGUCUCAGGUAUAUCUAUGCAGAAUGAUGCAGGAGAAAUUGAUCCUCGAUGUGAAAUAUGGGCGGCACCAUACAGGUGGGGCACAAUGGUGAUAGCCUACAAGAAAAGUAAAUUUCGAAAGCAUAAUUUGGCUCCGAUUGAGGUAAUAAUUGUCUUUAAACUCAUUUAGUUUUAUAUCAAACAAAAUCAAGACUGCCUUUCUCUUCAAUAUUUUUGAUGAUAAUAUCUUUAGAAGCAUCUUAUUGAUGGGUAAUAAUUGUAUCCCUGAAACAGUCUAUAAACUCAAUGAUAUUAUUUCUACAAAUGGCUCAUUAAACUUUGUCGUUGUAGUCAAAUGUACACUCAGAGCAAUGACAAGCUAUGCCACUGUAGCAUGUAGUGAUGGCACUUAAUAAGUGAGUUGCUAGGAUGUGAACUAGAAAAAUUAAAUAUUGUCUCCCUGGGCAUGCUAGCUCAUAAGUCAGGGUUAAUAUUAGAACUCAAGAUACUAUAACCAUGAGAAGCUAUUGACUGCCAAUUAAAAUAUCCUUUAAAAUGUCUAGGAAGUUAUGAAGGUGGAAGUAUCUUCCGAUUUCUGAGGCCACAUGGUAGAUAUCAUCCAGGAUCCUAGUACAGUGCAGUUAACCUCCUGCUUGAUGCAAUUAAUAAAUUUGGUCAAUGCCACUGAAACAUGCUAACUGACGUCGCAAUGCGACAUGAGCACUUCAAAAUGGGACAGACGGUCGGUAGCACUAAAUUUUUCUUGCCUAAGAUUGAGCAAUUGGUCUAACUACUAACCCCUUUUGUAGUUGAUCAUUAUUUUUCAAUUAUUUUCAGUUUGACCCAAAACGUUACAGAAUCUUGAUCUGAAUAUUGUCACUGAACAUUGUCACUGAACAUUGUCAAUGUCGUUUAGCGUAGCCAACUAACUUGAGUUUGGUAAAACAAACACACAGUGUGUCAUGUCUCACAAUUCAAAUUAUCAUUUGUAAUGAUGGAGAAUUUUUCCAAUAUGAAGUAUGCUUUGAUACGUGGGUUACCUUGGGGAAGGUAUCUCAAAAUAAAGAAUAUGGGGAGAAAAGUUCAGUAGUUUAUUAUUAUGUAGUCAAGUUUUGUCUCAAAAAUGGUCCAAAUUUAAAUGAAUAAGGACCGGGGAUCUUCAUUCUUUUUUCCCUUUUUUAUACCUAGAUAUCUCUCAACCUUUAUAUAAUCCCCACUGGAUAUCUGCUUCUAAUAAUUAAAAUAAAAAUUUCACCCACACAAAUAAAUACUGACCAAGCUCUAACAAUAAAAAGUAACUUCUUUAGUCAAGUGAUUUACAGUUCCUCAUCACCUUAGUGAGACUAUCAGUGUGUUCCAAAAACAUAAUAAAAUUGGUUGUUCCUGUUUAUUGAUGUUUAAAUGUUGUUCAUUGUGACAUGUAGAAAUGAUGAGGCGAAGUUUAUUUGGUCAUCAAUUUGUAAGAUCUUGUUUGAAGUUGCUUUCUGAAAUGAACUGCCAAAUGGUAGUUUCUUUGGGGCAUUUGAUGGCUCUUUUUUCCUCAUUUUAAACAUGUGCCUGCUUGGAACAGGAAGGAUUAGGCUGCAGAGUUGUUAUAUAUUUUGACAUGCUCUAGUCAUUGCACAAUUUGUUCACACUGGAAACUAGAAUGAGAAAUUUGUUGCAUUCUAUGCACAAUAACAUGAUUAAUGAAAAUGGAUUGUAGGACUGGAAAGAUCUGUGGCAGCCUGAGCUCGCAGGACGAAUUUCAAUGGUUAAUUCUCCCUGAGAGGUUAUUGGUUUAGUUUUGAAGUAUAUGGGAGCAUCAUACAAUUCAAACGAUAUUGAUUCGCAAGUUGCUGGUGGGAAGAUUGCUGCUUCAGCAGAAUCUGGCAUUACUGGCAAACCAGGUACUCUCAAAGAAAUGAUAUCUGGUCAUUGCAUGUUAUUACCUGACAACUGAUUUUGUUUGUAAAAGUCUGCUUCUUCAUACAUAUGAAUGCAUAUGUUAGUGUUUUUCUUCCUUUUCAUACAUAUGAAUGCAUAUGUUGCUUCUUUUCCUUUCCAUACAUAUUAAUACAUAUGUUGGUGUUCUCUCCUGAGAUGGAUGCAAUAAAGGUUUUUCUGAAGAAAUGGCAAGGGAUGUGAGAUUCUGUCUCAUAAAAUUAACAAAAACCCAAAACAAUGAAAACCCAUAAUAAUGUGGUGUGGGUAAAUUGACGCCAUUUGGUUCGUUUCCUUGAUGUGAAUACGCGGGCAAUAGAGACUAACAAAAUGAAGUGACAACAAGAAGUCAGUGUCCUUUGAUGGAUGCAUUUUUAGGCAGAAAUAGGUUUGUAAUUGACCAAAUUUGUCUGGCAUGCCAAUUUCAAAAAAAAUUAAAUUAUGUGGUUAUUAGCUGUAAUGAAAGGGGGAUUGUAGGUCCAAUCAGGUGGAUCCAUGAAAGUUCAACAAAGUUCUGGUAUGGCGUAGAAAUUGGUUUGUGCAACUCAAGAGUCUUUCUGGUGAACGAUGAUGGGUUUUGAUUUUAUAAAUGUUAUAAAUCUACUGUGCAUAGUAUUCUAGUAGAAUCAUCUAUAAGUUCUAGUUAUUGAAAUUGUCUACCUUGUUCAGUUUGAGUUAAGGGCACAUGUAAUAUGAAAAAUAGUUGUUGCAUCUUUUAGGUUACCUAACAUUUGAUCAAUCCUAUUAUGAGGCUUCAAGAUGUCUAACAAUAUGUGGAAUGCCCAUGCUCCUCCCCAUUGUUUAUCUUAUAUAAUAAUUUGUUUUAGAUGCUAAUAUCUUUGUCGAUACCGGUAACAAUAUUACAAUAUCUGCGUUUAUUGGGUUUUACAUAGGUUCGACUGUUUGACAGUACACACUCUCUGAAGGCAUUUGGAAAUGGAGAUGUAUGGAUUGCUGUUGGGUGGAGUAGUGAUGUUCUUCCUGCUGUCAAACGUUUGUCUAAUGUUGCAGUUGUUGUUCCCAAGUCUGGUGCUAGCUUAUGGGCUGAUCUUUGGGUAUACCCAUGCCUGCCAUUCUACUUCAAUAUUCACAUUGUUAUCUCCUUCAUAUUAGUGAUCAGUAAACAUGAUAAUGUGACUAAUAAGUUCGUAUUCUCUUUAUAGGCAAUCCCUGCUGACUCAAGACUUGAAACAAAACAAAUUGGAGGGUGAGUCAGAGGUGCAUUUCCAUUAAUCCAUCAAUGGAUAGAAUUCUGCUUGCAAACAGCGAGAGCAUUGCCUUUCAAGCAAGAGGUUAUCCCGAGCGCAUCUCCCUCUGCCUUGAGAGUACUCUGGUUAAGUUGCCUGAAGAACUUUUGAAGGGUAAACCAAGUCUGGAUACUAACUUAAUUGCUGGAGUACCCCUGACGGAAAUUCUGGCCAGAUGUGAGUUUUUGGAGCCAUUAUCUGAAGCUACAUUGUCGGAUUAUGAGUGGCUGGUUGCUAAUCUGCAAAAAUCCACUCCUGUACUGAUCAACAAGAUGCAACAUUACAUGUCAUCAUUGAUCUUUAGCUAAAGGUACAUUGAAAAGUUAAUGGCACUGCAUACCAGUCAUUAUAAUUGGGUCAGGGCAAUUGGGUCAGGGCAAUUAGGUCAGAGCAUAACUUCAUUAGGAAAAGAGGCUUCAGCUACGUUAAAUAUUACAGGAUGUACUGAGAUGGCUGAAGUUGGUGAGGUUUUACGAGAAACGAAAGAUAGUGUUUGUUUGAACAAAGUUGUUGCCAAUCUUGCAGAGUUCGAGAAGAAAGAUCACGAAGCGAAUGCCACCGAUUUCUUCAUCAUUGUAGCCUCCAUAGUUGAAGUUUCCUCAUUUGAAGCUGUUUAUGCAUAUGCUUUUUCCCUUCUCAAGUACAGGAAAUUGAAGAAUUAACCAGAUGUGAUAUGCUGAAAGAGGGAAGUUUUCUUCCUUGAAUGUGACCUUUGUGAUUUGUCUUGAAGGGAUAGGGUGAUCACUGGCAAGAACCCUAUCAAGGUAGAUUUUAUGAUGUUAACAUAUUAUUAAGCAUUUUGUUACAUCAGCAAUGAUGCUUUCAUAGCAUGAAAGUGUUUAAAUUUAACUGAAUGAUCUUGAUUGAUCAAUUAUGAGUUUUAAUCGAGUAAAAACUAAAUACAAUAAUCGUUAACAAAUAUUGAAAUUGGGUAAAUAAGAUCUUGAUAGUGAAGAAUUUGAAAUCACACCCACACAGGAAAUCACCCUUCGCGUGGGGAUGGAGAUGUUUACUGCAGCGAUAUUGAAUAUGUCCACUGCUGGACUAAUUCUGAUUACCUAAUUGACUCAGGAUCGGCUGGCAAUAAUAACAGUUUAUUAACAAUGCACAGUCCGAGUACUUUUCCAGGAUCAGAUACGACGUGGUCUAAUGUUGAUAAUAAUAGAUUAUCAAAUGACAAAUCGUUGUUCUACUAUUGCAAGCCCCCAGAUUUAAGAAUCUUUUUCAGAAAUUAAAUACAUUCUGAGAGAUGCUGGUCUACUAUUGCAAGCCCCCAGAUUUAAGAAUCUUUUGACGGUAAUUUAUCACCUGUAACUGUGCCGGAAGAUUCAACUAGCACUGAAAAAGAUGAUAAAUUAAUUGAUAUGGAGAGUUUUCAUAUCACUUUUAAAUCAUCUUAUGUAAUUGUGAUGUUAGGAAGCAUUAGUGAUCUAUAUGUGAAUUAUUAUUGGCGCCAUUGGUGGUUUUAUCUUGUUAAAAUAUGGAUGAAUUCCAGUUACUAUUUUGUUGCAGACAAUCUUCUUCAAUUAACAUAUGGUUUAAAAUCAUUAUGUAAAUCAAUCUAUUAAUUUUCAAGAUAUUUAACUGAGUUAAAACUAAGUGCACUCAAUAAAUCUCUUUUCCUUUAAAAAACUGUUACGCUUUGAUUUUAGUGCUUAAUAUUUAUUGAACUCCGAUACAGGGAAUUUGAAAUCAAACUCGUAACUACAUAUUAUCUAAUUGCAAGUUUCUAUCCAUAGCUGCUGAUUUGUAGUGAUUAUCUAAUUGACUGAGGUGACGACAAUUUUUUUUUUUUUAAAUUUUCAAUAGCACAAUGUGGAAUUCAAUAAUUAAAUUCUCCUUUUUAAUUUGUUUCCAGUUAAAUUAUUAAUUACUUAAACUCUGUUUUAAGUCUUUAAGUUUAUGUGUUUAUGCAGAAUUGGAUUCUUGAGCGUGUUGGACACGACCAACAAUGAAAUUGACAGUAAAAAAAACAAUACAACGUGUGGACUCCGGUAGAUGCCAUACAAGUCUACAACUUUACAAAUAAUAAUUGAGUAAGCAACUUUGAUUCUCGGGGCCCUUCAAUGAAUUUCUAGCCCCGUUGACUCCGCCAACUAAAGUUUGUAAAAUAAAAAAAUACAUAGAAUUCCACUAAAUGCAAAACGCGUGGAAUUUAAUUUUCGGCCAUGUGGACCAAAACAUAAUUUAAUGAAAAAGGAAAAAAAUGAUAAGAUUUCUAAAAUAUGUGAAAGAUGAUCCAUAUUUUACUGAAACGACUUAUUAAAUUUUUCAAAGAUUUAGAAUAUUUAGUCAUAAAUUACGUGCAUGUUAAUUUUUCCGCCAUUGACUAUCAUAUUCUAAACUUAAUAGUACAUUUCUUGUUGAAGGGUACUUAAUCUCUCUUCUCCUCUUAUAAAAAUUAUAUUGAUGGAUUUCUUGUUAUAGUUAAUAGUCUUUAAGAACGGAUAACUUUAUUGUUUUCGUGACCAAAUUAUGUCCGCCUAAGGUUGUGACUAUUAAUAAAAUUAAUAUUUAAUGUUUAUGUUAAAAGAUAUAAGAUUUUAUGCGUUCAUUAAUUGUUAUUAGCUAAAGGAUGAAUUAUUUUUUCAACCCAAUCAGUUGAUGCAUCUGCAAGAGUUUUUUCUUUUAUUGACCAUAAUUAUGUUCCGGGUACAAUAAAUUGUCUUUGGUGCUUGGAAAAUAUGACUUCUUACUUCAAGUUUGAUAUGUCUCUCUCCAUAAACUUACUGGAAAUAUAUCCUCAUCUACUGUCAUUUAUCUAAUAUCAAUUGAAGAUCUCACUUUUUCAAACUAUCACUUCCAAGUCUCAUUGUCACUUGGCCAUUCUUGGACCAUUCAAAACCAAUCAAGUGUUGAAAUAAUCAAAUAUAUGCAAAAUUAGAGUCACGAUUUUUGGUCCCCCAAAUUCUAAUUAUAUAACUUCUAUAUAUUUCAUUGCCAGGUCACGAACUUGUUGGCACAUUUUCCAAAUUCCUCUUCCAUCAGCUCUCACACGUUAACUUAAGUGAAAAGUUUCCAAGUUGAUUGCUAGAAAGCAACGCAAAAUCAGACACACUUGAUCUGUCCCCUAAUUCUCUUUUCUACGUUGAAAAAGAAAAAAAAAAAUAAAAUACAUACAUACAUAUAUAUAUAUAUAUAUAUAUAUAUAUAUAUAUAUAUAUAUAUAUAUAUCUAUGUAAAAAUAAAUAAUAAACUGAGUAAAAGUACAUUUGUUUAAUUAACAUCUGAUCGGGGCAUUUUUGGUGUAAGCCACAACUAAAAUCAAACAGCCCCUUAGCAUACUUCUUCCAUUUUAUCGGCUACUUUUGUGGAUCUUAUAGGGUGGGCAUGUGGACAGAAUUUAAAAGUUUUAAUAGGCUCAAAGAAGAAGAUGUGUUAAAUCUAAAGUUGUUGCACCUUCUGAUUAAAUAAAGUUGUACAAUUUCAUCAACUUGAAAGAAUUGACAUUAAUGAACUGGUCGCCUCUCCAUGUAUGAAGCCUUCUUAAAAGUUAAUUUUUAUUUCAGAAAAAAAAAGUUUAAGUUACAUAUAUUACAGUAAGAUUUUUUGAGACCAAUUCCCUUCUUGAAAUAAUAAUAGAAAAGUAUUAAUUUAAAAAUAAAAUGAAUAUGUAUUGAUUAUAUCCUGAUUUUCAUCGAUUAUAGUUAGAGUUUCACCAAAUCAAUUCCCUUAUUCAAAUAAUACAGAAAAAAUAGUAAUUUAAUAGUAAAAUAAACAGGUGUUGAUUAUAUAUCCUAAGUUUCAUCGAUUAUGUGAUCAAAGUGGCAUUGUUGAUUUAUUUUUUGUUCAAUGUUAAUUUUUAGGUUAUAUAAAUUUCAAGGAUUUAAAAUCUUUGGCCAUGAAUUACACGCUUGUUAAUUUUCCUGCCAUUGACUGUCAUAUUCUAGACUUAAUGAUACCUUUCUUGAUCAAGGGUAAUUACUCUCUCUUCUCCUCUUAUAAAUUCCUCUUCCAUUAACAUCACUAGGAGUAUGUUGAUCUCUCAGACGUUAACUUGAGUGGAGAGUUUCCAAAUUGAUUGUUACAAAACAACACAAAAACUAGACACACUUGAUCUGUCUAAUAAUUCUCUUUCGGUAAAAUUAAAUAAUUUUAGGGGAAUAUUCGGCCAACCUCUAUAAUUUCAUAGUGAUCAUUAAUUAAUUAAUCGAUACAAAUAUCUAAAGUGAUUAAAUGUGACUUGAAAUUUGAUCUCUAUCGAUUGGUUUACAAAUGGACGUACUUGUGCCUUUGUGGCGAUAAUCGAACAAGUACCCAUGAUUAUUAUUUUUUCCAAAAACUUUUUUACAACAAAUUCAUCUCGUCAAAAAUUCUAUGUUGCUAACUAACAAUAAUUGAGCACUUGGCCGCAUUGACUCCACGUCUCCACCUCUUUCUAAAUUCUAAGUAAAAACAUGGAAAUGUAAUUUCCACAAAAUGCCAAAUGUGUGGAAUUUAAUUUUUUGCCUUGUGGAUCAAAAUACAAAUGAAAGAAACAGAAGAAAAAAAAGGCCCAAAGACUUCUAAAAGAUGAAGAAGUCUUUGUGCCUUUUUAUAAUGGUGAAUUUUUUUAAAGAAAAAAAAUAACAACAUUUUUAUGGUUUGUUUUGAUAAUCAUAUUUACAUAUACUCUCUAAUUUUCAAAAUGGACACAUAAAUCUUUUUUUUUUACAAAAUAUAUAUUAUUCAUAUUUUUUUUAUUUUUUUAUUAUCAUAUUUUUAUUUAUUAUAAAUGUUUAGAGCAAAUUUUUAGGUUGAAAUAUAAUAAAAAGGUAUAAUUGUUCUCUUAUUAAACACACAUACUUUUAUUAGUUUCUAUCCAUUUGUCAUCUCAAUCUCUCUCAAUUAUUCUUUAUUGCUAGCUCAAAACGCGUUGCUGUUGCAAAUUAUAGCAAAAUGACAAAUAUGGAAAAAAAGGGAAGAAAAUUAAUGCAUGAAAGACUUGGAGAAAACAACAAAAUAAGCCAACUAUGAGCUAGUUGGGUGUAUAAAUUGUUAGAUGUGUUAUAUACAAAUAGCGUAGAGCCCUCUAGUUGGUUCCAGAGACAGAAAGAGCGUGUGUGUUUUUUCACAGUUAGAGAUAUAGUUAGAAUGGGUGGUUCAAAAUCAAAAAUGAUGAUAAUGUUUAUUAUGUUAUUAAUAAUAUUUAAAAGUGGGUGGAGUGAGGGAUGUUUGGAUCACGAGAGAUUUGCUUUUUUGAGACUCAAACAUUUCUUCAAUGAUCCUCUUAAUUCUCUUUACGACUGGGUAGAUGGUGAGGGAGCUACUGAUUGUUGUCAGUGGGAAAGGGUUGAGUGCAGCAACACCACAGGCCGAGUGAUAGCACUGGACCUUUCUUAUAUAUAUUCGGGAGAGUACAGCUGGUAUCUGAAUGCUUCUUUAUUUACUCCCUUCCAACAACUUGAGUCACUUGAUUUAACUCAAAACAAAAUAGCCGGAUGUGUUGAGAAUGAAGGUACUUUGUUUAAUUUAAUUAAUUUACUUUCUCCCCCCUAAUUUAAGUUGAAUAUCAAGACCGAGCAAUUAUAUGCAUAUUCAUUUAGUCGACAAUUUUGACUUUUUUUUAAAUGAUUAAUUUUGAAAUUACACCAGUAUCUAUGAUCUUUUUUAUUUUAUUUUAUUUGCAGGUAUAGAGAGGCUAUCAAGAUUGAACAACUUGAAGAUGCUUAAUUUAAGUCGAAACUCAUUCAAUAAUAACAUUUUAUCAUCUCUAACUCAUCUUUCAUCAUUAAGAUCAUUAAAUUUAUUGUGGAAUAGAUUGGAAGGAAGUAUUGACGUUAAAGGUACAUAAUUAAAACUUCAAGCUCUUUCAUUAACUUGCUAAAAUAAGAUUCAAGGCUUUGAAUUCAAUUUUUUUAUGAUUAAUAUUAAAAAAACAGUUUUAAGCAAUUUAUAAAUACAAGUUUUAAUGUUUCUUGUAAUUUCAUCUUGUACUUUCAUAUGUCUUGAAUUUAAGAUUAAAAAAAAAACUCUAAUAGCGAACCAAACACCUCCACAACUUAUUAUUAUUAUUUUAAUUUGUGGUGAGGUUUGAAACAUUCAACUCAAUUUGUACUUAUUACAGAAUUUGAUUCUUUGAGAGAUUUAGAGGAGCUAGACAUUGGCGGGAACAAGAUUGACAAAUUUGUGGUCUCAAAAGGUACUACAAAUACCAUAAAAAAAUAUGCUAACUUUUACAAAUUAGUUAGAUUCUUUGCCAUUUGGUUUAUUAUUUUACAGGUUUGAGUAAGUUGAAGUCUCUUGGUUUAAGUGGUAUCAAACUCAAUCGUAGCAUCUUAUCUUCUCUUUCUUCGUUAAGAGAAUUAGAUAUAAGUCGUACGGGAUUCAAAGGAACAUUUGAUGUUCGAGGUAAGCCUAAACCUUGCUUUCUCAUUUUAUAUAUGCCAACUAGAUUUGUGUAUCAUCGACAUAAUUUAAUAUUUAAUUUGAUAAGUCUGAAUGAAUUACAUGCUAAUUUAAACACACUUUUAUUUACUUUGUCAAUUAAUUAAUUAAUUAAUUACUAUUUGGCUUGGUUUGGACGAAAUUCUCAUGAUGUUUUAAUUUCUUUAAAUUAAUUAAUUAAUUAACUCUGUUUUUAAGUCUUAAGUCUGGGCAUGUUUGCAGAAUUUGAUUCCUUCAAUAACUUAGAAGUGUUGGACAUGAGUUGGAACGAAAUCGACAAUCUUGUGGUUCCUCACGGUAAACAAUUAAAAUGUUAUUCAAUUACAUUAUUUUAAUUCAUUUGAUUAGGGAAGGCCAAAAAGGUAAAAAAAAUAAUAAUAAAGAAACAGAGAAUUUGUAUUAUUUAAAAAACAGAAUGUAAUAAAGAUUUGAUUCUGGUUCUUUAAUCUUUAAAGUGAUUGAAAAACAAUGUUGCUCUUUUCCCAAAGCAUCAAAUACGAAUUGAAUGCCAAUUAACUUAAUCAUUCAUUUCGUUUAGCUCUAAAUUUAGACAAUGAAUUUUUAUAUUAUUUCAAAAACAUGACGUAAUAGAAUUUUUUUAAAAACAGAUUCUAAUAAAGAUUUGAUUCCAAUUCUUUAAUCUUUACAGUGAUUGAAAAACGAUACUACUCUUUUCCCAAAGCAUAAAUACGAAUUGACUCCCAAUCAAAUUAAUCAUUUAUUUCGUUCAUCUCUGAAUUUAAAUAAUGAAUUUUGAUCUUCAAUCGUAUUAUAAUUACUAUUAAAGAACAGGUUACAGAGGUUUGAGGAAGUUGAAUCAUCUUGAUCUAUCGGGAGUUGGAAUUAGAGAUGGAAGCAAGUUGUUACAGUCAAUGGGAUCAUUCCAUCCCUCAACACUCUUUACCUUUCGUGGAAUAAUUUUAUCGAUACAGCGACCGCUACUCAAGGUAAGUAAAAGGUACAAAUGUGGCCAAAUUUAUAAAUAAAUUGUUAAUUAAUUAAUUUUUCCGUAUUAUUAAUUAAGCUAAAUUUGUUGCUCCUUCCUUCUAAAUCUAAACAGAGUUGCACAAUUUCACCAACUUGGAAUAUUUGACAUUGGACUUUUCCUCUCUCCAUAUAAGCCUUCUCCAAAGCAUUGCAUCAUUAUUCCCUUCGUUAAAAAAUCUGUCGAUAUCUCAUUGUGAAGUCAAUGGUGUCCUACGCGGUCAAGGUAAAAGAAAAUCGUUGAUUGUGAACUCACUCAAUGGUGUCCUACGUGUUCAACAUUUUUAUUUAUUUAUUGUUUAAUGUUUCUGCUAGGUUUUCCUCAUUUCAAGAGUUUGGAACAUUUGGAUAUGGAUUACACGCGCAUUGCACUCAACACCGGCUUUCUUCAAAUCAUCGGUGAAUCGAUGCCUUCUCUUAAGUACUUAUCACUGUCAAGGUUAAUCUAUAAAUCGAUGCCUUCUCUUGAUCAAGGUUAAUCAGAUGCUCCCACUCUCCCCUCUUAAUCUAUAAUAUUAAUUUUCAAUUCAAUAUUUAAUUACACAAACGAAUCACUUAUUAUAAAAGAAUAAUACGCAUUCAUUAAUUUUUAUAUUGUAUUAAUAAUUGAUGAAUUUAAUAACUUUUCAGGUCUCUGUUCGUUGGUGCAUCUGCAAGUGUUGAACAUUGCAGGCAAUGAUUUAAGAGGUAGCUUGCCUUGGUGCUUGGCAAAUAUGACAUCCCUCCGAAUAUUAGAUGUUUCUUCCAAUCAACUUACUGGAAGCAUCUCCUCAUCUCCCCUCGUUCAUUUGACAUCCAUUGAAGAGCUGAUGCUUUCAGACAAUCACUUCCAGAUCCCAAUUUCACUUGAACCAUUUUUCAAUCACUCACGACUCAAGAUUUUCCAUGCUUACAACAACGAAAUAAAUGCAGAAAUAACUGAGUCACAUUCUUUGACUGCCCCAAACUUCCAAUUAAAAUAUCUCUCAUUGUCUUCCGGUUACGGAGAUGGUGUCACAUUCCCCAAAUUCCUUUACCAUCAACAUGAUCUGGAGACUGUUGACCUCUCACAUAUAAACAUGAGCGGAGAAUUUCCAAAUUGGUUGUUGGAAAACAACACAAACUUAGAAUAUAUUUUUUUGGUUAAUGAUUCUCUUGCAGGACCUUUCCGGUUGCCAAUUCAUUCACACAAGCGGUUAAGACUGUUGGAUAUAUCCAACAACAACAUCAGAGGCCACAUUCCAGUAGAAAUUGGAGAUGUUUUACCGGGUUUAUUUUCUUUAAACAUUUUCAUGAAUGCUUUAGACGGUUGCAUUCCCUCUUCAUUUGGUAAUAUGAAAUUCCUCCAAUUUCUGGACUUAUCCAACAACCAAUUGACUGGUGAAAUCCCUAAGCACUUGGCCGUGGGUUGCGUCAACUUAGAGUCUCUUGCGUUGUCAAACAACAACUUAGAAGGUCAUAUGUUCUCCAGAAACUUCAACCUGACAAACUUGAAAUGGUUACAAUUGGAAAGCAAUCACUUCGUAGGAGAGAUCCCACAAAGUUUGUCUAAAUGCUCCUCACUAAAAGGAUUGUAUCUUAACAAUAAUAGUCUUUCGGGUAAGAUUCCACGAUGGUUGGGUAAUCUCACAUGGUUACAAUAUAUUACAAUGCCCAAUAAUCAUCUUGAAGGUCCUAUUCCAGUGGAGUUUUGUCAGCUUGAAUGGCUUCAGAUUUUGGACAUUUCAGACAACAACAUAUCUGGAAGUUUACCAUCUUGUUUCCAUCUUCUCUCUAUCAAACAAGUUCAUCUUUCAAAAAAUAUGUUACAUGGACAGCUAAAAAGAGGUACAUUCUUUAAUUGCUCUUCCCUUGUGACAUUAGAUCUUAGUUAUAACCGCUUGAAUGGCAGCAUUCCGGAUUGGGUUGAUGGGCUUUCUCGGUUAAGCCACCUUAUCUUGGCUCACAAUAAUCUUAAAGGUGAAGUGCCAGUUCAAUUGUGCAAAUUGAACCAACUACAAUUGUUAGAUCUUUCUAAUAAUAAUCUUCACGGUCCUAUUCCUCUUUGCUUUGAUAACACCACACUUCAUGAAAGUUACAGCAAUAGUUCUAGUCCUGAUGAGCAAUUUGAAAUAUAUGUUUUCAUCGAAGGCCCUCAGGGAGGUGUAGAAAAGAAAAUCCAUGAAAUUUUUGAGUUCACAACAAAGAACAUUGCGUACAUUUACCAAGGAAAAGUGCUUAGCCUCCUAUCAGGACUUGAUCUUUCUUGCAACAAGCUAAUCGGUAUUAUUCCUCCUCAAAUUGGAAAUUUGACAAGGAUUCAAACAUUGAAUCUAUCGCACAACAACUUGACAGGAUCGAUCCCAUCAACAUUUUCAAACUUGAAGCAUGUCGAAAGUUUGGAUCUUUCCAACAACAAAUUGAAUGGGAAAAUCCCUCAUCAACUAGUGGAGUUAAAGACAUUGGAGGUUUUCAGUGUGGCAUACAAUAACUUAUCAGGCGAAAUUCCAGAAUGGAAAGCACAAUUUGCAACCUUCAACGGGAGUAGCUAUGAAGGAAAUACUUUUCUUUGUGGACUGCUAUUGCCCAUUUGCAGAUCACCAGCAACUACGUCGGAGGGUUCAAUUGGCAAUGAACGAGAUGAUAAUUUAAUUGACAUGGACAAUUUCUUUAUCACAUUUACAACAUCGUACGAAAUUGUGAUAUUCGGAAUUGUUAUUGUUUUAUAUGUAAAUUCUUAUUGGCGACGUAGAUGGUUUUACUUUGUUGAAAUGUGGAUAACUUCAUGUUAUUAUUUUAUUGUAGACAAUCUUAUUACAACAAGAUAUUGUCAUUGAAAUUAAUUAGGAGUUUAAUUACGAUUCUUUAAGUUCUAAUCAAGUUUGCUUAGGAAAUAAAUUUAUUUUUAUUUUUUAUUAAAACUGUAGUAGUAUUUAGCUCUAUAUAGCUUCCAACUUCCAAGCACUUCACAUUUGUCUCUACACUUCCAAACCCAUAUCUAUCCACCAUAACUUAUACUUCCCUAUACUGUGCAGCAUACUUAAAUAAGAGAACCAUCUCCAAUGUUAAAACCAGCCACUCUAUAACAUUCAUUUAGAAUAGUUUUAUUAUCAUACACAAGAAAUGAAACACCUAGAUGCACUUGAUCGCCUAUUUUACUUUAAAAAAUAAUGAUUAUGGUGCUAUCAUCAUCUUCUUCACUAGCAACAUUAACACCAAAUCCAGCGAUGGACCCAGACAUUUUAUCAAGAAAGGUAUAUAUAUAAUAAAGUUGAAGCUUGACAAAAAAUUCAGGAAGAUUAAUGCCUCGCCACAACAAGGGCACAACAACAUCAAAGUAGAGAUGAAGCAAUAUUUUCAAAUCUAAAACUCUCAAAUCCACCCACCAAAAUUUCAUAUCUCCUCAACAAUUUUAAGAACUAAAGAUAAUUAGGAUCUAACAUUAGUUUUUUAUAUAUUAGUUUCAUAAUUUACAAAUCAAUGAAGAUGAAGAUUAUGCUAAUGAAUUCAAAUUAUACCAUAGAUUCUCGAGAUGUUUACCAAAAAUUUCUAAGCCAAUCCCACAUAUUUCAUAAUUUUAAGACUAGAAAAUUUCAUUAGUUAGAAGUUUCAUUACCUUCAAGUGGAAGAUGAAGAACAUUAUACAAUUGAUUCAGAUUAUAUCAUACAUACUCCAAAUGCAACUAGAAAUUAACAAGUUCAUGCGCACAGAUUUCAUAACAUUAUGAUUGGAAAGUUUCACAAAGAGAAAUUCUAAAUUCAAUCUCUUGCAUCAAGGUAGUUUGAUUGAUUUGAGUUACUUUCUCAUCAAGCUACUAAUAUAACAUUCAAGUCAGGGAGAAAGUAAAUUAAAACUGGGAAGAAACAACAGUAAAAAUUUGUUGCUAAACAUGAUGUGUAUUUUUUUUUAAGGCAAUUUGGAAACACAGUUGUUACUACAGAUAUUCUCCUCAACUUAGAGAUAAAUACAAAUAUUAAAAUGCAUAUGAUCGCACAUAUUACUUGGAGCUUAGUAAGAUUUCAUUAAGAGAAGCAAUCAAACCACUUAUCAAUUGUUGCAAUCGUUCUAUAAGCUAAAAUAGCAAUAUAAUACAAGAAAAAGAACAUAUAGAUACUUGGCAAGAGUUCAUUAAGAAGUCGCAUCACAUUCGGGUGAGUUUGCUUCUGAUAUCUUGCUAGCUGGGGCUUUUUCUUGUCUUUCUACGUAUGCCGAGGGAAACCAACCAGCUUGGCCCUUGCAUUCACCUUCCGACCAUCCAGUAGGAGCCACCUUGAGAAGUUAUAACUAAAAGUCUAAAACAAUGAAUUAAACAAAAGUUGACCGUUCAAAGACCUAAGGGGAAAACUAAUUCUUUUACGUAGGAGGAGUGAAUUAGUUGUGAUCACUGAAAUAACAGCAUAACUAUGGAAGCAUAACAAGAUAUAAAUUCACACGUCUAUAAGGGUAAACUGGGUGGUUUAGAACUGAGCUAGCAACCCUACUAUAUUCUGAUUUGCACAUCAAUGUAAAAGGGAAUAUAUGGUAGGAAGAAAGAAAACCAACCAUCAGUUGUUAACUCAUUGCUUUUCAAUCAAAAUUUUAAGAACAAAAUGCCAUGUGCUUUGAACAUCAAAUAAGUAUAAGCAUUAGUUCUAAAUUCCACAUAUCAUAAGUUAGAAGGACAAGUCAAUAGCAUAGUAGAAAAAUCUAUGUGUUGUUAUUUAGAGGGGAAAGUACCUGGCGAACCACAACAUAAUCAUCAAUUGAAAGACUUAGCUCUCCAUUUGCUUGAGCAUCAAAUGGAUGUAUAACCUGCAAGAUAAUGGGAUAAAUAGAACUUAAUCUUAAAAAAAGCAUAACAAAAGCAGCAACAGUAGCAGCAGCGUUCAUUGUAACCACUAUGAUCAUGGCCAACAAAGAUAUAUUACAAACAAAAUUCCAUUUUUACUACGACAUUAAUAUGUACUAUAUGAUAUCAUGACGAUUGGGUUACCAAGAGCUAUCAAAGUCCAAUAAAUUCUGUAUAACUUUAGGUAGUUAUUCAAAUUAUGGAUCAGAUUUUAAAUCCGAAAUUUUGACUGCUCUCCACAAAACAUGGCCUAUGCACAAGAAAGUCAUAGAUAAUGAGGAUUACAAGUGUCUGACAUCUUUUGAGUGAUGGAUUUAACAUGAGAGCUUAUGGUCAGUCAAUUUCCUCUGCCUAGCAAUAUAAGCUUUCUCGGCCAGAUUUAUCAUCAAAUACAUAGAUUGGCCCCAAGUCACAUCCAAAUAAACAUAGUUUUUCUAGGUAAACCAAGUAAGGAGAAUCAUAAUUCAGACAUAAUCAUAAAAAGGCCCAUCUAACUUAAGAGAAAAUCUCAAAAAGAGGGAUGUUGAGCUAUCAGUCUUGUAUCUAUAAGCAAUAUCAAGACUUUACAUCACCUACUACAUCGUGAGUGGCUACACAACUUUCAGUGGUUUGUCUUUCUUUGGCAUGCCUAACUCAGCUUUGAUGUUGCUGAGAUAUUGAUAGUAAAGACACAUGAUACUUCUAGCCCAUGCAUUCUAUCUAGCUCAUCCGACAACUAUCUCUUUUUUAAUUCAUUAGUGUUUGCUAAACCUCAUGCUUAAAAGUCCUAUUCUCCUAAACAAAGCUUCCUAAGAAUGACUUCCUCAGCACCACAUUUGGACACUUUUAGAGCAAUUUUAUUUGGGGGAAAAGAAUUUUCAAGGUGUUAACUAAUAAAUUUUAAAAAAUAAUUACAAUUUGUCCUACAAUUAUAUGACAAUUUAUCUGGGAUGAAAGGAUACAGACAGACAUCUUCCACUUUCAAGACUAAUCACUACUUCCGUAGAUGUUUUGCAAUAAUACAAAUACUUGACCAGAUGGUAGAAAAAAAUUUUAUUGCUCCAAAAUUAAAAUAAGAAUGCAAUAUGUUAAGCAAAAGACUGUGCAACAUCAAAUUAAUUGAUAAGUUUGUAAUUCAGUAAAUUAACAACUUUCAUGGUAAAAUACAACAAAUUUCUUUUCAAAAAAAAAAAAAAAAAUUAAAAGACGGCAUUCAAUUUUUUGGGCAUCUUAUUUCUUAAGAUUUUCCAGGAGGAGGGCACUAGAGGGACUUUCACCUAUGCAAGAGAGCAGAAGCCUUACUUUCGCUAUAAAGUAGACGUCAUUCUGAUUAAUAUGCGUUUGCAAAUCAGCUCCAUUUGAAUCAGUAUUCUGAUAGACACGUGAGGCAUUUACAUCCAUUUCCAAAGUCACAUGUUGCGAGGAGGACUCAUUUGAUUGCUCCUCUAGGAUCAUCUAAUUCAAGUAGCAAGGGUUGGAAGAGAAUAAAAAGUCACAAUUAUUCUUUUGCAUAAGUGAGACGAAAAUGAUAAAUGCAAUAUUAUCAGCAGUAAACAAGAAGAGAACACUCCAAGGAAUAGAUAGAUGCCGACAAGCAAGUUAAAAUGCACAGUUCCAAACCUCCGCAUACAACUUCUCUAAAAUAGCAAUAAUGUGUUGAUGAUAUGUUUUCUCAGCAUCUACCUGCAAAGGCCUGAGACCAGGAAAACAACAAUAAAACCACUAGCUAAAGGAGAAAGUAAAGAAAGAAAUACACUUGACAUAAAUCUUGACAAGAAGCACAAUUUAAGACAUAACAAACCCCAAUCAGAUUGUUUAGAACUACCAUUCGUUAUUUCGUUAUUGUAGCAUUUCGAACAAGUGUUGACUUAAUUCAACAUUGUUGGAAAGAUAGGCUUUUAGAAGCGGAAGAAAGCCUCUCAAACCAAAGUGAUUGUCCUUGUAUUGAUCAAGGGAUGUAAACAUAUUACAUUUGCAGGAUGAGUUUUAAUCACUCCCCUGAUUUAUUUGGGUUGCAGUAAAACUAAGCGAGCAACUGUUUGACUUUCAAGCAACAUCUAAAUCAGCUAUUAAAAUUCAAAUAAAAUUAUAAUAGAAUAAUAACAGGCCAUCUUGCAUAAAAAAUUAAGUUUAAUUUGUGAAUUUUUUUCUAUAGACAUGUUAGUUCCUGCUAUUGAAAUGUUAAAAGCAUUGAAAAAUUAUUCAAUAAAUUAUGCAAACAUUAAAAUAGAGGACAUAUUAAAAAGUUUCUAAUUACAAUGUUAAGAUUUCCUAUAUUUUAGCAUUUGCAUAUUUUAAUUUAUUUAAAAGUUACGUCAAUCAACUUUGGGCGUGAAGAUUUUAGCUUCUACGAGACUUGAUUGGAAUAUGCAUAAGGAAGAGUGUUAAAAUAUGAUGCAUCCAACGAAAGACAAACCACGUGUAGUCUUUUAAUUAAGCCAAAGUAGCAGCUCAAACAAAUGACACUUGGACCAACAUGCAAUCAUGAAGUGGCCGGUAAAAGGACAAAUGCAACUUUGGCUUAAAUAAAAAAUAACAUGUGACUUGACUUUUGCUGGACAUGCAUCAUGUUAUUACAAGACAACAGAAAUCAGUAUGAUAGUACUAAAAGUUGACAAUAACAUGAAGAUAAGAGGCAGAAUGUCAACACCUGCAUAGGCACACACAAGAAAGUAUUAACAUAUAUACCAUAGCAAAAAGUCUUUGAUAUGUCAUCUGUUGCUGCUGUGAUUCAACUGACAGCAUGGCAGCUGUCGCUUCUCUACCAAGAGCCAUUAUUGUAGAUUUAAGCUCGGUCAAUCUUGCUUCUGCAUUUCGAAGCUUCACAGCACUCUCUGCUGAUAUAUCAGAUUUCCUUAUCUUUGAUCGGUGCCUAAAUACUUCAGCUGCCUGGUGAAAAUAUUCAAUAUAAAUCUAACAUAAUUCUCAUCUUGCCUUAUACAUGCAUAUGUUACCUCAAAGCUUGCCUGGGCUUCAACUUCAUGUCGAAGUUUGUCAUAACGAUGAGUCAGGUGUCGAGCAUCUUCCAAAGGUGCUCCGUUGAUUAACGCCCGUAGUGGCUCAGAUACCUACAUGUCCAAAAACCUGUAACAUAGUUAGAAAAAUGAAAAGAAAGAGCGAAACCUCAAUUAAAAAGUUCCUCCAACAUAAUCAUGGAAUUUGGGCCUACUUCAAGGAUAUAUAUAAGGAUAAUUUAUGCAAUUUUGGGUCUUAGGAUGAUUCAUAUUAGGUUAGUGUUCUUCUCUUCUGUAUUUAAGGUUAAAAUAGAAAUAAACCUAUGCAAAUAUCUAAAUUAGGGCUGUAAGACUUCCACAUGCAUCCUUCAGUCUCAUGGAUUUGAUUUUACUAUAGAUGCAAGUGUCUUUAUCGAAAAUGCUUGGAGUCAAUUGAGAGAACUCACAGCCAAUAACUUGUCACAUGCUAGUCUUUGCUAGUGAUGCAAGAAGUCACAAGGUCUCUUCAACAUUUGAACCAAUAAAAUUAUUAAGUCAUGGAUGUCACUAGCAAUGAUUUCAAUAUAAAACAUUAAAUAUUUCAAGUUGUAACUUUAAAAUGGAUUCUUUUAUUCAAUAUCUUAGAACUAAGUUUCCUUAUGAGAAGAUAAUAGUUUCAGUAGUAAUUUACAUGAAAUUUUCUAUAUUUGAAUUAUUUUCUAGUUAGGGAUGAACUAACCUGAUCAUGAAGAAUCCCAAGCAAAGUUUCCCUCUCAUUUUCCAUCAAAUCAUGUGAAGUGCCAAAUUGAAGAGCAGCUCUUGCAGCGCAAGAAUUGUCACUUUGAUUCUCCGCUCCAUACUUGCAACAAUCUUCAGCCAACUUUCUCGCUACAAUAUUUGAAUACAAAAAUAUUGUACACAAGAACCAGUCAAGAAAAUAAAAAAAAAAUCAAAUAUUAUAACGAGAGCAAGAGCAAACAAACAACCUAUUUCCAUUUGUUUCAAGCUUACUGCAACAAACCCUUCAACGCCACGGACAAUAUUCCUCUGAAAAUGCUGUGCUACAGAGCAUAUAUUCCAAAUUAUUGUUCAGAUAAAACCAUAGAAACCAUCAUAAUUAUCAACAUACAUUAAGCUCCGUUUGGUAAAUACUUGCAACUUCAGUCUAGAAAAUACAGUUGUUUGUACCAUAUUUGACAAAAUUAUUAUUUAAAAAUCAUAACUAAUUACCAAAAGCCACAAUAAAUCAAUAUCAAACAGAGUCUUAUUAUUAGCUAAAGGAGGAUGGUGCCUUAGCUGCCCUGGUGGAAUUGUAUAGAUUUUAAAGUUGUUGGUGACACUCAAUUUCAGCUUCAUGAACCGCAAUAUUUUCAAUACCAAGAUGGAGCAGAUGCUUCAAUGCUGCCUGUACAAAUCAUAAAAAACUAAUAAAAAUAAAUAAAAUCGAUAAAUUUCACUAACUAAAAGUCUAAAUAUAAUUUUUGAAAAAAGAAAAGAAACGGACUUGCUGCUGCUUGGCGACUUGUUCUCGGUGCUUGAUUGCCUGUUUCUUGAUAGCUUCCAUACUGUUUCUUUCAAAAAGCAACGACGGCUCAGCUCAUGGAGGUGGAAAAAAAAAGUAUGAUCGAGAAAAAUAAAAAGGCAUGAAUAAUUUUUGACAAAAAGCGAAAAAUAAAAAGGCAUGAAUAAUGAAUAAUUUUUGACAAAAAGCUCUUUCCAGAAAAUAAAAAAAGAAAAAAGAAAAAAGAAAAUUAUAAGUUUGAAAGGAGUAGAUGAUAGUGGAAGUGUGCGGUGUGGCUGCCAGCUACUUGAAUUGUAUUGUCGGGUAAGGUAAUAGUAGAGAAUUUUUUUUUUUGAAGAAAAAUGGGUAAUUUUUAAAAACCUCCCCUGAGGUUUGGGCUUGUUGUAAGUAGAUGGCGAGAAUCCAUUUAUUUGUAAAAAACCCCCUACGUUUUUGCUCCGCUUGGUUGCCGUUUGGGCAAUUGUGGGCAUUGUUGACAUUUCGCAAUAAAACAAAUCUUUUGCAACUUUCGUUUCCUUGAGAACAAUAGCUAGAUUUCUCAAUCUGUUUCAUCCAACACUUCAAAAAUUUCAACUUUUAUGAGUUAUUGCAUUCUCUGGCAAAGUAGACUUCUUCUAAUUUUAUCACAGUGCUUUCAGGAACAAGAAUGGGAUCCAUUAACAUCCCCUCAAAUUUUACAGCUUCCUUACAGCUAUACACUGCUGUAACACGAAGUUUAAUGAUUCCAUCGCCAAAUAGUCCCCAAAAUCUAUUCUUCCCCAUAUUGAACAACUUAAGUUCACAACACUUGCAUUCUAAAGGCUUCCCACUAACAUCUAAUAUCUCAAGACUCAACGUUGCUUUACAAUAAUUGUUAUUACUACCAAACAAACAUGAAGAAACCCCGAUUAUCGGAUAAAUCAACCCAAAAUGAACAAGAGAAGAACCCAAAACAAGUGAAUCGCUAGAGCAAAACCCCCAACCCAUAUCCCUAAUCCCACACUCAAAAAAACCCAAUUUCUCUCCAAAGUCAUUGACACUAGCAUCACUACUAGACUCUAAUUCCAAUCCUAGAUUACAUUUAAUGUUAACCCAACUAAAAUGAAUGUUCUUACUACAAUACGCAUCGUUUACACUCUCAAACAACGCGCUGAACUUACUCUUAAACGAUCCCACAUUGGUCAAACACUCAUCACUCACAUCGACAUCCAAGAAUUCACUCAAAAACUUCAUAGACUCGACAAUUGGAGAAAACAAAACCACUAAACUCAACUUUAUACAAGCAUACCCAUCGAGAAUCUUACCGUCAUUAACCGAAUCACAACAAAUCACCGGGUCCCACGCGCAGUCGUGAACGAGCUUACGCAUGGACGGGGCAACAUUUAACCCCCGCGGCAAAAACGACGAAGCUUUGGAAAAAUUGUGUUUUAGAGCUGGGUUGAGGAGUAGAGAUUGGAGAGAUUGGAAGGUGGAAUCGGGACGGUCAAAGGAAAGAGAGAGAGAAGGGAAGGGGAUCUUUAAAAGAGAAGUGGGGAGAGGGAGGAGAAGAAGGAUUUGAAAGAGAAAAGAGAGGAACGGAGAGGCGGGAAUGAGAUUAAGGUUUUCACUGCAACUAAAAGAGUAAUCAUGUAUGGCUCUUGGUCUUGGAGAUGAAGGAGAGGAUUCAGGUCGAUUAAGAGGACUAUACGCUGCAUUUUGGUGUAGUCUGCCGCCAUUGGUAGAAGUUUCGAAGUGGGUUUCUGUUUAGAUCCGAGUUUGACGAAGAAACGUGGUGGUUGCGCUUGGGACAAUAUUGUUUUUGCACUGGUCAAUGUAGAAAUUAAACGAUGGUAGGGUGUUUUUUUAUAAAUAAAUGAAUUCUCGCCAUUUAUAACAAGCCGAAACCUCAAAAGAAGAUUUUAAAAAUUACCCGAAGAUUCGAAAAAUAGUAGAGAAUUUUUUAAAAAGCUAGAACAGAGCAUGCUAGACUUUUGUGGACCAAAUUCAAAAGCCGAAGGGCACGGCCCAAAAGCUUUUGAAUACAAUAACUUACUAGAAAGCUCCAUUUUUUGUUGGCUACAGUAAAAGUAUGUUGUUUUAUGCUUCUUAUAUGUUACGCUUGCAUCAGCCUCAAUCACUUCUUAAUCGCUUGCUUUAACUGCAUCGCUCUCUGUGUACUCUUCUACACAUGUAACGGUUAUGCGGUUGUAGUUCACGGCUGAGGCUACGUGUUGGUUUGACGCGGCAGUUACGUUACGACAUUACGAGUCUGUUAAACAUUCAGUGAUAGAGCAUUAUUAGUUAUUUUAAGGGGACAAAUAAGAUUGGUUGCAAUAAACCCACUAAUAUUAUAAAAUUCGAGUAAUAUAGAAUAAAAUAAAAAAAUACAUACAAAAUUGGCUUUUAUUUUUUAUGGUUGACUGUAUUUUGUGUUCUCUUUCGGCACUACUACAUCAGUCACACCCAUAUAUCAUCAAUACAAGAAAUGAAAUCUAAUGUCACCUAUUUAGUUAAAGAAUUACUCAUGAAAAAAUUUUACCAUUUUACUUUGAGGAUCCAUAUUUUGAACUGCAAGCUAAUGUUCAUCAAGAAUCACUAAUGUUCAUAAAAAACAGAGCAUGGCCGUUGAGUAGAAAAACUAUUUUUGGACAAAUUAUUUUUGUUGAUAAAAGAAUUUCUUAAGGGACUACUAAUAUUAUGAAUAACAAUGUAGAACACACCCACAUAUCAUCGACACAAUUGACUUUAAGGAUCCAUGCUUUGAAUUGCCACCUAAUGUUCAUCAAGAACAGAGUAUGCCUUGUGAGUUGUGAGUAGAAAAUUUUAUGAUUUUGGUCCGAAAUAAAAAGAAAUUAAAUUAGAUGAGAAUCUGCCACUUUCUCAUAAAGAAAGGCAUACGGAGCAUACCAUGGUACCAUACAAUACAAAGAGUCUCUAUUCUCUGGUUUUUCAAACUCUGAAGGGGCCAAUAUUCCCGAAUUCCCCCUUGAAAAUUCUGAUUACGACAUUAUUCAAUUCUUGACACAAUCAAAGUAGCGACAAAGUUAAGAAAAAUAUGAGUCCUAAGUAAUGGCUAGGUAGGGUUCUUGAGAGCAAAAUUGUCCUAAGCAUUAUAUGCAUACAUGGUGUGGUACAUAGAGCACGUUGAAUUCCACACUAUAACACAAACCCAGAAAGACAAGUAAUAACUCAACUGAUAUAAAAACAAAAAGAAGAUAAAAUGAUAUAGAAAAAAGAAUUUCAAAGAGACAGCAACAUACGAUAGACUGAAGCCACUUGAUCUGCUCACUGAUUGCAGCCUUAAACUUACAAAUAGUUACUGUACGCUAGUGCUCUAAGAAGUGAAAAUGAUAAGAGACCUAAUUUCCUUUUGACUUCCAUUUACUGUCAAACAUUCUAGUAAUACAAAAAAUUGUUUAGAUAUCUUGCUAUAAAUAUAGUCGUUUGACUGUCAUAAUAAAGUCACAAAUAACCAUUCAUAUUGAUCCACUGUCACACAGCAUGCUUUAUGCAUACAACAUCUGCAUGUAUACCAACUCCUAACCUUAUCAAUACAUUUGGCAAAAACUUAAGAAGAAAACUAUUUCUCCAUCUCUUUUUUGAAAUUUCACAAUAAACCAGCACAUUGUGAAAGCUAUGUUCUAAUCUUAUGAUAAAUGCUCUAGACUCCAAAAGGAUUUUAUUUAUGAGAGUUUGUUGCAACAGAUAUAUUGACUUAUCAAGUAUGAAUCAUUGUCUGGAUGAACUAUCUUUAAAUAAAAGAAUAUUAGAACCACUGUAGAAUAUCUUUACGCUGCUGGUUCUAACAGGAAUCUGCAUGUGGCAACAAUUGCUAGAUCCACAAUUCCCCAACUUGAAAUACAUAGUUGCACACCGUGAGAUAGUGCUGCAAUCUACUGAGAUCUAACUUAUUUGAUACUUUAAGCUACUAAUGUUUGCAUAUUUCUACAUGUUAAAUUGACACUACCAUCUAUAAUCACCCCAAAACGACAAAUGAAAAGCAGCUUUUGGCCACUUAUUACUAGCAUCCACAACACAAUUAUAAAUAAGAGAUCAUGGGUUUACUUGUUGCAACUACUUAAUGAUCUGCAUUUGAUACCCUGACGCAAGGUUUAAAUAGUGACUGCUUAGAACCCUUGUAGUUGGAUCUUGACCUCUCCCAUUGUAGCCAAGAUUGGCUACUCUGGUAAUGAAUCAACACUCUCCUGCUUAUUUUUUUAUUUUUAAAAAAUAACGAAAUCAUAAAAUAAAUAAACACGUGUUUGGUUUUGGGCAUUUUCGUUUGUUCAUUUAAUAUCAUCUGGUUCCCUGAUUUUUGACUAAUUAACAACGGAAUCCUGUUAGUUUCUAAAUUGAAAUAAUAAAAGGUCAUGAGAUUAUUUACUCCAUUUAGCACUGUAGACUUAGAGUAUAUUGAAAAAGCUUUGUCAAAUAGUAGUAAUAGGGGCAUAAUAAAUAAGUUUUUCAGAAUUUACAUAAUGUACUUGGCUCUAGGAAGAUUGCCCUCUUAUCACUCAAGUUAAGUUUUGCCUUAGAGUUGAGGUAAAUCAUUAAAAUAAAUUAUAGCUAUCACAAAUUCGUUAGGAGAAUUUCAAUUUUUUUUCCAUUAAAUGGCUAUGAGGCAAAAUUACCUCAGCUUAUAUUGCAACACUAAUACUUCAAAUCCUAACAAUAAAAUUGAUGACAAUGGUUUUUAUGUAUAGUAAUUUUCACUCUUUUGUUUGAUCUAAAAGUAGUUCUUAAAAUGACAAUGAUGACUUAUUUAGAAGAAAUGGCAAACUUAUAGUUUGUAAUAUUGUUUGCACAAACAAUAAAGACUAAUUUGAUAAUAAUGAAGUGUUAAUUACUAUUUAACAUUUUUAAUUAAUUUUUAAAUUUAAAAAAAAAUGAAGGCCCAAACUUGUGCAUUAAAUUUUAAUUAAAAGUUGAUUGCUUCGAAGGUUGGAUCGUGACAAAUUGACAAUUGAAAAAAGAAGUAGGGAAUAUAUAUUCUGAUGAAAGGGACAAGAUUAAGCAAGGGGACAAUAUUGUCUAUUGGACCUACAAAUGGGGGCAAAGAUAUAUAUAUUCCAAAAUUUCUUAUUUGUGGAUUGGCCACCACGUGUAACUAAUAUAAAAAGAGAAAAUUUGGCAUGGUUUUAACCGAUAUAAGGGUCCGUUUGAGAUUGAGGUGCUGUAACUUUUAAGGUAUAGCUGCUGUGGAAAAAAAAACUGUAAGUAUUAAAUAAAAGUUAAUAAUAUAUAGUAAAUAUAAAUUUUAAAUAAUAAUUUUGAUGAAAUUAUUAAAGAUAUAAUAGAUUUUUUAUUAUACAAAUGAAAAUUCAUAUCAACAUAGCUUAAAAGUUACAGCAGUUAGUGUUUACCAAACACUUUAGUGCUGUAGCUUUUAAGCUACAGCUGCCCAACCUCAAUCCCAAACGCACCCUAAGAAGAGAAAAUUUUGAGUGUAUAAGAAGAGAAAAUUUUGAGUGCACAACAAGAACAAAGCAAAACCCAUGAAAAUUCACCUUUCAUGUGGGUUGGAUUGGAUAAAAUCAAUAUCUUGAAUAAAACAAAAUGUUUGGUACUUGAAGGUUUUUUUAACAUUUUCAUUUUUUUUCCAUUUAUGAAGUCCAAUUUUUUUUUAAUUUUGAUUUUUUUGAAUGAUUUUGCAGGUGUUGAUAUAAGGUCAUCAAAAGUUUGUGAACUUGGGGUGUUGAAUUAUAAGGCGAAGCGUGUGUUUUAUCCAUUUGAAGCAAGUAAAUUUCGUUGUCGGUAUGAUUACUAUUGGGCUUCUAUCUUCAAGGUAUUCAUACAUUUUCCCCUGUACUAUAAGCUUCUUAGUGGCGGUCUUGUGAGCGGAAGUGAGCGGUGUGGCUGACAGCUUCUUGAAAAUUAUAAGUUUGAACAGAGCAUGUUAGACUUUUGUUGACCAAAUUCGAAAGCCAAAUGGCACAGCUCAGAAGCUUUUGAAUUGAAUAACUUACUAGAAAGCUCCAAUUUUUUGUUGGCUACAGUAAAAAGAGGUUGUUUUAUUCUUCUUAUACUUUACGCUUGCAUCAGCUUAAAUCACUUCUUAAACGCUUUGCUUUAACUCCACCGCUUCGUACUGUUCUAUAGAUGUAUCGGGUAUGCGGUUGUAGUUCACUGCUGAGACUACGUGUUUGUUUAACGUGGAAGUUACGUUACGAGUCUGUUAAAACAUUCGGUGAUUAAAGUAUUAUCAGUUAUUUCAAAGGGACAAAUAAGAUUAGCUACAACACACACUAGUUUUAUAAAAUUCGAAUGAGAUGGAAUAAAAUAAAUAAGUAAAUUGACUUUUAAUUUAGUGCUUGAAUAUAUUUUGUAUUCUCUUUGGGCACUGCUGUAAUUGUUCCUUAUCACACCCAUAUGUUAUAGACACAAGAAAUGAAAUUUAAGAUCACCUGUUUAAUUAAAGAAUCACUCAUGAAAACAUUUUGUCAUUUUGAUUUGAGGAUCCACAUUUUGAACAACCAACUUAUGUUCAUUAAGAACAAAGCAUUGCCUGUGAGUAGAAAAUGAUUUUUGAACAAAUUAUUUUUUGUUUAUAGAAGAAUUUCUCAAGGGACUAUUAAAAUUACUAAUAAAAAUGUCAGACGCACCCAUGUACCAUCGACAAAAUUAACUAUGAGGAUCCAUGUUUUGAACUGCCACCGAAUGUUCAUCAAGAACAUAGUAUAACUUGUGACAAGAAAAUUUUUUGAAUUUGGCCUAGAACAAAAUGAAAUUAAAUUGAAGGAGAAUCUACUACUUUCUCAUUAAGAAAGGCAGACGGGGCAUACCAUGGUACCAUACAAUACAAAAAGUGUCUGUUCUCUGACUUUUCAAACUCUGAAGGGGGCAAUAUUCCCCAAUUCCCUUGUGAAAAUUCUGAUUACGACAUUAUUCAUCGCUUGAUACAUAAGUAAAAGUAGUGAUAAAAUUAGAAAAAAUAUGACUUAUAAGUAAUUACUAGGCAGGGCUCUUGAGAGCAACAUUGUGCUAGGCUUUAUAUGCAUACAUUGUGUGGUACAUUCUACACUAUAACACAAACCCAGAAAGACAAGUAAUAUCUCAAAUUAUAUAAAGACAAAAAGAAGAUAAAACGAUACAGAACAAAGCAUUUCAAAGAGACAGCAACAUACAAUAGACUAAAGCCAGUUGAUCUGCUCGUUGAUUGCAGCCUUAAACUUGCAAAUGUUUACUGUAGCCUGGUGCUCUAAGAAGUGAAAGUGAUGCAAACCUUGAUUCCCUGUUUACUUCCAUUUACUGUCAAACAUUCUAUUCAUACGAAAAAAAUUGUUUAGAUAUCUUGCCGUAAAUAUAGCCAUUUGAUUGUCUUAAUAAAGCCACACACAACCAUUCAUAUUGAUCCACAUUGCCAUAUAGCCUGAUUUAAGCAUACAACAGCUGAAUGCAUACUGACUCCUAACCUUAUCAAUACAUUGGAGACAACUUAAGAAUAAAACGAUUUCUCCAUCUCUUUUUUUUAAAUUUCACAAGAAAACAGCACAACGUAAGAGCUGCAAUGAAAAUGGACCGUCAGGAACUAUGGCGGAAGCUUCAACUAGUGUAGUGAUUUGACCUUCUUAUUAACUUAGCGAUAUCAAGCACUGCCCUUGAUCUUGAACAGAUCAAUACAAUACGCACAACUUAUGAUUGAAUCCAGAAACAAUCAAAUCUUUAGCAAGAAAAAUUAAUCAGAAUCAAGAAACAAGUUCAAUGAAUAUAAACCUAUAAUUGGAACAAACACAGCCAAAGAACCCAAGAAUGACACAACCUACACCACGGGAGAAGCUUUCCAGUGAGAUUUUAUUGAUGAUCAAAGAAGAAUCUUUUUACAAAGCUAACAAAAGAGAUUUCAAAGAAUAAGCUAUGACUCUCUCUCUUCAAUCUCUCUCUAGUUUGUUCACAGUGAUGACCCCAAUCUGCUUCGUUAGCCAGCUUCAUAAUUGCGUCAGUGACAAACUAGCAAACCCAGAUUGAGCAGAUUACCGACACGUGGAUAACGGCUAUUAAGAACUUGGUUAAAGAACUGCUCACAUAUUCGUCACGCGUGUUACUUAAAUGAUGGCCAAAACGACUUCAACCAGAUGUCGUUUUGAAGCUUGUGAAUUAAAUUGAAAACACGUGCUUGUCUCGUGACACUUAAAUACAACAACAAGCCCAAAACACUGCCGUUUCACUUUGUUGAGUUUGCCAUCUCUAAGCUUCACAACUAGCAACGGAGAAGAUGAUAAUUAAAUUGACAUGGAGAGUUUUUAUAUCACUUUUACAACAUUCUAUAUAAUUGUGAUAUUGGGAAUCGUCGGUGUUGUAUAUGUGAACUCUCGUUGGCGACACUGGUGGUUUUAUUUUUGUUGAAAUAUGGAUGACAUUUCGUUACUAUUUUAUUGUACACAACCUUAUUCUUAGGAGAUUUAAUCAUUGAAAUUAACAUGUUAGUUUCAUUAGCCACUAGGCCUUUGGCUGAGUCGUUCGGGUGUCUGCCCUCCAACUUGGAGGGCACCAGUUUGAACCCCCACAAGCGCAAUGUGGGGUAUUUUCUUCUUUAAUCCCUCGAAUAUUACUGAGGGUUAAAAUCUAGGUAGAGCUCCAUAAGUAUUAAUGUAAGUUGGUUCCAGUAAUAGUCUAAUUUAAAAAUAUCAGUUAUAGUCUCAUGUAAGAUGAGUUGUAAUUUGAGCAAUAGUCUCAUAUAAUAAUAAUAAAAUAAAAUAAACAUGUUAGCUUCAUUACAUUUUUCUUCGUUAAAAUUCUCAAGUAUUAGUCAGGUUUGCUUAAGUAAUAAAAUUUUGUCAUUAAAAUUGUAGUAGUAUUUCUGAGCACCUCACAUUUUCAAUGAUUGUUCAUAAAUCAAUUAAUCUGCCGUACCGAUAUUAGGUUUAGUUUUUCAUACUAAAUAAUCAAGAAAGCAAACAUACAAAUUCACAGUUUAGAGGGGUAAACUAGGUUGGUGGUUUAGAUUUUAGAACUAGGCUAGCUACCCCACUAAAUUCCAAUUUGUACAGUGAACUACAAGAAAUUGAGAAAACAGUGUAUUUAUAGUUUAAUUGAAUCGUGAGAAAGCAAUGUAGUCAUAGCUCAAUCUGAGAUGAUCACGGAGAGGCAUAUUCUUUUCAAGUUAAUUUGAUCAAUUUAUAAGAGAUGAAGUGGAUUGAAGUUAAAAGUUUAAAUAACAAAUCCUUGUUCUUGAGUUUUACGACGUCGUUACUCCUUCAAGAGGCAGAUUAUUUAUGCAAGUGAAUGCAGAAACGCAAUGCAUCAUCCACGGGGAUGGUACAUCAAAAGGCGGGAUCAUAGUCUAUGCCCGCAGAUUAACAAUUUCGCUCAUAUAGAAAAUUAAUUUUUUAUAUAUACUAAUCAACACUAAAUUGAUUAUGUUUUGUAUGUUUAUAUGCGAAUCAACACUAAAUUAUAUUAAAUGAAGAAAUAAUUCAAUUUUUUUCUAAUUUAAUUUAGAAAAUAAAAUUAUUAACAUUAAUAUUCCCAACAAAAAUUAUUUUCCAUUAGUAUUCAAAGUCUUCACUUAUGGAAAAUGUGUUUUACAUGAAUAUUAGUUACUGUGUGAAUUUGAAUGAUAGUGAAAAAUAAUUUUUUAAUUAUUGUAAAAAUAAUUAACCAUAUCAAAUCCCUUACGUAAAUAAUUUUUAUUUUUUAAAAAGAUAGAAAGAUGGUUAAUGCACAAGUAAAUUUUAAGCCCCUCUCUUCUUGGCCGAAGAUUCAAACUCAGAUGACUAGUUAAAUAAACCUAUGUGAAAAUCAUUCGGCCAGGUCCGCGGGGCAAAAAUACAAGAUCCUUAAUUUCAUAAUAUAUAUGAAUUAAUGUCAUUUACUUGAAUUAUCCAAAUUCAUCAGAGGUUAACGAAUUUUCCUGACAUGUAGUAGAUGAAGUUGUUGCUUCCUUCUUGGCAUUAUUUCAGCUCUGGUUGUUGGUCCCGAUGAGCUUUAGUCUUAUUUUAAUUUUAUUUAAACUCAUCAUAAGAUUCGUGGAGCACCUAACUGCUUAACUGACUGUGCAGAAAUGUCACAUAGCAUAUUUAACCGUUUUAACAGUAAUUUUGAACGGUCUUCGCAGUUAUCAUCAACAAACUCCUUCAUACUGGUCCAAUAUUCCGGACGAUAUCAUAUGCCUAAUAAUGAAUGAAUGGUCUUGGAUCGGUGUUUCGCAGCAAGAGCAACUCGACAAAAUCUGGAGUCAAGCUCCUCCGAUCGAACAAGGGAUUUCGAUUGAUGAUUGAGUUUCUUUGUGCUCAAGCAAGUUCAAAUCAUAGUUUUGAUUCUUUAGAUAUGAAUUCAUCACAUUACAUAUAACAGAUUGAGUUAAACAAAAUUUUAAUUUACUGAGAAAAGAAUUCUAUUUUGUGAACUAAUCAAUUGCAAAGCAUUAGUGUUGAACGAUACAAAAAAUUGGGAAAAAAAAAAAACUUAAAACGUGUGGACUCGGAUAGUCACACUAGAAAUCUACCACAAUAAUUACCUUUGAUGCUUGGAAUCUUUUAAUUUCUAGCCGUGUUGACUCCACUAGGUGAAGUUUUUGAAAUAAUAAUAAGCUCCCAUUCUUGAUUUAAAAAAAUGUGCUUAUAAUAAUUUUAGAAUAAUGGCUUAUUUAUAGAACAACUUAUGAUUUCCCAUUAGCAUUAUUAUUGAAGUGGGGUGGGUAACGGUUCACUCAAUUCGUCGGGAAUAAAAAAUUACCAUCCAAGGCAGAAUUGUAGAAAAUUAAAGCGAAAUGGGAAAUAUGGAAAUGAAGGAAGAAAGUUAAGGCAUGAAAGACUUCCAGUUGAAAUUGGUAAUCAUGUUUCUCUUUGGUAACUAAUCAAAUGGGAAACUGAACCAUAAACAGACAUUAAAACAUGUGUACUCCGCUGGCUGCCUUACAAGCCUACAAUAAUAACUGAGUACCUUUGAUUCAUCCUUCUAUGAAUUUCUAGCCGUAUUGACUCCACCGAAAUUUCCACAAAAGCAAAAAAAAAAAAAAAAAAAAAAAAAAGAAGAAUUUCCACAAAAUGCAAAACGCAUGGAACUUAAUUUUUGGCCCUGUGAUCACUAAGAUACAAUCCUUCUAGUGAAGAGCAAUCAGGCAAAUUUUUUUAGAUCUCUCCGACAAAGUGAUUACCAUCUAAUCGCAAUAUUGAACAAAAAUAAAAAUUUUAAUGGGAGUUUGACCUUAAAUUUAGAAAAUGAAUUUUCACUUUCUUCAAUUAUUAAACAGAUUACAGACAUUUGAGGAAUUUGAAAACACUUUAUCCAUCGAAAGUUAAAAUUAGAGAUGGAAGCUAGGUGCUACAGCUAAUGGGAUCAUUAAUUCCCCUCCCUCAAAUGUGUAGUUGUUCCUCUUUCCACAGCAUAAGCCUUAUAGUUAGAGUUUCUUUUAAAAAAAAAUGUUAAACAAUUUCGGUUGAGCAUGGUUUUGGUAGUUGAAUAGACACCUCCGCCGUACCUCAAACAAAACUGUCAUUAUUCGUGUCAUGAAACAUGUUUCGGCCGUCAAAGUCAUGAGUAGGAGUGGGCAUGGGUUGGUUUGGGUUAGAUUUUAAGUCAAUUUAAAGCAAACCAUAAAAAUUUGGGUUCAAUCCAAACCAACCCACAUAUUUUUAACCCAACCCAAACCAACCUAUUUGGGUUUGGUUUGGGUUUGGGUUUUGUUUGAAUUUUAUAAUUAAAAUAUUUUUUAUUUUAAUAAAUUUAACUAUAUCAAAUUAUAAUAAUUAUUAAAUUAAUAUUAAAAUACGAAAAAAUGUGGUGGAUAAAAAUUAUGAAUAAUGGAUUUUACAAUAACUUUGUUCUUAAAUAUUAACCAUAUUACAACAUAAAUUUUAACAAUGUCAAUACAAAUUAAAGUAAGAUAAGAUAUCUCAACUCAAGCAUCAAAGCAAUCCAUCAAAAUUAAAUUAUUUAAUUUUAUAAAUUUAAAUCUUCCGAGAAAUAAAUCUAAAAUUUAUUGUAAUUAGAAAAAGCGCCAAAAUUUUAAACGCAGUAAGAAAAAUUAGACAUGAAAUCUAAUUAGGUUUAAAUUUAAUUAAAAAAUAACAAUAGAAUUAUAUUUUAUUUGAUAAAAUCUUAAAAUCAAUUGCAUUUUUAAUUUUAGUAAGUUACAAUACAAAUAGGAUUAUAAAAUUAUAUUACAGGAUUUCAUAAAAAUAUUAUUUGAGUAAUUUAUUAAAGGACUCACCUACGUUGCCACAGUUGUAGCUUACCACACUUUUUGUCUUUUUCCAGUAAAAUCGUAGAUGCUUUCAAAUUUAAUCUAACGGCUGCAAUUAAUUAUUAGAUAAUUUAAUCAGCCGUUGGCAACCUUUACAACCGGUUAUAUUCUCUCGUUACAUUUCUCGGCUACCAAACAAUCCCCAAGAAAAUGACGAAGUGAGUAACUAAUACACACACCGCAGAGAAAGAUGACAGGAGAAGAGAUGACGGUAGGCCCACCGGCACAAAGGUUCUUCGAUUGCUCAAUUUCUUCGGCGCCAGAUUUAUCUACACAGCUACAAUCGACAAGUGGCGGGAACUCGAGCGGAAGUCAUUGAAGAAGAAACAGCAAGAGAGCAAUCUAUGGACUGAUGAUAACUCAGCAACUACGGUAAAGAAAGCCGUCAAAUGAUUUUUUUUAUUUGACUUUUGAUGGAUUUUCAAGAGUUUUGGUAAUAAAAUGUCUCUUAAUUUUUCAUUUCAAUGGCCUAUUGUUUGAGUUAUUAUUAUGCAUAAUUGUUGGAAGAGUUAGGGUUUUACUAUUGGAUUUUGGAAUUUGUAUUUUGGCUUUGAUAUGUUAUUGUUGUGAUGUCGGUCAAGAAAUUUUUGACAACACUCUCCUCGAGUUUGAUACUAUAGCUAAUGAAAUUUUAUGGCAAAUAUAUUCUUUUCUUUGAAAAAAAAAAAAACACUUUACAACUGGUUAUGCAUUCAUUUAGGAGUUGUUAACUGAGCGUGAGUUCCAUAAUUUUCCAACCAGUGGUUAGGGUUUCAUAGAAAAAUGUCGACAUUGAUCUUUAGGCAGCACUUAAGACUGAAAUUGGUUGUAGAGGAUCGAAUUUGGGGAACUAGAAAUUUCUGAUCAUUAAUAAUUGAAAAUGGCCUCUCACUUGUAGGCAGUUGUUGGAUGUAAUGUAUCCAGUUUCUGAAAUCGAAAGCAGAGUGAGUUCUUAGGUUAGAUGUAACUACAUGCAUUAAGGUUCGAAGAUGUAGAAUAGGCCAAUUGUUUGAUGUCAGCUUUGUUGCACAUGUUCUGAAAUUGAUCAUUUAAGAUGGCUUGGAAGCACUCCGUGAUGUGACUAAGAAGAUUCGAGGAAGUAUUAAAUAUGUUGAAAGUUCACAAUUAAUAUAAGGAAAGUUCAAUGAGAUCACCCAACAAGUUGAAAUCAACGGUCAAAAGAGCCUAAAGUGUGAUAUUUUUCUCUUGGAUUGUUUUUUUAUUUUCCAUUUCAAAGCUGAUAGUGUAAAUAUUUUGUUUGCAAAAGUUUCUAAAAAGUACUUGAGUCAAGAUGGUUAGGUAUUUCAUAACUUCCUUUUUACUCUUAACUAGAUUCAUAGAGAGUUAUAACAUUAACAUAAUUUUUCUUUUAAAAGUGAUCAAUUAGACACUGAUGAGAUAUCUCACUUUUGAAUCAUUUAGCUUUAUGUAAUGUCAUUACUAUUAUAUGCCCCCAGGAAUUGUUGAAGUAUAUAUAUCUUGGCAUUUCUUCACUGACUGAAUUAUCUUUCAUAAUAUUCCAGCUUCAAAUGGGUACACUGCAGAGCCGAUUGGAUGCAGAAUUCCUUCUAGCUCAUAUGUGCUCUGUAAAAUUCAAAGACUGAAUAGUGGUUAUGGCAACUCUUUUUAGAUGAUCUAAGGUAUAAUGCCCAAUUAUUGCUUUUGCUUUCUCUGUUUUACCUUGCAACAUUUUGAAAUUUAUGAGAAGCAUAAAAUUACUGAGCCAAAAUUGAGGAUCUGAACUUUCGUAAAAAUAUUUGUAUUUUUAAAUUAUAAAAUAUUGCAUUUGAUGCUUUAGGUGGAACUUAGUUCACUACAGAAAGGAAAAUUAUGUUGGGCAUAACCAGAUGUUUUUCAAGAGAAAAUUUCACUGAUAUUUUUCUGAGGAUUUUACUUGGCCAUCUUAUUUCAAGCUGCUUGAAUUUUUUCUUUAUAUCAUCUUGGUUGUAUACUAUAACUCGUUGAAUUUGCUAGCACUUUUGCUAGUUGUUUAUUCUAUAUGUGAUUGUGGUGGUAAAGUUUGGAAGUUGUUUUUCUUAAUAACUCCAAUUAACUUGAAGUUGUUACCUGAUUUAUUAUGACAGUGUGCAUUACGAUAAGUAUCCUUGCAUAUUAAGAUUUUCCUUCCAGAUCUUUGCGGUACUUUUUGAUCUUUUCCGACAUGAUAUGCGAUUAUGGGAAGCAUAUGCCAUCACCUUACAGGUAUUCUCUUAAUUUUUAGAUAGUGCUCAAGAUGACAUUCAAGUUGGCUAUUAUUGGGUGCAAGAUUUACCAUGCUCUUAUUUUGCUUUUUUAGUCUAACCCGACAUUUGCUUAAUACCAUGAUCUGCUUCAAGCCUUGGAUGGAAAACUUUCAUUUUUUGUAUAUUCUGCAAUGAGAUGAGGGUAGUUUUUCUGAUGAUAUUUAGCAGUAAAUUGGGACUAAGGUGGCGUUUGUUUUUUAACUUAAUGACUUAAAGUGACUUAACUUAAUUAAUUAAGUUAAUUAGAGAUGUUUGUUUUUAUAACUUAAUGAGACUUUUUUGAUAAUUUUGACUUAAUAAAAUAAGCCAAUUUUUUUGGCUUUUUACUUAAUGGAGAAAUCUUAAUUAAGUCAAUUACUUACUAAUGUCAAAAAUAUCCCUGCUUUAUAAUUUAUUUUUCAUGUCUAUCCCAAAACUCACCCAUAGACAUUUACCCCACAUAAAAAUAUCCAUGUUUUUUCUUUCUUAUAUUAUAUACGAUAAAAUUUGAAAUUUAUGGUAUUUUAUAUAUUAAAAUUCCAAAAUAAUUAUGUAUUCACUUGAAUAUAGUUUUAUUUAUAAAUGUUAAAAUAUUAUGGUAUUUAAUAUAUUAUUUAUUUGACAUUCAAAUUUAAUAAGGAUACAAAUGUAAAAGUAUAUAUUUUCAGCUUUUUAAGUUAAAAAAACAAACAACUUAAUACUUAUUUUUCAAGAUUCAGACGAAAAAAUAAACAUAUUAUUCAGAUUCAGAUAUUCAGAUCUAUUCAGAAUUCAGACUAAUUCAGGUCUAUUCAGAUUUCAGACAAAAAAACAAACGCCACCUAACUAAAGUAAUUUUCUUAAUGGCAUGUCUACUUCUCAGAUGAAUGACCGUCUGUUCAGACUCCCAAGUGAUGAAUUAACAACCACCGAUCUAUUCUGGGUGAAGAUGAUGACGUUGACACCAAGCCAGUGGAAUGACUAGGACUUCCCUUUUGUUACAAUAAAUUGUGUUCAUUAGACACACACAGUUAAUUAGUGUAGAUAAAGGAGGUCUAUGAACAAUAGACUGUUUUGUAUUUCGAGAGUCCUUUUUUUGUUUCUUUCAUUCUCCAUUCUUUUGAAAUUAUGUACAAUGGUUAUAUUGUCUAUAUUAUUACGGAUUUAUGAUGGGAGUAUCCUAAGUUUAUGGAAUAAUUAUAAAUAAGGACUUUAAAUUUUUGUUGAAAGAAGUUGAGUGAGAGAAAAGAAGCUAAAGCAGUAAGCAUUUGUUAUACUUCAUUCGAUUGUAUCUAAAUUACAAAGGUUGGUGGCCUUAUUUAUAGUGAAGUUCCCACAGGCCACUUGCACUCAAAACAUUCGAAAUAUGCAAACAUAUUGAUAUAUAAACAUACAGAAUUAAUAUUCUGAAUCCUUGUAAGUAAUGCAAAUAAAAGUGAGGUUGGGGCAGACAAUAUUUACAUCAUGUAUUAAUAGAAAUAAAAUCAAUUAUUUCCAAAUAAAGUCACUUAGUUCAAAGCACGGGCUUCAGUUAAGUUGAACAAGCAAGCCAAUUUUUGUUGUUACUUCAUGAUUGUCGUAAGCCGUGGGUAGUGGAUCGUGUUCCCUAUAAAAGACAAACAGAAGCAUAAGUUUCUCUCAAUUAAGGCACCUGAAAUGUAUUUCCAUGUCUACUAACCUGGUCAUUCGUCCAUGAACUAAACCCUUCUGAGGAUCUUGAAUAGAUUUAUAGAGAUCUCAGAUAAUUUCCUGGUGUGCCUGAGUAAAGACAAGUCUUAUGUACUUGAUUACUUCUGGCCAAUCUAUCGAGGCCACCACCUGUCUCAGUCAAUUCAAUCUUUUAAUAGAGUGAAUUACUAGAAUAAAAUUGAUUAAAGUUGAUAUAAAAUCUAAAUUAAAAAAAUCAGAUAAGAGAAUGAUCCAAAAUCCAAAAAAUCAAAUAUUUAAGGAGUGGACUUGUGACCCUCUAUAGAAUCCAUGGAAGAGUAACUAAGGGAAAAACAUUAGAGGUGCUUUUGGCGAUACUAUUAGUAUUCUUGUGCUGAUCAUAAUCUUGGGGGUAGAUCUAGACUAAUUAGCUAUUCAUUGAACAAUCCAUUUCUCCACAGUUACAUGCAAAAAUGCAGCUUGCAGUUGCAGCCUAGACCAUAGAAAUAUAGAAUUCCAAUUAUCAACAUCUAAAGCUACUGUAGUGACUUGCAACCAUGAGAUGAUAUAUACAUAUGCUGAGAUUCAAAUAUUUGAGAAGUUUAAACAUCCUGAUGAAAAAUAGACUAGUUCACAGCUACUUUGGGGAAGUUGAUUUCUAAUAGCAGUAGAAAAUACAAGUUUUUUUAAACAUACCUACUCCAGUAAACUCAAUUAACCAAAACAAAACUCAAAGCAUGAAAAAGAGGGAUUUUAACUAACCUAAUCAUUAUCAUUGAUAUUUUAACAUAUUGAUCUUCACAUGGAGUUAACAAACACAAGACUUAGUGCCUAGUACAUAUGUCUGGGGUUGCACAGUCUGUUCGACAAAUUUAUUGAAACUAUAUCCAUGCUCCUUCUUCAAUAAAUAAAUAUCCUCUUGCUUCUUCCAUCCUACUCUAAUUCUUCCUGGAAAGCAUUCUCCCCUUCUCUAAUUCUUCCGAAAAAACAUAACCGACAAUCCUAAACUAAUUACCACCGUUAAAUCUUUCAAACAAAAUUUACAAUUUCUUAUCAGUAGUUUCCUGCCGCAUCCGAUCGAACGGCUCAUCAACGAAUCAAACAGACUUCUUUCCACCCUUUUUCCAUAUAAUUACAUUUGCCUAAUUCCUAAAGUUUCGGCUCCGCCCAAUGUCGGCCGCAAUUGGCUGCCGCAGCGAUAUGUUCAUCUUCAACUUCUCUGCUGCGAUUUCAAAUUUACUUCAGCCUCGUACCACCACACUUCCACUGGCAAUUAAUUUCAUUAUCCGAUUUUACUAUGUGUGGAAUAGAUUUGAGCAAUUUAUGAGUUUUCGCUACGAUUUCGACGAUGUCCUCUCAACACUAAUUUGAUCACCUAAUUUUAACUGUUUUGGGUUAUUUAUUUUUUUAUUAUAUUUAUCUACAGUCUCUGCAGGCAACUGACUACUUCACUUAUAUGUGGAACUCAUCUGAGCUAUUAGAUGGAGGCCCUCCAGAUCCUACGGCGAUUAUAUAUGAGGACAAAAAGUGUUGUAUGUUGGAACUGUUGCAACGUAGGAGGAUCCUUUAUUAAAAUGUUAAUUUAGUUUUUUAACUCAAGUUUAGACCGUAAAAAAUUGUUAUAUAAUAGUGUAUUGUAUAACCAAUUACAUAUGUAUUUGCCUUGUGCAACACUUCUAUUAUUAUUAUAUAAUAAUAAUUAGUAGUAGUAUAAUUACUAUAUAAUAAUAAUUCUAAUAAAAAAUUAUUAUUAAAAUAUUGAUUUAGCCUUUUAUUUUAUUUAAUUUACUUUUUAUUAAUAUGUUAUCUUGAAUUUGUUCAUGACCCAUGAGUAAACCAUACCCAAACCAUUAUAAAAUAAUUUCUUUCAUAAAAACUCAAAUUUAACCCAUUUCAUGAUUUAUCCAACCCAAAUAAUUUAAUUUAGUUUGGGUUUGGAUAAACCUAUGGAUUGUGGGUUUAUGCCCAACCCUAGUCAUGAGAGGGGUGACGACGCUGCAUAUGAUGACACACCAGCCGACAAUGUAGUAACAGCACAAAACCAAAAUCUACCAAAAUCAACCAAAGUCAAUAAAAAAUUAUUUUAUUAAUAAAAAAAAAAAUUAUUAUUUGUGGGGAUGUGUAUCUGAUUCUGUGGACUGAAAUGGAAAAUAUGACGAAGUUCAGAGUCGUUGUAUAGAUUGACUUCAGUUGAACGGGUCUAAUAGAUAUUUUAUGCUGACGUGGCACGAAUUAGUUAUAAUCUGUUAUAACGAUUCCAGAAAUAUCAGUAUAAAUAGAAGCUGAUGAGCAGUGCCUGUUGUACGAUCCUUUUCUUCUUCAGUUGUUCGUCAAUUUGCAUAGAAUCUGUUUCAUUGUGAUCUGUGCAAAGUCUUCUGUAAAUCCACGUAUGUUUGAUUAGUUAUUGAUCAAUAUCGAGAGUAAAUUUUUCCUUCAAAUCUUGCUGGUUCGUGCCCCUGUUUCAGUUCUGGAUUUUUCUUUUUUUGUUUAGUUCUGGUUUCUUAAUUCAAUUGAAUUUCUUGGUGCUUAAUUCAUCAAGAUUCAGUGGAAUCGACUUGAAAAGGACUCAAUAGACUCAAAAUUAUUUAACGACACUCUGACCGUGGGGUACCGUAAUCAUAAUCUGAUUUUAAGAAAAUUACAACUUAUUUUAAAUAGCGCUUCAAUGUAAUUCUAAAUAUUUAAAAGGAAAACAUUAUCCACCUGGAACGACUUCAAGUCCAAAGUAAAAGACAAGAGUGGCUCCCCGCAAUUUUCUUGUUUUCAGUAUAUUUUCUCUUUUUCUUUUUUAAAAUCUUUUGACGCAUGCAUAAUCUACCCUUGUUUAUUUUUAAAAUGGACUUUGCUCUGCUCAAGUCCAUUUUUUUCAAAUAUUAUUUUAAAUAAUAAAUUGAAUAAAAUUACAUUUGUGUAAUUAAUUAGUAUCUGAGGGGGGCAUAUUUGGUGUAAUGCUAUGUAAGACUCAGCUAUUAUAUCACACAUACGCAUAUAAUAUAAUUAAGCAUUUGUUAUUAUAGCAAAGAUCCAUAGCAUGAAAGUGAAUAAAUUUAACUAAAUGAUUAAUUAAUCAAUUAAGUUUCAUGAGCUUUAAUCGAGUUAAAACCAAGUACAAACAUCGUUAACAAAUACUGAAAAUUAGGAAAUUAAAAAAAAAAACUAAUUCAAGUAAGAUGUAGUUUUUACAUGUUGAUCAGCAGAAUACAACAUUACAUUUUGUCAUUGACAAUAUUGCAUACCAGUCAUCCAAAGCAUUACCUCACGAGGUUUUAUGAGAAACGAAAGAUAAGUGUUUGCUCUGAACAAUUAAAGUUGCUGCUACCAACCUCCCCGAAGACCAAGAAGACGGAACAGGAAGCUAAUGCAUCAAUGUCUUCUUCAUUACAGCUGCUGCGUAGUUAGGUGUAGUUUCCUCAUUUGAAGCUGUCUAUACAUAGGCUUUCCCCCUGCUUAUGUACAAAUAAAUGAACAGCCUUGAAGCUUUAUUAUUCGCAACAAAAGGGGUUACCAAUUGGAGAAGACUUUACAGAGUUUCUCUCACACUCUCUCUCUCUCUCAAUUUCAUCUAGAAGUCCCUCCAAAAGCAUCUCCCAAAACAGUUAGUCAUCUUUAAUACUCUGUUUUCUAGAAACAGAGUCCUAACUAGAUUAAUUGACUGUACAGUGCAUUUCAACAUAGCAUAUUUAACCGUUAACCGUCUUCUGAGUUAUCAUCAUCAAAUUCAUUCAUAUUUCUCCAGUCUUACGGACGAUAUCAUAUGUUUAAUAAUGAAUGAAUAGUCUUGGAUCAGUGUUUUGCAGCAAAUUCACAUCAUAGUUUUGAUUCUUUAGAUAUGAAUUCAUCACAUUACCGAAAAGAAUAUGCGCUAAAAAAUGAUUCCAAGACUAUUUGACUACCAAAAGCUGCUGUCAGAGUGCACUGAAAUUUCCGUAGGAUACUUUGCGGUUGUUUAUUAUGUUAUGAUGGGCAUAUAAUUCUCAAAUUUUGACUCCUCUCAGCGAAAAAUAUAUCAAAGUUUAGAUUAUGUGUUCGAGCUUUAAUAAAUGCCUGAGUUAAUAAUAAUAACAACAAUAAUAAUAAACUAAAAAGCAAAAUUACUAUUGAAUGAUCGGAAAAAAAAAUUAGAAAACGUGUGAACUCCAAUAACCACCCCACAAAUUCAGUGGCGAAUUUUGGAGAGGGCAAGGCCGGGCUUCUCAGAAAAAAAAAAAAAAAAAAUUAUUUGGAGAGGGCAAGGCCGAGCUCAUUCUUUGGUUUUACUUGCAGGGAUUGAAGAAGACUAGAAUGACACAAAAAAAAAAGAAAAAAAGAGUUGAGCGAGUGCAGGUUUUGUCUUCAUUUAAGGAGCUCUUUAUAAAUUUUAGGAUUUUUUUCCUGAGAAAAUUUAUGCCAACUCAUUCUUUGCUUCUUUUCUGAAGGGACACAUGCAACCGAAAGUAUAUUCUUGAAUUCUCCAGGAUAAGAGACAUACGUUUAGAUUCUGGAGCAUUUAAAACAAUGUCAAAUUUUAGAUUGCUGAAAUUUUAUAUAUCCGAGUAUGAUGGUGUUCCAAUUAUAAGCUCCAGGGUGCAAGUUCACUGAGGUUUAGAAUGCCUUCCUAUAGAAUUGAGAAAUCUCCAUUGGCAUAAAUAUCUUUUGAAAAUACUGACAUCAGAUUUUGAAUUGGAGAACCUGAUUGGACUCAGCUUGCCUUGUAGUAAGGUUAAGCAAAUUUGGAAAAGAGAAAAGGUAUAAUGUAUUACUAUUACCAAAGUAUCUAUUUUUCUUUCUUUAAGUAUUUAUAAUGAAUAACUUUUAAAUUCAAUGAUGCUCAUUUAGUAUAGUUAUGUAUCUUUGGUUAUAGGAAGCUGUCAAGUUAAAAUCUAUAGACCUUCACCACCCCUCUAUCUCAAUAGGAUCCCAGAAAUACUAAAUCUUAAAAAAAUAAAUCUUUUAAAUUGUGAAAGCAUGCUUACGUUACCCCCGUAUAUCCACAAUUUCAACUAGCUGAGUAUGUUGUGUUUCAGGGAUGCAAAAUUCAUUUUGUUUCUCAUGAAAGGAUUGACUUGUCCGGAUGUAUUAGGGUUAAUAAACCAACUAAUCCCAUAAUUUGUUGAUGUAGGGUCCUAACAAAUUAUUGCAGUAGAUUGUAGAUCAGUACACUAUUCGAAAACGUAUUUGAUCCACAUAGUGAAGUGGAUAUUGGACCAAUUUGAUGAUAAUGAAUUUCUUUCAACCUCAAUCUUUUUUCCUUUUAGCAACAUGACUAGUCAUUGCGCAAAUUCAAACUCUGACAAUGAUUUCUCAAUCGGUUUCUAAGAUGAUGACCAUGUAUGUAUAUGUAUAUGCGUGUGUGUAUGUGUGUGUGUGUGUAGAGAGAGAGAGAGAGAUCACACGUGUGUGAUUUCCUUUUGCUAAUAGGAUAUGCAGAGAGCUUGAUCUUACCCAAUAGCGAAACAAAAUUCCUAAUAGGUGAAGGUAUAGUAUAAAUACUUAUACUUUCAUGUUAUUUUGUUCAUCAGUAGCUCGAUUAUUUUAUAUGCGUCUUCGAUUUUAAUUUUCUUUCCCUAUAAUCGCUAUUAUCUUUGAACUGGUCAUGAUUUGCCUAUAAGAUUUCUCAUGUUGUUUUGAGGUGCAAUGGAUUUUGAAUUUAGUGACGAGCAGUGGAAGCCAGAAGGCAAAUUAUGAAAAUGGAUAAAGAUCUAUAAUUAGUUGUUAUGGGAUGUCACAUAUCAUAUUGAUGGUAACAUUAUAUAUAUGUACAUAUAAUUAAUGGGGUUGGCUCACGAAACCAUUAAUAAUCAUAUAUUAGCUUAAAUACUUCAAACAAUGUACCAUGAAGCAAUUUCACAAAUACUCGUUAGCUUACGUUGAGCUUUAUUGAAUCAGUAGUUCACAGUUCAAUAAAAUGCAGGUUUUCUAUUUAACGUACAUGGUUAUGGUGUGUGCAUUCUUCAUAAGGCUAACUACUAAUUUAUCAAUGAAACUUGAAAAAUGUAACAGAAAGAUGUCGAUAACAGCCGCAAAACACUGAGAUUGAAAAUCAGGGUUACUAAAUUCUAUUAAAAGCUCUUAAAAUAGACAGCGAUCAUCCUUAAUCGCAAAGUUAUGCACUAAUAGAACUAUUGACUACUUAUCUUUAGCAGAAGGUAUAUUUUUAACUACAGCUUUCUGCUUUGUUCUAAGAACUAGGCAAAAGUGGUAUAUCUUCAAUCCAAUCAACAUAUAUACCACUUAUGUUCCUCUUCACUUCUGUCCAUUUUGAUUUGCACUUCAUAUCCUGCACUUGCUGCUUAGAAAUAGUCUUAGUCCGGACAUUGAAAGUAGAAAAAGUACUUGAAACAAUCAUUGGCACAGCCCGAGAUUCCAUUGAAUCGUGGACUCCAAACUUUCAUAGUUCUAUAAAGAAAAUGACAAAACUUCAUACAACUGGCAUUCUGCUUUUAACAUUUGCACAACCUGAGCGAGUUAGCAAGCCCCUUGUUGCGUUCCCAUUGAAUAGACAUACUUCUGUUAUCCACAGAAGAUCCACCACUCAAAAUGUUUAUCACCAGGCUAUUCUUAAACUGAGCCUAAUGUCACGGGAUGAGUGUUUUGCGCAGCUAACCCGUGUGGCACUUAGACAACUUUGCCGAAUGUUGCUAAGUAAGCCUAGAGCUUCUCGAACUAGAGAAGAGAGCAAUUGAGCCAAAGAAGAAAACUUGUAUUGCACAAAGAGAGAAUACAAUGCUUGAGUUGCUUACAAUGUUUGUUGGAUACAAAUGCCUAAUGCCAUCCCAUAUUUAUAGGGGAGUCUUGACAAGCUCUAGAGAUUCUAGAGAAUUCUACCCACUAUCUAGAAUUUACAUGUGCUGGAAAGUCAUAGAGAAUUCUAGAAUAUUUACAUGUUCACAUGUGCUAGAGUUGCCUAGAACCUUCCGGAAUUGGGCCAAGCUAGCACUCUUGGCCUUGUAUUGGCUCUCUAGCCCGAAAUUGUGGGCAAUUGGGCUAGUGAAUUGGGCGGUCCGCAACAUCCUCCCCCACCUAAGCUCGCGGCGUCCUCGUCGCGCUCUCGUGCUUGAACCUUUGGAUGUGCUCAGCGAAUUGCCACAAAUCAUCUUCACGUUCCCAAGUGGCUUCGCUCUCGGGGAGGCUUUUCCACUUCACCAAGUACUCGCUAUGUGUUGGCACGCCCCUCCUCAAAACCACGCGGUCCGCAAUGAUGUAGUCCACAUCUUUGUCGAAUGCGGUAACAACGGCAGUUGGCACGCGCCUCGAUUCUCCGCGACUUGGUUCUCCCAUGUCUUCGUGAUAUGGCUUGAGAAGGCUCACAUGGAAGACCGGAUGGAUCUUGAGUCUUGGCGGAAGUUGGAGUUGAUAUGAGACACUGCCCACACGUCGAACAACCCGGAAGGGUCCCUCGUAGCGCCUCACUAACCCCUUGUGAACUUUCCGCAAAGUCUUGAACUGUUGGGGUAGGAGCUUGAUCAUGACUUGAUCACCUUCCUUGUGCUCAACAUGCCGUCUCCUUGUAUCCGCCCAUUUCUUCAUUUUCCUCGCGGCUUUGUCGAGGUAGGCUUGCGUGAUGUCCGCUUCCUCAUGCCAUUCGCGGGCGAGCUUGUGUGCCGCGGGGCUUUUCCCUCCGUAAGUCGAGGCAUUGGGGGUCAUGGGCUGGAAUCCCAUGAUGAUCUCGAAUGGACUCUUGCCCGUAGCCUCACUUCGCUGCAAGUUAUAAGAAAAUUGGGCGACGUCAAGUAGUUUUGCCCAAUCCCGCAGAUGAGCGCUCACAUAAUACCUCAAGUACAUCUCGAGGAGCCCAUUAAUGUGCUCGGUCUGCCCAUUCGUUUGUGGGUGGAAGCUUGUCGAGAACUUGAGAUCGGUCCCCAACAUCUUAAAGUGCUCCAUCCAAAAACGCCCAGUGAACCGAGGGUCUCGGUCGCUCACAAUGCUCUUCGGAACUCCCCAAAGCUUCACAAUGUGCUUGACGAAUAGGCGGGCUGCCUCAUCCGCUUUGCAAUCGACUGGUGCGGCAAUGAAUGUGGCAUACUUGCUGUAUCGGUCGACAAUGACCAUGAUGCUUCCGCAACCUUCGGACUUGGGCAGCGAUGUGAUGAAGUCCAUGGAGACACUUUCCCAUGGCCUUGUUGCUAGUGGUAGCGGUUCCAACAAUCCCGCUGGAAGUUGGUGAUCCACCUUGUCUUGUUGGCACACAAGACAAGUUCGCACAUAUGCCUCGAUGUCGUCCCUCAUGUGCGGCCAAAAAUACGAGGCUUGGACUAGUGCGGUGGUGCGCUCAAUUCCUGGGUGACCAGCCCACUUAGAGUCGUGGCACUCUUUGAUUACUUCCUUCCGCAAGUUUCCCCACCUUGGCACGAACAGCCGAUCUCCUUUGGUGAGGAGGAUGCAUUCCUCUUGCCAAAAUCGCCUUGUCUUUCCCUCGAGCACCUUCUCCAGCAAGUCCUUUGCUAGCGGAUCUUGUUGGAGGCCUUCCUUGAUGCGUGAGACAAUGUCGGACUUCGGUUGGCUCAUGCUAAGCGUUGCCAAUUCCGCCUUGCGGCUUGGAGCGUCCGCAACGACAUUGGCUUUACCCAGUUUGUACUCUAGCCGAUAGUUGAAUUCCGCAAGGAAAUCUUGCCACCGUGCUUGCUUCGGACUCAACUUCUUUUGAGUUUGGAAGUACCUUGUCGCCACGUUGUCCGUCAUGAUCGUGAAGUGUGAGCCAAGCAAAUAAUGUCGCCACACUCUUAGACAAUGGAUGAUGGCUGUCAUCUCCUUUUCUUGCACCGUGUAGCGGCGUUCCGUGUCAUUUAGCUUUCGACUCUCGAACGCUAUUGGGAGGCCUUCUUGCGUAAGGACUCCUCCUAUGGCGAAAUUCGAGGCAUCCGUUUGGACUUCGAAGGGUUUAGUGUGGUCCGGAAGAGCGAGGACGGGUUCCUCCGAAAUUGCCUUCUUCAACUCCUCGAAUGCGCGUUGGCACUCUUCGGACCAAUGCCACAUUAUGUUUUUCUUGAGCAUAUCCGUCAAGGGUGCCGCCUUGGUCGAAUAACCCUUGAUAAAGCGGCGGUAGUAAUUCACCAGCCCAAGGAAUGAGCGAAGCUCGGGAACUUUCGAGGGAGGCUCCCAAUCGAGGAUGGCCUUUACUUUGGCAUUCUCCAUCAUAAUCUUCCCACCAGCAAUCUUGUGGCCAAGGAACUCCGGAAGAGCGAGGACGGGUUCCUCCGAAAUUGCCUUCUUCAACUCCUCGAAUGCGCGUUGGCACUCUUCGGACCAAUGCCACAUUAUGUUUUUCUUGAGCAUAUCCGUCAAGGGUGCCGCCUUGGUCGAAUAACCCUUGAUAAAGCGGCGGUAGUAAUUCACCAGCCCAAGGAAUGAGCGAAGCUCGGGAACUUUCGAGGGAGGCUCCCAAUCGAGGAUGGCCUUUACUUUGGCAUUCUCCAUCAUAAUCUUCCCACCAGCAAUCUUGUGGCCAAGGAACUCCACUUCUUGUUGGGCAAACGAGCACUUUUCCAACUUGAGGAAGAGCUCGAUGUCUUGGAGUACUUGGAGGACUUGUCGCAAGUGUUGGGCAUGAUCCUCGAGUGUGGUGCUAUACACCACGAUGUCGUCCAAGUACACGACCACGAAGCGGUUGAGGAAUGGUUGGAGUACCUUGUUCAUGAGUGUGCAAAAUGUGGCGGGUGCAUUAGUAAGGCCAAAAGACAUCACAAGGAAUUCGAAAGACCUGUACCUUGCUGUGCACGCUGUCUUCGGUUCGUCUCCCUUGGCGAUGCGCACUUGGUAGUACCCGGAACGCAAGUCAAGUUUGGUGAAGUACCGCGCUUUGCCAAGCUGGUCGAACAAGUCCGCAAUCAAUGGAAUCAGAUACUUGUUCUUGAUGGUGAUCUUGUUGAGCGCUCUAUAGUCGAUGCACAUCCGCAGCGAUCCAUCCUUUUUCUUUUGGAAGAGAACCGGUGCACCGAAUGGGGCCUUUGAGGGGUGAAUGUAGCCUGCGUCCAGCAAGUCUUUGAGUUGUCUCCGCAACUCCUCUAGUUCGGGUGGUGCCAUGCGGUAGGGCGCCAAGGCUGGUGGCUUCGGGCCUUGUUCCAGCUCGAUUGCAUGAUCUACCUCUCGUCGAGGUGGGAGCUUCUUCGGAAGUUCUGGAGGCAUCACGUCCUUGAACUCAUUGAGGAUGGUUUGAAUUCGCGGAGGGACUUGGCUUGGCGACGUUCCUCUAUUUCCUUCCUCGUUUAGUUCUCGGAUUGAGACCAAGAAGCUUGGGUCCUUUUUUAAAGCCCUCUUGAAUUGCACGGCGGAGAGUGUCUUCUCCUCGGACUUGCCUCGUUUCGUGAGAACCAUGCAUGCUUUACUCCCGUCGAGGAUGCUUAGGGAGUUUGUAGCAGGCAGCGGGAAAGCAUGCACUUGGUCGAAGAAUUCCAUGCCGAGGACCAUCUUAAAGUCGUCCAUGGGCACGAUGGAGAAGUCAAACUUUCCGCUCCACGUACCAAGUGUGAUGUGCACGCCUUGUGCAAUUCCCGCAAUUGGCUUGGCGGGUGAGUUUACUACCUUCAUUGUGCCUCUUUCCUUAGUAGCCUUGAGGCCUAAGCGCUUGGCCUCGUCUACAGACACGAAAUUGUGCGUUGCUCCCGUGUCUAGUAGCGCGCGAACGGACUGACCGUUUACCUUUGCGCUUACAUACAUGAGCCCUUUCUUGACGAGUGCGGGUUGUUGGCGAUUAAGUGCGCCGAGGCGUUGGAGAGAACCCAUGCUGAGUUGGGGUUCCUCCGCGGACAUUGUGGGGUUGCUCUUGAGUUGGGCAGCAAGAGCGUUAAGUGACCUUUUCUCUGGACAGUCACGUACCCAAUGAGGACCAUUGCAUAUGAAGCAUGGGCUUCGCGGCUUUGGCGCCUCCUUCUUGCCCUCCAAUUUUCCUUGCCCGCUCUUGUUGCUAGGCGACUUUUUCUGCCCUCAAUCUUUGCGGUUGUUGCCCUUGUCCUUGCGACUCUCUCCCCCACCUUUGCCUUGGCUAGACUUCUUGUCUUUGGAUUGGGUAGAGUAUUUGGUGAGCGAUUCCGCAACGGCGAUGGCGUCGUCAAGUGUUUGAACACCACGCCUAUCAAGCUCGGUCUUGGCCCAAUCUUUGAGGCCAUCUUGGAAGUAGAAGAGUAAAUCUUUGUCGGACAUGUUGCUUAUCUCCAACAUAAGGGUAGUGAACUCAUUGAUGUAGUCCUGAAUGCUACCCGAUUGCUUGAGGUGACGUAAGCGCGCUCGCGCUUCCUUCUCCGCAUUGCUUGGGGCGAACUGCUUUCAGAGUUCUUGCUUGAAGUCGGCCCAAGUGUCGAUGGCGCAAAUGCCCUUGCCCAUCUCGCCAUGCUUGCGACGCCACCAUAGUUGUGCAGCGCCUCGAAGAUAGGUGGGUGCAGUGCCCACUUUCGAUGCCUCAUCUCGGACACCCAUGGCAUCGAAGUAUUGAUCCAGCCCGAAUAGGAAGUUGUCCACGAUUGUGGCGUUGCGUGUGCCAUCGUAGGUGUCGAGCUUUGGCACAUCAAUGCGGCGCGCAUCACUCGAGUUUGCGGAAGCUGGACUAGCGGAGAGUGUGCGCUUGUGCCAUGCCCAAUCCGAGCGGACUUCAUCCACUUCCGCACGGACAGCUCGUAGUUCAUCUUGAACAAAACUACGAAGUUUUAGCAACUCAUCAUGAAAAGAACGAAACUCACCUCGGAGAGUGUUUGCUUGCUCUUGGAUGAGAGCUUUGGUUGCCACCGUGAACUCGGCGUAUUCCCCCUCGAGACCGUCCACUCGUUCCUCCAAUCCCUCGAGGCUAUCCUGAGCGGCGGACAAUGCUAUUUCGAGAGUGCCUACACGAGGCUCCAACGCAUCCACGGAUAGGGCCUUGGACUUGCCGCGAGUCUUGCCUUGGGCGCGUUCUCCCUCUCGGCCGCGGCUUGGUUCUGGUGGAGCAUCCACACUAACAACACCCUCUUAUGCUACGUUCGAAGGGUUGGCCAUUGCUUCGUGAGCUAAUUUGUGUGCGUGCAAACCUUAGCUCUGAUACCACUUGUCACGGGAUGAGUGUUUUGCGCAGCUAACCCGUGCGGCACUUAGACAACUUUACCGAAUGUUGCUAAGUAAGCCUAGAGCUUCUCGAACUAGAGAAGAGAGCAAUUGAGCCAAAGAAGAAAACUUGUAUUGCACAAAGAGAGAAUACAAUGCUUGAGUUGCUUACAAUGUUUGUUGGAUACAAAUGCCUAAUGCCAUCCCAUAUUUAUAGGGGAGUCCUAACAAGCUCUAGAGAUUCUAGAGAAUUCUACCCACUAUCUAGAAUUUACAUGUGCUGGAAAGUCAUAGAGAAUUCUAGAAUAUUUACAUGUUCACAUGUGCUAGAGUUGCCUAGAACCUUCCGGAAUUGGGCCAAGCUAGCACUCUUGGCCUUGUAUUGGCUCUCUAACCCGAAAUUGUGGGCAAUUGGGCUAGUGAAUUGGGCGGUCCGCAACACUAAACUGAGUAGAAACUUCCGCACAUCUCUCAGCAUUUACAUGAAGAAAUCGACAACUAUCCUCAUCUCUCAGCACAUCUCUCAGCAUUCUACAAAGUUGCAUUUCACUAAGCAAUCUAUCCUCUCCAUUCCUAGCAAAGUGACAUUGAUUCCCGUAUUUGUAAUCACCUAACUUGGGUUUUGGGCAUAGCGUGGUCUUAAAAUUACCACCCAAUACUUUGUUCAGUGCCAAUGGCAUCCACAAGCUCUAGCCCUGUUAGCUGAAUCAUAUUCAAUGGGACAGUGAGGCAGCAUUUCACUGACAUAUUCAAUUUGACUACUUAUAUUGACGCAAAUAUUAGAAUUUGAAAUCACUUCUUUUCUUGGAAUAUUAUAUUAAAAUGACCCCAAAUGAAAGUUCUUGAAUGGAAAUGAUUUUUAUUUAAUUUUCCAACAGAUUCAAGAAACCCAGAGAACACAAAAUUUACACAGUAAUAUGAUUAAGACCUGAGAACGUACAUGUAGUAAAUGUCUAUCAAAAAACAUCCAAGGGUUUCUUUAAAAUUAGAAACUAGUAAACAAAAAGAAAGAAUCAUUUUACAUUUUUAGCAACUUUGGGGUGAGUGAGGAGUGAGAAAUUGAAACCCUAAAGUGAUGACAACAGUAAGAUUCAGUAUGAAGUGAAACCCCAAUUUGGAAUGUAGGCAUGAGUUGCUGAGUCAGUAGAUGAAGCUAUAAAUAGGCAUUCGGUUUGGAGGGCCAUGGAAUCGUGUACUGGAGUGGGCUCCAAGUAAUAGCCUCUAUCACUGGAACGACACAUCUGUAAAAUGUGAUACAUGGGGAAGGAUUGGGCAUUAUAUUCUUAGAUUAGCGCCUUAUUUAGGGUGUAUAUUAAGCAGAUUAUAUAUUACAUGGAGAUGGAGUUUAUGAAAUAGAUUAAAAAGAAAAGGAAAUUUCAGUGCCUAAAAGUUUGCCACUUGGAAUAUUUCGGUGUCUAAAAAUUCACUCACAAAACUAUAGCUGACAAAAGGUUACUAACAAAAAGUUAGGUCCAUGGGUUGUUAAAACUAUAUAGCUGACAAAAAGUUACUAACAAAAACAGAAUGUCCAUUUUAUAACUUUCUUAAAAAACUUUCCUUAACUUUUUUAAAAAGUUACCAACAAAAACUUAUUUCCAAUUUUUAUUUUGUUAUAAUUUUUAUAACAAAAUUCGUAGUUAACUAAACUCUUCUUAUUCCCUUUCUCAACUGCCAUACCCUAACCCACUAAACCACGCUCAAUUAAGGCCAUCAGAUUCUCCCGGGCCCACAUUAAUCCAACUGCUCACAGAGACCGACAGCCUCUCUAUCUCCAUUUCAAGCUCCCUCUUCAACUGGCUUCUGCGACCGUCCUACUCUUUCUCGGAUUCGGAGUCCGUAUUUGCUCGGCCGGUCCCACGCAACUCCCUCUCACUCCAAUUGUGACCCAACAAGACCAAUUGCUUAAUCAAGGCACAGAACAAGAAGAGGAUGAGAAGUUGAAACAAUAAUUUGAGAAUUGGAAAUCGAAAACGUACGCAUUGACCGUGCCUGUAAGGUUUGUUUCUCUUCAGAAUUCAGUGCCUCAAUCUUGGGUUAAGGAUUUUAUGCGAAGUCAAGGAAAGAGAUUGAAGUUUCAGAUGAAUUUGUGUGCUAGCAUUGAUGGGAUCUUUAACAAUUUAUCUGUGCCCUGUAACAAAGUUAAGGCUAAGUCAGCUUCUUAUAUGGCUGCUGAUUUGGUUAGUGUUGGUGAUUCAUGGCUCAACUUUGCGAUUAAAAAGAGAUUGAUUGAGCCAAUAGCUGGAGCUGAAGAUCAAGAUUGGUUCAAAUACUUAAGUCAAAAAUGGAAGGUAACAUACUAACAUCUUUAUCUUUGACCCGAUAAUUUUUAUUGUCUUACAUUGAAAUUUGGUAAUGUAAUUUGUUCUCUAUUUGUGUUACCCUUAGUAGUCGUUUUAUUUAUUUGUUUAUUUGCUUUUAUUUGCACUAACGAAAUCUCAGGUAUAUCUACGCAGGAAUGAUGCAGGAGAAAUUGAUCCUCGAGGUAAAAUAUGGGCGGCACCAUACAGGUGGGGCACAACGGUGAUAGCCUCCAAGAAAAGUAAAUUUCGAAAGCAUAAUUUGGCUCCGAUUGAGGUAAUAAUUUUCUUUAAACUCAUUUAGUUUUAUAUCAAACAAAAUCAAGACUGCCUUUCUCUUCAAUAUUUUUUAUGAUAAUAUCUUUAGAAGCAUCUCAUUGACAGGUAACAAUGGCAUCCCUAAAAGAGUCUAUAAACUCAAUGAUAUUAUCUUCUACAAAUGGUUCAUUAAACUUUGUCGUUGUACUCAAAUGUACACUCAGAUCAAUGAGAAGCUAUGCCACUUUAGCAUGUAGUGAUGGCACUUAAUAAGUGAGUUGCUAGGAUGUGAACUAGAAAAAUUAAAUAUUGUCUCCUUGGGUAUGCUAGCUCGUAAGUCAGGGUUAAUAUCAGAGCUUAAGAUACUAUAAUUGUGAGAACCUAUUGAUUGCCAAUUAAAAUAUCCAUUAAAAUGUCUAGGGAGUUAUGAAGGUGGAGGUAACUUCCAAUUUCUAAGGCCACAGAGUAAAAUAAUUUGGAUAGAACUAUUGACUACUUAUCUUUAGCAGAAGGUAUAUUUUUAACUACAGCUUUCUGCUUUGUUCUAAGAACUAGGCAAAAGUGGUAUAUCUUCAAUCCAAUCAACAUAUAUACCACGUAUCUUCCUCUUCACUUCUGUCCAUUUUGAUUUGUACUUCAUAUCCUGCACUUGCUGCUUAGAAAUAGUCUUACUCUGGACAUUGAAAGUAGAAAAAGUACUUGAAACAAUCAUUGGCACAGCCCGAGAUUCCAUUGAAUCGUGGACUCCAAGCUUUCAUAGCUCUAUAAAGAAAAUGACAAAACAUCAUACAACUGGCAUUCAGCUUUUAACAUGUGCACAACCUGAGCGAGUUAGCAAGCCCCUUGUUGCGUUCCCAUUGAAUAGACCUACUUCUGUUAUCCACAGAAGAUCCACCACUCAAAAUGUUUAUCACCAAGCCAUUCCUAAACUGAGUAGAAACUUCCGCACAUCUCUCAGCAUUUACAUGAAGAAAUCGACACCUAUCCUCAUAUUUGCAAGUUUUCUGAUAAUAGAACUCUCCACAAAGCUGCAUUUCACUAAGCAAUCUAGCCUCUGCAUUUAUAGCAAAGUGACAUUGAUUCCCGUAUUUGUAAUCACCUAACUUGGGUUUUGGGCAUAGCAUGGUCUUAAAAUUACCACCCAUUACUUUGUUCAGUGCCACUGGCAUUCACAAGCUCUAGCCCUGUUAGCUGAAUCAUAUUUAAUGGGACAGUGAGGCAGCAUUUCACUAACAUGUUCAAUUUGACUACUCAUAUUGACGCAAAUAUUAGAAUUUGAAAUCACUUCUUUUCUUGGAAUAUUAUAUUAAAAUGACCCCAAAUGAAAGUUCUUGAAUGGAAAUGAUUUUUAUUUAAUCUUCCAACAGAUUCAAGAAAACCCAGAUAACACAAAAUUUACACAGUAAUAUGAUUAAGAGCUAAGAACGUACAUGUAGUAAAUGUCUAUCAAAAAACACCAAAGGGUUUCUUUAAAAUUAGAAACUAAGAAUCAUUUUACAUUUUUAGCAACUUUGGGGUGAGUGAGUGAGUGAGAAAGUGAAACCCUAAAGUGAUGACAACAAUAGAUUCAGUAUGAAGUGAAACCCCAAUUUGAAAUGUAGGCAUGAGUUGCUGAGUCAGUAGAUGAAAUUAUAAUUAGGCAUUCGGUAUCUUUCUUUUCGGUUUGGAGGGCCAUGGAAUAGUGUAUUGGAGUGGGCUCUAAGUAAUAGCCUCUAUCACUGCAAUGACACAUUUGCAAAACGUGAUACAUAGGGAAGGAUUGGGCAUUAUACUCUUAUAUUAGUGCCUUAUUUAGGGUGUAUAUUAAGUAGAUUAUAUAUUACAUGGAGAUGGAGUUUAUAAAAUAAAUUAAAAAGAAAAGGAAAUUUAGUGUUUAGAGUUUGCCACUUGGAAUAUUUCGGUGUCUAAACAUUCACUCACCACUUAUUUCAUGUCUGAUUAUAUGUUGAAAAGAUAUUAAAGUAAUUUAACGCAAUUAAGGCUUAACGUAUAUUUUUUAUUAGUAGAGUGUAGAACUUUUAAGAAAUAUAUUAUUAAAUUACUAUAACUAACAUAUUAUUUUAAAGUUGUGUUAUGAAAAAAAAUGAAAUAAAAACGUAAAGUAAAUAAGAAUAUUCUAAAACUUUUAUCUUUUUAAAAUUAGUUUUUAACAUAAGGUGAACAAUUUUUUUUUAAAUCACAUAUUCUAGUUAAAAUCAAAUAUGUAUUUAUAUGAAGCUUGUAAAUUUUUUUUUAGUACUGAUAUUUGAAUAUUAUCAAUAAAAAAAAAAGGGUAAUGUUCAUGCUGCAUUAUUUUUGUAGCACACAAAAGGACAACACCGUUUAUGUUAUAAUACUAUUGCUUCUGUUAUGAUAGUAUUUUUGUUAGUGGCAAAAUAUCAUUUUUUUUUUAAGUAAAAAGGUGGACAGAAUGCAAAUCAGUUUUUAAUCCUCAAUUUCUCCCAAAAUUUAAAUUCGUAAUUAGUCAAAUAAAAUUGAUCGAAAACCAUUAAGCUAGGUCCAUGGGUUGUUAAAACUAUAGCUGACAAAAAGUUACUAACAAAAACAGAAUGUCCAUUUUAUAACUUUCUUAAAAAACUUUCUUUAACUUUUUUAAAAAGUUACCAACAAAAAGUUAUUUCCAAUUUUUAUUUUGUUAUAAUGUUUAUAACAAAAUUCGUAGUUAACUAAACUCUUCUUAUCCCCUUUCUCAACUGCCAUACCCUAACCACGCUCAAUUUAGGCCAUCACAGUGACCGACAGCCUCCCUAUCUCCAUUUCAAGCUCCCUCUUCAACUGGCUUCUGCUUCGGUCGUACUCUUUCUUGGAUUCAGAGUCCGUAUUUGCUCGGCCGGUCCCGCACAACUCCCUCUCACUCCAAUUGUCACCCAACAAGACCAAUUGCUUACUCAAGGCACAGAACAAGAAGAGGAUGAGAAGUUGAAACAAGAAUUUGAGAAUUGGAAAUCGAAAUCGAAAACGUACGCAUUGACCAUGCCUUUAAGGGUUGUUUCUCUUCAGAAUUCAGUGCCUCAAUCUUGGGUUUAGGAUUUUAUGCGAAGUCAAGGAAAGAGAUUGAAGUUUCAGAUGAAUUUGUGUGCUAGCAUUGAUGGGAUCUUUAACAAUUUAUCUGUGCCCUUUAACAAAGUUAAGGCUAAGUCAGCUUCUUAUAUGGCUGCUGAUUUGGUUAGUGUUGGUGAUUCAUGGCUUAGUUUUGCCAUUAAAAAGAGAUUGAUUGAGCCAAUUGCUGGAACUGAAGAUCAAGAUUGGUUCAAAUACUUAAGUCAAAAAUGGAAGGUAACAUACUAACAUCUUUAUCUUUGACCCGAUAAUUUUUAUUGUCUUACAUUGAAAUUUGGUAAUGUAAUUUGUUCUCUAUUUGUGUUACCCUUAGUAGUCGUUUUAUUUAUUUGUUUAUUUGCUUUUAUUUGCACUAACGAAAUCUCAGGUAUAUCUACGCAGGAAUGAUGCAGGAGAAAUUGAUCCUCGAGGUAAAAUAUGGGCGGCACCAUACAGGUGGGGCACAACGGUGAUAGCCUCCAAGAAAAGUAAAUUUCGAAAGCAUAAUUUGGCUCCGAUUGAGGUAAUAAUUUUCUUUAAACUCAUUUAGUUUUAUAUCAAACAAAAUCAAGACUGCCUUUCUCUUCAAUAUUUUUUAUGAUAAUAUCUUUAGAAGCAUCUCAUUGACAGGUAACAAUGGCAUCCCUGAAAGAGUCUAUAAACUCAAUGAUAUUAUCUUCUACAAAUGGUUCAUUAAACUUUGUCGUUGUACUCAAAUGUACACUCAGAUCAAUGAGAAGCUAUGCCACUUUAGCAUGUAGUGAUGGCACUUAAUAAGUGAGUUGCUAGGAUGUGAACUAGAAAAAUUAAAUAUUGUCUCCUUGGGUAUGCUAGCUUGUAAGUCAGGGUUAAUAUCAGAGCUUAAGAUACUAUAACCGUGAGAACCUAUUGACUGCCAAUUAAAAUAUCCAUUAAAAUGUCUAGGGAGUUAUGAAGGUGGAGGUUACUUCCAAUUUCUAAGGCCACAGAGUAGACAUCAUCCAGGAUCCUAGGAAAGUCCAGUUAACCUCCUGCUCGAUGCAAUUAAUAAAUUUGGUCAAUGCCACUGAAACCUGUUAACUGACGUCACAAUGCGACAUGAGCACUUCAAAAUGGGACAGACGGUCAGUAGCACUAAAUUUUUCUUGCCUAAGAUUGAGCAAUUGGUCUAACUACUAAUCCCUAUUGUAGGUUGAUCAUUAUUUUUUCAAUUAUGUUCAGUUUGACCCAAAAAGUUGCAGAAUCUUGAGCAGAAUAUUGUCACUAAACACUGUCAAUGUCGUUUAGGUUAGCCAACUAACUUGAUGUUAAAACAAACACACAGUGUGUCUCAUGUCUCACAAAUCAAAUAAUCAUCUGUAAUGAUGGAGAAUUUUUCCAAUGUAUGAAGUAUGCUUUGAUACGUGGGUUACCUUGGAGAAGAUAUCUCAAAAUAAAGAAUAUGGGGAGAAAACAGUUCAGUAGUUUAUUAUUCUGUAGUCAAGUUUUGUCUCGAAAAUGGUCAAAAUUUAAAUGAAUAAGGACAGGGGAUCUUCAUUCUUUUUUCCCUUUUUUAUACCAAGAUAUCUCUCAACCUUUAUAUAAUCCCCACUGGAUAUCUGCUUCUAAUAAUUAAAAUAAAAAUUUCACCGCUCUAACAAUAAAAAGUAACAUCUUUAGUCAAAUAAUUUACAGUUCCUCAUCAUCUUAGUGUGAGACUAUCAGUACAUUCCAAAAACAUAAUAAAACUGGUUUGAUCCUGUUUAUUGAUGUUUAAAUGUUGUUCAUUGUGACAUGUAGAAAUGAUGAGGUGAAGUUUAUUUGGACAUCAAUUAGUAAGAUCUUGUUUGAAGUUGUUUUCUGAAAUGAACUGCCAAAUGGUAGUUUUUGGGGGCAUUUGAUGGCUCUUUUUUUUUCCUCAUUUUCAACAUAUGCCUGCUUGGAACAGGAAGGAUUAGGCUGCAGAGUUGUUAUAUAUUUUGAGAUGCUCUGGUCAUUGCACAAUUUGUUCACACUGGAAAUUAGAAUGAGAAAUUUGUUGAUGCUGUUUUGAGAGAUCUGCAUUCUAUGCACAAUAACAUGAUUAAUGAAAAUGCAUUGUAGGACUGGAAAGAUCUGUGGCAGCCUGAGCUCGCAGGAAAAAUUUCAAUGGUUAAUUCUCCCCGAGAGGUUAUUGGUUCAGUUUUGAAGUAUAGGGGAGCAUCAUACAAUUCAAACGAUAUUGAUUCGCAAGUUGCUGGUGGGAAGAUUGCUGUUCAGCAGAAUCUGGCAUUACUUGCAAACCAGGUACUCUUACAGAAAUGAUAUAUGGUCAUUGCAUGUUAUUGGCCUGACAACUGAUUUUGUUUGUAAAAGUCUGCUUCUUGAUACAUAUGAAUGCAUGUGUUAGUGUUUUCUUCUCCUUUUCAUACAUAUAAAUGCAUAUGUUAGUGUUGUCUUUUCCUUUUCAUACAUAUUAACACAUAUGUUGGUGUUCUCUCCUGAGAUGGAUGCAAUAAAGGCUUUUGCUCCUAAAUUUAGCUGAAGAAAUGGCAAAGGAUGUGAGAUUCUGUCUCAUUAAAUUAACAAAAACCCAAAACAAUGAAAAUCCAUUAUAAUGUGGUGUGGGUAAAUUGGCUCCAUUUGGUUCAUUUACUUAAUGUGAACGCGCGAGCAGUAGAGACUAACAAAAUGAAGUGACAACAAGAAGUCAGUGUCCUUUGAUGGAUGCAUUUUUAGGCAGAAAUAGGUUUGUAAUUGACCAAAUUUAUCUGGCAUGCCAAUUUCAAAAAAAAAAAUUAUGUGGUUAUUAGCUGUAAUGAAGGGGGAUAGUAGGUGCAAUCAGGUGGAUCCAGGAAAUUUCAACAAAGUUUUGGUAUGGCGUAGGGAAAUUGGUUUGUGCAACUCAGGAGUCUUUCAGGUGAACGAUGAUAGGUUUUGAUUUAUGAAUAUUAUAAAUCUGCUGUGCAUAGCAUUCUAGUAGAAUCAUCUAUAAGUUCUAGUUAUUGAAAUUGUAUGCUUUGCCCGGUUUGAGUUAAGGGCACAUGUAAUAUGAAAGAUAGUUGUCGCAUCUUUUAGGUUACCUAACAUUUGAUCAAUCCUAUUAUGGGGGCUUCAAGAUGUCUAACAAUAUGUAGAAUGCCCAUGCUCCUCCCCAUUGUUUAUAUUAUACAAUAAUUUGUUUUAGAUGCUAAUAUCUUUAUCGAUACUGGUAACAAUAUGACAACAUCUGCGUUUAUUGGGUUUUACAUAGGUUCGACUGUUUGACAGUACACACCAUCUGAAGGCAUUUGCAAUUGGAGAUGUAUGGGUUGCUGUUGGGUGGAUUAGUGAUGUUCUUCCUGCUGUCAAACGUAUGUCUAGUGUUGCUGUUGUUGUUCCCAAGUCUGGUGCUAGCUGCCUGCCAUUCUUCUUCGAUAUUCACAUUGUUAUCUCCUUCAUAUUAGCGAUCAGUAAACACGAUAAUGUGACUAAUAAGUUUGUAUUCUCUUUAUAGGCAAUCCGUGCUGCCUCAAGACUUGAAACAAAACAAAUUGGAGGGCGAAUCAGAGGUCCAUCUCCGUUAAUCCAUCAAUGGAUAGAAUUCUGCUUGCAAACAGCGAGAGCAUUGCCUUUCAAGCAAGAGGUAAUCCCAGGUGCAUCUCCCUCUGCCCUUGAAAGUACUCUGGUUAAGUUGCCUGAAGAACUUCUGGAGGGUAAACCAAGUCUGGAUACUAACUUAAUUGCUGGAGUACUCCCGGCUGAAAUUCUGGCCAGAUGUGAGUUUUUGGAGCCAUUAUCUGAAGCUACUUUGUCAGAUUAUGAGUGGCUGGUUGUUAAUCUGCAAAAACCUGCUCCUGUCUUGAUGAAAAGGGUGCAACAUUACUUGUCAUCAUUAAUCCAAAGCUUUCUAGCAAGAGCUACGUUGAAAAGUUAAUGGCGCUGCAUGCCAGUCAUUAUAAUGCUGUCAGGGCAAUUGGAUCAGGGCAAUUAGGUCAGAGCAUAACUUCAUUAGGAAAGGAGGCUUCAGCUACGUUAAAUAUUACAGGAUGUACUGAGAUGGCUGAAAUUCUUGAGGUUUUAUGAGAAACGAAAGAUGAGUGUUUGUUUGAACAAAGUUGUUGCCAAUCUUGCAGAGUUCGAAAACAAAGAUCAUGGAGCGAAUGCCACCGAUUUCUUCAUCAUUUUAGCCUCCAUAGUUGAAGUUUCCUCAUUUGAAGCUGUUUAUGCAUACGAUUUUUCCCUGCUCUAGUACAUGAAAUUGAAGAAUUACCAGAUGUGAUAUGCUGAAAGAGGGAAGUUUUCUUCCUUGAAUGUGGCCUUUGUGAUUUGUCUUGAAGGAAUAGGAUGAUCACUGGCAAGAACCCUAUCAAGUUAGAUUUUAUGGUGUUAACAUAUUAUUCAGCAUUUUGUUACAUUAGCAAUGAUGCUUUCAUAGCAUGAAAGUGUUUAAAUUUAACUGAAUGAUCUUGAUUGAUCAAUUAUGAGUUUUAAUCGAGUAAAAACUAAAUACAAUAAUCGUUAACAAAUAUUGAAAUUGGGUAAAUAUGAUCUUGAUAUUGAUGAAUUUGAAAUCACGACCCACACAGGAAAUCACCCUUCGCGUGGGGAUGGAGAUGUUUACUGCAGCGAUAUUGAAUAUGUCCACUGCUCUUUGGGUUAUGGUGCGACUUGCGAUUUCAAGGUUGCCAUGAAACAAUGGAAAAGAUUAACAUACCCUCCAAUGAAUGAAAACGGGUGGACUAAUUCUGAUUACCUAAUUGACUCAGGAUCAGGAUCGGCUGGCAAUAAUAACAGUUUAUUAACAAUGCACAGUCCGAGUACUUUUCCAGGAUGAGAUACGACGUGGUCUAAUGUUGAUAAUAAUAGAUUAUCAAAUGACAAAUCGUUGUUCUUGGGUGUUGAUUUCAGAAAUAAAAUACAUUCUGAGAGAUGCUGGUCUACUAUUGCAAGCCCCCAGAUUUAAGAAUCUUUUGAUGAUAAUUUAAUUGAUAUGGACAGUUUCCAUAUCACUUUUAAAUCAUCUUAUGUAAUUGUGAUGUUAGGAAGCAUUAGUGAUCUAUAUGUGAAUUAUUAUUAGCGACAUUAGUGGUUUUAUCUUGUUAAAAUAUGGAUGACUUCCAGUUAUUAUUUUAUUGUAGACAAUCUUAUUCAAUUAACAUAUAGUUUAAAAUCAUUAUGUAAAUUAAUCUAUUAAUUUUCAUGAUAUUUAAUUGAGUUAAAACUAAGUGCAAUCAAUAAAUCUCUUUUCCAUUAAAAAACUGCUACCUUUUGAUUUUAGUGCUUAAUAUUUAUUGAACUCUGAUGCAGGAAAUUUGAAAUCAAACUCGUAAUACAGAUUAUCUAAUUGCGAGUUACUGUCCAUAGCUGCUAAUUUGUAGUGAUUAUCUAAUUGACUGAGGUGACAAUAAUUCUUUUAUUUUCAAUAGCACAAUGUGGAAUUCAAUAAUUAAAUUCUCCUGUUUAAUUUGUUUCAAGUUAAAUUAUUAAUUACUUAAACUCUGUUUUAAGUCUUUAAUUUUAUGUGUUUAUGCAGAAUUGGAUUCUUGAGCGUGUUGGACACGACCAACAAUGAAAUUGACAGUAAACAAACAUUAGAACGUGUGGACUCCGGUAAGCACCAAUGAAUUUCUAGCCCCGUUGACUCCGCCAACUAAAGUUUUGUAAAAUAAAAAAAAAAUACAUAGAAUUCCACCAAAUGCAAAAUGCGUGAAAUUUAAUUUUCUGCCGUGUGGACCAAAACAUAAUUUAACGAAAAAGGAAAAAAUGAUAAGAUUUUUAAAAUGUGUGGAAGGUGAUCCAUAUUUUACUGAAACGACUUGUUAAAUUUUUUAAGGAUUUAGAAUAUUUAGUCAUAAAUUACGUGCAUGUUAAUUUUUCCGCCAUUGACUAUCAUAUUCUAGACUUAAUGGUACCUUUCUUGAUGAAGGGUACUUAGUCUCUCUUCUCCUCUUAUAAAAAUUAUAUUAAUUGAUUUCUUGUUAUAGUUAAUAGUCUUUAAGAACGGAUAGAUUUAUUGUUUUCAUGACCAAAUUAUGCAUGCCUAAGGUUGCCACUAUUAAUAAAAUUAAUAUUUAAUGUUUAUUUUAAAAGAUAUAAGAUUUUAUGCAUUCAUUAAUUGUUAUUAGCUAAAGGAUGAAUUAUUUUUUCCCAAUCAAUUGAUGCAUCUGCAAGAGUUUUUUUUUUUCUUUUAUUGACCAUAAUUAUAUUCCGGGUACAAUAAAUUGUCUUUGGUGCUUGGAAAAUAUGACAUCUCUCUGUCAACUUACUGGAAAUAUCUCCUCAUCUACUCUCAUUUAUCUAAUAUCAAUUGAAGAUCUCAUAUUUCCAAACUAUGACUUCCAAAUCUCAUUAUCAUUUGAGCAUUCAAAACUAAUCAAGUGUGGAAAUAAUCAAAUAUAUGCAAAAAUCGAGUCACAAUCUUUGGCCCCUCAAAAUUCUAAUUAUAUAACUUCUAUAUAUCUCAUACAUUUUCUAAAUGCCUCUUCCAUCAACAUCACUAGGAGUAUGUUCAUCUCUCACACAUUAACUUGAGUGGAGAGUUUCCAAAUUGAUUGUCAGAAAACAAUACAAAAGUUAGACACGCUUGAUCUGUCUAAUAAUUCUCUUUCGGUAAAAUUAAUUAAUUUUAGGGGAAUUCAGCCAACCACUGUAAUUUUAGAGUGAUCAUUAAUUAAUUAAACAAUACAAAUAUCUAAAGUGAUUAGAUGUUUGCUGACAAUACAAGUUCAUGGCUUGAAAUUUGAUCUCUAUCGAUUGGUUUUUUAGUGCUUAAUAUUUACGGAACUCCGGGAAUUUGAAAUCAAACUCGUAACUACAAAUUAUCUAAUUGCAAGUGUUUGUCCAUAGCUGCUGAUUUGUAGUGAUUAUCUAAUUGACUGAGGUGACAACAAUUUUUUUUUUUAAUUUUCAAUAGCAUAAUGUGGAAUUCAAUAAUUAAAUUCUCCUUUUUAAUUUGUUUCCAGUUAAAUUAUUAAUUACUUAAACUCUGUUUUAAGUCUUUAAUUUUAUGUGUUUAUACAGAAUUGGAUUCUUGAGCGUGUUGGACACAACCAACAAUGAAAUUGACAGUAAACAAACAUUACAACGAGUUGAGUGUCGACUCCGGUAGCUGCCCUACAAGUCUACAACUUUACAAAAAAUAAUUGAGUACACACAUUUGAUUCUCGGGACCCUUCAAUGAAUUUCUAGCCCCGUUGACUCCACUGACAAAAGUUUUGGAAAAUAAAAAAAAAAUUCAUAGAAUUCCACCAAAUGCAAAACGCAUGGAAUUUAAUUUUCGGCCGUGUGGACCAAAACAUAAUUUAAUGAAAAAAAAAAGAUAAAUUUUCUAAAAUGUGUGGAAGGUGAUCCAUAUUUUAUUGAAACAACUUGUUAAAUUUUUUAAGGAUUUAGAAUAUUUGGUCAUAAAUUACGCUCAUGUUAAUUUUUCCGCUAUUGACUAUCAUAUUCUAGACUCACUGGUACCUUUCUUGAUGAAGGGUACUUAGUCUCUCUUCUACUCUUAUAAAAAUUAUAUUAAUUGAUUUCUUAUUAUAAUAAAUUGUCUUUAAGAACGUAUAGAUUUAUUGUUUUCGUGACCAAAUUAUGCUAGAUUAAGGUUGCGACUAUUAAUAAAAUUAAUAUUUAAUGUUUAUGUUAAAAGAUAUAAGAUUUUAUGCAUUCAUUAAUUGUUAUUAGCUAAAGGAUUAAUUAUUUUUUCAACCCAAUCAGUUGAUGCAUCUGCAAGAAUGUUUUCUUUUAUUGACCAUAAUUAUAUUCCGGGUACAAUAAAUUAUCUUUGGUGCUUGGAAAAUAUGACUUCUUACUUCAAGUUUGAUGUGUCUCUCUCCAUAAGCUUACUGGAAAUAUAUCCUCAUCUACUGUCAUUUAUCUAAUAUCAAUUGAAGAUCUGACUUUUUCAAACUAUCACUUCCAAGUCUCAUUGUCACUUGGCCAUUCUUGGACCAUUCAAAACCAAACAAGUGUUGAAAUAAUCAAAUAUAUGCAAAAUUAGAGUCACGACUUUUGGUCCUCCAAAUUCUAAUUAUGUUACUUCUAUAUAUCUCAUUGUCACGUCACGAACUUGUUGGCACAUUUUCCAAACUCCUCUUCCAUCAGCUCUCACACGUUAACUUAAGUGGAAAGUUUCCAAGUUGAUUGCUAGAAAGCAACGCAAAAUCAGACACGCUUGAUCUGUCCCCUAAUUCUCUUUUCUACGUUGAAAAAGAAAAAAAAUAAGAAAAAAGAAAAUAGAUCUAUGUAAAAAUAAAUAAUAAACUGAGUAAAAGUACAUUUGUUUAUUUAACAUCUGAUCGGGGCAUUUUUGGUGUAAUUUCGUGCUGUGUAACCCACAACUAAAAUCAAACAGCCCCUUAGAAUACUUCUUCCAUUUUAUCUGCUACUUUUGUGGAUCUUAUAGGGUGGGCAUGUGAACAGAAUUUAAAAAUUUUAAUAGUCUCAAAGAAUAAGAUAUGCUAAAGCUAAAGUUGUUGCACCUUCUAAUUAAAUAAAGUUGUAUAAUUUCACCAACUUGGAAGAAUUGAUAUUAAUGGACGGUCCCCUCUCCAUAUAUGAAGCCUUCUUAAAAGUUAAUUUUUAUUUCAGAAAAAAAAAGUUUAAGUUACAUAUAUUAUAGUAAGAUUUUUUGAGACCAAUUCCCUUCUUGAAAUAAUAAUGGAUAAGUAUUAAUUUAAAAAUAAAAUGAAUAUGUAUUGAUUAUAUCCUGAUUUUCAUCGAUUAUAGUGAGAGUUUCUACAAAUCAAUUCCCUUAUUCAAAUAAUACAGAAAAAAUAGUAAUUUAAUAGUAAAAUAAACAUGUGUUGAUUAUAUAUUCUAAGUUUCAUCGAUUAUGUGAUCAAAGUGGCAUUGUUGAUUUAUUUCUUGUUCAAUGUUAAUUUUUAGGUUAUAUAAAUUUCAAGGAUCUAAAAUCUUUGGUCAUGGAUUACACGCUUGUUAAUUUUUCUGCCAUUAACUGUCAUAUUCUAGACUUAAUGAUACCUUUCUUGAUCAAGGCUAAUUACUCUCUCUUCUCCUCUUAUAAAUUCCUCUUCCAUUAACAUCACUAGGAGUAUGUUGAUCUCUCAGACGUUAACUUGAGUGGAGAGUUUCCAAAUUGAUUGUUACAAAACAACACAAAAACUAGACACACUUGAUCUGUCUAAUAAUUCUCUUUCGGUAAAAUUAAUUAAUUUUAGGGGAAUAUUCUGCCAACCUCUGUAAUUUCAGAGUGAUCAUUAAUUAAUUAAAUGAUACAAAUAUCUAAAGUGAUUAGAUGUUUGCCGACAAUACAAGUUCAUGACUUGAAAUUUGAUCUCUAUCGAUUGGUUUACAAAUGGACGUACUUGUGCCUUUGUGGCGAUAAUCGAACAAGUUCCCAUGAUUAUUAUUUUUUCCAAAAACUUUUUUACAACAAAUUCAUCUCGCCAAAAAUUCUAUGUUGCUAGCUAACAAUAAUUGAGCACUUGGCCGCAUUGACUCCACGUCUCCACCUCUUUCUAAAAACAUGGAAAAUGUAAUUUCCACAAAAUGCCAAACGUGUGGAAUUUAAUUUUUUUGCCUUGUGGAUCAAAAUACAAAUGAAAGAAACAGGAGAAAAAAAAGGCCCAAAGACUUCUAAAAGAUGAAGAAGUCUUUGGGCCUUUUUAUAAUGGUGAAUUUUUUAAAAGAAAAAAAAUAACAACAUUUUUAUGGUUUGUUUUGAUAAUCAUAUUUACAUAUACUCUCUAAUUUUCAAAAUGGACACAUAAAUCUUUUUUUUUCACAAAAUAUAUAUUAUUCAUAUUUUUUAUUUUUUAUUAUCAUAUUUUUAUUUAUUAUAAAUGUUUAGAGUAAAUUUUUAGGUUGAAAUAUAAUAAAAAUGUAUAAUCGUUCUCUUAUUAAACACACAUACUUUUAUUAGUUUCUAUGCAUUUGUCAUCUCAAUCUCUCUCAAUUAUUCUUUAUUGCUAGCUCAAAACGCGUUGCUGUUGCAAAUUAUAGCAAAAUGACAAAUAUGGAAAAAAAGGGAAGAAAAUUAAUGCAUGAAAGACUUGGAGAAAACAACAAAAUAAGCCAACUAUGAGCUAGUUGGGUGUAUAAAUUGUUAGAUGUGUUAUAUACAAAUAGCAUAGAGCCCUCUAGUUAGUUCCAGAGACAGAAAGAGCGUGUGUGUUUUUUCACAGUUAGAGAUAUAGUUAGAAUGGGUGGUUCAAAAUCAAAAAUGAUGAUAAUGUUUAUUAUGUUAUUAAUAAUAUUUAAAAGUGGGUGGAGUGAGGGAUGUUUGGAUCACGAGAGAUUUGCUCUUUUGCGACUCAAACAUUUCUUCGAUGAUAGUUAUCUUUAUGACUGGGCCGAUGAUGAGGGAGCUACUGAUUGUUGUCAGUGGGAAAAUGUUGAGUGCAGCAACACCACAGGCCGAGUGAUAGCGCUAGACCUUUUUGACACGCAUGGGGGAGAGCACAGCUGGUAUCUGAAUGCUUCUUUGUUUACUCCCUUCCAACAACUUGAGUCACUUGAUUUAACUUACAACAAUAUAGCCGGUUGUGUUGAGAAUGAAGGUGCUUCGUUUAAUUUAAUUAAUUUACUUUCUCCCCCCAAAUUUAAGUUGAAUAUCAAGACCGAGCAAUUAUAUGCAUAUUCAUUUAGUCGACAAUUUUGACUUUUUUUUAAAUGAUUAAUUUUGAAAUUACACCAGGAUCUAUGAUCUUUUUUUAUUUUAUUUUAUUUGCAGGUAUAGAGAGGCUAUCAAGAUUGAACAACUUGAAGAUGCUUAAUUUAAGUCGAAACUCAUUCAAUAAUAGCAUUUUAUCAUCUCUAACUCAUCUUUCAUCAUUAAGAUCAUUAAAUUUACUUUGGAAUAGAUUGGAAGGAAGUAUUGACGUUAAAGGUACAUAAUUAAAACUUCAUCCCUUCUCCAAGCUCUUUCAUUAACUUGCUAAAAUAAGAUUCAAGGCUUUGAAUUCAAUUUUUUUUAUGAUUAGUAUUAAAAAAAAAAACAGUUUUAAGCAAUUUAUAAAAACAAGUUUUAAUGUUUCUUGUAAUUUCAUCUUGUACUUUCAUAUGUCUUGAAUUUAAGAUUAAAAAAAAAAACUCUAAUAGCGAACCAAACACCUCCACAACUUCUUAUUAUUUGUGGUGAGGUUUGAAACAUUCAACUCAAUUUGUACUUAUUACAGAAUUUGAUUCUUUGAGAGAUUUAGAGGAGCUAGACAUUGGCGGGAACAAGAUUGACAAAUUUGUGGUCUCAAAAGGUACUACAAAUACCAUAAAAAAAAAAUGCUAACUUUUACAAAUUAGCUGGAUUCUUUGCCAUUUGGUUUAUUAUUUUACAGAUUUGAGUAAGUUGAAGUCUCUUGGUUUAAGUGGUAUCAAACUCAACUGUAGCAUCUUAUCUUCUCUGACUGUCUUUUCUUCGUUAAGAGAAUUAGAUAUAAGUGAAACCGGAUUCAAAGGAACAUUCGAUGUUCGAGGUAAGCCUAAACCCUGCUUUCUCAUUUUAUAUAUGCCAACUAGAUUUGUGUAUCAUCGACAUAAUUUAAUAUUUAAUUUGAUAAGUCUGAAUGAAUUACAUGCUAAUUUAAACACACUUUUAUUUACUUUGUCAAUUAAUUAAUUAAUUAAUUACUAUUUGGCUUGGUUUGGACGAAAUUCUCAUGAUGUUUUAAUUUCUUUAAAUUAAUUAAUUAAUUAACUCUGUUUUUAAGUCUUAAGUCUGGGCAUGUUUGCAGAAUUUGAUUCCUUCAAUAACUUAGAAGUGUUGGACAUGAGUGGCAAUGAAAUCGACAAUCUUGUGGUUCCUCAAGGUAAACAAUUAAAAUAUUAUUCAAUUACAUUAUUUUAAUUCAUUUGAUUAGGGAAGGCCAAAAAGGUCCAAAAAAAUAAUAAUAAUAAAGAAACAGAUAAUUUGUAUUAUUUAAAAAACAGAAUGUAAUAAAGAUUUGAUUCCAGUUCUUUAAUCUUUAAAGCGAUUGAAAAACAAUGUUGGUCUUUUCCCAAAGCAUAAAAUACGAAUUGAAUGCCAAUUAACUUAAUCAUUCAUUUCGUUUAGCUCUAAAUUUAGACAAUGAAUUUUUAUAUUAUUUCAAAAACAGGACGUAAUAGAAUUUUUUUAAAAAACAUAUUGUAAUAAAGAUUUGAUUCCAAUUCUUUAAUCUUUACAGUGAUUGAAAAACGAUACUACUUCCCAAAGCAUAAAAUACGAAUUGACUCUCAAUUAAAUUAAUCAUUUAUUUCGUUCAUCUCUGAAUUUAAAUAAUGAAUUUUGAUCUUCAAUCUUUUCCUAAUUAUUAUUAAUAAACAGGUUACGGAGGUUUGAGGAAGUUGAAAAGCUUUGGUCUAUCGGGAGUUGGAAUUAGAGAUGGAAGCAAGUUGUUACAGUCAAUGGGAUCAUUCCCAUCCCUCAACACUCUUGACCUGAGCUAUAAUAAUUUUACCGAUAUAGCGAUAACUACUACUCAAGGUAAGUAAAAGGUACAGAUGUGGCCAAAUUUAUAAAUAAAUUGUUAAUUAAUUAAUUUUUCCGUAUUAUUAAUAAAGUGAAAUUUGUUGCUCCUUCCUUCUAAAUCUAAACAGAGUUGCACAAUUUCACCAACUUGGAAUAUUUGACAUUGGACGAAUCCUCUCUCCAUAUAAGUCUUCUGCAAAGCAUUGCAUCAUUAUUCCCUUCAUUAAAAAAUUUGUCGAUAUCUUAUUGUGAAGUAAAUGGUGUCUUACGCGGUCAAGGUAAAAGAAAAGCGUUGAUUGUGAACUCACUCAAUGGUGUCCUACGUGUUCAACAUUUUUGUUUAUUUAUUUAUUUAUUGUUUAAUGUUUCUGCUAGGUUUUCCUUCUUUCAAGAGUUUGGAACAUUUGCACAUGAGCUUCGCGCCCAUUGCACUCAACACCAGCUUUCUUCAAAUCAUCGGUGAAUCGAUGCCUUCUCUUAAGUACUUAUCACUGUCAGGUUCUAUUCUUGGCACUAACAGCAGCAGGAUUCUUGAUCAAGGUUAAUCAGAUGCUCCCACCCUCCCUUCUUAAUCUAUAAUAUUAAUUUUCAAUUCAAUAUUUAAUUACACAAACCAAUCACUUAUUAUAAAAGAACAAUACUCAUUCAUUAAUCUUUAUAUUGUAUUAAUAAUUGAUGAAUUUAAUAAAUUUUCAGGCCUCUGUUCGCUGGUGCAUCUGCAAGAAUUGCGCAUGGCUGAUAAUGAUUUAAGAGGUAGCUUGCCUUGGUGCUUGGCAAAUAUGACAUCCCUCCGAAUAUUAGAUGUUUCUUUCAAUCAACUUACUGGAAGCAUCUCCUCAUCUCCCCUCGUUCAUUUGACAUCCAUUGAAAUGCUGAUACUUUCAGACAAUCACUUCCAGAUCCCAAUUUCACUUGAACCACUUUUCAAUCAUUCAAGACUCAAGAUUUUUUAUGCUGACAACAACGAACUAAAUGCAGAAAUAACUCAGUCACAUUCUUUGACCGCCCCAAACUUCCAAUUAAAUAGACUCUUGUUGUCUUCCAGUUACGGAGACGGUUUCAUAUUCCCCAAAUUCCUUUACCAUCAACAUGACCUGGAGUUUGUUGAUCUCUCACACAUAAAGAUGAAUGGAGAAUUUCCAACUUGGUUGCUGGAAAACAACGCAAAAUUAGAAACUCUUUUUCUCAUCAAUGAUUCUAUUGGAGGACCUUUUCGAUUGCCAAUUCAUCCACACAGGCGGUUAAGAUUCUUGGAUGUCUCCAACAACAACUUCCAAGGCCAUAUGCCAGUAGAAAUUGGAGAUAUUUUACCAAGUUUAUUUUCUUUUAACAUUUCCACGAAUGCCUUGCAUGGUAGCAUUCCCUCUUCAUUUGGUAAUAUGAAAUUCCUCCAAAUUCUGGACUUAUCCAACAAUCACUUGACUGGUGAAAUCCCCGAGUACUUGGCCGUCGGUUGCGUCAACUUGAAUUCUCUUGCAUUAUCAAACAACAACCUACAAGGUCACAUGUUCUCUAGAAAUUUUAACUUGACAAACUUGAAAUGGUUACUAUUGGAGGGCAAUCGCUUCGUAGGUGAGAUCCCACAAAGUUUGUCUAAAUGCUCCUCACUAGAAGGAUUGUAUCUUAACAAUAAUAGUCUUUCGGGUAAGAUUCCACGAUGGUUGGGUAAUCUCACAAGGUUACAAUAUAUUAUAAUGCCCAAUAAUCAUCUUGAAGGCCCUAUUCCAGUGGAGUUUUGUCAGCUGGAUUUGCUUCAGAUUUUGGACAUUUCAGACAACAACAUAUCUGGAAGUCUACCAUCUUGUUUCCAUCCUCUCAAUAUCAAACAAGUUCAUCUUUCAAAAAAUAUGUUACAUGGACAACUAAAAAGAGGUACAUUCUUUAAUUGCUCUUCCCUUGUGACAUUAGAUCUUAGCUAUAACCGCUUGAAUGACAGCAUUCCGGAUUGGGUUGAUGGGCUUUCUCAGUUAAGUCACCUUAUCUUAGGUCACAAUAAUCUUGAAGGUAAAGUGCCAGUUCAAUUGUGCGAAUUGAACCAACUACAAUUGUUAGAUCUUUCUAAUAAUAAUCUUCACGGUCCUAUUCCUCCUUGCUUUGAUAACACCACACUUCAUGACAGUUACAGCAAUAGUUCUAGUCUUGAUGAGCAAUUUGAAAUAUCUUUUUCCAUCGACGGCCCUGACGGAGAUGUAGAAAAGCAAAUCCGUGAAAAUUUUGAGUUCACAACAAAGAACAUUGCGUACAUUUACCAAGGAAAAGUGCUUAGCCUCCUAUCAGGACUUGAUCUUUCUUGCAACAAGCUAAUCGGUCAUAUUCCCCCUCAAAUUGGAAAUUUGACAAGGAUUCAAACAUUGAAUCUAUCACACAACAACUUGACAGGAUUGAUCCCAUCAACAUUUUCAAACUUGAAGCAAAUCGAAAGUUUGGAUCUUUCCUACAACAAAUUGAAUGGGAAAAUCCCUCAUCAACUUGUGGAGUUAAAGGAAUUGGCCGUUUUCAGUGUGGCAUACAAUAACUUAACAGGCGAAAUUCCAGAAUGGGAAGCACAAUUUGCAACCUUCAACGAGAAUAGCUAUGAGGGAAAUACUUUUCUUUGUGGACUGCCAUUGCCCAUUUGCAGAUCACCAGCAACUAUGUCGGAGGCGUCAAUCGGCAAUGAACGAGAUGAUAAUUUAAUUGACACGGACAGUUUCUUUAUCACAUUUACAACAUCGUACGUAAUAGUGAUAUUUGGAAUUGUUAUUGUUUUAUAUGUAAAUUCUUAUUGGCGACGUAGAUGGUUUUACUUUGUUGAAAUGUGGAUAACUUCAUGUUAUUAUUUUGUUGUAGACAAUCUUAUUCCAACAAGAUUUUGUCAUUGAAAUUAAUUAGUAGCUUAAUUACGAUUCUUUAAGUACUAAUCAAGUUUGCUUAGGAAAUAAAUUUAUUUUUAUUUUUUAUUAAAAUUGUAGUAGUAUUUAGCGUUAUAUAGCUUCCAACUUCCAAGCACUUCACAAUUGUCUCUACACUUCCAAACCCAUAUCUAUCCACCAUAACUUAUACUUCCCUAUACUGUGCAGCAUACUUAAAUAAGAGAACCAUCUCCAAUGUUAAAAGCAGCCACUCUAUAACAUUCAUUUAGAAACUAUAUUCAGAAUAGUUUUAUAAUCAUACACAAGAAAUGAAACACCUAGAUGCAGUUGAUCGCCUAUUUUACUUUAAAAAAUAAUGAUUAUGGUGCUAUCAUCAUCUUCUUCACUAGCAACAUUAACACCAAAUCCAGCGAUGGACCCAGACAUUUUAUCAAGAAAGGUAUAUAUAUAUAAUAAAGUUGAAGCUUGACAAAAAAUUCAGGAAGAUUAAUGCCUCAGCCACAACAAGGGGCACAACAACAUCAAAGUAGAGAUGAAGCAAUAUUCUCAAAGCUAAAACUCUCAAAUCCACCCACCAGAAUUUCAUAUCUCCUCGACAAUUUUAAGAACUAAAGAUAAUUAGGAUUUAACAUUAGUUUUUUAUAUAUUAGUUUCAUAAUUUACAAAUCAAUGAAGAUGAAGAUUAUGCUAAUGAAUUCAAAUUAUACCAUACAUUCUAUAGAUGUUACCAAAAAUUUCUAAGUCAAUCCCACAUAUUUCAUAAUUUUAAGACUAGAAAAUUUCAUUAGUUAGAAGUUUCAUUACCUUCAAGUGGAAGAUGAAGAACAUUAUAUAAGUGAUUCAGAUUAUAUCAUACAUACUCCAAAUGCAACUAGAAAUUAACAAGUUCAUGCGCACAUAUUUCAUAACAUUAUGAUUGGAAAGUUUCACAAAGAGAAAUUCUAAAUUCAAUCUCUUGCAUCAAGGUAGUUUGAUUGAUUUGAGUUACUUUCUGAUCAAGCUACUAAUAUAACAUUCAAGUCAGGGAGAAAGUAAAUUAAAACUGGGAAGAAAUAACAGUAAAAAUUUGUUGCUAAACAUGAUGUGUAUUUUUUUUAAAGCAAUUUGGAAACACAGUUGUUACUACAGGUAUUCUCCUCAACUUGGAGAUAAAUACAAAUAUUAAAAUGCAUAUGAUCGCACAUAUUACUUGGAGCUUAGUAAGAUUUCAUUAAGAGAAGAAAUCAAACCACUUAUCAAUUGUUGCAGUCAUUCUAUAAGCUAAAAUAGCAAUAUAAUACAAGAAAAAGAACAUAUAGAUACUUGGCAAGAGUUCAUUAAGAAGUCACAUCAUAUUCGGGUGAGGAGUUUGCUUCUGAUAUCUUGCUAGCCGGGGCUUUUUCUUGUCUUUCUACGUAUGCCGAGGGAAACCAACCAGCUUGGCCCUUGCAUUCACCUUCCGACCAUCCAGUAGGAGCCACCUUGAGAAGUUAUAACUAAAACGGUGAAUUAAACAAAAGUUGACCGUUCAAAGACCUAAGGGGAAAACUAAUUCUUUUACGUAGGAGGAGUGAAUUAGUUGUGAUCACUGAAAUAACAGCAUAACUAUGGAAGCAUAACAAGAUAUAAAUUCACAUGUCUAUAAGGGUAAACUGGGUGGUUUAGAACUGAGCUAGCAACCCUACUAUAUUCUGAUUUGCACUUCAAUGUAAAAGGGAAUAUGGUAGGAAGAAAGAAAACCAACCAUCAUUUGUUAACUCAUUGCUUUUCAAUCAAAAUUUUAAGAACAAAAUGCCAUGUGCUUUGAACAUCAAAUAAGUAUAAGCAUUAGUUCUAAAUUUCACAUGUCAUAAGUUAAUAGCAUAGUAGAAAAAUCUAAUAGCAUCGUAGAAAAAUCUCUGUGUUGUUAUUUAGAGGGGAAAGUACCUGGCGAACCACAACAUAAUCAUCAAUUGAAAGACUUAGCUCUCCAUUUGCUUGAGCAUCAAAUGGAUGUAUAACCUGCAAGAUAAUGGGAUAAAUAGAACUUAAUCUUAGAAAAAGCAUAACAAAAGCAGCAACAGUAGCAGCAGCGUUCAUUGUAACCACUAUGAUCAUAGCCAACAAAGAUAUAUUAGAAACAAAAUUCCAUUUUUACUACGACAUUAAUAUGUACUAUAUGAUAUCAUGACGAUUGGGUUACCAAGAUCUAUCAAAGUCCAAUAAGUUCUGUAUAACUCUAUGUAGUUAUUUAAAUUAUGGAUCAGAUUUUAAAUCUGAAAUUUUGACUGCUCUCCACAAAACAUGACCUAUGCACAAAAAAGUCAUAGAUAAUGAGGAUUACAAAUGUCUGACAUCUUUUGAGUGAUGGAUUUAACAUGAGAGCUUAUGGUCAGUCAAUUUCCUCUGCCUAGCAAUAUAAGCUUUCUCGGCCAGAUUUAUCAUCAAAUACAUAGAUUGCGCCCAAGUUAAGGAGAAUCAUAAUUCAGACAUAAUCAUAAAAAGGCCCAUCUAACUUAAGAGAAAAUCUCAAAAAGAGGGAUGUUGAGCUAUCAGUCUUGUAUCUAUAAGCAAUAUCAAGACUUUACAUCACCUGCUACAUCGUGAGUGGCUACACAACUUUCAGUGGUUUGACUUUCUUGGGCAUGCCUAACUCAGCUUUGAUGUUGCUGAGAUAUUGAUAGUAGAGACACAUGAUACUUCUAGCUCAUGCAUUCUAUCUAGCUCAUCCGACAGCUAUCUCUUUUUUAAUUCAUUAGUGUUUGCUAAACCUCAUGCUUAAAAGUCCUGUUCUGCUAAACAAAGUUUCCUAAGAAUGACUUCCUCAGCACCACAUUUGGACACUUUUAGAGCAAUUUUAUUUGGGGGAAAAGAAUUUUCAAGGUGUUAACUAAUAAAUUUUAAAAAAUAAUUACAAUUUGUCCUACGAUUAUAUGACAAUUUAUCUAGGAUGAAAGGAUACAGACAGACAUCUUCCACUUUCAAGACUAAUCACUACUUCCGUAGAUGUUUUGCAAUAAUACAAAUACUUGACCAGAUGGUGGUGAUGGUAGAAAAAAAUUUUAUUGCUCCAAAAUUAAAAUAAGAAUGCAAUACGUUAAGCAAAAGACUGUGCAACAUCAAAUUAAUUGAUAAGUUUGUAAUUCAGUAAAUUAACAACUUUCAUGGUAAAAUACAACAAAUUUCUUUUCAAAAAAAAAAAAAUCUUAAAAGACAGCAUUCAAUUUUGGGCGCAUCUUAUUUCUUAAGAUUUUCCAGGAGGAGGGCAAUAAAGGGACUUUCACCUAUGCAAGAGAGCAGAAGCCUUACUUUCGCUAUAAAGUAGACGUCAUUCUGAUUAAUAUGCAUUUGCAAAUCAGCUCCAUUUGAAUCAGUAUUCUGAUAGACACAUGAGGCAUUUACAUCCAUUUCCAAAGUCACAUGUUGCGAGGAGGACUCAUUUGAUUGCUCCUCUAGGAUCAUCUAAUUCAAGUAGCAAGGGUUGGAAGAGAAUAAAAAGUCACAAUUAUUCUUUUGCAUAAGUGAGACGAAAAUGAUAAAUGCAAUAUUAUCAGCAGUAAACAAGAAGAGAACACUCCAAGGAAUAGAUAGAUGCGGACAAGCAAGUUAAAAUGCAUAGUUCCAAACCUCCGCAUACAACUUCUCUAAAAUAGCAAUAACGUGUUGAUGAUAUGUUUUCUCAGCAUCUACCUGCAAAGGCCCGAGACCAGGAAAACAACAAUAAAACCACUAGCUAAAGGAGAAAGUAAAGAAAGAAAUACACUUGACAUAAAUCUUGACAAGAAGCACAAUUUAAGACAUAACAAACCCCAAUCAUAUUGUUUAGAACUACCAUUCGUUAUUUCGUUAUUGUUGCAUUUCGAACAAGUGUUGACUUAAUUCAACAUUGUUGGAAAGAUAGGCUUUUAGAAGCGGAAGAAAGCCACUCAAACCAAAGUGAUUGUCCUUGUAUUGAUCAAGGGAUGUAAACAUAUUACAUUUGCAGGAUGAGUUUUAAUCACUCCCCUGAUUUAUUUGGGUUGCAGUAAAACUAAGCGAGCAACUGUUUGACCUUCAAGCAACAUCUGAAUCAGCUAUUAAAAUUCAAAUAAAAUCAUAAUAGAAUAAUAACAGGCCAUCUUGCAUCAAAAAUUAAGUUUAAUUUGUGAAUUUUUUUCCAUAGACAUGUUAGCUCCUGCUAUUGAAAUGUUAAAAGCAUUGAAAAAUUAUUCAAUAAAUUAUGCAAACAUUAAAAUAGAGGACACAUUAAAAAGUUUCUAAUUACAAUGUUAAUAUUUCCUAUAUUUUAGCAUUUGAAUAUUUUAAUUUAUUUAAAAGCUACGUCGAUCAACUUUGGGCGUGAAGAUUUUAUCUUCUACGAGACUUGAUUGGAAUAUGCAUAAGGAAGAGUGUUAAAAUAUGAUGCAUCCAACGAAAGACAAACCACGUGUAGUCUUUUAAUUAAGCCAAAGUAGCAGCUCAAACAAAUGACACUUGGACCAACAUGCAAUCAUGAAGUGGCCGGAAAAAGGACAAAUGCAACUUUGGCUUAAAUAAAAAAUAACAUGUGACUUGACUUUUGCUGGACAUGCAUCAUGUUAUUACAAGACAACAGAAAUCAGUAUGAUAGUACUAAAAGUUGACAAUAACAUGAAGAUAAGAGGCAGAAUGUCAACACAUGCAUAGGCACACACAAGAAAGUAUUAACUUAUAUACCAUAGCAAAAAGUCUUUGAUAUGUCAUCUGUUGCUGCUGUGAUUCAACUGACAGCAUGGCAGCUGUUGCUUCUCUACCAAGAGCCAUUAUUGUAGAUUUAAGCUCGGUCAAUCUUGCUUCUGCAUUUCGAAGCUUCACAGCACUCUCUGCUGAUAUAUCAGAUUCCCUAAUCUUUGAUCGGCGCCUAAAUACUUCAGCUGCCUGGUGAAAAUAUUCAAUAUAAAUCUAACAUAAUUCUAAUCUUGCCUUAUACAUGCAUAUGUUAACUCAAAGCUUACCUGGGCUUCAACUUCAUGUCGAAGUUUGUCAUAACGAUGAGUCAGGUGUCGAGCAUCUUCCAAAGGUGCUCCGUUGAUUAACGCCCGUAGUGGCUCAGAUACCUACAUGUCCAAAAACCUGUAACAUAGUUAGAAAAAUGAAAAGAAAGAGCGAAACCUCAAUUAAAAAGUUCCUCCAACAUAAUCAUGGAAUUUGGGCCUACUUCAAGGACAUAUAUAAGGAUAAUUUAUGCAAUUUUGGGUCUUAGGAUGAUUCAUAUUAGGUUAGUGUUCUUCUCUUCUGUAUUUAAGGUUAAAAUAGAAAUAAACCUAUGCAAAUAUCUAAAUUAGGGCUGUAAGACUUCCACAUGCAUCCUUCAGUCUCAUGGAUUUGAUUUUACUAUAGAUGCAAGUGUCUUUAUUGAAAAUGCUUGGAGUCAAUUGAGAGAACUCACGGCCAAUAACUUGUCACACGCUAGUCUUUGCUAGUGAUGUAAGAAGUCACAAGGUCUCUUCAGCAUUUGAACCAAUAAAAUUAUUAAGUCAUGGAUGUCACUAGCAAUGAUUUUAAUAUAAAACAUUAAAUAUUUCAGAGUUGUAACUUUAAAAUGGAUUCUUUUAUUCAAUAUCUUAGAACUAAGUUUCCGUAUGAGAAGAUAAUAGUUUCAGUAGUAAUUUACAUAUAAUUUUCUAUAUUUGAAUUAUUUUCUAGUUAGGGAUGAACUAACCUGAUCACGAAGAAUCCCAAGCAAAGUUUCCCUCUCAUUUUCCAUCAAAUCAUGUGAAGUGCCAAAUUGAAGAGCAGCUCUUGCAACGCAAGAAUUGUCACUUUGAUUCUCCGCUCCAUACUUGCAACAAUCUUCGGCCAACUUUCUCGCUACAAUAUUUGAAUGCAAAAAUAUUGUACACAAUAACUAGUCAAGAAAAUUAAAAAAAAAAAUUCAAAUAUUAUAACGAGAGCAAGAGCAAACAAACAACCUAUUUCCAUUUGUUUCAAGCUUACUGCAACAAACACUUCAACGCCACGGACAACAUUCCUCUGAAAAUGCUGCGCUACAGAGCAUAUAUUCCAAAUUAUUGUUCAGAUAAAACCAUACAAACCAUCAUAAUUAUUCAACAUACAUUAAGCUCCGUUUGGUAAAUACUUGCAACUUCAGUCUAGAAAAUACAGUUAAUUUUUAUUUAAAAAACAUCAUAAUUAUCAACAUACAUAUUUGACAAAAUUAUUAUUUAAAAAUCAUAACUAAUUACCAAAAGCCACAAUAAAUCAAUAUCAAACAGAGUCUUAUUAUUAGCUAAAGGAGGAUAGUACCUUAGCUGCCCUGGUGGAAUUGUAUAGAUUUUGAAGUUGUUGGUGACACUCAAUUUCAGCUUCAUCAACCGCAACAUUUUCAAUGCCAAGAUGGAGCAGAUGCUUCAAUACUGCCUGUACAAACCAUAAAAAACUAAUGAAAAAUAAAUAAAAUCGAGAAAUUUCACUAAUUAAAAGUCUAAAUAAUUUAAAAACAAAAAAAGAAAAGAAACGGACUUGCUGCUGCUUGGCGACUUGUUCUCGGAGCUUGAUUGCCUGCUUCUUGAUAGCUUCCAUACUGUUUCUUUCAAAAAGCGACAACGGCUCAGCUCGUGGAAGUUGGGAAAGAAAAAACAGUGUGAUCAAGAAAAAUAAAAAGGCGUGAAUAAUUUUUGACAAAAAGCGAAAAUCAAGGAAAGCCGGCUCUUUCCAGAAAAUAAAAAAGAAAAAAGAAAAAAGAAAAAAGAAAAUUAUAAGUUUGAAAGGAGAAGAUGAUAGUGGAAGUGUGCGGUGUGGCUGCCAGCUACUAGGAUUUUACUGUUGGGUAAGGUAAUAGUAGAGAUUUUUUUUUUUUUUUUGAAGAAAAAUAGUAGAGAAUUUUUUAAGAAACUAGAACAGAGCAUGACAUUAGACUUUUGUGGACCAAAUUCAAAAGCCGAAUGGCACGGCCCAGAAGCUUUUGAAUAGAAUAACUUGCAUCAGCCUCAAUCACUUCUUAAUAUGCAUAAGUGCAUAAGUGCAUAAGUGCGGUGUGGCUCCAUUUUUUGUCGGCUACAAUAAAAGUAGGUUGUUUUAUUCUUCUUAUACUUUACGCUUGCAUCAGCCUCAAUCACUUCUUAAUCGCUUGCUUUAACUGCAUCGCUCUCUCUGUGCUCUUCUAUAUAUGUAACAGUUACGCGGUUGUAGUUCACGGCUGAGGCUACGCGUUGGUUUGACGUGGCAGUUACGUUACAAGGGGAUAAAUAAGAUUGGUUGCAACAAACCCACUAAUUUUAUAAAAUUCGAGUAAUAUAAAAUAAAAUAAAAAAAUUAAUGCAAAAUUGACUUUUAUUUUUUAUGGUUGACUGUAUUUUGUGUUCUCUUCCGGCACUACUACAAUUGUUCCCUAUAUAUCAGUCACACCCAUAUAUCAUUAACACAAGAAAUGAAAUCUAAUGUCACCUAUUUAGUUAAAGAAUCACUCAUGAAAAAAUUUUACCAUUUUGCAUUGAGGAUCCAUAUUUUGAACUGCAAGCUAAUGUUCAUCAAGAAUCACUAAUGUUCAUAAAAAUCAUAGUAUGGCCGUUGAGUAGAAAAACUAUUUUUGGACAAAUUUUUUUUGUUGAUAGAAGAAUUUCUUAAGGGACUACUAAAAUUAUUAAUAAAAAUGUAGAACACACCCACAUAUCAUCAACACAAUUGACUUUGAGGAUCCAUGCUUUGAAUUGCCGCCUAAUGUUCAAGAACAGAGUAUGCCUUGUGAGUAGAAAAUUUUAUGAUUUUGGCCCAAAAUAAAAAGAAAUUAAAUUAGAUGAGAAUCUGCCACUUUCUCAUAAAGAAAGGCCUAUGGUUUUUCAAACUCUGAAGGGGCCAAUAUUCCCGAAUUCCCCCUUGAAAAUUCUGAUUACGACAUUAUUCAUCGCUUGACGCAAUCAAAGUAGCGACAAAGUUAAGAAAAAUUUGAGUCCUAAGUAAUUGCUAGGUAGGGUUCCUGAGAGCAAAAUUGUCCUAAGCAUUAUAUGCAUACAUGGUGUGGUACAUAGAGCACGUUGAAUUCCACACUAUAACACAAACCCAGAAAGACAAGUAAUAACUCAACUGAUAUAAAGACAAAAAGAAGAUAAAAUGAUAUAGAAAAAAGAAUUUCAAAGAGACAGCAACAUACGAUAGACUGAAGCCACUUG